Molecule: long non-coding RNA, 452481 nt
Filed under: Gossypium barbadense (sea-island cotton)
Lineage: Eukaryota; Viridiplantae; Streptophyta; Magnoliopsida; Malvales; Malvaceae
Description: long non-coding RNA (GBAR_LNC016635)
Source: RNAcentral
UUGAGGGUAUUGCGGAACUCAAUCUGUUGGAAUUUAAGUAAAGAUAUCCCAAAGAAGUAAUAUUACCCAAACAAGAGGGUAUGGGUCCAUGCAGCUUAUUCAACCCUAAAUACAUCUUGUAUAGUCUCUCCAAACCACAGAGGCUUUCGGAGAUAGGCCCUCCUAAUUUAUUAGAGGAAAGAAAUAGACCUUGGAGAUUUCUCAUUCCUCCUAUUGAUGCUCGAAUCAAUCCACUUAAUUUAUUAUAGCCAAGUUGUAAAAGCAAUAGGUUGGUUAAGUUACCUAUUUCCAUAGGAAUAAUGCCUUGAAGCUCACAAUUAUGGGCAUAAAAGUAUUGAAAGGAUUUUGAAAGGUUCCCGAUAUAAGUAGGAAGAACGCCACUCAAUGGAUUUCCUGAAACCGCUAUUUUUCUCAAAUGCCUGCAAUUCGAUAAAGAAGAAAGAAAGCUCCACUCAUGAUCAGUAGCAGAUCCUGUGAUGAAAUUAUUGUUUACGAUUCGGAACCGUUCAAGGUGUCUUAAGUUGCCAAGUGUUUUAGGGAUUGGACCAGAGAAUAAGUUAUGUGACAACUCUAGUUUCUUAAGCAUGGAAGCAUUGGAGAUAGAGUUGGGAAUGUUUCCGCUAAGUUUAUUUCCCCACAAAAAAAGAAACUCAAGCUUUGGAGCAUUGGUGAUGGGUGGUAAAUUACCUGUAAAAUAGAAUCUUUUAGUAUACAAAUUCACAAAAUAUAUAAUACAUUAAAGUAAAAACUGUAAAACUUUAAAUCAAUUAAGAAUAAAAUUUUGGCAUGGAAAAAUGUGAUGAAAUCAAUUAGAAAGUUGAGACAUAAUAAGAAGUUUUGAGUAGUAAUUAGUCCUUGUGAUUUGUAUAGACAAAACAUAUAAUACACUAAUAAUUUUUUAAAAUAUUGUAAAACUUGAAAUAAAAUAAAAAUAAAAGUUUGGCAUGAGAACGUGGCAUCUAAUCAAUCUUAAAAAUGAGACUGAUACUGAAUAAUAAUUAGUUAUGAUUUGGGAAACAAAAAUGUUAAAGUCAUUGUUUUUAAUGUAAACUGGUAUGAUUUUGACCUAUUAGGUUAAUUAUUUAUUUUUAUUAAAUUAUAGUGUAAAAUUUAAAGAUUAUUAUUUGCUCAAAAUUUUUGUGUUUUUCGUAUAUUUGAAAUUUAAUCUUUAUAUUUUUUAUUUUCUGUGAUUUAGUCUCUCUACUUUUUGAAUUAAAAAUUUUAGGUUCAUUUAUUAACACUGUUAAAAAAGUUUUUCUGUUAGUAUGGCAUUUUGAAAAAUAAAAUAAACUUGAUAUCUAUGUUUUUAAUUAUUCCAAAUAUUGUUUCACUAUUUCAAGAUAAAUUAUUUGUGUUUAGACCAAUAUCUUAAGAACUAUUGUUGCAUGUUUAAUUAUUCUAAAGAAUUGUUGAUUGAGUCUUAGCUGAAGUGCACUAUUCUCCUAUUUAUGAAUUGGGGAGUUGGUAAAGUAUUAAAUUUUGAUAUAUUUUAAAAUAUUAAAAAUUUAUUAAAAUAUUUUUUAUAAAAAUUGAUUAUACCACAAUAUACAAUUUUAAUAUCAAAUUUUUAUUUUUUUUUAAAAUAUUAGCGAAUAUAUACUUUAUUUCAAGUUACACAAUUUUUACUAGUUUUUAAAUUUUUUUAAAAAUUUUUAUCGUCUUUUAUAAUUUCUAAUAAUUUUUUAUAAUUUUUUACAAUAUUUACAAUUUCUAACAAUUUUUAAUAAUUUUAUUAUUUAUUACAAAUUUAAAAAUUAACAAAUUUUUAUUUUUUAAAACAAUUAUAUAUUUAUAAUGUAGUUGUUUUUUUUAUAAUUUUAUUUGAAAUUUUAAAGAUUUUUUUUGGUUUUUUUUAGAUGAUGAUGCCAUCAUGAUGUCAUCAUAUGUCACAUGGCAAUUUAUAAUUAGUUGAAUAUCUCAAUCUAUUUUAUUAACGUCCAAUAGACUAAAACAAGAACACCUGAUAAUGUUAGAGACUACACUAGGAAUGUUUGAUAAUAUUAGGUACUAAAGUGGGCAAAAAAAAUUAAGGACUAUAUUAAAAAUAUAUCUAUAAUAUAUAUAAAUGCAUGGAUUUUGAGAAACUUUUGAAAUGAUAAUUAUAUAGUCUUUGUUUUUUUUUUCUAUAUUAUUGAAUUUUUUAUUUUAAAUAUUUUUUUAUUACUUUUAAGAUUUAUCAUAUGCAUGGAUAAGAAUUUUGGUUUUACUAAAAUAUUUGGUUAAAUAAAUUCACUUCAUAAGAAAAUUUAGGAUCCUUAUAAAUAACAAUUUUGAUUCUAUUAAAAAUAUUAUUUUAAAAAAUAUAUAAUAAAAAUUUAAAAUUUAUAUUGAAUUACUUUAUACUUAAAUUAUUAUUAGAAACUUUAUCAUACACAUACAUAUAUGAGAAGCACGUAUUUAGAACAUAAAUUUGUGUUUUAAAAUAACUUAUGAUAAAUAAUGAAAUGUAUAAUUUGAAACUAUUUAAUAAUAACACAUGGCAUAUCUACCAUAUUAAAAUAAAAAUAGAUUAAAUUGUAGGUAAAACAUAAUUUAAACAUAUGAAUACAUCAAAUUAAGAAUACUAAAUGAAUACAGUUAUUUAUGAUGAUGUUGUUGCCAAUUCUUAACUUGGUGUCGAGUUAAUUUGUGACAUCAUAAAUUUAAGUGGUAAAUUUAAGGUUUUAUGUAUUGAUGUGGAUUCAAAUAUCACCAUAAUUUUUUUUAAAAAUAAAAAACUAAAGUACCCUCAAACAAUAUAACUUAUAUUAAAUAUGAAAGGGUAUUUUUAUAAUUUCUUUAACCGAGUUGAUGCCCGGUUGACUCAUGACACCAACUCAAUCAAAAGCUUCAAUAAUAAUAUAGAUAUUCACGUUAAAAAAACCAAAAAAAGUACUUUAGUUCCAAAUAAUUAUAUAAUAAGUAAAUUUAUAAUUGAUGAAUAAAUUUAUAAAUAAUAUAUUUAUAUGAUCUAAUAUAUUAUAUAUAUUAAUUAUAUAUCAUCUACAAACUUUGAAGAUCAAUUUAUUAAGUAUCAAGAAAAGAAAAAAUGAAAUUGAAUUAACACUAAAUCGAUUUUUAGAUUUUGUCCAGAUGAUUUAAUGAUGAUAAAAAAAUUAUUAGCACUAUUUUUGAAUUAACAAAAAAUUAGUGAUAUAUUUUAAUUAUAUUUAUUAUUUAUUAGUUUUAAUAAUGUUUUUUUAAUUAUAUGAAGUAAAAUUAUAUCGUAUACUAAAUAUGGUACAUAUACUUUAAUUAUAACUUGAAAAAUUAUUAUAUAAAUUAAUAUAUUUUAAUUAUAUUCAACCAUUUGAAUAACAAAAUUAAAAAAAAACUAAUUAGAAUUAUUUACUUUUUAAAGUUUAAUGGAAAUUAAAAAAUUAAAAAUAAAUCAAUUCAUAUAAAUCUUAUUGUUUAUUAUCAGAUUAAUAUGAUAAAAGUAUAUGACAUAAAUAGAAGAAACAAAUUCAACACAAUGUUUUUGGAGUUUGGAAAAAAUUAAAGUGAAAAACAUACCUUCUAAUUUGUUGUUAAAUAGCUCUAUACCUUCGAGCGUAGUUGAAUUAAAAAUACUUGAUGGAAUCUGGCCUGCACACAUAGUCGAAAAUUGAAGUGAAAAAUAUACCUUCUAAACUGUUCAACUAAAAAUACUUUAAGCAUCUUUUUUUCCAUCAAAUUAGUUAUCUAUUACAAAUCAAACUCUUUUAUGAAAUGUUGAAGAUGGAAGAUGGAACCUGACCAGAUAAUUGAUUGAAUCCCAAGUUCAAGAUCUCUAGAUUAGACAUGUUAACAAGUGUUUCAGGGAUUGUGCCUGUAAAGUUAUUAUUCUUCAUUUCCAGCCUUCGAACUCUUUGUAAGUUCCCAAGCCAUGAUGGAAUUUCCCCAUUCAGACGGUUGUAGCUUAAUUGAAGGAUCCUCAAACGAUGCAAGUGGCCCAAUUCUUUAGGGAGAUGGCCAUAGAAAUGGUUGCUACUCAAGUCUAGAGAGAGUAGAAAUGAAAGAUUUCCAAGGUGUGGAGGGAUAGUACCCCUAAGAUUCAUGCUUGUAAGAUUCAAAGCUAUAACUCUUUUAUGGAGGAUGCCACAAGAAACACCAAUCCAAUUGCAAACAGAGGUUGAGGCCGUCCAAUUGUUUGCCAUGACAUUUUGAGGACCGGCAAUGCGAUCCUUGAACUCGAGAAGUGCAAAUUGAUCAGAGUUGAGAUUCCUGACUGUUAUAGCCAAGCAAAGUACGGAACAUGGUAUGAAUAAAGCUAAAAGAAGAUGAAAGCAAGUGUUGUAGUCCAUGAUUGCAAGACGGAAUAAGGCAAGAAAAUAAAAAAAAAAGUAGGAAAAGGGAAGUUGAGUUGAUAAAAUAGUUUGGAUGAUGAAGAAAAGCCCAGAGAGCAUGCUUUAAUAUGUUUCAACCCUCGCACACUUGAUAAACUUGAUAAAUUUAAGACUACUCUAAAAAUUAAAAAGGAAAACAAAGUUUUGAUGAAAUUUCAAAAUAAAUGUCAAGUAUUCUUCUUUUAGAAAUACGUAUAAAGAAGUGAAUUUUCAAAAUUUCUCCUAAAUUUUCUUCACAUUACUCCACAUAAUCCAUUAAAAAAAACUUAAAAAAUAUAUUUUAUUAAUUACUAUAUAUUCUUUUAUUUUCAGAAUAAUAAAUUGUUUAAAAUAUGCUACUAGUCCCUGUAAUUUAAAAGUUAAAAAAAAUCCAAUCCUCCUAUUUUUUUAAUUUAAAAAUUCUAGUCCAAUCAUUUUUAAUUCCAUUAAAAAAUUUCAACUUAAUAGAUUUUUUAUUAUCAAUCAUAUGCAACAUUAUAUGAAGGCAGUCUACUCAGUAUAUAUCCAAGUUUACAUAUUUUAAUAGAAAAUACUUACAAUCCUAAUGAUAGGACUAAGUUUUUUAAACUAGAAAAGUACAAAAACUUAAAUUUUAACUUUUUUAAGUACAAGGAUUAAAUUUUAAAUGUUGUCAAAGUACAAGCACUAACAAAAUAUUGUGAUCUAAUAAAUGUAAAAAGCAUUUUAAACAAAAGAUGGUUGAAAUAAUCUAUUUGUCCUUAUACUUUGAUAAAAUUUGAGAUACCAUAAAAUUUGUAUCUUUUUUCGAAUUAUUUAAUGCCAUUUCAACAUUUUCAUUAAAAAAAAAACAUAUCAUUUUGAAUUUGAUCUUUUUCAAGAUGAAAAUAUUGAAAUGAUGUUAAAUUAUCGGAAAGAGAUACAAGUUUCAUGGUAUCUCUCUAAGAAAGCUGAUGUAAGAUAUUAAUGACAUCAUUUGAACAAAGUUUUAGGUCAAAUUAUUCAUCUAGUCCUUGUAAUUAUUCUUUAAGGUGAAUUUCAUUAUUAUUCUUUUAUUUUCUUUGGCUUAAAUAAACAUUUACCCCUAAUUUUAUCACAUUCUCCUUAAUUGGUAUUUAUAGUUUAGAAAAUUUUACAAAUAUAUUAUUUUUUAAGAAAUUAUAAGAAGAUUACAAAAAUUCCAAAAUAAUAUAAAAAAGCUAAGAAAAACCUAGAAAUUCAAAAAACAAAAAAAUAAUGUUUUUACAAAUUGGGGUAUGCAAUCAAUUUUAAGAUGGUUUUUGGAGUUCAUCUCACUUUAGCAUUGACUUACUUUUCUACAGUUAGUCUUCUCCAACAAGUUAAAUAUUUCAAUUUUAACAACAUUGACAGGUCUUAGGGGUAGGGUCGAGCAAAACUCAAUAGAAAUAGAUGAUAUAGGUUGAGUUGGCUCGGCCAAGUCGAGUCGACUUGUUCAAAUUUGUUAAAUUAGUAAAUUUUGGGGUGCAGUUAGAAUUUUUUUGUUUUGAGAUGCUAAGAUUAAAAAAAUUUGAGUUUUGAAAACUUUGACUCCUUUUUGCUUUGAGAGUUGAUUUGAAGAGAAAAGAGCUUGAAGGUGCUUUUGUAGAAAUAGGACAAAUUUUAAAAUAAGGAGUAAAUUGGAAAAAAAAAUUUGGGUUGGGCUAAUUUGAAAAUUUGACACUUUUGUGGGAUAAAAAUAGAAAAAUAUUUUGGUUGAAUACACAUAAGGAGUUACGAACUUGAGACUUAUAGGUAGGCUAAGGCCUUACCACUUAACCAACAAGCUCAUUAUUAUUAUCUUUUAACACAAAUAAAUUUUAAGGCAUACUAAGGGCUUGUUUAGCAUUGCAGUGAAGAAGCAUUUUGGCUUAAAAAACACUUUUGAGAGAAAAGUGGUUCUAAGCUAGUAACUUUUGGCUAAGAUUUUGGCUUUUCAAAAGCAAUUUUGGCCAAAUGGAGAAGUUAAAAUUAUUAGCUUUUCUUACCCAAAAGCAGUUUUGAGUGCUUAAUUACUAAUUCAUCCCCCCAAAAACACAAUUUAAAAUAAAAUAAUACAAAUAUGUUAAUAUUUAAUUACAAAUAUUUAAUGGGUAUAUUUAAAUAUUUAAAAUAUAAUUUAUAUAUUCUAAUUAAAUUUUAUAAAUAAUUAAUAUUUGUUGCUUAAAAAUAUUUAAAAUUUAUAUUUUAUAUAUUAAAAUAUUAACAACAAAUUAUAAUAAAUUAUUUUUUAUAUUCUUACUAAAAUAUCAUAAUAUAAAUUAAUUUUAAUAUUAUUUAAAUACAUAUUUGUUACUUUAUAAUAUCAUGUCUAAGAUUGACGUUUUAUUUCUCAAAAGCACUUUUUGAAAUUAAUACUAAACACUUAAAUUUUAAACUAAACUUCUCAAAGAUACUUUUCUACAACACUUUUAAAAGCACUUUCCAAAAUCAAUGCUCAACUACCUCAAACUCUCUUACCUUAUACUUUAAAAGAGAAAAAAAAAAGAUUUUAAAUUUUAUCCCUAUUUCUUUUAACCCAAUUUUUAGGAUGUCAAACAUUUAUAAAUAAAAUAAGUAAAAGGAAAAAAAAGCAUAUACUUUAUUUUUAUCGCAGGUAAAAGUUUUAAUGGAGAGGAUCAUGUAAAAUUAUGAUCUGAAUAAUUUUAAACAUUUCAUCAUUGCAAAAAUGAAAUAAUAGAAAAGAAUGACUAUUCGAAUUUGCAUUUGUGUUCUUUCUUUCAAUAUUUGCUUUCAAAACUGUGGGAAAAUUUUAAAUUUGAUGAAAUUUUAAAAUUGCAGUUCAGUAAAAUAUAAAUUUUAUGAAUUUGGAGUAGCCAUUUUAUUUAUAAUUUUCUGUGUUUUCUUCUUUGCUGACUUUUUUAAUGUCAUUUUCUAUCAUGAAAGAAACUUAAAGAUUCACUAUGUAUUUCUCAACCACUAUGAAAUUACUUGACUACGGGGGUAGAAUUUUCUCACCAAUUUUCUAACAUUAGAUUUUUUGAAUGAGACAAAUAUUCAAUUUUAACACAUUUCCCAUAAUUAGUCACCCCUAUUUGUGAGUGAUUUGGGGAUAAAAGCUUAAACAUUUAUGGAUCACAUUGCAUUUAAGACGGGUGUUUGGAGUUAUAUGAAAUUUUAACAUAGACUGGCUUUUCUAUAAAGAGUACUCCUUGCUUUACUAUUGUCAUGAUACGAGGAGAUACUGAAAAUUAUUGUACUAUGAAAUUUUAAUUCACUCGAAAAAUAAGUGUUUUAUUUCAAGGGAUUAAUAUUAGCUUUCUCUUUUUUAAAUUUUGAAUUUUUUUUGACAACUGCGUAAUUAAGAAUAUAUCAAUUUUAGGUGUUAUAGGGGUGUUUUAACCUUCCCUAUGUGUAAUCGACUACUGAAACUUUUUUAUUCUUUAGAAUUCAACACAUACCUCAAAAUUUUCUUUUUAAAAGAUUUUUAAAAUCUCUUUAUAAAAGAUUAUCACACUUAACAAAGAUGAUCAGUGACUACUUUUCUUUAAUAAAAUAUUAUGUUUUUGCAGAGACCAAAAUUUUCAUAUUUUUCAAGAAUUCCUCAAUCUAAUUUUCUUUUUGAAUUUUUAUUUUCAAGAGGAAAAUGAUCCCUACAAUUAAUAUUUAUUUUCCUUAUUUUUAAUUUCUUUUUAAGGGAGAUGAAUAGUGGAAUGAUAAUUUUUAGUUAUGGUAAAGUAAAUUUAAUUAUCCACAACCUUCAACUAUUAAUUUUUUCGAUUUAAUUACACAAUUUUUUGAAAUUAACACUCUUUUAUUAGUUGUCGCUAGGUGAUGGACGAAAAGUUGAUUUGGACUUUUUGUUGACCUAAUAACAAAUUUAGAUAUUCAAAGUUUACUUAUUCUAUCAAUUUAAUGCUAAAUUUAAAAAAUUCAACAAAUCCUAUCAAAAAACAAUUGGACCUUGAGUACACAGGCUGUGAGAUUUUCACAUGGCUGUGUCUACACUGCACUCUAUUUUAUCAAAUUCGGACAAAGAGUUACACAGGCUGUUCACACGGGCAUGUGCCUCCUUCACAUGGGGCGUGUAGACCUCCACACAACUUAGGAACUUCCACAUGGCUGGGGCACACGGUCAUGUGGCCUUGUUUUGUAGAUUUUUGUUCUGUGUUAGAUUUUGACUCGUUUUGUGCCUGUGUGUAUUCUGACCUCAGUUAAGACUUAGUAAGAAUGUUUAGGACUCUGAUUAGUUCGAAUUUGUGCAUUUGUUUGUAACUAAUGUGUUAAUUUAUUAGUUUGAUUAAAUGUUAUGUGAUGUUAUUAGUAAAUAGUUACAAACCUAAUUGAUUCUAAAUCUGAUUGAUUGAACUUGUGUGUUUCGUUUUCUGUAUGGAUGUUUGUAUGUUGUGUGCAUUUUGCAAUAGCAUAAAAAUUUUACUAUUGAUUGACUGAAUAUGAACUUCUAUAUCUGUGACACUAUUAGUGUUUGAUGUGCAUUCAUACAUAUGCAUAAAAUUAGGGUUUUGGUUAUGAAGAGAAGGGAGCCUGUUUCGGUAGUUCAACUGUAAUAUUUCUGAACAGCAGUUUACCGCAUGAUUCUAUAUAUAUGUCAGCUUAGCUGCAUAUUAUGAUUUCGAGUGGCUUAUUUUCCUUAUUGUAGUGUGUAGGGUGGAUGAACCUUUUAUAGUUCUUGUAAUAGGCCCAAUUUGUAUGGGCCCAAAAAAAUAAGUUACAAACCCAAAAUAAACAUUACAAGCCCAAAAAUUAAAAAAAAAACUAACGGCCCAAGUGGCCCAAAACCUAACCCUCUUUAGUCGCCACUUCUCUCACGCGAGCCAACCUCCUCACGCGUGCCACCACGUCAGCACCUCCGUACCCUCCACGCUCUCUCUCUCUGCCACCAUAGCAUGCGUCCUUGCCCGGUACUUGCAGACCAAGCAAAAGAGAGCACAACAGUAAAGAGAAAAACAUUGUAUUUUUCGGCUAUAAAAGCCAUGAACAAAUCAAUGUAAAUUUUUUACGACAAAAAUAAAUACAAAAAAGGCAAUUGGAAACAAAAAAAAGGUGGUUCUUUUUUUGUUUUUAUUUCUUUUCUACUUAUAUUUCUACUAGUUUUUAAGAAAAAUAAAAAAGAAUGGAGUCGAAUCUUACCCUUUUCUCGCAUGUGCGCCGUCGUGGGGGGUCGAGGUUCGUCUUUUCCAAUGAAAAAUGACAUUUUUUGAGUUGAGGAAGUCGAAAAGUCAAAAAAUGGCCUUUUUUCGAUUUUUUGGCCACCGUGGAUGGCGGCGCCGUCACCGACGACCGACGGCCGCCACGACGGUCCGUCGGUUGGAGCCAUGGCCGGAGAGGGGAGUUGGGAGAAAGGGGGAGAGUGAUUUGAGUGUUUUUUUUUCAGAGAAUGGGGAGAAAUGAAAAAUUAAAAAAAAAGGUUUUUAUAGAGGAUUGAAAUGGCAUCGUUUUGGGCCUUAACCCCAGUGGCCAAAACGACGUCGUUUCACCCCUUUAAUCUGCGCGUGGACCCGACCCGCAAGAGGAUCCGUGUGUUUUUGUGGAAGGGUCUAUUUGCGUGUUAGACCCUUCCACAUUUUUCAAUUGUCUUAAUCCAGUCCUUUUUUAUUUUCUAAUUUGUACUUCAAAUUUUAUUUUAUUUUUGAUUUGGUCCUAGCAAAACGGCGCGUUUCAGAGGGCGGGGAUAUUUCCCCAAUUGGUCCCUCUUAGUUAUUCGCGCCUUUCAAAUGGGUCCUCUACCUUAUUUUCAUUCUCGAUUUUUACCCAGUUUUCUGAUUAAACUUCAAUUUAGUCCUUCUGCAUCUAUUUUAUUAUAAUUUUAGCCCCUCUUAUAUUCAUAAACUUAUUUUAUUAGGAUUUGGACUCUUAAUUUUAUUUCAAUGUCAAUUUAAUCCCCUUUUAUCUCAGUCUAGGUUUUAUUUUCUUUUUUUUUGUUGUGCUUUAUUUAUUUUAUUUAUUUGCUUACCAUUUCUUUUUUUAUUUUGAUUUUCGUAUUUAAUGAUGCUUUUACUUUAUUUAUUUUAUUCUUGACUUUCAUUGUUAUUGUUGUUGUUGUUGUUGUUAUUUUUAUGGUUUUUUAUUAUUUCAUUUAUUUACAUAUUUUAUUCCAAAUUGUUGCUUUAAAUUUUGUUUACAUUUUAAUUCGGUUCUUUACUUUCAAUAUUUUUUUAUAAACUAUUUUCCCUUACAUUAUUUAUGUAUUUAUUUUAUUUGUUUUUUUUAAAGUUGGUAUUGUCCUUUUAUGUGCAUACUUUGACAUUAUUACCAUUGUUAUUAUUUAUUUUAUUUAUCUUUUGAUUAUUCAUAUUAAUGUUAAAGUAGUGUAUAUUAUAUGAUUCUCGUAAAUUGUCUUUAUUAUAUUCAUUAUUGUUAUUUAUUAAUGCAACAUUUCAUUCAUGUAUUAUUUUAAAUAUUACACAUUUUUACCCAAAUUUGUAAAAAAAUAUAAAAAUUAGAAAAUAAGCAAUAUUUCGUAUUUUGGAAUUUGAAAAGUCGUUCCCUAACUUACGGGGUUUCAAUUUUUUUGAUAAAUCCAAAUAUACGAGCUAUUUUUCAAAAACACAUUUUUAAAAUUAUCUCGAGAAUUAAAAAGAUCGUUUUUCAACUUUUGGAAUAUGAUUUCUUUUCUAAAACUGAGAUAAUAAAAAUUUUCUAAAAAUAAAUAAAAUUUUUGGUGUUUAUUCUCGUUUUGAGAUUUAAGGUUAUGUCCUAACUCACAGGGUAUAAUUCUUUUUCUCGGUUGACAUAAAAUAUGCCCUUUUUAAAAUUCUUUUAGGUAAUUUUAAUAAAAGGAUCGUAUUUUAAGUCUCUUCAAAAUUUUCAACUUUCGACAUUAAGACAUUAAUUAAUCAAUUAGGUAUCAAUUUUGGGCGUGACGAGGGUGCUAAUCCUUCAUCGCACGUAACCGACUCCCGAUCCAUUUUUCUCGAAUUUCGUAGAUCAAAAUCAUUGUUUUAGUAAAAUCGAAACGUUUUGUUAAAAAGAUUGAAUUGCAAGGUGAUCCGAUCACACCAAAAAAAAAUAUCGGUGGCAACUACAGUUUUUUUCGUUUUUAUUUUUAUAAUAAAAGUCGACCCCUUUUUUAUUAAAAAAUGGCUUCGAUAGUUCUAUGUGGUGUGAGGGUAGACGGGCCUUCUAUAGCCCUAAUGUGGUGUGCAGGGUGGUCGAAGUGGUGUUCAAAUGGUUGGGUGGGUUUUUAACUUAUUGCAUACGGUUUGCAUUAGGCAUAUGUGUCUGAUUAUGAUUCUUUUUAAAAUUAUUUGCAAAUGUUUGUACUAAUUUGAUUAUUACAUGUGUUAGAGACAUUGCUUAUGCAGUUUGAUACUAUAUAUUGACUUAUUGAUGUAAGAUUUUCGUAAGUGACCAUCAUAUAGUGCUUGUCUGAAAUAUUUAUGGAGUUAUCCCCUCUUUUACCGACUGUUGUGUUUUGGACUCACACUGAGCUCGCGUAGCUUACCACCUUAGUUUUCUCCCUUUUAGAUACUCUCGUGUUCUGUAGCUAGACUCGACAUAUUAGAAGGCUCAGACGGAAGAGGUGAGAUUUGAUUUAAUAAAGUGUUUCAAUUCAAUUUUAGUUUUUCUAACUUCUUGGGACUAUAAGUGUUAAUAGGGACUGUAGUAUAAGUUUUACUUCUGGAUUUUCGUAAAUUUUUAUUUUGGGACUGAACUUUUGAAAUUGUGGAAUUAUACUUUCUAUUGUUUUUAACGUAAUUUAAAAUCUUUGUUUGAAUCCUGAAUGGUUAAACGACUUAGUUUGAUUUUAGCAAAAAUGAGUUAUAAAUGAGAUGUUAACAAUUCAUUUUGUAAAAUUAUUUUUAGAUCACUUCGGUGUUCAAAGUAACCUCUGAGAUUCGAUCCAUACUUCUAGGCCGAGUUUUGGGGUGUUACAUUAGUUUUCAAGAGGAGAUUGGUGAUCUACUUGAAGAUAGAUUGAUUUUGAAAACUUUGACUCCUUUUUGCUUUGAGAGUUGAUUUGAAGAGAAAAGAGCUUGAAGGUGCUUUUGUAGAAUCAGGACAAAUUUUAAAAUAAGGAGUAAAUUGGAAAAAAAGGGUUUUGGGUUGGGCUAAUUUUAAAAUUUGACACUUUCGUGGGAUAAAAAUAGAAAAAUAUUUUGGUUGAAUACACACAAGGAGUUACGAACUUGAGACCUAUCGAUAGACUAAGGCCUUAGUACUGAACCAACAAGCUCAUUCUUAUUAUCAUUUAACACAAAUAAAUUUUAAGGCAUACUAAGGGCUUGUUUAGCAUUGCUGUGAAGAAGCACUUUUGGCCUAAAAAACACUUUUGAGAGAAAAGUUGUUCUAAGCUAGUAACCUUUGGCUAAGAUUUUGGCUUUUCAAAAGCACUUUUCGCCUAAUGGAGAAGCUAAAAUUUUUAGCUUUUCUUACCCAAAAGCACUUUUGAGUGCUUAAUUACUAAUACAUCCCUCCAAGAACACAUUUUAAAAUAAAAUAAUACAAAUAUUUUAAUAUUUAAUUACAAAUAUUUAAUGGUUAUAUUUAAAUAUUUAAAAUAUAAUUUAUAUAUUCUAAUUAAAUUUUAUAAAUUAUUAAUAUUUGUUGCUUAAAAAUAUUUAAAAUUUAUAUUUUAUAUAUUAAAAUAUUAACAACAAAUUAUAAUAAAUUAUUUUUAUAUUCUUACUAAAAUAUCAUAAUAUUAAUUAAUUUUAAUAUUAUUUAAAUGCAUAUUUGUUACUUUAUAAUAUCAUGUCUAAAAUUGACGUUUUAUUUCUUAAAAGCACUUUUUGACAUUAAUACUAAACACUUAAAUCUUAAACUAAACUUCUCAAAGAUACUUUUCUACAACACUUUUUAAAAACACUUUCCAAAAUCAAUGCUCAACUAUCUCAAACUCUCUUACCUUAUACUUUAAAAGAGAAAAAAAAGAUUUUAAAUUUUAUCCCUAUUUCUUUUAAUCCAAUUUUUAUCCCAGGUAAAAGUUUUUAUGGAGAGGAUCAUGUAAAAUUAUGAUUUGAAUAAUUUUAAACAUUUCAUCAUUGCAAAAAUGAAAUAAUAGAAAAGAAUGACUAUUCGAAUUUGCAUUUGUGUUCUUUCUUUCAAUAUUUGCUUUCAAAACUGUGGGAAAAUAUUAAAUUUGAUGAAAUUUUAAAAUUGCACUUCAGUAAAAUAUAAAUUUUAUGAAUUUGGACUAGCCAUUUUAUUUAUAAUUUUCUGUGUUUUUCUUCUUUGCUGACUUUUUUAAUGUCAUUUUCUAUCAUGAAAGAAAGUUAAAGAUUCACUAUUUAUUUCUCAACCACUAUGAAAUUACUUGACUAUGGGGGUAGAAUUUUCUCACCAAUUUUCUAACAUGAGAUUUUUUGAAUGAGACAAAUAUUCAAUUUUAACACAAACAUAUCUUUAGUUAUUGAGUCACCCCUAUUUGUGAGUGAUUUGGGGAUAAAAGCUUAAACAUUUCUGGAUCACAUUGCAUUUAAGAUGGGUGUUAGGAGUCAUAUGAUAUUUUUUCAUAGACCGACAUUUCUAUAAAGAAUCCUUGCUUUACUUUGGGUAGAUUCUUCCAAUUAGCGUGGUCGUUGGUAUUACUCUCCAACAAUUAUUGUACUGUCAUCCUUAUUCCUACUCCUCCUAGCAGAGAAGUUUCAUAAGUGUUUUAUUUCAAGGGAGUCAGCACUUAGCAACCCCUUGGGGGAUUCAGCACUUAGCAACCCCUUUUAUAUUCAAUGUACUCCGGCUUAUUCCGAGUGUUCAACCGGAAAUCUUGUUUGCAAUAUUUUACCAUUUUUUCCAACUUAACCACAUUUUUAGGAUCUAUGGCAAGUAUUUAUUCUACGUUCAAUUAAAUCUCCUCAUAUAAUGAAUAAUAUCAAAAUAAUGCAUUAAUUCACAUGUUUACUUACCUUGGUGCAAAAUAUUGUAAUUUUGCAAUUUACUCCACAAUUUUCUCUUUUCCCCGAUUGAGGUUGUCUCCUCGUCUUUCUUGAUCUAUAAUAGCAAUUUUAGCUUAUUUAAUAUUCACAUUUAUUAAAACAAUCCUCGACUCACAUUUAUUAAACUUGCUAUUUAAUAUUCACAUUUAUUAAAACAAUCCUCGACUCAACUUUUUACAAAAUUAUGAUUUUGCCCCCAAACUUUUGCAUAUUUACACUUUUGUCCCCAAGCUCGAAAAUUAAAUUCCACUCCUUAUUCUUAUGUUUUACAACAUGCUGAAUACUUUUCCCUUCUAUGGCAACAUCAAAUUCUCACUCUAACAUACACUCAUGAACAUUAAAUAUUUUUACCGAUUAUGUCAAUUUACCCGUUUCUACUUAAAAUUGCUUAGUAAAAGUUGUUUAACAUAAUUCUAGCUCCAUAUUCUACCAUAAAACAGUAAAAUAAACACAUUUCACCUAUGACUAUUUUUCCAAAUAUGAACCCUAGGUUAAAUUAUGUGUUUUGUUCUUCCAAAUGUGUUUUGUUACGAAAUUGAAAACCAAAAUUUAUGUAAAUUUGUCAUGAUUCCUCAAUAGAAAAAUCUGUAAAUUAUCAAAACGUAAAUGUGAACAUAUUAAUUAUUAACUUAAAAAAAACCUAGUCUUGUACAAUCAAAAUUCAAAAAUCAUUUGCCUUGUAAAACUUGUAAUUUUCAUUAAAAUUUUUGCAGCGAAAACUUUUUAUUUAGCCUAUUGAGCAUAUUUUUAAAUUUACGUUUUUAACUUUCGUAAAAUCCCAAUUUGUAUUUUUGUGGUGGAAAAUUUUAUAAUUUUGAAAACCUAGCCUUGAUUGUUGGUUAACACAAAUCAUGCAGAAAAAAAAAACCUUUAACUAAGCCAAAGAAAUCCAAAGCCAAAUUAAAUCGGAGAAAUUCAACCAAAAGCCAAAAGUCCAGUAAAUCAAUUUAUUAACCAGAGCAAACAUUUAAUGAAAGAAUCAAUCCGAGACCCCGCAAAUUCUAACUUUCCGAUUACCUGAAACAUCAUAAAUAAAAUAAAGGGGAGAGCUAUAAAGCUCAGUGCAUAACUAAAACAGAAGCUGAGAUCACAUACAAUACAAUAUACAAAUCAUAAAAUCAUAGAAAAUUUCAUAACAAACAGUCAAACAGAAUUGAGUAUACAUGAUUAUGCCAAUGCGGUAUUUUUCAGAAAAUCUUAAUGCAAAUUUUUCAGAAAACGUCCUACCCAAAUCCUCUACACACUUGAAUAGAGUUCUCCAGAACUUAUCCAUAAAAAAAACACACCAAUUAAGUCAUCCCAGGUUGCCCAAAAACGAUGACUCACCACCAUGGGAUGCCCGACAACGAUGGCUUAUCAAUAUGUAAUUAAACUGUUAGAUCAGAUAUUUGUGGUCAAGCCAUUGAAUUGCAUCUCAGCUACUUAAACAAAAAUAUGUAGUGAAGCCACUAUAUUGUAUCCAAGUUGCCAAAUAAAAAUAUGUGGAUAAACCACCAGAUAGUGCAGACCAUUAAACUACCAAAACUUCCUCCCUGCCAUAUUAUCCCAACCCCAUGCAAUGUGACAUGACAUGCAUUUACAUAAUCAAAACGACAAGCAUGUAAGACAUGUAGUCGUACCAUAACACAAUUUAGCAAGCAUGGCAUUCCACUCUUUUACAGAACAGAUGUAUCAGAAAUUCAACAUAAGCAAGUUGGUAUGCUAUAAAGUCACAUGCAUGAUCACAUAGCAGAAUCAGAAACAUAAAAAUAACGUAACCAAACCUCAUAUACACAAAUACAAACAUAACAAUACAAAUCAUGCUACCAGAUUCAUUAGAAAACAGUUCAUGCACACUAAUUUCACAUACCUUAUUCAUAUCACCUACAAUAUCAAAUUAUCAGAUAUUACAUUUUCAAAGUCAAUUUUACACAGUACGAACCCUACAAAGUGGCUAAACAUGAUUCACGAAUCAAAAGGGGCCUAAACGAAAAUUUUUAAAAGAUGGGCCAAUAUGGCCCAAUUAGCCUAGGCCGUAUGGCGUCGACAGUCCAAUUUUUGACUUUCAGCUGUUCAUUAUUUUUUGACUUUUUUGAUAUACACCUUACUAUUUUCCGAAGCAAAAUCAUGGCAAGAAUUCCAAAACUUAAAAUCCAUAUUCAACCCACUCAAAUUAGUAAUGAAACCCAAAACUAAAUCAUUAAACAACCAAAACUGCUACCAAUAAACCUUAUCAAACCAGGAAUCAACCUUUUGGCAUCUGACUACUAACCCAAAAUAGUAGCAGUAGUACUAAAAAUCUCUCAAUUCAUCGGAAGACUAUUUGUUACAGAAACGUCACCUAAACCAAAGAUUUCAGAGUAAUCAAAAUCGCGUCACACAAAGAAGGAAACAAAUUAACCCUAAAAUCGUGAAACUCAACAAAAUACGAAUCUUUUCACAUAUUCCUUACCACCAACCGUCAAGAUUGGUCAAAAACCACUAAUGACACCGACCAUCGCAAGGUUAAAUUGAAACCAAAAGGCAACUAAAGAUGGAACAAAGGUUGUUAUAAAAAAAAUUAACAAAGACUUAUUGCAGCAAAAAUGGCAAAAAAUCAAGAAUAGGGAGAUUGGAAAAAAAUAAUGAAACGGCAAAGAGAAGGAGUGGGAAAGUGACGGCAGUUUGUGGAGAGAUUUUGGGUAAAUAAAAAGUAACUCACCACUCAACCCAUUAAAUCUGAUUACCCUCUAGACAGAUUCCCUUAGAGUUUAAAUUCAACCCAAAUACCGCUACAUGGGCGGCAUAGUGUAAGGAAAUAAAAAUAUUUCUACUUUGCACACACGCGGUCUUGAACACGAAGCCUUAGGGUAAUUUGAAGCCUUACCACUAAAUUAGUAGGCUCAUCCUUGAAAUUAAUUGAACGAAAAUAUUAUUUAUGUCAGAUGAUCAGGGAUAGAGGUUAAGACCAAAGAUGACAAAAAUUCAAAGGAAAGAUUUAAACCUAGAACCUCACACACACAAGCAUAACACCUAUCCACUGAACCAUAUUUACUCCACUGACAUAAUUUUCACAAUAUUAACUAAAAAUUCAGAAUAUGGUCACUCUUGGUUUCACUUACCUAAUUUCUUCUAACCUGAUUUUUGUGAUGUGACAACUCUCCCAUCCUUAAAAGAAUUUCAUCCUCGAAAUUCCUAUUAUGACACCAUACACUUAACUACAAAAUCUAAAAUUCCCUAGUCCAAACCAACCACCAGGCUAUCAUUGUACAACUCUAAUCUCCAUUCAAGUCUGAUCCAGACAAUAUUUCAGAGGAAUUUCCUAUUCACUACCUCGAAUUACCUCAAUAAGCUUUCCACAGAAACAUCACUAAUGAUCCUUUACCCCAGACUCUAAAAAAAUCACUUACCACAAAAUACAGGUACAAACAAUUCUUAUCAAUGCAUAGUACAUUUGGAACAUAUCAUAAAAGUACCUGUAUCAUUGUCAAAUGCAUCACGGCUCGCUUGAUACCUAGUUGCAUAUCCCCAUCUCAAAUUUUGUUUUUAUGUCGAAGCUUGUACCCGUAAAAUAGUGUCAUGAGCAAUCCCAAACUCGAUGCUCAACUGACCUACAUCUAAAACACGCUCUCAUUUUCCUCCAACAAUCGUCCGAAUGGUGCCUAUCACAGUAAGUAUAAAUCAGAAGCUCAACCGCAUUCACAAUUGCCUCACCCCGCUGAAGCCUGUCUAUUUUAGCCCGUUUCCUUGGUCAUGGAUUCAAGUCAAUAGAACCAUCACUCAUCUUAUUUUGCACUUUAUUCAUUACUUAUUCUCUCCCUUGGAGCAAUUACUCUCUACCGCUAACUUGACUUGAUACGCUUGAGGUCACUCAAUCACAGACUCUUGUCUCAUACAUCCAAAUUGGGUUCCAUCGAUCCUUUGCAAAUCUCUAAACACCUCUUGGAACACUGAAACGUCCCCUACUUCUAAACUGCCCUCAGAUUUGGGCGUCAUAGCAAACUUAUUUAUUUUCAAAUUGGGCUUACUGCCCCGAGAAGAGAACUCAACUCGAGUCACCCAGCUACGUCCACCACGCCCUCGCACAUCAUGACCUCGAGUACUCAUUAUACUAAUCUACAGUUUGCGAAAUUUUAUGAAUUAGCUUAGGUUUAUUAAAAAUUAUAAGUCUAGAGUUUUAUCAAAGUUUCUUACAUAAUUACCAUAGUCUUUAGCUAGAGUAGAGUAAUCCUAGCACUUAAGUUUUGUUAGUUUGUCUAGUAUAGCUAAAGUAAAGAUACUUACAGGAUCGACGAUGUAGUUUUGGAUUCUUUUUGAUAGAAUCAAAUAUAAAAAUAAUCAAAAUCUAAAUACCCAUUUUAGAAACCCAAAGUAUAAUAAUUAAUCAAAAAUUCAAUUUAUUUAAAGCAUAUUUAAUGGAGAUUUUCAAACCCAGAAAUCAUAGCCUGAGUUUUGUUACCUUGCUCUGAUACCACUAAAUGUAACACCCAAAACUUGGCUUAGACAUUAUGGCCAAAUCUGGAAGGUUACAUUAGUACGAAAAAAAUGAUUUUUCCAAAGUGUGGUUUGUUACGAAAUUGAAAACCAAAGUUUAUGUAAGUUUGUCAUGAUUCCCCGAUAGGAAAAUUUGUAAAUUAUCAAAACGUAAAUGUGAACAUAUUAAUUAUUAACUUAAAAAAAACCUAGCCUUAUACAAUCAAAAUGCUAAAAUCAUUUGCUUUAUAAAACUUGUAAUUUUGACUAAAAUUUUUGCAACGAAAAUUCCAAACUAAUAUUCGUAAAUUGUAAUUUUGUCAAGUAAAAACGUUUUAUUUAGCCGAUUAGGCAUAUUUUAAAUUUACGUUAUUAAAUUUUGUAAAAUCUCAAUUCGUAUUUUUGUGGCAAAAAAAUCUUGGCUCGUAUAAUUUUGAAAACCCAACAUUGAUUGUUCAGUAACACAAAACAUACAGAACAAAAGACUUUAACUAAGCCAAAGAAACCCAAAGAAAAAUUAAAUUUGAGAAAUUAAACCAAAAUCCAAAAGUCCAAUAAAUCCAUUUAUUAACCAGAGUAAACCAUUUAAUUAGAGAAUCAAUUCGAGCUUCCACACACUGCCCGAUUCUAAGUUAUCGAUUAUUUGAAACAUCAAAAAUAAAACAAAUGGGUGAGCUAUAAAGCUUGGUGCAUAACUAAAACUCAAGCCGAGAUCACACACAAUACAAUAUACAAAUCAUAAAAUCAUAGGAAAUUUCAUAACAAUCAGUCAAACAAAAUUGAGCAUACAUGAUUAUGCCAAUGCGGUAGUUUUCAGAAAAUCAUAAUGCAAAUUUUUUCAGAAAACAUCCUACCCAACACCACCACACACCCAAAUAUAGUUUCCCAAAACUCGUCCAUCUAAAAACACACCAAUUAAGUCAUCUCAGGUCGCCCGAAAGCGAUAACCUACAACCUCGAGUUAGUCGGCAAUGAUGACUUAUCAAUUUGCAGUUAAACUACUAGAUCAGAUAUUUGUGGUCAAGCGAUUGUACUGCAACUCAGCUGCCAGAUUAAAUGUUCCUAGUGUAGUCCCUAACAUUAUCAGGUGUUCUCGGCUCAGUCCUUUGGACAUUAAAAAAAAUAGAUUUGGAUAUGCAAUUAAUCAUAAAUUGCCAGGUGGUAUAUGUUAAAGUUACGAUAACAUCAUCAUCAAGAAAAAAACCAAAAAAAUCUUUAAAAAAUUUCAUAAAAUUCAAAUAAACUUAUAUAAAAUUAACUACAUUAUAAAUAUAUAAUUGUUAAAAAAUAAAAAUUCUUAAUUAUUUUAAAAUUUGUAAAAAAUAAUAAAAUUAUUAGAAAUUGUUAAAUAUUGUAGAAACAUUAUAAAAAUUAUUAGAAUCAUAAAAGACGGUAAAAAAUAAAAAGUUAAAAUACUAGUAAAAAUUGUCUAACUUGAAAUAAAGUAUACAUUUGGUAAUCAAAUUUAAAAUAUUGAAAAUUUAAUAUUAAAGUUGUAUAAUUUUUAUAAAAAAUAUUUUAAAAUAUUUUAAUAAAAAUUGAAUAAAUUUUAUAUCUAUUUUUUAAUAUUUUAAAAUACAUCAAUUUUCAGUACUUUACCAACGUUACUGGCAACAAGUUUUUUCGACUUGACUCCCUAUUUAUUGUCUUAAGUAGCUUCCUGCAUCCACCAUUUUGCACAUGGUUUUUCUAUUUUAUACCAAAGCUCUUUAGAAUAGUUAAACAUUCGACAAUAGUUCUUAAGAUAUUAGUUUAGAGACAAAUAAUUAUCUUGAGAUAGUAAAAAAAAAAGAAAUAAUUAAAUAUAUUAUUUACUUGAAAUAAUAUUAUUUUUCAUUAUUUAAAUUAUUUGAGAAAAAAACUUAUUCAAGUUUAUCACGUAAAAAGAUCUACCAAUUAUAAAUUUUGAUUAGUUGAACCAUAAGACAAUUGUUAUAGGUAGUAUCAUUCCAAGAGACAAUUAUCACAUGUUCAAACUCUAGUUAAUGUGAUUUAUAAAAUUUUAAAAAUAUUAAAAUAUCUAAUAUAUUUUUGAAAUUUAUGUAAAUUUUUAUAUUUUACACAGUUUUUUUUUCUAUUUUUAAAUAAUUUUGAUAAUUUUUCUUUUAUAAUUUUUGUCAUUUUUGAAGAUUCUUUAAGGGUUUUUGUUGAUGAUUUCAUUAUGAUAUCAUCAUACGACAUGUGGUAGUAUAUGAUUUGUUGAAUAUUCCAAAGAAUUUUUUAUUGACCAAUGAACUAAACUAAAAAUUUUUAAUAACAUUAGGGACUGAAGUGGAUAAAAAUAUUUUAAAAACUAAAGUUAAAAAAGUGAUAUACUUGCAUUAACAUUUUCUAAAAGAUGGAAGUGUUUUUCUGUUUUAAGGGAAUAGAAUUUUUUUGAGUGAAUAUAGUUUUGUGAGGGAGUAGUGAUAUUAUUAUUAGAGACAAGGCAUUUGAUUUUUAUAUAACUUUUUAAUUAAGUCAAUAUCACUCAUCGAGUAAAACCCAACAUAUUAAGCACAUUAUUAUACUAAUUUAGAUUAAUAGGAAUCAUCAAAUUUACAAUUAAGGAUUAUAAAUUUAUUUAAUUCCAAUCUUCUACCUUUUCUAAAUUAUAAGAAUGGUUUUGCCUUAUAUUUUCUUCAAAUUGAGAUUUAAUUUAUAAUUUUAAUUUUGAUAUAAUUUAGUUUAUCAAUUUUUAUAAUGCAAUUAAUUAGUUAAUACUUUAUUUUAAUCAAAAUAAUUAUAUUAAUUUUAAAGAAUUAUUAUCACCGUUAAAAUUCUUUACUAACAAUGAUUUAAAAUUAAGUUCUAUUGCUUUUGUUUUAGAUUACACAUAAAUGUUUACAAUAUGAAAUUCUUUAUAAUUUUCAAUACAUAUUACUUAAAUAAAUAGAAAAUAGAGUUUUAAUAAUGCACAACCAAAUAAAUUUUAGGGUAAACGACCAAAAUAGUCACUUUUGUUUGCCUUAGGUUACAUUUUAGUCACUUAUGUUUGAAAUGUUACGUUUUAGUCACUUACGUUAUCGUGUUGUAACAUUUUAGUCACUGAGUCAUUAAUUGUCGACAAUGGUGUAAUGGUAAGUUGAUGUGGCACGUUAAAUCAUCAUUUCAAACGAAAUUUUUAGGUUAAAUUCUACAAUUGGUCCCUAUAUUUUUCAUUUUCAACAAUUUAAAAAAUUUCUUUUAUGUUCUUCUAACUUUUUUUUUUCCAUUCUCUUAUGCUUCUCCCUCUAUUUUCCUCCCUUCUUCAUUUCUUUUAACAUAGUUUUUCUAUGAUUUCCAUUUGUAACUAGUCCACAAGCUCGCCUCACUCGAAAAAAUUAAAUUGUUCAAAAAAUAAAACAUAGAAUAACUACGUUGAAAGAAAUGGAGAAGGGAGGAAAACAAAGGGAGAAACAUAAGAGAAUGGAAAAGAAAGAAAGUUAAAAAAACAUAAAAGAAAAAAUUAAAUUGCUCCAAACGAAAAAAUAUGGGGACCGAUUGUAUAAAUUAACCUAGAAUUUUUGUUUGAAAUGAUGAUUUAACGUGCCACAUCAGUUUACUGUUACACCGUUAAUAGAAACUAACGGCUCAGUGACUAAAAUGUUACAACGUGAUAACAUAAGUGACUAAAACGUAACAUUUCAAACAUAAGUGACUAAAAUGUAACCUGUGCCAAACAAAAGUGACUAUUUUGGUAGUUUACCCUAAAUUUUAUUGAUGUUCUAUUAUUUUGAUUUCUUAGACUUGUAUAUAGGGAAAAUAAAGGACUAUUGCCAUUUAAUUGCUUUAAAACAAUUUUAAUGAGCUCUAGUCAUGCAAGAUUACCAUUAAAUAGAAUACUCAUAUAGAAGGAUUUACUAUUUUUGUUUCUCAAAUCACAACUAAUAAUUGUUCAUAAUUUCUUAUUUAGUGUCAUUUUUAAGAUUUAUUAGAUGACAAUUUUUCAUGCCAAAGUUUUAUUUUUAUUUCAUUUAAAGUUUUACAAUAUUUAAAAAAUUAUAUAUUUUGUAAAUUUGACAUUUAAUCAAUUUUAGAUCUAAAAAGUAAUAAUGAUUUCAACCCAAGGCCUGAGCUAGGAAUAGUUUUAGUUUGGAGUACUAUAUAUAUAUAUAUAUACUAAAAGAUGCAAUUUUUAUAAAUAACUUACAAAUCUAUCAUUAAAUCAAAUACUGGUAUGAAAUGGUUUAAUUAUUUGAUCACAUUUUUCCAUGACAAAAUUUUAUUUUUAUAUGAUUUAAAAUUUUACAAUUUUUAUAUUGUGAAUUUGGUGUACUAAAAGAUGUAAUUUUACAGGUAAUUUUAAUACCCAUCACCAGUGCUGCAAAGCUUGAGAUUCUUUUAUUGUGGGGAAAUAAACUUAGUGGAAACAUUCCCAACUCUAUCUCCAAUGCUUCCAUGCUUAAGAAACUAGACUUGGCAGAUAACUUAUUCUCUGGCCCAAUCCCUAAAACUUUUGACAACUUAAGACACGUUGAAUGGUUCCAAAUUUCAAACAAUAAUUUGAUCAAAAGACCUGCUACUGAUCAUGAGUGGACCUUUCUUUCUUCUUUGGCAAAUUGCAAGCAUUUGAGAAUAAUAGAUGUUUCAAGAAAUCCAUUGAGUGACGUUCUUCCAACUUAUAUUGGGAACCUUUCAAAAUCCCUUCAAUACUUUUAUGCAUCUAAUUGUGAGAUUACAGACAAUAUUCCUAUGUAAAUAGGUAGCUUAAGCAACCUAUUACUUUUACAACUUGGCUAUAAUAAAUUAAGCUUUAUUCCAACACCGAUAGGAGGACUGCAAAAUUUGCAAGGUUUACAACUUUCCUCUAAUAAAUUAGAGGGGCCUAUAUCAGAAAGCCUUUGUGGUUUGGAGAGAUUAUACUACUUGUAUUUAAGGCUGAUUAGGUUGCAUGGAUCCAUACCCUCUUGUUUGGGUAAUAUUUCUUCUUUGAGAUAUCUUUACUUAGAUUCCAACACAUUGAGUUCUACAAUACCCUCAACUUUGUGGAAUCUUAAAGAUAUCUUAGAAAUAGAUUUAUCAUCAAACCAUCUUUACAAUUCACAUGCUAUAUUGAUGUUGGAGAUUUGAGGAGUCUACUAAAACUAAAUUUAUCAAGGAAUCUUCUCAUGGGCAAUAUCUUCUCCACAUUUAGGGGUCUUCAAAUUUUGAUUUCAUUAGAUUUAUUAAAUAAUAUACAACAUGGCCAUAUCCCUGGAUCAUUAGGUGGUUUGAUUAGUUUGGAAUUCUUGAAUUUAUGAAAUAACAAUCUCUCUCGAGCCAUUCCCAAAUCUUUGGAAAAGCUUUUAGAUCCAAAGUAUUUUAUUGCGUCUUUCAAUAGACUUGAAGGGGAAAUUCCCGCCAAAGGAUGUUUUUCAAACUUCUCUAGCACAUCAUUCAUGAAGAAUUUUGCACUUUGUGGUCCACCUAGAUUGCUAGUCCCACCUUGCAAAAACAAUAUCCAAGAAAACUCCCAAAUGAAUAUAUUGCAUGCUUUAAGGUAUGGUUUACCAACAGUUGGUAUUGUUGUAGUACUAAUAGUCUUAACUAUUGUAAUCACUGAAUUUUGUCCGGCUCGAUUUGGUUUUUUUUAAAAUUUUUUUUUAAAUACAAAAAAUAAAAAAUUGUAUUUUGACCCCUAAACUUUUUUUAAAAUUACAUUUUACCCCUAAACUUUCUCAAAAUUACAUUUUGACCUCUAAACUUUCUCAAAAUUAUGUUUCGACCCUAAUACUUUUCCUGCAUUUGCAGUUUAGUCCUUCUGGCAGCAACUUGCACACCUACCCCCGUGAUUUCCGGCCACUGGCCUAGGGCAUGGCCUCCCUCUCCCCUAGCCACCUAAUCCCUGCAAAAAGGAAGAAAAAACAGCUAUAAAAUGGGUUAAAAAACCCCAAAAAUCGGACCCCCCACGAAAAAAUAAAAAAAAAACUUGCAAAAAAGAGAAAAAGAAGAGGAAAAAGGAGAGAAAGAGAGGAGAAAGGAGAAGAAGAGGCCGGCCAUCGGCGAACCACUGGCAGCAGCACGAGCAGCGACGUCGACGGCGGCGAAGGAGACCGAACGGAGAAGAAGAAGGAGAAAAGAGAAGAAAAAGAGAAAGAAGAAAGGAAAAAGAAGAAGGAAGAAAAAGAAAAAAAGAAAAAAUAUUUUUUUUAACAGUCGGGUCAAACCGACCCGACCCAACUCUGACCCGAACACCGCGACCCGACCCGGCACCUGCAUACCCAGGCCAAGCCCAGCAGCCUAAAGAAAAAACAAAAAAAGAGGCAAAAGCAAAAAAAGAAAGAAAGAAAAGGAAACAGGCCAAAAACAGCCCAAGCGCAGGCCCAAACCAACGCCAGGCCCAACAGCAGGCCUAGCAGGCCAACCAACCCAACGCUAGGCCCAACAGCAGGCCUAGCAGGCCAGCCAGCCCAACGCCAGCAGCAGGCCCAAUAGCACAGGCCCAAAAGGCAGCAGGCCAAAAAAAAAGAAGAGAAAGAGAAAAAAAAAGAAAAAAGAAAAAAAGAGAAAUAAAAGAAAAAAAGAAAAAAAAAAGAAGAAAAAAGGGGUUUCAAUUUGAACAACCCGUUCGGCGAAGCUCGUGUUUUAGAUUUUUCGGUAAUUUUAUUUAUUUCUCUUUUAAUUUAAUGCUCGUAUUUUUAUGUUAUUUCAUUUUAAUAUUAUUAGCAUUUUAUGCAUUUUUUAUAUUUUUAUAUUUUUGUAUUUAUAUUUUCAAUUUAAUUCAAUUUUAAUUUUAUUUUAUUUUAAAUAAUUUUAAUAAAUAAGGCAACGGAUCGAUUUAUCAUAAAAUUGUUGAUUUCAUCGCUAUGUUGGGUGAAUAUCACCGGUUUGUGUUAAACUCGAUACGCUCUUUUAAAAAUAAAAAAUAUUCAAAAAAAUUGUAUUUUCAAAAAAAAAUCCUCGGGUUUCGAAAUUUGCGUGUCUUCAAAAUAAUUUCUCGUGUUUUCAAAAAUAAGGUAACGAAUCUAUUUGACACUAAUUCGUUGAUUUCAUUGCUAUGUUGAGUGAAUAUCACUGACUAGUGUUAAAUAUGAUACGUGCUUAAUAAAAAAAUCAGAAAAUUUUUCGUGUUUUCAAAAAUUUCCGUGUUUCAAAAAUUUUCAUGUUUUCAAAAAUUCUCGUGUUUUCAAAAAAAUUCCAAUUUUCAAAAUUUUUCGUGUUUUCUAAAAACUUCUGUGUUUCAAAAAUUUUCGUAUUUUAAAAAUUUUUGUGUUUCUAAAAUUUUCGUAUUUCAAAAAUUUUCUUGUUUUCAAAUUUUUCGUAUUUCAAAUAUCCUCGUGUUUUCAAAAAAUUUCGGUGUUUUGAAAAUUUUCUUGUUUUUCAAAAAAAUCUCGUGUUUCAUAAAUUUUUGUUUUUUUUUAAAUUGUGUUUCCAAAAUUCUCGUGUCUAAAAAAAAUUCUCGUGUUUUAAUCGGAUCAGGAUUAAAUAUUAAAUUGAACUCGUAUUUUUGAAAGUGAAGACAACUCGCAUUUAACGAGAUACCAAUUUCGGGCGUCGCGAGGGUGCUAAUACCUUCCUCGCGCGUAACCGACUCCCGAACUCUAAUUUUCUCUGGAUUUUCACGUAGACCAAAAAUUACCUCUUUUUUAGAAAAAUUUAAAAAAUAAAUUUUCCUUCUAAAAAGAGAAUUUAUUAGGUGUCCAAUCACACCUAGGAAAAAAAAGAUCGGUGGCGACUCCUUUUUCAAAUAAAAUCGAAACACCGUUUUCAAAUUUUCAACAAUCAUUUCGAUUAGCGCCCGUGCACGAAAUUUUUAGGUCGCUACAACUAUUAUGUAUAGAAGAUGCCAAAGUAGGAGUACAACUCUACCAAUUCAGGAUGAUUUGUUUUCUUUGAAAACGCUGAGUGGAAUUUCACAUGCUGAACUUUCACAAGCAACUAAUGGAUUUGAGGAAAACAAUAUGCUUGGUUCAAGGAGUUUUGGAUAUGUAUAUAAAGAAAGGCUUUCAGAUGGAAUGGAAGUUGCAAUAAAAGUUUUCAAUUUGCAAACAGAAGAAGCAUUUGGGAGCUUUGACAUUGAAUGUGAUGCUAUGCGAAAUAUAGAUCAUCAUAAUAUUGUGAAGGUCACUACUUACUGCUCAAGUGUUGACUUCAAAGCCUUGGUGCUUGAUACAUGUCUAAUGGAACUACAGAGAAAUGGUUAUAUUAUUAAAACUAUUUCCUUGAUAUCAUACAAAGGGUUGACAUAAUGAUAGAUGUUGCAUCAGCUAUAGAACAUCUCCACAACGGGCAUCCAACACCUAUAAUUCAUUGUGACUUAAAACCAAGCAAUAUUUUACUAGAUGAAGACAUAGUUGCACAUGUGGGAGAUUUUGGCGUUGCCAAAUUGUUGGGAGAAUGUGAUGUAAUGAAGCAGACCAUGACUCUUGCAACAAUCGGGUAUAUGGCACCAGGUGAAUUUUUUAUUUUUGUAUUAUUAUUUGUCUAAUAUGCAUUUUAUAUUUUGUUUCAUCUGUAUGUGGAUAUAUAUUUGAAUAAUCAUUUUAGAAAUAAUUAAAGAUUAAUGAUGCUCUAAUUUUACUUGAAAUGCAAAAUUUGGAUCAACGGGAAUUGUUUCUAUAAAAUGUGACAUCUAUAGUUAUGAGAUUGUCCUUAUACAAACUUUCACAAAGAAAAAGUCAACUGAUAAUUUUUUUGCUGAAUAAGUGACUAUAAAGCAUUGGAUGGGAAGUUCAUUGCCAAAGGAGCAUGAAAAUCCCCAAAACCUAAAUUCUUUCCUUCUAGCAAUGAAGAGAUGGUGAGGGGAAGGGGAAAAAAUCACGUUAAAUGAAAAGAAAAAGAAAAAGAACAAAAUUAAAUUUGACGUGAAAAUUAUUUUAAUACUUUUAAUUUGAGUUGGAAAGGUUGAUGAUGUAGCAUAAAAUAAUUGGAUAGGACCAUAUUUGAGGUAGUGGGUGUAACACCCCUUACCUGAGACCGUCGCCGGAAUCGAGUACGAGAUGUUAUCCAAUUUAACUUACCAAUUUGGAGCAUAAAAAUUUGCUUUGUAAAUUACUUUCACAAUUUACAGCAAAGCUGUCCACCUGCGCGACUGUCACUAAUUUAAUUAUAACUCGAGUUACGAAACUCGAAAUUUAAAUCCGUAAAUUUUCCAUGAAACUAGACUCAUAUUUCUACGUACCAUAAAAUUUUUAGAAUUUUUGACUUAUCCAAUUAGUACAGUUUAUUCAUUAAAGUAUCCCCUGUUUCACAACUUGACAGAUCUGACCUCUUGGCACUAAAAAUCAAUUAUCUCACUGUACAAAAUUCAUAUAAGGUUAUCAUUUAUUUCUCUUGAAAAUAGACUCACUAAGGAAUCUAGAAAUAUAAAUUAUGACCCAUAAUUCUUUCUGUACAAUUUAUAAUGAUUUUCUAAAGUCAGAACAGGGGACUUUAAAAACCAUUCUGACCCUGUCUCACUAAAAUUCAAAUAUCUCAAAAUAUACAAUUCCUUUGCCUACACCGUUUCUUUCAUAUAAAAAUAGACUUGAUAAGCUUUAAUUCCAUCUAUAAUUCACUCUCUAAUUCCAUUUAUACUAUUUAUGGUGAUUUUUCACAUUCACGUCACUGCUGCUGUCAAAAAAACUGCUUCUUUAUAUUAGUUCCAUUUACACAUACAUACCACCAAAACAUAAUCUCUACUAACCACUUCAAUAGCUAAUCUUAGCCAUAUCAUAUGAACAUACUCAAAAUGAUUAAGACUCUAUACAUGCCAUAGUUUAAACAUUUUGGAAAGCACACAAUACCGAGAUGAUUAUGAUAGUGUGAUACGAGCUCCGACGAUCCCCAAUUCGAUCAAGUUCAAAUCACUAUAAAACAAAGGAAAUAAGAAAAUGUGUAAGCUACAAUUAGCUUAGUAAGUUACAUGUAAAUAAUAGAUACUCAUUUAAUAAUUAACACUUUUAACUUAUAACUAAUCAAAACAUUUCUUGGCAAUUUCAAUCACUUACACAUGCACAAUCUUACCAUUUCACUUACAUAUACAUUUUCACACUUAACCUUUACCACUUUUGAUCAUUAUUUCAAUUGUACCUGCAUACACACUUCAUUUCAUAUUCACUUUAACACAUUAUUAAUCCCGUUGAACACUUGGAAUAUACACGGAUACAUAGAGAUUUAGCACAUAAGUGCCACACUGAUAUGUAGCCGAAGCUACCACUGAUAUGUAACCGAAGUUACCACUGAAUGUAGCCGAAGCUACCACUGGGAUGUAACCGAAGCUACCACUGAUCAAUAACACUGGAAAUGUCCACGGGCCUGCUCACACAAGCUGUCAGGUGUCUGCAACACAUGCUAGAUCACCCAGCACCCGGGACUCACUGUAACACUGUAACACUGGUCUCUAGUGACAUGUCACUUGUAUCCAUUUCUAUUCCUAAGUUCAACUGGGAAUUUACACUUAACACUUUAUUUUCAACACUUUAUCACUUGAAUAAUUCAUGAAUAUUUUUCCUUCCACAUUCAAUAUUGAUUCACAUAUCAAUAAAAUUCACAAUUUAUAAAAAUGUAUUACUAUUAUUUACACAUAACUUACCUCGGAUGCAAAACGACUAUUUCUGUAAUUUAGUCGAUAACUUUCUCUUUUCCCCGAUCACUUGCACUAUUUCUUCUUUCUUGAUCUAUAUUAACACAAUUUAAUACAUUUUAUCAACAUUUCAUUCAAAUACAAUUCAUACACAACAUUUUGGCAAAUUUACAUUUUUCCCCAAAACUUUUCAAAAAUUUCACUUUUGUCCCUAAGCUCGUAAAAAUAAAAUUCACUAAAUUCUUAAAUUUCAAACUUCACUAAAUCAUAUUUCAUGCUCAUAACAGCCCUCAAUUUCACAAAAUCACAACUUUAUGCACACUUUACCAUCUUUCACAAUUUAGCCCUUUUUCAACAUUUUCAUUGAAAUUCAUCUAGUAAAACUUGAAAUUAACACUUCAAACAUUCAUUAUCUAACAUCACUAAUCACUUUACAAUUAUAUCAUGAAUGGGUCAAUUUUUAAACUUUAAUUUCACUUAAAUUAAAUGGUAGAAACAUGAAAUUCAAGCAUCAAUAAGCAUAAAAAUACGAAAAUAAUUAAAAACGGGGCAAGAAAUCACUUACAAUUGAGCUUAGAAAAAUCAAAACCCUUAGCUAUGGUAACAUGAAACUUUCGGCAGCAAGCUUCUGAUUUUUGAAGAAGAUGACACUUAUUUUCUCUUAUUUUGUCUUUUUGGACAAAAAUGCCCUUGACCCAUUACUUAGAUAUUUUUCUAGAAUUACCCUUUUGUGUCCAUAUCACUAAUUUAUGGUCUAAUUGCCACAUAAACACUUCCAAUUUCAUGCAAUAAUUCAAUUAAGUCAUUUAAUCACUAAUUAGACACACUUUGCAAUUUUCUCGAUUUAGUCCUAAAAAUUCAAUUAGGCACUAAAUCAUUAAAAUUUCCUAUCCAUAUUUUCACACAAUAUUUCAAUCAAUCAAUAACUAAUAAAAAUUUAUAAAAUUAAAAUAUUUCACUUCGGAUUUGUGGUUACGAAACCACUAUUCCAAUUAGGCCCUAUUUCGGGCUAUCACAGUGGGAAAGGUCCAUGAAAUAAUUUUUCUAUGUUAUCAAAUAGAUGAAUGAUGGUUAUUGGGAUCAAACUAAUGAUUUUGAGGAUGUUAAUGGUUAAUUUGGUGGAGAGGGUGGAAAAGAAACAAAUAAUUCAUUAUAUGUCAUAUAAUUAUGCAAUUCAAGUUGUAAUACCCAAAUUUUACCCGGCCUACAAAAACAGUCCAAAUUACAAUGGGCUUAUGUGGCCCAAAACCUGAAAUGAACAGAGGCCCAAAACAAUGGCCCAAAACAAUGUCAGAAACUCCUAGGGUUUCUAAGGAAACUUUCCCGCCGCAGCCACCAAGCACCACGAGCCGAAAUCUUCACCUGCGCAGAAACAACGGAAAUGGCAAGAAAAUCAAAGAUUGCGAAUCAAAUAUGAGCAAGAUUUGAUUCUUUAUAUUAUUAUUUUCAUUAUGGCUAUAAAAUAGCCAUUGAUAUGCUGUAAAAAAGGAGGGGAAGACCAAAAGAAAUACAAAGACCAAUAGGAAAUUUUCUUUUUUUUGAAAUACAAAGGUUUUCUUUUCUGUUUUACCUCAUUGUCGAUUAUUGUUCUUUUAUUUUUUCAUUUAUACAUAUACAUAUUUGAUUUUUUAUAGUUUCUCUAUUUUUUUUAUUUAUUUUUGCUUAAAAUAUAAAGAAAAGAGGAGGGAUUUUACCUUUUUUUCGUCGAAGUUGUCGAACGGUGGCCAUCUCCGUCGCGAUCGGAGUGUUGGCACAGGCGAACAGCGGCGCAAAAGGGGUUAAGAAAAAACCCUAGCAGAGCAUUUGUGUUUUUUUUGUUUUUUUUUAUGUGGGUUAUUGAUUUUUAUUUUUUUAAAGAAUUUUCGUUUAAAUAACAUUAGCAAAACGACGCCGUUUUAGGGGAGCAGGAUCCGCGCGUUGACCCGACCUGCAGGCAGGGUGCACGUUCUGGCCUUGAAUGGGGUAUUUGUGCAUUUAGUCCCUCCUCUUUGCGACGCACUUCAAUAAAACCCAUUUUUCUUUUUCUUUUUUUAAAUUUAGCGGCAUAUUUCAUUUUUGUUUCAAUCGAGUCCGUCACUGCGCAGCGUUUUGGAAGUCGGAAUUAAUUUCCCUUUUGGUCCUCUAUUGUUGCUUGCGCAUUCAAGUUGGUCCCUUCUUUAUAUUUAUUGCUAAUUUGCCCCAUUUUUUCGCUUUUAGUUCAGUUUAGUCCAUUUUUUUAGCUAUUUCAUUAUUUAGUUAUUUUUUUAUUUAUUAUUAUUAUUAUUAUUAUUAUUAUUAUUAUUUCUAAAUUUAUACACGCAUUUUUUUAUGGUAUAUAUAUAUAUGCAUUUUUUUUGUAUAAUAUAUAUUUUUUAACUUUUAUAAAUACAUGCAUAUACUUCAUACAUAUUUGUUUAUUAUUAUUUUGAUUUCAAAACUUUUAUAUACUUUAAAUUUUAUAUACAUACAUAUACAUUUUAUAACACAUAUACAUUUUCCACGUUUUAUAAUUUAAAAUACACAUACAUUUUCUAUAAUAUAUUUAUGUAUACGUUUUUAUUCUUUAUAUUUUUUUUGGUUUAUUUCCUUCGUCUAUUCAUUGAUUUAGGUUUUCAUUUACAUUUUAAAAGAAUGUCCUUUUUUUAUAUUGCUUAUUCAUUUUAUAUUUUUGCAUUGUCAUUGUUUAUUUUUUUAUUUUAUAUUAAUUUCGUUUAUUUACUAUUUAUAUUAUUUCUAUACAAUUGUCGUAUUUAUUAUUGCAACAUUUAUACAUACAUUCCAUAUAACAUUACAUCAUCUUUUACUCGAAUUUAAAAAUAGAAAAUUUUCAAAAUAGAGAUAAUACUCGUAUUUAGGAUUUUCAAGAAAAUUGAGCCCUAACGUAUUGGGUUCCGAUUUUCUUCGUUAAAUCUAACAAUCGAGAAUUGCUCUUUGAUAAAAAAUAAAAUAAAAACUUGUCAUCGGGAAUUCAAUAUGUUGUGUCCUAACAUAUUGGAUGUGAUGCGUUGAUUUCUCGAGAUAAAGAUUUUCUAAACAAUAAAAGAAAUAUUCAAUGUUUGGGAUUUUAAGAAAUUGUGCCUUAACGUAUUGGGCUGUGAUUUCUUCAUAAAUUUUAAACAAUUAAAUAUUUUCUUAAAUUUUAUUACACGAGUUUUUUGGACCAGCUCAUCUUAAAAAGAAUAAAAUAUUGUGCCCUAACGCAUUGGGUGUGAUAUUUUCUUUUUUCAAAAUGAGAAAGUCUUAACAAAAAAUUUAAUUUAACUAAGGAUCGUAUUUAUUAACUCUCGACAUUAAGACACUGAUUAAUCAACUCGGUACCAAUUUUUGGGUGUUACGAGGGUGCUAAUCCUUCCUUGCACGUAAUUUACUCCUAAACCCGUUUUUUAAAACUCGUAGGCCAAAGUCGUUUUUUGGUGAUCCAAUCACACCUUAAUAAAAGAUUGGUGACGACUCCAAUUUUCAUCGACAACUAAUUUUUGUUUUUUUUCAAAAUAAAAAUGGUUUCGACAGCUUGGCGACUCCGCUGGGGACACAUACGAGAGUCGAGCCACAAAGUUGAUUAAUUUCUGUCUUAUUGGCGAGAAAAUAAAUUUUUUUAAAAAAAUCAUGAAAUCAUUGUGCAUUCAUUCAUUUUCUUGCUUAAUUGAUCUUUGCAUUAUACAUUACAUGAGUUGAAUGAUUUUACCCUUCUAAGUGGGAGUGAGAAACUAUUCCUUCGUGAGGUUUUCACCUCCGUAUAGGAUAGUGGAUCGCUUUCGGGAUACAUCUGUACCUAUGCCUUCUUGAGAUUUUCAUCUUCGUAUAGUCAUAGGGAAAAUGUAUUCCCCUGAACCGAACUUGAUCUAUAUGAGCCUAUAAUGGGUGAAGAUUGAGGAAUCUGCUGGUUUGGGUACCUUUGCCCUAGAAGUCAAACCACAUAUAGUGAACCUUAGGAACUUGCCCUAGGUAGGGAUAUGCCAAACCCCUAGUGGUCACCCGAAUAGGUUUUCUAUUUAUUCUUGCUUUAGCUUUGUACCAACCUGUUUUCUUUUUGGUUGUGAUUGCAUUGCAUUUUCAUCAUAAAAAAAGAGAGAGGUGUUGAUUCACAUUCAGUUGCUAAAUAGAUAGCUUGUCAUAAGAAAAUGAGUUUCUUGAUAAAAUGGAUGAUAAUAUGGUUGUCCGAAUAUGGUCCAAGAAAUGUGAUAAGAGAAGGAUGAUAGUUUAAUGGAGGACUACACGACUAUGGCUCCAUUGCCCAAGGAUUCAAGAUAACAAAGAUUAUUCGAGAGCCGCUAAACUUUCUUAAAGAGAAACCAACAAGCAUCACAAGGAUGAGUGAGCAACAAAUUGCGGCCUGGAUCAAGCAAAAAGGAGAUAGAAGAGACUUCCUUUUUGAAAAGUUCGUGAGAUUUAUCUUAACGCUUGAAUGAAGAAGAGGAUCGAAUGUCUUCGCCUAUGAGGGCAAGGCUGUAUAAAUAUUCAUUUUAUGUAAAGAGAUUUGUUUUCUAGUAAAGUUCUCUAAAUGGAAUUGAAUCAGAAUCAACGUCCCUUUAUGCAUUCAUUUCCUGCAUUCGCAUUACAUGAUAUCAUAGCAUUAAAAUCCACUAAAAGAUUCUAAUUAAUAUAAAUCAUUCCUCAGUUAAUCUGGAAACCAACCAACCCAUCACACACCACUACGGUACUCGAUCAAAAACUAAAGACAUGGACCAAAGGAUGGAAAGGUUAGAACAGUUCCAAAAAGAAAUGCAGUAUCAACUUCAAUAACAAAUGAAUGAACAACUUGAGAAAAUUCAGCAAAAAAUGAUGGACAAAAUGAUGGAAUCUCAAGAGAGUAUGAUGGCUCAAUUAACUCAGUUGUUGACCAGAGGAACUAAUAAAGGAAAAGGCUCUGUGCUCAAUAUGGAAGAAGGAGACAGUGAGGGACUUCUUUAUCCUCCAGGCUUGACCCCUCAGCAUGGGCAGACCCAAGUAGAGGUAUAUCCGCACAAAUCCUCUAUCACCAUCAAGCCUCAGCAGUUUCAGGCCGGUGCUGUAACACCAAUGAAUUUUCCAGCUAGAUCAGGCCCUAACCCCAGAGACGACCUUGUUAAUCCUGAUAUCCCUGACUUCGAUGAAACAGCUGAAAAAGAGAAAAUGAAUGGUGAAUUGCCAAAACAGCUCGAAGAAAAGUAUAAAUGGCUGGAGGAAAAACUUAGAGUGAUGGAAAGUACUAAGAGCUACCAUGGAAUUGACACUAAAGAAUUGAGCUUGGUUCCGGAUUUAGUACUCCCUUAUAAAUUCAAAAUUCCUGAGUUUGAGAAGUACAAUGGAACUAAUAGCCCCGAAGCUCAUAUUACCAUGUUUUGUAGGCGGAUGACUGGGUAUGUUAAUAAUGACCAACUGCAUAUACAUUGUUUCCAGGAUAGCCUUGCAGGGGCAGCAUCCAAGUGGUACAACCAACUGAGCCGUACCAAGAUUAAUUUAUGGAGAGAUUUAGCAUAGGCAUUCAUAAAGCAGUACAAUCAUGUAACUGACAUGGUACCUGAUAGAAUCACUCUACAGAACAUGAAAAAGAAGCCUGGUGAAAGUUUUAGGCAGUACACACAGAGGUGGAGGAGGUCGCAGUCCAAGUUCAGCCACCGCUUCUGGAAAAGGAAAUGACAAUGCUAUUCAUAAAUACAUUGAAAGCUCCGUUCAUCACACAUAUGUUAGGGAGUGCUACAAAAAGCUUUUAUGGCAUAAUCAUGAAUGGUGAAAUGAUUGAAAGCGCCAUAAGGAGCAGAAAAAUUGAUGCUGGAGGGAAUAACAGAAGGCAAGCCUCAAAAGAAAAAGAAAAUGAGGUGAACAGCGUGAAUACGUACAGAAAAUCGAUUGCUAAUCAGUAGGGUUCAUCAAGACAAGAAUCAUGUGUGAAGCAAGGUACUGAAAAACUCUAGUUCACUCCAAUUCCAAUGUCGUACAAGGAGCUGUAUCAAAGCUUAUUCGAUGCGCAUAUUGUUUCUCCUUUACAUGUGAAGCCUCCACAGCCUCCGUAUCCCAAAUGGUACGACGCAAGUGCACAAUGCGAUUAUCAUGUGGGAAUUACGGGACACUUAAUAGAGAGUUGCAUUACCUUCAAAAAGCUAGUUGAAAAAUUCAUCAACAUGGGUAUCGUCAAGUUGAAUGGCUCAUUUAAUGCAGAAAAUUUACUACCCAAUCAUGAUUGACAAUGGGGUGAAUGCAAUAUAUGAAGAGAUGUUAGGAAGUGUUCACAUCAAUGACAUAUAGGAAUACACAAAUGAAAGGGGGACCUUGUUAGAUAUCCGCCCUUAUAAAUCUGGGAGUGUUUAAAAUAAUUGGAUUGCGGAAGAAAUAUCUAUAGUCUUUAGAGCGUAUUUAGAGUAAUGUUCAGAACAUUCUUGUUGUUUUUAGCCUAAAAAUGAUAGGAAUUCCUUUGUGAAAUAGACUCAUGUCUGAUGAUCAUUAUUAUAAUAAAAUACAUCUUUGUAUUUAUUUUUGAGCCAACAUUCUUUCAUUCUUUGCGAGUAAUUAUUUUGUCAUUCUUUUGGAUUUUCUUCCACAUCAUUCUUUCAUUCAUAAUUAUAUUAAAAAAAUAAUUAUUCGUAAAUUCACACAUUCUUUUGCGCUUACUAUGGGACCCCAAAUAUCAAUGACAUGAGUGACGCUGUACUGACUCAAAAUCUCCUUCUGAGCGAGACAUGUGUUUAAAGGGAUCUCAUGACUUUGAAGAUGACAUAGAUCGUAGCCUAUUUCUGGACCUAUUAAGGAUGGUAGAACAAGUCGAGAAACGAAUCUUACCCUACAAAGAAUCAUUGGGAUAUAUGACUUCUCCUUAUGUGGGGCAUGAAGGUCAUUUGGUCGAUCUCGCCAAAAGAGUCUGACGGUCAUUGAUUCAUCUUUGUGAUCGUCAAUUACUUUACUAAAUGAGGGGAAGCUGCUUUAUAUGUCAAUGUCACAAAGUUGACAGUUAGCAAAUUCUUGAAGAAUCAUAUGGAACGUCAAAAGGAUCAUAUCUGACAAUGUACUAAAUUUGAGCAACAGCACAAUAUCAAAAGUUUGCAGUCUAUUCACGAUUAAUGCCAUAUCACCAAAAAAGAUGGCGCAAAAAAAAGAGAGAAAAGAAGAAAGAAAAUGGAGAGGCCAAAGUGAAAACCCGCAAAGGGCACCUUGAGACCAAAGGGGAUUUGAGUUGAAAACCCGAAACAGGCGGCUCAAAUAUUGAUCAGAAUAGGGCAUGAGGUGAUUAGAGCAACUCGAAUUUUAACCAGAUUGGGGCAUGUGGUGAUCUUGUUAUACCUGAAUUAUCAGGAAAGGGUAGGCAACAUCUUGGGGCAUUGGCAGAGUACUGUGGAUCUCCUAAACACAUGUCAAACUCAGAAGGAUCUUCAAAAAGUUUGUACGGAGAAAUUCAAGCUGCGAUAUCUGGGGCACCCAAUUUUCAUACUAUUGAAUUUGUUAUUCUUAGAAUACUUCAUUCUUUUCAAAGAUACACAUUCCCAAUCAAUUUCUUUGUUAUCCUUUUUACUAUUUUUGAUAAUUUAUUCCUUUCGAGCUAUGCUCAGAACUAAUUUUAUUCUUAUCCAUUGUUAUGACCUUUUUGCAUGCAUAUUGCAUUGGAAUAAUGAUCAAUGGACUAAUAAAACUUUCACAAGGGAAGUUUUGCAUAUUACUCUAGAAGUUUCUAAAUAAUAUAGGAGCCUGAAACAGGACUAUUAUUUAGAACGCACUAGGUUUAAAGGUUGGAAAUCUAAAAAGGAAGAGUCUAAACUAGGACUUUCUCUUUGGAUUUUGUUGUCAAAAAUCAUUAGUUGAACAAAAUAAUAAGAUGUCGUGUUGAUGACAAAGCUUAAAUCAACAAGCAAGUAAUGAUCACCAGGCAAUAGAAAGAGGUUACCUCGGGGAAGAGAGCCCUCAUUUGCUCAUGAGCCUUUGGUACGACACCCUAGGAAUGGUGUAAGAGACAAGAAAGAUUUAGAUCCUGUAUCCUUGAAUUGUGAUAGGAGAGGAUUGAAGAAAAGCCAUAUACCCUUGGGUUACAGUGGGAGAACGAUGGUAUGAAUUUUUGCGCCCCAAUGGAUUAAACUUUGAGGUUUACAGUGGGGGCAACCUGACUAAAUGUUUCUUCAGAAAAGCCAGCCAAGCAAGAAGGCAUUGUAGCACGUUAGUGUUAAAGCCUUAAUAAUCUUCGAACAAUGACAACCUAGGUGGGAUCAUUCUCGAAAAAAAAACUAUGCAUUCAUGCAAACACCAUUCACAGAUGUCUAGUUAGGAGCAUUUGAUUCAUUUUAUGCCAUCCUAAUCAUUAGGCAUAAAUAGGUUCAUUAUACAGGUCAUGUUCCCCAGAGAGCAGAUCAGUAAAAAUAGCAGAUCUUGCCUUCCUACACCGACAGUGAAACAGAUCAAAGACACCAGCCAUGCCUCCCUGGGUUGCAGUGGAGUAGGUUAAAAAUAGCAGAUCUUGCCUUCAUGCACCGACAGCGAAGCAGAUCGAAGAGACCAGCCUUGCCUCCCUGGGUUGCAGCGGAGCAGGUUAAAAUAGCAGAUCUUCCCUUCCUGCACUGACAGCGAAGUAGAUUGAAAACACCAGCCUUGCCUCCUUGGGUUGCAGUGGAGCAGGUUAAAAAUAGUAGAUCUUGCCUUCCUGCACCGACAGCGAAGCAGAUCGAAGACACCAACCUUGCCCCCUAGGUUGCAGUGGAGCAGGUUAAAAAUAGCAGAUCUUGCCUUCCUGCACCGACAGCGAAAUCGAAGACACCAGCCUUGCCUCCCUGGGUUGCAGCGUAGCAGGUUAAAAAUAGCAUAUCUUACCUUCUUGCACCGACAGCGAAGCAGAUCGAUGACCCCAGCCCUAUUUCCCUGGUCAGCAGGGGAAUAAGUUGAAGAUUGAGAAUCUUAUCUCCCUGAAGUUGCAGUGGAGUAGAUUAAAGCCAAUAAUCCUAUCUCCUUAAAUUUGUAGUGGAGCGGAUUAAAACCACAGAUCUUAUCUCUCUAAAGUUGCAGAGAGCAGAUCGCAUCUGGUCUUAUCUCCCAAAAGUUGCAGUAGAGCAGACUGAGUAAGAAAGUCUUAUCCCCCUGAAAUUGCAGUGGGGCAGACUAAAUGAACAAAUCUUAUCUCCCUAAAGUUGUAGUGGAGUGGAUUAGAAUGAUGGGUCUUAUCUCUCUGAAGUUGCAACAGAGCAGAUCACAUCAAAUUCAUCUUUAAGUGACAGCAGAUCAAGUUGAAGCUAUAAGUCUUAUCUCCCUGAAGUUGCAGUGGAGUAGAUUGAAGCACUAGUUCCUAUACCUUUGAAGAUGCAGUAUGAAGGAAUGAGGCUACUUGAAGAAGAAGACUACCUAGGUCCAGCACGAUCGGGUAAAAUUGGGCAUUUUUAAAGUCUUUACUCCAUUCCUGUUACACGAUAACGAGUAAAGAGGGGCAGCUGUAAUACCCAAAUUUUACCGAGCCUACAAAAACAGUCCAAAUUACAAUGGGCUUAUGUGGCCCAAAACCCGAAUGAACAGAGGCCCAAAACAAUGGCCCAAAAUAAUGUCAGAAACUCCUAGGGUUUCUGAGGAAACUUUUGCGCCCAGCCACCAAGCACCACGAGCUGAAAUCUUCACCUGCACAAAAACAACAGAAAUGGCAAGAAAAUCAAAGAUUGCGAAUCAAAUAUGAGCAAGAUUUGAUUCUUUUUAUUAUUAUUUUCAUUAUGGCUAUAAAAUAGCCAUUGAUAUGCUGUAAAAAAGAGGGGGAAGACCGAAAGAAAUACAAAGACCAAUAGGAAAUUUUCUUUUUUUGAAAUACAAAGGUUUUCUUUUCUGUUUUACCUCAUUGUCGAUUAUUGUUCUUUUAUUUUUUCAUUUAUACAUAUACAUAUUUGAUUUUUUUAUAGUUUCUUUAUUUUUUAUUUAUUUUUGCUUAAAAUAUAAAGAAAAGAGGAGAGAUUUUACCUUUUUUUCGUCGAAGUCGUCGAAUGGUGGCCAUCUCCGUCGCGAUCGGAGUGUUGGCACAGGCGAACGAUGGCGCAAAAGGGGUUAAGAAAAAACCCUAGCAGAGCAUUUGUGUUUUUUUGUUUUUUUUAAUCUGGCUUAUUGAUUUUUAUUUUUUAAAAAAAGAAUUUUCGUUUAAAUAACAUUAACAAAACGGCGCCGUUUUAGGGGAGCAGGAUCUGCGCGUUGACCCAACCCGCAGGCAGGGUCCACACGUUCUGGCCUUGAAUUGGGUAUUUGUGCAUUUAGUCCCUCCUCUUUGCGACGUGCUUCAAUCAAACCCAUUUUUCUUUUUUUUUUUUAAAUUUAGCCGCAUAUUUCAUUUUUGUUUCAAUCUGGUCCGUCACUGCGCAGCGUUUUAGAAGGCGGGAUUAAUUUCCCUUUUGGUCCUCUAUUGUUGCUUGCGCAUUCAAGUUGGUCCCUUCUUUAUAUUUAUUGCUAAUCUGCCCCAUUUUUUCGCUUUUAGUUCAGUUUAGUCCAUUUUUUUAGCUAUUUCAUUAUUUAGUUAUUUUUUUAUUUUUUUGUUAUUGUUAUUAUUAUUAUUUCUAUACUUAUUAUUUCUAUAUUUAUACACGCAUUUUUUUAUAGUAUAUAUAUAUAUAUGCAUUUUUUAUAUAUAAUAUAUAUUUUUUAACUUUUAUAAAUACAUGCAUAUACUUCAUACAUAUUUGUUUAUUAUUAUUUUGAUUUCAAAACUUUUAUAUACUUUAUAUUUUAUAUAUAUACAUAUACAUUUUAUAACACAUAUACAUUUUCCACGUUUUAUAAUUUAAAAUACACAUACAUUUUCUAUAAUAUAUUUAUGUAUACGUUUUUAUUCUUUAUAUUUUUUUUUUGGUUUAUUUCCUUCGUCUAUUCAUUGAUUUAGGUUUUCAUUUACAUUUUAAAAGAAUGUCCUUUUUUUUAUUUUGCUUAUUCAUUUUAUAUUUUUGCAUUGUCAUUGUUUAUUUUUUUACUUUAUAUUAAUUUCGUUUAUUUACUAUUAUAUUAUUUCUAUACAAUUGUCGUAUUUAUUAUUGCGACAUUUAUACAUACAUUCCAUAUAACAUUACAUCAUCUUUUACUCGAAUUUAAAAAUAGAAAAUUUUCAAAAUAGAGAUAAUACUCGUAUUUAGGAUUUUUAAGAAAAUUGAGCCCUAACGUAUUGGGUUCCGAUUUUCUUCGUUAAAUCUAACAAUCGAGAAUUGCUCUUUGAUCAAAAAUAAAAUAAAAACUUGUCAUCGGGAAUUCAAUAUGUUGUGUCCUAACGUAUUGGAUAUGACGCGUUGAUUUCUCGAGAUAAAGAUUUUCUAAAAAAUAAAGGAAAUAUUCAAUGUUUGGGAUUUUAAGAAAUCGUGCCCUAACGUAUUGGGCUGCGAUUUCUUCAUAAAUUUUAAACAAUUAAAUAUUUUCUUAAAUUUUAUUACACGAGUUUUUUGGACCAACUCAUCUUAAAAAGAACAAAAUAUUGUGCCCUAACUCAUUGGGUGUGAUAUUUUCUUUUUUCAAAAUGAGAAAGUCUUAAUAAAUAAUUUAAUUUAACUAAGGAUCGUAUUUAUUAACUCUCGACAUUAAGACACUGAUUAAUCAACUCAGUACCAAUUUUUGGGUGUUACGAGGGUGCUAAUCCUUCCUCGCACGUAACUGACUCCCGAACCUGUUUUUUAAAACUCGUAGGCCAAAGUCAUUUUUAGGUGAUCCAAUCACACCUUAAUAAAAGAUUGGUGGCGACUCCAAUUUUCAUCGACAACUAAUUUUUGUUUUUUUCAAAAUAAAAAUGGUUUCGACACAAGUAAUAGUAAGUUUCAUACAAGGUUCAAAGGCAAUUAAAUGACUUGUAAGUUUGUUGAACUUCUUUGAAAGGCCCAAAGGCAAUUGAACAUUUACAAAAUAGUCUCUAUAUACUGUAGAGACAAAUCAAAUCCAUGGGAGCAUUACAGUUAGUUAAAUUGAGCAUUGGCAGAAAUUCCAUCAUAGGAAAUAUUGGCAAAAUCGUCUAUUUAAUUAGAAAAACAACAUAAUUCAUGAAACAUAGAUAGCCCAAUAUAAAUGUCAUCGAGAAAAAAAGUCUGUUUGUUUUAUAGCACAUGAUAGUAAAGCAUGCGAAGUUUCAUUCUUCUUAUUGGCCUCCUUUAGUUUUCCUUGAUCAUCAACCACUAGCCAAAAACACAAUUAGAUUAGAUUAUAAAUGAAACAUUCAAUUAUGAUAAAAUUAAAUAGAAAACACCCUAAAUAACUCUAGAUAAAUGAAUAGUAGCAAAUUACCUGGUGAGGCAAGCUAGCUCAAUUAAGAUCAUUGUGUUAGACUUGUGUAUGCAUUAAACAAUCUAAAAGAAAAUGAAGGAAAAGACUUAGAAAACACUUGAAAAUUGACAAAAUUUAUAUGCCAUUGACUGGUUAAACUAUGAUCACCCAUAACAGACCUUGUAUUGGAGUUUUUGUUGAGGGAGAUCAAGUCCUUCAAGAAAAGUCUUUUAAGUGUUGUUUGUUACGUAAUCGCUGCUACCCUCAACAAAAGGUAUUGUCCUCAUGUCAAGAUUUUAUCCUCAGCCUUUAUGGAAUAAUCAUGGAGAUUACAUGUGCAAGGAUUCAAACCACCAACCAAUGCAUAUGUAGUAUUUACUUUGGAACCAUCUCCGUGAACCCACGAGGUUCUUUGCAGAAUCAAGAGACAAAACCCCAACACAAGAAUAAUACCAUCUAUUGAGGGUCCUUUAACACAACAAAUGAAAUUCAUACAUUUAUUUAAUAAAAGUAAAUAUCAUAUUUAAUUGGGGAAAAGCAACAAAAAAUCCAACAAUAAAAUCCUUAGCAAAAGAUUAAAACACAGUUAUAUCGUAAAUGACAUAAGAAACUAAGAAAAUCCAAUCUGACAAAGAAAAUAACUUGAUGCUCCAAAGCUACCAUAUACCGUAAUUCAUGGGAAGGUCUGAUGCUCAUUUUAUUGGUUUCCAUCUUGAUUUUGCAAAAGAAGUUUGAAUUUUGAAGAGAGCAAAAGAUUGAGCGAAAGAAAAAAAAUUAGUUUAUUAAUUUUCACAAUUUAUAAGACAAACCUUAUGGAGACAAAUAAUGACAUAUUAGAUAUUUGUGAUUAAAAUUCUAGAAUAGAUUUAAAAUGUUGAAUUAAUGAUGAAAUUAAUAGUGAAUUAAUAACAACAAGCGUACUGAUUACUUAGCUUCUUUGUUAAACAUGUUCGAUGUUGUUUAACAGCCUUUGUUUGAUUUUCUUUAGCUCAACCACAACAUCUUUCAUAUCUUUUCUUUCUUCUGGUAACUCAGCUGAACAAUUCAAAGCCAACUCCAUGAUGGAUGAAAUACAAUUUGCUUUAACAACAAAGUACUCAUCCUUUCUUCUUAGUAAAUCAACAUCUGCAAUUUCUAUCGCUCCUUUAGGCAACGAACUUUCCAUCCAAUGCGUUAUAGUCAUUUCUUCAGCAAAAAAUUUAUCAGUUGGCUUUUUCUUUGUAAAAGUUUCUAUAAGGAUGAUCCCAUAACUAUAGACGUCACAUUUUAUACAAACAAUUCCUGUUGAUCCAAAUUCUGCAUUUCAAGUAUAAUUAGAACAUCAUCAAUCCUUAAUUAGUUCUAAAAUGCUUAUUCAAAUAUAUAUCCAUAUAUGCAUGAAACAAAAGUAUAAAAUGCAAAUUAGGAAAAUAAUGAUACAAAAAAAAAAUUCACCUGGUGCCAUAUACCCGAUAGAUGCAAGAGUCAUGGUUUGCUUUAUUACAUCACCUUCUCCCAACAAUUUGGCACAACAAAAUCUCCCACAUGUGCAACCAUGUCUUUAUCUAGUUGUAAUAGCCCAUUUUGCCCGGGGCCCAAUAAAACCCAAAACAAACCAAAAUAAUAAAACAUUCACAGUCCAUUUACAAUAAAUAAACACACUACCCAUAUCAAGCCCAAUUAAACCCAAAUCUCAAAGCCCAAAACAAAACAACACAACCCGAGCCCAUAAACUAAAAAUUUUCAGCACAAAAAACCCUAGCCCUAAGCCUCCAGUGCCGCAUGUGCUCCACCGCCGCCGCUCGCCUAUCACCGGCCAUCCACGCGUCUGGCACCACCUGCAAGAGCAAACAACACGCAAAAGAAGAGGCCAACCAGUAACAGACAAGAACAAAGAAAUGAAACAAAUUUUGUAAUUUUGGCUAUAAAAGCCCGAAUAUAUCUUUGUAAUUUCUUCUUCCGUUUUACGAACAUCUAGUAAAAAAAAGAAGAAAAGCAGAGAACAGAUUUUCGAGAGGUGAAACCUUUUUUUCGGUUCUUUUUUUUCAUUAUAUUUUAUUUUUUUAUUUUCAUUUUUUAUAUCAAACAAUGAAAUAAAAAAAAGGAGAAAGAAAUGUAGCAGAAUCGACCCUUAGCCCCGCCGUCGGUGGUCUUUUCCCCGGCAUCGAAAUUGGCGAGAAAUGAGGCAAAGGUCGAAUCUUUUUCAUUUUUCUUUACUUUUCAGUCAUUUUCCUUGUAGAUCUAAAAUCUACGCUUAAAACGGGCUAAAAAUAAAAAGUUUUGGGUUCUCCGGUCACCGUGGGCUGCGACACCGUCGCCGACGAUCGGCGGCCGCCACGGGGGUCAACGGCCGGCCCUUUGCCCGGAAUCGAAGAGAAAUUUUAAGAGAAAAGGGAGCUUUGGAAAUUUUUUAAAGCAAAUGGCUGAAAUGGGGUUUCAAAAAAAUGUUGGCUUUUAUAAUACUAUUAAACGGCGUUGUUUUGCAACUGAAGGUCAGGUGCCAAAACGACGUCGUUUUGGCCCUUACCCGCUCGCGCUCCCGACCCGCUCCUGGGGGAUCCGCGUGUUUUUGGCGUUUGGGCUAUUUGCACUGCGGAUCCUUCUGCAUUUCGCCCAGUUUAUGAUUUAGUCCCUUUCGUUAGAUUUCUUUUAUUUUUAAUUUCGCCUUGAAAUUUUGUUCUGAUUUUAUCGGAGUCCCGCAAAGUGCUGCGUUUUGGAGGGCAGGGAUAUUUUCCCCUUUGGUCCCUCCUUGUUAUUCACGCACUCGAUUUGGUCCCUUUCUUUUAUUCAUUUGCGAAUUUGCCCCCAUAUUUCUGUGUUAAGUUCAAAUUAGUCUCUUUUUUAUUUAUUUUUGCUAUUAAAUUAAUUAAUUUUGAUAAUAUUAUCAUUAUUAUUAUUAUUAUUAUUAUUAUUAUUAUUGCUAUUAUUAUCUUCGUAUUAUUAUUAUUGUUUGCUUUAUUAUUAGUAUUAUUAUUAUUUUCAUUAUUACUAAUAUUAUUAUUUUUAUUUUACUACUCUUAUUAUUAUAUAUUGUUAUUAUUUUUAAAUUGUUUUACCUAAUAUUCCCUCGUUUAUUAUUUAUAUUCACUCGUUCAAAUUUUCAAUCAUUUUCAAUUAGUUACUUCUUUUUUUAAAUCAGUUUGUUUUAUUUUUUAUUUUCAUUUUAUUAUUUCAUUAUUUUAUUGUUUUUAUUAUUUAUAUUAUUUUUGUUUUUACUCUUAUUAUUCCUUUUUAUUUUGGUUUAUUUCAUUUCAACUUUUGCGCUCAAAUUUUUUUUGUUAUUUCGUCAUCUAUUUAUUUUCGUAUUUAUAUUUUGUUAUACAUACAUUCAAAUCUCAACUAUUCAUUAUCAUUAUUAAUUUUAUUAUUAUUGUUAUUUAUAUUUAUUAUUGACAUCCUCAUCAUGUUGUUGCACACAUUAGCAUUGUAAUCCAUUUUACAUUUUACUAUAAAAUCGCGUUAUGUUAACCUUCAUCCAAUACAUUUUAUAUUAAGCAAUUUUGUAACUCAAAAUUCCAGAAAUCGUACCCUAACUUACUGGGUUUCGAUUUUCCUCGACGAGUCUAAAGAACCAAUCCUUUUUUUAAAAAAUCAAAGCAUAAGUUAAAUAAAAACUUAUCCUCAGGAGUUCAAAAUGUUGUGUCCUAACUCACUGGAUGUGACAUUUUGUUAUCUCAAGGUAAAGAUUUCUAGAAACACAAAGGCAAUAUUUUGAAUUUGGAAAUUCGAGAAAGUGUGCCCUAACGUGCUGGGUUUCAAUUUCUCGUUUGACCAAAUAGCCAAAUAUCCUCUUAAAACUUCAAAGUAUGGGUUUUUCAAACCAUAAGGUGAUCUUUGUUUCGAUGGUUUAAAGUAUCGUGUCCUAACGUGCUGGAUGUGAUAUUCCUUCGGAAUAAGAGAAUCUUAAAUUUCAAUCCAUGUUAUUCAAAUUUUUUUUAAGGAUUGUAUAUUUUUUUAAACUCUUCAAAGUUUUCAAUCUUCGACAUUAAGACACUAAUUAAUCAACUAGGUACCAAUUUUUGGGCAUUACGAGGGUGCUAAUCCUUUCUCGUACGUAACCGACUCCCGAACCUGUUUCUUUGAAUUUCGCAGACCAAAAGAAUUGUUUUAAUAAAUCUAAAUUGUUUAUUAAAAACAAUCGUUUUACGAGGUGACCCGAUCACACCUCAUCAAAAAAGAUUGGUGGCGACUCCCGUGUUUAUUAUCAUUUUCAAAACCCAAGUCGACCCCGUUUUCACAAAAAAAAUGGUGCCAACACUAGUAAAAUAUUGCUUGGUUUUAAGUCACAAUGAAUUACAGAUGUUGGAUGUCCAUUGUGGAGAUGUUCUAUAGCUACCGCAACAUCUAUCAUUAUGUCGACCCUUUGUAUGAUAUCAAGGAAGCAAAUUUCGGAAUGUAACCAUUUCUCAAGGUUUCCAUUAGACAUGUUAUCAAGCACCAAGGCUUUAAAGUCAACACUUGAGCAGCAAGUAAUGACCUUCACAAUAUUACGAUGAACUAUAUUACGCAUAGCAUCACAUUCAAUGUCAACACUCCUAAAUGCUCCCUCUGUUUGCAAAUUAAAAACUUUUAUUGCAACUUCCAUUCCAUCUGAAAGCCUCUCUUUAUAUACAUAUCCAAAACUCCUUGAACCAAGCAUAUUGUUUUCCUCAAAUCCAUUAGUUACUUGUGAAAGUUCAGCAUGUGAAAUUCUUCUCAGCGUUUUCAAAGACAACAAAUCAUCCUUACUUGGUAGAGUUGUACUCCUACUUUGGCAUCUUCUAUACAUAAUAGUUAAGACUAUUAGUAAUACGACAAUACCAAUUGUUGGUAAACCAUACCUUAAAACAUGCAAUAUAUUCAUUUGGGAGUUUUCUUGGAUGUCGUUUUUGCAAGGGGGGACUAGCAAUCUAGGUGGACCACAAAGUGCAAAAUUCUUCAUGAAUGAUCUACUAGAAAAGUUUGGAAAACAUCCUUCGGUGGGAAUUUCCCCUUCAAGUCUAUUGAAAGACACAAUAAAAUACUUUAGAUCUAAAAGAUUUUUCGAAGAUUUGGGAAUGGCUCCAGAGAGAUUGUUAUUGCAUAAAUUCAAGAAUUCCAAACUAAUCAAACCAUCUAAUGAUCCAGGGAUAUGACCAUGUAGUAUAUUAUUUAAUAAAUCUAAUGAAAUCAAAGUUUGAAGACCCCCAAAUGUGAAUAAGAUAUCGCCUGUGAGAAUAUUCCUUGAUAUAUUUAGUUUCAAUAAACUCCUCAAAUUUCCAACAUCAAUAGCAUGUGAAUUGUGAAGAUGGUUUGAUGAUAAAUCUCUUUCUAAGAUAUCUUUAAGAUUCCACAAAGUUGAGGGUAUUGCAGAACUCAAUUUGUUGGAAUUUAAGUAAAGAUAUCUUAAAGAAGUACUAUAACCCAAACAAGAGGGUAUGGAUCCAUGCAAGUUAUUCAACCCUAAAUACAUCUCGUAUAGUCUCUCCAAACCACAAAGGCUUUUUGAGAUUGGUCCUAAUUUAUUCGAGUGAAAAGUUAGACUUUGGAGAUUUCUCAUUCCUCCUAUUGAUGCUGGAAUAGAUCCACUUAAUUUAUUAUACCCAAGUUGUAAAAGCAAUAGGUUGUUUAAGUUACCUAUUUCCAUAGGACUAUUGCCUUUAAGCUCACAAUUAUUGGCAAAAAAGUAUUGAAGGGAUUUUGAAAGGUUCCCGAUAUAAGUAGGAAGAACAUCACUCAAUGGAUUUCCUGAAACAACUAUUCUUCUCAAAUGCCUGCAAUUUGCCAAAGAAGAAAGAAAGGUCCACUCAUGAUCAAUAGCAGAUCCUGUGAUCAAAUUAUUAUUUAUGAUUCGGAGCACUUCAAGGUGUCUUAAGUUGCCAAGCGUUUUAGGAAUUGGGCCAGAGAAUAAGUUAUCUUCCAAGGCUAGAUUCUUAAGCAUGGAAGCAUUGGAGAUAGAGCCGGUAAUGUUUCCGCUAAAUUUAUUUCCCCACAAUACAAGAUUCUCAAGUUUUGGAGCAUUGGUAAGGGUGGUAGAGUACCUGUAAGAUAGCAUCUUUUAAUAUACAUAGCCAUUGGAUACCAAAUUCACAAAACAUAUAAUACAUUAAAAUACAUUUUUAAAAUAAAAAUUGUAAACCUUUAAAUCAAAUAAAAAUAUAAUUUUGGCCUGGAAAAAUGUGAUCAAAUCAAUUAGUCCCUUGUGAUUUGUAUAAACAAAAAAAUAAAAUAAAACCAUUCCAUACCAGUAUUGUAUUUGAUUUAAUGAUAGAGUUGUAAGUUACUUGUAAAAGUUACAUGCUCUAGCAUAUAAAUUUUGUCCAAGCCUUGGGUUGAAAUCAUCGUUACUUUUUUAGAUCUAAAAUUGAUUGAAUAUCAAAUUUGUAAAAUACUGUAAAAUUUUGAAUCAAAUAAAAACAAAACUUUGACAUGAAAAUGUGGCAUCUAAUCAAUUUUAAAAAUGACAUUGACACUGAAUACGAAAUUAUGAAUAAAAAUUAGUUAUGGUUUGGGAAACAAAAAUAUUAAAUUAUUCUGUAUGAUUUGGUAUUAGUUAUUAUUUUGAAUAAUAUUGUUAAUUUUUAAUUACAUAAAACUAUUGUAUGUUAAAUAUGGUUUUAAUUAUGCCUUGAAAUUUUAUUAUUAUAUUUCAACUACCAUAUAAUAUUUUAAUUAUGUUUAGCCAUUUGAAUAACAAACCAAAAAACUAAUUAAAAACUAAUUACUUCUUUAAGUAUAAUGGAAAUUAAAAGUUUUCAAUUCAUAUAAAUUUUAUUGUUUAUUAUCAAAUUAAUACAUUUUAAUAGAUGAUAAAAUAUAUGAGCAAAAAAGAAGAAACAAUUAAAGAGAAUGUUUUUGGAGUUUGGAAAAAAUUAAAGUGAAAAACAUACCUUCUAAUUUGUUGUCACAUAGAUCUAUUUCUUCGAGCGUAGUUGAAUAAAAAACACUUUCCGGAAUCAGCUCACUGAAUUGAUUUGCUGCUACGAAUUCUAAAGCUUGUAACAUUCACUUAUACUAGAUGGAAUGUUACAGAUAAUUCAUUUGUAUCCAAGUAAAGCCCCUCAAACUUGGGAAGAUGUUGACACAUAUCAUUAAGUAAACUACCUGAUAGGCUAUUGCAGGAGAGAUUAAUAGUCUUCAGAGAAGAAAUAUUGAAGAUAGAAGACGGAAUCUGACCUGUAAGGUAUUUAAUUACUGUAAUACUAAGCAUUUUCAAACAUUACUAAUAUAAAUAGUUCAUGGAAGUAAGAAAGUGUGCAUAAUAAAACCAAAUUGUAUAAAAAAUUUAAAAAAUUUUGAUUAAUCAAUAAAUUUAAGAUUUUAUAUAUUGAAGUGGGUUCAAAUCUCACUAUUAUUUUUUGUUUUGUUUUUUUUUUAAAAACCAAAGUACCUCAAAUAAUGUAACUAAUUUUAAAUACGAAAAGUUAUUUUUGAAAUUUCUCUAAUCGAGUUGGUGCUCAUUGACUCGUAACACAAUCCUAAUCAGAUACUUAAAUAACAAUAUAGAUAUUCACAUUCACCAAAAAAGUUCAAAAAAAUUGUUACUUUAGUUUCAAAUAACAAAUUUUAAUUAUUUAUAUAACAAGUAACUUUAUAAUUCAUGUAUAAAUUUGACUAUUAAGAAAAGAAAAAAUGAAAUUAAAUAAUGAAUAAUUUAAUUGAAAAUAUAUCAAUUUUUAUAUUUUCUACAUAUGCUUUAAUGAUGAUGGAUUUUUUUUAUUAUCACUAUUUUUGAAUUAAAAGAAUUUAUUAAUAUAAUUUAAUUAUAUUUUGAAUAAUGUUACUCUUUUUUAAUGACAUGAAGUAAAAUCAUAUUAUAUAUUAAAGAGGGUACAUAUGCUUUAAUUAUAGCUUGAAAUUUUAUUAUUACAUUUGAGUUAUUAAAUAAAUUAAUAUAUUUUAAUUAUAUUCAGCCAUUUGAAUAACUAAUUAGAAUAAUUUUAAAAAACAUUAUUUAAAAGCUAUGUAUAUAAAUGUAUAUGUAUAUAUAUGGUUGUUUCAUAUUUUUAAAAUAAAUAUAUUUUCAAUGUUGGUUUCUUUUCUUCCACACACAAAGUAUUUCUAAUGUUUUUUUUUUAUAACUUUUACUUAUAUAAAAUAGAUUAGUUAAUGCAAUAACAAAUUAAUUACUUUUUUUAAACUUAAUGGAAAUUAAAAUAAAUAAAUUCAUAUAAAUCUUAUUGUUUAUUAUCAAAUUAAUAGAUGAUAAAGUAUAUGACAAAAAGAAAAGGACAAAUUAAAUUCAAUAGAAUGUUUUUGGACUUGUGGAAAAUUUUAAAGUGAAAAACAUACCUUCUAAUUUGUUGUCAAAUAGAUAUAUUUCUUCGAGAAUAGUUGAAUUAAAAAUACUUUUUGGAAUCAGCCCACUGAAUUGAGUUGUUGCUAAAUUCAAAACCUGAAGCUUGUUACAUUCACCUAUACUUGAUGGAAUCUGACCUGCACACAUACUUGACAUAAGUCAAAGAGGUUUUCUUUUCUAUAAUUUGGAGAUGUUAUAUUUUAAUAUAUUUAAUCAUAUUUUUUCUUCAAAUUAACUAUUUUGAUUUUAAUGAAAUAAAAAGCUCUUACUUUUUCUUUUAUAAAAAAAAAAUACUUUAAACUAAAGAAACCAAAGAAAUUUAGUACCUUCUAGAUUAUUAAACACCAAAUAUAAAUGUCUAAGUCGUGUCAAGUUUCCAAUACUUCUUGGAAUGAUACCUGUGAAUUGAUUAAUGGACAGUGACAAAAUUUGAAGGUUGCAUUUGUCUAUACUUAAUGGAAUGUUACCAGAUAAUUCAUUCAAACUCAAGUGAAGCCCUUCAAGCUUAGGAAGAUGUUGACACAUAUUAUCAGGUAAUCUACCUGAUAGGAUCAAUAGCCUUCAGAGAAGAAAUGUUGAAGAUAGAAGAUGGAACCUAGACAGAUAAUUGAUUGAAUUCCAAGUUCAAGAUCUCUAGAUUGGACAUGUUAACAAGUGUUUGAUGGAUUGUGCCUGUAAAGUUAUUAUUUUUCAUUUCCAGCCUUUGGACUCUGUGUAAGUUCCCAAGCCAUGAUGGAAUUUCCCCAUUAAGACCAUUGUAGCUUAAUUGGAUGAUCCUCAAACGGUGCAACUGGCCCAAUUCUUUAGGCAGAUGGCCAUAGAAAUUGUUGCUACUCAAGUCGAGAGAGAGUAGGAAUGAAAGUUUUCCAAGUUGUGAAGGGAUAGUACCUCGAAGAUUCAUGUUUGUAAGAUUCAAAGCUACAACUCUUUCAUGGAUGAUGCCACAAGAAACACCAAUCCACCUGCAAACAGAGCUAGAGGCUAUCCAAUUGUUUUCCAAGACAUUGUGAGGAUCGACUCGAUCCUUAUACUCGAGGAGUGCAAACUAAUCGGUGGUGAGAUUCCUGGCUGUCAUAGCCAAACAAAGUACGGAACAUGGUACGAAUAGAGCUAAAAGAAGAUGAAAGCAAGUGGUGUAGUUUAUGAUUGCAAGACGGAAUAAGGCAAGAAAAUAAAAGAGUAGGAAAAGGGAAAUUGAAAUGAUAAAAUAGUUGGAUGAUGAAGAAAAGCCCAGAGAGCCUGCUUUAAUAUGUUUCAACCCUCCCACACUUCUCCUAAUUAAAUUCACUCGGCUGGGGUUACAACAUUAAUUUUCAAAAUAAAUGUCAAGUCUUCUUUUAAAACACAUCCAAAGAAGCGAAUUUUCUCCAAAAUUUCUUCACAUUACUCCACAUAAUCCAUAACAAAAUUAAUAAAAUAUAAUUUUUUAAUUACUAUAUAUUCUUUUAUUUUCUUCACAAUAAUAAGUUGGUUAAAUAUGCUAUUAAUCCCUGUACUUUUUAGAAUUUGAGAUUUAGUCCUUAUACUUUAAAAGUUAAAAAUUAAUUCAAAGAUAUUCUUUUUUCUAAACUGAGUGAAUUCACAAGCUUUGUUUUCCUUUAACAAAUAUUUUUGGUAUUUUCGUGGAUAUGAGGAGAUACUGAAAAUUAUUUUACUAUGAACUUUUAAUUCACUCAAAAAAAUAAGUGUUUUAUUUCAAGGGAACACAAUUAAACAUUAGAUUUCCCAUUUUUAUGUUUUGAAUAUUUUUGACAACUGCAUAAUCAACAAAGUAUCAAUUUUGGGCGUUGUGAGAGUUUUAUAACCUUCCAUAUGUGUAAUCGAUUUUUGAACCCACUUUUUAUUUUAGAAUUCAGGACAUACCUUAAAUUUUUCUUUUUAUAAGUUAUUUAAAAUCUAUUUGUAAAAAGCGAAUUUUUAAGUGACCGAUCACGCUUAACAAAAAUGAUUGGUGGCGACAAGUCCUUUUUGAUAAAAUCUUGUUCUUGGAAAGACCAAAGUUUUCAUUUUUUUAAGAAGUUUUCAAUUUAAUUUUCUUUUUGAAUUUUUAUUUUUAACCAGAAAAUGGUCCUUACAGUUAUUAUUUAUUUCCCAAUUUUUAAUGGUUUUUUUCAAGGAGAUGAAUAGUGGGAUGAAAAUUUUUGGUUAAGGUAAACUCAUUAUGUAUAGUUGAUUCUUUUUUGAUCCUUCAAUUAUUAAUUUUUUUGAUUUAAUUACAUAUUUUUUUAAAAAAAAAUUAACACUCUCUUAGUUGCCUCUUAAUUGAGGGACAAAAAACUUAGACAUUUUUUAAUCACAAUUAAUUUAAUUGCGUUUAGGAUCACAUAAUUUUCUUUUAUUCUUUUUAAAUUAUAAACUGUUUCAAAAAUUCCGUCAAUAGCUUAAGUGAAAUUAUCCUUUUUUGAAAUAUCAAUUUCACUUAAGCUAUUGACUUAAUUUUCAGCUAUUAGUCUUUUUUCCAAUCAAAUUGACUCUUAGCAGAAAUGCAAACUGCGCAAAAGAGUGUAAACAAAGAAGUUGAAUUUAAUUAUUUUCUGAGUCUAGUUUCAAAAGACAUAAUUAAUAAUAAACUUAUAACUAGCCUUAUUUAUUUAACAUGUUAAGAAACCUUUGCUUCAUUUUCUUGAACUCAACCACAACAUUCUUCCUAGCUUUUCUUUUUUGACGUAAUUCAGUUCAACAUUUCAAAAGAAAUUCCAUAAUCGAUGAAAUACAAUUUGCUUUAACAAUAAAUCUGCAUCCUCAAAGUCUAGUAGUCCUUCCAACAAUGAGCUUUGUAGGGCCCAACUUCUGCCCCGGGCCCAAAUAAUAAAAACCAAAAAUAAUCCAAAGUUAAACAGUCCAGUUACAUUAAACCCAAAUACAAGCCCAACUACCCAAACCCUAAGCCCAAACCUAAUAGCCCACAACAAACUUUCAAUAGCAGCAAAACGUGCAACACGCAACAAAAAGAAGCAACCAAAUCGCAAAACAACAAAAAACAGGCAUCAAAGAGUUGUUUAGAUCGGCUAUAAAGCCAAAAAUCAGAGACUUGUAGUUUUUCGGCUUCCUUUUUUAACACACAUCAGAAAUAAAAGAUCAUAUAAACUUCUAAAAGGUUGCUGUUCUUUCUUUGUUUUUCUUUUUAUUUCACUUAUUUUAUUUAUUUUUUUUACUGAUCCUUUUUUACAAAUAAAAAACGAUUAAUAAAAGAAAAACAAGAAAGGAAGAGAAGGGGAAUAGCUAGAAUCACCCGCAAGUCCCAUUGCCGGAGCCCUUUUGCGGCCACCGGAGUCGUGCUGGGAGGGUGCGGGGUCUCCUUUUCCUCUGGUCUUUGGGCCAAGAAAGGCACCGUCACCAAAAGGCCUUUUAAAUCGGUUUAAAAUAGACCUUCGGGUCGCAGGCCACCGCCCGCGGCGGAUCUAUGGCGGCGCGAGUGACGGCCAUGUUGGCCGAAUUUGGGGGGACCGAGAGAGAAACCUUACUCUCUCUGUUUUUUCUAGAAAAUUGAAGGAAAUGAUUUCUUUUUUAUUUUUUUUGUAUUUAUAUAUGCUAUAAUACGGCGUCGUUUUGGCCUUAGCAUCAGUGGCCAAAAACGGCGCCAUUUUGAUGUUUGACCCGCGACCCGACCCAGUAACGCUAAAGAUCCGCGCGUUUUCGUUUAAGGGUCUAUUUGUGCAAUAGGUCCCUCCACCUUUGUUGCGUGUUUCAAUGUGCUUUUUUUAUUUUUUUGAUUUUGGCCACCAGAUUUUUAUUCUGUUUUAAUUUGGUUCUGGGAUGCGCAGGCCCCAGUAUUGCGAACGGCCCCGUUCAGGUGGCAUGGGAUUAUUUCCCUUUCGACCCUACGUCUAUGUGCGCAUUUCGCUCAGGUCCUGAAUGUUCUUUUGUUUUUCAAAUUUUACCCUUUAAUUUUAUUUUAACUUCAAUUCGGUCCUUUAUCCUAUAUUUUAUUAUUUUGAAUGCUUACCUUGAAAUAUCAUUUAGUUUCCAAUUUAAUACAUAUAUCCCACAUGUUUUAUGAUCCAUAUAUAUUCAUACGUCUUUUAUAUUUUAUAAUUUUAAAAUUUGUACAUGCAUACGUAUAUUUUAUAAUUUCUAUAUGCGUAUAUAUAUAUCUACAUAUGUAUUUUUUAAAUUUUUUUUUACAAAUAUACACAUACUUAUACAUACUCUUUAUAUUUUAAAAUCUAUAUUUUUCUUAUGUAUUUUCCAUAGUUUAUAAUUCAUGUAUACAUAUUUUUAGAAAUUUUACAAUGCAUACAUGCACAUAAUAUAUAUAUAUGCGUUUUAUUUUUAUAAAUACAUAUACAUUACCUACCUUUAUAUUUUAUAUCUUCCAUGACUUUAUAUAUAUAUAUACAUGAAUGUACACAUACAUACUUACAUAUUUUUUACGUACAUAGAUUUUUCAUAUUUUCAUAAUUUUAUGCACACACAUAUAUAUCUUUUUACUUUUUCAUAAUUUUAUUUAUUAUUUAUUUAUUUCAUUUUUAUUAUUGAUUUGAGGAAAUGUUUUAAUUUUAUUUGCUUGUAUACAUUGUUAUUUCGGACGUUAUUGAUUUGUACUUUUUAUUUAUCUUAUAUUCGUUGCUAUUACUCGUAUUAUUUUUACAUCAUCGUAUUCAAUAUUGUUUUGUUACGAACAUUAACAUCGUGUUUUAUUUUUACUAUUUGGUGUUAGAUUAUUUUUAUUCAACACAUAAAUUAUGAUUUUUUGAAUAAGCAAAAUCUCGUGUUUAGAUUGGAGAAGGUUGUACCCUAACUUACUGGGUUUCGAUUUUCGCAAUGACUUUAAAUACGUGAAUCUUUUCAAACUCAAGUUUUAAAUGAUCUUGGGAUUUAAAAAAGAUCGUGUCCUAACUUACUGGGCAUGAAUCCUUUUUAAAAAAAAAUCUGAGAUAGCUAAAUAUCUUUUAAACAAGCAAAUUUUUAGCAUCCAUUCGCGUAUCGGGAAUUCGAGAUAUUGUGUCCUAACUUACUGGAUAUGAUUCUCUUUCUCGAUUAACGUGAAAUAUGCCCAUUUUCCCAAAAAUUUUCAACAUUUUAAUACAAGGAUCGUAUUUUUUAAAAUUCUUUAAAGUUUUCAAAUUUCGACCUCAAGACAUUAGCUAAUCAACUAGGUACCAAUUUUUGGGCGUUACGAGGGUGCUAAUCCUUCCUCGUACGUAACCGACUCCCGAACCCGUUUUUUGAAUUUUGUGGACCAAAAUUAUUGUUUUAAUAAAAUCUAAAUCGUUUAUUAAAAACAAUCAUUUUAUGAGGUGACCCGAUCACACCUCAUCAAAAAAAGGAUUGGUGGCGACUCCCAUUUUUGUUUUAUUUUUGAAAUUUAAGUCGACCCCGUUUUACCAAAAAAUGGUGUCAACAGCUUGGCGACUCCGCUGGGGAAGAGAUAUGUGAGUCAAGCCACGUGUUGAUUACUUUUUGUCUUUUUGUCGAAAAUCGAGAAUUUAAUUUAAAUUUACGAUCCGUUCAUUGCAUUUCAUUCGUCUUUAUUACGAUCUUCAUCAUUGUGGUUUUAUAGUUGUGUUGGUUUAAGUCUUGAUAUAUUUUUGCACAUUGCAUUGCAUGACCGUUGGUCACACCUUUUAAGUGGGAGUGAGAAGCUAUUUCCUUCGUGAGGUAUUCACCUCCGUGCAGGAUAGCUGAUCACUUUCGGGAUACAUCCGUACCUAUGUCUUUGUAAGAUUUUCAUCUCCGUGCAGCCAUAGGGAAAUGUAUUCCCCUGAACCGAACUCGGUCCGUAUGAGCCUAUAAUGGGUGAGGAUCGAGGAACCUACUGGUUUGGGUACCUUCGCUUUAGAGCCGAACCACAUGUAGUGAACCUAAGAGCCUACCUUAGGAAGAACCACUUCAAACCCCUAGUGGUCACCCGAGUAGGUGUUCUAUUUAUUCUUGCUUGCUUUUGCUUUGUACUAACCUGUUUUCUUUUGUUUUGAUUAUGAUUGCAUUGCAUUAUCAUCAUUAAAAAGAGGUGUUGAUUCACGUUCAGUUGCUAAAUAGAGAGCUUGUGAUAAAGUGGAUGACGAUACGAUUGUCCGAAUAUGGUCCAAGAAAACGUGAUAAGAAAAGGAUGAUAGUUUAAUGGAGGACUACAAGACUAUUGCUCCGUUGCCCAAGGAUUCAAGAUGACAAAGAUUAUUCGAGAGUCGCUGAACCUUCUUAAAAAGAAGCCAAUGAGCAUUACGAGGAUGAGUGAGCAACGAGUCGCGGCCUAGAUCAAGCAAAAAGGAGAUAGAAGAGACAUCUUUUUGAAGAGUUCGUGAAAUUUAUCUUAACGCUCAAAUGAAGAAAAGGAUCAAUUGUCUCCGCAUAUGAGGGCAAAGCCGUAUAUAUCCGUUACAGAGAUUUAUUUUCUAGUAAAGCUGUUCUAAUAGAGUUGAAUCAGAAUCAACAUCUCUUUUUGCAUUCAUUCCAUGCAUCUGUUUUACAUUUCAUUGCAUCAUUUGCAUUAAAUUUCACAAAAGAGCCCUACUUAAACGAGAUUAUUUCAGUUAAUCUGGAAACCAACAAGAAUCUACCAACCAAAUAUCACUAUGGUACCCGUCGCAAAACAAAAGUAAUGGAUUAGAGGUUAGAAAGAUUGGAACAAUUGCAAAAAAAGAUGCAAGAUCAGAUGCAGGAACGACUAGAUAAAAUCCAGCAAGACAUGCAAGAAUCCUAGAACACUAUGAUGAACAAAUUGGAGCAGUUAUUGGCUGGAAGGAAUGAUAAAGGAAAAAGCCCUUUAGUUGAUUCUGGAGUUGAUCAUGAGGACCCUAUUUAUCCUCCAGGUUUUACCCCAAUAGGCAUCCAGGCACAACCGGAUAUAUGCCCGCAAAGAGUACCUGUCAUUAUCAGACCUCAAUAUACGGUUGGUGCCUCAGUGCCAAUGCAUUUUCAAACGGGCUUGGGUUCUAAUCCCGGAGACAACCCUACCAAUCCUGUGGUCCCUAAUCUCGAUGACGUGGAAGAAAUAGAAAAAGCAAGAAUGGACCUGCCAAAACAACUUGACGACCGAUGUAGAUGGCUAGAGGAAAAAUUUAGAGCCAUGGAAAACACCGACUACCAUUGUGGAGUUGACGCCAAGGAUCUGAGUUUGGUCCCUGAUUUAGUGCUCCCGCCUAAGUUUAAGAUGCUGGAGUUCAAAAAAUACAACGGGACUAGUUGUCCUGAAGCUCAUAUCACUAUGUUCUGUUGAAGGAUAAUAGGAUACGUCAAUAAUGAUCAACUAUUAAUCCACUGUUUCCAGGAUAGUUUGAUCGUGUCUGCAGCCAAGUGGUACAACCAAUUGAGUCGUGCUAAAGUUAGUUCAUGAAGAGACUUGGCACAAGCUUUUAUGAAGCAAUACAGUCAUGUAACAGAUAUGACACCUGAUAGAAUUACGUUACAGAAUGUGGAAAAGAAGCAAAAUGAGAGCUUUAGGCAAUAUGCCCAAAGAUGGAGAGAGGUAGCGACACAAGUCCAGCCACCUCUUCUGGAGAAAGAAACCACAGUGCUUUUCAUUAACACUCUGAAAGCCCCAUUCAUUAACCACAUGUUGGGAAGCACUACUAUGAGCUUCUCAGAUAUGGUAAUGUCUGGCGAGAUGAUUGAAAACGCCAUAAGAAGUGGGAAGAUAGAUGCAAGGGAAGGUGCCAAAAGAUCAACCCCAAAGCACAAAGAAAAUGAAGUGAGCAACCUGAGCUUGUAUAAUAAAGGGUAUUCAAAAUUAGUCACUGUAGGCCAGCCAAGGACGGUAGCAGCUAGCUAUCAAGGCCCCUCAAAGUAAGAAUCCAACUCGAGGCCAAACACAGAAAGACUCGAGUUCACACCUAUCCCGGUGAUGUAUAAGGAGUUAUAUCAAAAUCUGUUUGAUGCGCAUGUAGUAGCUCCGUUCUACUCAAAACCCAUGCAACCUCCAUACCCCAAAUGGUACGACGUAAAUGCUCAAUACGAGUAUCACGUAUGAACUACGGGGCACUCGAUUAAAAACUACACUACAUUUAAAAAGUUAGUCGAAUGGUUCAUUAAUAUGGGCAUCGUGAAGUUUGACGAUCCAUCUGGACCUAAUGUGGCAGGAAGUCCGUUACCCAGUCAUCCAGACCCAGGAGUAAAUGCGAUAGCUGAGAAUGGAGGAAAAAAAACCAAAACAAAUGUUGCAGAAGUAAAACCCCCACUAAAAUGGGUUUUGAAACAAAUGAUGGACAUGGGAUUAAUCAUUCAGAAUUUGGAGAAGAGACCAAAAUGGAUGAGGAGCUACUGUGAGUUUCACGCUAAAGAAGGCCAUGAAAUCCAGGAGUGCACUGAAUUCAAAGCUUUGGUGCAAAGUAUAAUGGAUAAUAAAGAGUUGGAAUUCUUUGAAAAAGUCAAAGGCCUAGAAGAAAUGUUGGGAAAUUUAAAUGUUAACGAUGUAUCCGAAGAGGGAACUGAGGAAGAUAAUUUAUGAGGCAUCGGCCCUUAACGCAUUUGGGAGUGUUUUGAACAAUGAGAUUGUGGAAGAGAUCCCUAUAUUUUUUUAGAUCUAUUUCAAAGUAAUGUCCAAAACACGCUUAUUGCUCUAAGCCUAGGAGCAAUAAGAAUCCUUUUGUGAGAUAGACUUAUGUUCAAUAUCUUUAUUUUAAUAAAAUGCAUCUUUGUUUCUCACUUCGAGCAAAUAUUCCUUUAUUAUUUCCAUUUCAUUCAUAAUCAUACUGUACAGAUAAAUAUUCUUAGAUUCUUUUUAUUCUUUGGAUUUGCUUUCGUCCCUACAAUAGGUCUCCAGAUAUCAAAGAUAUGAGUGACACUACUACUGACUCAGAAUCUCCUUUGAGCAAGAUAUGUGUCCAGAUGAGCCUCAGGACUUUGAAGAUAACUGAGACUGUAACUUAUCCCCUGAUUUGUUAAUGAUGGUAGAACAAGAUCCUACCUUACAAAUAAUCAAUGGAAGUCUUGACCUUUCUCUAUGUGGGGUACGGAUGUCAUUGAACCAAUCUCGUCUAAGGUUUUGGCGAUCAUCAAUUCAUCUUUAUGGUCGUUAAUUACCUCACUAAGUGGGUAGAAGCUGCUUCAUAUGCCAAUGUCACAAAAAUGACGGUCAGUAAAUUCGUAAAAAAAGAAAUCAUAUGUUGGUAUGGGAUGCCGAAAAGGAUCAUAUCUGAUGAUGCACCAAAUUUGAAUGAUAGCACGAUAUCAGAAGUUUGCAGUCUGUUCAAGAUUAACACCAUGUCGCCCAAAAUGAAUGAUUCAGUGGAGGAAAAAAAAAGGAAACCAAACAAAAAACAAAACAAAAAAAACAAAAAACAAAAAUAAAAAAACAAAAAAUAAAAAACCUCUACCGGGGUAACUUAUUUCUCAUUGGUAUAUAGAAUAGAGGCAAUUUUACCCAUCGAAGUUGAUAUUCCUUCCCUUCAAGUCUUGUUAGAGCUGAAGUUGGAUGAAGCAGAAUAGAUCUAGGCCUGAUAUCAUCAGUUAGAUUUGAUUGAUAAGAAAAGGUUAAAAGUUAUCUGUCAUGGUCAAUUGUACCAAAAGCGAAUGAUGCGAGUUCACUAAAAGGUUCGCCCAGAGAAUUCCAUGAGGAGGACUUGAUAUCGAAGAAGAUCCUUCUCAAACAAAAGGACUUAAGAAGAAAGUGAAUGCCAAAAUGGAAAGGACCUUAUGUGGAAGGCCUUAUUUGAAAAAGCGUUGAUAUUGACCAAGAUAGAUGGUAAGAACCUGCCCAAUCUUGAGAAUUCUGAUUCCAGCAAUAAAUACUUCACUUGAAAAAAGAAACGAAAAGAAAAAAGAAAAGAAGAAGAAUGAAAAAAGAAAAAGGAAAGGCCAAGGUGAAAACCCGCAAAGGGCGCCUUGAGACCAAAGAGGUUUUGAAUUGAAAACCCAGGAAUGGGCAGUUCAAAUUUUGAUCAAAGGUGGGGCAUGCAGUAGUCUUGUCGUCUCUGAAUUAAUAAGAAGGAGAGAUGCUACAUCUUGGGGGCAUCAAUGAAGUCUUCUAGGACUUCUAAACACAUAUCAAGUUCAAAAGGGUCCUCAAGAAGUUUGGGGCAGAGAAGCUCAUGCCACGAUAUCUGGGGCACCUCUUUUCAUUUAUUCUUUUUGUAUUUGUGACAAAAUACGCCAUCUUGAUUAAUUUAUUCUCAUUUUGUAUUCUAGCAAAAUUUGCUAUCUUGAUUAAUUUAUUCAUUCAGAGCUUUGCUCUCAAUAAUUUUUCAUCUUAUCCAUUGUGAUAAUCCUUUCAUCUUAUUCAUCUCAUAUCUUAGCAAAAUUUGCUAUCUUGAUUGAUUCAUUCAUUUCAAGCUUUGCUCUCGACAAAAUUUUAUCUGGUCCAUUUUGAUAAUCUUUUUCAAGCAUUUUUCUUUGAAAUAACGAUUAUUGGACUGAUAAUGUUCAAGCAAAAGAAGUUUUGCAUAUUACUCUGAAAGCUUCUAAAUAGUACGAGGACCUAAAGCAGGGCUAUUGUUUAGAACUAACCAACUUAAGGGUUAGAAGCAUUGGAGAAAGAAUAAUCUAAAUUGCGACUAUUUCUUUGGUUUUUCUAUCAAAGAUACCACUGAAUAAGAAAGCAUCGGUGAUAAAACCUUGAUGAACAAUAAAGAAUGACAAUCUAAGCAUUAAAAAUGGAUCAUUCUCAUGACAUUCUACAAAUAUCAUACAUACACAUCUAGUUAGGAGCAUUUUAUUCAUUCUAAUCAUGACAUCCUAAAUGCUAGGCAUAAAUAGGUAUAUAAAAUGGAUUUUACAGGUCAUGUUCCCCAAGGAACAGAUCAAUGAAGUUACCCAUACCCCUGAAGUUGCAGUGGGAUGGAUUGAAGUCAUCAUAUCCAACAUUAUCUCCCUGAGCAACAGUGGAGAAGGUUGAAGAAAGCAAGUCUUGUCUUCCUGUAUUGGCAGCGAAGUAGACUGAAGAUAGCAGAUCUUGUCUUAUUGUAUUGGCAGCGAAGUAGACUGAAGAUAGCAGAUCUUAUCUUCCUGUAUUAGCAGCAAAAUGGAUCAAAGAUAGCAGAUCUUGUCUUUCUGUAUUGGCAGUAAAGUGGAUCAAAGAUAGUAGAUCUUGUCUUCCUGUAUUGGCAGCGAAGUAGAUCGAAGAUAGCAGAUAUUAUCUCCUUGAGCAGCAGUGGAGUAGAUCGAAGAUAGCAAGUCUUGUCUUCCUAUAUUGGCAGCGAAGUAGACUGAAGAUAGCAGAUCUUGUCUUCCUGUAUUGGCAGCGAAGUAGACUGAAGAUAGUAGAUCUUGUCUUCCUGUAUUGGUAGCGAAGUAGAUCGAAAAAAGUAGAUCUUGUCUCCCUGAGUAGCAGUGGAGUAGAUCGAGGAUAGCAAGUCUUGUCUUCCUGUAUUGGCAGCAAAGUAGAUUGAGGAUAGCAGAUCUUGUCUUCCUGUAUUGGCAGCAAAGUAGACUGAAGAUAGUAGAUCUUGUCUUCCUGUAUUGGCAGCGAAGUAGAUCAAAGAUAGCAGAUCUUGUCUCCCUAAGCAGCAGUGAAGUAGAUCGAAGAUAGCAAGUCUUGUCUUCCUAUAUUGACAACGAAGUAGACUGAAGAUAGCAAGUCUUGUCUUCCUGUAGUGGCAGUAAAGUAGACUGAAGAUAGGAAGUCUUGUCUUCCUGUAUUGGCAGCGAAGUAGACUAAGGAUAGCAGAUCUUAUCUUCCUGUAUUUGGCAGCAAAGUAGAUCGAAGAUAGCAAGUCUUAUCUUCCUGUAUUGACAGUGAAAUAGACUGAGGAUAGUAGAUCUUAUCUUCCUGUAUUGGCAGCGAAGUAGAUCGGAGAUAGCAAGUCUUAUCUCCCUAAGCAGUAGCAGAGCAGACAGAUGAAACCAAUCCUAUCUCUCUGAAGUUGCAGUGGAGCAGAUUAAAAUGAUGAAUCAUAUGCCUCUGAAAUUACAGUAGGUCGAAUUAGAUCAUAUCACAUCAAACCUUAUCUCCCUGAAGUUACAGUGGAGCAGACUAAAACCACGAAUCUCAUCCCCACGGAUUUACAACAGAGUAGAUUGAAGUCAUAUCUCUCUGAGGAUGCCGUGAAGAGGAUCAAAGUCAUAAGGCGCAGUGGGCUAGAAAGAGACUACUUGAAGAAGAGGAGUAUCAAGAGAUCAAGAUUCGUGCGACCAUUGAACGUAAAAUCAAAAUGCUUAAAGUGUAUGGAGAUUCCGCGUUGGUGAUAUACCAACUCAAAGGAGAGUGGGAAACCAAAGACCCUAAAUUGAUCAAUUAUAAAGAACUGGUUCUUGAAUUGAUUUACGAGUUUGAUGACAUCACCUUCAGUUAUCUCCCAUGAAAGGAAAACCAAAUGACUGAUGCAUUGGCUACUCUAGCUUCGAUGAUUCAGGUGAACAGGCUUGAAGUAAUGAAGCCUAUUCAGAUGAGUAUCUACAAAACCCCAGCUCAUUGCUACAAUAUUAAGGGGAAGGGAAAAGACAAUCACCCUUGGUAUCGGAGUAUCCUACAGUAUGUGAAGAAUCGGGAGUACCCUAGCCAGGCAACAGAGAACGACAAGAGAACUCUGAAAAGAAUAGCCAUCGAAUAUAUCUUAGAUGGGGAAGUGUUAUACAAAAGAAGGAAAGAUCAGGUAUUGUUAAGAUGUGUAGAUGCCGUAGAAGCUAAGAAAAUUUUGGAGGAAGUCCAUGAGGGUAUCUGUGAGACGCACGUCAAUGGCUUCACCAUGGCCAGAUAGAUCAUGAGAUUUGGGUACUAUUGGUCCACUAUGGAAGGGGAUUGCAUUAAUUACGCCAAGAAAUGCCAUAAAUGUCAAAUUUAUGGAGACAAGAUGCAUCCCCCCUUCGCUACUUCAUGUUAUGACCUCUCCAUGGCCAUUUUCCAUAUGGGGUAUGGAUGUCAUUGGGCCGAUAUCGCCAAAGGCUUCUAACGGGCAUCGUUUCAUCUUCAUAGUCAUUGAUUACUUCACUAAGUGGGUAGAAGUUGCUUCUUAUGCAAAUGUCACGAAGUCAGCAGUUAGUAAAUUCUUGAAAAAUGAGAUUAUUUGUCGAUAUGGAAUGCCUGAGAGAAUCAUAUCCAACAAUGCGCUGAAUUUGAACAAUAGCACAAUAGCAGAGGUUUGCAGCCAAUUUAAGAUCAAGCAUCAUAACUCAUCGCCGUAUCGUCCAAAAAUGAAUGGUGCAGUAGAGGCGACCAAUAAGAAUAUUAAAAGAAUUGUGGGGAAAAUGACUGAGACUUACAAAGAUUGGCAUGAGAAGUUAUCAUUUGCUCUCCUUGCCUAUCGAACAUCUGUUAGAACUUCUACUAGGGCAACACCUUUUUCUCUAGUUUACGGAAUGGAGGCAAUAUUACCCAUCGAAGUUGAAAUCCUCUCUCUACGGGUAUUAUCCGAACUCUAGUUGGACGAGGCUGAAUGGGUCCAAUCUCGUUAUGAUCAGUUGAACCUAAUAGAGGAGAAGAGAUUAAAAGCUAUUUAUCAUAGGCAAAUGUACCAGAAACGAAUGAUGUGAGCCUAUGAUAAAAAGGUUCACCCCAGAGAAUUUAGUGAAGGAGAUUUGGUGCUAAAAAAGAUUCUUCCUAUGCAAAAGGACUUUAGAGGAAAAUGGAUGCCAAAUUGGGAGGGUCUUUAUGUCGUAAAGAAGGCCUUUGAUGGUGGAGCUUUGAUUCUAAGUGAGAUAACUGGAAAAGACUUGCCCAAUCCCGUAAAUUCAGACUCAGUCAAGAAAUACUUCACUUGAAGAAAAGGGACCAAAGUGAAAACCCGCAAAGGGCGCUUUGAUCCCUAAAAAAAAAGAAAUGAUGAUGAUAAAAAUGGAGAGGCUAAGGGGAAAACCCGCAAAGGGCACCUUAGGCCAAAGGGGAUUUGAGUUGAAAACCCGAAAAGGGCGGCUCAAAUGUUUGAUCAGAAUGGGACAUGAAAUGCUUAGAGCAGCUGGUAUCUUGAUCAGAUCGGGAUGUGUGGCAAUCUUGCUAUGCCUGAAUUAACAAGAAGGGAUAGGCGAUAUCUUGGGGCAUUGACAAAGCAUUGAAGAUCUCCUAAACACAUGUCAAACUCAGGAUGGCCUUUAGAAAGUUUGUACAGAGAAAUUCAAGCUGCGAUAUCUGGGGGAUUUAAUUCCCCUAUUAUUUUGUAUAUAUUGAAUUUUGUUGAUUCUUGGAAUAUUUUCUUUCUCUUUUCCAAGAUAUAUAUUCCCAAUCAAUUUCUCUACUAUUUGUGAUGACUUAUUUAUUUUUAGCUAUGUUCAGAACCAAAUUUAUUCUUAUAUAUUGUUAUGACCUUUUCUGCAAACAUGUUACAUUAGAAUAAUGAUUAAUGGACUAAUAAAACUUUCACAAAAGAAGUUUUGCAUAUUACUCUGAAAAGUUCCUAAAUAAUACAGGAGCCUAAAACAAGACUAUUGUUUAGAACACACCCAAUUUUAAAGAUUGGAAAUUUGAGAAGGAGUUUAAAUUUGGACUUUCUCUUUGGAUUUUGUUGUCAAAUGCAUUGAUUGGCAAGAUGCCAUGUUGAUGACGAAGCUUAAGUAAACAAGCAAACAAUGAUCACCAGGCAAGAGGAAGAGGUUACUUUGAAAAAGCCUUCAUCUACACAUAAGUUUCUAGUAUGACACCUUCAAAAUUGUGUGAGAAACCAGAACGAUUCAGAUCCUAUAUCCUUGAAUUGUGGGGAUUGAGGAAAAGCCACAUAUUUCUACCCUUGGAUUACAAUGGGAAAGUGGUGGUACAAUUUUUUUGCGCCCCAAUGGUUUAAACUUUAAGGUUCACAGUGGGGGCAAUCUGACUAAGUGAUUCUUUGAAGAAGCCGGUCAAGCGAGGAGGCGUUACAGCACAUCAGUGUUAAAGCCUUAAUAAAUUUCGAGUAAUAAUAACCUAAGCGGGAUCAUUCUCAAAAAAUAAAAUUCUGCAUUCAUGCAAACACUAUCCACACAUGUCUAUUUAGGAGCAUUCGAUUCAUUUUGAUCAUGCCAUCCUAAUCAUUAGGCAUAAUUAGGUUCAUUAUACAGGUCAUGUUCCCCAGAGAAUAGAUCAAUAAAGAUCGAAAACAAAGCCUUGCCUCCAUCGGUUGCAGUGGAGCGGAUUAAAAUAAAGGAUCUUAUCUCUCUGAAGUUACAGUAGAGUAGAUCGCAUCAGAUUGAAGCCAAAAAUCUUAUCUCCCUAAGAUUACAGCGGAGCAGAUUGAAGCUAGAAAUUCUAUCUCCCUGAGAUUACAGUGGAGCGGAUUAAAAUAAAGGAUCUUAUCUCUCUGAAGUUAUAGUAGAGUAGAUCGCAUCAGAUUGAAGCCAGAAAUCUUAUCUCCCUGAGAUUACAGUGGAGCAGAUUGAAGCUAGAAAUCCUAUCUCCCUGAGAUUACAGUGGAGCAGAUUAAAAUAAAGGAUCUUAUCUCUCUGAAGUUAUAGUAGAGUAGAUCGCAUUAGAUUGAAGCCAGAAAUCUUAUCUCCCUGAGAUUACAGUGGAGCAGAUUGAAGCUAGUAAUCCUAUCUCCAUGAGAUUACAGUGGAGCGGAUUAAAACAAAGGAUCUUAUCUCUUUGAAGUUACAGCGGAGUAGAUCGCAUCAGAAUGAAGCUACAACAGCAAAUCUCACUACCCCGACCUCACAAUUAAGCAGAUUAAGGUUACGAGUUACAAAUCCUAUCUCCCUGAUGUUACAGUGGAGUGGAUCGAAGCACCAAUUCCUAUACCUCUGAAGAUGUAGUAGGUUGAAAUGAGUCAACUCGAAGAAGAAGAGCACCAAGGUCCAAACACGACUGGGCAAAAAGGGGCUUUAGUCUUUGCACCGUUCCCGUUACACGACAACAAGCAAAGAGGGGUAGCUGUAAUAGCCCAUUUUUGCCCGGGCCCGUAAUAAGUAAACCAAAAUUAAAAAUUAAAAAUUAAAGUCCAAAAAAUAAUAAUAGAGUCCAUUUUUUACAAUAGGCCUAAUAGCCCAAAUCCACUACCCAAACCUAAUUAGCCCAAAUCCACUACUUAAACCCAACUAGCCCAAAUGCCCAUGACCGAACACUAAAUCUGAUUAGCCCAAUUACAGUGGCCCGACACCUAACCCAAAACCCGAUUCAGCCCAAUUAGCCCAUUUUGAAAAAGCAUUCCAGAAAUCACUAGGGUUUCUAGAACCCUUCAGCCGCCAUUGCCACGCACGGGCUCCCCUUCGAGCCACUCCUCACGCGCGUGAUGCCUUCGUACGCCACGCAUGCCUCCGUACGGCCACCUCUGUACCUCUAGGCUGGCCGAGUACCUGCAAAUACAAGCGAACACACGGAAGCAGCAACAAAUAGAAAAACAACAGCAUUUUUAUUUUAUUUUUUUAUUUUCUGUAAAUGGGGCUAUAAAGAAGCCAUUCGAACACUGUAAACGAUUUACACGCAUUUUCAGAAUACAGAAAUCAAAAAAAGUUCCAAAAGGUGAUUUUCGGUUCUCUUUUCUUUUUCGCAGAUCGUUUUCCUUCUUUCCUUUUGUUUUUACAUACAUUAGUCAUCUGUUAAAGGAGAAAAGGGGAACCAAAAGGGAAGAGGGGCAUACCUGAGGGCCGGAUUUUUGCUCACUCCGCAGCCAUCGGAGUUGGGGCGAAUAUUGGGAGUCUUUGGAGGCAAUGAAUCCCCAGAGCGGCGACGAGCCUUUCUUUUUGUUUAGGUUUUGCUAAUGUAAACCCUAGGUUUUAGGAUUUAUUUAGUUUUUAAGUGCAUGAAUUAAAACGACGCCGUUCAGAGUCAAUGCAAUGGCACUGAAAUGACAUUGUUUUGGAGACUCAACCCAAACGAUGACCCGAUCCGGGAAGGAUCCGCACAAUAUGGGUCGAAUGGUUUAUUUGCUAAAUAGGUCCCUGUGUGUUUAUUGAGAUUACGUUUUGUUUUUUUAUUUAAUUGUAAUUUGUACGGCACAUUUAAUUUUGUUUCCAUUCAGAUCCGACUUGAUACGGUACCGUUCUGCGGUUGAUUGUUAUUGUUUAUAAUGCUUGCGUUUAAUUGUUGGUUUAGUCCUCCAAGGUUAAAAAGGAUUUCGAUUUGAUACAAAUUUAGAUUUUUUUACUCAAAAUGCCUUUAAUUAUAAUUAAUCCUACUUUUAUAAACGGAUUUCAUUAUUGUUUUAAUUUUAUCUAAGCUUCGAUUUUUAAAAGAAUUUGUUGAUUAUUAUUUUCAAUGUCAAAAAAUGCCUUUUAUGUUAAUUUUGAUUUAAAAAGUUUUUUUUAAAUAAAUCAAUUUUUAAUAUUACUUUAAUAGAUAUUUUUUUCAAAUUUAUUAUUAGCACAAAUUCUAUUUUUUAAAAAAAAUAUAAUAAUAAUAAUAUAUUUUUUAAUUGUUAUCAAUAUGUUUUAAAUGUAUCAAUAUUAUUUAAAAAUACAUAUAAUUUAAAUUAGACUAUUUUAGUAUAUAUGUACAUAGGGUAUAUCGUUAACUUCAAAUUAACCUUUUAUUCACAUAAUUUUUUAUACAUAAUUGUUUUAUUUCUUAAACCUUAUUUAUUUUAUUCGUUUUGGUGGGUUGUCAAAUUAUUAAUAUGGAUGUUUGUAUAAUAUGAUUAAGGUCAAUGUUAGUAUUUGCCUAUUAUUUGUUUAAUUGUUUCUAGUUUAAGUUUAAAUUGUUAUUUAUAUUUUGCAUUACAAGUUGUUAUUCAAUUAUGUUGGUUGUAAAAAUUUCAUUUCGUUAAAAUAUUAUAAUCGUUUCAUUUCAAAAGUUCAAAAAAGAGGCUUGGUGUUAAAUAAUUCUCGAGAGAAUUGUGCCCUAACUUACUGGGCCUCAAUUCUUCUCGAUGAAUUUAUAUCAUCAAGUAUCCCUUUCUUUAAGACAUUUAAAAAAAAAUUCUUUAGAUUUCAAAAUGUUGGAUCCUAACUUACUGGAUGUGACAUUUUGUUAUCUCGUUUUUAAAUAAAGGAAAUAUUUGGUGUUUAAGGAUUUUAAGAAAAUUGAACUCUAACUUACUGGGUUUUGAUUUUCUCGAUCGAUUUAAAUAACCAAAUAUCCUUCUCAAAAUGUAUGAAUUUGUUUUAAAUUUUAAAAAGGGACGAAUCUAACUUCGAAGAUUGAAUCGUUGCACUCUAACUUACUGAAUAUAACGAUUUAUUUCUUUAAAGUAGGUAAGUCUUAUUUCCCAAUCCGAUUACUCAAAUUUUCUUUUCAAAGGAUUGUAUUUUAAAAUCCUUUCAAAGUUUCGACAUUAAGACAUUAAAUAAUCGAUUCGGUACCAAUUUUGGGCAUUACGAGGGUGCUAACCCUUCCUCGUGCGUAACCGACUCUCGAACCUUAUUUUUUUCAAAAUUCGCAGACCUAAAAUUAUUUUCAAGGUGAUCUGAUUACACCACAAUAAAAUAUCAGUGGCGACUCCCAUUUCCGUUUUCAUUUUAAAAGUCGAUCCCCGUUUUUUUAAAUUUCAAAAAAAAUGGUUUCGACAAGAAACAAAUGAUUCAUUAUAUAUAUAAUAUAAUUAUGAAAUUCAAGCCAUAUAUUUUAUGUUUCAUACAUAAAAAUUUCAUGGGAGGCCCAAAGGUAAUUAAAUGACUUGUAGGCUUGCUGAAUUUCUUUGAAAGGCCCAAAGGCAAUUUAACAUUCACAAAAUAAUCUCUAAAUACUGUAAAGACAAAUCAAAUCCACAGUAGCAUAAGAGUUGAUUAAGCUAAGCAUUGGCAAAUAUUACUAUGAUUUUGCAUGCAAUAUUGGCAAAACCUCCUCUUACAUUAGAAAAACAACAUAAUCCAUGAAACAUUGAUAGCCCAAUACAAAUUUCAUCGACAUGAAAGUCUCUUUGUUUUGUAGAACAUGAUAGUAAAGAUGUGGAGUUUCAUUCUUCUUAUUGGCCUCCUUUAGUUUUCCUUGAUCAACAACCACUAGCCAAAAACACAAUUAGAUUACAUUAUCAAUGAUACUCUCAACUAUGACAAUAUUAAAUACAAAACACUCUAAAUAACUCUAAAUAAAUGGAAAGCAGCAAAAUUACCUGACGAGACAAGCUAGCUCAAUUAAGACCAUUGUGUUAUACUUGUCUCUGAAUUGAAAAUUUUAGAAGGAAAUAAAGAGAAAGACUUAGAAAAUACUUGAAAACAGGUAAAACUUAUAUGUCAUUUAAAAUAAAAAAUUUCUAUAUAAGCCAUUUAAAAUUUUUAAGAUUUUUAAAAUUUUAAAAUGAUAAAGGUAAAAUUGUACUUUGGCAUCCCAAAAAUGACAAAACUUUGAUUUAAUUCUUUAGAAAUUAUAAAAAUAUAGGCUAUUAAAAUGGUGAAAUUAUAUUUUUACUAUAGUAAAAAAUUACAAUUUAAUUUCACCCCUAAAAGGACUUUCUCACUUCGCCCCUAAUAAAAUCUUUUGCAAAAGAUUAAAAUAAAAUUAUACAUAAGAAAAUCCAAUCUAACAAAGAAAAUAACUUCUUGUCCAAAAGCUACCAUAAACCGUAAUUCAUGGGAAGGCUUGUUGCUUAUUUUAUUGGUUUCCAUUUCGAUUUUGCAAAAGAAGUUUGAAUUUUGAAGAGAGCCUACUACGUGAGAGCAAAAGAAAAAAAAAGUUUAUAUGAUUAAAUUCCAGAAUAGAUUAAAAAUGUUGAAUUAAAGAUAAAAUUAAGUGUGAAUUAAAAAAAUUUCUAUUUAGGCCCUUUAAAAUUUUAAAAUGAUAAAGAUAAAACUGUACUUUGGCACCCAAAAAAAAUAAAAUUUUAAUUUAAUCCUUUAAAAUUUAUAAAAAUAUAGGUUAUUAAGUGUGAAUUAAUAACCACAAGUGUAUUCAUUACUCACCAUCUCUGUUAAAAAUGUUGGAUGUUGUUUAGCAACCUUUGUUUGAUUUUCUUCAGCUCAACCACAACAUCUUUCAUAUCUUUUCUUUCUUCUGGUAACUCAGCUGAACAAUUCAAAGCCAACUCCAUGAUAGAUGAAAUACAAUUUGCUUUAACAACAAUGUACUCAUCCUCUCUUCUUAAUAAAUCAACAUCUGCAAUUUCUAUCGCUCCUUUAGGCAAUGAUCUUUCCAUCCAAUGCCUUAUACUCUCUUCUUCAACAAAAACAUUAUCAGUUGGCUUUUUCUUUGUGAAAGUUUCUAUAAGGACGAUCCCAUAACUAUAGAUGUCAGAUUUUAUAGAAACAAUUCCUACUGAUCCAAAUUCUGCAUUUCAAGUAUAAUUAGAACAUCAUCAAUCCUCAAUUAUUUCUAAAAUGCUUAUUCAAAUAUAUAUCCACAUCCACAUGAAACAAAAAUAUAAAAUGCAUAUUAGGAAAAUAAUCAUACAAAAAUAAAAAAGAAUUCACCUGGUGCUAUAUACCCGAUAGUUGCAAGAGUCAUGGUUUGCUUCAUUACUUCACCUUCCCCCAACAAUUUGGCAACGCCACAAUCUCCAACAUGUGCAACCAUGUCUUCAUCUAGUAAAAUAUUGCUUGGUUUUAUGUCACAGUGAAUUAUAGGUGUUGGAUGUCCAUUGUGGAGGUGUUCUAUGGCUACCGCAACAUCUAUCAUUAUGUCGACCCUUUGUAUGAUAUCAAGGAAACAAUUUUCAGAAUGUAACCAUUUCUCAAGGUUUCCAUUAGACAUGUAAGCAAGCACCAAGGCUUUGAAGUCAACACUUGAGCAGCAAGUAAUGACCUUCACAAUAUUACGAUGAACUAUAUUACGCAUAGCAUCACAUUCAAUGUCAAAACUGCUAAAUGCUCCCUCUGUUUGCAAAUUAAAAACUUUUAUUGCAACUUCCAUUCCAUCUGAAAGCCUCCCUUUAUAUACAUAUCCAAAACUCCCUGAACCAAGCAUAUUGCUUUCCUCAAAUCCAUUAGUUGCUCGUGAAAGCUCAGCAUGUGAAAUUCUUCUCGGUGUUAUCAAAGACAACAAAUCAUCUUUAAUUGGUAGACUUGUACUCCUUCUUCGGCAUCUUCUAUACAUAAUAGUUAAGACUAUUAGUACUACGACAAUACCAAUUGUUGGUAAACCAUACCUAAAAGCAUGCAAUAUAAUCAUUUGGGAGUUUUUGUGGAUGUCAUUUUUGCAAGGGGGGACUAGCAAUCUAGGUGGACCACAAAGUGCAUAAUUCUUCAUGAAUGAUGUGCUAGAAAAGUUUGAAAAACAUCCUUUGCUUGGAAUUUCCCCUUCAAGUCUAUUGAAAGACACAUUAAAAUACUUUAGAUAUAAAAGCUUUUCCAAAGAUUUGGGAAUGACUCCAGAGAGAUUGUUAUUGCAUAAAUCCAAGAAUUCCAAACUAAUCAACCCAUCAAAUGAUUUAGGGAUAUAACCAUGUAGUAUAUUAUUUGAUAAAUCUAAUGAAACCAAAGUUUGAAGACCCCCAAAUGAGGAUAGGAUAUCGCCCGAGAGAAGAUUCCUUGAUAAAUUUAGUUUCAGUAGACUCCUCAAAUUUCCAACAUCAAUAGCAUGUGAAUUCUGAAGAUGGUUUGAUGAUAAAUCUAUUUCUAAGAUAUCUUUAAGAUUCCACAAAGUUGAGGGUAUUGUAGAACUCAAUUUGUUGGAAUUUAAGUAAAGAUAUCCCAAAGAAGUAAUAUUACCCAAACAAGAGGGUAUGGAUCCAUGCAGCUUAUUCAACCCUAAAUACAUCUCGUAUAGUCUCUCCAAAUCACAAAGGCUUUCUAAGAUGUGCCCUCCUAAUUUAUUAGAGGAAAGAUCUAGAGCUUGGAGAUUUCGCAGUCCUCCUAUUGAUGCUGGAAUGAAUCCACUUAAUUUAUUAUGGCGAAGUUGUAAAAGCAAUAGGUUGGUUAUGUUACCUAUUUCCAUAGGAAUAAUGCCUUGAAGCUCACAAUUAGAGGCAUAAAAGUAUUGAAGGGAUUUUGAAAGGUUCCCGAUAUAAGUAGGAAGAACGCCACUCAAUGGAUUUCCUGAAACUCCUAUGGUUUUCAAAUUCUUACAAUUCGUCAAAGAAGAAAGAAAGCUCCACUCAUGAUCAGUAGCAGACCCUGUGAUCAAAUUAUUGUUCAUGAUUUGGAACCAUUCAAGGUGUCUUAAGUUGCCAAGCGUUUUAGGGAUUGGGCCAGAGAAUAAGUUAUCUUCCAAGUCUAGUAUCUUAAGCAUGGAAGCAUUGGAGAUAGAGUUGGGAAUGUUUCCUCUAAGUUUAUUUCCCCACAAUGCAAGAAUCUCAAGCUUUGGAGCAUUGGUGAUGGGUGGUAAAUUACCUGUAAAAUAGCAUCUUUUAGUAUACAUAUUCAUUGAAUACCAAAUUCACAAAAUAUAUAAUACAUUAAUAAUAUGAAGUUUCGAGUACUAAUUAGUCCUUGUGAUUUGUAUAGAAAAACAUAUAAUACGCUAAUAAAUUUUUAAAAUAUUGUAAAACUUGAAAUAAAAUAAAAAUAAAAUGUUGGUAUGAGAAUGUGGCAUCUAAUCAAUUUUAAAAAUGAGACUGACACUGAAUAAUAAAUAGUUAUGAUUUGGGAAACAAAAAUAUUAAAGCCAUUGUUUAUCUUUAUUAAAUUAUAGUGUAAAAUUUAAAGAUUACUAUUUGCUCAAAAUUUUUGUAUUUUUCGUAUAUUUGAAAUUUAAUCUUUAUAUUUUUAUUUUCUGUGAUUUAGUCUCUCUACUUUUUGAAUUGAAAAUUUUAAGUUUAUUUAUUAAAACUGUUAAGAAGUUUUUGGGUUAGUAUGGCAUUUUGAAAAAUAAAAUAAACUUGAUAUCUAUGUUUUUAAUUAUUUCAAAUAAUGUUUUACUAUUCCAAGAUAAAUUAUUUGUGUCUAGACCAAUAUCUUAAGAACUAUUGUUGCAUGUUUAAUUAUUCAAAAGAAUUGUUGAUUGAGUCUUAGCUUGAUUGACAUGUGUAUUGUUACCAAUGUAAGAGAAUGUGGGUUCAAGUAUGCUAAAGUGCAUUAUCUUCUUAUUUAUAAAUUGGGGAGUUGGUAAGGUAUUAAAUUUUGAUAUAUUUUAAAAUAUUAAAAUUUUAUUAAAAUAUUUUUUAUAAAAAUUGAUUGCACCACAAUAUACAAUUUUAAUAUCAAAUUUUUAAUUUUUUUAAAAAAUAUUAGCGACUAUAUACUUUAUUUCAAGUUACACAAAUUUUACUAGUUUUUAACUUUUUUUUAAAUAUUUACCGUCUUUUAUAAUUUUUUACAAUAUUUAAAAAUUUCUGCCAAUUUUUAAUAAUUUUAUUAUUUAUUACAAAUUUAAAAAUUAACAAAUUUAAAAAUUAACAAAUUUUUAUUUUUUAAACAAUUAUAUAUUUAUAAUGUAGUUAUUUUUUAUAUAAUUUCACUUUAAAUUUUAAAGAUUUUUUGGGUUUUUUUUUAGAUGAUGAUGCCGUUAUGAUGUCAUCAUAUACCACAUGGCAAUUUAUGAUUAGUUGGAUAUCUCAAUCUAUUUUUUAAUUUCCAAUGGACUAAACCAAGAACACCUGAUAAUGUUAGAGACUACACUAGCAAUGUUUGAUAAUAUUAGGUACUAAAGUGGGCAAAAAAAUAUUAAGAACCAAAGUAAAAAAAAAAAAAAGAAGAAGAAGCAAUAUGCUGUAGAGAAUAAACUAUGCAUUAAGCCAUUAAAAAUAUAUCUAUAAUAUAUAUAAAUGCAUGGAUUUUGAGAAACUUUUGAAGUGAUAAUUAUAUAGUCUUUGUUGUUUACUAUAUUAUUGAAUUUGUUAUUUUAAAUAUUUUUUUAUUACUUUUAAGAUUUAUUGGAUAAGAAUUUUGGUUUUUACUAAAAUAUUUGGUUAAAUAAAUUAACUUCAUAAGAAAAUUUAGCAUCCUUAUAAAUAACAAUUUUGAUUCUAUUAAAAAAUUAUUUUAAAAAGCAUAUAAUAAAAAUUUAAAAUUUAUAUUGAAUUACUUUAUACUUAAAUUAUUAUUAGAAAUUUUAUACUUAAAUUUAUGAGAACCACAAAUUUAGAACUUAAAUUUGUGUUUUAAAAUAACUUAUGAUAAAUAAUGAAAUGUAUAAUUUGAAACUAUUUAAUAAUAACACAUGGCAUAUCUACCAUAUUGAAAUAAAAAUAGAUUAAAUUGUAAGUAAAACAUAAUUUAAGCAUAGGUAUACAUCAAAUUAAGAAUACUAAAUGAAUACAGUUAUUUAUGAUGAUGUUGUUGUCAAUUCCUAAGUUGGUGUCGAGUUAAUUUGUGACAUCAUAAAUUUAAGUGAUAAAUUUAAGGUUUUACGUAUUGAUGUGGAUUGAAAUAUCACCAUACUUUUUUUAAAAUAAAAAACUAAAAUACCCUCAAAUAAUAUAACUUAUAUUAAAUAUGAAAGGGUAAUUUUGUAAUUUCUCUGACUGAGUUGGUGCCAGGUUGACUCAUGACACCAACUAAAUCGAAAGCUUCAAUAAUAAUAUAGAUAUUCACAUUAAAAAAAAGUACUUUAGUUCCAAAUAAUUAUAUAACAAGUAAAUUUAUAAUUGACGAAUAAAUUUAUAGAUAAUAUAUUUAUAUGAUCUAAUAUAUUAUAUUUAUAUUAAUUAUAUAUCAUCUACAAACUUUGAAAAUCAAUUUAUUAAGUAUCAGGAAAAGAAAAAAAUGAAAUUGAAUUAACACUAAAUCAAUUUUUGAAUUAACAAAAAAUUAGUGAUAUAUUUUAAUUAUAUUUAUUAUUUAUUUUUUUAAUAAUAUUUUUUUAAUUAUAUGAAGUAAAAUUAUAUUGUAUGAAGUAAAAAAAAUAUAUUUUCCGCAUUGGUUUCUUUUAUUCUACAGACAAAGGAUUUCUAAUGAUUUUUUAAAAAAAAAUUACUUAUAUAGAAUAGAUUAGUUUAUGCAAUAAAAAAUAAUUUCUUUUUUUAAAGUUUAAUGGAAAUUAAAAAAUUAAAAAUAAAUCAAUUCAUAUAAAUCUUAUUGUUUAUUAUCAUAUUAAAAUGAUAAAAAGUAUAUGACCAAAAUAGAAGAAACAAAUUCAACACAAUGUUUUUGGAGUUUAUUAUCAUAUUUCUAAUUUGUUGUUAAAUAGAUCUAUUUCUUCCAGCGUAGUUGAAUUAAAAAUAUUUGAUGGAAUCUGACCUGCACACAUAGUCGAAAAUUGAAGUGAAAAUUAUAUCUUCUAAACUGUUCAACUAAAAAUACUUUAAGCAUAUUUUUUAAGGUUAUUGCAUUUACCCAUGCCAAAUGGAAUGCUACCAAAUAACUCAUUGCUAUGCAAGUAAAGCCCUUCAAGCUUGGGAAGAUGUUGACACAUAUCAUUAGGAAAUUACCUGAUAGGCUAUUUUUGGAGAGAUCAAUGGUCUUCAGAGAAGAAAUGUUGAAGAUCAAAGUUGGAAUCUGACCUGUAAGGCCUUUAAUUGCUUGAAUAUUAAGCAAUUCCAAACCAUGAAGAUUACCAAUUUCCUCAGGAAUUUGACCUGCACACAUAGUCGAAAAAUCAAGGUGUCAAACUACCUAUUUUGUUAGCAUAAGUCAAAGAGGUUUUCUUUUCUGUUCUAUGGUAAUUUGGAGAUGUUAGAUUUUCAUAUAUUUCAGCAUAUGUUUUUCAUCAAAUGAAAUAAAAACUUUUUCCUUUUGUUAUCUAUUACAAAUCAAACUCUUUUAUAAAAAAAAUACUUAAAAUUCAAGAAAUCAAGGAAAUUGAUUACCUUCUAGAUUAUUAAAUCCCAAAUAUAAUUCUCUGAGUUGUGUCAGAUUUCCAAUACUUCUUGGAAUGAUCCCCGUCAAUUGAUUCAAGGACAAGGACAAAUUAUUAAGGUUGCUGCACUUGCCCAUACUUGACGAAAUGUUACCAGAUAACUCAUUGCUCUGCAAGUAAAGCCCUUCAAGCUUGGGAAGAUGUUGACACAUAUCAUUAGGUAAACUACCUGGUAGGCUAUUGCUGGAGAGAUCAAUGGUCUUCGAAGAAGAAAUGUUGGAGACCGAAGUUGGAAUCUGACCUGUAACGCCUUUAAUUGCUUCAAUAUUAAGCAAUUCCAAACCAAGAAGAUUACCGAUUUCCUCAGGAAUUUGGCCUGCACACAUAGUCGAAAAAUCAAGGUGUCAAACUACCUAUUUUGUUAGCAUAAGUCAAAGAGGUUUUCUUUUCUGUUCUAUAGUAAGUUGGAGAUGUUAGAUUUUCAUAUAUUUCAGCAUAUGUUUUUCAUCAAAUGAAAUAAAAACUUUUUUCUUUUGUUAUCUAUUACAAAUCAAACUCUUUUAUAAAAAAAUACUUAAAAUUCAAGAAAUCAAGGAAAUUGAUUACCUUCUAGAUUAUUAAAUCCCAAAUAUAAUUCUCUGAGUUGUGUCAGAUUUCCAAUACUUCUUGGAAUGAUCCCCGUCAAUUGAUUCAAGGACAAGGACAAAUUUUUAAGGUUGCUGCACUUGCCCAUACUUGACGGAAUGUUACCAGAUAACUCAUUGCUAUGCAAGUAAAGCACUUCAAGCUUGGGAAGAUGUUGACACAUAUCAUUAGGCAAACUACCUAAUAGGCUAUUGUUGGAGAGAACAAUGGUCUUCAGAGAAGAAAUGUUGAAGAUCGAAUUUGGAAUCUGACCUGUAACGCCUUUAAUUGCUUGAAUAUUAAGCAAUUCCAAACCAUGAAGAUUACCGAUUUCCUCAGGAAUUUGACCUGCACACAUAGUCGAAAAAUCAAGGUGUCAAACUACCUAUUUUGUUAGCAGAAGUCAAAGAGGUUUUCUUUUCUGUUCUAUAGUAAUUUGGAGAUGUUAGAUUUUCAUAUAUUUCAGCAUAUGUUUUUCAUCAAAUGAAAUAAAAACUUUUUCCUUUUGUUAUCUAUUACAAAUCAAACUCUUUUAUAAAAAAAAUACUUAAAAUUCAAGAAAUCAAGGAAAUUGAUUACCUUCUAGAUUAUUAAAUCCCAAAUAUAAUUCUCUGAGUUGUGUCAGAUUUCCAAUACUUCUUGGAAUGAUCCCCGUCAAUUGAUUCAAGGACAAGGACAAAUUAUUAAGGUUGCUGCACUUGCCCAUACUUGACGGAAUGUUACCAGAUAACUCAUUGCUAUGCAAGUAAAGCACUUCAAGCUUGGGAAGAUGUUGACACAUAUCAUUAGGCAAACUACCUAAUAGGCUAUUGUUGGAGAGAACAAUGGUCUUCAGAGAAGAAAUGUUGAAGAUCGAAUUUGGAAUCUGACCUGUAACGCCUUUAAUUGCUUGAAUAUUAAGCAAUUCCAAACCAUGAAGAUUACCGAUUUCCUCAGGAAUUUGACCUGCACACAUAGUCGAAAAAUCAAGGUGUCAAACUACCUAUUUUGUUAGCAUAAGUCAAAGAGGUUUUCUUUUCUGUUCUAUAGUAAUUUGGAGAUGUUAGAUUUUCAUAUAUUUCAGCAUAUGUUUUUCAUCAAAUGAAAUAAAAACUUUUUCCUUUUGUUAUCUAUUACAAAUCAAACUCUUUUAUAAAAAAAUACAUAAAAUUCAAGAAAUCAAAGGAAAUUGAUUACCUUCUAGAUUAUUAAAUCCCAAAUAUAAUUCUCUGAGUUGUGUCAGAUUUCCAAUACUUCUUGGAAUGAUCCCCGUCAAUUGAUUCAAGGACAAGGACAAAUUUUUAAGGUUGCUGCAUUUGCCCAUACUUGACGGAAUGUUACCAGAUAACUCAUUGCUAUGCAAGUAAAGCACUUCAAGCUUGGGAAGAUGUUGACACAUAUCAUUAGGCAAACUACCUGAUAGGCUAUUGCUGGAGAGAAUAAUAAUCUUUAGAGAAGAUAUGUUGAAGAUGGAAGAUGGAACCUGACCAGAUAAUUGAUUGAGUCCCAAGUUCAAAAUCUCUAGAUUAGAUAUGCUAACAAGUGUUUCAGGGAUUGUGCCUGUAAAGUAAUUAUUUUUCAUUUGUAGCCUUCGAACUCUCUGUAAGUUCCCAAGCCAUGAUGGAAUUUCCCCAUUCAGACGGUUGUAGCUUAAUUGAAGGAUCCUCAAACGAUGCAAUUGGCCCAAUUCUUUAGGGAGAUGGCCAUAGAAAUGGUUGCUACUCAAGUCGAGAGAGAGUAGAAAUGAAAGAUUUCCAAGGUGUGGAGGGAUAGUACCCCUAAGAUUCAUGCUUGUAAGAUUCAAAGCUAUAACUCUUUUAUGGAGGAUGCCACAAGAGACACCAAUCCAAUUGCAAACAGAGGUUGAGGCCGUCCAAUUGUCUGCCAAGACAAUUUGAGGACCGCCAAUACGAUCCUUAAACUCAAGAAGUGCAAACUGAUCGGAGUUGAGAUUCCUGACUGUCAUAGCCAUGCAAAGUACGAAACAUGGUAUGAAUAAAGCUAAGAGAAGAUGAAAGCAAGUUUUGUAGUUCAUGAUUGCAAGACAGAAUAAGGCAAGAAAAUAAAAAAAGUAGGAAAAGGGCAGUUGAGUUGAUAAAAUAGUUUGGAUGAUGAAGAAAAGCCCAGAGAGCAUGCUUUAAUAUGUUUCAACCCUCGCACACUUGAUAAACUUGAUAAAAAUAUUUUGAUCUAAUAAAUGUAAAAAAAAAUUAAACAAAAUAAGGUUGAAAUAAUCUAUUUGUCCUUAUAUUUUGAUAAAGGUUGAGAUUAGUCCUUAUACUUAAAAGGUUAAAAAUAAAGUUUUCUUGUUUUUAUUUAAAAAUCUUAGUCCUAUCGUUAAUUUUUUUUGGGCAAAAUUUGUCAACUGGACAUAUUAAUUUGGUUUCCCUUAUAUGUCGUUGUAUAUGACUAACACAAAAUAAGCAAGUUGACAAAUUAUGACAAAAAAAUAUCAAAGAUGAUAAUAAUUUGAUUAAAAUUUUUAAAUUGAAUUAAUAACCUUUAACAUAUAAGGAAUGGAUAUCAAAUAUUUAUAGGAAUAAAGGGACAAACAACAUAUUUUAACCACAAAAUAAUAUGAGUGAUUAGAAUGAAUCUAAAAGAGACUAACAACAUAUUGAUAACUUUGAAAUCUCCUACGAUCAUCCUUUUUCUACGUAGAAAAAGAAAAUUAAUUAGCAUCUAAAGUGUCAAUUAAUGAAACCUUCAAAAGAAAAUGUGAAAGUGAUUUACCAAACAAUAAUAUUCUAACUUAUAAUAUAUUUAAUUACAUUUAGUACUUUAUCAAUCAAAACUUAAUUAACAUCCAUCAAUACUUCAUACAUAAGUAAAUUUACCAUUUAACUCAGAUUUAACUUUGCAAGUAAACUUGAAAUUUUAUUUAAUUUUGUCACUAAAUUUAAUUUGCUCAAUAUAGAUUUUGGUGACUUAAAACAAAAUUAAUAAAAAAUUAUUCUUUCAGACAUCUUUUUAAUGUUUAAUAAUAAGUUAAUUUAUAAAAUAUACUUUCAUUGGACACAAGCCUCCAAGGCAGUGAACCACUAAUCAAAUUAAUUUGGAGAUAUCUUUUUUUUCCAAAUAAAAUGGAUAUCAAGAGAUACCAAAAAUUAUUUCACUAAGAAAUUUUAAUUCACUCGAAAAGUUAGUGUUUUAUUUCAAGGGGUCAUAAUUAUAAAUUUUGAACUUUUUGACAAUUGCGUAAAUAAUAAAUACCAAUUUUGAGUGCUGUAGGGCUAGGACAAUCUCCCUUACACAUAACCGACUCUUGAACCUACUCUUUUCUCUAGAAUUCAACUCAGACCUCAAAUUUAUCUUUUGAAAAGAAUUUUAAAAUCUUUGUAUAAAAGGUGUAAAAAUAUAUAUUUUAUUAAUUACUAUAUAUUCUUUUAUUUUCAGAAUAAUAAAUUGUUUAAAAUAUGCUACUAGUCCCUAUAAUUUAAAAGUUAAAAGUAAUUGGGAUCUUGAGUGCAUCAAAUUCCUCCUUUUAUUAUUAAAUGUUUUAUUUUAGUUACUCUAAUUAAAUAUAUCCAAAUUGUAAUAAACAUUUAUUAUAUAAAAAAUAUUUUAAAUUUAUUUCAAUUGCAAUUUAAUUUUAGUAGAAAUAUUUCAUUUAUAAAAUCAUAAAAUUUUAAAAUAUUAACUUUAUUAAAUAAAAAAUAAUUUUUUUUAAACAGUAAAUGUUGACUUUAUUAACACAAAUGGGUCUUUAGGGUUAAACUUCAGUAACUGACGAGCUCUUCCACAAACUGUGGAUGAUUUGGGGAUAAGAACUUCAAUAAUUCUAGAGUUAAAGUGUAAAUUUACUACUAUAUUAUAAGUAAAUAUUGAAAUUUAUCACUAAAUUUUAAUUGAUACUUGUCAUUACACUUUGAAAAUAUAAGUAAAUUUACCAUUUAACUCAUAUGUGAUUGAGCUUUGCAAAUAAACUUAAAAUUUUAUUUAAUUUUGUCACUAAAUUUGAUUUAUUUAAUUAAAUUUACAACUCAAUAUAGAUUUUGGUGACUUGAAUUAAAGUUAAAAAAAAAACUAUUCUUUCAAAUAACUUUUAAUGUUUACUAAUAAGUAGAUUUAUAAAAUAUACUUUCAUUGGACACAAGCAUCCAAGGCUGUGAACAAACCACUGGUCAAAUUAAUUUGGAGAUAUCCUUUUUGCGUUUUUCUUUUUUUUUAAAUAUUUUUAAUAUUUUUGUGGGUAUCAACAGACACCAAAAAUUAUUUCACUAAGGAAUUAAUUUGUAUUUUAUUUUAAGGGUUCACAAUUGAACAUUAGAUUUUUUAUUUUUAAAUUUUGAAUUUUUUGACAGUUGCGUAAUUAACAAGUACUAAUUUAGGGUGUUGUAGGGUUAUUACAACCUUCCCUACACGUAACAGACUCUUGAACCUACUUUUUUUUCUCUAGAACUCAACACAAACCUUAAAUUUAUCUUUUUAAAACAAUUUUAAAAUAUCUUUAUAAAAGGUUAUUUUUUUACCCAUCACACUUAACAAAAUUUUAAAAAUUAUUAAUUUCUUUUUGAAAUUUAAAGUGAUCUAAAAAUAUAUUUUUAAGUGCUUUAGACCCUGCGGUGCUGAUUUCUUUAUUGUAUUAAAUGCUUGCAAUCACUCCUGAUAUCUUAUACUUGAGUUGUAACAAAACCAAUUAUCAUGUUCCAUAAUGUUCUAUUGAUGCUGAAACUGAAGUUUUUGUUAUAUUAAUAGAGCUUGUCCUUCAACACGUAUAACGGGUGUUUGUUAUUUUUUUCUUCAAAUUGUAUGAUCUCAUUCAUUAAAUGAAUUAAUGAAUUUCCCUUUAAAAAAUAUAAUUUUAAAAAUUAAAUACUUUAUAAGAUAUUUAAAACUAUUUAAAAAUUGUAAGCGUUAAAACAAUCAACAAGAUAUAUUUUUCUUUAAAAAAUCAAUAAAAAUAUGUUUAAAAUUUUAUAUGAAAUUUACAAUUUUUUAACAAUAAUAUAUUUUAAAAUUAUUUACACCUUUUUUAUAUAUUUUUCCUAACAUAUAUUUUCAACACUAUCGUAAUCCUGUUUUGAUAACUCCCUUUCCAUACAUCCUUUUUCUACAUAGAAUUUCGAAAGAAAAUGUGAAUUAAUGCAGACGUGAGAAGACUUAGAGGUAAGUCACCCAAUGAAAGUGACCUACUUAUGGAAAAAUCAAACAAUAAUUUUGUAUCUUAUAAUAUAUUAAAUUACAUUUAUGAGGUUAUCAAUCAAAACUUAAUUAAAAUCCAUCAAUAAAGUUGUUGAUUGUAUAGCUAAGGCAGAUGGAGGCAUAAUUGAGCAGUUAGUUAUCUUGGAAAAUCCUCCGCAUUAUGUGAGAUGUUGGCUUGAAGAAAAUAUUAGACAGUCGUUGGUCACUGAUGAUAAUUUUUAUUUGGAUUGAAGCUGGCUUAAUUUUCUAAGUUUAUGUUCAACUAGAAAAAAAAUGUCUAAAUUGUAAUUGAAUUAACAUUUAGUGUAUAAAAAAUAUCUUAAAUUUUUUUUUUCAAUUGCAAUUCAAUUCCACAAAUACCGACGAUGAACCCUAAAACGGACAUGAAAAUUACAAAAAGAAAAAAAGCACAUCUAUUAUCAAACCAGCAAUACAUGCCUAAACUAAUAGAGAUGAACCCUAUGAUAGAUUGUGACCCCCCAAAGUCGACCGGGAUAGACCAGCCUGAAUUCAAAGCAUUACAUUAGCCACCUAAAUGACUCUCCAGCUAACGACCACCCAAGGCACACCCCAACCUUAUAACACCUCAAUUUUAUCUAAUUAUUAGUUAUUUAUUAAUGCCAAAGUAAAUUAUGAGCCAAUUUUAAACUUUUCCUAAGUAAUUUAAUCUAUGGGCAUUUACGUUAUUUUACCACCUAUGGUAAAACUAACUUGAUUUUAGAUCUAAGUGUUUACUCACCUUCUUUUAGUCAAAUUAUGCAAGUCUAAAAUUUCCAGGUGAAUUUGAGUUUGUUUACUAUGUCUAAUUCAAGUUUUAUUAUUUAGGAUUAAAUUGUAACUUAAACAAAUUCGAAUACCAAUUUAAAGAGGCAAAAAUUCAAAACCCAAAACAGACACAAGCAUGUGCGUAAAUGACACGGGCGUGUGAAAACUGGAACUAUCACAUACGGACGUGUGGGAUUGAAAAAUAUAAAAUAAAUUAAUCCACUCAAUUUUCCAAUAGCCAUGCUAUACUACCAAACCAAAAAAUGCUUGAAGCUUUGAAUAGGGGUGAAUCUAAAAAAAAAAUUAGAAGAAUUAGAAUUAAAUUAUAAUCUAAAAAAAAUUAGAAGAAUUAGAAUUAAAUUAUAAAACUUUGAGAAGUUAAAAUAUAAUUUUAUCAUGUAUUAAUUUAUUAUUUUUAAAAUGGUCUUAAUUGAAUUUUUUUUUCCAUUUUUGUUGGGCCAAUACCCCUGCUUGCCUCUUUGAAUUUGCUCCAACCCUAAACCCAAUAAUCAAUUUGGAUUAACAACAAUAUAUAGGUUAGUAUUUGUGGGAGUUUGACAAUAAAAUUUUUUUUAAAAGGUUUAAAUUAUAAAUUUUUGAAAGAUUAAAAUAAAUUUGUAUUUUUUAUUAACAAAAUAUAAAAGAAAAAAACAUGUUUAGACAAGCCAAGAGACCUUUGGGAUCAUACGGGUGAUUUUGAUGAUGUUAAUAGUUAUUUUGGUGGAGAGGCUGAGAAAGAAACAAAUGAUUCAUUAUAUAUAAUAUAAUUAUGAAAUUCAAGCCAUAUAUUGUAUGUUUCAUACAUAAAAAAAAUUGGAGCAAUUUAAUCCCUAUCAAUUUUGAAAGUGAGCAACUAAGAACAAUGAAUUAUGGUGUUUCCUUCUUAAUUUCACAAUUGCGCAAAUUAGUCCCUCUCAAAAAAAAUUGGAGCAAUUUAAUCCCUAUCGAUUUUGAAAGUGAGCAACUAAGAACAAUUAAUUAUGGUGUUAAAUUCUUCCAUCAAUUGUACAUAAUUUUGAUUGGUAUAGUAAUAAAUUUAGCCUUCAAUGUUUAAAUAUUUUGUCAUUUUGGCCUUAAUUUUUUUUUAAAAAAAAUUCAAGCAUUUCAACCUCAACAUUUAGAUAUUUACACAAACGUUGCGGGAAAUUUUUGUUAAAUUUAGACCAAAUUGCAAGUAUAAAUUUUGAAGGCUAAAUUUAUUAUUAUACCAACCAAAAUCAUGUACAUUUUAUGGAAAAUUAACAUCCUGAUUAAUUAUUCUUAGUUACUCACUUUCAAAAUUAAUAGGGACUAAAUUGCUCUGAUUUUUUAAGGGUGACCAAUUUCCUCAAUUUGGAAAUUGAGAGAGACUAUUCAGAUAUUUUACAUAUUUUUUUAUAAAUAUAUUUUUUUAAUAUAAAAUAUAUUUGUUCACACAUAUUGUGAGUAUGAUAAAAUAUUUUUAUUAUUGAUUGAGUUGGUGUCAAAAAUUAACUCGACACCAACUCAAGAUUAAUAAUAACAAUAUGAUAAAUAAUUUAUUUAUUUAAUAUUCUUAAUUUAACAUAUUGAUGUAAAUUUUAAGACAUGCAUGUCUUGUAGAAUUGAGAUUAUACUAUUUGAGUAUUGAGUCAGUUUUCCACAAUGGUGGGUCUCGAGCAACAGCACAAUUUCAACAUUUCUUCAUCUCGCUUAAUCCAAAUGCAUUUAGGAUUUUUUUUUUAUAUCAUUGUUUCAAAAACGAUAAAAAAAAACGUGGACAUUGAAUUUUCUGUUUCACAUUCAAUUUUUGGAGAAGUAGAAUUUUCUAACUUAUUUUCCAUCAACUUCACUUCAAUUUUCAAUCACAAUCUAUUGUAUUCAAGAGUACCACAUCUUUUUGGAUGAAACAAACCUCUCAAUCUUAAGAUAAACGGAAUCUAUUGCAUUCAAGAGCACCACAUCUUUUUGGAUGAAACAAAGCACUCAAUAUUAAGAUAAACGGGUCUUUAGGGUUAUUAACUGAGGGCAUUUUCCACAAAUGGCAUCGUUAUUUGAAGGUGAUUCGGGGAUAAUAACAUCAACAUUUCUGUAUCACAUUUAAUUCAAUUCCACAUUUAACUUUUAAUUUUUGGAGAGAUGAUUGGGCUACAACAAUGGUUUGAAGUGAAGAUAUUUCAAAAGAAGGCAAAUAUAUCAAUUUUUUUAAGGGGUCUUUGGAGUUAUAUGUGACUUUAGCAUUAUUGACCGAUUUUUUUAUGGUUAAUCUUUUAUAAUAAGGUAAAUAUAUCAAUUUUAAUAACAUCGGCAUGUUUUUUAGUAGGGUCGAGCAAAACCCAAUUAAAACCUUUCAUCACUGCAAAAAUGAAAAUAAUAGAAAUGAAAGACUAGCCAUUGUAUGAGAUUUAUAAUUGUAACUGUCAACGAAAUUGGGAGAAAUUUUUAAAUUUUAUGAAAUUUUAAAAUUUAACUGUCAAUAAUAGAAAAUUGCCUGAGUAACUUGAGAUAAGAGGUUGAACAUUUCUGGAUCACAUUACAUUUAAGAUGGGUCUUUAAGGUUAUACUUUAGUUAUUGAGAACAUUUUCCACAAGUUACCGUCGUUAUUUGUGGGGUAAGUGGUUGAACACUUCUGGAACACAUUGCAUUUAGGACGGGUAUCAUUCAUAGACUGACUUUUCUAUAAUUAGUCCUUGCUUUACUUUAGGUGGAUUCUUCCAACUAGUCCAAGAAUUAUUGUACAGUUACAAUUAAUCUUUUUAAAUGAGACAAACAUUUCAAAUUUGUCGUUACUAUUUGUGAGUGAUUUGGGGGUAAGAAGUUUAACACUUCUGGAUGUCUUAUAGAAUUGUGAUUAUACUUUUUGAGUAUUGACUCAGUUUUCCACAAUUGUGGGUCUCUAUUUGAGCAAAACAAUUUCAACAUUUCUUCAUCUCGUUUAAUCCAAAUGCAUUUAUGCAUUUCUUAUAUCAUUGAAUUUGCUGUUUCCCAUUCAAAUUUUGGACAAGUAGAAUUUUCUAACCUAUUUUCCAUCAAGAAUUUUCUAACCUAUUUUCCAUCAACUUCACUUGAAUUUUCAAUCACAAUCAAUUGCAUUCAAGAGCACCACAUCUUUUUCGAUGAAACAAAACUUUCAAUUUUAAGAUAAACGGGUCUUUAGGGUUAUUAUUCAUUUAUUGAGGGCCUUUUCAACAAUUGCCAUCAUUAUUUGUUGGUGAUUUGGGGAUAAUAACUUGAACAUUUCUGGAUCACAUUGAAUUCAAUAUUCUUAUACAAUAGUAUUUUAUAUAUAUACGUACAUAAUUUAUAUUAAACUAUUUUUAUUUUAUAUAUUAUUGAUUUCGUAUUAUUAUAACUAUUGACCUUAUGUUUAUAUGUUUUUUUAAAACCUAUUUUUUACAUAUACAAUUUACUUCUUUUAAAAAAACCCUACUUCAUAUACUUGGUUUAUUUCAAAUUUCUACAUAUAUUAUUAUGCAUAUAUAUAUAUAUUAUCAUUUGUAUUGUUAUUAAGCUUUUCAUUUCAUAUAUAUUAAUUAUUUAGGUUAAUACAUACAUUAUUUUGUACAUUACCUAUUUUGAUUUUAUUCUUAUGCAAAAUUUACUUUAAAAUUUGUUUACAUAUUAUUGUUUCACAUAGUAUUUAUUUUUAACUCUAUUUUUGGUCUAUUUCGAAUUUUCAUGUACAUUAUUUAUUUUUAUACUUUUUGGAUUUACAAUUUCCUUUCUUUCAUGCCAUUUUUUAAUUAUUUCAAAACUUAUACAUUGGAUUUGCAUUUGUGUUAAUUUGUUUGCUUUUUAGGUUUUACUAGCUUUUAAAUAUGGAUGUUAGUAGUUGCAUAAUGUGUAAUAUAAGAUUGUUGCCCUUAUGUAUGUUGUAUUGUUUAUUUGUAUUUUAUUGAUCCUUUGUUGCUCAUUAGCUUACAUUUAGCUUACAAAUUGUAAGUGUAACUUUUGAGGGCUAAAUUUAUUAUUAUACCAACCAAAAUCAUGUACAUUUUAUGAAAAAUUAACAUCUUGAUUAAUUAUUCUUAGUUGCUCACUUUCAAAAUUUCUCUGAUUUUUUUUGGGUGACCAAUUUCCUGAAAUUGGAAAGUGAGAGAGACUAUUGAGAUCUUUUACGUAUAUUUUUUUAUAAAUAUAUUUUUUAAAUAUAAAACAUAUUUGUUCACACACAUCAUGAGUGUCGAAACCAUUUUUUUAAUAAAUGGGGGUCGACUUUUAUUUUGAAAAUGAAAAUAAACAAAUGGGACUCGCCACUGAUCUUUUGUUUAGUGUGAUCAGAUCACCUUGAAAGCGAUUUUGGUCUACGAAAUUUGAGAAAACAGGUUGGGGAGUCGAUUACGCACGAGGAAGGGUUAGCACCCUCGUAACACCCAAAAUUGGUACCUAAUUGAUUAAUUAAUGUCUUAAUGUCGAAAUUUUAAAAAAAAAAUUUAAAAUACAAUCCUUCUAUUCAAAUGAACACUUGUAUGAAUCAGAUUGCGUACUAAGACCCUCUUGUUUUGGAGAAAUAGAAUGCCACACACAGUGAGUUAGGAUAUGACAUUUUCACAUCUUCCAAAAAUGAGCUGGCCUUUUGAUUUUUUUUUUUAAAAAAAAAACUCUUGCAGUGAAGUUUAAAAAAAGGAUACUCUAUUGUUUUGGUUAGAUGAAAAUAAAUGAAUAAAUGAAUAGCAUACAAGAAAGGAAAUUUAAAAUUAUCAAUACAUAAACAAUAAAUUAUAUGCAUUAACUUUUAAAAUAAACAAUAUAUAUACGAGUUUGAAAUAGAUCAAAAAUGAAGAUAAAAAAUAGAUACUAUAUGAAAUGAUAAUAUCAAAAUGAAUUUUAAAGUAAAUAUUGAAUAAAAAAAAUCAAAAUAUGUAAUAUACAAAAUAAUAUAUAUUAAUCUAAAUAAAUAAUAAAUAUGGAAUGAAAAAUUCGAAAUAGAUAAUACUAUAUAUAUAUAUAUAUAAAUAUAUGUGAAAAGUCGAAAUAGGUAGAAUAUAAUAAAAUAGGUUUUUUAAAGAAAUAAAUUAUAUAUAUAUGGAAAUAGGUAACAAAGAUAUAUAUAACAGCAUGAAAUCAAUAAUAUAUUAUAUAUGCAUAUAUGUAUAAUAAAAAUAGUUUAAUAACACUUGUAUAUAUAUGUAUAAAAUAGUAAUAUGAAAGAGCAUUAUCGUAUAAAUCUUUAAAACAAAGAAGUAUAUAUAAGUGCAUUUUAAAAAUGUAUUUAAAAUAAAACCAUUAAAAACGUAUAAAUUAUAUUGAAAUUGCAUAAAAAGUAUAUAAAAUAAUAGAUGGAAAUUAAAAUAAUAAUAUAUGAUAAAUUUUAAAAAAAAAGUAAUUAUACAUGAAAAACUUAGAAUAAUAAUACAUAAAAAACUUAAAAUAAUAAUACAUGAUGAAUUUAAAUAACAAAUACAUGAUAAAUUUAAAUAAUGUUAAUGAUAAAUUUAAAAUAAUAAUAUAUUACAAAUUGAAAUAAUAUUGAUGAUAAAUUUAAAAAUAAUGUUAAGCUUAAACAUAAAAAUAAUAUUAGAUUUAAAAUUAAAUAUAUAUUUUUUUAAAAAUAACAGGAUAAUAAAUAUUUAAAAAAAUUGAACACGUUAAAUUAAACAAAUACGGGUUAAAUUGUAUUUAAUACAAAAUUAAAAGAAAAAAUGAAAAUAAAAUAAAAUAGAGGGCCAAAAUGCAGCACACGAAUAACAUGGGGGACUAAAUGGGGAAUAUUCCCUGCCCACCAAAACGCUGUGUUGCAAUAUGGAUCAAAAUGAACAGUAUUCAAAUUAAACGAGGUAAAUUUAAAAAUAAAAAAUGAAAUUAAAAUAGUGAAAGAAAAUAAAAGGGUCAAUGGUGCAAAUAUCCCCUUUUAGACCCAAAACACGUGGAUCUGACCUUGCUCGAGUCGGGUCAUUAGAUCUCUUAAACCUAAACCAUUGAAGCAAGGCCCAAACGGUACCAUUUCAUGGUCUUCUUAAAACAAAAACCUAAACCACUAUUUGGUUGUUCUUAAAUCAGAUUAGCCAAAACCCUAGCCGCUCGAAUGCUUUGCCGAUAUUCAACCUUACAGUCCUCGCUUGAGCUCCGAUUACGACAAAGUGAAUGGGGAUACAAUGGCGCUAUCUUAUAGGUAAAUCCCUCUCCUCUCAUUCAUUUCUCUUUCACAAACAAGUAUAACAAACAAAGAUUGAGGAAACAGAAAAGAAAAAAGAAAUCUAAAGAUAAAGAAAUGGGAUUUUUUUUCAUAACGGCUAAAUCAUUCAACUCAUAGUUUUUGUUAAAUGAAGAGGUCAAUUGAUUUUUUUGGAAUCAUUGAGUACUCAAUUGGUGCACUUUUUUCAUAAAGGCUAAAUUAAUUUUUUAAUUUGUUACUGUUGAGGGCUAUAGCAAUAAAAAAAAUUGAGGUAAAAUGGAAAAAAUGUUAGAGCUAAAUUUAUCACUAUGCCUAAAACCAAAAUUUUUUGAAAAUAAAAAAAAAUGGAAAAUCACAAAUUUUGUCACUUAUGUUAGCUUAAAAUUAUAGUUUUGGUCACCAAUCUUUUGAAGUAAAUAUCUGGUCAACAAUAUUAUCCAUUUGUUACUUUGUAAUAACUCACCUUAAAGUUAUAUCCCUGCGCAAGAAAGGAUUAAAUGACAAACUUGUAUCUUUUUUUAUUCAUCCAAUGUCAUUUCAACAUUUUCAUUUAAAAAAAUUGACAUAUCAUUUUGAAUUCCAUCUUUUUCAUGAUGAAACUAUUGAAAUGAUGUUAAAUUACUGGAAAGAGAUACAAGUUUAAUCUUAUCUAUCUAAGAAAGCUGAUGUAACACAUUAAUGACAUCAUUCCAAACAAAGUUUUAGGUCCAAUUGUUCAUCUAGCCCUUGUAAUUGUUUUUAGGUGAAUUUCAUUAUUAAUCUUUUAUUUUCUUUGGCUUAAAUACACAUUUACCCUUAAUUUUAUCACAUUCUCCUUCACUGGUAUUUAUGGUUUAGAAAAUUUUACAAAUAUAUUAUUUUUUAAGAAAUUAUAAGAAGAUUACAAAAAUUCCAAAAUAAUAUAAAAAAGCUAAGGAAAACCUAGAAAUUCAAAAAAAAAAUCAUGUUUUUACAAAUUGGGAAAUACCUAAAUUUGUUUUCAUCAAUUAAGAAAUUAAAAAAAUUGUUGAGAAAUAUCUUUUUAGAAAUAUCAUAAUUGCAUUUAAGACCUCAUGAUUAUCUUUUAUAAUUUCAAGGUUAUCAACUAUUUUGAAAACAAAGACAAAAACAAAAACAAAAACGUCGACAUAUCACUUUAGCAUUGACUUACUUUUCUACAGUUAGUCUUCUCCAACAAGAUAAAUAUUUCAAUUUUAACAACAUUGACAGGUCUUUGGGGUAGGGUCGAGCAAAAGUCAAUAGAAACAGAUGAUAUAAGUUUAAAUCGGCCCGGUCAAGCCGAUGUCCUGGUAAAAUCAAUUUUAAAAUUAAUUAUAAUAGUUUAAGCGAAUUGAUUAUUAAGUAAUGAAAUACUUAAUUCAAACAAUUGAUGUAAUCAAAUUAUAAUAAAUAUAUAUUUACUUUUAUGGGAUCCUUCAUCUCCUUUUUAGAGUUUGUGGCAAUAUUUAUUUUAAGCUUCAAAUUUAUAUUUUUUAUUUAUGAGUACAAUGUGUUUUACAAUUACAUCUACAGUGUAUAUUUUUUAUUUUAAAACAUAUAUUAUAAUAUAUGAAAAACAUAUAUGUCGAAACCAUUUUUAAUAAUUUUGAAAAACGGGGAUCGACUUCGAAAAUAAAAUGGGAGUCACCAUCGAUCUUUUAUUGAGAUAUGAUCGGUUCACCAUUAGACGUAAUUUUGGUCUGCAAAUUUUGAGAAAACAAGUUCAGGAAUCUGUUAAGCACGAGGAAGGGUUAGCACCCUCGUAACGCCCAAAAUUGGUACCAAAUUGAUUGUUUAAUGUCUUAAGGUCGAAAUUUUGAAAAGAUUUUAAAAUACGAUCCUUUGAAGUUUAAAUUUGAAUAAACCAAAUUGAAUAAUAAGACACACUCAUUUCGAAUAAAUAAAUUGUCACACUCAGUGAGUUAGGAUGCAACAAUUCAAUCAUCAAAAUUAAGUAUGUCUUUUUUAAUUUUAAAAUUUUAAAAUUCAUGCAUUUUGAGAAUGUUGUUCGGUUAUUUAAGUCAAACGAGAAAUCAGAAUUCAGUAAGUUAGGUUUCGAUUUCUUGAAGUUCUUAAACAUCAAAUAUUGUCUUUAUUUUAAAAUCAGGAUAUCAGAAUGUCACAUCCGGUAAGUUAGGAUCCGACAUUUUGAAAUCCUAAAUGCUUAGUUUUAAAAUGGUAUGGUUUUAAUAAAAUAAGCAUAUAGCUAUUUAAAUUCAUCGAGAAAAAUUGGAACCCAAUAAGUUAGGGCACAAUUCUCUCGAAAAUUAUAAAUGCUAGACCUUUUUUAAUAUGAAAUAGAAUAAAAAAUUUAAAAGAAGUAUGAAAUGUAAAAGAUGAUUGAUAAUUCAAACUUAAACUAAGAAGUAGCAAAUAAGUGAUAAAUAAAUACAAAUAAGGAAUAGCAAUAAUAGUUUUAAUAAUAUUAUAUUAACGCUAACAUUGACAAUCAAACAUCAAAUUCUAAAGUAUAUCCAAGAUGAUAAAAGGGGAAUUUCACCUCACGAAACUUAUGCACACAAGUUCUAAAAGAUUUAUUCACAAAAUCAAAAUAGAUUCGAAAUAAAAUAAUAAUAACAUUGUAUAAUAGCAUUUCGAAAUGAGCUUGAAACAAAUAAAAUAUAUUUAUUAAUCCACCUUAAAUAAUACACAUAAAAUAACUAUGAAAGGGUCUCAAUGCAUGUAUGAUUUAAAAGAAAUAAGUAAUUACCCAAAUAGGUUUUCAAAGAAAUAAAUUAUAUAAAUGAAAUCGACUUAAAAUUCAUAUAUGCAUAUAAAAAUACUUUGAAAAUUUAUAAUCAUGAUGAUAUUAAACAUCAAAACAAUAAUAUAUAUAUUUUUUGAAAUAAUUUAAUAUCACAUAUAGUAGCAUUUAAAAACAUUAUAUUAAAAGAAAAUUAAGUUAUAACACAAAAUGAAUUACUAAAAUAUGUUCAAAGUAUGUCAAAUUGCUAUAAAACAUUUUUACAUAUAUAGAUGAUGAAACAUAUAAUGAUAUAGAGUUUUAAAAUAAAAAGGAUAAAUUUUAAAAAAAUGUUAAUAAACUCAAAACAUGUUAAUAAUAAUUUUAAAUAACAAUAUGUUGUACCUUAAAAUUAUAAUAAAAAUGUUUGAAAACAGUGUUAAUCCUAAUAUUUAAAACUUAUUAAAAAUAAACAUAUUAAAAAUACUAAGCUAACUUUACAUUAUGUUAUAUAUAUAAAAAAAAACUAAAUUUGAAUGAAAUUUGUAGAAGCCCAAAUUUGCCGGGCCCAUACCAACAAAAUAACCCAAACAAUAAACCCGAAGCCCAACUACCCCAGCCCAUUAACCUAAGCUCAGCAUUCAGAAACCCUAAUCCCACUAACCCUAGCCACCUACCCCCACUUGCCCACUUGCCCACUUGCGCCGAACACCACCAUGCCACUAUCGGCCAUGGCCACCUGCAAGAAGCCAAGUAGAAAUAAACAAAUAGAAAAUAAACAUUUGUAAUUGGUUAUAAAAACCGAAAAUCUCACCAUUGAUAAAGGGGAUUUUUUAUUUUUUGCUAUGAAAACAAAAGAUUUUCUUUCAAUAUUAACAGAUUCAAUACAAGAACCAUUCGAAAAUAUAUAUACUAUCAGGGGCUCUAACACCAAAUCGGAGAAUCAAAUCUAAAACCUAAGGUGAACCUAAGGUGACUCUUUCUUUUUUUUUUCUUUACUGUUUUGAGUUUAUUUUCUACAUAAAAAUACUAAAAAAUAUUAAAACAUAAAAAUAUAUGCAUUAUUAAGCAAAAAAAAAAAGAAAAAAAGAAAAAAAAUAUUUUUUUUACCUUUUCCGGCCACCGCCGGCGAGCCUCCGGUGGCCGUCCGGUGACCGGCCCCCUGGCCGGAUUCCCCUUUCCCCCUCCCUUCUCUCUCCCUUCUCUCUUCCCUCUCUCUCUUCUUUUUUUUCUUUCCCUCUCCCCAAAGGAUUUUUUUGGCUAUUUUAGGCCUUUAUAUAGCCCUCCAAAACGAUGUCGUUUUGGGGGCUACACUUAAGCCUCAAAACGACGUCGUUUUGACCAUUGCCCGACCCAUCCGACCCGACCCGCUAGAGGAUCCGCGUGUUUUCGUUUGAAUGGGAUAUUUAUGCGCGCAGUCCUUCCGCUUUUUCAAGGUUUUGCAGUUAAGUCAUUUUUCUUGUUUCCAAUUUGGCCCCAUAAUUUCUCGCGCUUUUCGAUUUAGUCCCCGCUAAUGUGCUGUGUUUUAAUGGAAUGGAAUAAUUGUUGUUUCGGUCCUCCUAUGUUUUGUGCGCGCUCAAAUAAGCCCAUUUCUCUUUAUUUCCUUUCACAUUUGCCCCACAACUUUGUUUUUAAUUCAAUUUUAGUCCUUUUUCGUUUAUUUUUAUAUCUUUAUUAAAUAUCAUUGUUAUUUUAUAUUAUUAGUAUUAUUAGUAUUACUAUUAUUAUUAUUAUGUAUUAGUAUAUAUUUUUAUUAUGUACGCGUAUACAUGUAUAUAUAUUUUCAUAUUUAAUAUUUUUAUUUCAUUUUUUUCUAAUAUUUUAUUAUAAUUUAUAUAUAUAUACAUAUACAUAUUCUUUAUUUAUUUUAAGUAUAUAUUUUUUAUAUUUCAUAUUUUCUACAGGCAUAUAUAUACUUAUAUAUUUACAUAUUUUAAUUCAUAUACUUAUAAAUGUAUGUACAUACUUACGUUAUUUUAUUUUUAUAAUAUACAUAUUUAUAUUUUUUUGUCUUUAUGUAAUAUAUAUACAUACAUGCGCAUGUUAUUUAUAUAUAUGUAAUUAUGUUUUCAUAUUUUAUAAUUCUUGUACAUACAUAUAUAUAUAUAUAUGUAUAGACAUACAUAUUUUCAUUAUAUAUAUAUACCUACAUAGUUUUUUUUUUGUAUUUUAAAUCUUUUAAAAUUCAUACAUGCAUUUUUAAAACUUUUAUAAUUUUAUUCAUUUCUUUAUUAUUAUUAUUGUUUUACUUUAUGUUUAUCUAUUUAUUUAUGUGUCCAUUAUUAUUUUUUUUAAAAAAUGUUUUAGUUUUUUUUAUUUUGUUUAUUUACUUGUUAUUGUAUAUAAUUGAUUUUUUAUAUAUUUAUUUUUGUUAUCUUCGCUCGUAUUAUUUUUACUCGCAUUAUCGUAAUUGUUAUUCCGUCACAUCAAUUUUUACCCAAAUUCGUAAAAAAGGGAAAAUUUUGGAAAUAAAGGCAAUACUCGAUACUUGGGAUCUUCGAGAGAAUUGGGCCCUAACGUGCUGGGUUCUAAUUUUCUGUUGAAUCUAAAUGCUCGAGAAUGCUCUUUAAUAUAAAACAUAAAUAAAAACUCAUUAUCGGGAUUUCAAUAUGUUGUGUCCUAACGCAUUGGAUAUGACACGUGGUUUUCUCGAUAUGAGGAUUUUUUUUUUCGAAAGUAAAGACAAUAUUCCGUAUUUAGAAAAUUCGAGAAAAUCAUGCCCUAACUUACUGAGCUUCGAUUUUUCUCGUUGAUUCUAAGUAAUCGGAUAUCCUUUUAAAAUUAAAAUAAAUGAGGUUUAAAUAAAAAAAUGAAAGGCAAGUUUACUCUCGAAAAUACGAGGUGUCGUGUCCUAACUUACUGGAUGUAACAUCUUGUUACUUCGAGAUAAAGAGGCAUUUUCCAUUUUGAUUUAUUCGAGUAUUUUUAAAAUAACACGAUAUAAGGAGGGAUCAUAUUUUUAAGAUUCUUUUCGAGUUUUUAAUUUUCGACACUAAGACACUAAUUAAUCAACUAGGUACCAAUUUUGGGUGUAUCGAGGGUGCUAAUCCUUCCUCGUGCAUAACCGACUCCCGAACUCAUUUUUCUGAAUUUCGUAGACCAAAAUCGUUGUUUUAAUAAAAUUAAAUCAUUUAUUAAAAACAACCACUUUUUGAGGUGACCCGAUCACACCUCAUCAAAAAAGGAUUGGUGGCGACUCCCAAUUUCGUUUCAUUUUCAAAAUCCAAGUCGACCCCGUUUUCAUCCAAAAAAUGGUGUCAACAGCUUGGCGACUCCACUGGGGACAAUAAGAGAGUCAAGCCACGUGUUGAUUAUUUCUUGUCUUUCUGUUGAAAGUGGAAAAUUCGAUUUAAAUUUACGAUCCUCUCAUUACAUCUCUUUUGUUUUGAGUUAUAUUUUUAUUGUGUUCUGUAUUUUAUUUUAUACCUCUGCACAUUGCAUUGCAUGACCGCUGGUCAUACCCUUUUUAAGUGGGAGUGAGAAGCUACGCCUUCGUGAGGUUUUCACCUCCGCAUGGGAUAGUGAAUCGCUUUCGGGAUAUAUCCGUACCUAUGUCUUCGUGAGAUUUUCAUCUCCGCAUGGCCAUAGGGAAAUGUAUCCCCCUGAAUCGAACUCGGUCCAUAUGAGCCUAUAAUGGGUGAGGAUCGAGGAAUCUGCUGGUUCAGGUACCCUUACUUUAGAACCAAACCUCAUGUAGUGAACCUUAGGAGCCCACCCUAGGUAGAACCACCUCCAAACCCCUAGUGGUCACCCGAAUUGCUUUAUUUGUUAUUUAUUCUGCACUAACGUGUUUUGUUUUUUUUUUGUUUAUAAUUGCAUUGUAUUACAUCAUCCUAGGAAGGAGGUGUUGAUUUAUAUUUGAUUGCUAAAUAGAACAGUUUGUCAUAAGAAAACAAAUUUUUUGAUAAAGUGGAUUAUAACACGGUUGUCUAAAUAUGGUCCAAGUGAAUACAUGAAAGAAGGCUGAUAGUCCGUGAAGAAAUACAAGACUUUGCUUCAUUGCCUGAAGACAGAAACUAACAAAGAUUAUUCGAGAGCUGUCAUGUCUUGACUUUCUUAAAGGAGCUGAAAAGUAUCAUAGAAAUAAGUGAGCAACGAGUCGCUGCCUGGAUCCAGCAAAAAAGCAGUUAAUAUAGACAUCUCUUGGAGAAUUCGUCAGACUCGACCAUAAGAUCCAGAUAUGAAGAGGAAGAAAGGUGUCUUCACUUGGAAUAUGAGAGAAAGACCGUGUAUGUAGUCCGUUUUAUGUAAAGGAAUUUGUUUUCUAGAAAAGUUGUUCCAAUGAAAUUAAAUUUAGAAUCAAUGUCUUCCUUUCUUUUUGCAUUCAUGCAUUUGCAUUACAUUACAUCAAAGAAAAGAAUGUGUUGAUUCGAAAUUCGAUUCCUAAAUAGAAUAGUUUGUCAUAAGGAAACGAAUUUCUUGAUAAAGUGGAUUAUAGUGCGGUCACCUGAAUAUAGUCUGAGUAAACACGAUGAGAGAAAGCUGGUAGUUCACGGAGGAAUACAUGAUGUAAUUUCUAGAGAUUCAAGCCAACGAAGGCAUGACGAGAGAAAGCCGGAAGUCCACGAAGGAAUACAUGACUUGAUUUAAUUGCCAACGAAGAUUAUCCAAGAGCCGGCACUUUUUGAUGAAUAUCAUGGAGAUAAGCGAGCAAGAGAUCGAGGCUCAGGUUAAGCAGUAAGGAGCUAGCAAAGGCAUCUUUUGGAGAAUUUACAGGGUUUAACCAUGAAGAAAAUAUCAGCGUUUACUUGGACUAUGAAGGGCAAUACCACAUAUGUAAACUAUUUUCAUGUAAAAAAAUUUGUCUUCUAGAAAAAUUAUUCUAAUAGAAUUAAAUUUAGAAUCAACGCAUUCUUUUUCUUUGCAUUCUUUUCAUGCAUUGCAUCACAUCAUAUGCAUUAAUGACCAUUUAAAAAGAACUUAAUCGAAUAAAAUCAUUUCAGUUAACCUGGAAAACCAACAAAGUUACGGCACCCGAGCUAAGGCAAAAGUUAUGGACCAAAGGUUGGAGAAGCUAGAGCGACUUCAAAAAGAAAUGCAAGACCAGUUGCAGGCGCAAAUGAAAGAGCAAAUGGAAAAGAUUCAGCGUGACAUGGUGCAAAAGAUGGAGGAGUCCCAAAAUGAUCUGGUGGCUAAGAUGACGCAAUUAUUGAAGGGAGUAGAUAAGGGUAAAGGUCCUGUGAUUGUUAGUGAAGAAGAAAACAAUGGUGAACCACUUUAUCCUCCAGGUUUCACGCCUCCGCAUGAGCAAGUACAGACUGAGCUGCAUCUGCGGAGACCCUCUGUGUCGGUUAGGCCCCAGCAGUUCCAAGGCGAUGCUUCAAUCCCAAUGAAUUUUCAACCCGGAGCGGGCUUUAAUCCCAGUGAUAGCCCGAAUAAUAUUGUUGUCCCAGAUCUUGAUGAGAUGGUUGAAAAGGACAAGGCGAAGGAGGAAUUUCCAAAACAAUUUGAGGAGAAAUGGAAAUGGAUAGAAGAAAAGUUUAGGGCAAUAGAAAGCAUCGAAAGCUACGGAAUAGAUGCAAAGGAUCUGAGCUUGGUUCCGGACUUGGUGCUCCCUUACAAAUUUAAGAUGCCGAAAUUCGAGAAAUACAACGGGACUAGUUGCCCAGGAUCCCAUAUUACUAUGUUUUGUAGAAGAAUGACGGGGCAUAUUAAUAAUGAUCAAUUAUUAAUACAUUGCUUUCAGGAAAGUCUUACGGGAGCGGCGUCAAAGUGGUACAAUCAGCUGAGCCGAGCUAAAAUUGCUACUUGGAGGGAUUUAGCACAGGCUUUCCUGAGACAAUACAAUCAUGUCUCAGAAAUAAUGCCUGACAGGAUAACUCUGCAAAAUUUAGAGAAGAAAUCAAACGAAAGCUUCAGACAAUAUGCGCAGAGGUGGCGAGAGGUGGCAGUUCAGGUGCAACCACCGCUUUUGGAAAAAGAGAUGACAACGCUUUUUAUUAAUACUUUGAAAGCCCCGUUCAUCACUCACAUGUUGGGAAGCGCUUCAAAAAAUUUCUCGGAUAUAAUCAUGAAUGGUGAAAUGAUUGAGCAUGCCAUUAAAAGUGGAAAAAUAGAUGGAGGAGAAAAUAAUAGGAGGGCACCCCUGAAGAAAAGAGAAAAUGAAGUGAAUAAUGUGAAUGCUUAUGGUAGGUCAAUUACCGUGAAUCAACCAAAGAAAGUGGUUGCUAAUCAACAGGGAUCAUCAAGACAAGAGUCGGGAGCUAGGCAAACUACUGAAAAGCCCUAAUUCACGCCAAUCCCGAUGUCAUACAAGGAGUUGUAUCAGACUUUAUUCGAUGCACAUGUUGUUGCUCCUCGUUACUUGAGUCCUCUACAACCCCCGUAUCCAAAAUGGUAUGAUAUGAACGCGCAAUGUGAUUAUCAUGCGGGAAUUUCUGGGCACUCGAUAGAAAAUUGUACUGCCUUCAAGAAGGUAGUAGAAGGACUUAUCAAUUUAGGUGUCGUCAAACUUGACGACUCACCUAACGCAAAGAAUCCGUUACCUAAUCACGCAGAUAAAGGGGUGAAUAUGGUUAGCGAAGAUACGGGAGAAGAAGCCAAGACUGACAUUGCUGAAGUAAAAACUCCAUUGAAACGGGUCUGGAAAGAAAUGGCGAAAAGAGGUUUGGUUAUUUCAGAUUCUGAGGAAGGGCAUGAGAUGGGAAAUUAUUGUGAAUUUCACCAUAAAACAGGGCACGAAAUCCAAGAAUGUGAAGGAUUUAAGGCUUUGGUUCAAAGCAUGAUGGAUAACAAGGAGAUGAGGUUUUACGAAGAUGCGAAAGAAAUGAGGAGCAUAUGCGCGACAGAGUUGGGAACAAAGGCUCCAAAUCAUCCUGUGGUCAUUAUCUCACGCCCUAAGGGUAAGGAGGUUAGGGCUCAGGUAACACCGAAAAUUGUAAUCCAGAAACCAUCAAAUUUCUCUUAUAGGGAUAACAAAAUGGUACCGUGGAAUUACGGGUGUAAUGUGACCAUUUUGGGAAAAGAAGCAGAAAGAAAUCAGGAAAUAGGUUCUUACACGCGCAAUAGAAAAAGAUAUGACGCUCAAGCAGAGUCGUCCAGGGAAGAGAAUUGGAAGAAAGAACAGAGGAAAGGGAAAGCAGUAGAAGUUGAGCCAUUGGUAAAUGAACCAAAAAAAGAAGAGGAGGCAAAGGAGUUUUUGAAGUUUUUGAAACACAGUGAAUACAGUGUUGUGGAGCAACUACACAAACAGCCAGCCCGCAUUUCUGUAUUAGCUUUACUCUUAAACUCGGAAGUACAUCGGAAUGCACUAUUAAAGGUGCUAAACGAAACAUAUGUGGCUGACGAUAUUUCGGUAAACAAGCUGGAUCGGCUGAUCAACAAUAUUGGUGCUGACAAUUUUAUCUUCUUCAGUGAUGAUGAAAUACCAUCCGGAGGAAGAGGUUCUACUAAAGCCCUGCAUGUUACUGUCCGAUGCAAAGGGUACACACUCCCGGGGGCCUUGGUUGAUAAUGGAUCUGCACUAAAUGUAUUGCCUUUGUCCACUCUUAGUCGAUUACCAAUAGACAGUUCGCACAUGAAAGCAUGCCAGAACAUAGUAAGGGCAUUUGAUGGAACAAAAAAGGAGGUUAUGGGGAGAAUUGAGGUACCAUUAAGGAUUGGCCCAGUCACUUAUGAGGUGGAUUUCUUGGUAAUGGAUAUUAAACCCUCCUACAACUGUCUAUUGGGGAGACCGUGGAUACACUCAGCAGGGGCAGUACCUUCAUCAUUACAUCAGAAGGUGAAGUUGGUAUCGGAGGAUCGGUUGGUAACAAUAGAUGCAGAGGAGGAUAUUAUCGCAAUGAUGACUAGCGAUGCACCUUAUGUGGACAUCAACGAUGAGGCACUAGAAUGUUCUUUUCGGUCGUUAGAAUUUGUGAACGCGAUGUUUAUUGCGGAGGGAAAUAGAAUUCCAGUACCAAAAAUAUCCAGGACCACUGAGAUGGGAUUGCGAUUGAUGGUAGGAAGAGGAGCCUUACCCGGGAAAGGAUUGGGAAAAUAUCUUCAGGGAAGGAUUGAGGCACCAAUGCCGAAGGAAAAGUUUGAUAGAUUUGGUUUAGGGUACAAGCCAGACAUGAAGCAGAAGAAGAAAGAAGUAGAGAAGAGACAAGAGAGAAGAAGGGCGCGUUUGAAUGGACAUGAAGCUAAGUGUGAGCCUUUAACCUUUCCCCACAUAUCUACAUCUUUUGUGUCGGGAGGAUUUAUUCAUUCUGAAUGUGGAGUGUCCGGUAGCGGCAUGGGAGGAAUGUUGGAAAACGUUUAUACCAACGCCAUAGAAGCAACGGAAAGGAGGGCCUUGUUGGAGAUCUGCCCUUAUGAGCCUGGAAGCGAGCUAAACAAUUGGACUGCUGAAGAAAUCCCUGUAGUCUUUAGGGCUUAUUCAGAGUAAUGCUCAAAACAUUCCUGUUGUUUGUUGGCCUAGAAACGAUAUGAAAUCUUUUGUGAAAUAGGCAUUGGGCCUAAAUAUCAUUAUUUUAAUGAAAUACGUGUCUACGUUCAUCUCGAUCAGUCACUUUUUUUUCCUUUCAUAUUUUUCAUUUGGUUGAUUGUCUUACAAAUAAUUCUUUCAUUUGUAAUUCUUUUGCACAAACAUAUUCAUAAAUUUAUAUUCUUGGUAUAUUCUUUGAUGCGCCCUCAUAGGUCUUCAGAUAUCAAUGACAUGAGUGACGCUGCCUCAAACACGGAGCCUAUUUUUGAGCAAAAAGUGUGUUCAGAGGGAUCCCACGACUUUGACGAAGAUUAUGAUGCAUCUCCGGACUUGUUAAGAAUGAUGGAACAAGAGGAUAAGCAUAUCCUACCUCAUAGGGAAUCGUUAGAAAUAGUGAGCCUAGAGGAUGGAAAGGAGGUGAAAAUUGGAUCUGAAAUCACCGCAAAGACAAGGCAAGACCUCAUUAAUUUGCUCCGAGAGUUCAAGGAUGUUUUCGCGUGGUCGUACCAAGAUAUGCCUGGGCUAAGUACUAACAUUGUGGUGUAUCGUCUGCCCAUAAAGGAGGAUUGUAAACCCGUUCAACAGAAGCUUAGGAGAAUGAGACCUGACAUUGUGUUGAAAAUAAGAGAAGAAGUCAAAAGACAAUUCGACGCUGGAUUCUUACAAGAAGUCAAGUAUUCGGAUUGGGUAGCCAACAUCGUCCCAGUUCCCAAAAAAGAUGGAAAGGUACGAAUGUGUGUGGAUUAUAGGGAUUUAAACAAGGCUAGUCCAAAGGACAACUUUCCACUGCCUCAUAUUGAUACUUUGGUAGAUAACACGGCGGGCUAUUCAUUGUUUUCUUUCAUGGACGGUUUUUCUGGAUACAAUCAAAUAAAGAUGCAUCCUGGAGACAUGAGGAAAACCACAUUCAUUACCUUAUGGGGAACAUUCUGUUACAAGGUAAUGCCCUUCGGAUUGAAGAAUGCGGGAGCAACAUAUCAAAGAGCUAUGGUGACUUUGUUUCACGACAUGAUGCACAAAGAGAUCGAAGUCUAUGUUGACGAUAUGAUCGCGAAGUCUAGAACGGAAGAAGAGCAUGUUCAGGUCUUGAAAAAGUUAUUUUUGAGAUUAAAGAAAUUUCAGCUCAAGCUUAACCCGGCCAAAUGCACGUUUGGAGCCAGAUCAGGGAAGUUAUUAGGCUUCAUAGUUAGCAAAAAGGGGAUCGAGGUUGACCCAGACAAAGUAAAGGCAAUACGAGAUUUACCUCCCCCGCGCACUCAGAAGGAGGUUCGAGGUUUCCUAGGGAGGCUGAAUUACCUUGCUCGGUUCAUCUCAUAACUGACAGAGAAAUGUGAUCCAGUAUUCCGGCUCUUAAAGAAACAUAAUCCGGGUGAAUGGGAUGAAGAGUGUCAGAGGGCUUUCGAUAAGAUAAAGCAGUACUUGGCUAAUACCCCAGUCUUAUCACCUCCAAGUCCAGAUAGGCCAUUGAUAUUGUAUCUAACAGUGUUGGAGAAUUCCAUGGGAUGCGUAUUGGGCCAACAUGAUGAGAUAGGAAAGAAAGAAAGGGCAAUAUACUACCUCAGUAAGAAAUUUACCGAUUGCGAAAUGAGGUACUCAUCAAUUGAGAAGUUGUGUUGCGCUCUAAUCUGUGCAACCCGAAGACUGAGGCAGUAUAUGUUGUAUCACACGACUUGGCUGAUUUCAAAGUUAGAUCCUUUAAAGUAUAUGAUGGAAUCGACUGCUUUGAACGGGAGAAUGGCUAGAUGGCAGAUCUUGCUCUCAGAAUUUGAUAUAGUAUAUGUCAGUCAGAAGGCCAUAAAGGGAAGUGCAAUAGCCGAUUUCCUAGCUAGUAGAGCCUUGGAGGACUAUGAAUCUUUGAAUUUCGAUUUUCCAAACGAGGACUUGAUGUAUGUGGCGAAUACUGAAGAAAAUCCUUAAAUGGAUCGCGUAUGGAAGUUAAAUUUUGAUGGAGCUUCAAAUGCUACGGGUAAUGGAGUUGGGGCAGUUUUGGUAUCCCCAAGUGGAGAUCAUUAUCCUGUUGCUAGCAAGUUGGACUUCGAUUGUACAAAUAACAUGGCAGAAUAUGAAGCAUGUAUUAUGGGCAUUCGUGCAGCCAUUGAACGGAACAUCAAAGUACUGAGAGUAUACGGGGAUUCAGCGUUGGUGAUAUACCAACUCAAAGGGGAGUGGGAGACUAGGGAUCCUAAGCUAAUCGGUUAUAGAAAACUAGUUCUUGAAUUGGCUGAGGAGUUUGACGAUAUCACCUUCUAUUACCUCCCACGGGAGGAAAACCAAAUGGCUGAUGCUUUAGCUACUCUAGCUUCGAUAAUUCAGGUGAAUAGACUUGAGGCAAUGAGGCCUGUUCAGAUGAGUAUCUCUGAGACCCCGGCUAAUUGCUGCAAUAUUGAGGAGGAGGGAAAAGAUGAUUGUCCUUGGUAUCAGAGUAUCCUACAAUAUGUGAAGAAUCGGGAAUACCCUGAUCAAGCGACAGAGAAUGACAAAAGAACUCUGAGAAAGAUAGCCAUUGAAUAUGUCUUAGAUGGAGAAGUGUUAUAUAAAAGAAGGAAGGAUCAAGUACUGUUAAGGUGUGUGGAUGCUGUGGAAGCCAAGAAAAUUUUGGAAGAAGUCCAUGAGGGUAUUUGUGGGACGCACGCCAGUGGUUUCACGAUGGCCAGACAGAUCAUGAGAUUUGGGUACUAUUGGCCCACCAUGGAAGGAGAUUGUAUUGAUUAUGCCAGGAAGUGCCACAAAUGCCAAAUUUACGGAGACAAAAUGCACGCGCCCCCUUCACCUCUUCACGUCAUGACCUCUCCUUGGCCGUUUUCCAUGUGGGGUAUGGAUGUUAUUGGGCCAAUAUCACCAAAGGCUUCUAAUGGGCAUCGCUUCAUCUUCGUAGUAAUUGAUUACUUUACUAAGUGGGUGGAGGCUGCUUCAUAUGCAAAUGUCACGAAAGCAGUAGUCAGCAAAUUCUUGAAGAAGGAGAUCAUUUGUCGAUAUGGAAUGCCUGAGAGGAUCAUAUCCGACAAUGCGAUGAACUUGAAUAAUAGCACAAUAGCUGAAGUUUGUAGCAAAUUUAAAAUUAAGCAUCAUAACUCAUCGCCGUAUCGUCCCAAAAUGAAUGGUGCAGUGGAGGCGGCCAAUAAGAACAUUAAAAGGAUUGUGGGGAAAAUGACUGAAACCUACAAGGAUUGGCAUGAGAAAUUAUCAUUUGCUCUCCUUGCCUAUCGAACAUCUGUUAGAACUUUUACUGGGGCAACGCCUUUUUCUCUGGUUUAUGGAAUGGAGGCAGUAUUACCUAUUGAAGUUGAAAUCCCUUCUCUACGGGUGUUAUCUGAGCUACAGUUGGAUGAAGCCGAUUGGAUCCAAUCUCGGUACGAUCAGUUGAACCUAAUAGAAGAAAAGAGGCUAAGAGCUAUUCACCAUGGGAAAAUGUACCAGAAACGAAUGAUGCGAGCCUAUAAUAAAAAGGUUCGCCCCCGAGAAUUUCGUGAAGGGGACUUGGUACUAAAAAAGAUUCUUUCUAUGCAAAAAGAUUUUAGAGGAAAAUGGAUGCCAAAUUGGGAAGGCCCUUAUGUUGUAAAGAAGGCCUUUUCUGGUGGAGCUUUGAUCCUAUGCGAGAUGGAUGGCAAAAGUUUACCAAAUCCUGUAAACGCAGACUCCGUCAAGAAAUACUUCACUUGAAAGAAAGGGGAACCAAAGUGAAAACCCGUGAAGGGCGCUUUGCUUCCUAAAAAAAAAAGAAAAAAAAAAACUUUGGGGAGGCUAAGGUGAAAACCCGUAAAAGGCACUUUGAGACCAAAGAGGGCUGGAGUCGAAAACCUGAAAAAGGUGACUCAAGUACUGGGCAGGAUUGGAACAUCAGGAUUUGAGCGGAUCAAAUUUUGAUCGGGGGCAUAUGAUUAUCUUGCUUUACUUGAACCAAUAAGAAAGGAUAUGCAACGUCUUGGAACAUGGACAGAGUAUUCCAGAUCUCCUGAACACAUGUCAAACUCAGAAGGGUCUUCGGAAAGUUUGUACAGAGAAACUCAAGCUGCGAUAACUGGGGCACCUAGUUCUUAUGUGUAUUCUUGAAAAUACAUUUUUUUAUUUUCUUUCUUUCUUCCUUUCUUUUGGUGAAAACGCACAUUCUCAAUCCAUUUCUUUGUUACCUUGCUUUCGCCAUCUUUGAUGUUUUAUUCGAGUUAUGAUCAGAACUAGCUUUAUUCUUAUCCAUUGUUAUGAUCUUUUUGCAAACAUGUUGCAUAGGAAUAAUGAUUAACGAACUAAUAAAACUUUCAGGAAAGAAGUUUUGCACAUUACUCUGGAAAAUUUCUAAAUAAUAUAGGGACCUGAAUCAUGACUAUUGUUUAGAAAAUACCAAGUUUAAAGGGUGAAAUAUCUAAGAAGGAAGAGUCUAAUUUAAAGACUAUCCUUUCAGAUUUUGUUGUCUAAACAUUGAUUGAACAAAAUGACAAGCUGUCGUGUUACAAAGCUUAAAUGAACAAGCAAGCAAUGAUCAUCAGGCAAUAGGAAGAGGUUACCUCGGAGAAGAGAGCCUUCACUUGCGCAUAAGACUUUGGUACGACACCUUGAGAAUGGUGUAGGAAACCAGAACGGUUCAGAUCCUAUAUCCCCGAAUUGUGAUAAAAGAGGACAGAGGAAAAGCCACAUAUUUCUACCCUUAGAUUACUGUGAGAGAAUGAUGGUACAAAUUUUGGCGUCCCAGUGGAUAUAACUUUGAGGUUUACAAUGGGGACAGUCUGGCUAAAUGUUUCUUCAGAAAAAAAAAUCAGUCAAGCGAGAAGGCGUUGCAGCACGUCAGUCACAAAGCCUUAGUAAACUUCGAGUAAUGACAACCUAAGCGAGAUCAUUCUCGGAAAAAUAAAAUUCUGCAUUCAUGCGAACACCAUUCACAUAUGUCUAGUUAGGAGCAUUUGUUUCAUUUUGAUCAUGUCAUCCUAAUCAUUAGGCAUAAUUAGGUUUAUUAUACAGGUCUUAUCUCCCUGAGAUUACAGUGGAACAGACCAAAGAAUUUCAGAUCCUAUCUCCCUGAGAUUACAGUGGAGCGGAUUAAAAUAAAGGAUCUUAUCUCUCUGAAGUUACAGCAGAGUAGAUCGCAUCAAGUCUUAUCACCCUGAGGUUACAGGGGAGUAGACCGAAGAAUUUCAGAUCUUAUCUCCCUGAGGUUACAGUGGAGCAGAUUGAAGCCAGAGAUCUUAUCUCUCUGAGAUUACAGCGGAGUAGAUUGAAGCUAGUAAUCCUAUCUCUCUGAAGUUACAGUGGAGCGGAUUAAAAUAAAGGAUCUUAUCUCUCUGAAGUUACAGUAGAGUAGAUCACAUCAGAUUGAAGCCAGAGAUCUUAUCUCCCUGAGAUUACAGUGGAACAGACCGAAAAAUUUCAGAUCUUAUCUCCCUGAGAUUACAGUGGAACAGACCGAAAAAUUUCAGAUCUUAUCUCCCUGAGAUUACAGCGGAGUAGAUUGAAGAUAGUAAUCCUAUCUGCCUGAGAUUACAGUGGAGUGGAUUAAAAUAAAGGAUCUUAUCUCUCUGAAGUUACAGUAGAGUAGAUCACAGCAGACAAAACCACAGAUCUUAUCUCCCUAAGCAGUUAGUGGAACAGAUCACAUCAAGUCUUAUCUCCCUAAGUAGUAGUGGAGCAGACUAAAAACACAAAUCUCAUCCCCAUGGAGUCGUAGCAAAGUAUAUUGAAGCUACAAGGCGUAUCUGAACUUGAAGUAGAGUGGAUCGAAGCAACAAGAUGUAGCAGGCUGGAAUAAGGCUACUUGAAGAAGAGAAGCACCCAAAGAAGUCAAGCCUCGGUGAGACCAGGCAAAUUUGGUCUUUUUUAGUCUUUGCUCUGUUCUUGUUACACAAAAACGAGCAAAGAGGGGCAGCUGUAGAAGCCCAAAUUUGCCGGGCCCAUACCAACAAAAUAACCCAAACAAUAAACCCGAAGCCCAACUACCCCAGCCCAUUAACCUAAGCUCAGCAUUCAGAAACCCUAAUCCCACUAACCCUAGCCACCUACCCCCCACUUGCCCACUUGCCCACUUGCGCCGAACACCACCAUGCCACUGUCGGCCAUGGCCACCUGCAAGAAGCCAAGUAGAAAUAAACAAAUAGAAAAUAAACAUUUGUAAUCGGUUAUAAAAACCGAAAAUCUCACCAUUGAUAAAGGGGAUUUUUUAUUUUUUGCUAUGAAAACAAAAGAUUUUCUUUCAAUAUUAACAGAUUCAAUACAAGAACCAUUCGAAAAUAUAUAUACUAUCAGGGGCUCUAACACCAAAUCGGAGAAUCAAAUCUAAAACCUAAGGUGACUCUUUCUUUUUUUUUUCUUUACUGUUUUGAGUUUAUUUUCUACAUAAAAAUACUAAAAAAUAUUAAAACAUAAAAAUAUAUGCAUUAUUAAGCAAAAAAAAAGAAAAAAAGAAAAAAAAUAUUUUUUUUACCUUUUCCGGCCACCGCGUGCGGUGGCCGGCGCCGGCGCCGGCGAGCCUCCGGUGGCCGUCCGGUGACCGGCCCCCUGGCCGGAUUCCCCUUUCCCCCUCCCUUCUCUCUCCCUUCUCUCUUCCCUCUCUCUCUUCUUUUUUUUUCUUUCCCUCUCCCCAAAUGAUUUUUUUUGGCUAUUUUAGGCCUUUAUAUAGCCCUCCAAAACGACGUCGUUUUGGGGGCUACACUUAAGCCUCAAAACGACGUCGUUUUGACCAUUGCCCGACCCAUCCGACCCGACCCGCUAGAGGAUCCGCGUGUUUUCGUUUGAAUGGGAUAUUUAUGCGCCCAGUCCUUCCGCUUUUUCAAGGUUUUGCAGUUAAGUCAUUUUUCUUGUUUCCAAUUUGGCCCCAUAAUUUCUCAUGCUUUUCGAUUUAGUCCCCGCUAAUGUGCUGUGUUUUAAUGGAAUGGAAUAAUUGUUGUUUCGGUCCCCCUAUGUUUUGUGCGCGCUCAAAUAAGCCCAUUUCUCUUUAUUUCCUUUCACAUUUGCCCCACAACUUUGUUUUUAAUUCAAUUUUAGUCCUUUUUCGUUUAUUUUUAUAUCUUUAUUAAAUAUCAUUGUUAUUUUAUAUUAUUAGUAUUAUUAGUAUUACUAUUAUUAUUAUUAUGUAUUAGUAUAUAUUUUUAUUAUGUACGCGUAUACAUGUAUAUAUAUUUUCAUAUUUAAUAUUUUUAUUUCAUUUUUUUCUAAUAUUUUAUUAUAAUUUAUAUAUAUAUACAUAUACAUAUUCUUUAUUAUUUAAGUAUAUAUUUUUUAUAUUUCAUAUUUUCUACAGGCAUAUAUAUACUUAUAUAUUUACAUAUUUUAAUUCAUAUACUUAUAAAUGUAUGUACAUACUUACGUUAUUUUAUUUUUAUAAUAUACAUAUUUAUAUUUUUUUGUCUUUAUGUAAUAUAUAUACAUACAUGCGCAUGUUAUUUUUAUAUAUGUAAUUAUGUUUUCAUAUUUUAUACUUCUUGUACAUACACAUAUAUAUAUGUAUAGACAUACAUAUUUUCAUUAUAUAUAUAUACCUACAUAGUUUUUUUUUUGUAUUUUAAAUCUUUUAAAAUUCAUACAUGCAUUUUUAAAACUUUUAUAAUUUUAUUCAUUUCUUUAUUAUUAUUAUUGUUUUACUUUAUGUUUAUCUAUUUAUUUAUGUGUCCAUUAUUAUUUUUUUUAAAAAAUGUUUUAGUUUUUUUUAUUUUGUUUAUUUACUUGUUAUUGUAUAUAAUUGAUUUUUUAUAUAUUUAUUUUUGUUAUCUUCGCUCGUAUUAUUUUUACUCGCAUUAUCGUAAUUGUUAUUCCGUCACAUCAAUUUUUACCCAAAUUCGUAAAAAAGGGAAAAUUUUGGAAAUAAAGGCAAUACUCGAUACUUGGGAUCUUCGAGAGAAUUGGGCCCUAACGUGCUGGGUUCUAAUUUUCUGUUGAAUCUAAAUGCUCGAGAAUGCUCUUUAAUAUAAAACAUAAAUAAAAACUCAUUAUCGGGAUUUCAAUAUGUUGUGUCCUAACGCAUUGGAUAUGACAUGUGGUUUUCUCGAUAUGAGGAUUUUUUUUUUUCGAAAGUAAAGACAAUAUUCCGUAUUUAGAAAAUUCGAGAAAAUCAUGCCCUAACUUACUGAGCUUCGAUUUUUCUCGUUGAUUCUAAGUAAUCGAAUAUCCUUUUAAAAUUAAAAUAAAUGAGGUUUAAAUAAAAAAAUGAAAGGCAAGUUUACUCUCGAAAAUACGAGGUGUCGUGUCCUAACUUACUGGAUGUAACAUCUUGUUACUUCGAGAUAAAGAGGCAUUUUCCAUUUUGAUUUAUUCGAGUAUUUUUAAAAUAACACGAUAUAAGGAGGGAUCAUAUUUUUAAGAUUCUUUUCGAGUUUUUAAUUUUCGACACUAAGACACUAAUUAAUCAACUAGGUACCAAUUUUGGGCGUAUCGAGGGUGCUAAUCCUUCCUCGUGCGUAACCGACUCCCGAACUCAUUUUUCUGAAUUUCGUAGACCAAAAUCGUUGUUUUAAUAAAAUUAAAUCAUUUAUUAAAAACAACCACUUUUUGAGGUGACCCGAUCACACCUCAUCAAAAAAGGAUUGGUGGCGACUCCCAAUUUCGUUUCAUUUUCAAAAUCCAAGUUGACCCCGUUUUCAUCCAAAAAAUGGUGUCAACAAAAUUUUCUUUAAUAUAUUCACUAUAAGAGCCAAUAAUAUUUAUGAAACUUAACAAAACAUUAUGACUAAUGAGAAAUAAAGAUAAAAUUAAAAAAAGAAGAAGCAAUAAUUGAAUCGAAAUUACAGCACUUGGAAGACUAAAUUUGCAAUCAAUCGAAAACAUGAGGACUAAAACCAUAAUUAAACACAAUGGUUCAAACAUUCAAAUUCAGAUAAUGGAAACGUCGCCGUUUAACUAUGAACCAAAUUGAAACCAGAUUAAAUCAUACGGUAUAAAUCGAAAAAUUGCAGAAAAUCGAAUUAGAACAAUACAAGAUAAAAGAGGACUGAUUGCGGAAAUAGUCCAAUGAACCAGAAUGCGCGGAUCCUGCCCCGGGUCGGGUCACCGCGUGGGUCCAAGGACGCUAAACGGCGUCGUUUCUUUCACACUAUAUAAGCUAAAAUAAACCUAAAACCUAAAGCUCUCAGUCAUUUUUUAAGAAAAAAAACCUAAAAGAAAACUAAACUCCUGGCGCCGCUUCAGCGUCGAAAACCCCCCUCGCCUAUUCAAUCUUGGCCUGAACGGGGGAGGGAUUCGGCGACUCACCGAUCCAGGUAAGGUUUCUGAACUGUCCUCCCUUUUUAUUUUAUAUAUAUGCUUAUAUAUGUGAUUACUAGCAAACAGAAAAAAAGAAAAAGCAAUCGGAAAAGGAACAGAACCGAAAAGAGGAAAAAAGAAAACCUUUUUUGUAUUGAUUUCGUUUUUUUUUUAUACAGUCUCCCCUUCCGGAGUACAUGAGAAAAUAAGGCUCUCAUAGCCCGAAAAAUAAAAAAUAAACCCUCUUUUCUCCUUUUUUCUUUUGUUGUUAUCGUUUUUUGCUUUUUUUCUUCUUCUUUUGCUGUUGUCUUGUUAUUUGCUGCAGGUACGGGUACGCGUGACGUGGCUCAACGCGUAUGGAGGCAGAGGCUGGCGUGGAGCGGCUCGGAGGCGUGGCUGCAGCGCUGGAGGCUGAAUGUUGCUAGGGUUUGCUGCUGUGCAUUCUGGUGUUGGGCCAUUUGGGCUGAGUUGGUUUGCUGGGCUUAGAAUCAGGUUUAGGUUUGGGCUAGGGUCUAGGCAAAUUGGGUUUGGUGAAUUUUUUUGUAAUUUGGACUGUUAUUUUAUUUGUUUUUUUAUUAUUUAUUUUAAUAGCGGGCUGGGCAAAUUGGGCCUAUUACAAUAUAUAUAACCAAAUUUUGUAACACCCAUUUUAUGUUAAAAAUAUUUUCUUUAAAAUUAAGUAUAGGUUGGGUGGUAAAGUACUUAUAUUUUAAUACUAGUAAAUACAUGUUCAAUCUUUAGAUUUAUAAUUUAUAAUUCUUUUAAUUAAAGAUGAUAUACAAGUAUGAAAAGACAAAAGUGACAUAGUAAUAAUAUUAAUUAUAAAUUUUAUAAUUUCAUAAUUGAGUUGAUGACGUGGUUGAAGGUGGCACUAACUCUAAAACACUUAAAUAUAAUAAUAGCUUAAAAAUAAGGGGCUUUUGGAAAAUACAUUUCUGAGUUGGUGACCUGAGGGUCACACCAACUCAAUAAAACUCUUAAAUAUUGAUUACAAAUCCUAUCACACACUUAUGUGUAUCAAUAUCACAAAUUUAGAAUAUAAAGAUGUGUUUAAAAUUAACAUACAAUAAAGAAUGAAAUUUAUGGUUUGAAACUAAUUAGUAAUAACACAUGAAAUAUGUAUGAUAUUAAAAUGAAAAAAGAGAGAUUAAAUUGUGCAUAAAACAAAAUUUUAUCCUAUUACAUCAAUAAAGUUAUAUUUAUUACCCUCGCCAAUUAUUUGUCAUUAAGAACAUUAAAGUAUCCUUGAAUGAUAUAACUUAUUCUAAAUAGAGUUGAUGUAUGGUUGGCUUGGGAUACCAACUCAGUCAGGAGCUUAAGAUUAUUAAAAUAUUCUUAUUUUAAAGAGAAAUUAAUAUUAUUAUAAGAGCACGUUUGGUUCGUUGUAUUGGAUUAGAGGCGUAAUGGAAUAGAGGUGUAAUGGAUUAGAGGUGUAAUGGAAUAGAGGUGUAAUAGCAAAUCAACUGUUUGGUUAAAUGUAAUGGAAUAGAGGCGUAAUAGUAAUCUUGUAUUUGGUUGAAUGAAAUAGAGGUGUAAUAGCAUAAUGGGAAAAACUAAAAUGACUAGAAUACCCUUAGCAUAAAUUUGUUAAUGAUUAUUGUUAUUGUUAUUUAAAUUUUAAUAAGAUUAUUAUUAUCAAUAAUAAAUAAUUUAAUCAUAUUUAAACAUAAUUAUUAUUAAAUAUAUUAUAAUUAAAAUAUAUAAUUUAAUAAAAUUCUUAAUAAUCAAUAUUCUUAUAUGAAUUUACUCAAAUCAUAAUAUAUGAUACUAUAAAAUUUAAAUUAACAUAAUUAUUAUUAAAUAUAUUAUAAUUAAAAUAUAUAAUUUAAUAAAAUUCUUAAUAAUCAAUAUUCUUAUAUGAAUUUACUCAAAUAAUAAUAUAUGCUACUAUAAAAUUUAAAUUAACAUAAUUAUUAUUAAAUAUAUUAUAAUUAAAAUAUAUAAUUUAAUAAAAUUCUUAAUAAUUAAUAUUCUUAUAUGAAUUUACUCAAAUCAUAAUAUAUGAUACUGUAAAAUAUAAAUUAAAAUAAUAAUUAUUACAUAUAAUUUAAUAAUAAUAUAUAAUUUAAUAAAAUUCUUAAUAAUUAAUAUUCUUAUAUGAAUUUACUCAAAUCAUAAUAUAUGAUACUAUAAAAGAUAAUUUGAAAUAAUUAUAACUAAUAAAUUAUAUUUUAUGAAUUUGUAUAAUUUAAAAUAAUAAUUAUUACAUAUAAUUUAAUAAUAAUAUAUAAUUUCAUAAAAUUCUUGAUAAUAAAUUUUCUUAUAUGAAUUUAUACAAUUUAAAAUAAUUAAUAUUAAAUAUAAUUUAAUAGUGAUAUAUAAUUUCAUAAAAUUCUUAAUAAUAAAAUGUUCUUAUAUGAAUUUACUAAAAUCAAUAUAUAACUUGAGAAUUAUAUUCUGCAUAAACAUAAUUAACUUAUAUUAAGAAAAGGUUAGAUGAAAAUGAAAUUCUACAUCAUAAUCCAUAUGUUAUAUAGUUUUACAACAUCAAAAAGUUUGAACAUUGAUAUUUAAUGGUGAGAAAGAAAUCUUCUGACCCAUUCCAAUCGGGCAACAGAAGGUAAACUAAAGAAAACGAUCAUUUGAGUUGGAUGAUCUGGAAUUUUACUCAAAGCAUCAUACCGCUGAUCGUCAGUUAAACCUUCAAUUGACCAUAGGGCUGAAUAUAAAUUUGAAGCUUUCUCUUCCAUCUUUUGAUAUUCUUCUGACUUCUGCUGAACUACCACCUCGAAGGCAAUACUCCUACUGAUUUGAUCGCCAACGGCCUGGAUUUUUUCCCCCAACAAAGUGGCAGCCUCAUCAAAUGAAGAAUACACAUUAUCACGAGCAUCAGAUUUCUUCUUUCUCUUGUUUGAAGAUGAGGAACCCCCUUGGUCUCUAUCUCCUCACGGAUCUGUACCAGAAACAUCCAUGUCGUCUAAAGAGACGUCAGCUUCGCAGUCAUAGAAUGUGUUUCUCUCUUCAUUCAUAUCUGUAGUACGUACAUCCUCAGCAUGUAUUUCUUCAAGAACAUCAGCAGCUGUUUGAGCGUCUUUCCCAGUUGCUCGAUCUCUUGCUUAUAUGGUAGUAAGCUGGUCAUAGUAAGAGAAAGUACGAUAUUUGAAUUGAGUGGCUUCUCUGUGACUCUAAAAAAAAUGAGGAAAUCAUAUUAGUCAUAAGUUUGGUAUAAAUAAGAUAAUAAAGACUUGAAAUAAUCUUACCUUUAAAUAGGACUCCCAAACCGUAUCUUCAGCAACAACGAGCUGCCUAUGCUCGUCCCAACCAAAACCGCUAUUGUUUUGGCCAUUAAGCAUGUCAUAAACGAUUGACCACUCCCUUUUUAGUAACCUAACCCUUGAUUCAAUAUUAGGUUUCGCCUUCAACAUUGCAUUUAGUAAAACCGUUUGUAGCAUUCUUUCCAACUCGUUCAAAUAACCGGCUUUGAACCCGGUAUCAGCAUUAAAUGUUCCAACAUUGUGCAGGUCCACCAUGCAGGAAACUAAUGCUGCAUCUUCUUCUGGAACCCAUUUUCUUUUGCUUCCUCGAGAAGCUUGAGAAGAAGCAUUUGAUUCUGGAACACCUGACAUAAUGAUCUUAAGAACAAAAAAAAAACAAAUUAUAUUAAUUACUAUUUUAAUAUCAUGAUUCAAAAGGUCAACACUAUAUAAAAUCUAAGGAAUUAAGUUGAAUAUCAUGAAUCAAAAGCUCCAUACCACAAAAAAUUUAAAAUUAUAACACAUGCUGAAUUAGAAGAAAUUAUAUUAUAAUUCAACAAGUUUAGUACAAUACAAAAAUCAAUACAAAAGUUUCACAAACUAAUUUCUAGAUGCUUGCCAUUCAUCGAACAUUUGGUUGGCUAGUUCCAUCCUCCAAGUAGCCCAAGCAUCUGAUGGAUGAAUAUUUGUGAUAUUCGGUUCAUCGUCAUCCACCACAUUAAUUGUAGGUAAUCCUUCUCCCACCUCCGCUUCAAUGGGAUCAAUACUCAUAUGGGUUCGAAUAAAAUUAUGGAGCAAACAACAUGCAAUAAUAAUUCUAUUGUGCACCCUUACAGGAUAGAACGAUGGACUCCUAAGUAUUCCCCAUCUAAGUUUUAAUAAGCCAAAGCAUCUUUCAAUAACAUUACGUGCUGAGGCAUGUUUCAUAUUAAAAAACUCUUGCGGAGAACUUGGCUGAUAACCCUGACGCCACUCGUUCAAAUGAUAUCGCUGUUCUCUAAAUGGUGCAAGAAAUCCCUCACAAUUUGUGUAUCCAGCAUCAACUAGAUAAUAACAACCUAUAAAAUAAAUUUUUUUUUAAAAUGAUUAAUUCAGCACACAAAGUUUACUAAAAAAAUAAUUCAAAGUCCUCUAACUAUACACUUUACCAUGAGGAACUUUUAAUCCAUGUCUUCUACUAAUGGCAUCUCGAAGAACCCGUCCAUCAGCAACUAAACCUUCCCAACCAGGAAGAACAUAAACAAAUUGCAUCUCAGGUGUACAAACACCUAGCAUAUUUGUUGCUAUGUCACCUUUUCACGUUCGAUAUCUAGGUUUAUCAACUGUUGGAACCCUAAUCUUGAUGUGGGUUCCAUCAAGAGCACCUAAGCAAUUCUAUAUCACAUGAUAUAAAACCUUGAGUUAGAAUACUAAUUUAAAUCUAAAUCAAGUAAAUGUUGUUGAAGAUAUAUAUAAAACUUAGUCCAAUACCUUAAACCAUUUCCACCUUGUGUCAGAAGAAUCAGCUGUAAUUAGCUCUGGCUUUUUAAAUAACACAUCUUGUAAGCGUAUGACAGCAUUUAAAACACUAUGAAAUGCUCUGCUAACAGUUUCCCCGGACCUUCUAAAGUGAUGCUUGAUAACUCGAUUUUUCAGGUGAUGGGAGAUGAUAAGUAAAAACAUUGCUACUUGCUCGUCAACAAGCAUGAACCUUGUCGACUUCAAUCCCCUAUCGAUUCUAACAUCUCACAUUGUUUAAAAAAGGCAGCUCUAUUCAUCCUAACUUGUUCAAUACAGGUCUCGUCACUAGCAUAUACAAGCCUCUUCACAUAAUCCCGUUUUGCAUAAAAAUCUACGGUAUAGGACCUAAUCCUUGGUCUAUGUAGCCUAAGGCUGGCACCCAUUCUAAAUAAGAACCAAAUCGCGAUUCUACAGAUUUCCAACCAUAUUGUCACAGCAAUACCAAUUCUUUUACGCCUCACACUUUGUGCAAUUAAAGGCAGACGAGCCAUUACUGCAACAUUUAGAACACACAUAGUUUAAACUCACGAAUUUAGAACACACGAUAGUUUGAACAUUAAUUAGUUUGAACAUUUCAUUUCGUAUAAAUAUAUUGAUUAGUUAAUUAAAGCAUGUUCAAUGUUUGAACAUUGAUAGUUUGGACAUUUAAAUUUAAAUUUAAAUAUAAUUUCGUAUAAUGAAAUUUAAGAUUUAAUAAAGGUGAGUAUCAAAGUUUGAUCAUUGAAUAAUCUUUUUUAUUGAUGAUUAGUUUAAUUAAGGUUUUCUAAUUUCAAAAUAAAUAAAAUGAAGAAUGAAGAUUUGGUUUAAUAAUGAAGAUUUGGUUUAAUAAAUAAAAUGAAGAAUGAAGAUUUGGUUUUCUAAUUUCAAAAUAAAUAAAAUGAAGAAUGAAGAUUUGGUUUAAUAAUGAAAAUGAAGUUUUAAAAUUUUUAUAACAUUUUAAAUGGUAAUUUUAUUUUGUAAAAAUAUAUAUAACUUUUAUCUCAUUUACAUGUACAAAUUAAUAUUAACAGUAUUGUAUUUGCAAUUAUGAUUGGAAAGAUUGAAAUCUAGUAUUGUAUUUACAUGUACAAAUUAAUAUUAUUUAAGCCCAUUAUUUGUAGGCAUAAUGCUCUUUAAGAUUGAACAUAAUUAAAGGUUGAACAUAAUUAUUAUUAUUUGAAUAAUAUCAAUUAAAGGUUGAACAUAAUUAUAUAUUAGUAUCAAAUUUGUAUGUACUCUUUAUAUGUACUCUUUCACUAAUAAAUUAUAUAUCAAAUUUGUAUCACAUUGAUUUUAUGUACGCUUUCAGUAAUAAGUUAUAUAUUAGUAAAAAGUUGGUGCAUUGGUACACCAAAUAAUUUGAAUACAUACUACUUUCUUUAAAAAAAAUGUUACCUAUUAGUAAAAACAUAUAACCUAUUUGGGAAACAACAAAAGCUGUAAUGACCAUAAUUAUGCAAAUUGGUGAUAAAAAAGAACAAUAAUUAUGCAGCAAUAACCAUAACCAUACAAACAAAAGCUGUAAUGAGCAAUACAAACAUACAAACAAAACCAUAUUCAUUUGGGAAACAACAGAAGCAGCUACAGCAAUACAAACAUAACCAUACAAGGAAAACAUACUAAUAAACCAUGAAUACCAAUGGAAAACUAACCUGUAAUGAGCAAAUCGGGGACGACUGCGAUGUAGAAGUGUUGGAACAAAGAACCUGUAACCAGUAAAGGGAAAUCAAUGUUACAAAAAUAAUCAGUUUAUAAAAUUGAUCAUACACUUUACCAAAGCAGCCUCUCAUUUAGUAACCAGUCCUUUAGAUUAUUAAAUAUACCAACUUGGCAGCUUUGAAUAUAUAUGCAAAGCCAUUUUACUUUAAAAUACAUCCCUCCAUUUAUCCUCUUUAAUGUGGUUCACUAGCACCAAGGAAGGCUUAGCAAUGAGGACUUUACAUUCCCUUUCGAAUUUUAAAAUCCCAGGGUUUACCAUCACAAGAAGAUACAUCCUUAUUCAAUCACACUCACCAACUAUUAUGUAAUUACUAAAAAAUGCAACCAAAAUGGGGUUGGCCUAACAUAAAUCAUACACCACACCAUCAAUUGAAGGUUAAUUCAUGGUAACAUUAGUAUUGAAAGGUUGCGUUGUGGGCAGCCUAAGAGGACUCGCAACACUAGGCUUAAUUGCUGUAACAUAUCACAUUCGGAGGCUGGUUCGGACAGCAUCAAUAAUACAAUAUUUAGACAUCAUUAACAACGCAAUAUUCGAACAACAUCAAUACCACAAUCGGACAGCAUAAACAGGGCAGCAAUUAACAAUACCAACAAGGUAAAAUUCGGACGGCAAUUUAACAGUUUCAACAAUUAUCAAACACAAGAAAAUAGAAGUUCAAGGAAAACUCGCCAAGGUUCCCAACACCAAUUUUACCUAUUUAAUUUACUUCUUCCCUUUUCCGCUACAGCCUUCUCCCACCUUGUUAGCUAAAUACAAUGAACCCAAAAGUUACAAAAAUGGUGUAUAACAACUCAAGCAUUCACUAAAUUCUUUUAACACAAGUGAGAAACUCCUCAUCUUCUAGACAUGCAACGUUUACAACUAGAAAAGAAACUCUUCUCUUCUCCCACACAUUCGGUCAAGCUCAAUUCAACAAUGCAACCAGAAUUUGUCAACGAAAAGCUAUGGGCAAGGGAGAGCUUAGAAGAGUUACAGUUCUACUUGAAAAUUUUAACUUCUAAGCAAGCAAAUUUCAUGGUUUUCCAGUACAUGUAGCCGGCCUCUCCUCUCUAGCUUCAUUUGAAAGAGACAAGGAAGCAAGAUAGAAAAAUAAAAAGUCGAAGUCUUUCUUUCUUACUUACCGUCCAUUUCUCCACCCUUUACCCAUCAUAAAAUGAAAUUUAGCCAAUCAACAAAUCUUAGCCGGCCACCAACCAAAAACCAAAAACCAAAAACCAUAAAAUGAAAAGAAUCAUGUAAAAGUUUAUUCAUACCUCAAAAACCAAACGCCGAGACCGAGAGAAGAAACGAUGAGGACUGAAUCAUCAACGAAAGCAGUGGGAAAUGGGAGGAGAAAUUAUGAGGACAGAAGAUGAGAGGGUCGGGUAGGGAGGGAGGGUAAAACAGAGAGUUGGGGAGGGAAGCCGGACGUAAUACCUAUUACUCGAUUUGGGAAGGGAUUAGAAAAGCAGGGAAUUUGGGGAUUAGGUCGGGAUUGUAUUACGCGCGUAAUACCUAUUACAGCGAACCAAACGCCAGAUUAGGGGCGUAAUGUAAUAGCCGCAUAAUCAGUCAGUAAUGGAUUACCUAAUACACUGAACCAAACAUAGUGUAAGUGUAUUUUCACCUUUUCAUACUUUGAUAUAAUCUUCAAGUAAAACGAUUGAAAAAUAUUAUUUGACGACACAAGACUAAAAAAAUUCAUAUAGAAAAUGCUUACCACUCCACUAGUAAUCAUUUGUCAAUGUAUUUUUGGUAAAAAGACCUCUCCAAUCCCUCUUAAUUUCACAAUUGCGCAAAUUAGUCCCUCUCAAAAAAUUAAAGCAAUUUAAUCCUUAUCAAUUUUGAAAGUGAGUAACUAAGGAUAAUUAAUUAUGGUGUUAAAUUCUUCCAUCAAUUGUACAUAAUUUUGAUUGGUAUAGUAAUAAAUUUAGCCUUCAAUGUUUAUAUAUUUUGUCAUUUUGGCCUUAAUUUUUAAAAAAAUUUUAAGAAAUUCAACCUCAACAUUUACAAUUUACACAAACGUUGCGGGAAAAUUUUGUUAAAGUAAGACCAGCUAAAUUUAUUAUUAUACCAACCAAAAUCAUGUACAUUUUAUGAAAAAUUAACAUCCUGAUUAAUUAUUCUUAAUUGCUCACUUUCAAAAUUAAUAGGGACUAAAUUGCUCUGAUUGUUUUAGGGUGACCAAUUUCCUCAAUUUGGAAAUUGAGAGAGACUAUUGAGAUCUUUUACAUUUUUUUUUAUAAAUAUAUUUUUUAAUAUAAAAUAUAUUUGUUCACACACAUCGUGUGUAUGAUAAAAUAUUUUUAUUGUUGAUUGAGUUGGUGUCAAAAAUUAACUUGACACCAACUCAAGAUUAAUGAUAACAAUAUGAUAAAUAAUUUAUUUAUUUAAUAUUUUUAAUUUAAGAUAUUGAUGUAAAUUUUAAGACAUGUAUGUCUUGUAGAAUUGUAAUUAUACUUUUUCAGUAUUGACUCAGUUUUCCACAAUUGUGGGUCUCUAUUUGAGCAAAACAAUUUCAACAUUUCUUCAUCUCGCUUAAUCCAAAUGCAUUUAGGAUUUUCUUAUAUCAUUGCUUCAAAAAGGGUAAAAAAAAACGUCGACAUUGAAUUUUCUGUUUCACAUUCAAUUUUUGGAUACGUAGAAUUUUCUAAUUUAUUUUCCAUCAACUUCACUUCAAUUUUCAGUCACAAUCAAUUGCAAUCAAGAGCACCACAUCUUUUUGGAUGAAACGAAGCUCUCAAUUUUAAGAUAAACGGGUCUUUAGGGUUAUUAAUUGAGGGCCUUUUCCACAAUUGCCAUCGUUAUUUGCGGGUGAUUGGGUUACGACAAUGGUUUGAAGUGAAGCUGUUUCAAAUGAAUAUGAAUACUCUACCAGUAAGUCAUAAUUUAAAAUUCAGGUUAUGUUUCAUUUCAACUAAGUUAAAUGUUAAGAUUGAAGUUAAACCUUUUAGAGGUUGCUCACAAAAGGAUCAAACCUUUAUAAAAGUGCUUAAAUGAAUGCCAAAUUUUUUAAAAUAGACAAAUAAGGCCCUAACCUUUUAAAAGGUGUUCAAAUAAGGGCUUCUCAAAUGUUGUAUAUCAGGUUAUGUGUUUUACUCUAAACAUAUCAGUAUUUACUAUUUUUUCUACAAAUUGGGUUGAAGUGCAUGAAAAAUUUUAUUUUAGCACUUUUGUAAAGGUUAAACUCUUAUUUGACAAUUUUGAAAGGUUUGAUCCUUAUGUGAGCAACCUUUAAAAGAUUGAGCACUAAUUUAACAAGUUGAGAAAUACCUAAAUUUGUUUUCAUGAACCAAGAAAUUAAAAAAAAAAAAAAAACAUGUUGAGAAAUAUUUUAGAGAUUCUUAGCCUUGACAAGUUCCCUCCACCAUCUCCCUGCCUCCAGUCCCACCUCUUCUCUUAUGCUCCUUCCAGGUUCUUGUUUUUUGUGUAUUGAAAAUUCGACGGAACAAAAUAUCAACCUACAUCAUAAGGCACGAAGGCCAGAACUUUACUUUCUAGCCCGUCCGAUCCAAUGAAAGAAGAACAAAGAGUAUUGAGAUCUGACAACUUUAUUUCAUUUUCAUUUUCUUUGUUAUUUUCUAUGUUUCAUGUCAAAUACAAUGGAAGAAGAACAUAGAAAAAUGUUGCCUAUUUAUUUCCCAAUCAUCAUGAAAUUACUUGCCAUAGUCUUAGAAUUUUCUCACCAAUUUUCAAGCAAUCUCACAUGAUUUCUCAAUCACAAUUAAUUGAAUUCAAGAUCUUUUUGGAUGACACAAACAUUUCAAUUUUAACACAAACCAAUAUUUAGGUUAUACUUCAGUGCUUGACAAGCACUUUCACAUUUGUGGGAUAAUAACUCUAGCAUUUUAGGAUCACAUUUAAUUCAAUUGCAUUUAAGACCUCAUGAUUUUAUUCUAUAAUUUGAGUCUUAUCAACCUUUUGGGAAAUAAUAAAACAUCGACAUUAAACUUGUUGUUGAUGCAUUCAAUUUGAUUUUUUGAGGGGUCGUUGGAGUUAUAUAUGACUUUAGCAUUGAUUGAUUUUUUUAGAAUUAAUCUUUUAUACCAAUUUAAUAACAUCGACAUGUUUUUGGGUAGGGUAGAACAAAACCCAAUUUAAACCGAUUAUAGUGGUUUAGUUGACUCGGUCAAGUCCAUUAGAUGGAUAAAAUCAAUUUUAAAAUCAGUUAUAAUGGAUUAAGGUAAUUAAUUAUCUAGUAAUGAAAUACAUAAUCAAAUCAGUUACGGAAUCCGCCAUGUUAGAUAAUAUGAACAUCCCAUAUAUAAUAAGAAAAAAUUACGUACGAUUAUUUAUUAUCAUAAAUGGUUAGCUUAAAUUUAAAGUAAUCUAAUAUUUUUAUUGAUCUUCAACUAUUAACUAAAGUAUAAGCUAAAUAUGUGUAAAUAUUCUAGAAAUCAUUUCUAAUUGAUGAUAGGCUAAUUCGGAAUUAAGAUUAAUAUAUAAAAACUAGAUAGUAGGGUUAUAGUCCUCAAACUACACCUAAUUUAGUUUUUCCGACAUAUUUUUGAAAAAAUAUCACCUUCUUUAAAAAAAAUUGGUACAAAUUUCAAAAAUUAAAACUAUCAAUAAAUUCAGAUAUAUUAAUAAGUACCAACUAAACAAUACUUAAAUAUAGAUGUGUUUUAUAAAAAAAAAUUAUCAGCUUAAAGAAGUUGCAACAAAAAUUUAAAAUUCAUUUAUCAAAUGAAUAUUUAAAACUUAUAAUCUAAACUCUGACAUAAUAAAAUACAUAAGCAUAACUUGGAUUUACCAAAAAUCUAUGAACUUUUCUAAAACUUAAAUUUUAGUCCCUAUACUUUAAUUUAGAGACAUUGAGUCACUAUACUUUUUUAUUUAAAAAUCUUGGUCCCUUCAUCAAUUUUAUCAUUAUAAUUGUUGAUUUACUUGUUAUAAAAAAGGUAGAAUAACUUUUUUAGCCUUAAACAUUUAUAGUUUUUAUUAAUUUGGUCCUUACUCUUUAAAAUUACAUAAAAAUUCAAAAAUAUUUUAAAAAUUAAAUUUUUUCGUAUUUUUAAAAACAUUUAUAGUUUUUUUUUGUGGUUUGGUAACUUAUCAACUCGACUCUUAAUUGUGACAAACUUUUUUGACCUUUUUCGUACCCUUAACCUAAGUCCCGCUACAACUUUCUAAAGACCUCUUGAUUGGUGUAUCAUCUCGAUUUGUUUUUAUAGUGGUGGAGAUUUGGUUUUGAAGCAAGCCUAUGAUAAUCACAUUUUUCAUUCAACUGUUGAGCACACAAUACUUGAACCUUAAACACUUAGAGUGCUUUGAGUGAAUCUUAGAUAGGGUAUUGAUUAUGGUUGAGUUUGAAUUUCAGGUAAUUAUUGAGAUAGAGGAGACGCCUAUGUUUUUUGUGCUUUACAAAUUUUUGCUUAGAUUGCUUUUAUUCUUUAGUGUUAUGCUAGUUUCAAUUUCUAGUGCGUGAUUAUCUGUAGAUUAUUCCUAAGGAAUUGUCGGUGAAAACAAUAAAUUGAGGGAGAUUAACUUGAAUAAGGGUUGAGAAUUUUGCUUAAGGACAAACAAAUGCUUAAGUGUGGGGAUAUUUGAUAAGUGCUAAAAUUAAUAUGUUUUAACAUCAUUCUUAAUGUGUUUUUGGUUGAUUAUUUGAUGUUAAUUAUGAAUUUUAUGCUCCUAAUUCGUGUUUUUAUGCUUAAUAGAACAUUUGGGAGGAAAAUGAGCUAAAAUGGGGGCAACUAUAGGACCCACACAGGCUGACCUAUUCCAUAUGACCAUGUGGGUCAUGUGGCAGGCCAUUCGAUUUCGUAAAUUUUCACUCUGAACUGCGAAAAAAAAACGAAUUUUAGGUUUUUCAAGCAUUUUAAGGCGUAUAUAUGAAAAACAUAAGAAUAUAGGAGAGAACCUACCUAGAAUAUUUAAGAAAACAACUCCAAAAACACCAUUGAAGUCGGCUCUGAAGUAGAUUUUCAUCAAGAUUGAAGAUUCCCAGUUGAUUUCUUAGGAGAUUAUCAUGAGUUUCUUUAUUUCUUUCGGUUAUACUGCCCUUUGGAUGUUUUUAUUUUUAAGCAUGAACUAAUUUUCUAAAUACCUAAGAGAGAUGAACCCUAUGAUAGAUUGUGGCACCCCAAACCCGAUCGGGAUAGACCGGCCCGAAUUCGAAACAUUACAUUAGCCACCUAAGUGACUCUCCAGCUAACGACCACCCAAGACACAACCCAACCUUAUAACACCUCAAUCUUGUUUAAUUAUUAGUUAUUUAUUAAUGUAGAAGUAAAUUAUGAACCAAUUUUAAACUUUUCCUAGGUAAUUUAACCUAAGGGCAAUUUCAUCAUUUUACCACCUAUUGUAAAACUAACCCGAUUUUAGAUCUAAUUGCUUAUCAACCUUUUAAUCAAAUUAUGGAAGCCUAAAAUUUUUAGAUUCAUUUGAGUUUGUUUACUAUGUCUAAUUCAAAUUUUAUUACUAGGGACUAAAUUGUAACUUAAACAAAUUAGAAUAUCAAUUUAAAGAGACAAAAAUUCAAAACCCCAAAACCUACACGGGCAUGUGGAGACUGGAGCUAUCACAUACGGGCAAGUGAGAUUGAAAAAUAUGAAAUAAAUUAAUCGACUUAUUUUUCCAACAACCAUGCUAUGCUACCAAACCAAAUAAUGCUUGAAGCUUUGAAUAGGGGCGAAUCUAAAAAAAAAAAAAAUAGAAGAAUUAUAAUUAAAGUAUACAAUUUUGAGAAGUUAUCAUGUAUUAAUUUAUUAUUUUUUAAAGGGUCUUAAUAGAAAUUUUUUCCCAUUUUGGUUGGGCCAAUACCCUUGUCUGCCUCUUUAAAUUUGCUUCAACCCUAAACCCAAUAUUCGAUUUGGAUUAACAAAAAUAUAUAGGUUAGUAUUUGUGGGAGUUUGACGAAUAAAAAUUUCUUUUCUAGAGGUUUAAAUUAUAAAUUUUUGAAAGAUUAAAAUAAAUUUGUAUUUUUUUAUUAACAAAAUAUAAAAGAAAAAAAACAUGUUUAGACAAGCCAAGAGACCUUUGGGAUCAUACGGGUGAUUUUGAGAUGUUAAUGGUUAUUUUGGUGGAGAGGGUGAAAAAGAAACAAAUGAUUCAUUAUAUAUAAUAUAAUUAUCAAAAUUCAAGCCAUAUAUUGUAUGUUUCAUCCAUAAAAAUUUGAUGGGAGGUCCAAAGGUAAUUAAAUGACUUGUGGGCUUGCUGAAUUUCUUUGAAAGGCCCAAAGGCAAUUUAACAUUCACAAAAUAAUCUCUAAACACUGUAAAGACAAAUCAAAUCCACAGUAGCAUAAGAGUUGAUUAAGCUAAGCAUUGGUAAAUAUUACUUUGAUUUUGCAUGCAAUAUUGACAAAACCCCCUCCUACAUUAGAAAAACAACAUAAUCCAUGGAACAUUGAUAGCCCAAUACAAAUUUAUUCGAGAAAAAAGUCUCUUUGUUUUGUAGAACAUGAUAGUAAAGAUGUGGAGUUUCGUUCUUCUUAUUGGCCUCCUUUAGUUUUCCUUGAUCAACAACCACUAGCCAAAAACACAAUUAGAUUAGAUUAUGAAUGAUACUUUCAACUAUGACAAUAUUAAAUACAAACCCACUCUAAAUAACUUUAAAUAAAUGGAAAGCAGCAAAUUACCUGACCAGGCAAGCUAGUUUAAUUAAGACCAUUGUGUUAUACUUGUCUCUGAAUUGAAAAAUUUAGAAGGAAAUAAAGAGAAAGACUUAGAAAAUACUUGAAAACAGAUAAAACUUAUAUGUCAUUUAAAAUAAAAUAAAAAAUUCUAUUUAAGCCAUUUAAAAGUUUUAAGAUUUUUAAAAUUUUAAAAUGAUAAAAGUAAAAUAAUACUUUGGCACCCAAAAAUGAUAAAACUUUGAUUUAAUUCUUUAGUAAUUAUAAAAAUAUAGGAUAUUAAAAUGGUGAAAUUACAUUUUUACUAUAGUAAAAAUUACAAUUUAAUUUCACCCCCUAAAAGGAUUUUUUGGCUUCGCCACUAAUAAAAUCUUUGGCAAAAGAUUAAAAUAAAAUUAUACCGUAAAUGGAAAAAGAAACUAAGAAAAUCCAAUCUAACAAAGAAAAUAACUUGUUGUAACCAAAAGCUACCAUAAACCGUAAUUCAUGGGAAGGCUUGUUGCUUAUUUUAUUGGUUUCCAUUUUGAUUUUGCAAAAGAAGUCAGAAUUUUGAAGAGAGCAAAAGAAAAAAAAGUUUAUAUGAUUAAAAUUCUAGAAUAGAUUAAAAAUGUUGAAUUAAAGAUAAAAUUAAGUGUACUCAUUACUCACCAUCUCUGUUAAAAAUGUUGGAUGUUGUUUAGCAACCUUUGUUUGAUUUUCUUCAGCUCAACCACAACAUCUUUCAUAUCUUUUCUUUCUUCUGGUAACUCAGCUGAACAAUUCAAAGCCAACUCCAUGAUAGAUGAAAUACAAUUUGCUUUAACAACCAUGUACUCAUCCUCUCUUCUUAAUAAAUCAACAUCUGCAAUUUCUAUCGCUCCUUUAGGCAAUGAUCUUUCCAUCCAAUGCCUUAUACUCUCUUCUUCAACAAAAACAUUAUCAGUUGGCUUUUACUUUGUGAAAGUUUCUAUAAGGACGAUCCCAUAACUAUAGACGUCAGAUUUUAUAGAAACAAUUCCUGCUGAUCCAAAUUCUGCAUUUCAAGUAUAAUUAGAACAUCAUUCACCCUCAGUUAUUUCUAAAAUGCUUAUUCAAAUAUAUAUCCACAUCCACAUGAAACAAAAAUAUAAAAUGAAAAUUAGGAAAAUAAUCAUACAAAAAUAAAAAAGAAUUCACCUUGUGCCAUAUACCCGAUAGUUGCAAGAGUCAUGGUUUGCUUCAUUACUUCACCUUCUCCCAACAAUUUGGCAACGCCAAAAUCUCCAACAUGUGCAACCAUGUCUUCAUCUAGUAAAAUAUUUCUUGGUUUUAUGUCACAAUGAAUUAUAGGUGUUGGAUGUCCAUUGUGGAGGUGUUCUAUAGCUCCCGCAACAUCUAUCAUUAUGUCGACCCUUUGUAUGAUAUCAAGGAAACAAAUUUCAGAGUGUAACCAUUUCUCAAGGUUUCCAUUAGACAUGUAAUCAAGCACCAAGGCUUUGAAGUCAACACUUGAGCAGCAAGUAAUGACCUUCACAAUAUUACGAUGAACUAUAUUACGCAUAGCAUCACAUUCAAUGUCAAAACUCCUAAAUGCUCCCUCUGUUUGCAAAUUGAAAACUUUUAUUGCAACUUCCAUUCCAUCUGAAAGCCUCCCUUUAUAUACAUAUCCAAAACUCCCUGAACCAAGCAUAUUGCUUUCCUCAAAUCCAUUAGUUGCUCGUGAAAGUUCAGCAUGUGAAAUUCUUCUCGGUGUCUUCAAAGACAACAAAUCAUCUUUAAUUGGUAGAGUUGUACUUCUCCUUUGGCAACUUCUAUACAUAAUAGUUAAGACUGUUAGUACUACGACAAUACCAAUUGUUGUAAACCAUACCUAAAAGCAUGCAAUAUAAUCAUUUGGGAGUUUUUGUGGAUGUCGUUUUUGCAAGGUGGGACUAGCAAUCUAGGUGGGCCACAAAGUGCAUAAUUCUUCAUGAAUGAUGUGCUAGAAAAGUUUGAAAAACAUCCUUUGCUGGGAAUUUCCCCUUCAAGUCUAUUGAAAGACACAUUAAAAUACUUUAGAUAUAAAAGCUUUUCCAAAGAUUUGGGAAUGACUCCAGAGAGAUUGUUAUUGCAUAAAUCCAAGAAUUCCAAACUAAUCAAUCCAUCAAAUGAUUCAGGGAUAUGACCAUGUAGUAUAUUAUUUGAUAAAUCUAAUGAAACCAAAGUUUGAAGACCCCCAAAUGUGGAUAAGAUAUCGCCCGUGAGAAGAUUCCUUGAUAAAUUUAGUUUCAGUAGACUCCUAAGAUUUCCAACAUCAAUAGCAUGUGAAUUGUGAAGAUGGUUUGAUGAUAAAUCUAUUUUUAAGAUAUCUUUAAGAUUCCACAAAGUUGAGGGUAUUGCAGAACUCAAUUUGUUGGAAUGUAACCAAAGAUAUCCCAAAGAAGUAAUAUUACCCAAACAAGAGGGUAUAGAUCCAUGCAGCUUAUUCAACCCUAAAAACAAGUUGUAUAAUCUCUCCAAAUCACAAAGGCUUUCUGAGAUGGGCCCUCCUAAUUUAUUAGAGGAAAGACCUAGACUUUGGAGAUUCCGCAGUCCUCCUAUUGAUGUUGGAAUGAAUCCACUUAAUUUAUUAUAGCCAAGUUCUAAAAGCAACAUGUUGCUUAAGUUACCUAUUUCCAUAGGAAUAGUGCCUUGAAGCUCACAAUCUUCGGCAUAAAAGUAUUGAAGGGAUUUUGAAAGGUUCCCAAUAUAAGUAGGAAGAACGCCACUCAAUGGAUUUUCUGAAACUCCUAUGGUUUUCAAAUUCUUACAAUUCGUCAAAGAAGAAAGAAAGCUCCACUCAUGAUCAGUAGCAGAUCCUGUGAUCAAAUUAUUGUUUACGAUUCGGAACCAUUCAAGCUGUCUUAAGUUGCCAAGCGUUUUAGGGAUUGGGCCAGAGAAUAAGUUAUCUCCCAAGUCUAGUUUCGUAAGCAUGGAAGCAUUGGAGAUAGAGUAGGGAAUGUUUCCGCUAAGUUUAUUUCCCCCCAAAAAAAGAAACUCAAGCUUUGGAGCAUUGGUAAUGGGUGGUAAAUUACCUGUAAAAUAGCAUCUUUUAGUAUACAUAUUAAUUGAAUACCAAAUUCAUAAAAUAUAUAAUACAUUAAAAUAAAAACUGUAAAACUUCAAAUCAAUUAAGAAUAAAAUUUUGGCAUGGAAAAAUGUGAUGAAAUCAAUUAGAAAGUUGAGACAUAAUAAGAAGUUUUGAGUAGUAAUUACUCAUGAUUUCUAUAGACAAAACAUAUAAUACACUGAUAAUUUUUUAUAAUUUUUACAAUAUUUACAAUUUCUAACAAUUUUUAAUAAUUUUAUUAUUUAAUACAAAUUUAAAAUUUAACAAUUUUUUAUUUUUUUAAAACAAUUAUAUAUUUAUAAUGUAGUUAUUUUUUUUAUAAUUUUUUUUGAAAUUUUAAAGAUUUUUUUGGUUUUUUUUCUAGAUGAUGAUGCCAUCAUGAUGACAUCAUAUGCCACAUGGCAAUUUAUAAUUAGUUAAAUAUCUCAAUCCAUUUUUCUAACGUCAAAUGGACUAAAACAAGAACACCUGAUAAUGUUAGAGACUACACUUGGAAUGUUUGAUAAUAUCAGGUACUAAAGUGGGCAAAAAAAUUAAGGACUAUAUUAAAAAUAUAUCUAUAAUAUAUAUAAAUGCAUGGAUUUUGAGAAACUUUUGAAAUGAUAAUUAUAUAGUCUUUGUUUUUUUUACUAUAUUAUUGAAUUUUUUAUUUUAAAUAUUUUUUAUUACUUUUAAGAUUUAUCAUAUGUAUGUAUAAGAAUUUUGGUUUUACUAAAAUAUUUGGUCAAAUAAAUUCACUUUAUCAAAAAAUCUAGCAUCCUUAUAAAUAAAAAUUUUGAUUCUAUUAAAAAAAUUAUUUUAAAAAAUAUAUAAUAAAAAUUUAAAAUUUAUAUUGAAUUACUUUAUACUUAAAUUAUUAUUAGAAACUUUAUCAUACACAUACGUGCAUUAGAACCAUGUAUUUAGAACUUAAAUUUGUGUUUUAAAAUAACUUAUGAUAAAUAAUGAAAUGUAUAAUUUGAAACUAUUUAAUAAUAACACAUGACAUAUCUACCAUAUUAAAAUAAAAAUAGAUUAAAUUGUAAGUAAAACAUAAUUUAAACAUAUGAAUACAUCAAAUUACGAAUACUAAAUGAAUACAGUUAUUUAUGAUGAUGUUGUUGUCAAUUCCUAAGUUGGUGUCGAGUUAAUUUGUGACAUCAUAAAUUUAAGUGAUAAAUUUAAGGUUUUAUGUAUUGAUGCGGAUUCAAAUAUCACCAUAAUUUUUUUUAAAUAAAAAACUAAAGUACCCUCAAAUAAUAUAACUUAUAUUAAAUAUGAAAGGGUAGUUUUGUAAUUUCUCUAACGAGUUGGUGCCCGGUUGACUCAUGACACCAACUCAAUCAAAAGCUUCAAUAAUAAUAUAGAUAUUCACGUUAAAAAAAAAGUACUUUAGUUCCAAAUAAUUAUAUAACAAGUAAAUUUAUAAUUGAUGAAUAAAUUUAUAAAAAUAUAUUUAUAUGAUCUAAUAUAUUAUAUUUAUAUUAAUUAUAUAUCAUCUACAAACUUUGAAGAUCAAUUCAUUAAGUAUCAAGAAAGGAAAAAAAUGAAAUUGAAUUAACACUAAAUCAAUUUUUAGAUUUUGUACAGAUGAUUUAAUGAUGAUAAAAAAAUUAUUAGCACUAUUUUUGAAUUAACAAAAAAUUAGUGAUAUAUUUUAAUUAUAUUUAUUAUUUAUUAUUUUUAAUAAUGUUUUUUUAAUUAUAUGAAGUAAAAUUACAGUGUAUACUAAAUAUGGUACAUAUACUUUAAUUAUAACUAGAAAAUUUAUUAUAUAAAUUAAUAUAUUUUAAUUAUAUUCAACCAUUUGAACAACAAAAUAAAAAAAAUAAUUAGAAUAAUUUAUUUUUUAAAGUUUAAUGGAAAUUAAAAAAUUAAAAAUAAAUCAAUUCAUAUAAAUUUUGUUGUUUAUUUCAGAUGAAAAUGAUAAAAGUAUAUGACAUAAAUAGAAGAAACAAAUUCAACACCAUGUUUUUGGAGUUUGGAAAAAAUUAAAGUGAAAAACAUACCUUCUAAUUUGUUGUCAUGGAGACCUAUUUUUUCGAGCAUAGUUGAAUUAAAAAUACUUGAUGGAAUCUGACCUGCACACAUAGUCGAAAAUUGAAGUGAAAAACAUACCUUCUAAAUUGUUCAACUAAAAAUACUUUAAGCAUAUUUUUUAGUAAAGCCCUUCAAGCUUGGGAAGAUGUUGACACGUUGACACAUAUCAUUAGGCAAAGACUAAUAGCUUUCAAAGAAGAAAUCUUGAAGAUGGAAGAUGGAACCUGACCAGAUAAUUGAUUGAGUCCCAAGUUCAAGAUCUCUAGAUUAGACAUGUUAGCAAGUGUUUCAGGGAUUGUGCCUAUAAAGUUAUUAUUUUUCAUUUCCAGCCUUCGAACUCUGUGUAUGUUCCAAAGCCAUGAUGGAAUUUCCCCAUUAAGACGGUUGUAGCUUAAUCGAAGGAUCCGCAAACGAUGCAAUUGGCCCAAUUCUUUAGGGAGAUGGCCAUAGAAAUGGUUGCUACUCAAGUCGAGAGAGAGUAGAAAUGAAAGAUUUCCAAGGUGUGGAGGGAUAGUACCCCUAAGAUUCAUGCUUGUAAGAUUCAAAGCUGUAACUCUUUUAUGGAGGAUGCCACAAGAAACACCAAUCCAAUUGCAAACAGAGGUUGAGACAGUCCAAUUGUUUGGCAAGACAUUUUGAGGACCGGCGAUGCGAUCCUUAAACUCGAGAAGUGCAAACUGAUCGGAGUUGAGAUUUCUGACUGUCAUAGCCAAGCAAAGUACGGAACAUGGUAUGAAUAAAGCUAAAAGAAGAUGAAAGCAAGUGUUGUAGUUCAUGAUUGCAAGACAGAAUAAGAAAAGAAAAUAAAAUAAAAAAAAGUAGGAAAAGGGAAGUUGAGUUGAUAAAAUAGUUUGGAUGAUGAAGAAAAGCCCAGACAGCAUGCUUUAAUAUGUUUGGAUGAUAAAUUUAAACUUGAUAAAUUUAAGACUACCCUAAAAAUACGUACAAAGAAAUUUCAAAAUUUCAAAAUAAAUACGUACAAAGAAGCGAAUUUUCAAAAUUUCUCCUAAAUUUUCUUCACAUUACUCUACAUAAUCCAUUAAAAAAAACUUAAAAAAUAUAUUUUAUUAAUUACUAUAUAUUCUUUUAUUUUCAGAAUCAUAAAUUGUUUAAAAUAUGCUAUUAGUCCCUGUAAUUUAAAAGUUAAAAAAAUUCAAUCCUCCUAUUUUUCUAAUUUAAAAAUUCUAGUCCAAUCAAUUUUAAUUCCAUUAAAAAAUUUCAACUUAAUAGAUUUUUUAUUAUCAAUCAUAUGCAACAUUAUAUGAAGACAGUCUACUCAGCAUAUAUCCAAGUUUACAGAUUUUAAUAGAAAAUACUUACAAUCCUAAUGGUAGGACUAAGUUUUUUAAACUAGAAAAGUAAGAAGACUUAAUUUUUAACUUUUUAAGUACAAGGAUUAAAUUUUAAAUGUUGUCAAAGUACAAGCACUAACAAAAUAUUUUGAUCUAAUAAAUGUAAAAAACUUUUUAAACAAAAUAAGGUUUGAAAUAAUCUAUUUGUCCUUGUAAUUUUAUAAAUUUGAGAUUUAAUCUUUAUACUUAAAAGGUUAAAAAUUAAGUCUUCUUGUUUUUAUUUAAAAAUCUUAGUCCUAUUGUUAAUAUUAUUUUUUUUUUGCCAAAAUUUGUCAACUUUACAUAUUAAUUAGGUUUCCCUUAUAUGUCGUGGUAUAUGACUAACACAAAAUAAGCAAGUUGACAAAUUCUGACAAAAAAUAUCAAAGAUGAUAAUAAUUGGAUUAAAAUUUUUAAAUUGAAUUAAUAACCUUUAAUGUAUAAGGAAUGGAUAUCAAAUAUUUAUAGGAAUAAAGGGACUAACAACAUAUUUUAACCAGAAAAUAAUAUGAGUGAUUAGAAUGAAUCUAAAAUUUUAUAGAAAUAAAAGAGACUAACAACAUAUUGAUAACUUUCAAAUCUCCUUCGAUCAUCCUUUUUCUACGUAGAAAAAGAAAAUUAAUUAGCAUCUAAAGUGUCAAUUAAUGAAACCUUCAAAAGAAAAUGUGAAAGUGAUUUAUCAAACAAUAAUAUUCUAACUUAUAAUAUAUUUAAUUACAUUUAGUAAUUUAUCAAUCAAAACUUAUUUAACAUCCAUCAAUACUUCAUACAUAAAAAACGCAAGCAUAAAUUACCAUUUAACUCAGAUUUAACUUUGCAAGUAAACUUAAAAUUUUAUUUAAUUUUGUUACUAAAUUUGAUUUGUUCACUAUAGAGUUUGGUGACUUAAAAUAAAAGUAAUAAAAAGUUAUUCUUUCAGAUAUCUUUUUAAUGUUUAAUAAUAAAUUAAUUUAUAAAAUAUACUUUCAUUGGACACAGGCCUCCAAAGCGGUGAACCACUAAUCAAAUUAAUUUGGGGAUACCUAAAUUUGUUUUCAUCAAUUAAGAAAUUUAAAAAAUUGUUGAGACCUCAUGAUUAUCUUUUAUAAUUUCAGUCUUAUCACCAAAAACUAAAAAAUAAAAACGUCGACAUUAAAUUUGUUGGUAUGCAAUCAAUUUUAAGAUGGUUUUUGGGGUUAUAUAUCACUUUAGCAUUGACUUACUUUUCUACUCUUAGUCUUCUCCAACAAGUUAAAUAUUUGAAUUUUAACAACAUUGGCAGGUCUUUGGGGUAGGGUCGACCAAAACUUAAUAGAAACAGAUGAUAUAGGUUGAGUUGGCUCGGCCAAGUCGAGUCGACUUGUUCAAAUUAUUUAAAUUAGUAAAUUUUAGGGUGCAGUUAGAAUUUUUUGUUUUGAGAUGCUAAGAUUAAAAAAUUUCAGUUGCUAAAACAAAAAAUUUGUAUUUAAAAAGGCAUAAAUUAAAUAAUUAAGUUUUUCAAGUUUCCAUUUAAUCAAAGGUUAAAAGGACUAAAUUGAAGCUUUUUAUUUUUAAGAAAGGCUGAAUGCCAAAUUGCCCAAAGCCCAUGCCCCUAGCUAUACAACUAACUUUUCUAUGAUUAGUCCUUGGUUUGCUUUGGGUGGAAUCUUCCAACUAGCCUCAUCCUUCGUUUUACUUUCCAACAAUUAGUUUAUCAUGAGUUUUGUUUUCUUUAAAAAAAUAUUUUUGUGGAUAUUAGGAGAUAAUGAAAAUUAAUUUAGUAUGAAAUUUUAAUAAAACUGGAAAAUAAGUAAUUUAUUUAAGAGAUCACAAUUAAACGUUAGAUUUCCAAUUUUUAAAUUUUAAAUUAUUUUGACAAUUGCAUAAUAUUUUGAGCAUUGUAGGAAUGCCAUAAUCUUCCCUACGCAUAAUCGACUCUUGAGCAUGAUGGAUCCUAGGCCUUCUCCUCUAUUCUCGUACCACAAACUGCUUCGAGUGUGGAUUCGAACAAUCACAAAUUAAACACAAAACCAGAAAUGAUUUAUUACUUUCAAUAGCAAAGUAAUUCUCUCUCAAUAGAAACCAAUAGAAUUGUAAUUCCUAAAAAAUAAAAUUUAUUUUUGGAAAAUAUAUUCCCACUACUUUCUAGCAGAAUAAUAAUAUGUGAAACUUAUGUCUUGUGUUAAUAGCUCUACCAGCACUAUCUAUUUAUAGGGAGAGACGAGAAUCCUGGUUGACUUAGUAAAACACGAAUAAUAUUUAUUUCAUUGAAAACAAUAUUCCACCCUAAGUAGAUCAAGUUUGUAUGACGCAUGGAUCGAAGCUCAAUCUAGGAGAAAAAAAAAAGGAAUUUUCUUUGUAAAGAAAAUCUGAGAUUGUACUAUUUUCAAAGUUAUAAAUAAAAUUAUAAGCUAAAUUUUCAAGUCAAUUUUCAACUCCAAUUUUGUAUGCACAAAUUUCUAAUACACUUGGUGGGACAUUCUUUGACUUUUAUCUAUUCUCUCAAAAAGUUAAAGUUCAAAGUUGCAUUAAACUCAAAGAAGAUAAUCAUUAGUAAACCAGCUCACAAGCCUGCUCAAGCUAAUCCUACAACUUGUUCCACUUCAUCAUCAAACACCAAUGUUCUUGCUUAUCCUUAUGGAAUUAAACAGUCUCAUUUUCUGCAUUUUGGAUACACACCUAGUUUUGUUUGAUGCUAAAACAGUCCCUGAGCACUCCAAAGCCUAUAAUUGAACAAAUAACACUAAUUUAAUCUUACAUAACGUGAUCCCAAAUUGAACUUGUAUCGAGGUUUUAACCCAUAAGUGACUAAACUUUACCUUCAACCGAUGAACAGUAAUUCCCACAUAAACUAAGACUCCGAUUGGCGAUUACGAGCCCUUGAAUCCUCCCCUAAUUGGCAUAAACAAAACACUUCAGAAGAAAGUUAACAAACAGAGACAAAUCACUUAUCUAAAACUUACUGAAUGAUCACAGACAAACGUGGAGCGACACAAGGCAGAGUGGGAAAAGAAAAAUCAAGAGGAUGAAGGGUGAAAGAGAGCAGAAAUUCGGUAGCAAUAAAGAGAAAACGGUAAGAGGGUGGAGGGAUUUUGGGGAAAGUAAAAAAAAAAGAUGAACAGAAUAUUUGAUAACUACCCCAAUCCCUUAUUUCUCUCCAUCAAACUCUCCACUAAAUCCACUACUCGAAUUUUUAGUCCAUCUCAAACUCUCCUGGACGCAUGAGCAAAAAAUAAUGCCCAUGCCAAAAUUUGAACACAUGACCUCCUUCACACCAACACUCCACUUAUCCACUAGACCAACAGGCUCAUUCUUUUAAUUAUUUGUCAACUUUUACUUAAAAGCCUACUGACCAAAAAAUACCAAAAUUUGCCCAAGUCCUAGAUUGAACUUGGGACCUCCCAAACACACCCAGAACACAUAGCCAAUUUUCAAGCAAUCUGACAUGAAUUCUCAAUCACAAUUAAUUGAAUUCAAGAUAUAUUUGGAUGAGAAGACAAAUAUUUCAAUUUUAACACAAACCAAUGCUUGGGAUGAUUUGGGAUAAGAACUCCAACAUUUUAAGAUCACAUUUUCUUUUAUAAUUUCAGGCUUAUCAACUAUUUUGAAAACAACAAAACGUCUUACACCAAAAACUAAAAAAUAAAAACUUCGACAUUAAAUUUGUUGGUAUGCAAUCAAUUUUAAGAUGGUUUUUGGAGUUAUAUCUCACUUUAGCAUUGACUUACUUUUCUACUCUUAGUCUUCUCCAACAAGUUAAAUAUUUCAAUUUUAACAACAUUGACAGGUCUUUGGCCGAAUAAUUUUAAACGUCUCAUCAUUGCAAAAAUGAAAUAAUAGAAAAGAAAGAGUAGCCAUUUUAUGAAAUCUAUAAUUCCAACUGUGAAUAAAAUAUAAAUUUUAUGAAUGUGGACAAGCCAUUUUAUUUAUAAUUUUCUGUGUUUUUCUGACUUUUUUUAAGUCAUUUUCUUUGUUUCCUAACCAAAAAAUUUGCCCAUCACUUUAAAUAUAAAUUUAAAUAUAAAUUUUCUUUUUAAAAUAUAAAUUACUUGUCACAAUUCAUAUUUCUAAGUCAAUUUGCCAUCACUUUAACAUACACUAACUGUUCUAUGAUUAGUCCUUGGUUUGCUUUGGGUGCAAUCUUCCAACUAGCCUCAUCCUUGGUUUUACUUUCCAACAAUUAGUGUAUUACGGGUUUUGUUUUCCUUAAUAAAUAUUUUUGUGGAUAUUAGGAGAUACUGAAAAUUAUUUCACUAUGAAAUUUUAAUAAAACUGGAAAAUAAGUAAUUUCUUUUAAGAGAUCACAAUUAAACAUUAGAUUUCCAAUUUUUAAUUUUAAAGUUUUUUGACAAUUGCAUAAUUAAUAAGGUACCAAUUUUGAGAGUUGUAGGAAUGCUAUAAUCUUCCCUACGCAUAAUUGACUCUUGAGCAUGAUGGAUCCUAGACCUUAUCCUCUAUUCUCGUACCAGAAAUUGUUUCGAGUGUGGUUCGAACAAUCACAAAUUAAACACAAAACCAGAAAUGAUUUAUUACUUUCAAUAGCAAAGUAAUUCUCUCUCAAUAGAAACCAAUAGAAUUGUAAUUCCAAGAAAAUAAAAUUUAUUUUUUGAAAAUAUAUUCUCACUACUUCCUAACAGAAUAACAAUAUGUAAUACUUAUGUCUUGUGUUAAUAGCUCUACCAGUACUAUCUAUUUAUAGGGAGACACACGAGAAUCCUGGUUGAAUUAGUAAAACACGAGUAAUAUUUAUUUCAUAGAAAACAAUAUUCUACCUUAAGUAGAUCAAGUUUGGAUGACGCAUGGAUCGAAGCUCAAUCUAGGAGAAAAAAAUAAAGUAAUUUUCUUUGUAAAGAAAACCUGAGAUUGUACUAUUUUCGAAGUUAUAAAUAAAAUUAUACGCCAAAUUUACAAGUCAAUUUUCAACUCGAAUUUUUUAUGUACAAAUUUCUAAUAGACUUGGUGGCACAUUUUUUGAAUUUUAUCUAUUCUCUCGAAAAGCUAAAGUUCAAAGCUGCAUUAAACUCAAAGAAGAUAAUCAUUAGUAAACCAGCUCACAAGCCUGCUCAAGCUAAUCCUACAACUCGUUCCACUUCAUCAUCAAGCACCAAUGUUCCUGCUUAUCCUUAUGGAAUUAAACAAAAGACAAAAGCUCUCUAAGAGUUAUUUGAACAGACAAAAUAUUCAGAUGUGUUGAGAUGGAAAGUGACAACGCAAAGUUGAUUGAAACUAUUUGUAACGGGUUGGCUACAAUAAGUAGUGUUGUGAAGUAAGAUAGAUUCACGAUUGGUGUUCCAAAAUUGAGUAGCUAGUUAUCUUGGAAGAUCCUCCACAUUAUGUGAGAUGCUGGCUUGAAGAAGAUAUUAGACAAUUGCUAGUGACUGAUGAUAAUUUUCAUUUGGACUGAUGCUUGCUUAAUUUUCUAAGCUUAUGUUCAACCAAAAAAAAAAAAAUUAAAUAUGUCUAAAUGAUCAUAGAGUUAACAUUUAGUGUAUAAAAAAUUAAUAUAUAAUUUGUUUUCAAUUGUAGUUUAGUUCUAGAAAUACCAACGAUGAACCUUAAAACGGAAAUGAAAAUUACAAAAAAAAAAACAAACCACAUCUAUUAUCAAACCAACAAUCCAUGUCUAAACUUAAAUUAACAAAAUUCGUUACGCAACUCGGUACACUAUUUUAUAUAAUCAAUAUAUUAGAUUUAUUCUUGAUGCACAUGUUUUAUUAUAGUUAAAAAUUAAAAUAUAUGAUUUACUAAGUUUUAAUUGAAUUAGUAUUGGUAUUAUAUCAGUGUAGGAAAAUGUGAGUUUAAUCGUACUUAAAUAUGUAUCCUCCAACUCAACAGUUGGGAAAAGGUUAUUGAUAAUUAAAUUAUACCAAUUUUUACAAUAUCUAAAAAGCAUUCAUAAACAUAUUCAUAUUGAUGGGCUCUUUCAUUAUUAAACUUUUUUUCUCUCACAAGUAAAAGUACUUGUGGUGAGGAUCAUGUAAAAUAAUAAACUGAAUAAUUUUAAACGUCUCAUCAUUGCGAAAAUGAAAUAAUAGAAAAGAAGCCAUUUUAUGAAAUUUACAAUUCCAACUGUGAAUAAAAUAUAAAUUUUAUGAAUGUGGACAAGCAAUUUUAUUUAACUUUUUUUAAAGUAAUUUUCUUUGUUUCCUAACCAACAUGAAAUUACUUGUCACAAUUCAUCUUUUUAAAUGAGAAACAUUUUCAACAAUUUGCCAUCACAUCAACAUACACUAACUUUUCUAUGAUUAGUCCUUGGUUUGCUUUGGGUGCAAUCUUCCAACUAGCCUUAUCCUUGGUUUUACUUUCCAACAAUUAUUGUAUCCUCCUCAUUACUUUUACUUACCGACGGAUGAAAAAUUCACUGAUCAAAUUAAUUCAAAGAUUUUUUUUUUCUAAAUCAAGUGAAUUCACGAGUUUUAUUUUCUUUAAAAAAUAUUUUUGUGGAUAUUAGGAGAUACUGAAAAUUAUUUUACUAUGAAAUUUUAAUAAAAUUGGAAAAUAAGUGAUUUAUUUAAAGGGAUCACAAUUAAACAUUAGAUUUUUAAUUUUUUAAUUUUAAAUUUUUUUGACAAUUGCGUAAUUAAUAAGGUACUAAUUUUGAGCAUUGUUGGAGUGCUAUAACCUUCCCUAUGCAUAAUCGACUCUUAAAUUCACUUUUUUCUCUAGAAUUUUAACAAACUUACAAAAUGAUUUAAUGAUAUUUAAUUAUUGAUGGGUAAAAAAAUUAUAUCAUAUAAAUUCCGAAUAAUUAAUUAUAUAUCUACAUAUUAUAACCAAUUCAUCUUUCAAAAUUAUUUCCUUAUAAUUAAAGCAAAAAUUAUAUUUAUAAAAUUCUAAAUAUAUUAUAAUUCUUGUAAAUAUAUAUAUUUACAUAUAUAAGUCCAAAUUGUAAUAGAGUUAACAUUUAUUGUAUAAAAAAUGUCUUGAAAUUUUUUUUUUCAAUUUCAAAAGAACUAUUCCAUUUAUAAAACCAUAAAACUUUAAAAAUAUAAACUCUAUUAAAUAAAAAUAAUAAUAUUUUUAAACAAUAAAUAUUGACUUUAUUUUAAAUUGACAUUAUCUAAUUCUUUUUAAUAUGUAUCGCUAAGCUUUACAUUAAUAUACAUGAUUUAUUUGUUCGUUAUUAUUAUUAUUAUUAUUAUUAUUAUUAUUAUUAUUAUUAUUUCUAUGAUUAUUAUAUUAUACUUAUCGGACUACAAUCAUAACCAUGUCUAUUAUCAUUCGAUAAAAAAAAAUUAAGUGUUGAGUAUAAUGACAAGGCACAUUACACUCUGAAGGGGAGAUUAAGGUUUGGACAAAGGAAGAAUAUGAUUCAAAUUUUGGAGACAACAUUCUUGAAAUGAGCAACCAUAAACCCCGAUUAUGAACCAUAAAACGAUCAUGAAAAGUACCCAAAAAAACACAUUUAUUACCAAAUAGUAAUCCAUCUAAGGAUUAAAUUAACAAAAUUCACCAUCCAACCGUGUAGACUAUUAUAAAUAUAUAUACUAUAUUUAUUCUUCAUGCAAAUGUUUAUUAUAUUUAAAAAUUAAAAUAUAUGGUUGAUUGAGUUUUAGUUGUGUUAAUAUUGAAAUUAUUGUCAGUGCAAAAGAACAUGAGUUCAAUCAUGUUUAAAUACGUUUUAUACUCCAAUUUAGGAGUUGGAGAGGAUUCUCAAUAGUUAAAUUAUAUUAGUUUUUGUCUAUUUAAAAAUGAUUUAUAAAUAAUAUAAGUAGAAAAUUUUAAAAAAAAUACAUAUUCAUAUUGAUCGGCUUUUUCAUUAUUAGACUUUUUUCCCCACAGUUAAAAGUAUUUAUCGAAUUCAAAUUUUGGGUUUUAAAUAAGGGUUUCGGAUUUUUUUUAAACAUUUGUGUGAGUUUUUGCCAAAUUUUAUAUUUUCGGAACGAAUAACUAAGUUGAUUUUUAAUUACUUUUUCAAACAAGUCGAUGUAAUUCCUCAAAAAUCUAGUCAAAGCGUCUAGGCUGGGUUUGGAGGUGUUACACUAACGUUACUAAAGUUAAUCUUAAUCUAUUUAGUCUAGAUCUAAACAUCAAUAUUCUCUUCCAAGAAAAAUCAAGAUUAUCAAAUUAUUACAACUGUGUAGCCAGACAAUCAUAUUAAAUAUGCAUAAAACAUAAUAAAUAAUUAGCGAAGAUUGAAACAAUCAAAGAAAAAAAUAAAUAAAUAAACUAAGAAAUAAGGAUCCAUUAUUGUUUCAAGAAAACAGAGUUUAGUUCAUAUUGAGUUGAGAAAACCAGAAAGGAGAUUCAAAACAAACUUGUGAUAAGGGGAACAAUGUCAAUAGAUCAUAUUCAAGUUGUUCGACUUCAGAUUUGACCUGAAAAGAAGAAACCAAACAUAUUUAGGAAAACAAGAAAAAACAAAGAAAAAAAACUAAAAUGAGAAAUUUAAGAAUAAAUAAUAAAUAUUAAAAAUAAAUAAAGAAAUUAUAGAAUAAAAAGUGGCAGAUGGAAUGAAGAAAUGAUGGAUAUAAAUAAAAGAUGGAUAUGACAUAUAGAUGAAUAAGUGUCUGAUAACUCUUGAAAAAAAGUUAUAUUUCAUGCCUUUAGACCUAGCUAAUUGCUUGUACUUAAGUAUAUUUUGUUGCUUUUUAAGACAUUUUAGUGAGCAUUUUUAAUAUUGUAUUAGGACUUAGACUGAGUUGGAAUUAGGUGCUUUUAAUCGCUUGUGGUGGAGUUUUUUGUGUGUUGGUAUGGCAGGAACAGGUUUUAGAUCGAGGAAAUAAAUGAGUGAAGUUUUGUUUGGGCAAAAGUGCAUAUAGUUUUCCAACAAGGAUGCCGUGGCAAUGCCGAGAAGACCAAGUUCAUAUUUUUUGUGCAACAGUCCUAGUUCAAAUUCAAACUUGUAUGAGAUAAAUCCCCCUAAAAGAGGAGAAGAUAAUUACAUUGAUGUUAGUUGACCCUAGCCUAAUCUAUCUAUUAAAUCCAAUGAAAGGGAUCUCACAAAUGGUAGAAAAAAGUGAGAGAGAUCUUUAGGGGUGAAUAAGGGUUUGGCUGUGCAAAGGAAAAGAAGUCAAGGGCAAUCAUUCUUAGCCUUCACAGGACGUUUUGUUGCCAAAGUGUGGACUGGGCAAGUGAAAGCUGUUUCCCAAAGUUCUUCUGUUAUUUCCAUCAGUGUUCCUUCGAAAGAUUGAAUUGAAGUAGUUGAACACAAUGUCAGAUAAUAUUUUGGUUUGAAAUUCUAUUUCCCAGUUUAUGAGCUAAAUCUCAUAAGGUUGGGAUUACUUUCGAUGAAACCUUUAAUUUUUUUUAUGGAUGCAAUAUAUAUCUAAUUUACAUUACAGUUUCAUUUGAUUGUUCUUAUUUCUUAAUUAAAAUGCAAAUGAUCUCUAGACAUAGAAGACUAUUCACAUACUUAUAAACUGAUUAUAAUUCUAAAAGGGUUGGAUUAAAAUUAAAUGAAAUGAGCAAGUAUUUGAUAGACACUUGUAGCCGACUCCAGACAUAGAGUCACGAUCAUACAGAAGGAACCCAUGCAAGAUAUCUGAAAAGCCUUUAGACACAGGCAAGGCAACUUGAGGUUAUUCUCUCACACGAGGCAGACCAUUUUAGAACUCUUCUGUGUUGUAAAGUAGAUACGAUUUUGCCAAGGCAUUAUUGACAAUAAGGGUUGAUUCUGGGUAAUCCCGACCUUCCAAAUCCACAUCGUAUAUCCUUCAUUAUUUUCCAUAGUAUCUUUUCCACAUCAUUAUUAAUUAUUUAUUUGUUCAUUUACAUAAUAUUCCCAUAGUAAUUCUCAUAAUUGCCAUUACAUUUCUACUCUCGAUUUGCCAUAGCAUUACCAAAUAUUCAUUAAUUCCACAUAUUGAUUACAUCAUUACUCUACUCAUUGCCAUUGCAUAUUUAUCAUUGACUUUGUCACAACAUUAAUUGUAUUUUAUGAUAAUAACUUGAUCGAUUUUGUGCCUCAAUCUGAUCAUCGUGGGAAUGAUACUCACUCAUCAUUUAUUACUUGAUUCAACGUGUAUACUUGCACAAAUCGCAUAUCAUUUCACAUGCGACAAUGUCCAAUUGAACCCUUUAAGAUAUAAACUCAAACAAACUCAAUUAAUGGCUUUAAUCAACCCACCAAGAAAUAAUCCUUGGCAAAUUGAAGGAUGAAUAAUGAAUUCCCAUGACUCCUUAAAGAAAAUUGAGAAGAAAACUGCUUCUAAAAAUUACAAGAAACAAUCUUGCACAAAGAAACUAACCUUGAGAGUUGGAAAUUUUAGUAACGAACAAAGACAAUUGUGUCUCUAAUGACCAUGAAAGAGCUUUACAUAGGCUAGAUAAGUACAUCCAAAUAAAAUUUCGAAGUAUCUUAAAACUUUAAUUAAUGUAAGCAAAAAGUAAUUUUCAACUAAAAUAGUCAUAAUUUCCGUAAUAAUCCCGUCUAGAAAUUCUACUCACAUAGUCAUCACUAAAAUAGUCAUCAUUUGAGCUCUUGAACUAGAAAUUGAGUGAAUAAAAGUGUGUUUGAUAGACCUUAGAACUCCAUCAAGACAUAUCAAUCGAAAAAUAUUUGGAUCCCAUCCAAAAAGUCAUUGCAAGUUAACUGAUUUUCCAAACUUGAAAAUUGGCAGCUUCAGUGAAUGAAAUUUAAUAAAGUUCACCCCAUCUGCUCAUGUAUAAACUUGCAGUGGUAAAAAGUAAAAAGAAAUAAUCUAUAGAGAAAAUAGUUGAAGAAUUUAUGACAAUUUAUUCAGACCUUUUUUUCUUCUAGCCUUUGCAAGCUUGAAGUUUCCGUUGGUGUGUGAGAGUUGUUCCUUACCCUUUAAGUUAUUUCUUUUCUUUUCCUUCUUUUUCUUUCUCUUCGAUCUCAUCACCUAAGGGUGCUCAAACAACUGAUUCAGUUAAUACCCGAACAAAGCUAUCAUUAAAUGAAAUUUUGAAACCCUUAAUCAUUAAUGAAACCAAUUUUUUGUUGAAACCUAUUAACCGGCCGGAUUGAUUUCGGUUAAUUUGUGCAGUUAACCAGAAUUUAUACAUUGUUUGUUUUUUAUCAAACAAUUUUAAAACAAAGAACAAUCCAUGACAACUUUUUCCUUGUUUUUUAUUCAAAAAUUAUUAAAAGAACUAAAAAAAAUAACAUAAUAACAACACUAAAUUAAAAACAUAAUAGCAUUCAUUACAGUACAAAUCUUUUUUCUUUUUUUUCUUUUUGUUGACUUUUUAGUUUAAUUUUAGUUUUUUUUCAAAUAUUUUAGUUUUCAUAUUCUUGUUAAGCUUAUUAUAAGAAAACUUAUAAAUCCAUUAGUUUUUAUAUAUUAGGUUUGUAUAAUGUAUUGGAGCUAUCUCUAUAAUAUAUUUUUAUUGAUUUCGGUUAAUCAAUUAAUUCGGUUAAUUAGUCGAUUUCAAACGAAACUAAUUGAUAAACAAAAUCUUCAAAAACAUUUAACCAACUCCCAACCAAAUUAGAUUCGUUGAUCGCCUGCUUAAUCAAGUUAAUCAUAUGGUAAAAUGGCAUAGUUUUGGAAUGGUUUUUUGGAAUUAUUGGUAUAGGUUUAAGUUAUGAUCUUGAGAUGUUGAGUUGAAUUAAGUUUGAUAUGUAUAUUGUGAUGCCUUCAUUGGCAUAUUGGUUAGAUAUUAAAGGAUGGUUGAUUUGGUAUGUUUUUAAAAUGGUUGUUGGUAUGUGUGAUCUAAAUUGAUUAAAUGAACUUGUAAUGUUGAAUGGUAUAAUAUUUGUUGGUACAUUAGUUAGUCUUAUAGGUUGAUGGAAUUGGUAUGUUUUAAAUGUGUUUAAAAUGUGUUUUGAUUGUUUAAAUGUUUGUGGAAAUGGUGUGUCUUGGUGUACAAGAUUUGAAAUUGAAAUGGCUUGAUUUAGAAGCAACUUAUGUUGUACACCACCUGGGACACUGGUUGUCACAUGGUUGUGUGUCAUUAUUGUUUUAGGUACAGGUUUCACACAAUCUGAGACUCGGCUCACGACAUAGCUGUGUAUCACAAGUCAGUAUGUAACACGGUUUGGUACAUGGCCUGCGACAUGACCGUGUGUCCAAACUUCGAAUGUCCACACGGUCUGGGCUAUGUCACACGGGUUGGCCACAUGGCCGUGUGACCCUUGUUUUCAAGUUUUCUAAAAUUUUCUAUUUUAUUUCAAAUUGAUCCUAGAAUAUUCUCAAACUGUUUUUAGGGCCCGUAGGUUCGAAUUAAGGCCCAUAAGUGUAUGUUUGCUAUAAUUAAGUUGUGUUAAUUAAUGUUAUUAAUUAAAUGGCAUGAAUAUUUUAUUGUAAGUUAAAUGUUUUAAUUUGAACUAUAAUGCUCCGUAACUCUAAUCUGGCGACGGAGACAGGUUUGGGGUGUUACAAUUUUGGACUUGAAAUUUGUUUUGGGGCUUUGUUCGAUGUUUGUUGGAUUUUAGUGUUUUAACAUUAAACUACAAAAUUGUAUGAUUUAACAAACUAAAAAUUAGGUUUUCAAAAUUAAAACUCUGGAAGUUUCUGUUUCAAAGAUUAAGUAAUCACUUAAGUGUUUUCCCAUAAAUAAUUAAAUGGUUUUUAACAAAUGUUUUCCUUAGUUUUGGAAAUGAUAUGCCAACAUUAGUACUUUUAAAACACAUGAUUUCAAAUUCAAAUUCUUGGUUUUAAGUAAGGGUUUUCAAACUUUGAUUUUUUUUAACAUUUGUGAGAGGUUUUUGCCAAAUUUUAUGUUUUCAGAACGUGUAACUAAGUUGAUUUUUAAUUAGUUUUUCAAACAAGUCAAUGUAAUUCCUCAAAAAUCCAAUCAUAGCGUCUAGGUCGGGUUUGGGUUGUUACACUGACGUUACUAAAGUUAAUCUUAAUCUAUUUAGUCUAGAUCUAAACAUUAAUAUUCUCUUCCAAGAAAAAUCAAGAUUAUCAAAUUAUUACAACUUGGUAGGCAGACAAUCAUAUUAAAUAUGCAUAAAAGUUAAUAAAUAAUUAGCGAAGAUUGAAACAAUCAAAUAAAAAAUAAAUUAAUUAACUAAGAAAUAAGUUCCAUUAUUGUUUCAUGAAAAUAGAGUUUAGUUCAUAUUGAGUUGAGAAAACCAAAAGCGAGAUUCAAAACAAACCUGUGAUAAGGGGAACAAUGUCAAUAGAUUAUAUUCAUGUUGUUUGACUCAAGAAAGAAAUAUUCGAAUCUAACUUGAAAAGAAGAAACCAAAUAGAUUUAGAAAAAUAAGAAAAAAAAACAAAGAAAAUAACUAAAAUGAGAAAUUUAAGAAUAAAUAAUAAAUAUUAAAAAUAAUAAAGAAAUAAAGAAAUUAUAGAAUAAAUAAUGGAAGAUGGAAAUGAAACGACGGAUAUGACAUAUAGAUGGAUAAGUGUCUGAUAAUUCUUGAAAAGAGUUAUAUUUCAUACCUUUAGACCUCACUAAUUGCUUGUACUUAAGUACAUUUUGUUGCAUAUUGAGACAUUUUUGUUCGUAUUUGUAAUAUUGCAUUAGGACUUAGAUUGUGUUAGAAUUAGGUGUUUUUGAUCACUUGUGGUGGAGUUUUUAGUGUGUUGGUAUGGUAGGAACAAUAUUUAGAACGAGGAAAUAAAUGAGUGAAGUUUAGUCAGCGCAAAAGUGCAGAUAGUUUGCCAACACGUAUGCCGUGGCAAUGUCGGGAAGACCAAGUCAACAAAUUUUUGCGCAACAGUCCUAGUUCAAAUUCAAACUUGUACUAGAUAAAUCUCCUUAAAAGAGGAAAAGAUAAUCACAAGUUGUUAACCGACCCUAGCCUAAUCUAUCUAUAAAAGCCAAUGAAGGGGAUCUCACAAAUGGCAGAAAAAAGUGGAAGAGAUCCUUAGGUGCGAAUAAUGGUUCAGCUGCGCAAAGGAAAGGAAGUUGAAGGCAAUCUUUUUUAGCCAUCACAAGACGUUGUGCUGUCGAAGUGUGGACUAGACAAGUGAAAGUUGUUUCCCAAAGUUCUUUCGUUAUUUCCGUCAGUGUUCCUUCAAAAUAUUAAAGUAGUUGAACAUAAUGUUGGAUAAUAUUUUGGUUUGGAAUUUUAAUUCCUAGCCCAUGAGCUAAAUCUCGUAGGGUUGGAAUUACUUUUGAUAAAACCUUAAACUAUUUUUAUGGAUGCAGUAUAUAUGUAAUUUACUUUACUGUUUCAUUUUAUUAUUCUUAUUUCUUAAUUAAAAUGCAAAUGAUCUCUAGACAUUGAAGCCUUUCACAUACUUAUAAACUGAUUUUAAUUCUGAAAGGGUUGGAUUGGUUGGAUUAAAAUUAAAUGAAAUGAGCAAGCAUUCGGUGGACACCUGUAGUAGACUUUAGACAUAGAGUCACGCUCAUACAGAAGGAACCCAUGCAAGAUAUCUAAAAAGCCUUUAGACAUAGGCAAGGUAACUUAAGGUUUUGCUCUCACGAGAGGCAGGCCAUUUUAGUACUCUUUUGUGCUUUAAAGUAGAUACGAUUUUGCCAAGGCAUUAUUGACAGUAAAGGUCGAUUAUGGGUAGUCCCAACCCUCCAAAUCCACAUCGUAUAUCCUUUACUCUUUGCCAUAGUAUAUUUGCCACAUCAUUAUAAGUUAUUUAUUUGUUCAUUUACAUAAUAUUUCCGUUGUAAUUCUCAUAAUUAUCAUUACUUUCUACUCUCGAUUUGCCACAACAUUACUAGUUAUUUAUUAAUUCCACGUAUGGCUUACAUCAUUGCUCUACUAAUUGCCACUGUAUAUUUACCAUUGACUUCGCCAUAGCAUUAAUCAUAUUUUAUUAUAAUAACUUGACCAAUUUUGUGCCUCAAUUCGAUCCUCAUGGAAAUGAUACUCACUCAUCACUUUAUUUGUAACACCCCAAACUCGGCCUAGACGUUAUGGCCGAAUCUGGUGAUGUCACAUGGAGAGGGAUUUGAAGACAAGAUUGUUGAGUUUAAAAACCGUUACAGUAAGUUAGCUUUUAUUUAGGGAAAAUCGUGUUUUGUAGAGUUGUAGUUUUUAGGAAAAAAAUCGUGUUUUGUAGAGUUGUAGUUUUUUUAAAAAACCCAAUAAAAAAUAGUAUAAAGUCCCAAAUUUAAAACCAAUCAGUCCAUAGUCCAGAAGAUACAUCAAAAACUCAAAAUAAGUAAUAAAUUCUAGGCAUUAACGGAAAACAAUCUAAAAUUUACGUGUGGCCACCAUUGAGUCCUCUGCUGCACCGAUUCGUCAAGUCUGAGGAUUACCUAUACAAAUUAAAUAGAGAAAGGGUGAGUUGUCGCAAACUUAGUGUGUAAUCCCCACAGAAAACAUGCAUAGAGAUAAUUAACAAAAUUUAGUUAGAUACAGUCUAGGGCCUGUGCCCAUCAUAGAAUCAGUUUGGGCCUUAGCCCAUUCAGAUAUAGUCUUAGAAAUACAUUAGGGCAUUGACCAGCCUCUACAAACCACCUCCAUCCAACCAUACACACCAUGUGGGGAUUAAAUCAACCAACCCAUCCCUACACACCAUGCUGUACCGAAAUGCGGCACAUAAUUAGAAGGUUGCAGCUGGGCUGCCAGAUAACAUAAGUCAUGCUCGGUAUAGAAAUCAGACAGACAGAUCACACAUAUAGGUGUCUAAGUAAAGCUUACUGACCCUACAGUAGGUCCACAGUUAACUUGGGCGACCCGUGCAAAAUUACAGAACUUUUUAGAAAAAUGGGCUUACACGCCUAUGUGGCCCACUCGGCCCAAAUUGGCCUUGACCACGUGAUCCAUUUUUAAUGUAACCAGUGCUAGUUAAUUAUUCAUAUAUGUUUUCACUAUUUACUUAUAUGUUAAUUUAAAGCUGUCUACUUGAGUCACUGUUACUAAAUUAUUUAUAUCUUGAGCUACAGAAUUUCAAAUUAAGAUCCGCUUAAUGUCUUUGAAACUAGACUCAAAUAUCUUUCUACUAUAAAAUUUUUAUAAUUUUUGGUUGAGCCAACAAGUACAGUAAAAUCUUCAAACCUUCCCCUAUUCUGCUGUCUGACAACUUCAACCCUUCUUUGCUAAGAAUUAAUUAUCUCUUAGUACAAGAUUUGGAUGAUGUUUACAUUUGUUUCUAUUGAAAAUAAACUCAUUAAUAAUUUAAAAAUGUAAAUUUUAAACCCCUAAUUAUUUUUCUCCAAUUUUUGAUGAUUUUCCAAAUUUAGAACAGGGGAACCUUAAUUCUUUCUGACCUUGUCUCACGAAGUUUAUUAUACCUCACAAUUUACAAUUCCAUUACUUACAUCGUUUAAGAUUUAAUUCCAUAUUUUUUUCAUCCUCUAAUUCAAUUUCCACAAUUUAUGGCAAUUUUUCAAAGUUAACCUACUGUUGUUGUCCAAACAGCAAGCAAUUUUGGCUUUUCGCCGAAUCCUUUUUUUUGCAUUUCGGGUACACACCUGGUUUUGUUUGAUGCUAAAACAAUCCCCGAACACUCUAAAGUCACCAAUGAUAACCAUCCAUUUAAAUAUUGUUAACACGAGAACACUGAAUUCACUAGUCCGAGUCUCCCCCUACGCCCAAAUCGCAGAGAAAAUACGUUACCACUUUAGUCGCUAAAAGAUUCAUGAUAGAAAAGAAGAGAAACACUUACCGAACUAAGCGAGCACUAACCGUGUGUGAAAAUGAAGGAAAAUAAAUGGAUUAGGGAAAAAUCAAGAACAAGAAAAAGAAGAAAAAGAAAAACUCAGAGAAUUUCAACAAGAGGAGAGGGAGAAGAAUAGACGGCGAAUAAAAUUCUGAUAACCCCCAAAAUCCCUUAAUCUUCUCCCCUAAUUCCCACUACACAUCCACUAUUCAUAACCCCCUAUUACAUAACUCUAUCCGAAAUCUGAUAAAAAAAAACAUAAUACCCUUGCCUGCAUAGGGGUUCAAACACAAAACCUCUACUAUAAUAACACAUCAUUUAACCACCAGACCAGCAGGCCCAUUCUGAUGUAAUUUACCCAAAAAUCAAAUAAAAGCCUACUCAACAAGAGUAAAGCCUAAUUCAUUCAAAAUACCAAAAUUUGCCCAAGCAAAAGCUUGAACUUGGGACCUCCCAAACACUCCCAGAACACAUAACUACUAAAGCUGACAAAUAUUUGUGUCAUAUUUUCACAAUAAUGAAAUUAGAAAUUUUGGGACAUUACAUUAUUACUUGAUUCAACUCUUGCACAAAUCGCAUAUCAUUUCACACACAACAGUGCUCAAUUGAACCCUUUAAGAUAUGAAAUCUAACAAACUCAAUUAAUGGCUUUAAUCAAUCCACCAAGAAAUAAUCAUUGGCAAAUUGAAGGAUGAAGAAUGAAUUCCCAUGACUCCUUAAAAAAAUUGAUAAGAAAACUACUUUUAAAAAUCACAAGAAACAAAUCUUGCAUAAAGAAACUAACUCUCAGAGUUGGUAAUUUUAGUAAUAAACAAAAACAAUUGCGUCUCUAAUGAACAUGAAGGGGCCUUUACAUAGGCUAGAUAAGUACAUCCAAAUAAAAUUGUCAAAUAUCUUGAAACUUUAAUUAAUGUAAGCAAGAAGUAAUUUUAAACUAAAAUAGUCAUAAUUUUCGUAAUAAUCCCGUCUAAAAAUUCUGCUCACAUAGUCAUCAUUAAAACAAUCAUAAUUUGAGCUCUUGAACUCAAAAUUGAGUGAAUAAAAGUGCGUUUCGAAGUUAAGUGAUAGAUCCUAGAACUCUAUGAAGACAUAUCAAUCAAAAAAAUAUCUGGAUCCCAUCCAAAAAGUCACCGCAAGUUAACUAAUUUUUCAAACUUAAAAUUUGGCAGCUUCGGUGAAUGGAAUUUAAUAAAGUUCACUCCAUCCAUUCAUGUAUCAACUUGCAUUGGUAACAAGUAAAAGAAAAAAAUCUAUAGAGAAAAUAGUUGAAGAAUUUAUGACAAUUUAUUCAAAUCUCUUUUUCUUCUAGUCUUUGCAAGCUUGAAGUUUCCCUUGGUGUGAGAGAGUUGUUCCUUACCCUCUAAGUGAUUUUUUUCUUUUUCUUUCUCUUCGAUCUCGUCACCUAUUGGUGUUCAAACAAUUGAUUCAGUUAAUACCCGAACAAAACUAUCAUUAACUGAAAUUUUGAAACCCUUAAUCGUUAAUCAAACCAAUUUUUUUAAAAAAAACCUAUUAACUAGCUGGAUUGAUUUCGAUUAAUUUUAGCGGUUAACCAGAAUUUAUACAUGGUUUUUUUUUGUUCAAAAAAUUUUAAAACAAAGAACAAUCCAUGACAAUUUUUUCCUUGUUUUUUAUUGAAAAAAUUAAAAGAACUAAAAAAAUAACAUAAUAACAACAAUAAAUUAAAAACAUAAUAGCAUUCAUUACAUUACAAGGCAUAUAUAUAUAUUUUUACUUUUUCUUCACUUUUUAGUUUAAUUUUAUAUUUUUUAAAAUAUUUUUAGUUUUCAUAUUUUUGUUAAGCUUAUUAUAAGAAAACUUAUAAAUCCAUUAAUUUUUCUAUAUUGGUUUUGUAUAAUGUAUUGGACUUAUCUCUAAUAUAUUUGGCCUAUAAUAUAUUUUUAUUGAUUUCGGUUAAUCAAUUAAUUCGGUUAAUUAGUCGAUUUCAAACUAAACUAAUUGGUAAACAAAAUCUUCAAAAACCUUUAACCAACUCCCAACCAAAUUAGAUUUGAUUGCUUAAUCAAAUUAAUUAGGUUUGAUAAAUUAAUUCGUUAAAACCAAAAAAUCCACACCCCUAUCAUCACCUUUAUUUUUAGGGAUUUUAAUCAUGUUGCUGCACCUGAUGCAGAAGUUGAGGUGGAACGAACUGCUUGCUACCACAAUUUAUGAAUUAUAGAGCAUGCUCCACCGUAGUGAAUCAAAUUCGGUGGAGUAGAAGACUUUUCUUCACUACUUUAUGCUCUAUGCUCCAAGUCUUCUAUUCUUCUUCUGAGACCUACAAUGGGAAAAUAAAAACUAAGAAACAAGUCUAAACUAACUUUGAAAAUUAGAAAUUUUCAACAAAAUUGAAAUAAAAUAUAAUUAAUCCAUAAAAAACUAUAAAAUGCAAUAAAAACAAACCUAAAUACUAAAAUUACCUCCUAAAAUGCUGUGGAAACUAUACUAAAAUAACUCUAAAUAUGAUAGUUAUCAGAAGCGACUUGAAUAAGCCAAUCGAGUAGAUGAUUUCAACUAUUGCAAAUAGCAUCAGUCGAUUAACCAUCCUCUUGAGAAGAUCAUAGAGUUGAAAGAAAAAAUCAUACAACUCCAUGAAGAAGAAAAAAUCAUGUUUGAAAAAGAAGUGGCAUUAUCAAACUUGACAUCAAUGCUUUGGUUUCUCAAUACAAUAUUAAGGAGAAAUUCAUCAAAUUUGGCUCUUUCACUCCUAUUACACUAGCUCUAAGUAGAAGUAAGAUGGUGAAUUUCGAAGGGAUUGGGGACAAUCAUCUAUUUUUGGAAUAUCAGAAUGGUCAUGAUUGGACUCAAAGAAGCCAAUGAAAUGCAUCUCUCCUAGGUAUAAGCUUAUAUUGUCACAUUGCUCCUAAGCACGAGCAUAAAUUGUUCAUCCAAAAUGAUGAUGCUCCUAAGCAUGAGCUUAAACUGUUCAUCUAAUGCUCCUAAGAAGGAGCCUAAACUAUUCAUAAAAAAUAAAUGAUGAUCCAGUGAAGCACGAGAUUAAACUAUUCAUACGAAAUAAAUGAUUACCUCCUAAGCAUGAAUUUAAAUUGUUCAUACAUAAUAAAUGAUGAUACUCCUAAGCAUGAGCUUAAAUAGCAGUCCAAAAAAAAUUGAACAACAUUAUAACUUUAUCUUUUAAAAAUGAAGGUACGUAGAUAGCCUGGUUUCAUUGCCAAGUUCAGUCAGUGAAACAAAUUCUUGAAAGUAGGAAGCAAAUAAAAUUUCAAGACUUGUACCCUUUCUACGCCCAACAAAAUUCAGAAUUCAGCAUUUGUUAUUACUGUUUAUCUCUAACUAAAUUAAUGAAAAGAUAAAUCAAGAAAUUAAAUCCUUUUAGAACUGUCUUAUAAAGAAACCAUAUUCUUUAAGGAUUACUUUAUCUAUAAUUAAUUAAAUUAAUAAGAUAUGAAUAAUAAUAAUAGAGUUUAAAUUCUUAUAGAACACUCAAAUGAAAAAGCUAAAUUCUACAACAACUCUCUUAUAUCAAAGUGAUUGGGCACUAUAAAAAUGGGUCACCUCCAAGUCAUUCUACACAUUCACAAGUUCAAGAAGUUCAAAAAUUCUUUACGAAAAUAUGAAGAAACUAAAGAAGUAGAAGAAAUUCUGAUGAACAUCAUAUCAGUUCUAAAGAAAAACUGCCUCCUAUCCAAUUCAAUUGAGAGGAGGAUGUCAACAGAAGAGAAGAAUCGAAGAAGUUUUGUUUGUAAAUAAAUUCAAAACUAUACACUCUUCGAAAUAAUAAAUAAAAUUUGACGCAAAAUUUUCAAGUCAAUUCUCAACUUAAAAUUUGCGUGUACAAUAUAUAUAGGAAAGAAUCCAUUUACAUUAUAUAAAACUAGUGUAUGUAUAAUACAGAAAUAUUUAGUACAUUAUCAAUAAAGUUUUUAAACUAUGCACUGUGAUUAAAACCAAAAUAAUAAUAAUAAUAACAACCAAUCACUUUAUUUGACUAACUUUUCCCUACAAGUCUUUAGUAUGGAGACAAAUCAGUUUAAUCAGCCUUUGGAGCUAUUAACUGACAUUUCCACCAUUGAUUUGAAAAUCCUAACCCAUCAAUUCACUUUAAAUGAAACGAGAUCCACUAGUGUUUGGUGUUAUAUUUUUAAAAUGUAUUUAGAUUAUUGUUUAUUAAUUUUAUUUGUUUAUAUUUAAAUCAAAUGUAAUAAAUUGUUGAAUUUAUAUACUUCAUAUUAUAACAAUAUAUUUUAACUUGCUACUUCUCUUUUUAAUUUAAUUUUUUGUAACUCUUCACAAUUUAUUUUGAAAAAAAUUGAAAAAACUAAAUGAUUAAAUUAAGGCUCAACUUUUCACUAACCUUAGUUUAUUUAGUCUAACUUUUCACAAAUUAAUAUACUCAUUUCAUGUUUCAUACCAACAACUUUUCUUUUUGGUAAAAAGAAAAAACAACUAUACGUUUUUUUUAAUCCCAAAAUUAAGGCUUUAUGAAUGAAAAUAAUAUUAUAUUAACUAUGAUAAUUAAGUCUUUAUUUUUAAUAUGAUUAAUAUUAUAUAUAAUAACUUUAAAUAUGCUUCCACUAAUCAGAUAUACUAAAGGAAAGAGUAACUUUCUUUUUAUGGUAACUAAUUUUCAAUUAUGUAUUUUAAUCUAUCACUAAAUAAUUAAUUAUAAUCAAGAUGUUAAUUUUCCAUAAAAUGUACAUAAUUUUGGUUGGUAUAUUAAUAAAUUUAGCCCUAAAAAUUUACACAUGCAAUUUGGUCUUAAUUUAACAAAAUUUUCCCGCAACAUUUGUGUAAAUAUGUAAAUGUUGAGGUUAAAUUUCUUGAAUUUUUUUUAAAAAAUUAAGGUCAAAAUGACAAAAAUAUAAAUAUUGAAAACUAAAUUUAUUACUGUACCAAUCAAAAUGACAAAAUAUAGCUAGGGACAUGGGCUUGACCGAGCCAACUCAACCUAUUUCAUCUGUUUCUAUUGACUUUUGCUCGACCCUACCCCAAAGACCUGUCAAUUUUGUUAAAAUUGAAAUAUUUAACUUGUUGGAGAAGACUAACUGUAGAAAAGUAAGUCAAUGCUAAAGUGAUAUGUCGACGUUUUGUUGUUUUCAAAAUAGUUGAUAAGCCUGAAAUUAUAAAAGAUAAUCAUGAGGUCUUAAAUGCAAUUAUGAUAUUUCUAAAAAGAUAUUUCUCAACAAUUUUUUUAAUUUCUUGAUUGAUGAAAACAAAUUUAGGUAUUUCCCAAUUUGUAAAAACAUGAUUUUUCUUUGAAUUUCUAGGUUUUUCUUAGCUUUUUUUUAUAUUAUUUUGGAAUUUUUGUAAUCUUCUUAUAAUUUCUUAAAAAAUAAUAUAUUUGUAAAAAUUUUUAAACCAUAAAUACCAAUUAAGAAGAAUGUGAUAAAAUUAGGGGUAAAUGUGUAUUUAAGCCAAAGAAAAUAAAAGAAUAAUAAUGAAAUUCACCUAAAAACAAUUACAAGGACUAGAUGAACAAUUUGACCUAAAACUUUGUUUGAAAUGAUGUCAUUAAUGUGUUACAUCAGCUUUCUUAGAGAGAUAAAAAUUAAAUGAAUAUGAGAUACAUGAAACUUGUAUCUCUUUCCAAUAAUUUAACAUUAUUUCAAUAUUUUCAUCUUGAAUUCACGAGUGAAGCGUACAUCAUAUACCAACUCAAUUGGAAAAAAGUCUUUAAAUUAUUUUUAAAUUGUAACAAAUAUUAUUAUUAAGAUGUUUUUCUUUUUAUAUUUUUUAUAAAAUAUAUUAAAAAACAAUUAAAAUAAUUUUAAGAGAAAAAAACUCAUACAAGGUAGAAUUUAAUCUAAAGAUGUCAAAGUUUUAAAGCCUCAACUUUAACAUUUCAACCGAAAUUCCAUUAGUAUAUAAAUAUUUAUAAAUAUAGAUUUUAUAUAAAAAAUUUUAUGUAAACUUUUUUUUAACCCGCAUCACAAGUACACCAUAUUUAGAGAUAUUCAUAGUUAGGCAGUCCACUUUGAGUCAAGCUUGAGCUUAGGUUUUCAAUCUCAAGUUGGCCCAAUUCAACUUAUUUUACUACUUAAAAAUAUAAAUAUAUGUUAUAUUGAUAUUUAUAUAUGUCUAUAGUUAAAAAAUUAUUAAAAAUAAAUUCAACUUAUUUAUUAAUUAAAAAUAUAAAUAUAUGUCUAUAAUUAAAUUUUAAAGAAAUUUAUUGUUAUUUUCUAAACAUAAAACAAAGAAAACUUUCACCCAAAUUAUAAGUUUGUGGUCAGGCAGCCCACUUUGGGACUGGAAUCAGCUUACUUUUUUAAUCUUGGGCUUUAAAAAUAAUAAAAAUAUAAAAAUAAUGUUCUAUUAAUAUUUAUAAAUUUUAUAAAUUUAAAUUUAAUUAUAUUUUUUAAACAGUAAAAUCAACCAUUUAUAUGGGCUAAAUUGAGUUAAGUUCGGUUUGCAUCAAGCCUUAACUUUGACCAAAUCCAACUAAAAACACCUCUAACCAUAAUCUAGUAUUGUUUUUAUGAAUUCAAUUUUAACUUGUAAUUUUCAAUUCUAUUACAAAAUUUCUUUGCCUACGAUAAGAAAAUAACAUAUUUGUAACUAAGUAAUUAAUUAAGUUAAUGUCACGAGUGAAUCAUACAUUAUAUGCCAACUCAAUUGGAAAAAGUUUUUAAAUUAUUUUUAAAUUGUAACAAAUAUUAUUAUUAAGAUGUUUUUCUUUUUAUAUUUUUUAUAAAAUAUAUUAAAAAACAAUUAGAAUAAUUUUAAGAGAAAAAAACUCAUACACGGUAGAAUUUAAUCUAAAGAUAUCAAAGUUUUAAAGCCUCAACUUUAACAUUUCAACUAAAAUUCCAUUAGUACAUAAAUAUUUUAUAAAUAUAGAUUUUAUAUUAAAAAAAUUAUGUAAACUUACAUAUAUGGUUCGUCAUGCAAAUGUUUAUUAUAUUUAAAAAUUAACAUAUAUGGUUAUUGAAUUUUAAUACUGGCUUGAGGAGUCGACUCUAUUGUAGAUUCUAGAUUAAUCUAAUAUUUCACCCUCUUUUAAUUUUCUUUAUUGGAAGAGUCUUUAAGAGAUAAGUUAAGUAGUAUAGCAGUUUCAUCUAAAACAACAUCUCUGCUAAUCACAACUUUUCUAUUUUUAGGACACCAUAACUUAUACCCUUUUACAUCAGCUUUAUAACCAAUAAAAACACAUUUAAUGAAUCUCGGUUCCAAUUUUUCAUUAUCAACAUGAGCUUACGAAGGACACCCAAAGAAUUUAAUCUAAAGAUAUCAAAGUUUUAAAGCCUCAACUUUAACAUUUCAACCGAAAUUCCAUUAGUAUAUAAAUAUUUUAUAAAUAUAGAUUUUAUAUAAAAAAAUUUUAUGUAAACUUUUUUUUAACCCGCAUCUCAAGUGUACCAUAUUUAAAGAUAUUCAUAGUUAGACGUCCACUUUGGGUCAAGCUUGAGCUUAUGUUUCCAAUCUCAAGUUGGCCCAAUUCAACUUCUUUUACUUUUUAAAAAUAUAAAUAUAUGUCUAUAAUUAAAUUUUAAAGAAAUUUAUUGUUAUUUUCUAAACAUAAAACAAAGAAAACUUUCAUCCAAAUUAUAAGUUUGUGGUUAGGCAGCCCACUUUGGGACAGGAUUCAGCUUACGUUUUUAAUCUUGGGCUUUAAAAAUAAUGUUCUAUUAAUAUUUACAAAUUUUAUAAAUUUAAAUUUAAUUAUAUUUUUUAAACAGUAAAAUCAACCAUUUAUAUGGGCUAAAUUGAGUUAAGUUCGGUUUGCAUCAAGCCUUAACUUUGACCAAAUCCAACUAAAAACACCUCUAACCAUAAUCUAGUAUUGUUUUUAUGAAUUGAAUUUUAACAUGUAAUUUUCAAUUUUAUUACAAAAUUUCUUUACCUACAAUAAGAAAAUAACAUAUUUGUAACUUCUCCAAUUCGACGUAAAUGUUCAGUCUGAAUUCAGAAGAUUACAUCAGCCAUAAAGAUGGCCUAGCAAGGUUAUUAGAGUUUUCAAAAACAGGCAUCUUUAAAAUGCUUGUUUAAUUUAUACAAAAACUUAUUUAAUUUCCAAAUUAUUUAUUACUUGAAAUCUUAAUUAUACUUUGAAAGCAAGAAGUGGUAACUAUUUAUUUUUAAUAAAAAUCAGGGUUCAUGUAUAAUUGAUUAAUAACUGUUAGAAUUAAGCGACCCGAAUCUUUAUUUAAAUGAAAUACAGUGGUAAAAUAAAAUAAAAUUAAAAUCCCUAUAGAACUACACUUAUUUUAUUUUAUUUUAGAAUAAGGAUUUUUAAACCUUAUUAAACUCCAUCCAUUUGAUAUUGAUUAGAAUAAGGUGUUUCAAUCUUACUACACUCCUAUUAGAAUAUGGUUUUACAAGCCUAUAAAUAGACAUAGUCUACUCCUCUUGUAAUUAUUCGAAUUCGACAUAGGGAUUUAUCUUCUCCUCUACCAAUAGCUUUUUCCCUGAAAGGGUUUCCACGUAAAAUCUGUGUGUUUUUUUUAUUUUUCUCCCUUUUAUUCUUUGCAAUACAUUGUCAUUACCAACAUUCUAUUUUUAGCAAAUUGGUAUCCAAGCUUCCAAUUUGUUCAUCUCAAUCAUGGUAAUGGCGUCUUUGAAGUAUGAAAUUCUGCUAUUGGAUCGCAACACCAGAUCCGCAUUGUGGCAGAUAAAGAUGCAGGCAGUUCUUACACAGAUAGACUUAGAGGAAGCCUUGCUAGGGGUAGAUAAAAUGUAUUCAACAUUAACAGAGGAAGAGAAGAAGCACAAGGAUCGAUAGGCGUUAACACAAUUACAUCUUCAUUUGUCCAACGAAAUUUCACAGUAUGGAGAAGACCGUCGCUGGAUUAUGGAAGAGGUUGGAACAAAUAUGUACGUCGAAUACUCUAACUAGCAAGUUGCAUAUGAAGCAGCUUCUUUAUGCUCAUCGUUUGGAGGAAGGUGUCUCUAUGCACGAACACUUAAUAGUGUUUAAAGGAAUUCUCUCGAACUUAGAGGUCAUGAAGGUUCAGUAUGAUAAUGAAGAUCUACGAUUGAUUCUACUUUGUUCGUUGCCUCUAUCUUAUUCAACCAUUAGAGAUGGGAUUUUAUAUAGCCGCGAGUCUCUCACAGUUGAUGAGGUUUAUGAUUCUUUAACCUCGUAUGAUAAGAUGAAGCAUCUUUUUCGUAAAACUGACUCUUAGGGAAUGGGUCUCAUUGUUCAUAGUAGAUAAGAUCAGAAUGCUGAUGAUGAUCGUGAAAGGACACAGGAAUAGAAUUCUCGCGAUAAAUCUAAGGAUAGAUCAAAGAUUUCAAGCAGAGGUAAAACUUGUAACUUCUGCAAGAAGAAAGGGCACAUUAAAUCUGACUGUUAUAAGCUACAAAUCAAUAUCAAAAGGGAGGUUGUGAAACAAAAUGGAAAACAACUAGAAUAUGUUGGUAAAGCUGAUGUUGUAGAAGACUAUAGCGAUGGUGAACUUCUAGUCACUUCUAUCAACAAUUCUAAAAUAAGCGAGGAGUGGAUCCUUGAUUUGGGCUGCACCUUUCACAUGAGUCCCAAUGGAUAUUGGUUUAUAACUUACGAAAUAGUGUUUGAAGGUGUUGUUUUGAUGGGAAAUAAUGCUUUAUGUAGAAUUGCAGGUGUUGGGACAAUAAAAGUUAAGAUGUUUGAUGGAGUUCUCAGAACACUUAAUGACGUACGACAUGUUCUAGAAUUGAAGAGAAAUUUAAUUUCAUUGAGUACUCUUAUUCAAAAGGUUAAAAAUACAUAGCUAAAAGUGGGGUUUUUAAUAUUUCCAAAGGUUCUCUCGUUGUGAUGAAAGGGCAGAGAAAGACUGCCAAGUUAUAUGUUUUGUAGGGUUUAGGAGUUCUUUGGCAUAUACGCCUAGGGCAUAUAAGUGAGAAUGACAUGGCAGAAUUGAGCAAAAGAGGACUUCUUGAUGGGCAAGGAAUUUGCAAACUGAAGUUCUGUGAUCACUGUAUUUUUGAGAAGUAAAAGAGAGUUCGAUUCAUCAGAGGAAUCUAUAACACGAAGGGAACAUUGGAGUAUAUUCAUUCUGAUCUGUCGGGGACACCCAGAGUGCAUUCAAGAGGUGGAGCUAAUUAUAUGCUAACUUUUAUUGAUGAUUUUUCUAGAAAAGUUUGGGCGUUCUUCCUAAAGCAGAAAAUCGAUGUGUUUUUCGCAUAUAAGUCUUGGAAAACUAUGAUUGAAAAACAUAUGGAAAAACAAAUAAAAUAUCUCCACAUAGAUAAUGGCUCAAAGUUCUGUUCUAAUCACUUUAAUAAACUGUGCAAGUCAGAAGGGAUCGUGAGACACUUGACAGUUUGCCACACUCCACAACAAAACGGUGUUGCAGAACGAAUGAACAGAAUGAUCGUGGAGAAGGUUUAAUGUAUGUUUUCAAAUGCCAACUUAACAAAGUUGUUUUGGGCCGAAGUAGCCUCUACUAUAUAUUUUUUGAUCAACCGAUCUCUAUCUAUUGCCAUUGAGAAAAAGACUCCACAAGAGGUAUGGUCUGGUAAUCCUGCUAACUGUUCUGAUUUAAAGAUCUUUGGGUGUCCUGUGAAUGCUCAUGUUGAUAAUGGAAAAUUGGAACUGAGAUCCAUUAAGUGUGUUUUUCUUGGUUAUAAAGCUGGUGCAAAAGGGUAUAAGUUAUGGUGCCCUAAAAAUAGAAAAGUUGUGAUUAGCAGAGAUGUUGUUUUUGAUGAAACUGCUAUGCUACCUAACUCAUCUCUUAAAUACUAUUCCAAUAAAGAAAAUAAAAAGCAGGUGGAGUAUCAGAGUAAUCCAAAAUCUACAACAGAGUCGACUCCUCAAGCCAAUACAAAAAUUCAAAAUAGAGUUGCUUCUUUACCACAAUACUCUAUCGUAAAAAAUAAAACUAGAAGAGAUAUUAAACCCUCAAAGAAAUAUGCCGAGGCUGAUCUAGUUGCUUAUGCUUUAAAUAUUGCUAAAGAUAUAGAUGCAAACCAAGAGCCAUCUAAUUAUUUUGAUCCGGUUAGCUAUAAAGACUCAGAAAAAUGGAUGUUUGCUAUGUAAGAGAAGAUGGAAUCACUCUACAAAAACAAAACAUGGGAUCUUGUAAAACUUCCUAAAGGUAAAAAGGUUGUUCGUUGUAAAUGGGUGUUUAAAAAGAAAAAGGGGACUCUGGGAGUUGAAGAACCCAGAUUUAAAGCAAGGCUUGUUGUAAAGGGUUACAGUCAAAUUCCAAGAGUGGACUUCACAGAUGUGUUCUCCCCAGUUGUGAAGCAUAGUUCGAUUUGAGCUUUGCUUGGUAUUGUGGCCAUGCAUGAUUUGGAGCUAACUGUAAAAACUACAUUUUUGCAUGAAGAACUUGAGGAUGAUACUUACACGCAACAACCAUAGGGUUUUAUAGUCUCAGAAAAAGAGGACUAUGUUUGCCUGUUGAAAAAGUCCUUUUACGGUUUGAAACAGUCACUAAGAAAGUGGUACAAGAGGUUUGUUUCCUUUAUGACUUCUUAUGAUUUUAAAAAAAGUAGCUUUGACAGUUGUGUUUACUUUAAGAAAAAUAGUGAUGAUUCUUUUGUGUAUCUACUUCUUUAUGUUGAUGACAUGUUGAUAGCAACAAAAGAUAAAUGAGAGAUAAGAAAGGUUAAAGCCCGACUAAGUGAAGAUUUUGAGAUGAAAGAUUUGGGACCAGUAAAGAAGAUACUUGAUAUAGAGAUUCUCAGAGAUAGAAAAGUAAGUAAAUUGUACCUAAGUCAGAAGGGGUACAUUGAGAAAGUUCUUUGCAAAUUCAAUAUGCAGAAUGCUAAGCCUGUUAGUACUCCUUUAGCAGCCUAUUUCAGACUUUCAUUGGCUUUGUCUCUACAAUCAAAUGAUGAGAUUGAGUACAUGUCAUAUUUUUCAUACUCUAGUACAAUGGGAUCUCUCAUGUAUGCUAUAUUUUGUUCACGUCCAAAUUUAUUAUAUGCAGUCAAUACAGUUAGUAGAUAUGUGGCAAAUCCUGGUAAAGAACAUUGGAAAAUACUGUUUCCAAAAAUUUAUGGAUUUCUGGUGAGUGAACUUCUAGUGAAAUUAUUGUGCUAAGUCCAUUGGGGCAGUCUGUUUGAGUAAGUACACUUUAUAGGAAUGUACCUUUGGAAGUACAAGGGAUUGUGUUUUCGGCAGAUCUGGUGAGGUUACUUCUAGUGAAAUUAUUGUACUAAGUCUGUUGGGGUAGUCUAUUCGAGUAAGUAGACUUUAUAGGAAUGUACCUUUGGAAGUACAAGGGAUUGUGUUUUCGGCGUUUUAUUCACAUAAAAGCAGCAAAAUUUAGCGACAUUGUCUACAGCGGCAUUUUUUACGGCGCUUGUGAAAGCGCCGCUAUAGGCCUAAAAAACACCGCUAAAAGCCUAUUUUGCUGCAGUGAAUUAAUAUUAUUAUAAGUAUAUUUUCACCUUUUCAUUCUUUUAUAUAAUCUUCAAGUAAAAUGAUUGAAAAAUAUUAUUUGAGAAUCAAACACAAGACUAACAAUAUUCAUAUAGAAAACGCUUAUCACUCCACUAAUAAUCAUUUGUUGAUGUAUUUUUGGUAAAAAGAGCCCUCCAAUCCCUCUUAAUUUCACAACUUCUCAAAUUAGUCCCUCUCAAAAAAAUUGGAGCAAUUUAAUCCCUAUCAAUUUUGAAAGUGAGUAACUAAGGACAAUUAAUUAUGGUGUUAAAUUCUUCAAUCAAUUGUACAUAAUUUUGAUUGGUAUAAUAAUAAAUUUAGCCUUUAAUGUUUAUGUAUUUUGUCAUUUUGGCCUUAAUUUUUUUAAAAAAAAUUCAAGAAAUUGAACCUCAACGUUUACAUAUUUGCACAAAUGUUGCAGGAAAAUUUUGUUAAAUUAAGACCAAAAUGCAAGUGUAAAUUUUGUUAAAUUAAGACCAUAUUUUCCCCCUUUAUUUUUUCAGUGCCGACCGGAAAAAAAAAUUUCAGUCUCAUCUAAAUAAGACAUACUUCAGCAGACCAAUAGACUGCAGAUCAGACCCAAUUCAAGGGUAAUGCAGUCCAAAGUUCCUUGAACUCCCUCCUCCAAAGUGAAAAACAAAUCUAUAUAUUUCUGCAUGAUUCAAACAGAAAGGACUGUUGGACAUGUAACUCAGAAAGAAUGCAAAUACAUUGAAAGUACCAUAGACUUUAUAAAUUAGUUUCAUGUUGUUAAAUUUCAACACUAUAAACCUAAAAAUUCCCAGAACGAAAUGCGGGAAUCAUGCCUUAAACUCCAAUACUCAAAUAAGAGACAGAUAAAUUGCACAUUUUUUAAUAUAAUAUUUACAGACUAGAGAUAAAAAUAUAGAAAAAUAUAAACAUGGACAUCGACAAAAAGACUAAUUGACUGUGCAUGUGUGCUAGAGAGUGGCAAUUAAACAUUAUCCAAACACAAUCAUUUCUCAACAUUUGUAAAACAAAAAGAAGAUUAAGAUUAGCAGUAAACUAAAUAAAACCAAAGAAGUGAGAACCACAAGUAAAUGAGAAAGAAAACAAAAUAGAGAUCCUAGUAGCUUUCCCAUUGAACUUCGUAUAAGAGAAAUAACAACAUUUGAACUUUAAGCAAAUAAAAAUGUAAAAUAUUCAGAAUCAAAACAAUCUUUUAUCAAAAUUCAAGCCAAAAACAAUGAGCUUCACUCUAUACAAGAAGCAUGUUAAAGUCAUAGGCUUUCUCGUUUCUGGAAACCAAAUCCAGAAACGUCUCCCACCAAAAAUCAAGAAAAUAACUUCUGUUUUUGAAAAUCACAUUCAAAUCGUGAAAUAGGAGCAAGGUCCUUCAAAUUCAAGCAAAGUUGGUAGUAAAAGCUUAACUUUCAAAGGUCAAACAACACAGCAUUAAGUAUAAAACUAACCCAAUCUCCACCAAUUCAAAAACAAGAAACCAAACACGAACCCGAAGAUCCAAACACGAUUUCGAAAAAAAAAAAUAGAUAUUCCUGAAAAUCGGAUAAAAAACUAGCAUAUACUUAAUGAAAAGAGAAAUUGACGAAAAAUCACAAGAGAUCUGCAUGCAAAUAUAGGCACACUUUUGCUUGAUUAUUCGCUUAAAAAAGUAACAAUGGAAAACAAGAUGCAAGUGUCACGGGCCGCAGUUCAAAGCCCGUGACCAGCGCACCAAAUGCAUCCAAUAGAGAUCUAUUGCUCAGAUAGGGAUCAUUUGGCCCACAAGAACUGGCUCGAUUCAAGGAGCUAUUGGACAAGCCUGUCAGAUUGAAGCCUGGUUGGCCCGAAAACGAAGAGAUGGCAACUUAGGCUAAUAUGGUAACUAAUCUUAGAAGAUAGAGGGAAUCUUAUCUUGUAAAGAUUAGAUUAGAUUAGAUAAGGCUUAUCUUGUAAAUCCCUAAAAUUAAGGGAUAUGGGUUAAUCUCAUCCGUCGAUGUAAAUGUAUAUUGACCGUCGAUUUUGGGGGAGAUCAACUAUAAAUAGAGAGCCUCCCCCUCAUUUGUACUCACUCUUGUAAUUAUUUCAUUAUUCUUUGUGAAUAAGAGAAUUGAGAGCAUUUACUCAAACACUUUACGAGCGUCCUUUCUGUUGUUCUUUUGUUUAGCUUCUUUUGGCACAAUCGCUUCCGCUAUACAAAUUGGUGCCUUGGAGGAGUUCUAAAAGAAUCCUCACUUGAGUUAAGCCUGACUUGGGCGAGUUUGGAUGAACAAAUUGUCUAAGGCUGCACGAAUUACGAGACGAAAGGUCUAGCCCUGUGACAAGUGGUAUCAGAGCCAAGUUUUGAACCAAGUGACAUUCGAGUUGGUUUGAAGGCACCGUUGGGAUGUCAAGAGAAGAGUUCGAACAAAGGUGGGAGAAGAAGUAUUUGAGGGAGACAUUAUCGGUAGUAGAGAAACGUGUGGGUAAACUCGAGGGAUCCAUGGAGGAUGUAAAGGAGGCACUCGAUGGGGUCGAGGAUCACAUUGCAAACUGGAAGGAGCAGUCUAGAGACUAUGUAAAGAUGUCUCUUAGUUCCAUCAUGGAUAUGGUAAACGAGUUGUUUAAUUCACACAGGGAUAAGCUGUCGGAAAGGAAUGAUGCUCUCGAGGCCAAAAUGAUGGCUUUGAAAGAGGAAACAAUGGCCACGACGAGGGCUUUGAGCACAAGAAUAGAGGAGCUCGAGGGAGAGCUGGCCUUGUGUUGAGCAGCCGUGAGGAAAGGAGUGGCAAAUGUAGCACUCAGUAACGAGGAUGUCCCAAAGCUGAAAGAGUUUGUGGGGACAAGGUCUGCGUGCGAUGUGGAUAAUUUCUUAUGGAGGAUGGAAAACUACUUCCGUGCCAAAGGCGUCAUGGAUGAUACGGUUAAGGUAAACACUACUUCAAUGUUUCUUACUGCCAUUGCACUUUUAUGGUGGAGAGGUAGGACCACAAAUAAAAGGCAAGGUGAGAUUGGGACGUAGCAAGAGUUCCAAUGCGAAUUGAAGGGACAGUUUUACCCAGAGUUUACCGAGGAAGAAGCUCGGGCAAAGUUGCAAGGGAUAACGUAACAGGGCACAGUGGGGGAGUAUGUUCGAGAGUUCAAGGAACUCAUGCUCCAAGUUUUAAAGGUGACCGAAAGAGAGGCAUUGCUUGCUUUUCAAAAUGGAUUGAAGCCGUGGGUCAGACAGGAGGUGGAACAAAGAGGUGUCCAAAAGCUAUCGGAAGCCAUGACGGUAGUUGAGUCUGUGGUUAAGCUUAGUCUAGGGAAAGACAAGCUUGGAUCUUCCAAGUCCGAUGGAAGGGGUAUAUGUGAAAUGGAUCAAAAGGAAGAUAGUGUUGAUGGCAAUGGCAACGGCAACAAUGGUGGUAAUGGGAAACCAUGAGUUGGGAAGAAGAAACCCAAGAGGAAAAGGGACAAGCUAAAAUGCUUUCUCUGCGACGGUCCACACAUGCUGAAGAAAUGUCUGAAAAAUUUGAGCUCAAGGAGAAGCCGGUGGGUAAGGCCUUGGUACUUGGUUCGAGCGCAAGGGGUGUCGAAGCCAAGAAGGCCAAAAGUAAGAAGAAGCCAGUGGAGUGGUUCUUGUGUCAUGGUCCGCAUAGGUUACGAAAGUGUCCGAGGAAGUCUAUCAUCGAGGGGAAUGAUGGAGCAGACAAGGAGCCCAAGAAGCUUGGUUCGAGCAAGGGAAAAGCCGAAGCCAAAGGGGCAAAAGGGAGCAAAAAGAAGCGAGUAAAGUGCUUCUUGUGCCGUGGUCCGCAUGAGUUACGGAACUGUCCAAAGCAAGCCGGAGUCAUAAGAAAGGCAACGUCUGAGCUUGGUGAGUCAUCGGAGGGGCUUCCACCCAAGGAAGAGGUGAGUUUGUCAUCGAACUUAAAGGAAAUAGUUGCGAUGAAAACAGUGAAGCUGGGACCAAUGAGGCUCAAGUUGAGUGAAGCGUCGGAGUUGGCCGAGUCAUCGAUAAGGCUUCCACCUAUGGGAGAGGUGGGUGGUGCAUCAGACUUCAAGGGAAAAGAAGGGAUGCAUGUGGGACAGUUGACCAGAGUAAAUGCGACGAGUAGGACGGUUUGAGUUAAGAAGCGACGUAAGCCGAGGCAAAAAUCCCGAAGGAAGGGAAAGGCUAAGGCAUUGAGACAAGACCGAGGUGAAUCGAGUCAGUGCCAUUCAAAAGUCACAACGAGGACGGUGCAAGAAUGUGUGGGGGAGAAUGUCACGGGCCGCAGUUCAAAGCCCAUGACCAGCGCACCAAAUGCAUCCAAUGGAGGUUUGUUGCUCAGAUGUGGAUCAUUUGGCCCACAAGAACUGGCUCGAUUUAAGGAGCUAUUGGACAAGCCUGUCAGAUUGAAGCUUGGUUGGCCCGAUAACGGAGAGAUGGAAACUUAGGCUAAUAUGGUAACUAAUCUUAGAAGAUAGAGGGAAUCUUAUAUUGUAAAGAUUAGAUUAGAUUAGAUAAGGCUUAUCUUGUAAAUCCUAAAAUUAAAGGAUAUGGGUUAAUCUCAUCCGUCGAUGUAAAUGUAUCUUGACCGUCGGUUUUGGGGGAGCUCAACUAUAAAUAGAGAGCCUCCCCCUCAUUUGUACUCACUCCUGUAAUUGUUUCAUUAUUCUUUGUGAAUAAGAGAAUUGAGAUCAUUUACUCAAACACUUUGUGAGCGUCCUUUCUAAUGUUCUUUUGUUUAGCUUCUUUUGGCACAAUCGCUUCCGCUAUACAAAUUGGUACCUUGGAGGAGUUCUAAAAGAAUCCUCACUUGAGUUAAGGCUAACUUGGGUGAGUUUGAACGAACGGAUCGCCUAAGGCCUCACAGAUUGUGAGACGAAAGGUCUAGCCCCGUGACACAAGUGCUAGGUAAAACCAUCAUGUCUGCUUACUCACCACAAACAAAGGCCCUCUAGGACCUUCAUGAAUUUUUGUCUUAUAAGUGCUUCCAUUGUGAGCCUGAACAGCUUGAUAGCCCACAAGAUAAGGAUAUCGAUCUUUACCCUACAGAUUAACAAGGUUAAAUCCACUUAAAUGAAGCACCAUUAGUCUAUAACAAUUUACUUCAAUUUUCUGCUGUUAGUUCAAAUAUUUAUUUUUUUAAUUUGCCAAAACUUGCUAGGAUCGAAGAUUUGGAAUUCCUAAAUUUCAAUUACAAAUUUACACCGUACUUGCAGAAAAAUAUAUUACUAUUAGAGACACCAGCAAUCAACCAGAGUUCUUUAGUUUUCAAUCAAGUUAUUCGACAGGUAUCUAUAUUGAUUACACAAAAAAAAUCAUACACCGUGAGAAUGUCGAGUAAAUUACAAAUACAAAAGCAAACGAACCCUAAAGGAGCUCCAAUACUUCUUCUCCCAGGGGCCUUUGUAUAGAGAUCCAAUGGAAACGAUCUCUAGAUCCUCUAAUUUCGUUGUUUGUUCUCCUUUUUUUGUUUUCGCCAUUCAAAGAAAUGAGAAGAAAGCAAGAUUUCCAAACAACUAACAAUAAGAGAGUAGAGAGGAUUUUCAAGAUAGACGAAGACAUGGCAUUUUAAAAUAGGGGAACUAAAAUCUUAAAAUGCAUGAUUUCCCUUGAAAUUCUAAAUAAAAACUUUAUUUGAUUAGGAAAAAUGUGAAUUGAUUUUGGGAAAAAGAAGGGAAAAAAAAGAAAAGAUUUCAUUUGAAAUAUUGGGAUAAAAAAAUAUAAUUACAAAACGACGCCGUUUUGAAAAAAACAUAUUCGUGGCGUUUGGAAAAAAAAGUCACUAUUGCUCGACUUUUAGCGACAUUUGGACCAAAAACGCUACUAUUGUUCAACUUUUUUCUGCAUUUACAACAAAAAAGCCGCUAUUGCUUACCUUUUGCGGCGUUUUUUUUAUAAAUGCCGCUAACACUUGACUUUUUUACAAUUUUUAUAUUGAAUUAUUGUAUCUUUCAUAUAAAUUUUAAAUGAAUAAUUUUUAGUUUUUGUAUUUCAUUUUUAUUUUUGUAUUUCAUUUUUAUUUGUUAUAAUUUUGUCCUAUCCAAAAUAGAUAGUUACCUAUCCAUAUCAAUCUGUUACUUUUUUUUAUUUAUUUAUCAAUAUUUUUUUAAAUUUAAUAGUUAAAUAUAUUAAAUGGUUUAGAUUUAAUAUUUUUAAAUAUAAAAGCAUUAAUUGAUUGUAUAAAAUUUUAUCAUUUAACAAAUCUCAAGUAAACCUUAAAUCCUAAACCAUUUAAUAUAUAUAAAGUUUAUCUAUUAUCUCUUAAAUAAUUUAAACUAUAAUCAUAAUUUUAAUAUAUUAAAAUUAAAAUUAAAAUGAUCUCUUUUACAAUUAUAUAAGAAAUUAUUUAAUAUAUAAAUUAAAAAACACUAAUUAACCUAAACCCUAAACCCUAAACCCCUAUCCCCUAAACCUUGAAUUAUAAAACAUAAAACAUAAACCCUAAAUCCCUGAAUCCCUAACCCUUAACCCCUAACCCCUAACCCCUAAACCUUAAACCCCAACCCUUAAACCAUAAUCCCUAAACCCAUAAUCCAUAAUCCAUAAACCUUAAAAUAGUAACUCUUAAACCUUAAACCCUAAACCAUAAACCCUAAACUAUAAUGAUAAUUAAUUCAAUAUUUUAAAAUUAAUACUAUCUCUUUUACGAUUAUAUAAGAAAUUAUUUAAUAUAUAAAUUAAAAACAAUCAGUCAUGUACCCAAGAAACUUUAAAAUUAUUUUAAAUAAUAUAUUUUAAUUUUUUCAUUUUUAACAAAUAUUUUCUAUGUUUUUACUUUCAAAAUUUCUCUACGUGUCAUUAUUUUUUUCUGAAGAAUUUAAAUAUUCAAUUAAAAAUAAAUUUAUUUUAAUUAAUAUAAAUAAAGCGGUUAAAUAAUAAAUAGACAGAUAAAAUACUUUUUGCGGUGAUUUUCAUAAAGUGCCGCUAAAGCUCGAUCUACAGCGGCGUUUUACGAAAAAGAGUCUUACUGAAUUUUUUGGGGCAUUUUUCAAAAAGCGCCACUAAUUCUCGAUCUAUAGUGGCGUUUUUCAAGAAGCGCCGCUAAUGCCACUAAAGCUCAACAUAAAACACCAGCAUUGAGCUUAAUUUUUUUGCGGCGUUUUUCAAAAAGAGCCGCUAAUGGUAGACCUAUAGCGGCGUUUUUCAAAAAGCGCCACUAAAGCUCAACAUAAAACACCGGCGUUGUGCUUAAUUUUUUUACGGCAUUUUUCAAAAAGCGCCGCUAAUGGUCGACUUAUAGCAGUGGUUUUAAAAAAGACCCACUAAUGCUCGAUCUAUAGCGGCAUUUUUCAAAAAGCGCCGCUAAUGCUCGAUCUAUAGUAGCGUUUUUUAUCCAAACGCCGCUAAAAAUGCCACUAAAAACCUAUUUUGCUGUAGUGAUUUGUGGGGUAAGUGGUUGAACAUUUUAAUAUAGACUGACUUUUCUAUAAUUAGUCCUUGCUUUAAUUACUUUGGGUGGAUUCUUCCAACUAGUCCAAGCAUUAUUGUACAAUUACAAUUAAUCUUUUUAAAUGAGACAAACAUUUCAAAUUUGUCAUUACUAUUUGUGAGUGAUUUGGGGGUAAGAAGUUUAACUCUUCUGGAUGUCUUAUAGAAUUGUGAUUAUACUUUUUGAGUAUUGACUCAGUUUUCCACAAUUGUGGGUCUCUAUUUGAGCAAAACAAUUUCAACAUUUCUUCAUCUCGUUUAAUCCAAAUGCAUUUAUGCAUUUCUUAUAUCAUUGAAUUUGCUGCUUCAUAUUCAAUUUUUGGACAAGUAGAAUUUUCUAACCUAUUUUCCAUCAACUUCACUUGAAUUUUCAAUCACAAUCAAUUGCAUUCAAGAGCACCACAUCUUUUUGGAUGAAACAAAAAUUUCAAUUUUAAGAUAAACGGGUCUUUAGGGUUAUAAUUUCAAUUUUUAAAAGUUUAAAAUAAAUUUGUAUUUUUAUUAACAAAAUGUAUAUAAAAAAAAACUUGUUUAGACAAGCCAAGAGACCUUUGGGAUCAUACGGGUGAUUUUGAUGAUGUUAAUGGUUAUUUUGGUGGAGAGAGUGAAAAAGAAACAAAUGAUUCAUUAUAUAUAUUAUAAUUAUGAAAUUCAAGCCAUAUAUUGUAUGUUUCAUACAUAAAAAAAAUUGGAGCAAUUUAAUCCCUAUCAAUUUUGAAAGUGAGUAACUAAGGACAAUUAAUUAUGGUGUUAAAUUCUUCCAUCAAUUGUACAUAAUUUUGAUUGGUAUAGUAAUAAAUUUAGCCUUCAAUAUUUAUAUAUUUUUUCAUUUUGGCCUUAAUUUUUUUUAAAAAAUUCAAGAAAUUCAACCUCAACAUUUACAUAUUUACACAAACAUUGCGGGAAAAUUUUGUUAAAUUAAGACCAAAUUGCAAGUGUAAAUUUUGAGGGCUAAAUUUAUUAUUAUACCAACCAAAAUCAUGUACAUUUUAUGGAAAAUUAACAUCUUGAUUAAUUAUUCUUAGUUGUUCACUUUCAAAAUUAAUAGGGACUAAAUUACUUUGAUUUUUUUAGGGUGACCAAUUUCCUCAAAGUGGAAAUUGAGAGAGACUAUUGAGAUCUUUUGCAUAUUUCUUUUAUAAAUAUAUUUUUUAAAUAUAAAAUAUAUUUGUUCACACACAUCGUGAGUAUGAUCUCAAUAGUCCACAUAAUCCAUUAAAAAAACUUAAAAAAUAUAUUUUAUUUUUUAACACCUAAGUGAUUCUCCAGCUAACGACCACCCAAGACACACCCCGACUUUAUAACACCCCAAUCUUAUUUAAUUAUUAGUUAUUUAUUAAUGCAGAAGUAAAUUAUGAGCCAAUUUUAAUCUUUUCCUCGGUAAUUUAACCUAAGGCCAAUUUCAUCAUUUUACCACCUAUUGUAAAACUAACCCGAUUUUAGAUAUAACAACAUGUUUGGUUUGGUGUAAUAGAUUAGCCAUUACACCCCUAUUUCGUGGGCCCCACUAAUCCCCACUUAUUCUUGUGUUUGGUUUGAUGUAUUGCCUAUUACAGGCCUAUUACAACACGAAUGUAUUCCUCAUUUUCUCUGCUUCAACAAUGAUUAGCCAUUCCGUUCCAAAAGUAAGGAUUAGCUAAUCGUCUCUGUUUUACCCUCCUCAGCCAAAAUCUACUGCUCCACCCCACCCUCUCCCUCCCAACAUCAACAGCAGUUUUCUUCGAACCAAAUCUCCACCGUCUCAGAUCGCCUGUGAGUAAUCUCAACAGCAGUUGCCAGUGAAAAUUGCCCUUUCUUCAAAAACCCAGCCCUAAACCCUUCUUCUCUUUCAAUACUCCAUUCGAACAGGUUGCGGUGUCUCCCUCCUCUGAGGUAUGGCUCUGUUUCUUUAACUUUAGCAUUGAGCGACUCUUUUCAAUUCCAAAAUUAGUCUACUCUGCUAAGGGUUCUUGCUUUUCAAACCAUUUUUUCACCAUUUUUCUUGUAAUUCUUUUUCUUGUUAGAGUUCAGAUUUUAGAUUUUUUUUAAAAAAAAACGAUUAGAUUGUGAGGUUCAGUUAAUUAUUAGGGUUUUCUGUUUUGGGUUUCCCUGUUGCGUGGUAAUUUUGAAGUGCAUAUAAAAUGGAUGCUUUUGAGGAUCUUAAGCAAUUCGGCGAUACUGAUAAAGGUUGAUAUUCGAUUCAUUUUGCUUUAAUUUACUUGGUUUAUGCAUUUUGGGGAUAAAAUUAGCUUUGUUUUCUUCUCUUUUGGUUGGCUUUAAGCUGAGAGUAAAAUUUGAAACCUUUGUGGUGGAGGAGUUACCGUUCUUCUGAGAUCAAAUGUAUAACAGGUUAGAAGGAAAUGAAAUUAGAUCCUUAAAUAUUGUGUUUUCAAUGUUAAGGGCAGGCUUUUGUUGCUAAAACAAUUGUGGUAACACUGUUUGAUUCAGUUAGAAGUCAAAUGUCGUUUCCAUGUGUGAACAAUUUCUGGUUUUUAAGUAGCGACUUUGUUUCAUGUUGGCCUGGACAUUUUCCAAAUUAGUAAUUAUAAGUUUGAAUUUGGCUACUAAAUCACGCCAAUUAAUGAUUUCAGUGUGCUGGUGUUUCAGACUUUCAGUUGAAUUGACUUUGGUUUCGAAUAUUUUUAGUGAUGGAAAUAAGCACGAUUUAUUUAAAUUAUGAUUGAAUUGGAGAAACUGCUUUUUGUACAUUUUGAGAAAUAUCAGGCCCUUGGAUACACAAAGGGUGUUAACUUGCGCCUAUCUCAAUUACCCCAUUCCUGCCCAUUGAAUUGGAGAAAGUUCUUUUUUUUAAUGAUUCUGCGUUGCUACUGAUUUUUAGUGAAAUGGUAUUUUUCUUAUGAUGUGUUUUCUUCUUUAUGAAGAGCUCAUUUCAGUAAAGUUAACCUUUCUAUUAUGCAGAAGGUGCAGUAUUUGAUGCAUCACAAUAUGCAUUUUUUGGAAACAAUGUUCUCGAGGAAGUUGAAUUGGGGGGGCUAGAUGAUGAGGAUGAGGAUUUACCUGCAGCUGGACUUGAUGAAGAGGAGUUUUUGUUUGAUCAAGAGGAGGUUAAUAUUCUUGUUUCUUUCAGUUUUAUUUUUCCUGUUUCGAUUGUUCUUGCAAGUUUCUGCAGCAUAGCACAACCAGUGACUAUUCGAUCGAAAAAUAAAUGUAUCCCUUCCAGGCGUCAUGCUAAAAAAUAGCCUUUUGGAUUAGUGUUGGAUUUUUUCUCCAUGUUCUUUAACAGAUAGAUUCCACUGCAUUCAAUUAGUGGUUGGCAUGCGAGUUUUAUUUGUGGAAUAAAGCUCUGUGGGAGUUCAUAUUAUAUAUUGUUCUAUUUGUCUGUGCAAAACAUUGUGAACCUUGUUCUCUGUAUUUAUAAGUUGACAAUGUAGCCAUCUUGGUUGGCUGCUUUCCGAAGUCAAUUUAUUUGAUUCGUUCUCUUUGCUCUUCACAAUGAGAGGUAGCUCUUUUGUACUUUUUUAAUAAGAUCAUAUUAUACAUGCUCUUUUGCAGUGGUCUAGUGGUUUAGUAUCUUGUUAAUAAAACCAUAUUGUAUAUUUGAAUAGUUUGGAGAUUGUGUUAACUGUAUUUGGUGCAUCUUGAAGUAAUGUUUGUUGUAUCUUAUAUGCUUCCUGAAUCAAAUAUGGAGAGAAGGUAGUAUAUGGAGUUUAUAUUUUCAAGUAUUUUUCACACAAUUGAUUUAUCUGUUCCCUUCAUUGAGGGGAAAACAUGGAAUGAAUUGACUUACACCUCACUUCUUCCUCAAACAUCUUUUGUACCACUUAUUUUCAUAAAAUGAUAAGAAUCUUUUUAGAUUACAACUUCCAGAGGUCUAUGUCACCUUCUUGACAAUCAGGUUUUUAGGAAUAUUUUUACCCAUCAUGCAGAAGUUUUAGACAAAAUCUUGUUCGUGGUUGCUGCUAGAUGCAUGAUACUGCCUCAUUUCCUUUGUGGUGGUUCUUCGCUCUCCCCCUUCUUAGUAUUUUUGGUUGUUGAGUCUUGGAGGCAGUUGUAUUCAGUAAUGGCUGGCUUGCUUUGAUGCAUUGCUUCUGUAUAUCUUUGUAGAAAACGAAUCUGUAUCUAUUAUUAACACAAAUUUGAUUAGUUCAUGCCAAUGGAUUUGUAAAGUUAAAUUAGUUAUUGGCGUUAGAAAUUUACUCUUAUGCCUGGAAGGAGAUCUGGCUUACAGAUCAACUACUGGAGUUAAUUGUGGAAAUUUGUUUGAUUUGGUUUCUUAUAAAAUUGUUACCCUGUUCUAUUUAUGUUGGAGUAGCUGAAAUCUGAGGUUGCAUUUGUCAUUAACAAAUAGAAAUCCAAAAAGAGAGGAAAGUGAUAUCAUCCCCUCCACUUUUUCCUUGGAAUUGCGUACUUCAAACUUUUUUAAUUGUAUAAAUUCAUAUAAGAAAAUUUAUUAUGAUGUUGUAAAACUAUAAAACAUAUGGAUUAUGAUGUAGAAUUUCAUUUUCAUCUAACCUUUUCUUAAUAUAAGUUAAUUAUGUUUAUGCAGAAUAUAAUCUCAAGUUAUAAUUUGAUUUUAGUAAAUUCAUAUAAGAACAUUUUAUUAUUAAAUUAUAUUUAAUAUUAAUUAUUUUAAAUUGUAUAAAUUCAUAUAAGAAAAUUUAUUAUCAAGAAUUUUAUGAAAUUAUAUAUCAUUAUUAAAUUAUAUUUAAUAUUAAUUAUUUUAAAUUAUAUAAAUUCAUAUAAGAAAAUUUAUUAUCACGAAUUUUAUGAAAUUAUAUAUUAUUAUUAAUUAUAUUUAAUAAUAAUUAUUUUAAAUUAUACAAAUUCAUAUAAGAAAAUUUAUUAGUUAUAAUUAUUUUAAAUUUUAUUAAAUCAUAUAUUUUAAUUAAAAUAUUUUUAAUAUUAAUUACUUCAAAUUAUAUUUUAUAGUAUCAUAUAUUAUGAUUUUAGUAAAUUCAUAUAAGAAUUUUGAUUAUUAAGAAUUUUAUUAAAUUAUAUAUUUUAAUUAAAAUAUAUUUAAUAAUAAUAAUGUUAAAUUAUCUUUUAUCGUAUCAUAUAUUAUGAUUUGAGUAAAUUCAUAUAAGAAUAUUAAUUUUUAAGAAUUUUACUAAAUUAUAUAUUUUAAUUAUAAUAUAUUUAAUAAUAAUUAUGUUAAAUUAUAUUUUAUAGUAUCAUAUAUUAUGAUUUGAGUAAAUUCAUAUAAGAUAUUGAUUAUUAAGAAUUUUAUUAAAUUAUAUAUUUUAAUUUAAUAUAUUUAAUAAUUAUUAUGUUAAAUUAUCUUUUAUAGUAUCAUAUAUUAUGAUUUGAGCAAAUUCAUAUAAGAAUAUUAAUUAUUAAUAAUUUUAUUAAAUUAUAUAUUUUAAUUAUAAUAUAUUUAAUAAUAAUUAUGUUUAAAUAUGAUUAAAUUAUUUAUUAUUGAUAUUAUUAAUCUUAUUAAAAUUUAAAUAACAAUAACAAUAAUCAUUUACCCAAACAAAUUUAUGCUAAUGGUAUUCUAGUCAUUUUAGUUUUUUUCCAUUAUGCUAUUACACCUCUAUUCCAUUCAACCAAACACAAGAAUACUAUUACGCCUCUAUUCCAUUACGCCUCUAUUCCAUUCAACCAAACAAUUGAUUUGCUAUUACGCCUCUAUUCCAUUACACCUCUAUUCCAUUACGCCUCUAUUCCAAUACAGCGAACCAAACGUGCUGUAAGUGUUUACCAACCUUCUUUUAGUUAAAUUAUGCAAGCCUAAAAUUUUCAGCUUUAUUUGAGUACGUUUUCUAUGUCUAAUUCAAGUUUUAUUAUUAAGGACUAAAUUGUAACUUAAACAAAUUAGAAUACCAAUUUAAAGAGACAAAAUUCAAAACCCCAAAACCCACACGGGCAUGUGGGUAAGUGGCACGGGCCAGUGGAGACUGGAGCUAUCACAUAAGGCGAGUGAGAUUGAAACAUAUGAAAUAAAUUAAUCCACUUAAUUUUCCAACAACCAUGCUAUACUACCAAACCAAAUAACGAGUGAAGCUUUGAAUAGGGGCGAAUCUAAAAAAAAAAUUAGAAGAAUUAGAAUUAAAUUAUAAAAUUUUGAGAAGUUAUCAUGUAUUAAUUUAUUAUUUUUUUAAAGGGUCCUAAUAGAAUUUUUUUCCCAUUCUGGUUGGGCCAAUACCUUUGACUGCCUCUUUAAAUUUGCUUCAACCCUAAACCCAAUAUUCGAUUUGGAUUAACAACAAUAUAUAGGUUUGUAUUUGUGGGAGUUUGACGAAUAAAAAUUUCUAUUUAAAAGGUUUAAAUUAUAAAUUUUUGAAAGUUUAAAAUAAAUUUGUAUUUUUUAUUAACAAAAUAUAAAAGAAAAAAAACAUGUUUAGACAAGACAAGAAACCUUGGGAUCAUACGGGUGAUUUUGAUGAUGUUAAUGGUUAUUUUGGUGGAGAGGGUAAACACGAAACAAAUGAUUCAUUAUAUAUAAUAUAAUUAUGAAAUUCAAGCCAUAUAUUGUACUUUUGGUUUUUCUGCAAUAUGAUACAUGUAUUUGGUAAAAAGUUAUAUAUUUUGAUACUUAAAAGUAACAUUGUUAAUUUUUUUAGUGCUUAAUCUGAAUUUUAGAGUUUAUUUAAUGAACAUUAAUUGUUAAUAUUGUUAUGUUUAUUUUUUUAUGAUUUUGUUAAUAAAAUAAAUUUUAUGUUUAUCUUGUUAUCUUUUUUAUUUUAGAAUUGAUUACAUGAAAGUUAAUUGCUAAUAUUAUUAGUUAACUAUUAGUUUUCUUCAAAUCAAAUUAAAACCCGAAAGAUCCCACUUUUUUUUUAUAUUAGUUUUAGUUAUCCAUUAAAUUUGUUUCUUUGUAAUAAAAUUAAAUUAUAGAAAUAACAUUAAAAUUUUAAAUAAAAUUAAUUCACAAUAAUUAUACAGAAUUUAAUUUUCUUUCAAAUACUGCAGUUAAUAAGGAAAGUGAAUAUAGUAAAAAGAAAUAUUGUUUAAUUAGUUAAUUUAAAAAUCAAUAGCGUCUAAAAACUGUCAGAAUGGAAUAUUAGAUUUUAUAAGAUUUCAUUAUUCUAAAAAAUAAAAUAUGACAAUGCUUAAAAAUUUUAUCAAAAAAGUUUUAAAUUUUAUAUAAAAUUUUAAAAAAUAAAAAAACAGUAUUAAAAAUUUUUAUAAGCAAAUUAAAUAUUAAUUAGUAAAUUAUUUUUGUAAUAUUUAUAUGUAUUUUCAUUUUUAUAAAUACUAUUAAAACUUUUUUUAAAAAAAUUGAAUGCUAUGUAAAAACAUUAUUAAAAAUAAAAUAUUAUAUGAAAGUUAAAAUGAUGUAAAAACAUAUUUUCAGUGUUGGCGUUGCUCGUUCGUAAAUGGGUUAGUUUCCGUUUUGAUGUGUUUUUACGUGGAUAGUAAAAGAAAUGUGUUAAUUUUUGGAUUAUGGAGUUGAUCGUUUUUAAUCAAUUCUCCAGUAAGUUGACUCGUUUGUUGUUGUUAUGUGCUAGGAUAAGAGAUUAAUUCUGAUUUGGGCCUGUGUGGUUGUGUAGAUUUUCCAUGUGAAAUCGUUUGGUAUUUUUAGGAUAAAUCAUUCUUUAAAUCGUAUUGCUACCAUCGCGAAUGUGAUGUUUUAAUUUAUGCAUUUAGGAUCUGGUAGUCUUAUAGGUGUUUUCGCAUAAAAAAUUGAACCAUGUGUGUAACGAAAGCUAAAAAAUUGCACUGUUGACGCCACACGGCCAUGUGACAAGUCGUGUGCUGGAUCAUGUGUAACACACGAUUUGAGCUAGUUGAGCCAUGUGGAAAACAAAGGUGUGUGUGAAGGCGUGUGCCACACCAUGUGGGCCACACAGGCUGGCCAUUUAGGCCGUAUGGGACCAAAAUUCUAAUUUUUUUCCUAGGGUUAUACACAGUGUGUAUACUUGUCUUUGAAUUGAAAAAUUCUAAACAACUCUAAAUAAAUGGAAAGCAGCAAAUUACCUGACGAGGCAAGCUAGGUCAAUUACGACCAUUGUGUUAUUCUUGUCUCUGAAUUGAAAAUUUUAGAAGAAACUAAAGAGAAAGUGUUAGAAAAUAAUUGAAAACAGAUAAAACUUAUGUCUCAUUGAUUGGAUAAACUACGAUCACCCAUAAUAGACCUUGUACUUGACUUUUUGUUUAGGGAGAUUGACUCUUUUAGGAGAAGUCUUUUGAGUGUUGUUUGCUAGGCAAUCGGUGCUGCCCUCAACAACUAAUGGUAGUGUCCCCAUGUUGGGAUUUUAUCCCCAGCCUCUGCGGAAUAAUCAUUGAGGAUAUGUGCGUAGGGAUUCAAACUACCAAUCAAUGCAUGUGUAGCCUUUACCUUGCAACCAUCUCCAUGAACCCAUAGGGUUCUUAGCGGGAUCAAGAGACGAAACCCUAAUGUGGGAACAAUACCAUUUGUUGAAGGCUUUGUUAAUAGGGUCACACCUAGGGGAGUUGGCAGGGGUCCCAACCCCCCUUAAAAUGAAAAAUUUUCCAUUUAGGCCCUUUAAAAUUUUUAAAAUUUUAAAUUAAUAAAAGUAAAAUUGUACUUUGGCCCCCCAAAAAGUGAUAAAACUUCGAUUUAGUCCUCUAAAAAUUAUAAAAUAUAGGCUAUUAAAAUGGUGAAAUUGCAUUUUUACUAUCAUAAAAAUUAUAAUUUAAUUUCACCCCCUAAAAAGAUUUUCUGGCUUCGCCCCAAAUAAAAUCUUUGCCAAAAGAUUAAAAUAAAAUUAUACCGUAAAUGAAAAAAUAAACUAAGAAAAUCCAAUCUAACAAAGAAAAUAACUUGAUGUCCAAAAGCUACCAUGAACCGUAAUUCAUGGGAAGUCUUGUUGCUCAUUUUAUUGGUUUCCAUUUUGAUUUUGCAAAAUAAGUUUGAAUUUUGAAGAGAGCCUACUACGUGAGAGCAAAAGAAAAAAAUUCUAUAAAGAUUUUGAAUUUUGAAUUUUGAAUUUUGAAUUUUGAAUUUUGAAUUUUGAAGCAGAUUUUCAUUAAGAUUGAAGAUUCCUAAUUGAUUUCUUAGGAGAUUAUCAUGAGUUCCUUAUUUCUUUCAGUUAUAUUGCCCUUUGGAUUUUUUAUUUUUAAUCAUGAACUACUUUUCUAAAUACGUAAGAGAGAUGAACCCUAUGAUAGAUUGUGACACCCCAAAGCUGACCGGGAUAGACCGGCCUGAAUUCAAAGCAUUACAUUAGCCACCUAAGGACCACUCAAGACACACCCCGACCUUAUAACACCUCAAUCUUAUCUAAUUACUAGUUAUUUAUUAAUGCCGAAGUAAAUUAUGAGCCAAUUUUAAAGUUUUCCUAGGUAAUUUAACCUAAGGGCAUUUACAUCAUUUUAUGACCUAUGGUAAAACUAACCUAGAAAUACCGAAAACAUUCCAAAAUAAUAUAAAAAAAAAGCUAAGAAAAACCUAGAAAUACAAAAAAAAAUUCAUGUUUUUACAAAUUGGGAAAUACCUAAAUUUGUUUUUAUCAAUUAAGAAAUUAAAAAAAUUGUUGAGAAAUAUCUUUUUAGUGAUUGUUAGCUUUGACAAGUUCUCUCCACCACUUCUCUUACGCUCCUUCCAGGAUCUUGCUUUUUGUGUGUUGAAAACUCAAAUGAACAAAAUAAAGUGAAUUUACGAGUUUUGUUUUCUUUUAAAAAUAUUUUUAAUAUUUUUGUGGAUACCAAGAGAUACCAAAAAUUAUUUCACUAAGAAGUUUUAAUUCACUCGAAAAGUUAGUGUUUUAUUUCAAGGGGUCAUAAUUAAUCAUUAGAUUUCUCAAUUUUAAAUUUUGAAUUUUUGACAAUUGUGUAAUUAAUAAGUACCAAUUUUGAGUGGUGUAGGGCUAGUACAAUCUCCCUUACACAUAACCGACUCUUGAUCUAAUAAAUAUUUAUCCUUAUACUUUGAUCUAAAUAUUUUGAUGUAAUCAAUGUAAAAAACCUUUUAAACAAAAUAAGGUUGAAAUAAUCUAUUUGUCUUUAUACUUUGAUAAAAUUUGGGAUUUAGUCCUCAUACCUAAUGUUGACACCAUUUUUUUGUGAAAACGGGGUUGACUUGGAUUUUGUAAACGAAAACGAAAACGGGGGUCGCCACCAAUUCUUUUUGAUAAGGUGUGAUCGGGCCACCUUGAAAAGUGGUUGUUUUUAAUAAACAAUUUAAUUUUAUGAAAACAACGAUUUUGGUCCACGAAAUUCAGAAAAACAGGUUCGGGAGUCGGUUACGUACGAGGAAGGAUUAGCACCCUCAUAACGCCCAAAAUUGGUACCUAGUUGAUUAAUUAAUGUCUUAGUGUAGAAGAUUGAAAACUCUAAAGAGAUUUAAAACACGAUCCUUUACUGAAAUGAUAAAAAUUUUCGGCAAAAAGGGCAUAUUUCACAUUAAUCGAGAAAGAGAAUUAUAUCCAAUAAGUUAGAACACAAUGUCUUGAAUUCCGAUGCGCGAAUGAAUACCAAAAAUUUACUUAUUUAAAAGAUAUUUAACUAUCUCGGAUUUAAAAAAGGGAUCAUGCCCAGUAAGUUAGGACACGAUCUUUUCUUAAUUCCCGAGAUCGUUUAAAACUUGAGAAAAAAGGGAUCAUGCCCAGUAAGUUAGGACAUGAUCUCUUCUUAAUUCCCGAGAUCGUUUUAAACUUGAGUUUGAAAAGAUUCGUGUAUUUAAAUUUAUUGUGAAAAUUGAAACCCCGUAAGUUAGGGUACGACCUUCUCGAAUCUAAACAUGAGAUUUUGCUUAUUCAAAAAAUCAUAAUUUAUGCAUUGAAUAAAAUUAAUCUAACACGAAAUAGUAGAAAUGCAACACGGUGUCAAUAUGUGUAACAAGACAAAAAUGAAUAUGAUAAUGUAAGCAUAAAUAGUACGAACGACAUCGUAAAUGAGAUAAAUAAUAGGAGAGACAAAUCCAUCAUAUCACAACAAAUAAAUAAAUGCAAUAUUAAGACAUUCUUUUCAAAUGAUAAUGAACAUAUACGCAAAUAAACAAAUUAACAUCGAGUGAAACAAAAAUGCAAUAACGAAAUUAAUAAAACUAUAAAAAGUAUAAAAAUAUGUGUGUAUGUACGUGUAGGUAUGCAUUAUAAAAAUAUAUGUGCAUAUAUAUAUAUAUAUAUUUGAAAUUACAAAAUAUAAAAGAUAUAUAUAGGUAUGUAUAUGUAUGAGUUAUAAAAUAUAUGUAUGUAUAUGUGUACAUAACUAAAUUUGAAAUAAAUAGAUAUAGAUAAACAUAAUAAUAAUAUAGUAAGACAGAUAUAUUUAAUAUUUAAAUAAGUGAACAUAAUAAAUGGGAGUAUAAUAAAUAAUAAUAAUAAUGCAAAGCUAGUAAUAUGAUAUAAUGAUAUAAUAUUAAUGACUAAGUAAAUAUAAGAAGAAAAUAUUAAUAGAUAAUGUAACAACCCGGUUUUGACCCUAAUCGGAAUAGUGGUUUCGGGACCACAAAUCCGAACUAGAAAAAUAUUAUUAAUAUUAUUUAGUGUGUUUAUAUUGUGUGCAUUUGAAUGUGUGAAAUUUUCGUGUUUUAAUUUCAUCGUUUAAGUGUCCGAUUUAAUAAAAGGGUUUAAUCGCGUAAAAUGAAAAAUUAGGGGUUAAUUAUAAAAGCACCUAAUUGUUGUUGGCUUUAUAAUUUAGAGGUUUUACUAUGAAAUUAGUCCACUAUAUAAGUUAGUGGGUGGCAAAAGACUAAUGUAACCUUAUUAUAUAUGUUUUAUAUAUAUAUUAGUAAAGGUUAAAAUAGUAAAUUAAUUAUAAAGUUAAUAUAUGUUUAAUAUAACAAAUUAAAUGGCUAUGUUCUUCAUCUUUUGGCCGAAUGGGUGAGAAAAUAAAAGGGGUUUAAAGCUUUUUGUAUUUCGGCAGAUUCAAGCUUUGAUUUAGGUAUGUUUUUGCUUCGGUUUUUGAUGAUUUUUACGUUUUUGAGAUCGUUGCUUUGAAUACUUCAAAACCCAUGUCUUAAUUUUGUGAAUUGAUGAAUAUUUUGAAUUAUGUCAUUGAUGAAUAUUUGUGUUUUGGGAUGUUUGAUGAUGAAUAAUGGAAGAUAUGUCUUAGAUUAACAUGUUUUGUAUUGGUAUUUUUGAUGAAUUUGAGUAUUUAGGGCUAAAUUGUGAAAAUAAAUUUUUGAGGGAUUAAAAUGUGAAAUAAAUGCAAUGUGUGGACUUGUAUGAGAACCAUGAAUAUUCGGCCCUUGUGUGGUAUGGGCAAAUUUUGUGUAUUUUGUGUUUUGUGCAAAAAGGACUAAAUUGCAAAAAGUGCAAAAUGUUAGGGGCAAAAUGGUAAUUUUCACAUUUAUGUAUUGAUGGACUCAAAUGAAUGUUUUGAUGAAUAAGAAGGUUAAAUUUGACUAUGUUUAGAUCAAGGAACGAAGAAAACGAAUUUGGAUCGGGGGAAGUCGAAAGUAAUCGAAUAGUCGAUCGUGUUUGCUGAUAUCCGAGGUAAGUCUAUUAGCAACUAAAAGUUAUUAAGUUAAUAUUUAUACAUGCAUACUAAUUUUAUCUUAUGAUUGAGCUAUAAUUUAAAGUAUAAAAGUUGAAUAAACUUUGGACUAUAGAUAUUGUAUAUAACAUGUUCGAAUAUACAAGUAUGAUCUUGUAUAAAUUAUUGGAUUAAUCAAAGAUAUGUAUAAGAUAUAUGUAUAUACAUAUAAGGUUUGAAUGAUUAUAUGAGUAUGUAUAUAUAUGUAUAAACUCUUGGAUUUGAUUUGUGAUAUGUAAUUUAUAAUUGUAUAUAUAUAUAUAUAAAGUCGAAUAAGCAUGCAAUUAUACAUGUAUGUGUUGUGUAUUGAAUUUAGAUAUGUCAUUAUAUAAGUAUAUGAGGAUUGAUUGUGAAUUUAUAUAUGUAUAAGUUUUUGUUUUGAAAUUAAGUAUGAAAUUAUACAUUCAUAUGGUAGAUUCGAAUAUGUAUAAAUGCACAUGUAUAAUUUCUUGAAUUGAAAUUAGGUAUGGAAUUAUAUAUGUAUGUGAAAGUUUCGAUUUGUAUGUAUAUUCACGUAAAAUUUUUUGAAUGGAAGUGAAGAUAUGAAAUUAUUAGUUUGGAUCAUUAUAAAGUGAUUGAAUGUAAUACAGACGUUACGUCUAGCAGGCUUGAUGCCGGUGAAGUAAUUCAGACUUUAAGUCUAGCAGGCUUAAUGCCGGUGAUACAUUUCAGACUAUAUGUCCAGCAGGCUAAGUGCCGGUGUACUGAAUCAGGCUUUAAGCCUAGCAGGCAAAAUGCUAGUGAAUCUUUUUAAAUUAUGUGAGAAUAUGCAAUUGAUAUAUCUAUGAUUUUGAUUAUACGAAAUAGAUGAAUACAUGAACAUUCGGUUUUUUUUUAUAUGCCUGGUGAGCUUACACCUACAUUCGGGUUUUAUAUUGGUUAAACAUAAUUGUAUGGAUUCGGUAUAUACAAUUAAUAAAGGCAUAUGUACAUUAGGUAUAUGCGAUUGCUGAAAUUAUAAAUGCAUAUGGUGAUAUGUGAUUGUUAAAUAUACACGUUGAGCCUAUGUGUUCGAUAAUUAAUUAUGUAUGCAAUUGAGAUAUGUAUAUAUAUACAUGUACUCAUUUAUAGGUAUAUAUAUUCGAAUGUAUAUACUAGCUAUGUAUUCAGGUAUAAAUCCAUAAUGAGUAUAUAUAUAUACAAACGAAUAUAAAAUGUGAUUGAUACAUAUGUGUUAGAUUCGAAUUGAUUUAAAGUUUACCAUGAGUAUACAUACACAUUCGGUUAAGAUAUGUGUAUAAUAUAUAUAUAUGCUCGAUUGUAUACAUUGGGUUGUAAUGUUGUUUUGUAUAAUAUAUAUUCAAUUGAUUUCAUUCGACAGGUAUACAUAUCUGACUAUAAAUAAAAUGGUCUGAGUACAAUAAUGUAUGAAUGUUAGUUGGUCGUGUUAGUUGAAAUUUCAGUAAAAUAGAUUAAAAGGUUAUAUUAAUUAUGUGUUUAUAUAUACAUUUAGUUAUGCUGUAGACUUACUAAGCUAUAAAAGCUUACUUCAUUUGUUUUCGUUCAUUUGUUUUUAUAGAUUUUGGAGACGCGUUACGAGCUCGGGGAUCAUCAGCAUAGUCCAUCACACUAUCGACUUCUUUUGGUAUUUUGUUAAAUAUUUGAACUCGAUCUUAUGGCAUGUAUAGGCUUGAUAAUGUUUUGGUUAGUUUUGGAUCCUAAUAUGUAAAUAGUCAUGCGAAAAGGGUUUAAUUUCCAUGCUUGAAUUUGACUACAUAUGAUCAUGAUUUGGGCUUGCAUUUGAAUGAGAUAUUCAAGUUACAUGUAUGUUAUAAAUUUUGGAUUAUGUUAGGUAUUAAAGUCAUGUUUAUGUGUGCUUUGUUUCGUAAUGCCUCGUAACCCUAAUUCGGCGACGGAGACGGGUUAGGGGUGUUACAGAUAAUAGCUAGGUUAAUAAAAAAAACAAAAUGGACUAAUUCAUGAUAAAAAUUAAAUUUAAAGGUUCAAUCUAUAAUAAAAUAAAUAAAGUGGGUCCAAAAUGAAAAGGCACGAAAGGGCGGAGGGCCAAAUGAGCAAUAAACCCAAAUUCCAGGCCACGCCCAGGGGUCCAACGAAUUGAGGAACGAAUUGAAAACCGCAACAAACCUACGGUCCAAAUUACAAAACGAGGGAAAAAAGAAAAGGAACUAAAUCAAAACAAAUCGAUAAUGCGGAGGGGCCAAAGGAGCAAAUAACCCAACACUUAACAAUGCACGGAUCCUCUGGUCGGGUCGAGUCGACGAGUGGAUCUGGGGGGCAAAACGACGCCGUUUUGGUACCUGGGAGGCCUGCCCAAAACGACGUCGUUUUAGGGCCUAUAUAAGUAAAAAAACAUAAACAAAAAAAUCAUUUUAAAUCCAUUUCAGAAAAAAAAAACUUUCCCUUUUUUAUUUUCUCUCUAGCCCCACUCCCUUCGAUCCAGACUCCGACCGAUGGCCGUCGCACCGCCCACCGACCACCGGCGACGGUGCCGCCCACUGACCACCGAUGACGGCGCCGUCGUGCACAGUUGUCGGAAAGUUCAAAACCCCUUUUUCUCUUCUCUUUUCGAGUAAAGUACCUAUUUGGGUUUAAGACAUCCCAAAAGUCCUUCAAAAUAAAAAAAGAAAGAGAGAAAAAUCUAGAGACCUUUCGGUUUCUCAUCACCGCCGAUGGAGUUUUUGGCGAACCCGUUGGUUUGACCACCCCAAGACCGGAGGUACCUCCGUCCGCGGCAAUAAAGGUAAUAGAUUUCUCUUUUUAUUUACUAUUAUAUUUAUUUUCGAAAUAAAUAAAUAAAUAAAAAUAUAAAAGAGGCACCUUUGUUUUUUCCAAAUCUGUUUCAAACUUUUUUAUUUUCGAAAAAAUCCCAAAAAUCCCCAUGAUUACAUUGAAUUUGUGGCUUUUAUAGCCCAAUGCAUAUUUUCUUUUUUCUUUUUGUUUAUCACUGCUUCUCUGCUAUUUGUGCUGUUGUUGCGUGUUUUUUUCAUGUUUUGCAGGUCUUGACGGAGCAGGUGGGCAGGUGGCAGAGCAAGUGGCGGUGGGUGGUGUCAGAGGUGGCAGAGGCAGAAGGUGACGCCAGAAGAUAGGAACCCCUAGGUGUGGCGCACCUAGGGUUUGACAUUGUUGUUUUUUAUUUGAUUUUUUGGGCUAGGUUUAGACAGUUGGGCCUGUGCAUUUUGCUUCGGGUUUGGGUUUAAUCUCGUUGGGCCGGGUGUAAUUGUGUUAGUUAGGCCGGGGCAUAAAUUGGUUAUUACACCUAAAAGGUUAAAAAUUAAGUCUUCUUAUUUUUUUUUAAAUCUUAGUCCUACCGUUAAUUUUUUUUUGUCAAAAUUUGUUAACUUGACAUAUUAAUUAGGUUUUCCUUAUAUGUCGUGGUAUAUGACCAACACAAAAUUAAACAAGUUGACAAGUUCUGACAAAAAAUAUCAAAGAUGAUAAUAAUUUAAUUAAAAUUUUUAAAUUGAAAAAGUAAGGGAUUAAAUUUAUAACUUUUGAAGUGUAAAGAAUGAACUUAUUGAAAUACAAGAACUAACAACACAUUUUAAAAUAUUACUAGUAAAUUAUAUAUCUACAACGUAAGCUCUUAUAUUAUAUUCUUGUAUCUAUUUUGUAUCUUUCAUUAUAAUAUGAUUUAUUAAUUUUAAUAUUUUUAUAGAAUAAUAUGCUUUAAACUAUUUUUUGUAUAAUUUAUAAAAAUUAUAAUAAACUUGCAAAAUGAUUUAAUGAUAUUUAAUUAUUAAUGGAAAAAAAAAUGAUAACAUAUAUAUUCUGUAUAUAUUAAGAUUUUGAGUCAUUAAUUAUAUAUCUACACAUUAUAAUAAAUUCAUCUUUCAAAAUGUUCCUUAUAAUUAAAGCAUAAAUUAUAUUUAUAAUAUUAUAAAUAUAUUAUAUCAUAAAUAUUCUUUCAAAUAUUUUUUAAUGUUUAAUAAUAAGUUAAUUUAUAAAAUAUUCUUUCAAUAAAUUAACGUGAUGCGAUCGUUAGGUGCUUGGAUUUGGUGAUGGGGGAUGAAGAGAAAAGGGAUGGAAGUGAAGAAAAAUGUUGAGAAAUGGAAAGGGUUAGCAAGGGAAGCUGCCAUGAAAGUUGGUUCUAUGGAUAUGAACCUUCAAGCUUUUGUGGAUGAUGUUACUCAAGGUUGUUGGAAGUAAAUUUUAAAAAAAUUGAGGUAAAAUUAAAAAAAUGUUAGAGCUAAAUUUGUCAUUAUGACUAAAAUGUAAAACCAAAAUUUUUUGAAAAUAAAAAAAAAUGGAAAAUAACAAAUUCUGUCACUCAUGUUUGCUUAAAAUAUAGUUUUGGUCACCAAUCUUUUGAAGUAAAUAUAUGGUCACCAAUAUUAUCCAUUUGUUACUCUGCAAUAACUCACCUCUAUGAAAUUUGGCAGGCCGUGUCAAUUUUGUAGAUUUGCGCUCUGAACUGUGAAAAAAAUGCAAAUUUUAGGUUAUUCAAGCAUUUUAAUACGUAUAUAUGAAAAAAAGAAGAAGAUAGGAGAGAACCUUCCUAGAAUAUUUAAGAAAAUAGCUCCAAAGACACUAUUGAAGUCAACUUUGAAGCAAAUUUUCAUCAAGAUUGAAGAUUCCCAGUUGAUUUCUAAAGAGAUUAUCAUGAGUUUCUUUAUUUCUUUCGGUUAUACUGCCCUUUGGAUGUUUUUAUUUUUAAGCAUGAACUAAUUUUCUAAAUACCUAAGAGAGAUGAAUCCUAUGGUAGAUUGUGGCACCCCAAACCCAAUCGGGAUAGACCGGCCCGAAUUCGAAGCAUUACACUAGCCACCUAAGUGACUCUCCAGCUAACGACCACCCAAGACACACCCUGACCUUAUAACACCUCAAUCUUGUUUAAUUAUUAGUUAUUUAUUAUUGCAUAAAUAAAUUAUGAGCCAAUUUUAAACUUUUCCUAUGUAAUUUAACCUAAGGGCAAUUUUGUCAUUUUACCACCUAUUGUAAAACUAACUCGAUUUUAGAAGUUUUUACCAACCUUAUUUUAGUCAAAUUAUACAAGCCUAAAUUUUUUAGCUUAAUUUGAGUUUGUUUACUAUGUCUAAUUCAAGUUUUAUUAUUAAGGACUAAAUUGUAACUUAAACAAAUUAGAAUAUCAAUUUAAAGAGAAAAAAUUCAAAACCCAAAAACCCACACGGGCAUGUGGGUAAGUGACACGGGCGUGUGGAGACUGGAGCUAUCACACACGGGUGAGUGGGAUUGAAAAAUAUGAAAUAAAUUAAUCCACUUAAUUUUCCAACAACCAUGCUAUACUACCAAACCAAAUAACGCUUGAAGCUUUGAAUAGGGGUGAAUCUUAAAAAAAUUAAAAGAAUUAGAAUUAAAUUAUAAAAUUUGAGAAGUUAUCAUGUAUUAAUUUAUAAUUUUCUAAAGGGUCUUAAUAGAAUUUUUUUUUUCCCAUUUUGGUUGGGCCAAUACCCCUACCUCUUUAAAUUUGCUUCAAUCCUAAACCCAAUAUUCGAUUUGUUGUGGAAGUUUGAUGCAUAAAAUUUCUUUUUUUAGAGGUUUAAAUUAUAUAUUAUUGAAAGUUUAAAAUAAAUUUGUAUUUUUUAUUAACAAAAUAUAAAACAAAAAAACAUUUUUAGACAAACCAAGGAACCUUUGGGAUCAUACGGAUGAUUUGGUGAUGUUAAUGGUUAUUUUGGUGGAGACAAGCCAAGAAAAGAAACAAAUGAUUCAUUAUAUACAAUAUAAUUAUCAAAAUUCAAGCCAUAUAUUGUCUGUUUCAUCCAUAAAAAUUUCAUGGGAGGUCCAAAGGUAAUUAAAUGACUUGUAGGCUUGCUGAAUUUCUUUGAAAGGCCCAAAGGCAAUUUAACACUCACAAAAUAAUCUCUAAAUACUGUAAAGACAAAUCAAAUCCACAGCAGCAUUAGAGUUGAUUAAGCUAAGCAUUGGCAAAUAUUACUUUGAUUUUGCAUGCAAUAUCGGCAAAACCCCCCUCUUACAUUAGAAAAAACAACAUAAUCCAUGUAACAUUGAUAGCCCAAUACAAAUUUCAUCAAGAAAAAAGUCUCUUUGUUUUGUAGAACAUGAUAGUAAAGAUGUGGAGUUUCAUUCUUCUUAUUGGCCUCCUUUAGUUUUCCUUGAUCAACAACCACUAGCCAAAAACACAAUUAGAUUAGAUUAUGAAUGAUACUUUCAACUAUGACAAUAUUAAAUACAAAACACUCCAAAUAACUCUAAAUAAAUGGAAAGCAGCAAAUUACCUGACGAGGCAAGCUAGCUUAAUUAAGACCAUUGUAUUAUACUUGUCUCUGAAUUGAAAAAUUUAGAAGAAAAUAGAGAAAAAGACUUAGAAAAUACUUGAAAACAGAUAAAACUUAUAUGUCAUUUAAAAUAAAAAAAAAUUAUUUAAGCUGUUUAAAAUUUUUAAGAUUUUUAAAAUUUUAAAAUGAUAAAGGUAAAUUGUACUUUGGCACCCCUAGAAAUGAUAAAACUUUGAUUUAAUCCUUUAAAAAUUAUAAAAAUAUAGGCUAUUAAAAUGAUGAAAUUAUAUUUUUACUAUAGUAAAAAUUACAAUUUAAUUUCACCCCCUAAAAAGAUUUUCUGGCUUCGCCCCUAAUAAAAUAUUUGGCAAAAGAUUAAAAUAAAAUUAUACCGUAAUUGAAAAAAGAAACUAAAAAAAUCCAAUCUAACAAAGAAAAUAACUUGAUGUCCAAAAGCUACCAUAAAUCGUAAUUCAUGGGAAGGCUUGUUGCUCAUUUUAUUGGUUUCCAUUUUGAUUUUGCAAAAGAAGUUUGAAUUUUGACGAAUACCGACAUAUUAUAUAUAUGACUAAAAUUCCAGAAUAGGUUAAAAAUGUUGAAUUAAAGAUGAAAUUAAGUGUGAAUUAAUAACCACAAGUGUACUCAUUACUCACCAUCUCUGUUAAAAAUGUUGGAUGUUGUUUAGCAACCUUUGUUUGAUUUUCUUCAGCUCAACCACAACAUCUUUCAUAUCUUUUCUUUCUUCUGGUAACUCAGCUGAACAAUUCAAAGCCAACUCCAUGAUAGAUGAAAUACAAUUUGCUUUAACAACAAUGUACUCAUCCUCUCUUCUUAGUAAAUCAACAUCUGCAAUUUCUAUCGCUCCUUUAGGCAAUGAACUUUCCAUCCAAUGCCUUAUAGUCUCUUCUUCAACAAAAACAUUAUCAGAUGGCUUUUUCUUUGUGAAAGUUUCUAUAAGGACGAUCCCAUAACUAUAGACGUCAGAUUUUAUAGAAACAAUUCCUGCUGAUCCAAAUUCUGCAUUUCAAGUAUAAUUAGAACAUCAUUCAUCCUCAAUUAUUUCUAAAAUGCUUAUUCUAAUAUCUAUCCAUAUACACAUGAAACAAAAAUAUAAAAUUCAAAUUAGGAAAAUAAUCAUACAAAAAUAAAAAAGAAUUCACCUGGUGCCAUAUACCCGAUAGUUGCAAGAGUCAUGGUUUGCUUCAUUACUUCACCUUCUCCCAACAAUUUGGCAACGCCAAAAUCUCCAACAUGUGCAACCAUGUCUUCAUCUAGUAAAAUAUUGCUUGGCUUUAUGUCACAAUGAAUUAUAGGUGUUGGAUGUCCAUUGUGGAGGUGUUCUAUAGCUAACGCAACAUCUAUCAUUAUGUCGACCCUUUGUAUGAUAUCAAGGAAACAAUUUUCAGAAUGUAACCAUUUCUCAAGGUUUCCAUUAGACAUGUAAUCAAGCACCAAGGCUUUGAAGUCAACACUUGAGCAGCAAGUAAUGACCUUCACAAUAUUACGAUGAACUAUAUUAAGCAUAGCAUCACAUUCAAUGUCAAAACUCCUAAAUGCUCCCUCUGUUUGCAAAUUGAAAACUUUUAUUGCAACUUCCAUUCCAUCUGAAAGCCUCCCUUUAUAUACAUAUCCAAAACUCCCUGAACCAAGCAUAUUGCUUUCCUCAAAUCCAUUAGUUGCUCGUGAAAGUUCAGCAUGUGAAAUUCUUCUCGGUGUUUUCAAAGACAACAAAUCAUCUUUAAUUGAUAGAGUUGUACUCCUUCUUUGGCAUCUUCUAUACAUAAUAGUUAAGACUAUUAGUACUACGACAAUGCCAAUUGUUGGUAAACCAUACCUAAAAGCAUGCAAUAUAAUCAUUUGGGAGUUUUUGUGGAUGUCGUUUUUGCAAGGUGGGACUUGCAAUCUAGGUGGACCACAAAGUGCAUAAUUCUUCAUGAAUGAUGUGCUAGAAAAGUUUGAAAAACAUCCUUUGCUGGGAAUUUCCCCUUCAAGUCUAUUGAAAGACACAUUAAAAUACCUUAGAUAUAUAAGUUUUUCCAAAGAUUUGGGAAUGACUCCAGAGAGAUUGUUAUUGCAUAAAUCCAAGAAUUCCAAACUAAUCAAUCCAGCAAAUGAUUCAGGGAUAUGACCAUGUAGUAUAUUAUUUGAUAAAUCUAAUGAAACCAAAGUUAUAAGACCCCCAAAUGUGGAUAAGAUAUCGCCCGUGAGAAGAUUCUUUGAUAAAUUUAGUUUCAGUAGACUCCUCAAAUUUCCAACAUCAAUAGCAUGUGAACUGUGAAGAUGGUUUGAUGAUAAAUCUAUUUCUAAGAUAUCUUUAAGAUUCCACAAAGUUGAGGGUAUUGUAGAACUCAAUCUGUUGGAAGCAAAGUAAAGAUAUCCCAAAGAAGUAAUAUUACCCAAACAAGAGGGUAUGGAUCCAUGCAGCUUAUUCAACCCUAAAAAAAAGUUGUAUAAUCUCUCCAAAUCACAAAGGCUUUCUGAGAUGGGCCCUCCUAAUUUAUUAGAGGAAAGACCUAGACUUUGGAGAUUCCGCAGUCCUCCUAUUGAUGUUGGAAUGAAUCCACUUAAUUUAUUAAAGCCAAGUUCUAAAACCACCAUGUUGCUUAAGUUACCUAUUUCCAUAGGAAUAAUGCCUUGAAGCUCACAAUUAGAGGCAUAAAAGUAUUGAAGGGAUUUUGAAAGGUUCCCAAUAUAAGUAGGAAGAACGUCACUCAAUGGAUUUCCUGAAACAUCUAUUGCGGUCAAAUUCCUACAAUUCGUCAAAGAAGAAAGAAAGCUCCACUCAUGAUCAGUAGCAGAUCCUGUGAUCAAAUUAUUGUCAUUGAUUUUGAGCACUUCAAGGUGUUUUAAGUUGCCAAGCAUUUUAGGGAUUGGGCCAGAGAAUAAGUUAUGUGACAAUUCUAGUUGCUUAAGCAUGGAAGCAUUGGAGAUAGAGUUGGGAAUGUUUCCGCUAAGUUUAUUUCUCCACAAUAAAAGAAUCUCAAGCUUUGGAGCAUUGGUGAUGGGUGGUAAAUUACCUGUAAAAUUGCAUCUUUUAGUAUACAUAUUCAUUGAAUACCAAAUUCACAAAAUAUAUAAGACAUUAAAAUAAAAACUGUAAAACUUUAAAUCAAUUAAGAAUAAAAUUUUGGCAUGGAAAAAUGUGAUGAAAUCAAUUAGAAAGUUGAGACAUAAUAAGAAGUUUUGAGUAGUAAUUAGUAAAACAUAUAAUACAUUAAUAAUUUUUAAAAUAUUGUAAAACUUGAAAUAAAAUAAAAAUAAAAGUUUGGCAUGAGAAUGUGGCAUCUAAUCAAUCUUAAAAAUGAGACUCACAUUGAAUAAUAAUUAGUUAUGAUUUGGGAAACAAAAAUGUUAAAGCCAUUGUUUUUAAUGUAAGCUGGUAUGACUUUUAUCUAUUGGGUUAAUUAUUUAUUUUUAUUAAAUUAUAGUGUAAAAUUUAAAUAUUAUUAUUUGCUUAAAUUUUUUGUAUUUUUCGUAUAUUUAAAAUUUAAUCUUUAUAUUUUUAUUUUCUGUGAUUUAGUCCCUCUACUUUUUGAAUUGAAAAUUUUAGGUUUAUUUAUUAACACCGUUAAAAAGUUUUUGUGUUAGUAUGGCAUUUUGAAAACUAAAAUAAACUUGAUAUCUAUGUUUUUAAUUAUUCCAAAUAUUGUUUUACUAUUUCAAGAUAAAUUAUUUGUGUCUAGACCAAUAUCUUAAGAACUAUUGUUGCAUAUUUAAUUAUUCUAAAGAAUUGUCGAUUGAAUCUUAGCUUGAUUGGCAUGUGCAUUGUUGCCAAUGUAGGAGAAUGUGGGUUCAAGCAUGCAUGCUGAAAUGCAUUAUCCUCCUAUUUAUGAAUUGGUAAAGUACUAAAUUUUGAUAUAUUUUAAAAUAUUAAAAAUUUAUUAAAAUAUUUUUUUAUAAAAAUUGAUUGUACCACAAUAUACAAUUUUAAUAUCAAAUUUUUAAUUUUUUUAAAAAAUAUUAGCGAAUAUGUACUUUAUUUCAAGUUACACAAUUUUUACUAGUUUUUAAAUUUUUUUAAUUUUUAUCGUCUUUUAUAAUUUCUAAUAAUUUUUUAUAAUUUUUUACAAUAUUUAACAAUUUCUAAAAUUUUUUAAUAAUUUUAUUAUUUAUUACAAAUUUAAAAAUUAACAAAUUUUUAAUCUUUAAAACAAUUAUAUAUUUAUAAUGUAGUUAUUUUUUUUAUAAUUUUAUUUGAAAUUUUAAAGAUUUUUUUGGUUUGUUUUCUAGAUUAUGAUGCCAUCAUAAUGUCAUCAUAUGCCACAUGGCAAUUUAUGAUUAGUUGGAUAUCUCAAUCUAUUUUUUUAACGUCCAAUGGACUAAGCCAAGAACACCUGACAAUGUUAGAGACUACACUACGAAUGUUUGAUAAUAUUACGUAUUAAAGUGGACAAAAAAAAUUAAGGACCAAAGUUAUAAAAAAAAAAAAAAAACAGCAAUCGGCUGCAGGGAAUAAACUGUGCAUUAAGCCAUUAAAAAUAUAUCUAUAAUAUAUAUAAAUGCAUGGAUUUUGAGAAACAUUUGAACUGAUAAUUACAUAGUCUUUGAUGUUUACUAUAUUAUUGAAUUUGUUAUUUUAAAUAUUUUUUUAUUACUUUUAAGAUUUAUCAUAUGUAUGGAUAAGAAUUUUGGUUUUACUAAAAUAUUUGGUUAAAUAAAUUCAUUUAAUAAGAAAAUUUAGCAUCCUUAUAAAUAACAAUUUUGAUUCUAUUAAAAAUUAUUUUCAAAAAUAUAUAAUAAAAAUUUAAAAUUUAUAUUGAAUUACUUUAUACUUAAAUUAUUAUUAGAAACUUUAUCAUACACAUACGUGUAUGAGAACCAUGUAUUUAGAACAUAAAUUUGUUUUUUAAAGUAACUUAUGAUAAAUAAUGAAAUGUAUAAUUUGAAACUAUUUAAUAAUAACACAUGUCAUAUCUACCAUAUUAAAAUAAAAAUAGAUUAAAUUGUAAGUAAAACAUAAUUUAAACAUAUGAAUACAUCAAAUUAAGAAUACUAAAUGAAUACAGUUAUUUAUGAUGAUGUUGUUGCCAAUUCUUAAGUUGGUGCCGAGUUAAUUUGUGACAUCAUAAAUUUAGGUGAUAAAUUUAAGGUUUUAUGUAUUGAUGUGGAUUCAAAUAUCACCAUAAUUUUUUUAAAUAAAAAACUAAAAUACCCUCAAAUAAUAUAACUUAUAUUAAAUACGAAAGGGUAUUUUUGUAAUUUCUCUAACCGAGUUGGUGCCCGGUUGACUCAUGACACCAACUCAAUCAAAAGCUUCAAUAAUAAUAUAGAUAUUCACGGUAAAAAAAAUUACUUUAGUUCCAAAUAAUUAUAUAACAAGUAAAUUUAUAAUUGACGAAUAAAUUUAUAAAUAAUAUAUUUAUAUGAUCUAAUAUAUUAUAUUUAUAUUAAUUAUAUAUCAUCUACAAACUUUGAAGAUUAAUUUAUUAAGUAUCAAGAAAAGAAAAAAUGAAAUUUAAUUAACACUAAAUCAAUUUUUAGAUUUUGUACAGAUGAUUUAAUGAUGAUAAAAAAAAUAUUAGCACUAUUUUCGAAUUAACAAAAAAUUAGUGAUAUAUUUUAAUUAUAUUUAUUAUUUAUUUUUUAAUAAUUUUUUUAAUUAUAUGAAGUAAAAUUAUAUUGUAUACUAAAAAUGGUACAUAUACUUUAAUUAUACUUGAAAAUUUAUUAUAUAAAUUAAUAUAUUUUAAUUAUAUUUAACCAUUUGAAUAACAAAAUAAAAAAAAACUAAUUAGAAUAAUUUAUUUUUUAAAGUCUAAUGGAAAUUAAAAAAUUAAAAAUAAAGCAGUUCAUAUAAAACUUAUUGUUUAUUAUCAGAUUAAAAUGAUAAAAGUAUAUGACCAAAAUAAAAGAAACAAAUUCAACUCAAUGUUUUUGGAGUUUGGAAAAAAUUAAAGUUAAAAACAUACCUUCUAAUUUGUUGUUAAAUAGAUCUAUUUCUUCGAGCGUAGUCGAAUUAAAAAUACUUGAUGGAAUCUGACCUGCACACAUAGUCGAAAAUUGAAGUAAAAAACAUACCUUCUAAACUGUUCAACUAAAAAUACUUUAAGCAUAUUUUUUAGUAAACUGUGCAACAGGUGAUAUGAGAAUCUAUGUAUAUAAAUGUAUAUGUAUAUAUAUCGUUGUUUCAUUUUGUAAAAUAAAUAUAUUUUCCACAUUGGUUUCUUUUCUUCUACAGACAAAGGAUUUCUAAUGAUUCUUUUUUAUUUUUACUUAUAAAAUAGGUUAGUUUCUGCAAUAAUAAAAACAAUUUCUAAUGAUUAUUGUUGUUACCAGAUAACUAAUUUUCAUUCAAGUAAAGCCCUUCAAGCUUGGGAAAAUGUUGACACAUAUCAUUAGGCAAACUACCUGAUAGGCUAUUGUUGGAGAGAUCAAUGGUCUUCAGAGAAGAAAUGUUCGAGAUCGAAGUUGGAAUCUGACCUGUAAGGCCUUUAAUUUCUUUAAUAUUAAGCAUUUCCAAACUAAGAAGAUUACCAAUUUCCUUAGGAAUUUGACCUGCAGACAGUCAAAAAAUCAAUGUUUUUCAGCAUAUGUUUUUCAUCAAAUGAAAUAAAAAGUUCUUCCUUUUGUUAUCUAUUACAAAUCAAACUCUUUUAUAAAAAAAAAACUUUAAAUUCAAGAAAUCAAGGAAAUUGAUUACCUUCUAGAUUAUUAAACCCUAAAUAUAACUUCUGGAGUCGUGUUAGAUUUCCAAUACUUCUUGGAAUGAUACCCAUAAAUUGAUUAUAGGACAACGACAAAAUUUGAAGGUUGUUGCAUUUGCCCAUGCCAAAUGGAAUGUUACCAGAUAAUUCAUUCAAACUCAAGUAAAGCCCUUCAAGCUUGGGAAGAUGUUGACACAUAUCAUUAGGCAAACUACCUAAUAGGCUAUUGCUGGAGAGAUCAAUAAUCUUCAGAGAAGAAAUCUUGAAGAUGGAAGAUGGAACCUGACCAGAUAAUUGAUUGAAUCCCAAGUUCAAGAUCUCUAGAUUAGACAUGUUAACAAGUGUUUCAGGGAUUGUGCCUGUAAAGUUAUUGUUUUUCAUUUUCAGCCUUCGAACUCUUUGUAAGUUCCCAAGCCAUGAUGGAAUUUCCCCAUUCAGACGGCUGUAGCUUAAUUGAAGGAUCCUCAAACGAUGCAAUUGGCCCAAUUCUUUAGGGAGAUGGCCAUAGAAAUGGUUGCUACUCAAGUCGAGAGAGAGUAGAAAUGAAAGAUUUCCAAGGUGUGGAGGGAUAGUACCCCUAAGAUUCAUGCUUGUAAGAUUCAAAGCUAUAACUCUUUUAAGAAGGAUGCCACAAGAAACACCAAUCCAAUUGCAAACAGAGGUUGAGACUGUCCAAUUGUUUGGCAAGACAUUUUGAGGACCGACGAUGCGAUCCUUAAACUCGAGAAGUGCAAACUGAUCGGAGUUUAGAUUCCUGACUGUCAUAGCCAAGCAAAGUACGAAACAUGGUAUGAAUAAAGCUAAAAGAAGAUGAAAGCAAGUGUUGUAGUUCAUGAUUGCAAGACGGAAUAAGCCAAGAAAAUAAAAAAAAGUAGGAAAAGGGAAGUUGAGUUGAUAAAAUAGUUUGGAUGAUGAAGAAAAGCCCUGAGAGCAUGCUUUAAUAUGUUUCAAUCAUCGCACACUUGAUAAACUUGAUAAAUUUAAGACUACCCUAAAAAUUAAAAAGGAAAGCAAAGUUUUGAAGAAAUUUCAAAAUAAAUGUCAAGUCUUCUUCUUUUAAAAAUACGUACAAAGAAGCGAAUUUUCAAAAUUUCUACUAAAUUUUCUUCACAUUACUCCACAUAAUCCAUUAAAAAAACUUCAAAAAAAAAUAUUUUAUUAAUUACUAUAUAUUCUUUUAUUUUCAGAAUAAUAAUUGUUUAAAAUAUGCUAUUAGUCCCUGUAAUUUUAAAGUUAAAAAAAAUCCAAUCCUCCUAUUUUUCUAAUUUAAAAAUUCUAGUCCAAUCAUUUUUAAUUCCAUUAAAAAAUUUCACCUUAAUAGGUUUUUUGAUUAUCAAUCGUAUGCAACAUUAUAUGAAGGCAGUCUAAUCAGCAUAUAUCCAAGUUUAUAGAUUUUAAUAGAAAAUACUUACAAUCCUAAUGGUAGGACUAAGUUUUUUAAACUAGAAAAGUAAGAAGACUUAAUUUUUAACUUUUUAAGUACAAGGAUUAAAUUUUAAAUGUUGUCAAAGUACAAGGAUUAAAUUUUAAAUGUUGUCAAAGUACAAGCACUAACAAAAUAUUUUGAUCUAAUAAAUGUAAAUGAACUUUUUAAACAAAAUAAGGUUGAAAUAAUCUAUUUGUCGUUGUAUUUUGAUAAAAUUUGAGAUUUAGUCUUUAUACCUAAAAGGUUAAAAAUUAAGUCUUCUUGUUUUUAUUUAAAAAUCUUAGUCCUAUCGUUAAAUUUUUUUGUCAAAAUUUGUCAACUUUACAUAUUAAUUAGGUUUCCCUUGUAGGUCGUGGUAUAUGACUAACACAAAAUAAGCAAUUAAGUUGACAAAUUUUGACAAAAAAUAUCAAAGAUGAUAAUAAUUGGAUUAAAAUUUUUAAAUUGAAUUUAUAACCUUUAAUGUAUAAGGAAUGGAUAUCAAAUUUUUAUAGGAAUAAAGGGACUAACAACAUAUUUUAACCACAAAAUAAUAUGGGUGAUUAGAAUGAAUCUAAAAUUUUAUAGAAAUAAAAGAGACUAACAACAUAUUGAUAACUUUGAAAUCUCCUUCGAUAAUCCUUUUUCUACGUAGAAAAAGAAAAUUAAUUAGCAUCUAAAGUGUCAAUUAAUGAAACCUUCAAGAGAAAAUGUGAAAUUGAUUUACCAAACAAUAAUAUUCUAACUUAUAAUAUAUUUAAUUACAUUUAGUAAUUUGUCAAUCAAAACUUAAUUAACAUCCAUCAAUACUUUAUAUAUAAAAAACGCAAGCAUAAAUUACAGUUUAAAGUAAUUGGGAUCUCGAGUGCAACAAAUUCCUCCUUUUAUUAUUAAAUGUUUUAUUUUAGUUACUCUAAUCAAAACUUAAUUAACAUCCAUCAAUACUUCAUACAUAAAAAACGCAAGCAUAAAUGACCAUUUAACUCAUAUUUAACUUUGCAAGUAAACUUCACUAAUUAUAGAGUUAUAGUGUAAACUUUGAAAAUAUAAGUAAAUUUACCAUUUAACUCAGACUUAACUUUGCAAGUAAACUUAAAAUUUUAUUUAAUUUUGUCACUAAAUUUGAUUUGUUCAAUAUAGAUUUUGGUGACUUAAAACAAAAUUAAUAAAAAAUUAUUCUUUCGGAUAUCUUUUUAAUGUUUAAUAAUAAGUUAAUUUAUAAAAUAUACUUUCAUUGGGCACAGGCCUCCAAGCCGGUGAACCACUGAUCAAAUUAAUUUGGAGAUAUCUUUUUUCUGAAUAAAGUGAAUUUACCAGUUUUGUUUUCUUUUAAAAAUAUUUUUAAUAUUUUUGUGGAUAUCAAGAGAUACCAAAAAUUAUUUCUCUAAAAAAUUUUAUUUGACUCGAAAAGUUAGUGUUUUAUUUCAAGGGGUCAUAAUUAAUCAUUAGAUUUCUCAAUUUUAAAUUUUGAAUUUUUUCACAAUUGCGUAAUUAAUAAGUUCCAAUUUUGAGUGUUGUGGGGCUAGUAAAAUCUUCCUUACACAUAACCGACUCUUGAACCUACUCUUUUCUUUAGAAUUCAAUGCAGACCUCAAAUUUAUCUUUUGAAAAGAAUUUUAAAAUCUCUGUAUAAAAGGUGUUUCUUUUUGUUACCGAUCACAUUUAACAAAAAUUUAAAAAUUAUUAAAAAAUAAUUUCUUUUUGAAAUUUAAAAUGAUCUAAAAACAUAUUUUUAAUUGCUUUGGACCAUCUAUUGCUGAUUUCCUUAUUAUAUUAAGUGUUUGCAAUCACUCUUAAUAUAUUGUGCUUGAGUUGUGACAAAGCCGAUCGUCAACGUGCCAUAAUGAUCAAUUGACGCUGAAACUGAAGUUUUUGUUAUAUUGAUAGAGCUUGUCCUUCAACGCAUACAACGUGUUUGUUAUUUUUCUCCCUUCAAAUUGUAUGAUCUUAUUCAUUAAAUGAAUUAAUGAAUAUCCCUUUUAAAAAGAUAUAUUUUUAAAAAUUAAAUACUUCAUAAAAUAUUUAAAACCAUUUAAAAAUUUGUUAGCCUUAAAACAAUCAACAAAAUAUAUUUUUCUCUAAAAAAUCAAUAAAAAUAUGUUUGAAAUUUUAUAUGAAAUUUAAAAUUUUUUAACAAUAAUAUAUUUUAAAAUUAUAGUAACGCUACAAAAUAUAUAUAUUUACUAAUUAUAUACACCUUUUUUAUAUUUUUUCCUAACAUAUCAUUAUUUUCAACAUUAUCGUAAUCCUGUUUUUAUAAUUCCCUUGUCAUACAUCCUUUUUCUACUUAGAAUUUCAAAAGAAAAUGUGAAUUAAUGUAGACGUGAGAAGACUUCAAGGUAAGUCACCCAAUGAAAGUGACCUAAACCGACUUAUGGAAGAAUCAAACAAUAAUUUUGUGUCUUGUAAUAUAUUUCUUGUAAUAUAUUUAAUUACAUUUAUUAGUUUAUCAAUCAAAACUUAAUUAGAAUCCAUCAAUAUUUCACACAUCAAAAACCCAAACAUAAAAUUCACUUCUAAAUUAUUUGGGAUAUAUUUGUAUUAUAGGAAAUGGAUUAAAUUAGUCUUUUUAUUAUAAAAUGUAUUAUUUUAAUCUUUGUAUUAGGUAUGAAUGAUAUCUCCUAGAUUGAACCCAAAGCUAUUCUUGAAAGACUGAAAUUAGGAUUUAGAUGUGUUGAGAUGGAAAGUGACAACACAAUGUUGAUUGAAACUAUUUGUAAUGGGUUGGCUACAAUAAGUAGUGCUGUCGAAAUAAGACAGAUUCACGAUUAGUCUUCCAAAAAUUGGGAAGUCAAAUUUCGACAUAUUUAGCGGAAUGCCAAUAAAAUUGUUGAUUGCUUAGCUAAGGCAAAUGGAGGGGUAAUUGAGCAGCUGGUUAUCUUGGAAGAUCCUCCGCAUUAUGUGAGAUGCUAGCUUGAAGAAGAUAUUAACAGUCACUGGUCUGAUGAUAAUUUUCAUUUGGACUGAUGAGCGCUUAAUUUUCUAAGCUUAUGGUCAACAAAAAAAAAUUAAAUACGUCUAAAUUGUAAUAGAGUUAACAUUUAGUGUUUAAAAAAUAUCUUAAAAUUUAUUUUUUCCAAUUGCAGUUCAAUUCCACAAAUAUCGACGAUGAACCCGAACAUAAAAAUUACAAAAAAAAACACAUCUAUUAUCAAACCAACAAUCCAUGUCUAAACUUAAAUUAACAAAAUUCACCACGCAACCUGGUACACUAUUUUAUAUAUAUAUAUAUACUAGAUUUAUUCUAGAUGCACAUGUUUUAUUAUAUUUAAAAAUUAAAAUAUAUGGUUGACUAAGUUUUAGUUGAAUUAGUAUUUGUUAAAAAUAUAAUGUUGGUAAUGACAAUAUAUAGCAAAGAAAAUAGAAAUAGAAAAAUAAAGAACACACAUAUUUUACGUGGAAACCCUUUCGGGAAAAAACCACAGGCAAAAGAGAAGAAAAUUCACUAUGUCGAAUUCAAAUCAAUUACAAGAGGAGUAGACUAUGCCUAUUUAUAGGCUUGGAAACCUUAUUCUAAUAGGAGUGAAACUCUUUAUUCUAAUAAUAUCAAAUAGAUGGAGUUUAAUAAGGUUUAAAAAACCUUAUUCUAAAAUAAAAUAAAAGAAGUAUAAUUCUAUAGGGAUUUUACUUUUAUUUUAUUUUACCAUAGUAUUUAAUUUAAAUAAGGAUUUGGGUCACUUAAUUCUAACAAUCUCAACCUUGACACGAAUUCUUAAUGAACAAGUUCUUCAUCGCGAACUCUCAACGAACAAGUUUCUCCACCUCUUCCAUAAAACCCCUUAAGGGUUUAUUUUCAACAAUGAACACCAACCAAGUCUAAGCAGUGCUCAAACUUGGUUAUAGGAAGUGACUUAGUCAUCAUAUCUACAGGAUUUUCAUGAGUACUAAUUUUGCUCACAACAAUAUCACCACGAGCAAUAAUAUCACGAACAAAAUGAUACCGAACAUCAAUGUGUUUUGUUCUCUCAUGAAACAUUUGAUCUUUUGUAAGGAAGAUGGCACUUUGACUGUCACAAAAUACUGUAUUAAUUUGAAGGUCUUCAUUGAGUUCACUAAAGAGUCCGUUCAACCAAAUAGCUUCUUUGCAAGCCUCAGUAAUCGCCAUGUGCUCAGCUUCAGUGGUAGACAAAGCGACUGUAGUUUGCAAAGUGGCUUUCCAACUGAUUGCACAACCUCCGAUUGUAAAGACAGAACCUGUGAGAGAUCUUCUUCUAUCCAGGUCUCCAGCAAAAUCAGCAUCAACAUACCCAAUGACUCCAUCUCUAGUUCUUCCAAACUGUAAGCAAACAUCGGUAGUACCUCGUAAGUAUCUUAAAACCCACUGAACUACUUUCCAAUGUCUUUUAUCGAGAUUCGCCAUGUAUCUACUAACUGCACUAACUACAUAUGAUAAAUCUAGAUGUGAACAAACCAUGGCAUACAUGAGAGAUCCUCCUGCACUAGAGUAUGGAACAUGUGACAUGUACUCAAUCUCAUCAUUUGAUUGUGGAGACAAAGCUGAUGAUAGUCUGAAAUGGGCUACUAAAAGAGUACUAACAGGCUUAGCAUUCUGCAUAUUGAAUCUAGAAAGAACUUUCUCAAUGUACCCUUUCUGACUUAGGUACAAUUUACUUGCUUUUCUAUCCCUGAGAAUCUCCAUACCAAGUAUCUUCUUUGCUGGUCCCAAGUCUUUCAUCUCAAAUUCUUCACUUAGUUGGGCUUUGACCUUUCUUAUCUCUCAUUUAUCUUUCGCUGCUAUCAAUAUGUCAUCAACAUAAAUGAGUAGAUACACAAAAGAACCAUCAUUGUUUUUCUUAAAGUAAACACAACUGUCAAAGCUACUUCUUUUAAAAUCAUGAGAAGUCAUAAAGGAAUCAAACCUCUUAUACCACUGUCUUGGUGACUGUUUCAAACCGUAAAGAGACUUUUUUAGCAAGCAAACAUAGUCCUCUUUUUCUGAGACUGUAAAACCCUCUGGUUGUUGCAUGUAAAUAUCCUCCUCAAGUUCUCCAUGCAAAAAUGUAGUUUUUACAUCUAACUACUCAAGCUCCAAAUCAUGCAUGGCCACAAUACCAAGCAAAGCUCGAAUCGAACUAUGCUUCACAACUGGAGAGAACACAUCUGUGAAGUCCACUCCUGGAAUUUGACUGUAACUAUUUGCAACAAGCCUUGCUUUAUAUUUGGGUUCUUCAACUCUUGGAGUCCCCUCUUUCUUUUUAAACACCCAUUUACAACGAACAAUCUUUUUAACUUUGGGAAGUUUCACAAGAUCCCAUGUUUUGUUUUUGUGGAGUGAUUCUAUCUCCUCUUGCAUAGCAAACAUCCACUUUUCUGAAUCUUCACAACUAAUCGCCUUAGAAUAAUUAGAUGGCUCUUGGUUUGCAUCUAUAUCUUCAGCCACAUUUAAAGCAUAAGCAACUAGAUCAGCCUCAACAUACUUCUUUGGAGGUUUAAUUUCUCUUCUAGUUCUAUUUUUGGCGAUAGAGUAUUAUGGUGAAGAAGCAACUCUAUUUUGAAUUUUCGUACUGGCUUUAGUAGUCGACUCUGUUGUAGAUUCUAGAUCAAUCUGAUGCUCCACCUGCUUUAGAUUUUCUUUAUUGGAAGUCUUUAAGAGAUAACUUAGGUAGCAUAGCAGUUUCAUCUAAAACAUCUCUGCUAAUCACAACUUUUCUAUUUUCAGGACACCAUAACUUAUACCCUUUUACACCAGCUUUAUAACCAAGAAAAACACAUUUAGUAGAACUCGGUUCCAAUUUUCCAUUAUCAACAUGAGCAUACGCAGGACAACCAAAGAUUUUUAAAUUAGAAUAGUCAGCAAGAUUACCAGACCAUACUCUUGUGGAGUCUUUUUCUCAAUGGCAACGGAUGGAGAUCGGUUGAUCAAAAAACAUACAGUAGAGGCUGCUUCUGCCCCAAAAUGACUUUGAUAAGUUGGCAUUUGACAACAUAUAUCAAACCUUCUCCAUGAUCAUUUUGUUUAAUUUUUCUGCAAUGCCGUUUUUCUAUGGAGUAUGACGAACUGUCAAGUGUCUCACGAUCCCUUCUGACUUGCACAGUUUAUUAAAUUCAUCAGAACAGAACUCUAAGUCAUUGUCUGUGCAGAGGCAUUUUAGUUGCUUUCCUAUCUAUUUUUCAAUCAUGGUUUUUCAAGACUUAAAUGAGGAAAACACAUCACUUUUCCGCUUUAGGAAGAAUGCCUACACUUUUCUAGAAAAAUCAUCAAUUAAAGUUAGCAUAAGUAGCUCCACCUCUCGAAGGCACUCUGGAUGGCCCCCACAGAUCAGAAUGAAUAUACUCUAACGUUCCCUUCAUGUUAUGGAUUCCUCUGGUGAAUCAGACUCUCUUUUGCUUCCCAAAAAUGCAGUGCUUACAGAACUUCAGUUUGCAAAUUUCUUGCCCAUUAAGAAGUCCUCUUUUGCUCAAUUCUGCCAUGCCAUUCUCACUCAUAUGCCCUAGGCGCAUAUGCCAAAGUUUAGUAAUAUCAUCAUCUGACAAGGAAGAGGAUGAGACAGUUGCAUCACCAGUAACAGUAGAACCCUGCAAAACAUAUAACUUGGCAGUCUUUCUCUGCCCUUUCAUCACAAUGAGGGAACCUUUGGAAAUCUUCAAAACCCCACUUUCAACUGUGUAUUUGUACCCUUUUGAAUCAAGAGUACUCAACGAAAUUUAAUUUAUUUUUAAUUUUAGAACAUGUCGUACGUCAGUGAGUGUUCUGACAACUCCAUCAAACAUCUUAACUCUGAUUGUUCCAACACCUGCAAUUCUACAUGAAGCAUUAUUUCCCAUCAACACAAUACCUUCAGACACUAUUUCGUAAGUUGUAAACCAAUCCCGAUUGGGACUCAUGUGGAAGGUGCAACCCGAAUCAAGGAUCCACUCCUCGUCACUUUGGAAUUGUCGAUUGAAGUGACUAGAAGUUCACCAUCGCUGUAAUCUUCUACAACAUCAGCUUUACCAGAAUUUUCUAGUUGUUUUCCAUUUUGAUUCGCAGCCUCCCUUUUGAUCUUGUUCUGUAGCUUAUAGCACUCAGUUUUAAUGUGCCAUUUCUUCUUGCAAAAGUUACAAGUUUUACCUCUGUUUGAAGACUACUUUUAGAUUUACUGCGAGGAUUCCGUUCCUGUGUCCUUCCAUGAUCAUCAUCAGCAUUCCGAUCUUGUCUCCCAUGAACAAUAAGACCCUCUCCCCGAGAGUCGAUUUUAAGCACAAGAUGCUUCAUCUUAUCAUACGAGGUUAAAGAAUCAUAAACCUCAUCAACUGUGAGAGACUCGCGGUUAUAUAAAAUCGUAUCUCUAAAGGAUGAAUAAGAUGAGGGCAACGAACAAAGUAGAGUCAACCCUAGAUUUUCCUUAUCAUACUGAACCUCCAUGGCCUCCAAGUUUGAGAGAAUUUCUUUGAACACUAUUAAGUGUUCGUGCACAGAUGCACCUUCCUCCAAACGAUAAGCAUAAAGACGCUGCUUCAUAUGUAGCUUGAUAGUUAGAGUUUUCGACAUACAUAUCUAUUCCAACCUCUUCCAUAAUCCAGCAGCAGUCUUUUCCUUCAUCACAUCCUGCAAAAUUUUGUUAGACAAAUGCAGAUGUAACUGUGUUAAUGCCUUUCAAUCCUUGCACUUCUUCUUUUCUUUCGUCAAUGUUGAAGGCAUCUUAUCUACCCCUAGUAGGGCUUCCUCUAAGUCCAUCUGUGCAAGAACUGCUUGCAUCUUUAUCUGCCACAAUGCAAAUCUAGUAUUGCGAUCCAACAGCAGAAUUUUGUACUUCAAAGACGUUAUUACCGUGAUUGAGAUGAACAACCCAGAAGCUCUGAUACCAAUUUGUUAAAAAUAUAAUGUCGGUAAUGACAAUAUAUAGCAAAGAAAAUAGAAAUAGAAAAAUAAAGAACACACAGAUUUUACGUGGAAACCCUUUCGGGAAAAACCCACGGGCGGAGGAGAAGAAAAUUUACUAUGUCGAAUUCAAAUCAAUUACAAGAGGCGUAGACUAUGCCUAUUUAUAGGCUUGUAAACCUUAUUCUAAUAGGAGUGAAACUCCUUAUUCUAAUAAUAUCAAAUAGAUGAAGUUUAAUAAGGUUUAAAAAACCUUAUUCUAAAAUAAAAUAAAAGAAGUAUAAUUCUAUAGGGAUUUUACUUUUAUUUUAUUUUAUCACAGUAUUUAAUUUAAAUAAGGAUUUGGGUCACUUAAUUCUAAUAGUAUUGAUAUUAUUGUCAGUGUAGGAAAAUAUGAGUUUAAUCAUGCUCAAAUGUGUUUUAUCCUCCAAUUCAAGAGUUAGGAAAAGGUUAUUGAUAAUUAAAUUAUACCAACUUUUAUGAUAUUAAAAAAGGGUUUAUAAAUAAUAUAAGGAAAAGAAAAAAAAGCGAGAAACAUAUUCAUAUUGAUAUUAGACUUUUUUUUUUCUAUCACAAGUAAAAAUAUCAAAGGUGAUAAUAAUUAAAUUAAAAAAUUUAAAUUGAAAAAAUAGGGGAUUGAAUUUAUAACUAACAACAUAUUUUAACCACAUAAUAAAAGUAGUUAUGAAGAGGAUCAUGUAAAAUAAUGACCUGAAUAAUUUUAAACGUCUCAUUCUUGCAAAAAUGAAAUAAUAGAAAAGAAAUAAGUGUUGGGUGUAGUGACAAUGUACAUUAUACUUCUAAGGGGAGAUCAGGGUUUUAGGCAAGGGAAGAAUUUAAUUUAAACCUACUUUUUUUUCUCUAGAACUCAACCCAAACCUCAAAUUUAUCUUUUUAAAAGAAUUUUAAAAGAUCUAUAUAAAAGGUGAUUUUUUUUUAUCGAUUACACUUAACAAAAUUUUAAAAUUUCUUUUUUUGAAAUUUAAAGUGACCUAAAAACAUAUUUUUAAGUCCUUCAGACCAUCCUGUGCUGAUUUCUUUAUUAAUUUGAUUUGUUCAAUAUAGAUUUUGGUGACUUAAAACAAAAAUAAUAAAAAAUUAUUUUUUCAGAUAUGUUUUUAAUGUUUAAUAAUAAGUUAAUUUAUAAAAUAUACUUUCAUUGGAUACAGGCCUCCAAGGCGGUGAACCACUGAUCAAAUUAAUUUAGAGAUACCUAAAUUUGCUUUCAUCAAUUAAGAAAUUAAAAAAAAAUUGCUGAGACCUCAUGAUUAUCUUUUAUAAUUUCAGGCUUAUCACCAAAAACUAAAAAAUAAAAACGUCGACAUUAAAUUUGUUGGUAUGCAAUCAAUUUUAAGAUGGUUUUUGGAGUUAUAUAUCACUUUAGCAUGGACUUACUUUUCUACAGUUAGUCUUCUCCAACAAGUUAAAUAUUUAAAUUUUAACAACAUUGACAGGUCUUUGGGGUAGGGUCGAGCAAAACUCAAUAGAAACAGAUGAUAUAGAUUGAGUUGGCUCGGCCAAGUCGAGUCGACUUGUUCAAAUUAGUUAAAUUAGUAAAUUUUAGGGUGCAGUUAGUAUUUUUUGUUUUGAGAUGCUAAGAUUAAAAAAUUUCAGUUGUUAAAACAAAAAAAUUGUAUUAAAAAAAGGCAUAAAUUAAAUUAUUAAGUUUUUCAAGUUUCCAUUUAAUCAAAGGUUAAAAGGACUAAAUUGAAGCUUUUUAUUUUUAAGAAAGGCUGAAUGACAAAUUGCCCAAAGCCCAUGCCCCUAGCUAUACGCCCCUGGUAAAAUCAAUUUUAAAAUUAGUUAUAAUAGUUGAAGCGAAUUGAUUAUUGAGUAAUGAAAUACAUAGUUCAACAAAAAAAAUAAGUUGACAAAUUUUGACAAAAAAAUAUCAAAAAUGAAAUAAUAGAAAAGAAAGAGUAGGCAUUUUAUGAAAUUUAUAAUUCCAUGAAUAAAAUAUAAAUUUUAUGAAUGUGGACGAGCCAUUUUUUUAUAAUUUUCAGUGUUUUUCUUCUUUUUCUUACUUUUUUUAAAGUAUUUUUCUUUGUUUCCUAACCACCAUGAAAUUACUUGUCACAAUUCAUCUUUUCAAAUGAGAAACAUUUUCCACAAUUUGCCAUCACUUCAACAUACACUAACUUUUCUAUGAUUAGUCCUUGGUUUGCUUCGGGUGCAAUCUUCCAACUAGCCUUAUCCUUGGUUUUACUUUCCAACAUUUAGUGUAUCACGAGUUUUGUUUUCUUUAAAAAAAUAUUUUCGUGGAUAUUAGGAGAUAAUGAAAAUUAUUUUACUAUGAAAUUUUAAUAAAACUGGAAAAUAAGUAAUUUAUUUUAAGCGAUCACAAUUAAACAUUAGAUUCCAAUUUUUUAAUUUUUUUUUUACAAUUGCAUAAUAUUUUGAGCAUUGUAGGAAUGCCAUAACCUUCCCUACGCAUAAUAUACUCUUGAGCAUGAUGGAUCCUAGACCUUCUUUAUUCUCGUACCACAAAUUGCUUCAAGUGUGGGUUCGAACAAUCACAAAUUAAACACAAAACCAGAAAUGAUUUAUUACUUUCAAUAGCAAAGUAAUUCUCUUUCAAUAGAAACCAAUAAAAUUGUAAUUCCUAGAAAAUUAAAAUUUAUUUUUUCAAAAUAUCUUCUCUCUACUUUCUAGCAGAAUAACAAUAUGCGAAACUUAUGUCUUGUGUUAAUAGCCCUACCGGUACUAUCUAUUUAUAGGGAGAGACACGAGAAUCCUAGUUGAAUUAGUAAAACACAAAUAAUAUUUAUUUCAUAGAAACCAACAUUCUACCCUAAGUAGAUCAAGUUUGGAUGACGCAUGGAUCGAAGCUCAAUCUAGGGGAAAAAAAUAAAGGAAUUUUCUUUGUAAAGAAAAUCUGAGAUUAUACUAUUUUCGAAGUUAUAAAUAAAAUUAUACGCCAAAUUUUGAAGUCAAUUUUCAACUCAAAUGUUGUAUGUACAAAUUUCUAAUACACUUGGUGGGACAUUCUUUAACUUUUAUCUAUUCUCUCAAAACGUUAAAGUUCAAAGUUGCAUUAAACUCAAAAAAGAUAAUCAUUAGUAAACCAGCACACAAGCCUACUCAAGCUAAUCCUACAACUCGUUCCACUUCAUCAUCAAACACCAAUGUUCUUGCUUAUCCUUAUGGAAUUAAACAAAAGACAAAAGCUCUUUAAAGUUAUUUGAACAGACUUCUUUAAUGGUAAAUGAUAAUCCACUCUAUGAUGCUUCUUCGCCCAACUCAUGAUUUAAAAGAAGUUUCUACUCAUAGAUCAAGUGUAGCUCGCCAGUUAUCAUUAAGGAGAAAAAGGAGUCAAUCAAGUGAAAAUUAUAUUCCAACAUCUCCCCAGAACCAAAUUUCAUAGUGAUGAAUGUCAUGACAACUGACACUACAUUCUUAGAAGAAUAAGUAGAUUUCUAGCAAAAACGAUGGAGAGUUUUACUACAAGCAUAAAAGAAAUGGAUGAUCAAAUUGAACAUCUUAGUGGAAGUAACCAAACCUUUUCCAACGAAACUCAACAUCCUCUUCACAAAGUUGUUGGAAUCUUAAUUGUUGAAGGACUUUAAAGUGUUUCUUUAGAUCAACUCAAGGAGUUUAUUAAAAAAACCAUCAAAGAUCAAGUCAAAAGUGUUACUUUGCCUUCAUAUACAUACUCAAAGUCAUACAUCUGAAGGAUUUAUCAUUUGAAUAUGCCUGAGCAUUAUCCACCUUUAAAAUUGUAAUAGUUUGAUGGUAAAGGAAAUCCAUGUAAACAUGUCGUUCACUUCAUGGAAACUUGUGAUCGCGUCGAUGUAACACCCCACUCGUGACCCAAUCGCUGGAUUCAAGAAGAGAGAUACCAAAAUCAUGUUGGAAAAAAUCUUCGAUAAGUGUAGCAUGAGUGCUCACACUCUCCAAACACUCCAUACUAUCUUUGGUAUUGAAGUUAAGCUUGACACUCCCUUAUCUCUCUAAUGUUAUCUUCAGGCCAUAAUGCCCUAUCACAUAGUAAAAAAGGUGAGUACUCACAAUCCUAUGGCAUGCCAAUGAUAUCUAAUGGUUUCAAGUGUUCACAAUGCCAACAUAUGUUUUGUAUCACAUUCACUUUACACAAUUUAAAAGGGCUCACAAUACAGCAGAUCUCACGUAUAAUAGUUUUUAAUAACACAAUUCACAUUUCUGUAGGGCUCGUAUUAUAUAUAAGUUCGUAAUAACAUGGAUUCGCAUAACACUUAUGGCUCGCAUAUAUUUAGGGCUCAUAUGUAACAGUUGGGAUCCUAUAUAUUUAAACUCGCAUAAUACAGGGGCUCGCACGACAUAUUUUGGCUUGCAUGCAAUAUAGGGCUUGAUCACAUAUAUAGGUUCACAUGAUCUUAGGGCUCGCAUCACAUAUAUAAGCACGCAUGAUACAUGGGUUCACUCAACAUGUAUAUAUCAACUCGUGCAUCAAAGUAUAGGCUCGCAAGCAUUAAGGUGAUAGAGUUUGCAAACAAUUUAGAGCUCGCACACAUCAUAGGCUUGCAUACAUACAUGUUAGCAAGGUCUGCAGGUUACAAAUCGAGGCUCACAUAACUAUAGAGGCUUGCAUGGAAAUAUAAAAUUGUUCAGAUAUCAUUUUAAUCGGCUUCACACAUUAAAUCAAAUGGUUUGCAUGCAUUCCUUGGCUUUCAUUAGCAUGCGAACUCGUGUUUUUAACACAGUGUGCAAGGACACUCACUAGUUGUUUGUUGAUACUGUCGAACCUAUACCACCUUUUGCUUGACUUUUUCCUUGCUCAUGGAUGCACCUUCACAUUGAAAGGAUUUGCAUAAAACAAGAAAUAAUACAGAUUACUACUUUCACAGACAUAAUAACCUUCUUAACAAACAUAGUAGCGAAUCUUCCAAUCUUCCUUAAUAAUUCCUUAAAUGAAGCUAAACCAAAAUGCAUUAUAAAUUCAAUCAAUUUACCAUUAAACCAGCCCCCAAACACCCACUUAUAAGUUCAAACUGAUCAUUGAAAUUAUAAUUAUUUUAUGAAUCCAAACUAGUUAGAUUCCUUAAACUGUAUUGAUGCGAAUUGUAUGUACAAUCGUUCUUCACCUUUACGGAUGAUUUGGGGUGUUUGGGUCAACACCUAAUUCAAUAAUAUACUGGAAAACUAGUAGUUAACCAAUUCAUAACCUUUACCCAACAACUAUGUCGAAAUAACAAACUAGUUUAUAAUUAAUCGUACUUAUACCAAAUUGCGAGAUCUGAAUGGCUAAUUGAUCAAGAAUGUGUUUUGUAACAUCCCAAAAAUUAGGUUAGAAGAAAUGGGGCUUUGAAACCAAGAGUGGUCAUCCCCCGAUUAUGAGUUUAGAUCUUGGAAAAUUUGACAAGUAAACUGAUCUGGUUAAUGGUUAAGUGUCUUGGUUAUAUGUGUCAGGUUUUGGGUUCAAAUCUUGUUUUUGGAAAUUUUGUUACUUUGCUUAAACUCUUACCUUGAAUGUUUGGUUUAUAAGUUAAAUUUAGUCAAUUGAUGUCAAGAAUGAGUCUAUUGGUUCAAUGGUUAAGUUUUUGUAUAAUCAUUGGUCUUGUGUUCGAAUCUCAACAAAAGUAAUAGGGAAUGUUUUGUUUUUAAAUUUUUUUUAUAGGGUAGUUAGUUUCGAUUGGUUAUUUAAAGCCUUCCAGAAACCUCUAUUGCUUUUAUUUUUAUUUUGUUCUUUCUUUUUCUGCGACAUUUUCUAUCAUUUUGUUUCUGUUCUUUAGUUUCGUCAUAUUGGUUUUUUAUUUUCAAGCAACUUUUUUUUUGUUAUGUUACAUUACGCCGAUUGUGUACGGAGUCUAACUUCACCCUCUAGUUAAUUCGCUGGCCGGUAAGUUCGAUUUAAAGUUUUGGUGUUGAAAGUUUUUUAACGUAAAUUUAAUUUUGAAAUGUUAGUUUUUAGUGGUUUAGCUGCAAAUUAAUCGUUUGUUGGAAAAUUGCUUGUCGUUCAGGGACAUGAAUUUAUCCUUGUUACUCUUGCAUCAAGUUCGUAUCAAGUGGGUAUCAGAAAACCCUUCUUCUUUAAAUUUUAGUUGUCAAAUAAUGGCACUAUCGAUGCCACAUAGCUGUGUGGCAGGCCGUGUAACUUACUGUUCAAAAAAAUUAGAGGCAUACGAGCGUGGGCCCAAAUUGUGUGUGGUUAUGAAUUGUGUAGGGUUCACACAGGCCAGUGACACUAGCAUGUGUCAGGUCGUGUGGGACACACGGGCAAGUACACGAGCGUUUACCAGACUGUGUGGAGUCACAUGGGCCAGUUCUCUAGGCCGUGUAAAACCAUAUAGGUAUGUGAAGCAAUAUUUGGAAUUUUUCCCUUGGGUUACAAGAGUUGUUUGAAACAAACGCAUAAAUACUGUAGGGUCCGUACGAUUUGGAUUAGGCUAUAUAACUUGAUAUUUGAUGAUAUGAUGAUGAACAACUUGUGAUCUAUACGUAUAUUUGUUAUGUUUGAACCUAUGUGAGUAGGAUCUGUUAGAAUGUAACAUGUUAUUUUUUGUUGUGUGUGAACUAUCCAGGUACAAUUUGUAUUCUAUUAAGUUUUUUGGUACGCCUAUGUGUUACUCUAUUGAUGAAGAAUAUGUGACAUUUGAUUAUGUUAGAUUGAUUGUUACUGAUUAUAAUUUAUAACCCUCUACGUUACUUCAUUGAUGAGGAAUACACGUAUAUGAAAAUGUUAGAUUGAUUGUUACUGAUUCUAAUUUAUAGUCGUGUAUGUGACUUCAUGGCAAAUAUGAUAUGAUUUGUUGAGGUUUGAUAAGUCUAUUUUACAAAACAUGGACCCUCAUGUCUCCUGAUUCUGUUAUUGAAAGAUAUCAUGACUUACAUGCUCAUCACUCUAAUUCUUCAUAUGUAUGUCAUGACACGUUGCAUGGGAUUUGGGUUGAUGUGAAAGGAGGAAGUUUUUGGCAGUUAAUGAUCUGUAUUAUCUGGUGGUUUAUCCAUGAUUCUGUUCCGGCAACUUAGUUGUACUAUAGUGGCUUGACCAAAUGUAACCGAUCUGGCAGUCUUAACUGCAAAAUUUUGGUGGCACCAUUCACAAUUAUCUAUUGGUGUAAUUUGGCCGGAUGAGUUAUGGGGGAACUCUAUUUUGGUUAGUAGCAAAGUUUGGGUAUGAUGUUUUCUGAUAAUUUUGCAUUCUAAUCUAUUUGAAAAAUACAAUAUUUGCAUAACACAUUUUCUACUCUGCUCUAUUCUGUUCUACUCAGUUCUAUUCUGCUUGAUUUAUUAUGUUCUGCUUCAUUCUGUUGUGUUCGGUUCUGUUGGACUGUUGUUGUGAAAAUUUUCGUGAUACUCUAGAUCUAUUCCAUACUGGUUAUAAAUUUGUUAUUAAGUUCUUUGCGUUACUUUGAUUUAUAUAAUAAAAUCUGUUUAUUUGUAUCUAAGUUUCAUUAUACACGACGCUUGGUGUUUCACCCUUUGUCUUAUCUUAAUCUGUUCAAGUGCACAUCUUACUUACGACUAGAUGUACAGGAGCUCAGAUUGUUUUGCAUUGAUAUAACUAUGAUUUGAUCUUUUAGGUUGUAAUUUGUUUUUGGACUUGUCUUGCUUUUCUUUUGAUAAUCUCGUCAAUAUCUGUCAUUUUCUAACACAAAAAUAAAAAACCACCUAAGUCGACUAAAAUGAAUUUCUGGUUUUCAAAGUUGAAAUUUUGAAAAGAAACUAGUUUUCUGCACGUUGGCGUAACUCGUCCAAAUUUGGCUUAAAUUUGUAGGUCGAGUUUGGGGUGUUACAUCUUUCCCUAAUUAACAUGUGAUUAAAUAUUUAUUAGAAGGAUUCAAAAACUCAACUUAAUGCUGGAAAAAUAUGGGCAAGAACCAAGAAACAAAACAACCCCCUUUCUUACACAUAGCCGUACGAACCACCACCCAUGAUGGCCAAAAUUGGGGUUGAAUUUUAAAAUGGUUUGAGAUCUCAUUAAAAAUAUAGAAAAACACAUUUGUGUCGAAACCACUAUUUAUUUUUGAAAAAUGGGAAUCAACUUUAAAAAAUGAAAAUGGGAGUCACCACUGAUCUUUUAUUGAGGUGUGAUCAGAUCACCUUAAAAAUGAUUUUAGGUCUACGAAUUUUAAGAAAAUAGGUUUCGGAGUUGGUUACACACGAGGAAGGGUUAGCACCCUCAUAACGCCCAAAAUUGGUAUCGAAUAGACUGUUUAAUGUCUUAGUGUCGAAAAUUUGAAAACAUUUUAAAAUACGAUCCUUUUUUAAAGAAAAUUUGAAUAAGUUGACUUAGAAGAUAAGACCCUUUUAUUUCGAAGAAGUAAAAUAUCACAUCCAGUGAGUUAGGGUGCAACAUUUCUAAUCCUUAAAAUUAAGUUUGUCUUUUGAUUUUUAAAACUCAUGCAUUUAAAUUUGAAAAGGAUAUUCAGUUAUUUGGGUCAAAUGAAAAAUCAAAACCCAAUAAGUUAGGGUUCAACUUCCAAAAAUUGCUAAAUACCGAAUAUUGCCUUUAUUUUUUUUAGAAAUCCAUAACUCAAGAUAACCAAAUGACAUAUCCAGUAAGUUAGGAUCCAACAUUUUGAAAUCCCAAUAGAGAACUUUUUAUUUAGGAUUUGUAUGGUUUUAUUGCAAAAGAGAUACUUGGCUAUCUAAAUUCAUCGAAGAGAAUUGAAGCCCACUAAGUUAGGGCAAAAUCUUCUCGAAAAUCGUGAAUACCGAGUAUUUUGAAAAUUUACGAAAUAAGAUGAUUUUAAUGCUUUAAGGAAACAUAAUUUUUAAAACAAAUGUAGUGUGAUUGAACGACAAUGUACAAUGCAAAAGGAUAAUUAAAAAAAAACAUGUAUACAUUAGUGAAUAACUAUCAAUCAAUAAAUAUAAAUAAGUAAAAUGAUACAUACGAGAACAAUAAUCUUACAUUCCAGAUUAUGCAAAUACUAAAUUUUAAAACUAAUGAAUUAUAAAUUAAUUUUGAAAGAAAUGCCAAGCAAACUAACACAAAUAAAAUAUAACAAGUUUUAAAAAUAAAAAGAAAUAAAAAAAGUACACAGAAAGAAAUUUAAAAUCAUCAGUACAAACAAUAAGUUAUAUGAAUAAUAUUUCAAAAUAAACAAUAUAUAUAUGAAUUUGAAAUAGUUCAAAAAUAAAGGUAAAAAAAUACUAUGUGAAAAGAAAUAAUAUCUAAAUGAAUUUUAAACAAAUAUUGUAUACAAAGAAAAUCAAAAUAAGUAAUACACAAAAUAAUACACGUAUAUCAAUCUAAAUGAAUAAUACAUAUUAAAAAAUCUUUAAAUCAUAGAAAUAUAAAUAAGUGAAUUUUUUAAAAAAUUUAAUUAUACUGCAAAAUAAAACCAUUAAAGAAUGUGUACAAUUCUAUUGAAUUUAUAUAAAAUAAUAUAUGACAAAUUAUAAUAAUAAUACAUAAUAAAUCUGAAAUAACAAUAUACAAUAAACUUAGAUAAUAUUAAUGAUAAAUUUAAGAUAAUAAUAAGUUUUAACAUUCAAAUAAUAUUAGAUUUAAAAUUAAAAAUAAAAAAUAGCAUAAUAAAAAAUACUUAAAUAAGUAAAAAGCAAGCAAAUUAAAAUAAAGUAAUGAGGAUUAAAUUGAAUUUAAAACAAAAUUUAAAAUAAAAAAAUGAGAAUAAAACAAAACUGAGAGCCAAAAAAAGACGCGCGGAUAACAUGGGGACCAAAUGGGAAAUAUUCCCUUCCUUCAAAACGCAGCGUUUUGACACGGACCAAAUUGGAAUGAAACAUAGAAUGCGUGGCCAAAUCUAAAUAAAAUAAAAGGAUAAAUUUGAAAGAGUUAUAAAAAGAACGGGGACCAUUUGCGCAAAUUUCUCCUACGCUAUAAAACGCGCGGAUACUUCUCCGGGUAGGGUCACCGGGCGCGUAUAGGCCAAUAUAGUGUCGUUUUGAAGCCACUGAAGCAGGCUGAAAAUGACAUCAUCACAAAAUUAGUAUAAGAUUAAAAUUAAAGCAAACAUUAAGCCAUUUAACCACAGAAACCCUAGCCCCUUUCGCCGUUCUGAACUUUGCUAAUUCUUUUAGCCUUGAAACCCUUGCCAAACUCUGAUCACGGCGAAGCAAACAAGGAUUUCGCGGCGGUUUUAUUAAGGUAACUUAUUCUUUUGUUAAUCGCCUCUUUUUUAUAUCUAGUAAUAAACAAAAUAAGGAUUCAAGAGCAGAGAAGAGAACUAUCAAGAGAAAAAGAAAAAAAUGAAAACUCAAAUCACCUUUCGAGAUUUCGUAUUUUUUGCCUAUUAGAUUUCUUUUUCUGAAUCAGUAUAUGUAAUCCUUUUACAAAUGAAUCAAUCGGCUUUAUAUAGCCGAAUAAAACCAAAAAAUUACAAAAUUAUUAUUUUUGUUAUUUAUCACUGCUGCUAUUCUCGUUUUUUCUUUUAUGUUAUUGCCUUCCUUCGUUUGCUUGUUUGUUGCGUCUAUUGUAGGUACCAAACCAGCUGGAGCACACGCAUGGAGGCACAAUGGAUGGGGGGCACACGCGUGUGGGGUUGGAGCUGCUGCGGCGUUGGGGCAACAGGCUAGGGUUUUUGGAAACUGCUUAGGUUUAUCUAGGUUUGGGCUUGUUGGGCCAAAUGGGGUUAGUUUUGGGUACUUUAAGUUAAAAUGAUUUGGGCUAUGUAUUUGGGUAUGGGUUUUAGGCUAAUACUGGACUACUAUUAUUUUUAUUUUAUUUUGGUUUAUUAUUGAUUGGGCCUAGGUUUUAUUAGAUUUGUAAUUGUAUUUGGUUUUUUAGUAUUUGGUUUGGGCUAGGCAAAAUUUGGUAUUACAAUUUGAAUUCAUUUAAAAUCCCCCAAAUUCCAGAUCUAAAAUUUUUUCUUUUUAAUUGACAAGAUUAAUUAAGAAAUUGAAGAGAAAAGAGAUCUUACCCAAGCCAGUUGAGAGAAAUGACGAUGACACUUUCUUUGCAAUGCUCAAGAUCGAUCUUAGGGUUCAAGAUUUUAGAUUUGGGGAUGAUUUAAAUGAGGAUAAAUGAUAGCAAUAGAGUAAAGGAGAUGGUGCACAAUCUUGAUGCAAAAAGAAGAAGAAAGAGAUGGUAAAUGGGAGGUGUAAGCAAUGACAACAAUGGGAGAAAGAAAGAAAAUAAGAGAAAAGUGGGGAGGAAGAUGCUGAACAGAUAGGGUAGGGAAAAAUUGAAUUUUAGGCUAAAAAUAUACUUAGGGUUCAAGGUUAUGGACAGCACACACAUUUAAAAAACAAAGGAUUUUGCAAAAUUUACUAUUUUGCAAGGGAAAGGAUUCGAAAUUGGGACCUCAUUUAAUUUUCAUGUUUUCUCAUAUUUCUUUUAACCAUUAGGAUUUUUCCUCAUUCUUAAAAUCAUUUUGAAAUAUUUAUUUUAAAAAUAAGGCAUGUCACACUAGGGUUUAAGGCAAAAUUAGCAAAAUAAUAAAAAAAAUGAGAGAGAAGGGGGUUUCAAGGAACGCUUCACUAAAACUUAUCCAACAAACCAACACCUCAUUAUUUUCCUAAAUAUGCAUAGGUAAUCAUCAAAAUUAAGGCAUCACCACUCUUUCUCGAUUCACAAACCCGAUUCUACUAACCCUUGAUUUUUGGGAUGUUAUAAGGUGAGUUCGUAGUGUAACAAUAUAUAUGUGUGUGUUUUGGGGAUACGAUUGGCAUGCCAAUAGGGUUAGUUACACUUCAAUGCCUCUCUUUACAAUUUGGUGCCACUGUAUUUGCACUACAGUGCCUCUGUUAGUAUUUCGAUGUUUAGGGGAAACCCGAGUAUCCAAGUCAUUUUAAUAUAGUUCAAAAGGCCAUGAAAUUUUAUGUUUAAAUGUUAAAUUACUCUUGAGUUUGAUUUAUGUAUAAAAUGAUAUAUUUGUGUAUAUACGUAUAUAAGCAUGGAUUGCUUUGGUUUGAGCCAUUGUUUAUAUUGAAUCAUAUGAGACAAAUGUUUUGAUUAGUAUAGUUUGAGAAUAAAUAUUAAUGCUUUGGUGUAAUUAUAUGAUUCAUAUGUCUAUAAACAUGAAUCUAAUUAUGUUUAUGGUGUGUUUAGAGAAUUAAAUGGUUAUAUGAUUAUUUUCCAGGUAUUCGAGGUUGUUUAAUUUGGUUUAAUGGGUAAAUAAAGCUUUAAAGGGUAUGUGAUUACAUGAAAUGAACUAUCAUAUUUGAGUAAUGAUAUGGAUUAUGAUGAAAUGUUUAAUUGAAAAGAAAAUAUGGUUUAGUAUAUAUGUAUGAGUGGUGAAUUAUGAAAGUGAAAUGUAGAUAUGUUUUAUACCAUGUUUUGAUUUGAAUUAUAUAUGAUAUGUUACACCAACUAACCUUGUGAGGUGGUGUGUAUAGGAAAGGAAAGUUGGCUUAAAACAUAAUGAAAUUAUGCUUGGUUUUUUAACUUAAAAUAUUCAAUAAGUUAAGUUUCAUUUAUAUGAACUUACUAAACAUUAAUUGCUUACAUAGUUAUUUUUCUUUAUUUUGUAGUUCAUCAGAAGCUCGGCCGGUUGGAAUCAUGUCAGAGCACGAUCACACUAUCCAUUCAACAUUUUGAUAGUUUUUGGUUAUUUUGGUAAAUGGUUAUAAAUGACAUGAAAUAGGGUUUAAAGGUCAUUCCAGUGAUUUGACUUGUUUUGAGUUGUGUCAAGCUUAUUGUGAUUAAUGUUGUUAGUUGCUGGCAUGUAAAUAAUGGUGUAAAUAUGUGUGGUCGGACCCUUAUGCAUGCUUUAUUGAUUAAAGAUAUCAUAUGUUAAAAUGGCAUGUUUUUGGAAUGGUUAUUUGGCAUGAUUGGUAUAGGUUUAAGUUAUGAUCUUGAGAUGUUGAAUUGAAUUAAGUUUGAUAUGUAUAUUGUGAUGCCUUCAUUGACAUAUUGGUUAGAUAUUAAGGGAUGGUUGAUUUGGUAUGUUUUUGAAAUGGUUGUUGGUAUGUUUGAUCUAAGUUGAUUAAAUGAACUUGUAAUGUUGAAUGGUAUAAUAUUUGUUGGUACAUUCAUUAGUCUUAUAGGUUGAUGGAAUUGGUAUGUUUUAAAUGUGUUUUAAAUGUGUUUUGAUUAUUUGGAUGUUUGUGGAAAUGGUGUCUCUUGGUGUACAAGAUUUGAAAUUGAAACGGCUUGAUUUAGAAUCAACUUAUGCUGCACACUGCCUGGGACAUGGAUUGUCACAUGGCUGUGUCAUAAUUGUUUUAGGUACGGGUUUCACACAAUCUAAGACUCGGCUCACGACACAGUUGUGUAUCACAAGUCAGUAUGUAACACAGUUUUGCACAUGGCCUGCGACACGAUCUUGUGUCUAGACUUCGAAUGUCCACAUGGUCUGGGCUAUGUCACAUGGCUUGGCCACAUGGUCGUGUGACUUUUGUUUUCAAGUUUUCCAAAAUUUUCUAUUUUAUUUCAAAUUGAUCCUAGAAUAUUCUCAAACUAUUUUUAAGGCCCCGUAGGUUCGGAUUAAGGCCCCGUAAGUGUAUGUUUGCUAUAAUUAAGUUGUGCUACUGAAUGUUACUAAUUCAAUCACAUGAAUAUUUUGUUGUAAGUUAAAUGUUUUAAUUUUUACUAUAAUGCUCUGUAACCUUAAUCUUGCGAUGAAAACAGGUUUGGCGUGUUACAAUUUUGGAUUGUAAAUUUGUUUUGGGGCUUUGUUCUUUGGUUCUUGCGAUGUUGGUUAGAUUUUGGUGUUUUAACAUUAAACUGCAAAAUUGUAUAACUUAAUAAACUAAAAAUUAGGUUUUCAAAAUUAAAACUCUGGAAAUUUUUCUUGCAAAGUUUAAGUAAUCACUUAAGUGUUUUUCCAUAAAUAAUUAAAUGGUUUUUAACAAAUGUUUUCCUUAGUUUUGGAAAUGAUCUGCCAAUAUUAGUACUUUUAAAACACAUGAUUUCAAAUUCAAAUUCUCAGUUUUAAAUAAGGGUUUUCACACUUCAGUUUUUUUUAAACAUUUGUGAGAGGUUUUUGCCAAAUUUUAUGUUUUCAGAAUGUGUAACUAAGUUGAUUUUUAAUUAGUUUUUCAAACGAGUCGAGUAAUUCCUCAAAAAUCCAGUCAUAGCGUCUAGGCCGGGUUUGGGAUGUUAUACUGACGUUACUAAAGUUAAUCUUCAUCUAUUUAGUCUAGAUCUAAACAUUAAUAUUCUCUUCCAAGAAAAAUCAAGACUAUCAAUUUGUUAAAACUUGGUAGGCAGACAAUCAUAUUAAAUAUGCAUAAAACUCAAUAAGUAAUUUGCGAAGAUUGAAACAAUCAAAGAAAAAAUUAAUUAAUUAACUAAGAAAUAGGAUACAUUGCUGUUUCAAGGAAACAGGGUUUAGUUCACAUUGAGUUGAGAAAACCAAAAGGGAGAUUCAAAAUGAACUUGUGAUAAGGGGAAUAAUGUCAAUGGAUCAUAUUCAAGUUGUUCAGCUCGAGAAAGAAAGAUUCAGAUUUAACUUGAAAAGAGUAAACCAAAAAGAUUUAGAAAAACAAAGAAAAUAACUAAAAUGAUAAAUUUAAGAAUAAAUAAUCAAUAUUAAAAAUAAUAAAGAAAUUAUAGAAUAAAUAGUGGAAGAUGGAAUGAAUAAACGAUGGAUAUGACAUAUAGAUGGAUAAGUGUCUUAUAAUUCAUGAAAAGAGUUAUAUUUCAUGCCUUUAGACCUAACUAAUUGCUUGUACUUACGUACAUUUUGUUGCAUUUUAAGACAUAUUAGUUAGCAUUUCUAAUAUUGCAUUAGGACUUAGAUUGUGCUGGAAUUAGCUGUUUUUAAUCGCUCGUGGUGGAGUUUUUUUUGUGUUUUGGUAUAGAAGGAACAUGUUUUAGAUCGAGGAAAUAAAUGAGUGAAGUUUUGUCAAGGCAAAACUGCAGAUAGUUUGCCAGCACGGAUGCCGUGACAAUGCCGGGAAGACCAAGUCAACAUUUUUUUGUGCAAUAGUCUCAGUUGAAAUUAAAACUUGUACCAGAUAAAUCUCCCUAAAAGAGGAAAAGAUAAUCACAAGACCCUAGCCUAAUCUAUCUAUAAAAGCCAAUAAAGGGGAUUCUCACAAAUGGCAGAAAAAAGUGGGAAGGAUCCUUAGGUGUGAAUAAGGGUUUAGCUGCGCAAAGGAAAGGAAGUCGAAGGCAGUCCUUUUUAGCCAUCACAGGACAUUGUGUUGCCGAAGUGUGGACUAGGCAAGUGAAAGUUGUUUACCAAAGUUCUUUUGUUAUUUCCAUCAGCGUUCCUUCAAAAUAUUGAAGUAGUUGAACACAAUGUUGGAUAAUAUUUUGCUUUGGAAUUUUAUUUCUCAUCCCACGAGCUAAAUCUCGUAGGGUUGGGAUUACUUUUGAUGAAACCUUAAACUAUUUUUAUGAAUGCAGUAUAUAUCUAAUUUACUUUACUGUUUCAUUUGAUUGUUCUUAUUUCUUAAUUAAAAUGCAAAUGAUCUCUAAACAUAGAAGACUGUUCACAUACUUAUAAAUUGAUUCUAAUUCUGAAAGGGUUGGAUUGGUUGGAUUAAAAUUAAAUGAAAUGAGCAAGUAUUCGAUGGACACUUGUAGUAGACUCUAGACAUAGAGUGGCGAUCAUACAGAAGGAACCCAUGCAAGGUAUCUAAAAAGUCUUUAGACACAAGCAAGGUAACUUGAGGGUUUGCUCUCACGAGAGGCAAGCCAUUUUAGUACUCUUCUGUGCUUUAAAGUAGAUACGAUUUUGCCAAGGCAUUAUUGACAGUAAGAGUCGAUUUUGGGUAAUCAACCUUCCAAAUCCACAUCGUAUAUCCUUUAUUCCUUACCAUAAUAUAUUUGCCACAUCAUUAUUAGUUAUUUAUUUGUUCAUUUACAUAAUAUUCCCGUAGUAAUUCUCAUAAUUGUCAUUACAUUUCUACUCUCGGUUUGCCACAACAUUACCAGUUAUUUAUUAAUUCCACGUAUUGCUUACAUCAUUACUCUACUAAUUGUGACUAUAUAUUUAUCAUUGAGUCUGCCAUAGCAUUAAUCAUAUUUUAUUAUAAUAACUUGAUCAAUUUUGUGCCUCAAUUCGAUCCCCAUGGGAAUGAUUCUCACUCAUCAGUUUAUUACUUGAUUCAACUGUAUACAUGCACAAAUCACAUAUCAUUUCACACACGACAGUGUUCAAUUGAACCCUUUGAGUUAUAAACUCGAACAAACUCAAUUAAUGGAUUUAAUCAACCCACCAAGAAAGAAUCAUUGGAAAAUUGAAGGAUGGAGAAUGAAUUCCCAUGACUCCUUAAAAAAAUUGAGAAGAAAACUACUUCUAAAAAUCACAAGAAACAAAUCUUGCACAAAGAAACUAACUCUCAGAGUUGGAAAUUUUAGUAAUAAACAAAAACAAUUGCGUCUCUAAUGAACAUGAAAGGGCCUUUACAUAGGCUAGAUAAGUACAUCCAAAUAAAAUUGUCAAGUAUCUAGAAACUUUAAUUAAUGUAAGCAAGAAGUAAUUUUAAACUAAAAUAGUCAUAAUUUUCGUAAUAAUCUCGUCCAAAAAUUUUGCUCACAUAGUCAUCAUUAAAAUAGUCAUAAUUUGAUCUUCUAAACUCAAAAUCGAGUGAAUAAAAGUGCGUUUCGAAGUUAAGUGAUAGAUCUUAGAACUCUAUGAGGACAUAUCAAUUGAAAAAUGCCUGGAUUCCAUCCAAAAAUUCACCGCAAGUUAACUAAUUUUUCAAACUUGAAAAUUGGUAGCUUCGGUGAAUGGAAUUUAAUAAAGUUCACCCCAUCUAUUCAUGUAUCAACUUGCAUUGUAAAAAGUAAAAAGAAAUAAUCUAUAGAGAAAAUAGUUGAAGAAUUUAUGACAAUUUAUUCAGAUCUCGUUUUCUUCUAGUCUUUACAAGCUUGAAGUUUCCCUUGGUGUGAGAGAGUUGUUCCUUACCCUCUAAGUGAUUUUUUUUCUUUUUCUUUCUCUUCGAUCUCGUCACCUAAGGGUGUUCAAACGAUUGAUUCAGUUAAUACCCGAACAAAACUAUCAUUAACUAAAAUUUUGAAACCCUUAAUCAUUAAUCAAACCAAAAUUUAUUUGAAACCUAUUAACCAGCCAGAUUGAUUUCGAUUAAUUUGAGCGGUUAACCAGAAUUUAUACACUGUUUGAUUUUGUUCAAACAAUUUUAAAACAAAGAAUAAUCCACAACAAUUUUUUCCGUAUUUUUUAUUCAAAAAAAUUAAAAGAAUUAAAAAAAAUAACAUAAUAACAACACUAAAUUAAAAACGUAAUAGCAUUCAUUACAUUACAAAGCAUAUAUAUAUAUUUACUUUUUCUUGAAUUUUUAGUUUAAUUUUAGUUUUUAUUCAAAUAUUUUUAGUUUUCAUAAUUUUGUUAAGCUUAUUAUAAGAGAACUUAUAAAUCCAUUAGUUUUUAUAUAUUGGGUUUGUAUAAUGUAUUUGACCUGUCUCUAAUAUAUUGGGCCUAUAAUAUAUUUUUAUUGAUUUCGGUUAAUCAAUUAAUUCGGUUAAUUAGUCGAUUUCAAACUAAACUAAUUGGUAAACAAAAUCUUCAAAAACCUUUAACCAACUCCCAACCAAAUUAGAUUCGUUGAUCAACUGCUUAAUCAAAUUAAUUAGGUUUGAUAAAUUAAUUCGUUAAAACCGAAAAAUUGACAUCCCUAUCACCACCUUUGUUUUUAGGGAUUUUAAUCAUGUUACUCCACUUGAUGCAGAAGUUGAGGUGGAACGAAUUGCUUGCUACCAAAAUUUAUGAAUUAUAGACCAUGCUCCACCCGGUGAAUCAAAUUCAGUGGAGUGGAAGACUUUUUCUUCACUACUUUGUGCUCUAUGCUCCAAGUCUUCUAUUCUUCUUCCGAGACCAACAAUGGGAAAAUUAAAAAUAAGAAACAAGUCUGAACUAACUUUGACAAUUAGAAAUUUUCAACAAAAUUGAAAUAAAAUAUAAUUAAUUAAUAAAAACUAUAAAAUUCAACAAAAACGAACCUAAAUACUAAAUUUACCUCCUAAAAUGCUAUGGAAACUAUAUUAAAAUAACUCUAAAUAUGAUAGUUAUCAAAAGCGACCUGAAGAAGCCAAUAUUCGAGUAGAUGAUUUCAACUAUUGCAAAUACCAUCAGUCGAUUAGCCAUCCUCUUGAGAAGAUUAUAGAGUUGAACGAAAAAAAUCAUACAACUCCAUGAAGAAGAAAAAAUCAUGUUUGAAAAAGAAGUGGCAUAAUCAAACUUGACAUCAAUGCUUUGGUUUCUCAAUACAAUAUUAUGGACAGAUUCAUCAAAUUUGGCUCUUUCAAUCCUAUUACACUAGCUCUAAGUAGAAGUAAGAUGGUGAAUUUCGAAAGGAUUGGGGGCAAUCAUCUAUUCUUGGAAUACCAGAAUGGUCAUUAUUGGACUCUAGCCACAUGUCAAAGAAGCCAAUGAAAAGCAUCUCUCCUAGGUAUAAGCUUAUAUUGUCACAUUACUCCUAAGCACGAGCAUAAAUUAGUCAUCCAAAAUGAUGAUGCUUCUAAGCAUGAGCUUAAAUUGUUCAUCUAAUGCUCCUAAGAAGGAGCCUAAACUAUUCAACCCAAAUGGUCAUGCUUUAAGAAAAAUCUUAAACUAUUUUUAAGGCCUUAUAGUUCGGAUUAAGGCCCGUAAGUGUAUGUUUGUUAUAAUUAAGUUGUGUUAUUGAAUGUUAUUAAUUCAAUCACAUGAAUAUUUUGUUGUAAGUUAAAUGUUUUAAUUUGUACUAUAAUGCUCCAUAACCCUAAUCUGGCAAUGGAAACAGGUUUGGCGUGUUACAAUUUUGGGUUCUUGCGAUGUUGGUUGGAUUUUCGUGUUUUAACAUUAAACUGCAAAAUUGUAUGAUUUAACAAACUAAAAUUAGGUUUUCAAAGUUAAAACUCUGGAAAUUUUUGUUGCAAAGUAUAAGUAAUCACUUAAGUGUUUUUCCAUAUAUAAUUAAAUGGUUUUUAACAAAUGUUUUCCUUAGUUUUGGAAAUGAUCUGCCACCAUUAGUACUUUUAAAACACAUGAUUUCAAAUUCAAAUUCUUUGUUUUAAAUAAGGGUUUUCACACUUCGUUUUUUUUUAACAUUUGUGAGAGGUUUUCGCCAAAUUUUAUGUUUUCAGAACGUGUAACUAAGUUGAUUUUUAAUUCGUUUUUCAAAUGAGUCGAUGUAAUUCCUCAAAAAUCCAGUCAUAGCAUCUAGGCCGGGUUUGGAUGUUAUACUGAUAUUACUAAAGUUAAUCUUCAUCUAUUUAGUCUAGAUCUAAACAUUAAUAUUCUCUUCCAAGAAAAAUCAAGAUGAUCAAAUUGUUAAAACUUGGUAGGCAGACAAUCAUAUUAAAUAUGCAUAAAACUUAAUAAAUAAUUAGCGAAGAUUGAAACAAUCAAAGAAAAAAUAAAUUAAUUAACUAAGAAAUAGGAUCCAUUAUUGUUUCAAGAAAAUAGAGUUUAGUUCACAUUGAGUUGAGAAAACCAAAAGGGAGAUUCAAAAAAAACUUGUGAUAAGGGGAAUAAUGUCAAUAGAUCAUAUUCAAGUUGUUCGGCUCGAGAAAGAAAGAUUCAGAUCUAACUUGAAAAGAAGAAACUAAAAAUAUUUAGAAAAACAAGAAAAAACAAAGAAAAUAACUAAAAUGAUAAAUUUAAGAAUAAAUAAUCAAUAUUAAAAAUAAUAAAGAAAUAAAGAAAUUAUAGAAUAAAUAGUGGAAGAUGGAAUGAAUAAAUGAUGGAUAUGACAUAUAGAUGGAUAAGUGUCUUAUAAUUCAUGAAAAGAGUUAUAUUUCAUGCCUUUAGAUCUAACUAACUGCUUGUACUUAAGUACAUUUUGUUGCAUUUUAAGACAUUUUAGUUAGUGUUUCUAAUAUUGCAUUAGGACUUAGAUUGUGUUGGAAUUAGGUGUUUUUAAUCGCUCGUGGUGGAGUUUUUCUGUGUGUUGGCAUGGCAAGAACAUAUUUUAGAAUGAGGAAAUAAAUGAGUGAAGUUUUGUUAGGGAAAAAGUGCAGACAAUUUGCCAACACGGAUGCCGUGACAAUGCUGGGAAGACCAAGUAACAUUUUUUUGCGCAAUAGUCUCAGUUGAAAUUAAAACUUGUACCAGAUAAAUCUCCCUAAAAGAGGAGAAGAUAAUCACAAGAUGUCAGCUGACCCUAGCCUAAUCUAUCUAUAAAAGCCAAUAAAGGGGAUCUCACAAUUGGCAGAAAAAAGUGGGAGAGAUCCUUAGGUGUGAAUAAGGUUUUAGCUGCGCAAAGGAAAGGAAGUCAAAGGCAGUCCUUUUUAGCCAUCAUAGGACGUUGUGCUGCCGAAGUGUGGACUAGCCAAGUGAAAGUUGUUUCCGAAAGUUCUUUUUUUAUUUCCAUCAGCGUUCCUUCAAAAUAUUGAAGUAGUUGAACACAAUGUCGGAUAAUAUUUUUCUUUGGAAUUUUAUUUCUCAGCCCAUGAGCUAAAUCUCGUAGGGUUAAGGUUACUUUUGAUGAAACCUUAAAUAUUUUUAUGGAUGCAGCAUAUAUCCAAUUUACUAAACUGUAUCAUUUGAUUGUUCUUAUUUCUUAAGUAAAAUGCAAAUGAUCUCUAAACAUAGAAGACUGUUCGCAUACUUAUAAACUGAUUCUAAUUCUAAAACGGUUAGAUUGGUUGGAUUAAAAUUAAAUGAAAUGAGCAAGUAUUCGAUGGACACUUGUAGUAGACUCUAUACAUAGAGUGACGAUCAUACAGAAGGAACCCAUGCAAGGUAUCUAAAAAGUCUUUAGACACAGGCAAGGUAACUUGAGGUUUUGCUCUCACGAGAGGCAGGCCAUUUUAGUACUCUUCUGUGCUUUAAAGUAGAUAAGAUUUUGCCAAGGAAUUAUUGAGAGUAAGGGUCGAUUUUGGAUAAUCAACCUUCCAAAUCCACAUCGUAUAUCCUUUAUUCCUUACCAUAGAAUAUUUGCCACAUCAUUAUUAGUUAUUUAUUUGUUCAUUUACAUAAUAUUCCCGUAGUAAUUCUCAUAAUUGUCAUUACAUUUCUACUCUUGGUUUGCCACAACAUUACUAGUUAUUUAUUAAUUCCACGUAUUGCUUACAUCAUUACUCUACUAAUUGCGACUGUAUAUUUAUCAUUGAGUUUGCCAUAGCAUUAAUCGUAUUUUAUUAUAAUAUCUUAACUAAUUUUGUGCCUCAAUCUGAUCCCCAUGGGAACGAUACUCACUCAUCACUUUAUUACUAGAUUCAACUGUAUACUUGCACAAAUCGUAUAUCAUUUCACACACGACAAUGUUCAAUUGAACCUUUUGAGUUAUAAACUCGAACAAACUCAAUUAUUAGCUUUAAUCAACCCACCAAGAAAGAAUCAUUGGCAAAUUGAAGGAUGAAGAAUGAAUUCCCAUGAAUCCUUAAAGAAAUUGAGAAGAAAACUACUUCUAAAAAUCACAAGAAACAAAUCUUGCACAAAGAAACUAACUCUCAGAGUUGGAAAUUUUAGUAAUAAACAAAAACAAUUGCGUCUCUGAUGAACAUGAAAGGGCCUUUACAUAGGCUAGAUAAGUCCAUCCAAAUAAAAUUGUCAAGUAUCUAGAAACUUUAAUUAAUGUAAGCAAGAAGUAAUUUUAAACUAAAAUAGUCAAAAUUUUUGUAAUGAUCUCGUCCAAAAAUUCUGCUCACAUAGUCAUCAUGAAAAUAGUCAUAAUUUGAUCUCUUGAACUCAAAAUCGAGUGAAUAAAAGUGCGUUUCAAAGUUAAGUGAUAGAUCUUAGAACUCUAUGAGACAUAUCAAUUGAAAAAUGUCUGGAUUCCAUCCAAAAAUUCACUGGAAGUUAACUAAUUUUUCAAACUUGAAAAUUGGUAGCUUCAGUGAAUGGAAUUUAAUAAAGUUCACCCCAUCUAUUCAUGUAUCAACUUGCAUUGUAAAAAGUAAAAAGAAAUAAUCUAUAGAGAAAAUAGUUGAAGAAUUUAUGACAAUUUAUUCAGAUCUCUUUUUCUUCUAGUAAUAUAUUGGGCCUAUAAUAUAUUUUUAUUGAUUUCGGUUAAUAAAUUAAUUCGGUUAAUUAGUCGAUUUCAAACUAAACUAAUUGUUAAACAAAAUCUUCAAAAACCUUUAACAAACUCCCAACCAAAUUAGAUUCGUUGAUCGACUGCUUAAUCAAAUUAAUUAGGUUUGAUAACUUAAUUCGUUAAAACCGAAAAAUGCACAUCCCUAUCAUCACCUUUGUUUUUAGGGAUUUUAAUCAUGUUGCUCCACCUGAUGCAGAAGUUGAGGUGGAACGAACUACUUGCUACCAAAAUUUAUGAAUUAUAGAGCUUGCUCCACCGCAGUGAAUCAAAUUCGGUGGAGUGGGAGACUUUUCUUCACUACUUUAUGCUCUAUGCUCCAAGUCUUCUAUUCUUCUUCCGAGACCUACAAUGGAAAAAUAAAAAAAUAAGAAACAAGUCUGAACUUACUUUGAAAAUUAGAAAUUUUCUACAAAAUUGAAAUAAAAUAUAAUUAAUCAAUAAAAACUAUAAAAUGCAAUAAAAACGAACCUAAAUACUAAAAUUACCUCCUAAAAUGCUAUGGAAACUAUACUAAAAUAACUCUAAAUAUGAUAGUUAUCAGAAGCGACCUGAAGAAGCCAAUCGAGUAGAUGAUUUCAACUAUUGCAAUAAUAUUGGUCGAUUAGCCAUCCUCUUGAGAAGAUCAUAGAGUUGAAAGAAAAAAAUCAUACAACUCCAUGAAGAAGAAAAAAUCAUGUUUGAAAAAGAAGUGGCAUUAUCAAACUUGACAUCAAUGCUUUGGUUUCUCAAUACAAUAUUAUGGACAGAUUCAUCAAAUUUGGCUCUUUCAAUCCUAUUACACUAGCUCUAAGUAGAAGUAAGAUGGUGAAUUUCAAAAGGAUUGGGGGCAAUCAUCUAUUUUUGGAAUAUCAGAAUGGUCAUGAUUGGACUCUAGCCACAUGUCUUCGGAACAUCAGAAUGGUCAUGAUUGGACUCUAGCCACAUGUCAAAGAAGCCAAUGAGAAGCAUCUCUCCUAGGUAUAAGCUUAUAUUGCCACAUUACUCCUAAGCACAAGCAUAAAUUGUUCAUCCAAAAUGAUGAUGCUUCUAAGCAUGAGCUUAAACUGUUCAUCUAAUGCUCCUAAGAAGGAGCCUAAACUAUUCAACCCAAAUGGUCAUGCUUUAAGCAAAUAUUAAACUAUUCUUAAAAAAUAAAUGAUGAUCCAAUGAAGCACAAGCUUAAUCUAUUCAUACGAAACAAAUGAUGACCUCCUAAGCAUGAAUUUAAAUUGUUCACACAUAAUAAAUGAUGAUACUCCUAAGCGCGAGCUUAAAUUGCAGUCCAAAAAAUAUUGAACUACGUUAUAACUUGAUCUUUUAAAAUUGAAGGUAAGUAGAUAGCCUGGUUUCAUUGCCAAGUUCAGUCUAUAUGAUAAAAAAAAUUUGAAGGUGAUCUUUGAAACAAAUUCAUCAAAGUAGGAAGCAAAUAAAAUUUCAAGACUUGUCCCCUUUCUACGCCCAACAAAAUUCAGAAUCCAUCAUUUGUUAUUACUGUAAUAAUAUCUCUAACUAAAUUAAUGAAAAGAUAAAUCAAGAAAUUAAAUCCUUUUAGAACUCUCUUAUAAAGAAACCAUAUUAAGGAUUACUUUAGAUCUAAUUAAUUAAAUUAAUAAGAUAUGAAUAAUAAUAAUAGAGUUUAAAUUCUUAUAGAACACUCAAAUGAAAAUGUUAAAUUCUACAAGAACUCUUAUAUGAAAGUGAUUGACACUAAAAAAAUGGGUCACCUCCAAGUUAUUCUACACAUUCACAAGUUCAAGAAGUUGAAAAAUUAUUUACAAAAAUAUUUGAAGAAACUAAAGAAGUAGAAGAAAUUCUAAUGAACAUCAUAUCAAUUGAGAGGAGGAUGUGAACAGAAGAGAAGAUUGAAAAGAGUUUUGUUUGUAAAGAAAUUCAAAACUUGUUAUAAAAUUUGACGCAAAAUUUUCAAGUCAAUUUUCAACUUGAAAUUUGUGUGUACUAUAUAUAUGGGAAAGAAUCCAUUUACAUUAUAUAAAACUAUUGUAUGUAUAAUACAAAAAUAUUUAAUACAUUAUCAAUAAAGUUUUUAAACUAUGCACCUGUGAUUAAAACCAAAAUAAUAAUAUUAAUAACAACCAAUCACUUUAUUUGACUAACUUUUCCUCACAAGUCUUUGGUAUGGAGACAAAUCAGUUUAAUCAGUCUUUGGAGCUAUUAACUGACAUUUCCACCAUUGAUUUGAAAAUCAUAACCCAUCAAUUCACUUUAAAUGAAACGAGAUCCUCAAGUGUUUGGUGUUAUAUUCUUAAAAUGUAUUUAGAUGAUUGUUUAUUAAUUUUAUUUCUUUAUAUUUAAAUCAAAUGUAAUAAAUUGUUGAAUUUAUAUACUUCUUAUUAUAACAAUAUAUGGACUAUCUUCCUACUUCUUUUUUUAAUUUAAUUUUUUGUAACUCUUCACAAUUUAUUUUGAAAAACAUUGAAAAAAAACUAAAUGAUUAAAUUAAGGCUCAACUUUUCACUAAUCUUAGUUUAUUUAGUCUAACUUUUCACAAUUUCAUAUACUCAUUUCAUGUUUCAUACCAACAAUUUUUCUUUUUGGUAAAAAGAAAAAAACAACUAUACUUUCUUUAAUCCCAAAAUUAAGGCUUUAUGAAUGAAAAUAAUAUUAUAUUAACUAUGAUAAUUAAGUUUUUAUUUUAAAUAUGAUUAAUUUUAUAUAUAAUAACUUUAAAUAUAAAUAUAUAUAUAUCUAUAAUUAAAUUUUAAAGAAAUUUAUUGUUAUUUUCUAAACAUAAAACAAAGAAAACUUUUUACCCAAAUUAUAAGUUUGUGGUUAGGCAGCCCACUUUGGGACAGGAUUCAGCUUACGUUUUUAAUCUUGGGCUUUAAAAAUAAUAAAAAUAUAAAAAUAAUGUUCGAUUAAUAUUUAUAAAUUUUAUAAAUUUAAAUUUAAUUAUAUUUUUUAUACAGUAAAAUCAACCAUUUAUAUGGGCUAAAUUGAGUUAAGUUCGGUUUGCAUCAAGCCUUAACUUUGACCAAAUCCAACGAAAAACACCUCUAACCAUAAUCUAGUAUUGUUUUUAUGAAUUGAAUUUUAACUUGUAAUUUUCAAUUUUAUACAAACUUUCUUUGCCUACGAUAAGGAAAUAACAUAUUUGUAACUUCUCCAAUCUGGCGUAAACAUUCAGUCUGAAUUCGGAAGAUUACAUCGGCCAUAAAGAUGGCCUAGCAGGGUUAUCAGAGUUUUUGAAAAUAGACAUCUUUAAAACGUUUGUUUAAUUCAGUAAAAAACUAAUUUAAUUUCCAAAUUAUUUAUUACUUGAAAUCUUAAUUACACUUUAAAAGAAGGAAGUGGUAACUAUUUAUUUUUAAUAAAAAUUAGGGUUCAUGUAUAAUUGAUUAAUAACCAUAAUUCGAAAACAUUAAAACUUAAAUUAAAUGUCAUGCAAAAUAAAACAAGCUUAAACCUAAAUCUCAUGCCACAGUUCAAAAUAAUUUAUUGUAGUCUUCAAAAAUAAAAUAAAUCAUAUAAUCAACCAAAAAUAAGUUUUGUAAUUUAGCAAUGUAUCGAGACCUUCUAGAUGUCAUGCCCGCGUCCUAACUUGGUUAUUUGUAAGUGUAACGACCCGAAUAAUUUAUCUCUAUUUCUGUAAAUAUUUGACGCAAAUACUUGUUUGCUUCAGUGGUUAAAUGUUUUGGGUGUGUUUGAGAGGUCUUGGGUUCAAGUCUCAUUUUUGUAAAAUUUUGUUAUUUUUAUGAUUCAAGCCUUAGCCUUGUUGAGUGGGCUUUUAUGAAAUUGUUUGCUACUUCAUAUUAGAAUGAGCUUGCUAGUUCAAGUGGUAAGGAGUUGGUGUGAAGGAGGUUCUGUGUGUGAAUCCCUGCACGAGCGUGGGUAUUAUUUUUUUGCUCAGUUAUAUGGUAGAGUUUCGGUGCUUUUGGGAUUAUAGGGUAGUUGGAUGUGAAUUAGUGGGGAGUUAGGAUAUUAGUGGGUUUUUAAUUAGAUUUUAUUUAAUUUUUAUUCUUUUUGUUUUUCCCAAUUUUUCUCUUAGCUUUUGACGUUCUGUUUCCCUUUUCUCCUCUGCUGAAUUUUUGCCGCUCCCUCUCAUUUUUGAUUUUUCCAAUUCGUCUCCUUUUUGUGCAAUGUUUGAUUGCAUUCGUUCGGUAAGUCUUGUAUUGUUACGAUCUUAUUGUUUGGUGGUUAAUGUUUUAAUGGGGGUUUUGUGUUUACUCUCGAUUAAGGGAAGGGCAAGAAGAGUUGGUACUCCUGCAAGAUUUGAGCGUUAAGGGUGUCUGUUCGUUGGCGGUAAGUUUUCAAAUUCUUUGUUGGUUAUUGUAAGGCUCCGUUUGUGGAAUGGUUUCGGAUUGAGUUUCGUAAGUGUGUAUCGAAUUUGGGCUUCUGGAUACUGUUUCUUAGGUUCGGUGGUCUCAGGGGUGCUUGUGCAUCAAAAUGAUAUCAGGUGUGUACCCGAAACGUAGAAAAUCGAGUUUCGAUGAAAGGUAAAAAACCUUAUUUUCGAUGCCACACGGGCGUGUGCAUGGCCGUGUGGUUGGCCGUGUGCAGGACACAGUCAUGUGUUCGACGAGGGUAGGGCCGUGCGCAAGACACGGCUGUGUGACGAUGUGGGUGUGGCCGUGUGGGCCACAUAGGCUAGGCCAAGUUGGGCUUGUGGGUUUUGGGCCACACGUGCAUGUGCCUUUUAAACAAGUCCGUGUGGACCACACGGGUAGGGCUAAUAUGGGCGUGUUGGCCACAUGGGCAUGUGGGCCGAAAAUUCUAAAAUUUUCCUUAAGGUCGCACAGGUCGUUCUAGUCGACUGUGGGCCUACCGUAGGGUCGGUAAGGGCUAACCAAACCCUAAAACUAUGUGAUCUGUUAGUUUGAUAUUUUGUUCUGAAUAUGAUACUGCUAUGCAUGUUUGAUUAGUUUGGUGUAUGUAUAUAUAUAUAUAUCUGAUAUCUAUGUAUGAGCAUGUGAGCAUGGUAACUCUAAUUAUCUAUAUCUGAUUGGGGUGGGAUUUGUAUAUGUGGAGGAAGUGUUCUGUAUGGCGGUCAUCGCUUAUAUUCUGGCAGCUUGGCUGCACAUUAUCUGACAUGUGUCGUAAUGGCACGAUAUGGUGUGUAGGGAUGGGUGGGUGUUUUUAACCCCACAUGAUGUGAUGGGAUAGUUGGAGUUGGUGUGUAGAGGAUGGAGUUAGGAUUUUGUAUUUCUGAUCUGAUCUGCAUAUCUGUUAUGUUAUCUGAAUCUGUAAAGGACUUAGGUCUGAAUCCGAAUCUAAAAUUGUAUCUGACUAUGUAUGAGUUUACUGCAUGUAUUGCAUGCAUUUUUUUAUUGGCUUACACACUAAGUUUACAAAAACUCACAUUUGUUUGUCUGUUAUGUUCAGGUAAUCCACAGAUUUAGGCGGGUCGGUGUGACGGAGGCUCAGUGGUGACCACCUGAUUGAGAACUAUUUUACUUAGUAAAUUAUGUUUUAUUUAUAAUUUCUAUUUCAUUUGAGAGUUUUUAAUUUUUGAGACUCUCAGUACUGCUGGUUUUUAUUUUGGUUUUGGAUGCGAUUUUAGACUAUUUUGUUGCGAUGCAUGAUGGAAAACACGAUUUUAUGAAAAAAAGUUAUUCUGAAAAUACGAACUGGAUUUCUAAAAUAUAACGGUUCAAAAACUUUCACUAAAAAUCACGUUUUGGUAAAUAAAUGAAUUAAAUAAUACUUUCAAAAAUGGUUAUAAAUAAUUAUGAACUAUGAAUCUUUAAUGAUUUGAUGAAACGACCUUAUUUUCAAAACCAUACCUUGUGACCACUCCGGAUUCAGCCAUAACGUCUGGGCUGGUUUGGGGUGUUACAGUAAGGAUGAAAAUUUAAGGGAAUGAGCUAUGACGCUUACUAUGAGUUCAUUCACAAUAAAUUCAACGCAAACGGUUGGUAGGACACAUUAAAUAAUAUCGCAUAAAAUAAUCACAAUUAGAUAAUAGUUCAGAAUGUCGGUUUUACAAUUUAACCACCAAUAUAAUCACAGUAUUCACAGUUGUAAUUUUAGAAUAUCAAAUUUCCACAUCAUUCACAAUAUUCAGAUAUAUAUAAAUAUAUCAUAACAGAAUUCUGGAUUUGUAUGCACAUGAUUUAGAAGAUGCCAUACAAUUUCAGGUUUUAACAGAAUAAAUCCUACCCCACGUUACAUACCAUAAUGGGAGUUCCCCUAAACUCCCUUCUGCAACACACUGGGUUAUGGAUAAACCACUACCGGUUUACAGAUAAUAACUAUCAUUUGGUUGUGGACACACAGCAAGUCUCCACAAUUGGAUUCUAGAUUUGGUUGUGGGUUCACAGCAAAAAAAAUCUACAAAUGAAGCCUGCUUUUGCCUGUAGAUUAUACAACAUAUACCCAUAGUUGGAAUCUGCCUUCGGCUAUGGAUGCACUGUAACACCUCAAACCUGACCUGGACGUUAUGACCGAAUCCUGAGGAAUUACUUUAACUCACUAGAAAACCCAAGAGUUUACUAUGAAAUCAUGUGGUUAAACUAGUGUUCACUUUGAUAAAUCGUUUUCCAGUUUUAGGGAAAAUUAUUGUUAAAACUGUUACUUUAUUACAAUAAAACAUUAAAGUGAUUAUAUCAUUUUGUAACGGAAUCUACUGAGCUAUAAGGUUAUGAAAAUCGUGGUUUAAUUUGCAACAAAUCAUUUUGUAAAUAGAAAUUUAAUACUACUUAAUUUGGAAAAGCAUGCUAAAACGAAAGCAAAGUCCAAACUAAUUUAUGAUUUAAAAUUCUAAAAAGUCCAAAUUAAACAUAAAGUCAAUUUAAACCAGUUUAUCGAACGUGUAACACCCCAAACCUAGCCUGGAUGUUAUGGCUAAAUCUGGAUGUGUUACGAAAAAAAAGUUUAUAAAACGACUUCCUUAUUAUUGGCAAAUCAUCGCAACCAUUAUUACUUAGUAUGCUCGAUUUGUUUGGAAAACUUAUUGAUAUACUUAUUUGAUUUAAAAUCAUUGCUCGCUUAUGCCUUUCUAUUAAACUGAAUGUUUUGUAGUGGAGUUUCUUUAAAACACCAUAUUUUGGCAAAUCAAUUUGUUUCUUGAAAAUCGUUAUUUCAAAAAAAUUGUCAUUUUUAGAAAAAACUAUUUUAUCAGUUGUUACGCUUAGAAACCAAAAUAAAAUCCAAAACCAAAAAUAGUCCCAAAAAGUCCAGAGAGUCCCGAAAUUACAAAACUCUCAAAACCAGAAAAGUUUGAACUAAUUUAAAAAGAAUGAAAUUUUACGGAAAUAUGGUUAACACUGAGCUUCCAUCACACCGACCCACCUAAAUCUGAGGGUUACUUGAAUAGAACAAACAAAUAGAGAGAGUUUUGAAACUCAGUGUGUAACGCGAAUAUAAACAAAAAUUCAGAAUCAAUCUCAUGCAGAACAUAUACAAAUGUAAACCAUUUAUAGAAUAAGAAUUAUACAGAUACAAAUAUGCAACAUCCUACCCUCAUCCUAUACACACCAAUUCUGACCAUCCCAUCACACCACGUGGGGUAUAAAACACCCACCCAGCCCUACACACCGUAUAGUGUUUAUACAACACUUUUCAAAAUAAUCGCAGCAGAGUUGCCAGUAUAUAGGUGAGAUAUCGCUUCACACAGAACACUUCCUCCUCAUAAUACAAAUCCCGCUCCAUAGCCAGAUACAGAUAGAAUAUCAGGUAAAACAAAUUAAUAGAUACCAGAGUUAACAUAUCACGCGUGAGCGUAUAACAGAUAUUACACAUGCUUAUACAUAACAGAACAAAUCAUACAUACCGUAUUCCAUAAUACUCAUAUAAAUGUUAUUUUUUAAAUUGUAACAAAUAUUAUUAUUAAGAUGUUUUUCUUUUUAUAUUUUUUUAUAAAAUAUAUUAAAAAACAAUUAGAAUAAUUUUAAGAGAAAAAACACUCAUAAACAGUAGAAUUUAAUCUAAAAAUAUCAAAGUUUUAAAGCCUCAACUUUAACAUUUCAACCAAAAUUCCAUUAGUAUAUAAAUAUUUUAUAAAUAUAGAUUUUAUAUAAAAAAAUUUUAUGUAAACUUUUUUUUAACCCACAUCACAAGUAUACCAUAUUUAGAGAUAUUCAUAGCUAGGCAGCCCACUUUGGGUCAAACUUGAGCUUAGGUUUCAUCUCAAGUUGGCCCAAUUUAACCUAUUUUACUAUUUAAAAAUAUAAAUAUAUGUUAUAUUGAUAUUUAUAUAUUUCUAUAAUUAAAUUUUAAAUAAAUUUAUUGUUAACUUUUAAACACAAAACAAAGAAAACUUUCACCCAAAUUAUAAGUUUGUGGUUAGACAGCCCACUUUCGGGGCAGGAUUCAGCUUACGUUUUUAAUCUUGGGAUUUAAGAAUAAUAAAAAAUAUAAAAAUAAUAUUGUAUUAAUAUUUAUAUAUUUUAUAAAUUUAAAUUUAAUUAUAUUUUUUAAACAGUCAAAUGAACCAUUUAUAUGGGCUAAUUAGAGUUAAGUUUGGUUUGAAUCAAGCCUUAACUUUGACCAAAUCCAACUAAAAACACGUCUAACAAUUAUCUAGUAUUGUUUUUAUGAAUUGAAUUUUAACUUGUAAUUUUCAAUUUUAUUACAAAAUUUCUUUGCGGACGAUAAGAAAAUAACAUAUUUGUAACUUCUUCAACCCGGCGUAAAGGUUAAGUCUGAAUUUGGAUUACAUCAGCCAUAAAGAUGGCCUAGCAGGAUUAUCGGAGUUUUUAAAAACAAACAUCUUUAAAACGUUUGUUUAAUUUAUAGAAAAGCUUAUUUAAUUUCCAAAUUAUUUAUUACUUGAAAUCUUAAUUACACUUUAAAAGUAGGAAGUGGUAACAAUUUAUUUUUAAUAAAAUUCGGGGUUCAUGUAUAAUUGAUUAAUAACCGUAAUUCGAAAACAUUAAAACUUAAAUUAAAUGUCAUGCAAAACAAAACAAGCUUAAAUCUAAAUCUCAUGCCGCAGUUCAAAAUUAUUUAUUGUAGUCUUAGAAAAUAAAAACAAUCAUAUAAUGAACCUAAAUUUUUUAUUUUACUUUAAUAAUGUGUCAAGGUCUUACAGAUGUCACGCCUGCGUUCAAUCUUGGUGGGUUAUCUGUAAGGAUGAAAAUUUAAGGGGGAGUGAGCUAUGACGCUUAGUGUGAGUUCAUUCACAAUAAAUUCAAUGCAAACGGUUGGUAAGACACAUUAAAUAACAUUGCAUAAAGUAAUCACAGUCAGAUAACAGUUUAGAAUGGCGAUUUUACAAUUUAACUACCAAUAUUAUCACAAUAUUCACAGCUGUAAUUUCAGAAUAUCAAAUUUCCACAUCAUUCACAAUACUAACAUAUAUAUAAAUAUAUCAUAACAGAAUUCCAGAUUUGUAUGCACAUGAUUUAGAAGAUGCCAUACAAUUUUGGGUUUUAACAGAAUAAAUCCUACCCCACAUUACAUAUCAUAAUGGGAGUUCCCCUAAACUCCCUUCUCCAACACACUAGGUUGUGGAUAAACCACUACUCGUCCACAGAUAAUAACUAUUAUUUGGCUGUGGACACACAACAAAUCCCCACAGUUGGAUUCUAGCUUUGGCUGUGGGUUCACAGCCAAAAGUCCUGCAAAUGAAGCCUGUUUUUGCAUGUAGAUUAUACAACCUAUACCCGCAGUUGGAAUCUGUCUUUGGCUAUGGAUGCACUAUAACACCCCAAACCCGACCUGGACGUUAUGGCUCAAUCUUGACGUAAUGCCCCAAAAUUUCUAAUUUCGUUAUUGUGAAAAUAUGACACAAAAUAUUUGUCUGCUUUAGUGGUUAUGUGUUCUGGGAGUGUUUAGGAGGUCCCAAGUUCACGCCUUCACAUGGGAAAAUUUUGGUAUUUUGAAUGAAUUAGGUAUUACUCUUAUUCAGUAGGCUUUUAUUUGAUUGUUGGGUAAAUUAUAUUAGAAUGGGCUUGCUGGUCUAGUGGUUAAAUGGUUUAUUAUUAUGGUGGAGGUCUUGUGUUCAAGUCCCUAUGUAGGCAAGGGUAUUAUUAUUAUUAUUAUUUGCUCAAAUUUCUGGAUAGAGUUGUGUAAUAGGGGGAUUCUGAGUAGUAGAUGUGUAGUGGGAAUUAGGGGAGAAGAUUAAGGAGUUUCAGGGGUUAUCGAGAUUUUAUUUUAUUUUUUCCCAUAACCGAAUUUUGACUUUCUUUUUCCAAAAAAAAUCUGCCAUCUAUUCUUCUCCCUCUCCUCUUGUCGAAAUUCUCUUAGUUUUUUCACCUUUCUCUUCUUUUUCUUCUUCUUGAUUUUUCCCUAAUCCAUUUAUUUUUCUUCAUUUUCGCACGCGGUUAGUUUUCGCUUAGUUUCGAUAAGUGUUUCUCUUCGUUUCUAUCAUGAAUCUCCUAGCGACUAAAGUGGUAACUUUUUUUCUCUGUGAUUUGGGUGUAGGGGAAGGCUCGAACUGUUGAAUUCAGUAUUCUCGUCUUAACAAUAGUUAAAUGGAGGGUUAUCGUUGGUGGUAAGUUGGGUUUCUGUUCAUUCUUAGUUGUCAAUUUGCUUGUAAAUCUGUUAAAUUGAUGUUGAGUAUCUUGAUUAUAGGCUUUGGAGUGCUUGGGGACUGUUUUAGCAUCAAACAAAACCAGAUGUGUACCCGAAACGCAAAAAAAAAGGGAUUCGAUCGAAAGCCGAAAUUGUUUGCUGUUUGGACAGUAGCAGUAGGCUAACUUUGAAAAAUCGCCAUAAAUUGUGGAAAUCGAAUUAGAGGAUGAAAAAAAUAUGAAAUUAAAUCUUAUUGAGUCUAGUUUCUCAUAGAAGAACGGUGUAAGUAAUGGAAUUUUAAAUCGUGAGAUAAUAAACUAUGUGAGACAAGGUUAGAAUAAAUUCGGGUUCCCUUGUUCUGACUUUGGAAAAUCAUCAAAAAUUGGAUAAAAAUAAUUAGGAAUUAAAAUUUACAUGUUUAAAUUAUUAAUUAGUCUUUUUUCAAUAGAAACAAAUGGGAACUUCAUCCAAAAUUUUUACUAAGAGAUAAUUAAUUUUUAGCAAUGAAGGGUCGAAGCUGUCAAACAGCAGAACAAGGGUAAGUUUGAAGAUUUUACCAUACUUAUUGGCUGAGCCAAAAAUUUAAAAAUUUUAUGGUAGAAAGGUAUUUGAGUCUAUUUUCAAAUACAUCAAGUGAAUUUUAAUUAGGAAUUCUUUAGCUCAAGAUAUAAAUAAUUUAGUUACAGUGAGUCAAGUAGAAAGCUUUGAAGGAACACAUAAGUAAAUUGUGAUAAGAUAUAUGAAUAUUUAGCUAGCACAGGUUACAUUGAAAAUGGAUCACGCAGCCAAGGCCAAUUUGGGCUGAGUGGGCCACAUGGGCAUGUGAGCCCAUUUUUCUGAAAAAUUCUGUAAGGUUGCACGGGUCGCCCAAGUCGACUAUGGACCUACUGUAGGGUCGGUAAGCUUUACUUAGACGCCUAUAUGUGUGAUCUAUCUGGCUGAUUUCUAUACCGAGCAUGACUUAUGAUAUUUGAAUGUAUGUACUUUUAAUUACAUAAUGGCAUGACAAAUUUUGUAUGUUGCAUUGCAUCGGAGUGGGUUGAUGAUAUUUGGAGGAAGUGUCUAAAAGGCUAUUAAGCCUGUUAUCUGGCAGCUCAGCUGUAACCUUCUGAUUAUGUGCGCAUUUCAGUACAACAUGGUGUGUAAGGAUGGGUGGGUUGAUUUAACCCCCACAUGGUGUGUAAGGUUGGACAAAGAUGUGCGUAGAGGCUGGUGGGUAGGAUUCUGAUUUCUGUAUCUACAUUAUGUAUCUGAUAUGGGCCAAGGCUCUAAUGUAUUUCUGAGACUGUAUCUAAACGGGCUAAGGCCCAAACUGAUUGUGUGAUGGGCCUAGGACCCAGACUGUAUCUAACUAAAUUCUGUUGAUUAUUUGUAUGCAUGAUUUCUAUGGGGAUUACACACUGAGUUUGCGAAAACUCACCCUUUCUCUAUUUAAUCUGUACAGGUAAUCCCCAGACUUGAUGGGUCAGUGCAACAAAGGAUUCGACAGUGGCCACACGUAAAUUAUGGAUUGUUUUCCGUUAAUACCUAGAAUUUAUUAAUUAUUUGGGGUUUUUGAUGUAUCUUCUGGACUAUGGACUGGUUGGCUAACAUACCUUUUUGCAUUGCAUCAUGUGCACGACAUAUUUGAAUAUUAUUGGUUUAUGCUACGUAGUGUAUUUUGUUGUAUUGAAUGGUAUCAAAAUUAAUGAUUGUCACUCGAAUGAAUUAUGACCUAUGCUCAUACACUGUUUGACAUCAAUUUGAUAAUGGCUAUGUAACGAUAUGAAAUUCCUAUAAUGGUUCUAUUUUCUUCUGUUAAAGCUAAUUAGUUUUACUGUAUUUGAUAUUUAUGUUUGUUUCAAUAAUUGUUCGACUCACGCUGAGCUUUUCAUAAGCGCACCCCUAAUAUGUUAAACUUUUCAGGUAAACCUCGAAAUUAAGACCAGACUUGGCAUUCGAAGAAUCACCUUAGACCUUGAAUUAUUUUUCUAAUAAGUAUUAAUCAAUCUCUAAUGGUUUUCGUUUGUAAUUUUUAAUUAUAUCUAGUCUGUGGCUUGAUAACUUUUCUUCUGGGAUUUUUGCAUGCAUGGAUUACUCAAGCAUAGUAACCGGAUAAUGCAUGAUAUUAGGCUUAAGUAAAAUUUGAUAUUGUUCCCUAGAUUCCGCUGCAUUGCAAAGGAUUUGUUUUUGAAAAACAAAUUGAUAAGGUAACUAAGUUUUCAAAAUGACUUGAAAAAUGGUUUUUCCCCUGCAUUAGUUUAACAUCGAAUUUUUUUUAAAGGAGAGCAACAAGCAAAUGAUUUUUCUAAAACAACACUAUCAACAAUAAAAUGAAUUCUAAGUAUACACAACCUAAUGAAUGAAUGCUUUUAAGCUAACUUAAAGUACAACUAUGGUUUUCUCUAAAAUGAGUUUAUUUAAAGUUUUCAUAAGUAAUGUAAGUUAGCUUAGCCAUUUCGGUGGCUAAUGUAGCCUUCUCAUUCUAGCCAUAACGUCUAGGCCAGGUUUGGGAGGUUACAGUAUUGAUAGGAACUGUGGUAUAAAUUUUAUUUUGGACAUUCUUAAAUUGUUAUUUGGACUAAACUUUAGAAACUAUGGAUUUUAUACUGAGCCUAAAUUUACGAAGUUCAUGCGUGGUUUUUACGAAAAUGAAACUCAUAUGAAAUUUCAAAACCGUGAUGUUUUUUUUAACGCUCCAAUUUGAAAUUGUACAAGAAAUGUCAAUUUGAAUUAUUUUUGAAUGUUUUUUAUGCCAAUUAAAUAUUGUUUCAAAACAUAGCUAAGUAUUAUUUAAUUUCGUAAAGAUGAAGCAAACUCCGAACAAUCUAAAACUUCAAGGACUAGUUUGCAAUUUUUUUUUCCUCAAUUGUCUCCGGUUUGAUUCAAUUCUUGAUCUAUACAAUUAUUCCAUUCAAUUCAUCAAUAUUAAACAUUUAUACAUUAUGUCAUGUCAUGAAUGAACCUAGAUAAAUUCAUUUUUUGAUACCCUUAAAGUUUUACAUUUAUUUCAAUUUAGUCUCUAAAAUCGAAAUAGUCAUAACUUUAAAUUCUGAACUUCGGUUUGAAAAUCGACCUCAAUUUCAUUAUAGACUCUCUACUAUCCAUUAUUAUCAAAAUUUCACAUCAAUUUCACAAUUUAUUUACUUUAGUUAUUAUGUACAAAAUUAACAACCAAACAUCACAAUUUAGUCAUUUUUCAUAAUUUAAGCUUAAAAUCUAUCAAUUUAAUACCAAUUUCUUCAAGAAAUCAACCAUGAUAACUAUAAAAAAAAAUUAACAGUUUUGCAAAUUGAUACAUAGGUCAUUUAAAUCAAACUUUCAUGACCUCAGAAACACAAAAAAAAAUUAUACGAAAAUGAUUUAGAAAUGCAUACCAAUUGAGGACCGAAAGCUUGAAGCUCAAAAUGGCUUUUUCCCUUGAGGUUUUAUGUUGAUUAAAUGAUGAAGAAGAAGAAAUAAAGAUGACAACUUGCACUAAGUCACCUUUAUAUACUUAGAUUAAAUCUUAAUUAAUCAAAUUUAAUUAAUUAAAUCUUAAUUAAUUAACCUUAAUCACAAUUAAAAAAAAUUAGUGGAUGUUAACAUCAUCCUACACUAUUUCAUAUAACCAAAUGAUCUAUUUACCAUUUUGAACCUUUAGCUAAUUAGAAAUCUAUAGCGAUAAGACUUUUAAAAUUUAGUUUCUGUAUCUUAAUUAUGCAAUUAAUAGACAAAGUUGAAGGUUUAAAAUUUAAUGUUCUAUUAUACCAACUCUGUAAAUAUUCAUAUUUAAUAUUUACAGACCCGAAUUACGAAAAUGAGAUUUUGAAAUUGUAUUUUCCAAUACCACUGAAAAUCGAACAAUUAUGUAACCUAUUUGCACCAAAGGGCCAAACAUGGCAAAUACUUGACAUGUAUGUCUUAAUAUCCUCAUCUAUUCUCUUCAAUAUAAUAACAUCCAAUAAUUGUUUCAUCCACUGUAACUAUCACGAAGAUUAGAUUUACCAAUACAGCCUACAAUUUGCAGAAGCGCGACAUUUUCAUUCUAGAGAAAGGUAUAAUUGAAACAAAAUUGAAAUAAAGAUUUCAAUACAGAAUCAACAGACAUUCCAGCUAAUACUUAUCAAUUAUUUGCAGCUUCAUUGCUCCAACUAAGAUGGUUUUUAGUCGAAUAUGGUAAAUGAAAUCAAUGAACACCAGCUACUUGAUGAACGAGUGAAUCAAAGUCCUGAUAUGUGCCGGCUUAUUGGUGAAAAAAUACAUGGGUUAGUUUUGCAGCAAUUCAUGAUCUUACAUUUUAUAACCUUUGCUUACAAUUAUUCACUGACUAAUCAUUCAAUGAAUGUAGGCCUCAAAUUUAGCCACUAAACUUUGUUCUUUAUUUUUAGAUACAUAUUAUUUGAUCACUUCAUACAGCCUAUUACUCAUAAUAACUUCCAAUUUCCCUUCUUUAGGUUAGUUGCAAAUGUACAGCUUUUUCUAGAAGAAGAAAAUUGUCAAGAGCCACCUGUUCAAGAGAGGCGCAAACAGAAUGUAACAAUACCUGACCUACUUACGGUACAGCCAAGUAAUCAUGUGUUUCUAUGCUAGAACAUUAAAUCAAUGACUACAAAUUUCAUGUCAUGGUUGUGUAUCAUUUAUGCCACUGAUGCUGCUAUUUUCUAUUCUAAUGCAUAAUAGGGAUUUAGUGUUUUUACCGUUAAAAUUGUGUCCUUUAAUUUUGGCUUUUUUCAAUUGUUGAUCAUGUCCACCUAUGCUUUAUUUUACUACUAUUGCUUUCUUCAAUGAUAGAUGAUUGAAUCGGUAGAAUUUUAUUAAUCCUCUACAUGUUUUAGCUUGAUAUGUGGAUCCUAAGCAUUCCUUGGAUUGUGCCCUCUUUGUUCAUUUAUUUUUUUUCCUGGAACCUUAUUACAUGUUGUAACACUCCAGUUUUUUGGAGACAUUGAAGACGACUAACUGCUGAAUUCUUUCUUCUGCAGAGGAACCAAUGGCAAGAGACUCUAAAACUCCUACUCUUUUUUAUACCUUCCUCACCUCUUUGUGACAUUAUAGCUGAAAAAUGAUGUAUGCUAAUACAUGAAAUGUUUCCUCUUGCCUUUCUUUUUGUAGUACUAAAACUACAAAUAGUGUCUGUAAAUCUCUUUUCCCGUAAUCUUAUCUUUUCCUCAUUGUAAUAGUUGGAAAACAGCUUUGUUGAAGACAAUGUCAACUACUGGGAUAAGUUACAAACACUGUUAUUGUUUAUUUUGUAGUCUAAAUUAUGAUAAUUUCUGCACAAAAUUCACAUAAAUGGUUACCCUCCCGAAGCGGAGCGAGGGUGAUGCUUACUAGUUAUUAAGAAAACAGGACCUUGUAGGGCUUAACUGUUGAAUCGAGAAAGAAAUUUCUUUUAAUGCCUUCAAUUUUUUUUAAAGCUGAUUUUUUUUUACAAAUUAAAGUUUUGAUUGUAUGUUAAUUGCUUGAGGGAAGGUCGGAUACUUUAUUAUCCCUAUUUUUAUUUGUUAUAUAUUUUAACCAUAAUGAUUUUUUUGGCCCUACAAUUUUACCAAAAAAAUCAUAUUAGCUUUCAUUUAAUUUUCGUCUCUUUUAACCCUUUAACUUGUAUUUUUUUUGUCAAAUCACCCCAAAAUGGAUCGAAAACUUUAACAUUUGUGAACUUUGAUUAUGUGACAUACACAUGAAUUGUCACAUGGAUGACAAGUCAACAUUUCUUUUAAAAAAAAACUUAAAAAAUAUUAAAUAAAAUAUUUUUGAUAUUUUUUAAUGAUUUUUAAAUUAAAAAAAGUUUUUAAAUAUUUUUUAAUUUUUAAAAAUUAAUUAGACGCAGGCAUGGAAAUUCACAUCUAUGUGUCACAGGCCGUGGAUUAAAGCCUGUGACCAUUGCGCAUAGAACACCCCAUAGAAUUUUGGCUUUUUAUUUGGUCAAUCAUGUCCACCUAUGCUUUAUUUUACUAUUAUUGCUUUCUUUAAUGAUAGAUGAUUGAAUCGGUAGAAUUUUAUUAAUCCUCUAUGUAAUAACCAAAUUUUGCCCGGGCCCAAUGCCAAACAAAUAAAACCCAAACCAAAUAAAUAAAAUAAGAGUCCAAAUUACAGUCCAUUAGAGCUCAAUUCAGACCAGCCCACUAUUCAAUCAGACUGGCCCAACACCCAAAUAACCUAACAACCCUAGCCCAACAAAAUCAGAAAAAUGAACAGCAAAAAAACCUUAGGUGCGCCGCACCUAGGUCUUUUGGCCUAACCGCCGCUGUUCGCCUAUCACCAGCCUCCUCGCUGCCACCGCCGCAUGCGCACCAGGCCUCCUCCAUGUGUGUCUGACACCUGCAAAGAGAGUCACACGCAACAGUAGAAACAAAAACAAAAAACAAAUAGCAAAACGACAAAAAAAAUAAUGAUUAAGGAGUUCGUAAUCCGACUAUAAAAGCCCUAAUCUGUGACUUGUAAUUUUUUGACACACAUUAGAAAAUAAAAACCAAAAAAAAAAAACUUUAAGGUGAUACUCAUUUCAUUUUAUUUUUGUUUUAUUUUAUUUUAUCAUUUUUAUCUUUUUAUUUCGAAAUAACAUAAAUAAAAAGGGGAGGCUGGGUUGCCGUUGCCAGAGCAUAUUUUGUGCUAAAGGGGGUUGCGCAGGAGGAAAAGAGGAAACUUUUCAGUUUCCCGCCGCCGUGAUGGCCGAACCUCUGACUGGCGCUUGGAGAAAGAAGGGGAGAGUUUGAGAGAAUUUUAGGUUUUUUGUUUAAGAAAAGUGAAAAAUGAAGAAUUCUGAAAAAAUUAAUAUUUAUAGCACCUAGAAAUGGCGUCGUUUUGGCCAGUUUCAUUUGGCCCCAAAAUGACACCGUUUAAUGGCCUAUACCGGCACAGUGACCCGACCCGGGGAAGGAUCGGAGUGUUUUGUGCUAUUGGGUAAUUUUCGCAUUUGGUCCCUCUUAUUUUGUAGUGUUUUCAAAUUAGAUUUUAUUUAUUUUAAAUUUCAACAUACAUUUUUGUUUUUGUUUCACUUAGAUCCUGAACAAUGCGCAGCGUUUUGGGGGCGAGGAAAUAUUUCCAAUAUGGCCCCAUGUAAUCUGCAUAUUACACUUUAACCCCUCGUCUUGUUUAUAAUUCUAUUCUUUUCUUGUUAAUUUAGAUUCAAUUGCGAUUUAAUCUUUUGUUAAAACAUUUGUUUUCUUUAUUAAUUUAUUAACUAUUUUAUUAUUAUUUUAGUGGUAUAUUCGGUCAUAUUUUCAUUAUCUUAUUAUAUAUUAUCAUUUUGAGUUUUACUUAUAUUAUUAUUAUAAUUUUAUAAUGUGUUAUUUUAUUAACUCAAUAUAACAUAUAUAUAUAUGUAUUUUUUUGUGGUUUUAUUUUUAUAAUAUAUUUUUUUAAAUCCAUUUUUAUGCACUUUAUAUUUAAGUAUUUAUACAAUAAUAUUCUUAUAAUAUUUUUAUACAUGUACAAUUUAUAUAUAAUUAUUUCUUAUACGUGUAUAUAUACAUAAUAAAUCAUCGAUUACAUGUUAUUAUAUUAUUUCCACUUAUUUCAUAUAUAAUUUAUUUCUUUUAAAAUACUCUAUUAUAUACUUCAUUUAUUUCAACCUUUUAUGUGUAUCAUUAUAGAUAUACUAUUAUAUGAAGUUUUUCAAUCCCUAUGCAUUACUUAUUUAAAUUAAUAUAUGUAUAUUAUUUUAUGUAUUUAGAUUUAUUUUGUAUAUAAUAUCUACUUUUAAAUUUAUUUGGAUACUAUUAUUUUAAGUGGAAUUUAUUUUUAACUAUAUUUUUUUAUUUAUUUCAAUUUUUCAUAUAUGUAUAUAUUAUUUAUUUUAAAUUUAUUUUAAUCAUAAUUUCCCUUCUUUCAUAUUUCUUAAGUUUAAAAAAAAAAACUUGUACAAUUUCAUGUGCGUCAAUUUGUUUGGUGCUUUGAUUGUUUUUUAAUUCAUUAGCCUUUGAAUGUUAGCAUAAUACAUUAUGUGAGAUUAUUGCUCUUAUACGUAUUAUAUUGCUUAUUUUUAUUUACUAAUUAUUCGUAGAUCAUUAGAAUACAUUUUGGUUUACAAAUUAUCGCUUUGUAUUGUACAUUAAUAUUCAAUUGUUUUUUUAUUCGUUCGAAAGAUUACGUUUAAUAUCAUUUAAGUAUCAAAAUCGAUUUAUUCAAAAACUUUCAAGAUAACGUAAUAUUCUGUAUUUGGGAUAUUCGAGAGAAUUGAGCCUUAAUGUAUUGGGUUCCAAUUUUCCUCGUUGAAUCUAGAUAAUCGAGAAUAAUCUUCAAUCAAAAUACAUACAUAAAAAGCUCAUUAUCGGGAAUUCGAUACAUUGUGUCCUAACGCAUUGGAUACGACAUGUUGUUUUCUCGAGAUGAGGAUUUUUCUAAAAAAAAUAAUAAAGGCAAUAUUCCGUAUUUGGGAAAUUUGAGAGAUCGUGCCCUAACUUACUGGGUUUCGAUUUUUCUCCUUUAACCCAAAUAAUCAAAUAUCCUUCUCAAAAUGCAUAGGUUUUAAAAGUCAAAAGAUAAACUUAAUUUUGAAGAUUAAGAAUGUUGCGCCCUAACUCACUGGGUGUGACAUUUUAUCUCUUUGAAAUAAGAGUGUCUUAUCAUUUAAUUCAAUUUAUUCAAGGUUAAAAGGAUCGUAUUUUAAAACCUUUUCAAAAUUUCAACACUAAGACAUUAAGUAAUCAACUAGGUACCAAUUUUUGGGCGUUACGAGGGUGCUAAUCCUUCCUUGUACGUAACCGACUCCCGAACCUAUUUUUUUGAAUUUCGUGGACCAAAAUCAUUAUUUUAAUAAAAUCAAACCAUUUAUUAAAAACAACCACUUUUCGAGGUGACCCGAUCACACUUCAUCGAAAAAGAUCGGUGGCGACUCCCAUAUUCAUUUUCAUUUUCAAAAUCCAAAUUGACCCUGUUUUAUCAAAAAAUGGUGUCAACACUGCACAUGUUUUAUCUUGACAUAUGGAUCCUAAGCAUUCCUUGGAUUUUGCCCUCUUUGUUCAUUUAUUUUUUCUUGGAACCUUAUUACAUGUUGUACCAUUCCAGUUUUUUGGAGACAUUGAAGACGACUAACUGCUGAAUUCUUUCUUCUGCAGAGGAACCAAUGGCAAGAGACUCUAAAAAUCCUACUCUUUUUUAUACCUUCCUCACCUCUUUGUGACAUUAUAGCUGAAAAAUGAUGUAUGCUAAUACAUGAAAUGUUUCCUUUUGCCUUUCUUUUUGUAGUACUAAGACUACAAAUAGUGUCUGCAAAACUCUUUAGAGAAAAACAAAUGUCUGUAAAUCUCUUUUCCCGUAAUCUUAUCUUUUCCUCAUUGUAAUAGUUGGAAAACAGUUUUGUUGAAGACAAUGUCAACUACUGGGAUAAGUUAUUGUAAGCAUCUUUUCUUUAAGUGUUUCAUAUUAAAAACAAACACUGUUAUUGUUUAUUUUGUAGUCUAAAUUAUGAUAAUUUCUGCACAAAAUUCACAUAAAUGGUUACCGUCCCGAAGCGGAGCGAGGGUGAUGCUUACUAGUUAUUAAGAAAACAGGACCUUGUAGGGCUUAACUGUUGAAUCAAGAAAGAAAUUUCUUUUAAUGCUUUCAGUUUUUUUAAAGCUGAUUUUUUUUACAAAUUAAAGUUUGGAUUGUAUGUUAAUUGCUUGAGGGAAGGUCGGAUGCUUUAUUAUCCCUAUUUUUAUUUGUUAUAUAUUUUAGCCAUAAUGAUUUUUUUGGCCCUACAACUUUACCAAAAAAAUCAUAUUAGCUUUCAUUUAAUUUUCGUCUCUUUUAACCCUUUAACUUAUAUUUUUUUGUCAAAUCACCCCAAAAUGGAUCGAAAACUUAACAUUUGUGAACUUUGAUUAUGUGGCAUACACAUGAAUUGUCACAUGGAUGACAAGUCAACAUUUAGUUUUUUUUUUAAAAAAAAAAACUUAAAAAAUAUUAAAUAAAAUAUUUUUGAUAUUUUUUAAUGAUUUUUAAAUUAAAAAAAGUUUUUUAAUAUUUUUUAAUUUUUAAAAAUUAAUUAAAUGCAAACAUGGAAAUUCACAUCUAUGUGUCACAGGCCGCGGAUUAAAGCCCGUGACCAUUGUGCAUAGAACACCCCAUAGAGGUCAACUUAUUAAACAAGGUUCAUUUGACCCGCAUGAACUGGCCCGACCCAUGGAACCCGUGGAGAAGCCCAUCUACUUGAAGCCUUGGUGGUCUAGUGAAAUAUAGUUUAAUUUUUUUUAAACAUAGGGUAAGGGAAGAAGAAUGCCUUAAAAUUAAUUUUUGUUAGAAAACUAAUAAGAAUGAGUUUGUUGGUUUAGUGUUAAGGCCUUAUCCUAUCCAUAGAUCCCAAGUUUGAAUCCCUUGGUGAGCAUUCAACCAAAAUAUUUUUAUUUCCUUGUUUUUACCACACUAAAAGUGACAAAUUUUAAAAUAACCCAGCCCAAAAACUAUUUUUUUUUAAUUUUAGUCCUUAAUUUAAAAUUUUCCCAAACCUACAUAAAUUUUUAAAACCUAUUCCAAUUAGGAAAAAUAAGUAUUAUAAAUAGACAAUUUCAAAACAAACUCUAGAAUUUCAUCUAGCAAAUUUUCAAGAAAACAUCCAUAAACACUUUCUUUUCCAAAUCAAACUUUCAAGCUAAAGAAAUCAGAAUCUUCAAAAUCAUCCCUCAAGUAGAUCUUCAAUCUUUUCUCCAGCACUAAGGUUUCUAAGUAUUCAAAAUAGGUGUGGGAACUAAACCUAAAUCUUUGUGUAUAAUUGAAUCUAAUAGCAAGUAGAGAACCAGUAUAGGCUAACCCUAGGAGAAACCCCCUGUAUGUGCAAUCAUGUAGGUGUGAGCCUAUAGAUGCAAAACCCAUUGUACAUGAAAACCCCAUGCAUGCAAACCCUUACGUGAAACCCCCCUUUCAUGCGAACCCUGUAUGAAUACCAUGUGAACCCUAGAUUAUAGUUGCGAACCCUAGGUUGUUAUGUGGAUACCCAUACUGUGAACCCAAGUGCACAAACAUAUAGGAAUAUUCAUGCGAGCCCCCUUGCAUGCGAACCCUAGUUAGUGUACAUACGGGUCUCAUAUUUACAUGCAAACCACUACUAGUGCGAGUCAAUUAUAUGAUAUCACAUACGAACCCUACUAUUACAUGCAAACCUUUAUACAUGUUAUAUUCGAACCUUUUUUUGUUAAAACUGGUGAGACUUGUCUAGUAUUACAUACGACCUAAUUUGCGAACUCAUAUGUUAAAAGUAUGUGAACCUAUCUAUGUUUGUUAUGCGAGCUCACAUGUUAGCAGUAUGUGAACCUAUAUAUAUCAGUUAUGCAAACUCACAUGUUAGCAGUAUACGAACCAUAAGUCUGUUAUGCAAACUCACACGUUGGCAGUAUGCGAACCCUAUAUACACCUUUAUGCAAACUCACACAUUAACAGUAUGCGAACCCUAUAUACGCCUUUAUGCAAGCUCACACGUUAGCAGUAUGCGAACCCUAUAUACGCCUUCAUGCAAACUCAUAUGAUUUGCAGCAUGCGAUCUCUAUAUUUAUGCGAACCCUUGUAAUAAAAAAUAUGCGAACCUUAACUUGCGAACCCUUGGCAGGAACCCUGCACUCGCAAAGCCUUCUUCCGGACCUGUACAUAUGCUAGAUAACCAAGCCUAUUAGUUUACAUUAAAUCACUGUACAUAUGAGACUGUUUGUUUACUUGCACAAGUUAUAUGUGUAUUUACUAUUCGAUACAAGAGUACCUAUCGACCUUUUGAUGAGAAUUCAGAGAUUAACGAUGAUAAUUCCAACAAUCGGUGUAAGAACGAGUUAAAUCGAGAGUUGAUGUAAUUUAAGGUAAUAAAGUUAAUUUUUCAGUAAUAAAUGUAAAAUUGUUAUGGAAAGAAACGAUGGGUAAAAAAAAAAAUGAGAGUUUUAAAGAAAAGAGAGGAAAACUUCAAUUUAGGGUUGAAGAGGAACUAAAAAUCUACGUGAAAUUAGGAAAAAAUAUAAAAUACCUAGGAUUAAGAAAUUUGAGGGGGUUGAAUGGUAAAAUACCCUUUUUUCUUAAAAAUGAAAAAAAUGGAAAUGGGUAUUAAGUUUGGCACGACUUGAAACUUGGAAGCAAAGGAAAAAAUUACAAAGGCCUUACCAUUUGGGUUGCUACCCACAUUUGGCAUAUUUUUACACUAUUUAAAAUAUAUCCUAGCUUAGUUUUGAUCAUAGGUUGUUGAAAAAAAAAAACAAGGGGUAAGAGUGUGGCUUCAACCUUAAUUCUCUAGUUAGUAUACUAAGCUCUGAACCAUUAAAAUUAAGGCUCAUGUCUUAGUCAAUUAAUUCAUCUAACUCUAUAUAUUUUGAGGUAUUACAUCUUGAAUUAGAAAAACCCAUAAAAUGCAUGUAGACUUGUAUUGCUCGGUACUUGGUACUAUAUAUGUAGACUUGUAUGUUGAUUAAGCUAGCUUAAUUAAGACCAAUGUGUUAGACUUGUCUAUGCAUUGAACAAUCUAGAAGAAAAUGAAGAAAAAGACUCUGAAAAUACUUGAAAACAGAUAAAACUCAUAUGUCAUCGACUAGUUAAACUAUGAUCACCCAUAAUAGACCUUGUAUUUGACUUUUUGUUGAGGGAGAAGUUUCGUGAGUGUUGUUUGUCAGGGAGUCAGUGUUGCCCUAAACAACUAAAGGUAUUGUCCCCAUGUCGAGAUUUUACCCCCAGCCUCUGCAAAAUAAUCAUGAAGAAUACGUGCGAAGGAAUUCAAACACCAACCAAUGCAUGUGUAGCCUUUACCUUCCCACUAUCUUUGGGAACUCAUAAGGAUAAAAUCCCAACAAGAGAAUUGUAUCAGAGGGGUCUGUCAACACAAUGAAUGAAAUUUCAUACUUUUUUUUUAAUGAAAGUAAAUAUCAUAUUUAGUUAGAGAAAAGCAACGAAAAAUCUAACAAUAAAAUCCUUAGCAAAAGAUUAAAACACAAUUGUACCAUAAAUUAAAUAAGAAAUUAAAAAAAUUCAAAUCUAACAAAGACAGUAACUUGAUUCCUCAAAGCUACCACAAACAGUAAUUCAUAGGAAGGCCUGCUGCUCAUUUAUAACACAAACUUCAUGGUGACGGAUACCAACAUACUAGAUACUAUGAUUAAAAUGCUAGAAUAGAUUAAAAAUGUUGAAUUAAUGAUAAAAUUAAGAGUGAAUUAACACAAAGUACUCAUCCUCUCUUUUUAAUGAAUCAACAUCUGCAAUUUCUAUCACUCCUUUAGACAGUGAACUUUCCAUCCAAUGCCUUAUAGUCACUUCUUCAGCAAAAUAAUUAUCAGUUGGCUUUUUCUUUGUGAAAGUUUCUAUAAGGACAAUCCCAUAACUAUAGACAUCACAUUUUCUAGAAACAAUUCCUGCUGAUCCAAAUUCUGCAUUUCAAGCAUAAUUAGAGCAUCAUUAAUCCUUAAUUAUUUCUAAAAUGUUUAUUCAAAUAUACACAUGAAACAAAAAUAUAAAAUGAAAAUCAAGAAAAUAAUCAUAAAAAGAAUUCACCUGGUGCCAUAUACCCGAUAGUUGCAAGAGUCAUGGUUUGCUUCACUACAUCACCUUCUCCCAAAAGGUUGGAAAAGCCAAAAUCUCCCACAUGUGCAACCAUGUCUUUAUCUAGUAAAAUAUUGCUUGGUUUGAAGUCAGAAUGAAUCAUAGGUGUUGGAUGUCCGUUGUGGAGAUGUUCUAUAGCUGUCGCAACAUCUAUCAUUAUGUCAACCCUUUGUAUGAUAUCAAGGAAACAGUUUUUACAAUGUAGCCAUUUCUCAAGAUUUCCAUUUGACAUGUAAUCAAGCACCAAGGCUUUUUUAAAAAUAAAAUAAAAUAAACUUGGUAUCCAAAAUGUUUUUGUGUUGACAUGGCAUUUUUAAAAAUAAAAUAAACUAGGUAUCCGUGUAACAAAAAUAAAAUUGUAAUAUAUAGGCCUAAUUUUAGUAAAGAAUGUUAAUGAUGUUAAGAAUUCUUUAAAUUUCACAUAAUCAUUUUUAUUAGAAUAAAGUAUUUAGACUAACUAAUUAUAUUAUAAAAAUUAAGAUACCAAAUUAUGUCAAAAUUAAAGUUAUAGAUUAAAUCUCAAUUUUAACAUUCUUAUAAUUUAAAAAAGUAGAAGAUUGGAAUUAAAUAAAUUUAUAAUCCUUAAUUGUAAAUUUGAUAAUUCCUAUUAAUCUAAAUUAUUACAAUAAUGUGCUUACUAUGCUUGGUUUUACUCAAUGAGUGAUAUUAAAUUAAUUAAAAAAUUAGAUAAAAAUCAAAUAUCUUAUUUCUAAUAAUAAUAUUAUUACUCCCUCACAAAACUAUAUUUCACUUGAAAGAAAUUCUAUUCCCUUCAAAAAAAAAUUACCAUCUUAAAACACUUCCAUCUUUUAAAAAAUCUUAAUGCACACUUUAAUCCUUGAAUUAUAUCACUUUUUCAACUUUAGUCUUAAAUUUUUUUUAUUGAUUUUAGUCCCUAAUAUUAUUAAACGUUUCCAAUUUAGUUCAUUGGACAAUAAAAAUUGAUUGUCGUUGGGAUAUCCAACCAAUCAUACACUACCAAAUAUUGUACGAUGAUAUCAUUAUGACAUCAUCAACAAAAAAACCUUAAAAAUCUUUAAAAAUGAAAAAAAUUAUUAUAAUUAUUUAAAAAUAGAAAAAAAAUAAAAUUGUAAAAAUAAAAAAUCUAUGUAAAAUAUAAAAAUUUACAUAAAAUUUAAAAAUAUAUUAGAUAUUUUAAUAUCUUUAAAAUUUUAUAAAUCACAUUUACUAGAGUUUGAACCUAUGAUUAUUGUCAACAAUUGUUUUAUGACUCAAUUAAUCAUAAUUUAUAAUUGGUAGAUCUUUUUAUGUGAUAAACUUGGAUAAUUUUUUUUUCAAAUUAUUUAAAUAAUGAAAAGUAAUAUUAUUUCAAAUAAAUAAUAAAUUAUAUAAUAUUUAUAAUUAUUCCAAAUAUUUUUUUUUACUAUCUUAAGAUAAAUUAUUUGUCUCUAGACCAAUAUCUUAAGAACUAUUGUCGUGUGUUUAACUAUUCUAAAGAACUUUGGUAUAAAAUAGAAAAAGCAUGUGCACAAUGGUAAAUAGGGAGUCGAGUCAAAUAAACUUGUUGCCAGUAACGCUGGUAAAGUACUAAAAAUUGAUGUAUUUUAAAAUAUUAAAAUUUUGAUAUAAAAAUUUAUUCAAAUUUUUAUUAUAAUAAUUUUAAAUAAUUUUUUAUAAAAAUUGAUUGUAUUACAAUAUACAAUUUCAAUAUCAAAUUUUUAAUAUUUUAAAUGUGAUUAGCGAAUGUAUACUUUAUUUCAAGUUACAUAAUUUUUACCAGUAUUUUAAAUUUUUUAUUUUUUUACAAUCUUUUAUUAUUUCUAAUAUUUUUUAUAUUUUUUACAAUAUUUAAAAAUUUAUAAUAACUUUUAAUAAUUUUAUUGUUUUUAGAAAUUAAAAGAAUUAACAAUUUUUUAUUUUUUAAAAAAAUUAUAAAUUUAUAAUGUAGUUAAUUUUAUUUAAGUUUAUUUGAAUUUUAUGAUAUUUUUAAAAAAUAUUUUUUUAUUUUUGCAAUCGUGACAUCAGCAUAUGACACGUGGUAAUUUAUGAUCAGAUGAAUUUUUAGUUUUUUUUUUAACGUCCAAAGGAUUAAGCUGAGAACACCUGGUAACGUUAGGGACUACACUAAGAGCAUUUGAUAAUAUUAGGUACUAAAGUGGGCCAAAAAAACAUUAAGGACCAAAGCAAAAAAAAUGCUAUACUUGAACUUUCAAAAUUAUCUUUCAUUUAGUUAGGAUUAAUAUUUAAUGAUUUACUUAAAAAAUAGAAAUUUAAAAAUUUGUAGUAUUGAGGUUAAAAAAUGAGUAAGAGGUGGUGGAUGGUUCAUACAAUGGUGAGGCACAAAGAACCAUUUUAAAAUAAGAGAAGGGAGGGGUGCUUAUUCUUGAGGUUAAGAAUGAGUAUUUAUAGGUGAGGUUAAUCAUCCUUGAUCAUUAGACCUUGACAAGUGUUUGAUGCCAGUCUUAUCGUGGUUGGCCACUAAGGGAAUGAUGGACCUCUAGGUAGUGAUGGAAUUGACAUGAAUUAGAUGAGAUUAGGAUGACAAUUUGGAUUUUGAAUUCGGAUAAUAUUGGAAUUAAAAUUUUGAAAUUACUAUCUGUUGCAUAUUUGAAGUGAAUGCGGAAAGAUAUUUCAGAAUUAUAUUAGUCGAAUCUACUUUACUUAUUCGAAUAGAUGUAGAUUGGAAUUUAGAUAUCUGAAUCAACUAGUCACGAAAUGUGUAUAGUUUUGAUUAUAUAUAAAAAAAAUUUGGUGGAUUCAAUUUUGAAUUUUCGUGGAUUUGGAUAUCCAAAACAUGAUUGAAAUUUUUAAAAUUACUCCUUUUCUGUUGAUUCAGAUAUUUGACGAAUAAUAGUACUUAACUUAAGCCAAAUUUAGACAGUAAUACUCGGAUAAUUUGUAUAUAAUAAAUAAAUUUUGAUUUUCAAGCAAAUAUGCAUAUUCUAAUUCAAAAAAUGUAGUUACUAACCUAUUGCCAUUCCUAGGCAAGAGUACCCUACGUGUGAUCCAUGCACAGAAGGAUCCAACAUCUUUCACUGACGAGGUAGAUUAGAAGCGUCACGUACCAGGCAUAUAUGUAUCAAUGAGGUCUAUAGCUGGCAAAGUGUAGCCCACAACUGAAAUCAUAGUUGACGAGGUAGUAGUUGGGCGACAUGAUGGUGACAAAAGCCACUCUGGUAAAAUAUUAAUAGCAAUCACCCUCCAAUUAAUGAGAAGUUAUAAAAUGACCUAAUUAAAUGGUAGCAUAGUUUACCAUAAGUGUCAUAUGUGUUGUAAGGCAUGAGCUCAAACCCUACCAAACUCAAAUGAUCAAAUUUCCUUGGUAGGUGGUCAUACGUCACGUACCGUUUGUCCCAACAAGGCGCUCCCACUCUGUUGAACCUGUCACCUCUUUAGGUAGCUUUAGGCACUUGAGAUCUUUACAAAGUCGAGAGGUAAAAUUAUUGGAAAAAAAAAACUCGGUUUGAAAAUAGUUUUCUUACACAGUAGAAAAAUAAAAUUUUGAAAAUCGACCUGGUUUGUGAUAUUUAUAACAAAAAAACCUUAACUGAAUUCAUACAUGUGUUUUUGGAUAAGUGGAUCCUUGAUGUUUUCAGGCUUUCAACCAAAUGAUCUUUUGCACUAUUCUCGUACCACGAACUGCUUCGAGUGUGGCCUCGAACCAAUUGAAUCAAAACACAAAACUAGAAAAGGUUUUCCUUUUUGGGUGAAAACCAAAAUUCUCUCUUCUUUAAUAGAAAUCAGUAAAAUUAUUAUUAUGAAAAAUAUGUUUAUAAGUUGAGAAUAAAUUCUCUCUAUUUUUCGACAGAAUAAAAAUCUCUCAAAAGUUGUGUAAAUAGCUCUACUGGUGCCAUUUAUUUAUAGGAAGAGAAAGUAGAACCCUUGUAGAGUUGUAAAAGUUUAUAUCCACUAGAAAAAUAAUAUCCUAGCCUAUCUAGGAUAUAGGGAGCAACAACCGUAGUUAAUGAUACUAGGGUUUUGUCAUCCCACCUCUUUAUAUGAGGGGUUUUAGGCCUCUCUCACAUCAGAUCCAAGUACAAGUACUUCUUAAAUAUAAAUUUGAAUUUGAUAUAUUGAUUACAUAUGAAUUUAUAUAUUGUGAGUAAAAUUUUUAUUUGAUAUAUUAAUAAUGUAUAAAUUUAUAUAUUGUUAAUACAUCAUAUGUUUAAAAAAUCUAAUAAUUAUAUAUUAUUUUCAAUAAUUUUUAAAUUUAUUAAUUGAUUUAUUGGUAUAUUAAUAUUAUUUAUUAGUAAUAUGUAAAUUUAUACCCUGUCAAUUUAUGAAAUAACAUUUAGUGAGUGGAAUAUAUAUAAAAGAAGAUAUUCUAAAUCUUUCUAAAUUCUUCCUUAAAAUAGAAAAAGAAAUAAAUUGUUGAUAUAGAUAUGUUGAUAAGAUUUUCAUGUAGGGCUUUUCUGUAAUUCAUGAUUUUGUUACAUGCAUAAAUUGUAAUUGUGAUAUUUUAUAUUUUAUUUAUAUAAAUCAUGUUAAAUUUGAUUUAAAUUCCUUUUUUAAUUAUUUAUUCUUUUAAGAAAUUUCAAGUAUUCAAUAAAUAUUAAUGUAUACUUUUUCUUAAAUUGAUAUAAUAGUGAUAUCAGAUUAGUUUAAAAUUUUGCGUGUAUGACAAGUACAAUUAUAUCGAUAGAUUCAAUAGUCGGAUUAUUCAAAUAUUACUCCUACAAAUAUAUAUAUGAAGAAGUAUAAACUGCUUUAAUUUUACAUUGGUAUAAGUAGAUCUCUCUCUUACAUCUGUUGUAUAUAUGAAAUUUUGAUUUUGAUUCAAACGUACUCAUUUAAAGAAAUAAAUACAUCAAUUUAUUUUUAUAUUGAAUAAGUAUAAUUAUUUGGAUAUGCUAUAUAUAGAUGUAAAAUGAUGGUAUAUAAAUAACGAUGUUAGAUGUUUGUAAAAAUUGAAUCAAAUCAAUAUUUCAUGUAUAAAAUUGCACAAUGGACCAAAGUUCAUGUACAAUUUUGAUCUUUAUAUCUGAAAUUUAUUAAUGCAAAUUAUUUUCCAAAAGAUCACAUUGAGUAAGAUUAAUUUAAAUUUCAAUAUUUAAAUUUUUUCUCAUAUAGAAAUAUAAUUUUUUUAAAAGAAGUGUAUACUAAUUGUUGAAAGAUUUCCGACUCUUUUGGAAAGUCUUCGAAGUGGCAUAUUUUGAAGAUGGUGGACCCUCAACACGUCCAAUAUUAUCAUUGGUUAAGGUUUUUUUUGGAUCUAGUGUCCUAAGUGUAGUACUUUUCAUCAAUAUACAGUUGUAAAUUUUUUUAACAAAUUGGUUAAUAAAACAAAUUUAUUGAUUAUAUUAAUAUACUUUAUAUAAUUGUCCUAACAUAGUUUUUGCACGCAAAGCAAAAUGGAAGUAAAUGUUGCUCAUUGGUUGCCUAAAUAUUUAAUUAAUACUAAGCGGUAUUAUGUGUAUAAAAAGACAGCUUGUAUUAGUAGACAAACCUAAACAUGUCCUUAGCAUAAUUGGAAAUUAGUAAAUUGAUUGAAAGACUAAUAUGUCGUCUAUCAAGUGUAUUUGGGGAGAUGCCUUGUCUUGGGCAUCGAAGCAGAUGACUCCCAAAAGGUAGAGACAUAGAUGUGACUGACUGGACUGGUAGUAAAUUGGAUAGCACACAAACAGAAUAGAUCCUGAAUUCGUUUAUGGACUUAUUCACUUGUGAUGUCCAUAGUGUGGCAUACAUAAAUCUUGAAUGGAUAGCGGAGUACGUAUGUGUGACUUUUACACUUUGAUGUAAGUAAAAACAUAAGUUCAAUUAGAUAAGGAACCAGAAUCUGGUACAUUUGGUUUACGACUUCUAUAGUAUGUAGCAUCAUUCAUAAUAGUGAAAUUCAUAGCGCAAAACAUGGGUAAAUGAUAUCCUCUCAUUGACAUUACAUGGUUAAUGAAAAGUAAACGUGGCCACGGGUUGUCCGUCUUUGUGAUGGAAACUUGAUCACUAAUUGAUAAUGAUUGAUUUUUCACGAAAGAAGAUGUAAUGGCUACCAUGAGAUAAAAUAUGAUAUAUUGGGAGAACAAAUAUUAUCCCAAAGAGAUCAAGGAUAUCCUAUGAGGGUAACACACUAAUGACAAGGUUAUUGGACGAGCAUUAAGUAGUUGCUUUCGUAAUGGUAUGUCGUUGGGGAUAUUUCAUUCACGACACUAUAGUGGAAUGACUUCAUCACUAAAUGAUUUUAUAAUUAAUAGGUGAAAAAAAUAGAAUUUAAAUAUAAAUCAUUUGAGCCUCAACUUUAUAUGUCUACUCGGUCCCCCAACUGUUAGUUCAUUGAAACCAAAAAUUAAUUGCACGUUUGAAUGGAAAUCAGCGAAAUGGAUAGAAAAAGAGAAAUGAGAAACAUUCAGGAAUGAUUAUGGUUUCCUCUAAAAUGGAGAAAUGGAAUAAUUUGAAAAUGAAUGUAGGUUUCCAAAAACGGAAAUAGAAAUGAAAAUGGAAACUUGCAAUUUUAUAUAUGAUUACUUAAAAAAUGAUGGAAGAAUGAGUUUAUAUUUUUGGACUAUUUUGAAGCUCGAAAAUGAAAAUAAAUCAUUCAGUCAUAGUGAACAUAUUGAGUUGUGUCAUAUUAAACGAAUUUUCUUGAAAUUUUAUUGGAGGUAAAAUUGCCAAAAUUUUACUGGGUAAAAUUGUCGUGAGAAAAUAAUUUAAUAUGUAAAUAUUAAAAUUUAUUUUGGAAAUAGAAAAAUUGAAUCGGGUUGGACCAUAUUACAAAGUACUAGAUCAAAAAGGCCCAGAAAGUACUCGUACUUGGACCCGAUGUGAGAGAGGCCCAAAACCCCUCAUGUAAGGUGGGACGGCAAAAACCUAUUAACUAGGGUUGUCGACCCUUAUAUCUUAGAUAGGCUAGGAUAUUAUUUUUCUAGCGGAAAUAAACUUUUACAACUCUACAUGGGUUCUACUUUCUUCUCCUAUAAAUAGAUGGCACCAAUAGAGCUAUUUAUACAACUUUUGAGAGAUUAUUAUUCUACCGAAAAGUAGAGAGAAUUUAUUCUCAACUUAUAAACAUAUUUUUUAGAAUAACAAUUUUACCGAUUUCUAUUAAAGAAGAGAGAAUUUUCGUUUUCACCCUAAAAGGAAAACCUUUUCUAGUUUUGUGUUUUGAUUCAAUUGGUUUGAGCCCACACUCGAAGCAGUUCGUGGUACGAGAAUAGCGCAGAAGAUCGUUUGGUUGAAAGCCUAAAAACAUCAAGGAUUCACCCAUCUAAAAACACAUGUAUGAAUUCGGUUAAGUUUUUUUUGCUACAAAUAUCACAAACUGAGUUGAUUUUCAAAAUUUUAACUUUUGAUGUGCAAGAAAACCAUUUUCAAACUGAGUUUUUUUUUUCAACAGUUUUAUCUCUCAACUUUGUAAAGAGCUCAAGUGCCUAAAUCUACCUAAAGAGGUGAUAGGUUCAAUAGAGUAGGAGUGCCUUGUUGGGACAAACGGUACGUGAUGCAUGACCACCUACCAAGGAAAUUUGAGCAUUUGAGUUUGGCAGGGUUUGAGCUCAUGCCUUACAACAGAUAUGACACUUAUGGACAACUGCUACCAUUUAAUUAGGUCACUUUAUAAAUUCUCAUUAAUUGGAGGGCGAUUGCUAUUAAUAUUUUUCCAGAGUGGCUUUUGUCACCAUCACCUCGGCCAACUACAACCUCGUCAACUAUGACUUCAGUUGAGGGCUACACUUUGCCAGCUAUAGACCUCAUCAAUACAUAUAUGCCUAGUACACGAUACUUCUAAUAUACCUCGUUAGUGAAAGAUGUUGGAUCCUUCUAUGCAUGGAUCAUACGUAGGGUACUCUUGCUUAGGAAUGGCAAUAGGUUAGUAUCUACAUUUCUUGAAUUAUUAGAAUUUGGAUAUGCAUAUUUGCUUAAAAAUCAAAAUUUGCUUAUUAUGUAUAAAUCAUCUGAGUAUUACUAUCUAAAUUUGGCUUAAUUUAAGUACUAUUAUCUGUCAAAUAUCUGAAUUCGCAAAAAAAGAGCAAUUUUAAAAUUUUCAAUCAUUUUUUGGAUAUCCAAAUUCACGAAAAUUCAAAAUUGAAUCCACCAAAUUUUUUUAUAUAUAAUCAAAAAUAUACACAUUUCGUGACUAGUUGAUUUAGAUAUUGAAAUUCCAAUCUACAUCUGCUAUUCGAAUAAGUAAUGUUGUAACACCUUAAAUAAUUUAAGUUUGUUUUUGUGAAAUUUAACACAAAAUGUGUACUUGCUUCAGUGGUUAAGUGUUCUAGGUGUGUGUGUGAGGUAUUGGGUUCAAUUCCCACUUUUGGCAAAACUUUGUUAUUUUAUAUCCAAGCCUAACUCUUAUUGAGUAGGCUUAUGUUAAAUUGUUUGUUAAUCCAUAUCAGAAUAAGCUUGUUGGUUUGAGUGGUAAGGAGUUGGUGUGUAGGAGGUCCUGUUUUUGAAUCCCUACGUGAGCGUAGGUAUUAAUUUUUUCUCGGUUGUCUGAUAGAGUUUGAGUGGUCUUGAAAGUCUGAGGUUGUUAAGGCUGGGUGUUAGUCUGAAGUUAGGAUAUUGUGGGGGGGAUUUUUAUGUUGAUUAUUAUUAUUUUAUUUUAUUCCUUUUUCAAAUUUUCCUCUCUCUUUCCAAAAUUUCCCUUUAAUGUUAUUCUUCAAGUUUUUUUUAUUGUCUCUGAUAUUUUUCCCCCUUUUCAUUAAAUCUUUGUUUUGUUCUUCUUUUUUGAUUAUGUUCGUCAACCUAUCAUUCGAUCGUGCCAUUGGAGUUGUCGGGUUAUCUAAUCGGUUGGUAAGUAAAACUUUGCUUCCCUUUAACUUUUGAUUUGGGAUUAUAGUGAUUUCAAUAUGUAGCAAUUGAUUAGUGGAACUUCGUGUUUAGGAGAAGAUUAUGGAGCAAUGAAUUGCACUCCAACAGUUUAGUGUGCAUUGAAGUGGUUUGUCAUCGACGGUAAGUCAGUUUCGUGUUGUUUCUUGUUGUCAAAUUCAUUAAUCAAACUACUAAAUCAAUGUUGGGUACUUUAAUUUUAGGAUUUGGAAGGCUCGGGAGUAUUUUUGCAUUAAAAUCGUAAUAGGUGUGUCCCCAAAACAUAGAAAGUCAGGUUUCGAUAAAAGUCAAAAAUGCAUUUUGUCGAUGCGACAAGGGCAUGUGCCUGGUCAUGUGGCUAGUCGUGUGUGAGACACGGCCGUGUAUUUGACGAGGGUGUGGCUGUGCGCAAGCCACGGUCAUGUGGUAGUGUAAGUGUCGCUAUGUAGGCCAUACGGGCUAGGCCAGUCUAGGUUUGUGGGCCUACAUAGGCAUGCCACACGGACGUGUAGGCCCAUACGGCCAUGUAGGCCCACAAUUUUGAGAUUUUCCCUUAGGUCGCACGGUUCGUUUCGAACGAUUGUGGACCUACCAUAGGGUCAGUAAGGGCUAAUCAAACCCUAAAUUAUGUGAAAUGAUAUUUUGAUAGUUCGCCUUGUGUAGGAUGUCGAUAUGUACAUCUGUUUUAUUUACGUAUAUAUAUGCUAUCUGUAUAUGAGCAUGUUAUGCAUGAUAUUACUGUAUCUGUUAUUUCUGUAUUAUGUAUUUGUAAAUGGGGUGGGUUUUGUAUAUGUAGAGAAAGUGAUCUGUACGAUAACACUUCCAUUAUAUUUUGACAGUUGACUGCAUAUUAUUUGUAAUGUGUCGUAUUGACACUAUAUGGUGUGUAGGGAUGGGUGGGUGCUUUUAACCCUAUAUGGUAUGAUGGGAUAGUCGAAGAUGUUGUGUAGAGGAUGGGGGUAGGAUUCUGUAUAUCUGUACUACUUAUCUGAUUUUGUUAUCUGUAUCUGGAAUGGAUAUAAGUCCGGAUCUUGAUCUGACUGUAUAUAAGACUUCUAUUUGUAUUGCAUUUCUAUUUUUGUUAGGUUACACAAUAAGUUUACGAAACCUCACAUCUGUUUGUCUGUUCUGUUCAGGUCUAUAGACUUAGGCGGAUCAGUGUGACGGAGCCUCACAGUAACCACGAGAUUGUAAACUAUUUAAUAUUACGGUUUUUAUUUAAUUUAAGGAUUCUUUCUGGAAGUUUGUAAUAAUUGGACUUUCUAGAAUAUUUGACUUUUAUUUCAGUUUUGGAGGUGUUUUAACUUUUAUGGCCACGUUUGACCAAAUUCACGGUUUUACUAAAAUAAAGGAUUUUCUGAAUACACGAAUUAGAUUUCCAAGAUUCAAUGCUUUUUGAAAACUUCCGCUAUAGAUUAUGUUUUGGAAAAUGAAUGAAUUAAAUAACGCUUCUAGUAACAGAUAGUACACUUGGGGUGAUUUAUUGAACGACUAAACAAAGCUUUAUUAAAAGAUCACUAUUUUAAAAACCCUUCCAUGUAACACUCUUAGAUUAGGCCACAACGUCUAGGCCAGGAUUAGGGUGUUACAUUUAAUGGUAUCAGAGUUAGGUUACAAAACUCGAGCUGUGAAUUUUGGGUUUCAAAAUUAUGUUUUGAAAAAGAACAGGUUUUCAAAUAAUUUGGAUCAUUUUGAAUAAGUAUGUGGUACACUGAGUCUCCGGCAUUGAUCCUAUAAGUACUUUUGAACUUAGAUAAAACUUUCUGAAAACACUAUAGUUAGUACUUUCUGAAACUGUACUGAGUUAGUUAAAAAAUAAAAACUUUUGAAAUAUGUUCGAACUUCUGAUAAUUUGAGCAUGAAAUAUAUGUUAAUAAACAUUGGAGCUGAUGCAUAAAAUUUUAUAAUGUAGAUAAAUUUGAAAAUAUACGAUGAGCGCUUAUGGAACUUGCGGUCAUGGUAUUCGUGGGCUCAGUGGGAGCCGUAAGGGGCUGGAGCUGAGUCUUUUUCUCUGGGCAGUAUGCCAAACUUAGAUAUGAGUAAGCCACCAGUGUCACUUGCUACUGAGACAAGGUCUCAAAGCCACUUUGGUGGGGACGACGCACUAUCCCAAGCCAUGUUGAGGGUGUUGGAGAGGGUCAUUGGACCCCAUUCUGGAUCUGUGGGCCGUAGGACGGUAACUGAACGACUCUGGUCCAAUAGAGCUGAGUUGUUUAGGGGUGUCAUUGAAGUCGCCCCUAUUGUGGUCGAGUAUUGGUUGGAGGGCACAAAGAGGAUUAUGAACGACAUCGAUUGUACUCUUAAGUAGAAAUUUAAUGGUGCAGCCUCUCUACUUCGCGAUGAGGCAUAUCAGUGAUGGUUGUCGGUUGAGGAGGGUACUCAACGGGACUGUCUGAACUGGGAUUAUUUUAAGACUACCUUUCAGGGGAAGUAUGUGGGUGCAAGCUAUCUUGAUACUUGUAGGCGUGGGUUCAUGAAUCUCACGCAAGGUGAUAAAUCUGUGGCUAAGUAUGAGGCCGAGUUUCUAAGGUUAAGCCGCUACGCUUAAGGCAUGGUGGUGACUAAAUAUGAGAAAUUCAUCUAUUUUAAGGAUAGCUUGAGGUAUAAUCUGAGGGUAUUGAUUGCUCCACAGAGGGAAUGAGAGUUUGAGUUCUUGUGGAUAAGGUGAAGAUCGCCGAGGAGAUUAAGUGCGUGGAGCGCUAAAAUAGGGAUCGUGAGUGAGGCAAGAAUAAGAGGGAUUCAGAGCCCUCUAGUUCUGUUUAGAGGGCUAUUAGAGUAGGGGUUCCUAUUACUUCUAAUAGGAUUCAGCCACGUGAUGAUUGUGGUAGGCACCAUCCGGGUGAGUGUUAGAGGAGGUUGGGGGCUUGUUUGAGGUGUUGGUCUUUGGAGCACCACAUUAGAGAAUGUUCACUCCAUGCGGAUUAGAUGCAAGCUGUAGGAUCAAGUUUUAUACAACCUUAGAGGGCAGUUCAGCAGCCAUCUAAGGGUCGUGGUCCUACUAGGGGUGGUAAUGGUAUGGGUCGAGGACAUAGAAUAUCGGGAAAAGGUGUUAGUUAGAUUGAAUCCUAAAUUAGAGUUAAGUUUGGUUUGAAUCAAGCCUUAACUUUGACCAAAUCCAACUAAAAACACGUCUAACAAUUAUCUAGUAUUGUUUUUAUGAAUUGAAUUUUAACUUGUAAUUUUCAAUUUUAUUACAAAAUUUCUUUGCGGACGAUAAGAAAAUAACAUAUUUGUAACUUCUUCAACCCGGCGUAAAGGUUAAGUCUGAAUUUGGAUUACAUCAGCCAUAAAGAUGGCCUAGCAGGAUUAUCGGAGUUUUUAAAAACAAACAUCUUUAAAACGUUUGUUUAAUUUAUAGAAAAGCUUAUUUAAUUUCCAAAUUAUUUAUUACUUGAAAUCUUAAUUACACUUUAAAAGUAGGAAGUGGUAACUAUUUAUUUUUAAUAAAAUUCGGGGUUCAUGUAUAAUUGAUUAAUAACCGUAAUUCGAAAACAUUAAAACUUAAAUUAAAUGUCAUGCAAAACAAAACAAGCUUAAAUCUAAAUCUCAUGCCGCAGUUCAAAAUUAUUUAUUGUAGUCUUAGAAAAUAAAAACAAUCAUAUAAUGAACCUAAAUUUUUUAUUUUACUUUAAUAAUGUGUCAAGGUCUUACAGAUGUCACGCCUGCGUUCAAUCUUGGUGGGUUAUCUGUAAGGAUGAAAAUUUAAGGGGGAGUGAGCUAUGACGCUUAGUGUGAGUUCAUUCACAAUAAAUUCAAUGCAAACGGUUGGUAAGGCACAUUAAAUAACAUCGCAUAAAGUAAUCACAGUCAGAUAACAGUUUAGAAUGGCGAUUUUACAAUUUAACUACCAAUAUUAUCACAAUAUUCACAGCUGUAAUUUCAGAAUAUCAAAUUUCCACAUCAUUCACAAUACUAACAUAUAUAUAAAUAUAUCAUAAUAGAAUUCCAGAUUUGUAUGCACAUGAUUUAGAAGAUGCCAUACAAUUUUGGGUUUUAACAGAAUAAAUCCUACCCCACGUUACAUAUCAUAAUGGGAGUUCCCCUAAACUCCCUUCUCCAACACACUAGGUUGUGGAUAAACCACUACUCGUCCACAGAUAAUAACUAUCAUUUGGCUGUGGACACACAACAAAUCCCCACAGUUGGAUUCUAGCUUUGGCUGUGGGUUCACAGCCAAGAGUCCUGCAAAUGAAGCCUGUUUUUGCAUGUAGAUUAUACAACCUAUACCCGCAGUUGGAAUCUGUCUUUGGCUAUGGAUGCACUGUAACACCCCAAACCCGACCUGGACGUUAUGGCUCAAUCUUGACGUAAUGCCCCAAAAUUUCUAAUUUCGUUAUUGUGAAAAUAUGACACAAAAUAUUUGUCUGCUUUAGUGGUUAUGUGUUCUGGGAGUGUUUAGGAGGUCCCAAGUUCACGCCUUCACAUGGGAAAAUUUUGGUAUUUUGAAUGAAUUAGGUAUUACUCUUAUUCAGUAGGCUUUUAUUUGAUUGUUGGGUAAAUUAUAUUAGAAUGGGCUUGCUGGUCUAGUGGUUAAAUGGUUUAUUAUUAUGGUGGAGGUCUUGUGUUCAAGUCCCUAUGUAGGCAAGGGUAUUAUUAUUAUUAUUUGCUCAAAUUUCUGGAUAGAGUUGUGUAAUAGGGGGAUUCUGAGUAGUAGAUGUGUAGUGGGAAUUAGGGGAGAAGAUUAAGGAGUUUCAGGGGUUAUCGAGAUUUUAUUUUAUUUUUUCCCAUAACCGAAUUUUGACUUUCUUUUUCCAAAAAAAAUCUGCCAUCUAUUCUUCUCCCUCUCCUCUUGUUGAAAUUCUCUUAGUUUUUUCACCUUUCUCUUCUUUUUCUUCUUCUUGAUUUUUCCCUAAUCCAUUUAUUUUUCUUCAUUUUCGCACGCGGUUAGUUUUCGCUUAGUUUCGGUAAGUGUUUCUCUUCGUUUCUAUCAUGAAUCUCCUAGCGACUAAAGUGGUAACUUUUUUCUCUGUGAUUUGGGCGUAGGGGAAGGCUCGAACUGUUGAAUUCAGUAUUCUCGUCUUAACAAUAGUUAAAUGGAGGGUUAUUGUUGGUGGUAAGUUGGGUUUCUGUUCAUUCUUAGUUGUCAAUUUGCUUGUAAAUCUGUUAAAUUGAUGUUGAGUAUCUUGAUUAUAGGCUUUGGAGUGCUUGGGGACUGUUUUAGCAUCAAACAAAACCAGGUGUGUACCCGGGACGCAAAAAAAAGGGAUUCGAUCGAAAGCCGAAAUUGUUUGCUGUUUGGACAGUAGCAGUAGGCUAACUUUGAAAAAUCGCCAUAAAUUGUGGAAAUCGAAAUAGAGGAUGAAAAAAAUAUGAAAUUAAAUCUUAUUGAGUCUAGUUUCUCAUAGAAGAACGGUGUAAGUAAUGGAAUUUUAAAUCAUGAGAUAUAAUAAACUAUGUGAGACAAGGUCAGAAUAAAUUCGGGUUCCCUUGUUCUGACUUUGGAAAAUCAUCAAAAAUUGGAUAAAAAUAAUUAGGAAUUAAAAUUUACAUGUUUAAAUUAUUAAUUAGUCUUUUUUCAAUAGAAACAAAUGGGAACUUCAUCCAAAAUUUUUACUAAGAGAUAAUUAAUUUUUAGCAAUGAAGGGUCGAAGCUGUCAAACAGCAGAACAAGGGUAAGUUUGAAGAUUUUACCAUACUUAUUGGCUGAGCCAAAAAUUCUAAAAAUUUUAUGGUAGAAAGGUAUUUGAGUCUAUUUUCAAAUACAUCAAGUGAAUUUUAAUUAGGAAUUCUUUAGCUCAAGAUAUAAAUAAUUUAGUUACAGUGAGUCAAGUAGAAAGCUUUGAAGGAACACAUAAGUAAAUUGUGAUAACAUAUAUGAAUAUUUAGCUAGCACAGGUUACAUUGAAAAUGGAUCACGUAGCCAAGGCCAAUUUGGGCUGAGUGGGCCACAUGGGCAUGUGAGCCCAUUUUUCUAAAAAAUUCUGUAAGGUUGCACGGGUCGCCCAAGUCGACUAUGGACCUACUGUAGGGUCGGUAAGCUUUACUUAGACGCCUAUAUGUGUGAUCUAUCUGGCUGAUUUCUAUACCGAGCAUGACUUAUGAUAUUUGAAUGUAUGUACUUUUAAUUACAUAAUGGCAUGACAAAUUUUGUAUGUUGCAUUGCAUCGGAGUGGGUUGAUGAUAUUUGGAGGAAGUGUCUAAAAGGCUAUUAAGCCUGUUAUCUGGCAGCUCAGCUGCAACCUUCUGAUUAUGUGCGCAUUUCAGUACAACAUGGUGUGUAAGGAUGGGUGGGUUGAUCUAACCCCCACAUGGUGUGUAAGGUUGGACAAAGAUGUGCGUAGAGGCUGGUGGGUAGGAUUCUGAUUUACUGUAUCUACAUUAUGUAUCUGAUAUGGGCCAAGGCUCUAAUGUAUUUCUGAGACUGUAUCUAAACGGGCUAAGGCCCAAACUGAUUGUGUGAUGGGCCUAGGACCCAGACUGUAUCUAACUAAAUUCUGUUGAUUAUUUGUAUGCAUGAUUUCUAUGGGAAUUACACACUGAGUUUACGAAAACUCACCCUUUCUCUAUUUAAUCUGUACAGGUAAUCCCCAGACUUGAUGGGUCAGUGCAACAAAGGAUUCGACAGUGGCCACACGUAAAUUAUGGAUUGUUUUCCGUUAAUACCUAGAAUUUAUUAAUUAUUUGGGGUUUUUGAUGUAUCUUCUGGACUAUGGACUGGUUGGCUAACAUACCUUUUUGCAUUGCAUCAUGUGCACGACAUAUUCGAAUAUUAUUGGUUUAUGCUACGUAGUGUAUUUUGUUGUAUUGAAUGGUAUCAAAAUUAAUGAUUGUCACUCGAAUGAAUUAUGACCUAUGCUCAUACACUGUUUGACAUCAAUUUGAUAAUGGCUAUGUAACGAUAUGAAAUUCCUAUAAUGGUUCUAUUUUCUUCUGUUAAAGCUAAUUAGUUUUACUGUAUUUGAUAUUUAUGUUUGUUUCAAUAAUUGUUCGACUCAUGCUGAGCUUUUCAUAAGCGCACCCCUAAUAUGUUAAACUUUUCAGGUAAACCUCGAAAUUAAGACCAGACUUGGCAUUCGAAGAAUCACCUUAGACCUUGAAUUAUUUUUCUAAUAAGUAUUAAUCAAUCUCUAAUGGUUUUCGUUUGUAAUUUUUAAUUAUAUCUAGUCUGUGGCUUGAUAACUUUUCUUCUGGGAUUUUUGCAUGCAUGGAUUACUCAAGCAUAAUAACCGGAUAAUGCAUGAUAUUAGGCUUAAGUAAAAUUUGAUAUUGUUCCCUAGAUUCCGCUGCAUUGCAAAGGAUUUGUUUUUGAAAAACAAAUUGAUAAGGUAACUAAGUUUUCAAAAUGACUUGAAAAAUGGUUUUUCCCCUGCAUUAGUUUAACAUCGAAUUUUUUUUAAAGGAGAGCAACAAGUAAAUGAUUUUUCUAAAACAACACUAUCAACAAUAAAAUGAAUUCUAAGUAUACACAACCUAAUGAAUGAAUGCUUUUAAGCUAACUUAAAGUACAACUAUGGUUUUCUCUAAAAUGAGUUUAUUUAAAGUUUUCAUAAGUAAUGUAAGUUAGCUUAGCCAUUUCGGUGGCUAAUGUAGCCUUCUCAUUCUAGCCAUAACGUCUAGGCCAGGUUUGGGAGGUUACAGUAUUGAUAGGAACUGUGGUAUAAAUUUUAUUUUGGACAUUCUUAAAUUGUUAUUUGGACUAAACUUUAGAAACUAUGGAUUUUAUACUGAGCCUAAAUUUACGAAGUUCAUGCGUGGUUUUUACGAAAAUGAAACUCAUAUGAAAUUUCAAAACCGUGAUGUUUUUAUUAACGCUCCAAUUUGAAAUUGUACAAGAAAUGUCAAUUUGAAUUAUUUUUGAAUGUUUUUUAUGCCAAUUAAAUAUUGUUUCAAAACAUAGCUAAGUAUUAUUUAAUUUCGUAAAGAUGAAGCAAACUCCGAACAAUCUAAAACUUCAAGGACUAGUUUGCAAUUUUUGUUUUUCCUCAAUUGUCUCCGGUUUGAUUCAAUUCUUGAUCUAUACAAUUAUUCCAUUCAAUUCAUCAAUAUUAAACAUUUAUACAUUAUGUCAUGUCAUGAAUGAACCUAGAUAAAUUCAUUUUUUGAUACCCUUAAAGUUUUACAUUUAUUUCAAUUUAGUCUCUAAAAUCGAAAUAGUCAUAACUUUAAAUUCUGAACUUCGGUUUGAAAAUCGACCUCAAUUUCAUUAUAGACUCUCUACUAUCCAUUAUUAUCAAAAUUUCACAUCAAUUUCACAAUUUAUUUACUUUAGUUAUUAUGUAAAAAAUUAACAACCAAACAUCACAAUUUAGUCAUUUUUCAUAAUUUAAGCUUAAAAUCUAUCAAUUUAAUACCAAUUUCUUCAAGAAAUCAACCAUGAUAACUAUAAAAAAAAUUAACAGUUUUGCAAAUUGAUACAUAGGUCAUUUAAAUCAAACUUUCAUGACCUCAGAAACACAAAAAAAAAUUAUACGAAAAUGAUUUAGAAAUGCAUACCAAUUGAGGACCGAAAGCUUGAAGCUCAAAAUGGCUUUUUCCCUUGAGGUUUUAUGUUGAUUAAAUGAUGAAGAAGAAGAAAUAAAGAUGACAACUUGCACUAAGUCACCUUUAUAUACUUAGAUUAAAUCUUAAUUAAUCAAAUUUAAUUAAUUAAAUCUUAAUUAAUUAACCUUAAUCACAAUUAAAAAAAAUUAGUAGAUGUUAACAUCAUCCUACACUAUUUGAUAUAACCAAAUGAUCUAUUUACCAUUUUGAACCUUUAGCUAAUUAGAAAUCUAUAGCGAUAAGACUUUUAAAAUUUAGUUUCUGUAUCUUAAUUAUGCAAUUAAUAGACAAAGUUGAAGGUUUAAAAUUUAAUGUUCUAUUAUACCAACUCUGUAAAUAUUCAUAUUUAAUAUUUACAGACCCGAAUUACGAAAAUGAGAUUUUGAAAUUGUAUUUUCCAAUACCACUGAAAAUCGAACAAUUACGUAACCUAUUUGCACCAAAGGGCCAAACAUGGCAAAUACUUGACAUGUAUGUCUUAAUAUCCUCAUCUAUUCUCUUCAAUAUAAUAACAUCCAAUAAUUGUUUCAUCCACUGUAACUAUCACGAAGAUUAGAUUUACCAAUACAGCCUACAAUUUGCAGAAGCGCGACAUUUUCAUUCUAGAGAAAGGUAUAAUUGAAACAAAAUUGAAAUAAAGAUUUCAAUACAGAAUCAACAGACAUUCCAGCUAAUACUUAUCAAUUAUUUGCAGCUUCAUUGCUCCAACUAAGAUGGUUUUUAGUCGAAUAUGGUAAAUGAAAUCAAUGAACACCAGCUACUUGAUGAACGAGUGAAUCAAAGUCCUGAUAUGUGCCGGCUUAUUGGUGAAAAAAUACAUGGGUUAGUUUUGCAGCAAUUCAUGAUCUUACAUUUUAUAACCUUUGCUUACAAUUAUUCACUGACUAAUCAUUCAAUGAAUGUAGGCCUCAAAUUUAGCCACUAAACUUUAUUCUUUAUUUUUAGAUACAUAUUAUUUGAUCACUUCAUACAGCCUAUUACUCAUAAUAACUUCCAAUUUCCCUUCUUUAGGUUAGUUGCAAAUGUACAGCUUUUUCUAGAAGAAGAAAAUUGUCAAGAGCCACCUGUUCAAGAGAGGCGCAAACAGAAUGUAACAAUACCUGACCUACUUACGGUACAGCCAAGUAAUCAUGUGUUUCUAUGCUAGAACAUUAAAUCAAUGACUACAAAUUUCAUGUCAUGGUUGUGUAUCAUUUAUGCCACUGAUGCUGCUAUUUUCUAUUCUAAUGCAUAAUAGGGAUUUAGUGUUUUUACCGUUAAAAUUGUGUCCUUUAAUUUUGGCUCUUUUCAAUUGUUGAUCAUGUCCACCUAUGCUUUAUUUUACUACUAUUGCUUUCUUCAAUGAUAGAUGAUUGAAUCGGUAGAAUUUUAUUAAUCCUCUACAUGUUUUAGCUUGAUAUGUGGAUCCUAAGCAUUCCUUGGAUUGUGCCCUCUUUGUUCAUUUAUUUUUUUUCCUGGAACCUUAUUACAUGUUGUAACACUCCAGUUUUUUGGAGACAUUGAAGACGACUAACUGCUGAAUUCUUUCUUCUGCAGAGGAACCAAUGGCAAGAGACUCUAAAACUCCUACUCUUUUUUAUACCUUCCUCACCUCUUUGUGACAUUAUAGCUGAAAAAUGAUGUAUGCUAAUACAUGAAAUGUUUCCUCUUGCCUUUCUUUUUGUAGUACUAAAACUACAAAUAGUGUCUGUAAAUCUCUUUUCCCGUAAUCUUAUCUUUUCCUCAUUGUAAUAGUUGGAAAACAGCUUUGUUGAAGACAAUGUCAACUACUGGGAUAAGUUACAAACACUGUUAUUGUUUAUUUUGUAGUCUAAAUUAUGAUAAUUUCUGCACAAAAUUCACAUAAAUGGUUACCCUCCCGAAGCGGAGCGAGGGUGAUGCUUACUAGUUAUUAAGAAAACAGGACCUUGUAGGGCUUAACUGUUGAAUCAAGAAAGAAAUUUCUUUUAAUGCCUUAAAAAAAAGAAAUUUCUUUUAAUGCCUUCAAUUUUUUUUAAAGCUGAUUUUUUUUUUACAAAUUAAAGUUUUGAUUGUAUGUUAAUUGCUUGAGGGAAGGUCGGAUACUUUAUUAUCCCUAUUUUUAUUUGUUAUAUAUUUUAACCAUACUGAUUUUUUUGGCCCUACAAUUUUACCAAAAAAAUCAUAUUAGCUUUCAUUUAAUUUUCGUCUCUUUUAACCCUUUAACUUGUAUUUUUUUUGUCAAAUCACCCCAAAAUGGAUCGAAAACUUUAACAUUUGUGAACUUUGAUUAUGUGACAUACACAUGAAUUGUCACAUGGAUGACAAGUCAACAUUUCUUUAAAAAAAAACUUAAAAAAUAUUAAAUAAAAUAUUUUUGAUAUUUUUUAAUGAUUUUUAAAUUAAAAAAAGUUUUUAAAUAUAUUUUAAUUUUUAAAAAUUAAUAAAACGCAGACAUGGAAAUUCACAUCUAUGUGUCACAGACCGUGGAUUAAAGCCUGUGACCAUUGCGCAUAGAACACCCCAUAGAAUUUUGGCUUUUUAUUUGGUCAAUCAUGUCCACCUAUGCUUUAUUUUUACUAUUAUUGCUUUCUUUAAUGAUAGAUGAUUGAAUCGGUAGAAUUUUAUUAAUCCUCUAUGUAAUAACCAAAUUUUUCCCGGGCCCAAUGCCAAACAAAUAAAACCCAAACCAAAUAAAUAAAAUAAGAGUCCAAAUUACAGUCCAUCAGAGCUCAAUUCAGACCAGCCCACUAUUCAAUCAGACUGGCCCAACACCCAAAUAACCUAACAACCCUAGCCCAACAAAAUCAGAAAAAUGAACAGCAAAAAAACCCUAGGUGCGCCGCACCUAGGUCUUCUGGCCUAACCGCCGUUGUUCGCCUAUCACCAGCCUCCACGCUGCCACCGCCGCAUGCGCACCAGGCCUCCUCCAUGUGUGUCUGACACCUGCAAAGAGAGUCACACGCAACAGUAGAAACAAAAACAAAAAACAAAUAGCAAAACGACAAAAAAAAUAAUGAUUAAGGAGUUCGUAAUCCGACUAUAAAAGCCCUAAUCUGUGACUUGUAAUUUUUUGACACACAUUAGAAAAUAAAAACCAAAAAAAAAAACUUUAAGGUGAUACUCAUUUCAUUUUAUUUUUGUUUUAUUUUAUUUUAUCAUUUUUAUCUUUUUAUUUCGAAAUAACAUAAAUAAAAAGGGGAGGCUGGGUUGCCGUUGCCAGAGCAUAUUUUGUGCUAAAGGGGGUUGCGCCGGAGGAAAAGAGGAAACUUUUCAGUUUCCCGCCGCCGUGAUGGCCAAACCUCUGACUGGCGCUUGGAGAAAGAAGGGGAGAGUUUGAGAGAAUUUUAGGUUUUUUGUUUAAUAAAAGUGAAAAAUGAAGAAUUCUGAAAAAAUUAAUAUUUAUAGCACCUAGAAAUGGCGUCGUUUUGGCCAGUUUCAUUUGGCCCCAAAAUGACACCAUUUAAUGGCCUAUACCGGCACAGUGACCCAACCCGGGGAAGGAUCCGAGCGUUUUGUGCUAUUGGGUAAUUUUCACAUUUGGUCCCUCUUAUUUUGUAGUGUUUUCAAAUUAGAUUUUAUUUAUUUUAAAUUUCAACUUACAUUUUUGUUUUUGUUUCACUUAGAUCCUGAACAAUGCGCAGCGUUUUGGGGGCGAGGAAAUAUUUCCAAUAUGGCCCCAUGUAAUCUGCAUAUUACACUUUAACCCCUCGUCUUGUUUAUAAUUCUAUUCUUUUCUUGUUAAUUUAGAUUCAAUUGCGAUUUAAUCUUUUGUUAAAACAUUUGUUUUCUUUAUUAAUUUAUUAACUAUUUUAUUAUUAUUUUAGUGGUAUAUUCGGUCAUAUUUUCAUUAUCUUAUUAUAUAUUAUCAUUUUGAGUUUUACUUAUAUUAUUAUUAUAAUUUAUAAUGUGUUAUUUUAUUAACUCAAUAUAACAUAUAUAUAUAUGUAUUUUUUUGUGGUUUUAUUUUUAUAAUAUAUUUUUUAAAUCCAUUUUUAUGCACUUUAUAUUUAAGUAUUUAUACAAUAAUAUUCUUAUAAUAUUUUUAUACAUGUACAAUUUAUAUAUAAUUAUUUCUUAUACGUGUAUAUAUACAUAAUAAAUCAUCGAUUACAUGUUAUUAUAUUAUUUCCACUUAUUUCAUAUAUAAUUUAUUUCUUUUAAAAUACUCUAUUAUAUACUUCAUUUAUUUCAACCUUUUAUGUGUAUCAUUAUAGAUAUACUAUUAUAUGAAGUUUUUCAAUCCCUAUGCAUUACUUAUUUAAAUUAAUAUAUGUAUAUUAUUUUAUGUAUUUAGAUUUAUUUUGUAUAUAAUAUCUACUUUUAAAUUUAUUUGGAUACUAUUAUUUUAAGUGGAAUUUAUUUUUAUCUAUAUUUUUUUUAUUUAUUUCAAUUUUUCAUAUAUGUAUAUAUUAUUUAUUUUAAAUUUAUUUUAAUCAUAAUUUCCCUUCUUUCAUAUUUCUUAAGUUUAAAAAAAAACUUGUACAAUUUCAUUUGGUGCUUUGAUUGUUUUUUAAUUCAUUAGCCUUUGAAUGUUAGCAUAAUACAUUAUGUGAGAUUAUUGCUCUUAUACGUAUUAUAUUGCUUAUUUUUAUUUACUAAUUAUUCGUAGAUCAUUAGAAUACAUUUUGGUUUACAAAUUAUCGCUUUGUAUUGUACAUUAAUAUUCAAUUGUUUUUUUAUUCGUUCGAAAGAUUACGUUUAAUAUCAUUUAAGUAUCAAAAUCGAUUUAUUCAAAAACUUUCAAGAUAACGUAAUAUUCUGUAUUUGGGAUAUUCGAGAGAAUUGAGCCUUAAUGUAUUGGGUUCCAAUUUUCCUCGUUGAAUCUAGAUAAUCGAGAAUAAUCUUCAAUCAAAAUACAUACAUAAAAAGCUCAUUAUCGGGAAUUCGAUACAUUGUGUCCUAACGCAUUGGAUACGACAUGUUGUUUUCUCGAGAUGAGGAUUUUUCUAAAAAAAAUAAUAAAGGCAAUAUUCCGUAUUUGGGAAAUUUGAGAGAUCGUGCCCUAACUUACUGGGUUUCGAUUUUUCUCCUUUAACCCAAAUAAUCAAAUAUCCUUCUCAAAAUGCAUAGGUUUUAAAAGUCAAAAGAUAAACUUAAUUUUGAAGAUUAAGAAUGUUGCGCCCUAACUCACUGGGUGUGACAUUUUAUCUCUUUGAAAUAAGAGUGUCUUAUCAUUUAAUUCAAUUUAUUCAAGGUUAAAAGGAUCGUAUUUUAAAACCUUUUCAAAAUUUCAACACUAAGACAUUAAGUAAUCAACUAGGUACCAAUUUUUGGGCGUUACGAGGGUGCUAAUCCUUCCUUGUACGUAACCGACUCCCGAACCUAUUUUUUUGAAUUUCGUGGACCAAAAUCAUUAUUUUAAUAAAAUCAAACCAUUUAUUAAAAACAACCACUUUUCGAGGUGACCCGAUCACACUUCAUCGAAAAAGAUCGGUGGCGACUCCCAUAUUCAUUUUCAUUUUCAAAAUCCAAAUUGACCCUGUUUUAUCAAAAAAUGGUGUCAACACUGCACAUGUUUUAUCUUGACAUAUGGAUCCUAAGCAUUCCUUGGAUUUUGCCCUCUUUGUUCAUUUAUUUUUUCUUGGAACCUUAUUACAUGUUGUACCAUUCCAGUUUUUUGGAGACAUUGAAGACGACUAACUGCUGAAUUCUUUCUUCUGCAGAGGAACCAAUGGCAAGAGACUCUAAAAAUCCUACUCUUUUUUAUACCUUCCUCACCUCUUUGUGACAUUAUAGCUGAAAAAUGAUGUAUGCUAAUACAUGAAAUGUUUCCUUUUGCCUUUCUUUUUGUAGUACUAAGACUACAAAUAGUGUCUGCAAAACUCUUUAGAGAAAAACAAAUGUCUGUAAAUCUCUUUUCCCGUAAUCUUAUCUUUUCCUCAUUGUAAUAGUUGGAAAACAGUUUUGUUGAAGACAAUGUCAACUACUGGGAUAAGUUAUUGUAAGCAUCUUUUCUUUAAGUGUUUCAUAUUAAAAACAAACACUGUUAUUGUUUAUUUUGUAGUCUAAAUUAUGAUAAUUUCUGCACAAAAUUCACAUAAAUGGUUACCGUCCCGAAGCGGAGCGAGGGUGAUGCUUACUAGUUAUUAAGAAAACAGGACCUUGUAGGGCUUAACUGUUGAAUCAAGAAAGAAAUUUCUUUUAAUGCUUUCAGUUUUUUUAAAGCUGAUUUUUUUUACAAAUUAAAGUUUGGAUUGUAUGUUAAUUGCUUGAGGGAAGGUCGGAUGCUUUAUUAUCCCUAUUUUUAUUUGUUAUAUAUUUUAGCCAUAAUGAUUUUUUUGGCCCUACAACUUUACCAAAAAAAUCAUAUUAGCUUUCAUUUAAUUUUCGUCUCUUUUAACCCUUUAACUUAUAUUUUUUUGUCAAAUCACCCCAAAAUGGAUCGAAAACUUAACAUUUGUGAACUUUGAUUAUGUGGCAUACACAUGAAUUGUCACAUGGAUGACAAGUCAACAUUUAGUUUUUUUUUUAAAAAAAAAAACUUAAAAAAUAUUAAAUAAAAUAUUUUUGAUAUUUUUUAAUGAUUUUUAAAUUAAAAAAAGUUUUUUAAUAUUUUUUAAUUUUUAAAAAUUAAUUAAAUGCAAACAUGGAAAUUCACAUCUAUGUGUCACAGGCCGCGGAUUAAAGCCCGUGACCAUUGUGCAUAGAACACCCCAUAGAGGUCAACUUAUUAAACAAGGUUCAUUUGACCCGCAUGAACUGGCCCGACCCAUGGAACCCGUGGAGAAGCCCAUCUACUUGAAGCCUUGGUGGUCUAGUGAAAUAUAGUUUAAUUUUUUUUAAACAUAGGGUAAGGGAAGAAGAAUGCCUUAAAAUUAAUUUUUGUUAGAAAACUAAUAAGAAUGAGUUUGUUGGUUUAGUGUUAAGGCCUUAUCCUAUCCAUAGAUCCCAAGUUUGAAUCCCUUGGUGAGCAUUCAACCAAAAUAUUUUUAUUUCCUUGUUUUUACCACACCAAAAGUGACAAAUUUUAAAAUAACCCAGCCCAAAAACUAUUUUUUUUUAAUUUUAGUCCUUAAUUUAAAAUUUUCCCAAACCUACAUAAAUUUUUAAAACCUAUUCCAAUUAGGAAAAAUAAGUAUUAUAAAUAGACAAUUUCAAAACAAACUCUAGAAUUUCAUCUAGCAAAUUUUCAAGAAAAAAUCCAUAAACACUUUCUUUUCCAAAUCAAACUUUCAAGCUAAAGAAAUCAGAAUCUUCAAAAUCAUCCCUCAAGUAGAUCUUCAAUCUUUUCUCCAGCACUAAGGUUUCUAAGUAUUCAAAAUAGGUGUGGGAACAAAACCUAAAUCUUUGUGUAUAAUUGAAUCUAAUAGCAAGUAGAGAACCAGUAUAGGCUAACCCUAGGAGAAACCCCCUGUAUGUGCAAUCAUGUAGGUGUGAGCCUAUAGAUGCAAAACCCCUUGUACAUGAAAACCCCAUGCAUGCAAACCCUUACGUGAAACCCCCCUUUCAUGCGAACCCUGUAUGAAUACCAUGUGAACCCUAGAUUAUAGUUGCGAACCCUAGGUUGUUAUGUGGAUACCCAUACUGUGAACCCAAGUGCACAAACAUAUAGGAAUAUUCAUGCGAGCCCCCUUGCAUGCGAACCCUAGUUAGUGUACAUACGGGUCUCAUAUUUACAUGCAAACCACUACUAGUGCGAGUCAAUUAUAUGAUAUCACAUACGAACCCUACUAUUACAUGCAAACCUUUAUACAUGUUAUAUUCGAACCUUUUUUUGUUAAAACAGGUGAGACUUGUCUAGUAUUACAUACGACCUAAUUUGCGAACUCAUAUGUUAAAAGUAUGUGAACCUAUCUAUGUUUGUUAUGCGAGCUCACAUGUUAGCAGUAUGUGAACCUAUAUAUAUCAGUUAUGCAAACUCACAUGUUAGCAGUAUACGAACCAUAAGUCUGUUAUGCAAACUCACACAUUGGCAGUAUGCGAACCCUAUAUACACCUUUAUGCAAACUCACACAUUAACAGUAUGCGAACCCUAUAUACGCCUCUAUGCAAACUCACACGUUAGCAGUAUGCGAACCCUAUAUACGCCUUCAUGCAAACUCAUAUGAUUUGCAGCAUGCGAUCUCUAUAUUUAUGCGAACCCUUGUAAUAAAAAAUAUGCGAACCUUAACUUGCGAACCCUUGGCAGGAACCCUGCACUCGCAAAGCCUUCUUCCGGACCUGUACAUAUGCUAGAUAACCAAGCCUAUUAGUUUACAUUAAAUCACUGUACAUAUGAGACUGUUUGUUUACUUGCACAAGUUAUAUGUGUAUUUACUAUUCGAUACAAGAGUACCUAUCGACCUUUUGAUGAGAAUUCAGAGAUUAACGAUGAUAAUUCCAACAAUCAGUGUAAGAACGAGUUAAAUCGAGAGUUGAUGUAAUUUAAGGUAAUAAAGUUAAUUUUUCAGUAAUAAAUGUAAAAUUGUUAUGGAAAGAAACGAUGGGUAAAAAAAAAUGAGAGUUUUAAAUAAAAGAGAGGAAAACUUCAAUUUAGGGUUGAAGAGGAACUAAAAAUUUACGUGAAAUUAGGAAAAAAUAUAAAAUACCUAGGAUUAAGAAAUUUGAGGGGGUUGAAUGGUAAAAUACCCUUUUUUCUUAAAAAUGAAAAAAAAUGGAAAUGGGUAUUAAGUUUGGCACGACUUGAACCUUGGAAGCAAAGGAAAAAAUUACAAAGGCCUUACCAUUUGGGUUGCUACCCACAUUUGGCAUUUUUUUACACUAUUUAAAAUAUAUCCUAGCUUAGUUUUGAUCAUAGGUUGUUGAAAAAAAAAAAAAGGGGUAAGAGUGUGGCUUCAACCUUAAUUCUCUAGUUAGUAUACUAAGCUCUGAACCAUUAAGAUUAAGGCCCAUGUCUUAGUCAAUUAAUUCAUCUAACUCUAUAUAUUUUGAGGUGUUACAUCUUGAAUUAGAAAAACCCAUAAAAUGCAUGUAGACUUGUAUUGCUCGGUACUUGGUAGUAUAUAUGUAGACUUGUAUGUUGAUUAAGCUAGCUUAAUUAAGACCAAUGUGUUAGACUUGUCUAUGCAUUGAACAAUCUAGAAGAAAAUGAAGAAAAAGACUCUGAAAACACUUGAAAACAGAUAAAACUCAUAUGUCAUCGACUAGUUAAACUAUGAUCACCCAUAAUAGACCUUGUAUUUGACUUUUUGUUGAGGGAGAAGUUUCGUGAGUGUUGUUUGUCAGGGAGUCAGUGUUGCCCUAAACAACUAAAGGUAUUGUCCCCAUGUCGAGAUUUUACCCCCAGCCUCUGCAAAAUAAUCAUGAAGAAUACGUGCGAAGGAAUUCAAACACCAACCAAUGCAUGUGUAGCCUUUACCUUCCCACUAUCUUUGGGAACUCAUAAGGAUAAAAUCCCAACAAGAGAAUUGUAUCAGAGGGGUCUGUCAACACAAUGAAUGAAAUUUCAUACUUUUUUUUUAAUGAAAGUAAAUAUCAUAUUUAGUUAGAGAAAAGCAACGAAAAAUCUAACAAUAAAAUCCUUAGCAAAAGAUUAAAACACAAUUGUACCAUAAAUUAAAUAAGAAAUUAAAAAAAUUCAAAUCUAACAAAGACAGUAACUUGAUUCCUCAAAGCUACCACAAACAGUAAUUCAUAGGAAGGCCUGCUGCUCAUUUAUAACACAAACUUCAUGGUGACGGAUACCAACAUACCAUCAACUGAAGUCAUAGUUGACGAGGUUGUAGUUGGCCGAGGUGAUGGUGACAAAAGCCACUCUGGAAAAAUAUUAAUAGCAAUCGCCCUCCAAUUAAUGAGAAUUUAUAAAGUGACCUAAUUAAAUGGUAGCAGUUGUCCAUAAGUGUCAUAUCUGUUGUAAGGCAUGAGCUCAAACCCUACCAAACUCAAAUGAUCAAAUUUCCUUGGUAGGUGGUCAUACGUCACGUACCGUUUGUCCCAACAAGGCGCUCCCACUCUGUUGAACCUCUCAUCUCUUUAGGUAGCUUUAGGCACUUGAGAUCUUUACAAAGUCGAGAGGUAAAAUUAUUGGAAAAAAAAACUCGGUUUGAAAAUGGUUUUCUUGCACAGUAGAAAAAUAAAAUUUUGAAAAUUGACUUGGUUUGUGAUAUUUAUAACAAAAAAAAACCUUAACUGAAUUCAUACAUGUGUUUUUGGAUAAGUGGAUCCUUGAUGUUUUCAGGCUUUCAACCAAACGAUCUUUUGCACUAUUCUCGUACCACGAUCUGCUUCGAGUGUGGCCUCGAACCAAUUGAAUCAAAACACAAAACUAGAAAAGGUUUUCCUUUUUGGGUGAAAACCAAAAUUCUCUCUUCUUUAAUAGAAAUCGGUAAAAUUAUUAUUAUGAAAAAUAUGUUUAUAAGUUGAGAAUAAAUUCUCUCUAUUUUUCGACAGAAUAAAAAUCUCUGAAAAGUUGUGUAAAUAGCUCUACUGGUGCCAUUUAUUUAUAAGAAGAGAAAGUAGAACCCUUGUAGAGUUGUAAAAGUUUAUAUCCACUAGAAAAAUAAUAUCCUAGCCUAUCUAGGAUAUAGGGAGCAACAACCCUAGUUAAUGAUACUAGGGUUUUGUCGUCCCACCUCCUUAUAUGAGGGGUUUUAGGCCUCUCUCACAUCAGGUCCAAGUACAAGUAAUUCUUAAAUAUAAAUUUGAAUUUGAUAUAUUGAUUACAUAUGAAUUUAUAUAUUGUGAGUAAAAUUUUUAUUUGAUAUAUUAAUAAUGUAUAAAUUUAUAUAUUGUUAAUACAUCAUAUGUUUAAAAAAUCUAAUAAUUAUAUAUUAUUUUCAAUAAUUUUUAAAUUUAUUAAUUGAUUUAUUGGUAUAUUAAUAUUAUUUAUUAGUAAUAUGUAAAUUUAUACCCUGUCAAUUUAUGAAAUAACAUUUAGUGAGUGGAAUAUAUAUAAAAGAAGAUAUUCUAAAUCUUUCUAAGAUUUCUAAUUCUUCCUUAAAAUAGAAAAAGAAAUAAAUUGUUGAUAUAGAUAUGUUGAUAAGAUUUUCAUGUAGGGCUUUUCUGUAAUUCAUGAUUUUGUUACAUGCAUAAAUUGUAAUUGUGAUAUUUUAUAUUUUAUUUAUAUAAAUCAUGUUAAAUUUGAUUUAAAUUCCUUUUUUAAUUAUUUAUUCUUUUAAGAAAUUUCAAGUAUUCAAUAAAUAUUAAUGUAUACUUUUUCUUAAAUUGAUAUAAUAGUGAUAUCAGAUUAGUUUAAAAUUUUGCGUGUAUGACAAGUACAAUUAUAUCGAUAGAUUCAAUAGUCGGAUUAUUCAAAUAUUACUCCUACAAAUAUAUAUUUGAAGAAGUAUAAACUGCUUUAAUUUUACACUGGUAUAAGUAGAUCUCUCUCUUACAUCUGUUGUAUAUAUGAAAUUUUGAUUUUGAUUCAAACGUACUCAUUUAAAGAAAUAAAUAUAUCAAUUUAUUUUUAUAUUGAAUAAGUAUAAUUAUUUGGAUAUGCAAUAUAUAGAUGUAAAAUGAUGGUAUAUAAAUAACGAUGUUAGAUGUUUGUGAAAAUUGAAUCAAAUCAAUAUUUCAUGUAUAAAAUUGCACAAUGGACCAAAGUUCAUGUACAAUUUUGAUCUUUAUAUCUGAAAUUUAUUAAUGCAAAUUAUUUUCCAAAAGAUCACAUUGAGUAAGUUUAAUUUAAAUUUCAAUAUUUAAAUUUUUUUCUCAUAUAGAAAUAUAAUUUUUUUAAAAGAAGUGUAUACUAAUUGUUGAAAGAUUUUCGACUCUUUUGGAAAGUCUUCGAAGUGGCAUAUUUUGAAGAUGGUGGACCCUCAACACGUCCAAUAUUAUCAUUGGUUAAGGUUUUUGUUGGAUCUAGUGUCCUAAGUGUAGUACUUUUCAUCAAUAUACAGUUGUAAAUUUUUUUAACAAAUUGGUUAAUAAAACAAAUUUAUUGAUUAUAUUAAUAUACUUUAUAUAAUUGUCCUAACAUAGUUUUUGCACGCAAAGCAAAAUGGAAGCAAAUGUUGCUCAUUGGUUGCCUAAAUAUUUAAUUAAUACUAAGCGGUAUUAUGUGUAUAAAAAGACAGCUUGUAUUAGUAGACAAACCUAAACAUGUCCUUAGCAUAAUUGGAAAUUAGUAAAUUGAUUGAAAGACUAAUAUGUCGUCUAUCAAGUGUAUUUGGGGAAAUGCCUUGUCUUGGGCAUCGAAACGGAUGACUCCCAAAAGGUAGAGACAUAGAUGUGACUGACUGGACUGGUAGUAAAUUGGAUAGGACACAAACAGAAUAGAUCCUGAAUUCGUUUAUGGACUUAUUCACUUGUGAUGUCCAUAGUGUGGCAUACAUAAAUCUUGAAUGGAUAGCGGAGUACGUAUGUGUGACUUUUACACUUUGAUGUAAGUAAAAACAUAAGUUCAAUUAGAUAAGGAACCAGAAUCUGGUACAUUUGGUUUACGACUUCUAUAGUAUGUAGCAUCAUUUAUAAUAGUGAAAUUCAUAGCGCAAAAAAUGGGUAAAUGAUAUCCUCUCAUUGACAUUACAUGGUUAAUGAAAAGUAAACGUGGCCACGGGUUGUCCGUCUUUGUGAUGGAAACUUGAUCACUAAUUGAUAAUGAUUGAUUUUUCACGAAAGAAGAUGUAAUGGCUACCAUGAGAUAAAAUAUGAUCAUAUUAGGAGAACAAAUAUUAUCCCAAAGAGAUCAAGGAUAUCCUAUGAGGGUAACACACUAAUGACAAGGUUAUUGGACGAGCAUUAAGUAGUUGCUUUCGUAAUGGUAUGUCGUUAGGGAUAUUUCAUUCACGACACUAUAGUGGAAUGACUUCGUGACUAAAUGAUUUUAUAAUUAAUAGGUGAAAAAAUAGAAUUUAAUUAUAAAUCAUUUGAGCCUCAAGUUUAUAUGUCUACUCGGUCCCCCAACUGUUAGUUCAUUGAAACCAAAAAUUAAUUGCACGUUUGAAUGGAAAUCAGCGAAAUGGAUAGAAAAAGAGAAAUGAGAAACAUUCAGGAAUGAUUAUGGUUUCCUCUAAAAUGGAGAAAUGGAAUAAUUUGAAAAUGAAUGUAGGUUUCCAAAAAUGGAAAUAGAAAUGAAAAUGGAAACUUGCAAUUUUAUAUAUGAUUACUUAAAAAAUGAUGGAAGAAUGAGUUUAUAUUUUUGGACUAUUUUGAAGCUCGAAAAUGAAAAUAAAUCAUUCAGUCAUAGUGAACAUAUUGAGUUGUGUCAUAUUAAACGAAUUUUCUUGAAAUUUUAUUGGAGGUAAAAUUGCCAAAAUUUUACUGGGUAAAAUUGUCGUGAGAAAAUAAUUUAAUAUGUAAAUAUUAAAAUUUAUUUUGGAAAUAGAAAAAUUGAAUUGGGUUGGACCAUAUUACAAAGUACUAGAUCAAAAAGGCCCAGAAAGUACUCGUACUUGGACCCGAUGUGAGAGAGGCCCAAAACCCCUCAUAUAAGGUGGGACGGCAAAACCCUAUUAACUAGGGUUGUCGACCCUUAUAUCCUAGAUAGGCUAGGAUAUUAUUUUUCUAGCAGAAAUAAACUUUUACAACUGUACAUGGGUUCUACUUUCUUCUCCUAUAAAUAGAUGGCACCAAUAGAGCUAUUUGUACAACUUUUGAGAGAUUAUUAUUCUACCGAAAAGUAGAGAGAAUUUAUUCUCAACUUAUAAACAUAUUUUUUAGAAUAACAAUUUUACCGAUUUCUAUUAAAAAAGAGAGAAUUUUCGUUUUCACCCUAAAAGGAAAACCUUUUCUAGUUUUGUGUUUUGAUUCAAUUGGUUUGAGCCCACACUCGAAGCAGUUCGUGGUACGAGAAUAGCGCAGAAGAUCGUUUGGUUGAAAGCCUAAAAACAUCAAGGAUUCACCCAUCUAAAAACACAUGUAUGAAUUCGGUUAAGUUUUUUUUGCUACAAAUAUCACAAACCGAGUUGAUUUUCAAAAUUUUAACUUUUGAUGUGCAAGAAAACCAUUUCCAAACUGAGUUUUUUUUCAACAGUUUUAUCUCUCAACUUUGUAAAGAGCUCAAGUGCCUAAAGCUACCUAAAGAGGUGACAGGUUCAAUAGAGUAGGAGUGCCUUGUUGGGACAAACGGUACGUGAUGCAUGACCACCUACCAAGGAAAUUUGAGUAUUUGAGUUUGGCAGGGUUUGAGCUCAUGCCUUACAACAGAUAUGACACUUAUGGACAACUGCUACCAUUUAAUUAGGUCACUUUAUAAAUUCUCAUUAAUUGGAGGGCGAUUGCUAUUAAUAUUUUUCCAGAGUGGCUUUUGUCACCAUCACCUCGGCCAACUACAACCUCGUCAACUAUGACUUCAGUUGAUGGCUACACUUUGCCAGCUAUAGACCUCAUCAAUACAUAUAUGCCUAGUACAUGAUACUUCUAAUAUACCUCGUUAGUGAAAGAUGUUGGAUCCUUCUAUGCAUGGAUCACACGUAGGGUACUCUUGCUUAGGAAUGGCAAUAGGUUAGUAUCUACAUUUCUUGAAUUAUUAGAAUUUGGAUAUGCAUAUUUGCUUAAAAAUCAAAAUUUUUUUAUUAUCUAUAAAUCAUCUGAGUAUUACUAUCUAAAUUUGGCUUAAUUUAAGUACUAUUAUCUGUCAAAUAUCUGAAUCCACAAAAAAAGGGCAAUUUUAAAAUUUUCAAUCAUUUUUUGGAUAUCCAAAUUCACGAAAAUUCAAAAUUGAAUCCACCAAAUUUUUUUAUAUAUAAUCAAAACUAUACAUAUUUCGUGACUAGUUUAUUUAGAUAUUGAAAUUCCAAUCUACAUCUGCUAUUCGAAUAAGUAAUGUUGUAACACCUUAAAUAAUUUAAGUUUGUUUUUGUGAAAUUUAACACAAAAUGUGUACCUGCUUCAGUGGUUAAGUGUUCUAGGUGUGUGUGUGAGGUAUUGGGUUCAAUUCCCACUUUUGGCAAAACUUUGUUAUUUUAUAUCCAAGCCUAACUCUUAUUGAGUGGGCUUAUGUUAAUUGUUUGUUAAUCCAUAUCAGAAUAAGCUUGUUGGUUUGAGUGGUAAGGAGUUGGUGUGUAGGAGGUCUUGUUUUUGAAUCCCUACGUGAGUGUAGGUAUUAAUUUUUGCUCGGUUGUCUGAUAGAGUUUGAGUGGUCUUGAAAGUCUGAGGUUGUUAAGGUUGAGUGUUAGUCUGAAGUUAGGAUAUUGUGAGGGGAUUUUUAUGUUGAUUAUUAUUAUUUUAUUUUAUUCCUUUUUCAAAUUUUCCUCUCUCUUUCCAAAAUUUCCCUUUAAUGUUAUUCUUCAAGUUUUUUUUGUUGUCUCUGAUAUUUUUCCCCCUUUUCAUUAAAUCUUUAUUUUGUUCUUCUUUUUUGAUUAUGUUCGUCAACCUAUCAUUCGAUCGUGCCAUUGGAGUUGUCGGGUUAUCUAAUCGGUUGGUAAGUAAAACCUUGCUUCCCUUUAACUUUUGAUUUGGGAUUAUAGUGAUUUCAAUAUGUAGCAAUUGAUUAGUGGAACUUCGUGUUUAGGAGAAGAUUAUGGAGCAAUGAAUUGCACUCCAACAGUUUAGUGUGUAUUGAAGUGGUUUGUCAUCGACGGUAAGUCAGUUUCGUGUUGUUUCUUGUUGUCAAAUUCAUUAAUCAAACUACUAAAUCAAUGUUGGGUACUUUAAUUUUAGGAUUCGGAAGGCUCGGGAGUAUUUUUGCAUUAAAAUCGUAAUAGGUGUGUCCCCAAAACACAGAAAGUCAGGUUUCGAUAAAAGUCAAAAAUGCAUUUUGUCGAUGCGACAAGGGCAUGUGCCUGGUCGUGUGGCUAGUCCUGUGUGAGACACGGCCAUGUAUUUGACGAGGGUGUGGCUGUGCGCAAGCCACGGUCAUGUGGUAGUGUAAGUGUGGCUGUGUAGGCCAUACGGGCUAGGCCAGUCUAGGUUUGUGGGCCUACACAGGCAUGCCACACGGACGUGUAGGCCCAUACGGCCAUGUAGGCCCACAAUUUUGAGAUUUUCCCUUAGGUCGCACGGUUCGUUUCGAACGAUUGUGGACCUACCAUAGGGUCGGUAAGGGCUAAUCAAACCCUAAAUUAUGUGAAAUGAUAUUUUGAUCGUUCGCCUUGUGUAGGAUGUCAAUAUGUACAUCUGUUUUAUUUACGUAUAUAUAUGCUAUCUGUAUAUGAGCAUGUUAUGCAUGAUAUUACUGUAUCUGUUAUUUCUAUAUUAUGUAUCUGUAAUUGGGGUGGGUUUUGUAUAUGUAGAGAAAGUGAUCUGUACGAUAACACUUCCAUUAUAUUUUGACAGUUGACUGCAUAUUAUUUGUAAUGUGUCGCAUUGACACUAUAUGGUGUGUAGGGAUGGGUGGGUGCUUUUAACCCCAUAUGGUGUGAUGGGAUAGUCGAAGAUGUUGUGUAGAGGAUGGGGGUAGGAUUCUGUAUAUCUGUACUACUUAUCUGAUUUUGUUAUCUGUAUCUGGAAUGGAUAUAAGUCCGGAUCUUGAUCUGACUGUAUAUAAGACUUCUAUUUGUAUUGCAUGUCUAUUUUUGUUAGGUUACACAAUAAGUUUACGAAAACUCACAUCUGUUUGUCUGUUCUGUUUAGGUCUAUAGACUUAGGCGGAUCAGUGUGACGGAGCCUCACAGUAACCACGAGAUUGUAAACUAUUUAAGAUUACGGUUUUUAUUUAAUUUAAGGAUUCUUUCUGGAAGUUUGUAAUAAUUGGACUUUCUAGAAUAUUUGACUUUUAUUUCAGUUUUGGAGGUGUUUUAACUUUUAUGGCCACGUUUGACCAAAUUCACGGUUUUACUAAAAUAAAGGAUUUUCUGAAUACACGAAUUAAAUUUCCAAGAUUCAAUGCUUUUUGAAAACUUCCGCUGUAGAUUAUGUUUUGGAAAAUGAAUGAAUUAAAUAACGCUUCUAGUAACAGAUAGUACACUUGGGGUGAUUUAUCGAACGACUAAACAAAGCUUUAUUAAAAUAUCACUAUUUUAAAAACCCUUCCAUGUAACACUCUUAGAUUAGGCCACAACGUCUAGGCCAGGAUUAGGGUGUUACAUUUAAUGGUAUCAGAGUCAGGUUACAAAACUCGAGCUGUGAAUUUUGGGUUUCAAAAUUAUGUUUUGAAAAGAACAGGUUUUCAAAUAAUUUGGAUCAUUUUGAAUAAGUAUGUGGUACACUGAGUCUCCGGCGUUGAUCCUAUAAGUACUUUUGAACUUAGAUAAAACUUUCUGAAAACACUAUAGUUAGUACUUUCUGAAAUUGUACUGAGUUAGUUAAAAAAUAAAAACUUUUGAAAUAUGUUCGAACUUUUGAUAAUUUGAGCAUGAAAUAUAUGUUAAUAAACAUUGGAGCUGAUGCAUAAAAUUUUCUAAUGUAGAUAAAUUUGAAAAUAUACGAUGAGCGCUUGUGGAACUUGCGGUCAUGGUAUUCGUAGGCUCAGUGGGGGCCGUAAGGGGCUGGAGCUGAGUCUUUUUCUCUGGGCAGUAUGCCAAACUUAGAUAUGAGUAAGCCACCAGUGUCACUUGCUACUGAGACAAGGUCUCAAAGCCACUUGGCUGGGGACGACACACUAUCCCAAGCCAUGUUGAGGGUGUUGGAGAGGGUCACUGGACCCCAUUCUGGAUCUGUGGGCCGUAGGACGGUAACUGAACGACUCUGGUCCAAUAGAGCUGAGUUGUUUAGGGGUGUCAUUGAAGUCGCCCCUAUUGUGGUCGAGUAUUGCUUGGAGGGCACAAAGAGGAUUAUGAACGACAUCAAUUGUACUCCUAAGUAGAAAUUUAAUGGUGCAGCCUCUGUACUUCGCGAUGAGGCAUAUCAGUGGUGGUUGUCGGUUGAGGAGGGUACUCAACGGGACUGUCUGAACUGGGAUUAUUUUAAGACUACCUUUCAGGGGAAGUUUGUGGGCGCAAGCUAUGUUGAUACUUGUAGGCGUGGGUUCAUGAAUCUCACGCAAGGUGAUAAAUCUGUGGCUAAGUAUGAGGCCGAGUUUCUAAGGUUAAGCCGCUACGCUUGAGGCAUGGUGGUGACUAAAUAUGAGAAAUUCAUCUAUUUUAAGGAUAGCUUGAGGUAUAAUCUGAGGGUAUUGAUUGCUCCACAAAGGGAACGACAGUUCGCAGUUCUUGUGGAUAAGGUGAAGAUCGCCGAGGAGAUUAAGUGCGUGGAGCGCUAAAAUAGGGAUCGUGAGUGAGGCAAGAAUAAGAGGGAUUCAGAGCCCUCUAGUUCUGUUUAGAGGGCUAUUAGAGUAGGGGUUCCUAUUACUUCUAAUAGGAUUCAGCCACGUGAUGAUUGUGGUAGGCACCAUCCGGGUGAGUGUUAGAGGAGGUUAGGGGCUUGUUUGAGGUGUUGGUCUUUGGAGCACCACAUUAGAGAAUGUUCACUCCAUGCGGAUUAGAUGCAAGCUGUAGGAUCAAGUUUUAUACAACCUUAGAGGGCAGUUCAGCAGCCAUCUAAGGGUCGUGGUCCUACUAGGGGUGGUAAUGGUAUGGGUCGAGGACAUAGAAUAUCGGGAAAAGGUGUUAGUUAGAUUGAGGCAAGGCAGCCUGCACUGGUUUAUGCUACUCGAUGCCGAGAGGAUAGAGACGCUCCUGAUGUUAUCACAGGUACUUCUUUAUUUUUGGUGUUCCAUAUACUGCUCUGAUAGACAUAGGUUCUACUCAUUCCUAUGUAGGUAGUACUAUUUCUAAAAAUUUAGGGAUUUUUGGUGAGGGUACUUCUAGUGAAAUUAUUGUACUGAGUUCGUUGGGGCAGUCUGUUCAAGUAAGUAGGCUUUAUAGGAAUGUAACUUUGGAAGUACAAGGGAUUGUGUUUUCGGCAGAUCUGAUGGAGUUACUGUUUAGGGAGUUUGACUUAAUUUUGGAUAUAGAUUGGUUGGUUGAGCUUCGAGUUAGCUUGGAUUGCACGACUAAGAGGGUCAGUCUAAGGGCUGUGGAUGAAAGAGAGAUAGUAGUGAUCGGUGAGCAUCGAGAUUAUCUACUUAAUGUGAUCUCUGCUAUUGUGGCUGAAAAAUUGGUUCAGAAAGGGUGUGAGGCGUAUUUAGCUUACGUCAGUGUUCCAGUUUUUGGGGACUCUUCUGUCCGGGAUAUCAGAACAAUAAGGUAAUUUUUGGAUGUAUUUCUUGAGGAAUUAUCGGGUUUACCUCCGAAUUGAGAAGUUGAGUUCGAUAUUGAGCUUCUACCAGGUAUAGCUUCAGUGUCCAUCGCUCCCUAUCGAAUGGCAUCGAAGGAGCUUACAGAGCUUAAGGCUCAACUUCAAGAGCUUUUGCAUUGUGGUUUCAUCUAUCCUAGUGUGUCUCUAUGGGGGGCACCGAUUCUGUUUGUAAAGAAAAAGGAUGGUACCACAAGGAUGUGUAUUGACUACCUGCAGUUGAAUAAACUAACAGUAAAGAAUAAGUAUCCACUUUCGAGGAUUUAGGACUUGUUUGAUCAGUUCCGAGGGGCUGCAGUGUUUUCAAAAAUAGACCUUCGUUCUGGGUAUCAUCAGCUUAACAUUAGAUUUUCAAAUUUAAAAAUUAUUUUUUUUACAGCUGCAUAAUUAAUAAGAUAUCAAUUUUGAGUGCUGUAGAAGUGUUAUAACCUUCUCAACGCAUAACCAACUCUUGAAUUCACUUUUUUCUCUAAAAUUCUACAUAGAACACAAAUUUAUUUUUUAAAAGAAUUUUAAAUCUCACAAUUUUUUUAGGUGAUUCACCAAAGAAUAAAAAGAUAGGAGGUGAUUCCUCCUUUUUCAUAAAACCUUGUGCUUUUGCAAACACCAAAUUAUUGCUAAGCUUUACAUUAAUAGACAUGAUUUAUUUGUUCGUUAUUACUAUUUCUAUGAUUAUAAUACUAAACUUAUCGGACUACAAUCAUAACCAUGUUUAUUAUAAUUCAAUAAAAAGAAAUAAGUGUUGGGUGUAAUGGCAAGGUUCAUUACACUCUUAAUAAGAGAUCAGGGUUUUGGACAAAGGAAGAAUAUGAUUCGAAUUUUGGAGAUGCCAUUCUUAAAAUGAGCAACCACGAAGCCCGAUUAUGAACCAUAAAAUGAACAAGAAAAGUACAAAAAAUACGUCUAUUAUCAAAUUAGUAAUCCAUCCCAAGGCUUAAAUUAACAAAAUUCACCAUGCAACCGUGUAGACUAUUUUACGUAUAUACUAUAUUCAUUCUUCAUGCAAAAUGUUUAUUAUAUUUAAAAAUUAAAAUAUAUGGUUGAUUGAGUUUUAGUUGAGUUAAUAUUGAUAUUGUUGUUAGUGCAGAAGAAUGUGAGUUCAAUCAUGUUUAAACGCGUUUUUCUUUCAAUUUAGGAGUUGGAAAGGGUUCUCAAUAGUUAAAUUAUAUAAGUUUUUUUGUCUAUUUAAAAUUGAUUUAUAAACAAUAUAAAUAAAAAGAUUUAAAAUAUAUAUAUUCAUAUUGAUGGGCUUUUUCAUUAUUAGACUUUUUUCCUUACAGGUAAAAGUAUAUAUGGACAUGAUGAUGUAAAAUUAUGACCUGAAUAAUUUUAAACCUUUCAUCACUGCAAAAAUGAAAAUAAUAGAAAUGAAAGACUAGCCAUUGUAUGAAAUUUAUAAUUGAACUGCCAACAAAAUUGGGAGAAAUUUUUAAAUUUUAUGAAAUUUUAAAAUUAAACUAUCAAUAAUAGAAAAUUGCCUGAGUGACUUGGGAUUAGAGGUUGAACAUUUCUGGACCACAAUACAUUUAAGAUGGGUCUUUAAAGUUAUACUUUAGUUAUUGAGAACAUUUUCCACAAAUUGUCAUUAUUGUUUACUGCAGCAAAACAGGCUUUUAGCAUCGUUUUUUUAGGCCUAUAGCGGCGUUUUCACAAGAGUCGCAAAAAAUGCCACUAUAAAAAACGCUGUUAAAUUUUGCGGCGUUUUAGAACAUGACCUUUAGCGGCACUUUACCCACAAAUGCCACUGAAGAACAUGAUCUUUAGCGGCGCUUUCCCAUAAACACCACUAAAGAACUUGAUCUUUAGCGACACUUUUAUCACAAACGCCGCUAAAGAACAUGACCUUUAGCGGCGCUUUUAUCACAAACGCCGCUGAAGAGCAUGGCCUUUUGUGGUGCUUUUAUCACAAACGCCGUUAAAAGUACCAUUCUUUAGCGGCGUUUAUGAAAAAACACCACUAACUUUGGCAGAUUUGUAACAUCCAAUUUUCAUCCAUAUACAACCCUUCCUGUAGCAUGAAAUCCAACCAAAAACAACAAAUCUAAAUGAUACUUCAAAUUCUACAAAAGAUAUAUGAUAUAAAUUGAUAACUGAAGUAUAAUUCAAAAUAUUCUUACAAUAAUGUUAAAAGUUACAACGUUAAAAAUAUUCUUACGAUAAGAAAGCAAUGUCUAAGAUGGCGGAUUUUGCGACUGCUGAAACAUCUUCAUCAUAUUCUGAAGCUGUAGCUGGAGUGCGUAGUACUUUUUGACUGAAUAAACACAAAUCUAUUUUUCGACAGCUAUAUCAAAUUAGCUAUAAACCUUCAACAGGACCAGUACUUGCAAAAACCUCUUGGAGUAGUGGUUCAGCCCACCAACCUGCAGUUUCUCAAAAAUUAAAAUAAAAAAUUAAAAGUUAAAGAAAAAAUAGAAAAAAGAAGAGAUAAAUAAAACUAUAUAAGUAACUUUCUAAGUUGUUAAAAAGAUGCAAGAACAUGCAAGCAUCUAUCAGAUUCCAAAAACCAUUUAACUAGCAAUUAAAAGAGCCAUUAGCUUAGAAUUUUGCACAGAGGGUCAUAGCCACAUAUCCAAUCAGCAACUCAUGAAGGAAAGUGUCUCUAAUUCAUGCAGUUAUAAGCACAAAAGUGACUAGGGUAUGUGCUUAAGCAAGAAGGGGAAAUAAGAGACUCACAAUAUACAAAUAAAACAAAAUGGAAAAAAGGGGAAAAAGAAGUAAAAAAAACCUAGGCAAACACUCACACACUGCGGCAAGUACUUGGAUCAAAACCAUGAGGCAAAUUUCCACUUGGUAUUGGCUCUGUUUGUAGAAUAGAAAAGUGAAAAAUAAAAAAGAGGAGAAAAGAAGAAACGAUGUACAAAAAAUUCAAAUCCCACUCAACUCAAUUCUAAAGCCUCCAUAUCCAAGAAAAAGGAUGAGUUUUUGAAGAAAUCCAAUAGUCAACCUAAAUGAACAAACAAGAUGCUAACUACGACCAUGACAAAUGUAAGCAUCACUUCUCCUACUUUGGAAACACUUUCCACUUGAAAAGACAACAGACUUCCUUGCUUUUACUAUUAUCACAUUUUCCCCCUUCAUUUUUUUAGUGCCGACCAGAAAAAAAAUAUUUUAGCCUCAUCUAAAUAAGACAAAUUUCAGCAGAACAAUAGACAGUAGAUCAGACCCAAUUCAAGGGUAAUGUAGUCCAAAGUUCCUUGAACUCCCUCCUUCAAAGUGAAAAACAAAUCUAUAUCUUUCUGCAUGAUUCAAACAAAAAUGACUGUUGGACAUGUAACUCAGAAAGAAUGCAAAUACAUUGAAAGCACCACAGACUUUAUAAAUUAGCUUCAUGCUGCUAAAUUUCAACACUAUAAACCUAACAAAGCCCAGAAUGAAAUGCGGGAAUCAUGUCUUAAACUCUAAUACUCAAACAAGAGACAGAUAAAUUGCACGUUUUUUUAUAUAAUAUUUACAAACUAGAGAUAAAGAUAUAGAAAAAUAUAAACAUGGACAUGGACAAAAAGACUAAUUGACUGUGCAUGUGUGCCAAAGAGAUGGCAACUAAACAUUAUCCAAACACAAUCAUUUCUCAACAUUUGCAAAACAAAAUGAAGAUUAAGAUUAGCGGUAAACUAAAUAAAACCAAAGAAAUGAGAACCACAAGUAAAUGAGAAAGAAAACAAAAUAGAGAACCUAAUAGCUUUCCCAUUGAACUUCGUAUAAAAGAAAUAACAACAUUCGAACUUCAAGCAAAUAAAAAUGUAAAAUAUUUAGAAUCAAAACAAUCUUUUAUCAAAAUUCAAACCAAAAACAAUGAGCUUCACUCUAUACAAGAAGCAUGUUAACCUCAUAGGCUUUCUGAUUUCUGGAAACCAAAUCCAGAAACGUCUCCCACCAAAAAUCAAGAAAAUAAAUUUUGUUUUUAAAAAUUACAUUCAAAUCGUGAAAUAGGAGCAAGGUCCUUCGAAUUCAAGCAAAGUUGAUGGUAAAAGCUUAGCUUUCAAAGGUCAAACAUCACAGCAUUAAAUAUAAAACUAACCCAAUCUCCACCAAUUCAAAAACAAGAAACCAAACACGAACCAGAAGAUCCAAACACGAUUUCGAAAAAAAGAAAAAUAGAUAUUCCUGAAAACUGGAUCAAAAACUAGCAUAUACUUAAUAAAAAGAGAAAUUGACGGAAAAUCAUAGGAGAUCUGCAUGCAAAUAGAGGCACACUUUUGCUUGAUUAUUCGCUUAAAAAAGUAACAAUGGAAAAUAAGAUGCAAGUUCUAGGUAAAACCAUCAUGUCUUCUUACUCACCACAAACAAAGGCCCUCUAGGACCUUCAUGAAUUUUUGUCUCAUAAGUGCUUCUAUUGUGAGCCCGAACAGCUUGAUAGCCCACAAGAUAAGGAUAUCGAUCUUCAUCCUACAGAUUAACAAGGUUAAAUCCACUUAAAUGAAACACCAUUAGUCCAUAACAAUUUACUUCAAUUUUCUGCUGUUAGUUCAAAUAUGUAUUUUUUUUAAUUUGACAAAACUUGUUAGGAUCGAAUAUUCGGAAUUCCUAAAUUUCAAUUCAAAUUUACACCAUACUUGCAGAAAAAUAUACUACUAUUAGAGACACCGGCAAUCAACCAGAGUUCUUUAGUUUUCAAUCAAGUUAUUCGGCAGGAAUCUAUAUUGAUUACACAAAAAAAAAAUCAUACACCGUGAGAAUGUCGAGUAAAUUGCAAAUAGAAAAGCAAACGAACCCUAGAGGAGCUCCAAUACUUCUUCUCCCAAGGGCCUUUGUAUAGAGAUCCAAUGGAAAUGAUCUCUAGAUCGUCUAAUUUCGCUGUUUGUUCUGCUUCUUUAGUUUUUGCCAUUCAAAGAAAUGAGAAGAAAGCAAGAUUUCCAAACAACUAACAAUAAGCGAGUAGACAGAAUUUUCAAGAUAGAUGAAGAGAUGGCAUUUUAAAAUAGCGGGAACUAAAAUCUUGAAAUGCGUCAUUUCCCUCAAAAUUCUAAAUAAAAACUUUAUUUAAUUAGGAAAAAUGUGAAUCGAUUUUGGGAAAAAUAAGAGGAAAAAAAAAGAAGAUAUUUCAUUUGAAAUUUUGGGAUAAAAAAUAUAAUUACAAAACGACGCUGUUUUGCAAAAUAUAUAUUCGUGGCAUUUGGACCAAAAACGCUACUAUUGUUCAACUUUUUUGCGACGAUUGCAACAAAAACGCCGCUAUUGCUUACCUUUUGUGGCAUUUUUUUUAUAAACGCAGCUAACGCUCGACUUUUUUACAAUUUUUAUAUUGAAUUAUUGUAUCUUUCAUAUAAAUUUUAAAUAAAUAAUUUUUUAAAUUUUACGUAAUAUUUAAAAGAAUUAGAUAAAAUUAUAAUUUUUUAUUUUUUGUAUUUCAUUUUUAUUUUUGUAUUUCAUUUUUAUUUGUUAUAAUUUGGUCCUAUCCAAAAUAGAUAGUUACCUAUCCAUAUCAAUCUGUUACUUUUUUUAUUUAUUUAUCAAUGUUUUUUUAAAUCUAAUAUUUAAAUAUAUCAAAUGGUUUAGAUUAAAUAUUUUUAAAUAUAAAAGCAUUAAUUGAUUGUAUAAAAUUUCAUCAUUUAACAAAUCUCAAGUAAACCUUAAAUCCUAAACCAUUUAAUAUUUAUAAAGUUUAUCUAUUAUCUCUUAUAUAAUUUAAACUAUAAUCAUAAUUUUAAUAUAUUAAAAUUAAUAUUAUCUCUUUUACAAUUAUAUAAGAAAUGAUUUAAUAUAUAAAUUAAAAAACACUAAUUAAUCUAAACUCUAAACCCCUAUCCCCUAUCCCCUAAACCUUAAAUCAUAAAACAUAACCCUUAACCCUUAACCCUUAACCCUUAAUCCUUAAUCCUUAACCCCUAAACCUUAAACCCCAACCCUUAAACCAAAAAUCAUAAACCAUAAACCAUAAUCCCUAAACCCAUAAUCCAUAAACCUUAAAAUAGUAACUCCUAAGCCAUAAACCAUAAACCAUAACCCUAAACCCUAAACUAUAAUGAUAAUUAAUUCAAUAUUUUAAAAUUAAUACUAUCUCUUUUACAAUUAUAUAAGAAAUUAUUUAAUAUAUAAAUUAAAAAACAAUAAGUCAUGAACCCAAAAAACUUUAAAAUUAUUUUAAAUAAUAGUAUUUUAAUUUUUUUCAUUUUUAACAAAUAUUUUCUAUGUUUUUACUUCCAAAAAUUGUCUACAUGUCAUUAUUUUUUUUUGAAGAAUUUAAAUAUUCAAUUAAAAAUAAAUUUUAUUUUAAUUAUAUAAAUAAACCAGUUAAAUAAUAAAUAGACAAAUAAAAUAUUUUUUGCGGCAUUUUUGAUAAAGUGCCGCUAAAGCUCGAUCUAUAGCAGCGUUUUACAAAAAAGCGUCGCUAAUGCCACUAAAGCUCAUUACUGAAUUUUUUGCGGCAUUUUUCAAAAAGCGCUGCUAAUGCUCGACCUAUAGUGGCGUUUUUCAAGAAGCGCCGCUAAUGCCACUAAAGCUCAACAUAAAGGUACUUGAGUCUAGUUUCAAAGACAUCAAGCGGAUAUUAAUUCGGAAUUCUGUAGCUCAAGAUAUAAAUUUAUGUUAAUCUUGUUAUCUUUCUUAUUUUAGAAUUGAUUACAUGAAAGUUAAUUGCUAAUACUAUUAGUUAAUUAUUAGUUUUCUUCAAAUCAAAUUAAAACCCGAAAGGUCCCUCUUUUUUUAUAUUAGUUUUAGUUUUCCAUUAAAUUUGUUUCUUUGUAAUAAAAUUAAAUUAUAGAAAUAACAUUAAAAUUUUAAAUAAAAAUAGUUCACAAUAAUUUAUUAUUUAAAAAACUCCCUGAAAUUUAAAAUUAUUGUUAUAAGUAUACCAUUAAAUUAUACAGAAUUUAAUUUUUCUUUCAAAUACUACAGUUAAUAAGGAAAGAGAAUAUAGUUCAUAUCAAUAAAACUUUAAAAAAGAAAUAUUGUUUAAUUAGUUAAUUUAAAAAUCAAUAGCGUCUAAAAACGGUCAGAAUGAAAUAUUAGAUUUUGUAAGAUUUCAUUAUUCUAAAAAAUAAAAUAUGACCAUGCUUAAAAAUUUUAUUAAAAAAGUUUUAAAUUUUAUAUAAAAAUAAAAAAAUAGUACUAAAAAUUUUUAUAAGCAAAUUUAAAUAUUAAUUAGUAAAUUUUUUUUGUAAUAUUUAUAUGUAUUUUCAUUCUUAUAAAUACUAUUAAAACUUUUUAAAAAAAUUUGAAUGCUAUUUAAAAACAUUAUUAAAAAUAAAAUAUUAUAUGAAAGUUAAAAUGAUCUAAAAACAUAUUUUAAAAAUUUAAAUACUUUAUAAAAUAUUUAAAACUGUUUAAAAAUUUCUAAACCCUAAAAAAAUAAUAAAAUAUAAUUCUUUCUAAGAAAUCAACAAAAAUAUAUUUAUAAUUGAACUCUCAACAAAAUUGUGAGAAAUAUUUAAAUUUUAUGAAAUUUUAUACUUAAACUGUCAAUAAUAGAAAAUUGCCUGAGUGACAUGGGAUAAGAGGUUCAACAUUUCUGGAUCACAUUGCAUUUAAGGCGGGUCUUUAGGGUUAUACUUUAGUUUUUUAGAACAUUUUCCACAAUUUGCCAUCAUUACUUGUGAGUGAUUUGUGGGGUAAGAGGUUGAACACUUCUGGAUCACAUUGCAUUUAAGACUGGUAUCAUUCAUAAAUUAUAUAUCUACAACAAGAAUGGUAGCCUCUUAUAUUAUAUUCAUGUAUCUAUUUUGCAUCUUUCAUUAUAAUAUGAUUUAGUAAUUUUAAUAUUUUUAUAGAAUAAUAUGAUUUAAAUUUUUUUGUAUUUUUCGUAAAAAUUAUAAUAAACUUACAAAAUGAUUUAAUGAUAUUUAAUUAUUAACGGAAAAAUUAUAUCAUAUAUAUUCUGUAUAUAUUAAGAUUCUGAAUUAUUAAUUAUAUAUCUACAUAUUAUAAUAAAUUCAUCUUUCAAAAUUUUCCUAAACUAUAUUCACAAUAUUAUAAAUAUAUUAUAUCAAAAAUAUUCUUUCAAAUGUUUUUUAAUGUUUAAUAAUAAAUUAAUUUAUAAAAUAUUCUUUCAAUAAAUUAACGUGAUGAGAUCGUUAAUUAGGUGCUUGGAUUUGGUGAUGGGGACGAAGAGAAAAGGGAUGGAAGUGAAGACAAAUGUUGGGAAAUUGAAAGGGUUAGCGAGGGAGGCCAGCGUGAAAGGUGGUUCUACGGAUAUGAACCUUCAAGCUUUUGUGGAUGAUGUUACUAAAGGUUAUUGCAAGUAAAUUUAAAAAUGUUUUUUAAUUAUUUUUUGUUAAAAAAUAUUUUUUUUUCUAUGUGGCUUUCCACAUUAGCAUGCUACCAUGUGGUAACUUCUAGUGAUUUCCGUCUGUAAUAUUAGACAGGUUAACAGUUAAACCAUUCAACUGACAAAUUUCGUUAAAGGAAGAGGUCAAUUAAUUUUUUUUGGACUCAUUGAGUACUCAAUUGGUGCAUUUUUUUAUAAAGACUAAAUUAAUUUUUUUAAUUUGUUAUUGCUGAGGGCUACAGUAAUAAAAAGUUUUGAGGUAAAAUUGGAAUAACGUCCCAAAAAUCUAAUACUUAAUUUUUAAAAUUUUAUCAUUAAUAAAUAUUUGUCUUAGUGAUUAAGUAUUUGAGUCGUGUUUAUAAGAUAUUGUAUUCAAGUUCCUACGUGAAUGGAUUGUUAUUAUUAUUAUUUUUUAAUUUUUGAGUUUGAGUCCAUUUCGAACUCUGGAAAAAGGUGGUUACUUAUCUGAGAUGGGGUUAGUGCUUAGUAGAUUUGGAUUUGGUUUAUUUUAAAAUUUAUUAAUUAAUUUGUUAAAAAAUUAAAUUAGUUUUUUCCUAAUUUUUGGCUCACCGUUCUUUCUCUUGUUUUUCUUUAUGCUUUCUUUUUCUUUUCUUUUUCUGUUACCUUUCAAAUCACGUCGAUUUGUUCCUAUUUCGCUUUUGAGUUUUUCUUUUCUUUCCUUUACGCUCCUCUACGAUCGUGUCUUAAUUCCUUCAUUAUUUUCUCUUUGUUGGCGUUGCUCGUUCGUAAGUGGGUUAGUUUCCGUUUUGAUGUAUUUUUACGUGGUUAGUAAAAGAAAUGUGUUAAUUUUUGGAUUAUGGAGUUGAUCGUUUUUAAUCAAUUCUCCAGUAAGUUGACUCGUUCGCUGUUAUUAUGUCCUAGGGUAAAGGAUUAACUCUGAUUUGGGCCCGUGUGGUUGUGUAGAUUUUUCAUGUGAAUUCGUUUGGUAUUUUUAGGAUAAAUCAUUCUUUAAGUCGUAUUGCUACCAUCGCUAAUGUGAUGUUUUAAUUUAUGCAUUUAGGAUUUGAUAGUCUUAUGGGUGUUUUCGUAUAAAAAUCAAACCAAGUGUGUAACGAAAAACCCGACAACAACGAGCGACGAAAGUCAAAAAAUUGCACUGUCGACACCACACGGCCGUGUGUCGGGCCGUGUGACAAGCCGUGUUUCAGACCGUGUGCGACAUAUUGUUUGGGCUAGUUGAGCCGUGUGGAACACACAGGUGUGUGUGAGGAUGUGUGCCACGCCAUGUGAGCCACACGGGCUGGCCAUUUAGGCCGUUUGAGACCAAAAUACUAAAUUUUUCCCUAGGGUUAUACACAUCGUUAUGAUCGAUCGUAGGCCUUUCGUGGGGUCGAUAUAUAAUCAAAUAGACUGUAAAGUAUGAAAUCCGGUCAACUAAUAGUAUAAAUUCUGAUAUCUGUUCAUAUAUUUGAGAUGUUAUUUGUUCAAUAAACCUUGUAAUAGGCUAUGAGAAACUUGAGAAAUAUUAUGUAUGCUUUGUAUCUGUUAUGUCAUACAUGUAUAACUGUAUUAUGUCUGAUUUUGUUCUAUUCUUUUCUGUAUUUGCAUUUGGGGUGGGUUAUAUUAUGUGGAGGAAGUGUUUCUUUGAAUGGCGAUAAUUCGCCUAUUACACUGGCAGCUCAGCUACAAAUAUUCUGAAAAGUGUUAUAUCGACACUAAAUGGUGUGUAAGGUUGGAUGAGUGUUUCAUACCCCAUAUGGUGUGUUGAGCUGGUCGGAGAUAGUGUGUAGCAGAUGGGGGUAGGAAUAUAUGUUUGUAUCUGUACUGCUCUGAUAUGAAUAUGUUCUGCUAAAUCUAUCUGAUAUAAAUUAACUGUUUAAAGUUAUUUGUUAUACAUUGAGUUUUGUAAACUCACUUUCUGUUUGUUUGAUAUUUUUAGGUAACCCUCAGACUUUGGCAAAUUGGUGCGAAGGAGCUCGGUUAAAUUGAUUUAGUUUCAUCAUCUAUUAUAAUCAAAUUUUGUGUUAUUGUGUUUCAUUAUUUUUGAACUUUUGGGACUUUUUGGACUGUUUUGGUUUUUGAGAUUUUAUUUUCAAUUUUUGCAUGAUAUUAUUAAAAAUGUUUUAUCGGAAAUGUCUGUUUUCUUGAAAAACAACUGAUUUCAAAAAAAUAAACUUAGUUUUCCAAACAUAAUGAUUUGAGAAUUUCCGCUGCUAAGUAUUCAUUUUAGAAAAUGUAAGCAAACAUCGUUUUCAACUACAAAGUUAAGUUAGAUGUAUUUUCUCUUAAAUCGAGGUUUAAGUAAUAAAAGAUUAUGUCAUUUUUCCAAAUUUUACGAAAAAUUGGAUUUACAAUUGUUUUAUGUAACAUCUCUAGAUUUGGCCAUAACGUCUAAGUCGGAUUUCGGGCGUUACAUUUUGUGAUAUCAGAGUCAGGUUGCAAAACUCGGGCUGUGAAAUUUUCGGUUCAAAAUUUUGUGAAAACUAUUUUUCGAGUAAAGUUCAUUUCUGCAUUAAUUUGAAAAAUUAAUUAUAUGAAGUAUCGAGUCUCUAACGUUGAUCCUGUAAGUACUUUUGACUUAGAUAAACUUUAGUUUAGAAAACUCUGAAAUGAUUAGAACUAUACUUGGAUAGUUAGAGACUGAAACAUCUUUAUAAAUUCUUUUGAUAACUUUUUGAGAACAAAAUAUCUGCUAAUAAAUACUAAAAUUGAUACAUAAAAUUCGUAAUGUAAGUAAUAUAUACGAUGAGUACUUGUGGAACAUGUGGAUGCGUUACCCGUAGGCGUGGCGGGCGCCGAAGAGGGGCUCGAGCUGAGUCAUCCUCGAUGGGUACCUGAUAGGCUAUUGCUGGAGAGAGCAAUAGUCUUGAGAGAAGAAAUGUUGAAGAUCGAAGUCAAAAUCUGACCUAUAAAGCCUUUAAUUGCUUGAAUGAUAAGCAUUUCUAAACUAAAAAGAUUACCGAUUUUUUCAGGAAUUUGACCUGCAGACAUAGUUGAAACAUCAAGGUGUUAAAUUACCUAUUUUGUUAGUGUAAAUCAAAGAGGCGUUUUAUUUUUUUCGUUUUGAAAUAAUAUGGAUAUGUUAGAUUCUAAUCAUAUUUAAGUAUAUAUUAGUUCUUGAAAGAAAGAGUUCUUAUUUUUGGUAUUUAUAUUGCAAAUAUAUUUUUUUAAAUUUAAAAAAGGGGGGGGGCAAAUGUGUUUAAAACUAAAGACAUCAAGGAAAAGGCAUACCUUCUAGGUUAUUUAACCCCAAGUAUAAUUGUUUAAGUUGUGUCAAAUUCCCAAUGCUUUUUGGAAUGAUCCCACUAAAUUGAUUAAUAGACAAUUCCAAAAUUUGAAGGUUGCAGCAUUUGUCUAUACUUGAUGGAAUAGAACUUGAUAAUUCAUUUCUACUCAAGUAAAGCUCUUUAAGCUUGGGAAGAUGGACACACUAAAUUGAUUAAUAGACAACUCCAAAAUUUAAAAGAUAUUCUGGCUUCGCCCUUAAUAAAAUUUUUGGAAAAAGAUUAAAAAAAAGUUAUACGGUAAAUGAAAAAAAGAAGAAAAUAACUUGAUGUCCAAAAGCUACCAUAAACAGUAAUUCGUGGGAAGGCUUGUUGCUCAUUUUAUUGGUUUCCAUUUUGAUUUUGCAAAAGAAGUUUGAAUUUUGAAGAGAGCAUACUACGUGAGAGCAAAAGAAAAAAUAUAGUUUAUUAAUUUUUACGAAUACCGACAUAUUAUAUAUACGAUUAAAAUUCAGAAUAGAUUAAAAAUGUUCAAUUAAAGAUAAAAUUAAAUGUGAAUUAAUAACCACAAGUCUACUCAUUACUCAUUACUCACCGUCUCUGUUAAAAAUGUUGGAUGUUGUUCAGCAACCUUUGUUUGAUUUUCUUCAGCUCAACCACAACAUCUUUCAUAUCUUUUCUUUCUUCUGGUAACUCAGCUGAACAAUUCAAAGCCAACUCCAUGAUAGAUGAAAUGCAAUUUGCUUUAACAACAAAGUACUCAUCGUCUCUUCUUAGUAAAUCAACAUCUGCAAUUUCUAUCGCUCCUUUAGGCAAUGAACUUUCCAUCCAAUGCCUUAUAGUCUCUUCUUCAACAAAAACAUUAUCAGUUGGCUUUUUCUUUGUAAAAGUUUCUAUAAGGACGAUCCCAAAACUAUAGACGUCAGAUUUUAUAGAAACAAUUCCUGCCGAUCCAAAUUCUGCAUUUCAAGUAUAAUUAGAACAUCAUUCAUCCUCAAUUAUUUCUAAAAUGCUUAUUCAAAUAUAUAUCCUCAUACACAUGAAACAAAAAUAUAAAAUGCAAAUUAGGAAAAUAAUCAUACAAAAAUAAAAAUGAAUUCACCUGGUGCCAUAUACCCGAUAGUUGCAAGAGUCAUGGUUUGCUUCAUUACUUCACCUUCCCCCAACAAUUUGACAAGGCCAAAAUCUCCAACAUGUGCAACCAUGUCUUCAUCUAGUAAAAUAUUGCUUGGUUUUAUGUCACAAUGAAUUGUAGGUGUUGGAUGUCCAUUGUGGAGGUGUUCUAUAGCUACCGCAACAUCUAUCAUUAUGUCGACCCUUUGUAUGAUAUCAAGGAAACAAUUUUCAGAAUGUAACCAUUUCUCAAGGUUUCCAUUAGACAUGUAAUCAAGCACCAAGGCUUUGAAGCCAACACUUGAGCAGCAAGUAACGACCUUCACAAUAUUACGAUGAACUACAUUACGCAUAGCAUCACAUUCAAUGUCAAAACUCCUAAAUGCUCCCUCUGUUUGCAAAUUGAAAACUUUUAUUGCAACUUCCAUUCCAUCCGAAAGCCUCCCUUUAUAUACAUAUCCAAAACUCCCUGAACAAAGCAUAUUGCUUUCCUUAAAUCCAUUAGUUGCUCGUGAAAGUUCAGCAUGUGAAAUUCUUCUCGGUGUUUUCAAAGACAACAAAUCAUCUUUAAUUGGUAGAGUUGUACUCCUUCUUUGGCAUCUUCUAUACAUAAUAGUUAAGACUAUUAGUACUACGACAACACCAAUUGUUGGUAAACCAUACCUAAAAGCAUGCAAUAUAAUCAUUUGGGAGUUUUUGUGGAUGUCGUUUUUGCAAGGUGGAACUAGAAAUCUAUGUGGACCACAAAGUGCAUAAUUCUUCAUGAAUGAUGUGCUAGAAAAGUUUGAAAAACAUCCUUUGCUGGGAAUUUCCCCUUCAAGUCUAUUGAAAGACACAUUAAAAUACUUUAGAUAUAAAAGCUUUUCCAAAGAUUUGGGAAUGACUCCAGAGAGAUUGUUAUUGCAUAAAUCCAAGAAUUCCAAACUAAUCAACCCAUCAAAUGAUUCAGGGAUAUGACCAUGUAGUAUAUUAUUUGAUAAAUCUAAUGAAACCAAAGUUUGAAGACCCCCAAAUGUGGAUAAGAUAUCACCCGUGAGAAGAUUCCUAGAUAAAUUUAGUUUCAGUAGACUCCUCAAAUUUCCAACAUCAAUAGCGUGUGAAUUGUGAAGAUGGUUUGAUGAUAAAUCUAUUUCUAAGAUAUCUUUAAGAUUCCACAAAGUUGAGGGAAUUGCGGAACUCAAUUUGUUGGAAUCUAAGCAAAGAUAUCCCAAAGAAGUAAUAUUACCUAAACAAGAGGGUAUGGAUCCAUGCAGCUUAUUCAACCCUAAACACAAGUUGUAUAGUCUCUCCAAACCACAGAGGCUUUCUGAGAUGGGCCCUCCUAAUUUAUUAGAGGAAAGAUCUAGACCUUGGAGAUUUCGCAGUCCUCCUAUUGAUGUUGGAAUGAAUCCACUUAAUUUAUUAGAGCCAAGUUCUAAACCGAACAUAUUGGUUAAGUUACCUAUUUCCAUAGGAAUAAUGCCUUGAAGCUCACACUCUUCGGCAUAAAAGUAUUGAAGGGAUUUUGAAAGGUUCCCAAUAUAAGUAGGAAGAACGCCACUCAAUGGAUUUCCUGAAACUUCUAUGUCUUUCAAAUUCUUACAAUUCGUCAAAGAAGAAAGAAAGCUCCACUCAUGAUCAGUAGCAGAUCCUGUGAUCAAAUUAUUGUCAAAGAUUUUGAGCACUUCAAGGUGUUUUAAGCUGCAAAGCAUUCUAGGGAUUGGGCCAGAGAAUAAGUUUUGUGACAAUUCUAGUUCCUUAAGCAUGGAAGCAUUGGAGAUAGAGUUGGGAAUGUUUCCGCUAAGUUUAUUUCUCCACAAUAAAAGAAUCUCAAGCUUUGGAGCAUUGGUGAUGGGUGGUAAAUUACCUGUAAAAUAGCAUCUUUUAGUAUACAUAUUCAUUGAAUACCAAAUUUACAAAAUAUAUAAUACAUUAAAAUAAAAACUGUACAACUUUAAAUCAAUUAAGAAUAGAAUUUUGGCAUGGAAAAAUGUGAUGAAAUCACUUAGAAAGUUGAGACAUAAUAAGAAGUUUUAAGUAGUAAUUAUUCCUUGUGAUUUGUAUAGAAAAAACAUAUAAUACACUAACAAUUUUUUAAAAAUAAAAAUAAAAGUUUGGCAUGAGAAUGUGGCAUCUAAUCCAUCUUAAAAAUGAGUCUGACACUGAAUAAUAAUUAGUUAUGAUUUGGGAAAAAAAUGUUAAAGCCAUUGUUUUUAAUGUAAACUGGUAUGAUUUUUAUCUAUUGGGUAUAUUAUUUAUUUUUAUUAAAUUAUAGUGUAAAAUUUAAAGAUUAUUAUUUGCUCAAAAUUUUUGUAUUUUUCGUAUAUUUGAAAUUUAAUCUUUAUAUUUUUUAUUUUCUGUGAUUUAGUCUCUCUACUUUUUGAAUUGUAAAUUUUAGGUUUAUUUAUUAAUGCUGUUAAAAAGUUUUUGUGUUAGUAUGGCAUUUUGAAAAAUAAAAUAAACUUGAUAUCUAUGUUUUUAAUUAUUCCAAAUAUUGUUUUACUAUUUCAAGAUAAAUUAUUUGUGUCUAGACCAAUAUCUUAAGAACUAUUAUUGCAUGUUUAAUUAUUCUAAAGAAUUGUCGAUUGAGUCUUAGCUUGAUUGGCAUGUGCAUUGUUGCCAAUGUAGGAGAAUGUGGGUUCAAGUAUGCUGAAGUGUAUUAUCCUUCUAUUUAUGAAUCAAGGAGUUGGCAAAGUAUUAUAUUUUGAUAUAUUUUAGAAUAUUAAAAAAUUAUUAAAAUAUUUUUUUAUAAAAAUUGGUUGUACCACAAUAUACAUCAAAUUUUUAAUUUUUUUAAAAAUAUUAGCGAAUUUAUAUUUUAUUUCAAGUUACACAAUUUUUACUAGUUUUUAACUUUUUUUUAAAAAUUUUUAUCGUCUUUCAUAAUUUCUAAUAAAUUUUUAUAUAUUUUUGACAAUAUUUAACAAUUUCUAACAAUUUUUAAUAAUUUUAUUAUUAAUUACAAAUUUAAAAAUUAACACAUUUUUAUUUUUUAAAACAAUUUUAUAUUUAUAAUGUAGUUGUUUUUUUUAUAAUUUUAUUUGAAAAUUUAAAGCUUUUUUGGUUUUUUUAAGAUAAUGAUGCCAUCAUGAUGUCAUCAUAUGCCACAUGGCAAUUUAUGAUUAGUUGGAUAUCUCAAUCUAUUUUUUUAACGUCCAAUUGACUAAACCAAGAACACCUGAUAAUGUUAGAGACUACACUAGAAAUGCUUGAUAAUAUUAGGUACUAAAGUGGGCAAAAACUCAUUAAGGACCAAAGUAAAAAAAAAAAAAGAGCAAUAUGCUGUAGGGAAUAAAUGCAUGAAUUUUGAGAAACUUUUGAACUAAUAAUUACAUAGUAAUUAUUAGUGAAUUUGUUAUUUUAAAUAUUUUUAUUACUUUUAGGAUUUAUCAUAUGUAUGGAUAAGAAUUUUGGUUUUACUAAAAUAUUUGGUUAAAUAAAUUCAUAAAAAAAUUUAGCAUCCUUAUAAAUAACAAUUUUGAUUCUAUUAAAAAAAUCAUUUUAAAAAAUAUAUAAUAAAAAUUUAAAAUUUAUAUUGAAUUACUUUAUACGUAAAUUAUUAUUAGAAACGUUAUCAUACACAUAUGUAUAUGAGAACUACGUAUUUAGAACAUAAAUUUAUGUUUGAAAAUAACUUAUGAUAAAUAAUGAAAUGUAUAAUUUGAAACUAUUUAAUAAUAACACAUGGCAUAUCUACCAUAUUAAAAAUAAAAAUAGAUUAAAUUGUAAGUAAAACAUAAUUUAAACAUAUGGAUACAUCAAAUUAAGAAUACUAAAUGAAUACAGUUAUUUAUGAUGAUGUUGUUGUCAAUUCUUAAGUUGGUGUCGAGUUAAUUUGUGACAUCAUAAUUUUAAGUGAUAAAUUUAAAGUUUUAUGUAUUGAUGUGGAUUCAAAUAUCACCAUAACUUUUUUAAAAUAAAAAAUUAAAUUCAACACAAUAAAAUGAAACAAAUUCAACACAAUGUUUUUGGAGUUUGCAAAAAAUUAAAGUGAAAAACAUACCUUCUAAUUUGUUGUCAUAUAGAACUAUUUCUUCGAGCGUAGUUGAAUUAAAAAUACUUGAUGGAAUCUGGCCUGCACACAUAGUCGAAAAUUGAAGUGAAAAAUACACCUUCUAAACUGUUCAACUAAAAAUACUUUAAGCAUAUUUUUUUUUCCAUCAAAUUAACUAUUUUGCCUUGAAUGAAAUAAAAUGCUCUUACUUUUGUUAUCUAUUACAAAUCAAACUCUUUUGUGAAUAAAAUAUUACCAGAUAAUUCAUUCCAACCCAGGUUAAGCCCUUCAAGCUUGGGAAGUUGUUGACACAUAUCAUUAGGCAAACUACCUGAUAGGCUAUUGCUGGAGAGGUCAAUGGUCUUCAGAGAAGAAAUGUUGAAGAUCGAAGUUGGAAUUUGACCUGUAAGGCCUUUAGUUGCUUCAAUAUCAAGCAGUUCCAAACCAAGAAGAUUACCGAUUUCCUUAGGAAUUUGACCUGCAGACAUAGUUGAAAAAUCAAUGUUUUUUAGCAUAUAUUUUUCAUCAAAUUAACUAUUUUUCUUCGAAUGAAAUAAAAAGUUCUUCCUUUUGUUAUCUAUUACAAAUUAAACUCUUUCAUAAAAAAAUACUUUAAAUUCAAGAAAUUAAGGAAAUUGAUUACCUUUUAGAUUAUUAAACCCUAAAUAUAAUUCCUGGAGUCGUGUUAGAUUUCCAAUACUUCUUGGAAUGAUCCCCAUAAAUUGAUUACCGAACAAUGACAAAUUUUUAAGGUUGUUGCAUUUGCCCAUGCCAAAUGGAAUGUAACCAGAUAAUUCAUUCCAACUCACGAAAAGCCCUUCAAGCUUGGGAAGAUGUUGACACAUAUCAUUAGGCAAAGUACCUGAUAGGCUAUUGCUGGAGAGAUCAAUAAUCUUCAGAGAAGAAAUCUUGAAGAUGGAAGAUGGAACCUGACCAGAUAAUUGAUUGAAUCCUAAGUUCAAGAUCCCUAGAUUAGACAUGUUAACAAGUGUUUCAGGGAUUGUGCCUGUAAAGUUAUUAUUUUUCAUUUGCAGCCUUCGAACUCUCUGUAAAUUCCCAAGCCAUGAUGGAAUUUCCCGAUUAAGACGGUUGUAGCUUAAUUGAAGGAUCCUCAAACGAUGCAAUUGGCCCAAUUCUUUAGAGAGAUGGCCAUAGAAAUGGUUGCUACUCAAGUCGAGAGAGACUAGAAAUGAAAGAUUUCCAAGGUGUGGAGGGAUAAUACCCCUAAGAUUCAUGCUUGUAAGAUUCAAUGCUAUAACUCUUUUAUGGAGGAUGCCACAAGAAACACCAAUCCAAUUGCAAACAGAGGUUGAGGCUGUCCAAUUGUCUGCCAAGACAUUUUGAGGACCGGCAAUGCGAUCCUUAAACUCGAGAAGUGCAAACUGAUCAGAGUUGAGAUUCCUGGCUGUCAUAGCCAAGCGAAGUACGGAACAUGGUAUGAAUAAAGCUAAGAGAAGAUGAAAGCAAGUGUUGUAGUUCAUGAUUGCAAGACGGAAUAAGGCAAGAAAAAAGGAAAAAAAAAGUAGGAAAAGGGAAGUUAAGUUGAUAAAAUAGUUUGGAUGAUGAAGAAAAGCCCAGAGAGCAUGCUUUAAUAUGUUUCAACCCUCGCACACUUGAUAAACUUGAUAAAUUUAAGACUACCCUAAAAAUUAAAAAGGAAAACAAAGUUUUGAUGAGAUUUCAAAAAAAAUGUCAAGUAUUCUUCUUUUAAAAAUACGUACAAAGAAGCGAAUUUUCAAAAUUUCUCCUAAAUUUUCUUCAAAUUACUCCACAUAAUCCAUUAAAAAAACUUAAAAAAUAUAUUUUAUUAAUUACUAUAUAUUCUUUUGUUUUCAUAAUAAUAAAUUGUUUAAAAUAUGCUAUUAGUGGCCGUAAUUUAAAGUUUAAAAAAAAAUCCAAUCCUCCUUUUUUUUAAUUUAAAAAUUCUAAUCCAAUCAUUUUUAAUUCCAUUAAAAAGUUUUCAACUUAAUAGAUUUUUUAUUAUCAAUCUUAUGCAACAUUAUAUGAAGGCAGUCUACUCAGCAUAUAUCCAAGUUUACAGAUUUUAAUAGAAAAUACUUACAAUCCUAAUGGUAGGACUAAGUUUUUUAAACUAGAAAAGUAAAAAAAAAAAAAACUUAAUUUUUAACUUUUUUAAGUACAAGGAUUAAAUUUUAAAUGUUGUCAAAGUACAAGCACUAACAAAAUAUUUUGAUCUAAUAAAUGUAAAAAAGCAUUUUAAACAAAAGAAGGUUGAAAUAAUCUAUUUGUCCUUAUACUUUGAUAAAAUUUGAGAUACCAUAAAAUUUGUAUCUUUUUUCGAAUUAUUUAAUGACAUUUCAACAUUUUCAUUCAAAAAAAAAUAUCAUUUUGAAUUUGAUCUUUUUCAAGAUGAAAUAUUGAAAUGAUGUUAAAUUAUUAGAAAGAGAUACAAGUUUCAUGGUGUCCCAAAUUCAUUUAAUCUUAUCUCUCUAAGAAAGCUGAAUUAAGAUAUUAAUGACAUCAUUUGAAACAAAGUUUUAGGUCAAAUUAUUCAUCUAUUCCUUGUAAUUGUUCUUUAAGGUGAAUUUCAUUAUUAUUCUUUUAUUUUCUUUGGCUUAAAUACACAAUUACUCCUAAUUUUAUCACAUUCUCCUUAAUUGGUAUUUAUAGUUUAUAAAAUUUUAUAAAUAUAUUAUUUUUUAAGAAAUUAUAAGAAGAUUACAAAAAUUCCAAAAUAAUAUAAAAAAGCUAAGAAAAACCUAGAAAUUCAAAAAAAAAAAUCAUGUUUUUACAAAUUGGAAAAUACCUAAAUUUACUUUUCAGCCCGUCCGAUGCUAUGAAAGAAGAAGAAAGAGAGUCUUUGCUAACAUUUUUUUUUCUUCGUCAUCUCUAUGUUUCUUGGCAAAUACAAUGAAAGAAGAACAAAGAAAACUGUUGGCUAUUUAUUUCCCAAUAAUCCUGAAAUUACUUGCCAUAGGCGUAGAAUUUGCUAACCAAUUUUCAAGCAAUCUGACAUGAAUUCUUGUUAAGUAUGACUCCUAUUUUCAGUCAAAUUUGAGAAAUAAUCUUCUAGUUAAUUCUGUUUAUUUGUUUCAAUCAAACACUGAUUAGUUUAGAUUAUUUUAUUAUUAUUUGACAUAUGAAUUUAGCCUAUAAAUAGGUUAUUUUACAACCUUAGAAAAUACACCCAAUAGAGUUUAGAACUCAUAACAUAUUUAGAGAAUUUUGUGUUUACGUUUUGAGAGUUCUUUGUUUUCGGAUUUUCGGGGUUUAGUUUUUAUCUCCAUCUCUUGUAUUCUUUGUUCUUUUGCCAUUAUAAUAAAAUUAUCUUUACCCGUGGUUUUUUAUCCUUUUUGGAGGAGUUUUUUCACGUUAAAUUUGUGUGUUCAAUUUCUCAAUUUAUUCCGCUAUUUUGUUACUUGUUGCUUAAUCGGGUCGAUCCCUAACAAUUCUCAAUCACAAUUAAUUGAAUUCAAGAUAUAUUUGGAUGAGAACACAAAUAUUUCAAUUUUACCACAAUCCAAUGUUUGGGAUGAUUUGGGAUAAGAACUCCAACAUUUUAAGAUCACAUUUUCUUUUAUAAUUUCAGGCUUAUCAACUAUUUUGAAAACAACAAAACGUCUUACACCAAAAACUAAAAAAUUAAAACGUCGACAUUAAAUUUGUUGGUAUGCAAUCAAUUUUAAGAUGGGUCUUGGAGUUAUAUAUCACUUUAGCAUUGACUUACUUUUCUACUCUUAGUCUUCUCCAAUAAGUUAAAUAUUUCAAUUUUAACAGCACUGACAGGUCUUUGGGGUAGGGUCCAGCAAAACUCAAUAGAAACAGAUGAUAUAGGCAGAGUUGGCUCGGCCAAGUCGAGUCGACUUGUUCAAAUUAGUUAAAUUAGUAAAUUUUAGGGUGCAGUUAGAACUUUUUUUUUUUUUUUGAGAUGCUAAUAUUAAAAAAUUUUAGUUGCUAAAACAAAAAAUUUAUAUUUAAAAAGGAAUAAAUUAAAUUAUUAAGUUUUUCAAGUUUCCAUUUAAUCAAAGGUUAAAAGGACUAAAUUGAAGCUUUUUAUUUUAAAGAAAGGCUGAAUGACAAAUUGCCCAAAGCCCAUGCCCCUAGCUAUAUGCCCCUGGUAAAAUCAAUUUUAAAAUUAGUUAUAAUAGUUGAAGCGAAUUGAUUAUUGAGUAUUGAAAUACAUAGUUCAACAAAAUAAACAAACUGACAAAUUUUGACCAAAAAAAAAAAUCAAAGGUGAUAAUAAUUAAAUUAUAAAAUUUAAAUUGAGAAAAUAGGGGAUUGAAUUUAUAAUUUUUAAAGUAUAAAGAAUGAAUUUAUAACUAACAUCAUAUUUUAACCACAUAAUAAAAGUAGUUAUGGAGAGGAUCAUGUAAAAUAAUGACCUGAAUAAUUUUAAACGUCUCAUCCUUGCAAAAAUGAAAUAAUAGAAAAGAAAGAGUAAAGAGUAGCCAUUUUAUGAAAUCUAUAAUUCCAACUGUGAAUAAAAUAUAAAUUUUAUGAAUGUGGACAAGCCAUUUUAUUUAUAAUUUUCUGUGUUUUUCUGACUUUUUUUUAAGUCAUUUUCUUUGUUUCCUAACCAAAAAGUUUGCCCAUCACUUUCAAUAUAAAUUUAAAUCUAAAUUUUCUUUUUAAAAUAUAAGUUACUCGUCACAAUUCAUCUUUCGAAAACAAUUUGCCAUCACUUUAACAUACACUAACUUUUCUAUGAUUAGUCCUUGGUUUGCUUUGGGUGCAAUCUUCCAACUAGCCACAUCCUUGGUUUUACUUUCCAACAAUUAGUGUAUCACGGGUUUUGUUUUCUUUAAAAAAAUAUUUUUGUGGAUAUUAGGAGAUAAUGAAAAUUAUUUUACUAUUAAAUUUUAAUAAAACUGGAAAAUAAGUAAUGUCUUUUAAGUGAUCACAAUUAAACAUUAGAUUUUUAAUUUUAAAAUUUUAAAAUUUUUUGAUAAUUGCAUAAUUAAUAAGGUACCAAUUUUUUGAUAAUGCUAUAAUCUUCUCCACACAUAAUCGACUCUUGAGCAUGAUGGAUCUAGACCUUAUCCUGUAUUCUCGUACCACAAAUUGCUUCGAGUGUGGGUUCAAACAAUCACAAAUUAAACACAAAAUCAGAAAUGAUUUAUUACUUUCAAUAGCAAAGUAAUUCUCUCUCAAUAGAAACCAACAGAAUUGUAAUUCCGAAAAAUAAAAUUUAUUUUUUGAAAAUAUAUUCUCACUACUUCCUAGCAUAAUAACAAUAUUUAAAACUUAUGUCUUGUGUUAAUAGCUCUACCAGUACUAUCCAUUUAUAGAGAGAGACACAAGAAUCCUGGUUGAAUUAGUAAAACACGAGUAAUAUUUAUUUCAUAGAAAACAAUAUUCUACCCUAAGUAGAUCAAGUUUGGAUGACGCAUGGGUCGAAGUUCAAUCUAAGAGAAAAAAAUAAAGGAAUUUUCUUUGUAAAGAAAAUUUGAGAUUGUACUAUUUUCGAAGUUAUAAAUAAAAUUAUAAGCCAAACUUUCAAGUCAAUUUUUGACUCGAAUUUUGUACGUACAAAUUUCUAAUACACUUGGUGGGACAUUCUUUGACUUUUAUCUAUUCUCUCAGAAAGUUAAAAGUUAAAAGUUGCAUUAAACUCAAAGAAGAUAAUCAUUAGUAAACCAGCUCACAAGCCUGCUCAAGCUAAUCCUACAACUCGUUCCACUUCAUCAUCAAACACCAAUGUUCUUGCUUAUCCUUAUGGAAUUAAACAAAAGACAAAAGCUCUUUAAGAGUUAUUUGAACAGACAAAAGAUUCAGACGUGUUGAGAUGGAAAGUGACAAUGCAAUGUUGAUUGAAGCUAUUCGUAACCGGUUGGCUACAAUAAGUAGUGUUGCUGAAGUAAGACAGAUUCACGAUUGGUGUUCUAAAAAUUGGGAAGUCAAAUUUUGAUAUAUUUAGUAGAAUGCCAAAAAAGUUGUUGAUUGCAUAGCUAAGGCAGAUGGAGGAGUAAUUGAGCAGCUAGUUUUUUGGAAGAUCCUCCGCAUUUUGUGAGAUGUUGGCUUGAAGAAAAUAUUAGACAAUCGCUGGUGACUUAUGAUAAUUUUCAUUUGGACUGAUGCUCGCUUAGUUUUCUAAGGUUAUGUUCAACCAAAAAAAAAUAAUUUAAAUAUGUCUAUAUUAUCAUAGAGUUAGCAUUUAGUGUAUAAAAAAAUAGUGUAUAAAAUUUUUUCAAUUGCAGUUUAGUUCCACAAAUACUGACGAUGAACCUUAAAACGAAAAUGAAAAUUACAAAAAGAAAAACAAACCACAUCUAUUAUCAAACCAGCAAUCCGUGUCUAAACUUAAAUUAACAAAAUUCAUCAUGCAACUCGGUACACUAUUUUAUAAUAUAUAUAUUAGAUUUAUUCUUGAUGCACAUGUUUUAUUAUAGUUAAAAAUUAAAAUAUAUGAUUAACUGAGUUUUAGUUGAGUUAGUAUUGGUAUUAUAUCAGUGUAGAAAAAUGUGAGUUCAAUCGUACUUAAAUAUGUAUCCUCCAACUCAACAGUUGGGAAAAGGUUAUUGAUAAUUAAAUUACACCAAUUUUUACAAUAUCUAAAAAGCAUUCAUAAACAUAUUCAUAUUGAUGGGCUCUUUCAUUAUUAAACUUUUUUUCUCUCACAAGUAAAAGUACUUGUGGUGAGGAUCAUGUAAAAUAAUAAACUGAAUAAUUUUAAACGUCUCAUCAUUGCUAAAAUGAAAUAAUAGAAAAGAAGACAUUUUAUGAAAUUUACAAUUCCAACUGUGAAUAAAAUAUAAAUUUAUGAAUGUGAACAAGCCAUUUUAUUUAUAAUUUUCUGUGUUUUUCUUCUUUUUCUGACUUUUUUUUAGUCAUUUUCUUUGUUUCCUAACCACCAUGAAAUUACUUGUCACAAUUCAUCUUUUUAAAUGAGAAGCAUUUUCCACAAUUUGCCAUCACUUUAACAUACACUAACUUUUCUAUGAUUAGUCCUUGGUUUGCUUGUCACCAUGAAAUUACUUGUCACAAUUUUCCACAAUCUUCCAACUAGCCUCAUCCUUGGUUUUACUUUCCAACAAUUAUUGUAUCCUUCUCAUUACUUGUACUUACCCGACUGAUAAAAAAUUCACUGAUCAAAUUAGUUCAAAGUUUUUUUUUUUUUUCUAAAUCAUGUGAAUUCACGAGUUUUUUUUCUUUAAAAAAUAUUUUUGUGGAUAUUAGGAGAUACUGAAAAUUAUUUUACUAUGAAAUUUUAAUAAAACUGGACAAUAAGUGAUUUAUUUAAAGGGAUCACAAUUAAACAUUAGAUUUUUAAUUUUUUAAUUUUAAAACUUUUUGACAAUUGCGUAAUUAAUAAGGUACUAAUUUUGAGCGUUGUAGGAGUGCUAUAAACUUCACUACGCAUAAUCGACUCUUAAAUCCACCUUUUUCUCUAGAAUUAUAACAAAUUUACAAAAUGAUUUAAUGAUAUUUAAUUAUUGACCGGUAAAAAAAUUAUAUCAUAUAAAUUCCGAAUUAUUAAUUAUAUAUCUACAUAUUAUAACCAAUUCAUCUUUCAAAAUUAUUUCCUUAUAAUUAAAGCAAAAAUUAUAUUUAUAAAAUUCUAAAUAUAUUAUAAUUCUUGUAAAUAUAUAUAUUUAUAUAUAUAAGUUCAAAUUGUAAUAGAGUUAACAUUUAAUGUAUAAAAAAUGUCUUGAAAAUUAUUAUUUUUUUCAAUUCCAAAAGAACUAUUCCAUUUAUAGAACCAUAAAACUUUAAAAAUAUAAACUCUAUUAAAUAAAAAUAAUAAUAUAUUUAAACAAUAAAUAUUGACUUUAUUUUAAAUUGACAUUAUCUAAUUCUUUUUAAUAAAUAUAGCUAAGCUUUACAUUAAUAUACAUGAUUUAUUUGUUCGUGGUUGUUAUUAUUAUUAUUAUUAUUAUUAUUAUUAUUUCUAUGAUUUUUAUAUCAUACUUAUCGGACUACAAUCAUAACCAUGUCUAUUAUCAUUUGAUAAAAAAAAUUAAGUGUUGAGUAUAAUGACAAGGCACGUUACACUCUUAAGGGGAGAUCAAGGUUUGGACAAGGGAAGAAUAUCAUUUAAAUUUUGGAGACAACAUUCUUUAAAUGAGCAACCACAAACCCCGAUUAUGAACCAUAAAACGAGCAUGAAAAGUACCCAAAAAAACAAGUUUAUUAUCAAAAUAGUAAUCCAUCCAAGGAUUAAAUUAACAAAAUUCACCAUCCAACCGUGUAGACUAUUAUAUAUAUAUAUACCAUAUUUAUUCUUCAUGCAAAUGUUUAUUAUAUUUAAAAAUUAAAAUAUAUGAUUGAUUGAGUUUUAGUUGAGUUAAUAUUGAUAUUAUUGUCAGUGCAAAAGAAUAUGAGUUCAAUCAUGUUUAAAUACAUUUUAUACUCCAAUUUAGGAGUUGGAGAGGAUUCUCAGUAGUUAAAUUAUAUCAGUUUUUGUCUAUUUAAAAUUGAUUUAUAAAUAAUAUAAGUAGAAAAUUUUAUAAAAAUAUACAUACUCAUAUUGAUUGGCUUUUUCAUUAUUAGACAUUUUUCCCCAUAGGUAAAAGUAUUUAUCGAAUUCAAAUUUUGGGUUUUAAAUAAGGGUUUUCGGAUUUUUUUUUAACAUUUGUGAGAGUUUUUGCCAAAUUUUAUGUUUUCAAAAACGCAUAACUAAGUUGAUUUUUAAUUAGUUUUUCAAAUGAGUCAAUGUAAUUCCUUAAAAAUCUAGUGAUAGCGUCUAGCCUGGGUUUGGGGGUGUUACACUGACGUUACUAAAGUUAAUCUUAAUCUAUUUAGUCUAGAUCUGAACAUUAAUAUUCUCUUCCAAUAAAAAUAAAGAUCAUCAAAUUAUUACAAUUGUGAAGCCAGACAAUCAUAUUAAAUAAGCAUAAAACUUAAUAAAUAAUUAGCGAAGAUUGAAACAAUCAAAGAAAAAAUAAAUUAAUUAACUAAGAAAUAAGGAUCCAUUAUUGUUUCAAGAAAACAGAGUUUAGUUCAUAUUGAGUUGAGAAAACCAAAAAUUAGAUUCAAAACAAACUUGUGAUAAGGGGAACAAUGUCAACAGAUCAUAUUCAAGUUGUUCGACUCGAGAAAGCAAGAUUCGGAUUUGACCUGAAAAGAAGAAACCAAACAGAUUAGGAAAACAAGAAAAAAACAAAGAAAAAAAAAUAAAAUGAGAAAUUUAAGAAUAAAGAAUAAAUAUUAAAAAAUAAUAAAGAAAUAAAUAAAUUAUAGAAUAAAAAGUGGCAGAUGGAAUGAAUAAAUGAUGGAUAUGACAUAUAGAUGGAUAAGUGUCUGAUAACCCUUGAAAAAAAGUUAUAUUUUGUUAGGGAUCGACCCGAUUAAGCAACAAGUAACAAAAAAAGGGAAUAAAUUGAGAAAUUGAACACACAAAUUUAACGUGAAAAAAACCUUCCGAAGAGGAUAAAAAAACCACGGGAAAAGAUAAAUUUACUAUAAUGGCAAAAGAACGAAGAGUACAAAAGAUGGAGAUAAAACUAAACUCCAAAAACCCGAAAAUAAAGAACCCUCAAAACGUAAACACAAAAUUCUCUAAAUGUGUUAUGAGUUCUAAUCUCUAAUGUGUGUCAACUAAGGUUGUAAAAGAGCCUAUUUAUAGGCUAAAUUCAUAUGUCAAAUAAUAAUAAAAUAAUCUAAACUAAUCAGUGUUUGACUGAAAUAAAUAAACAAAGUUUAACUAAAAGAUUAUUUUUUAAAUUUGACUGAAAAUAGGAGUCAUACUUAACAAAUCUCCACCUUGACUCAUAUUUCUACAAUGCCAUCUUUGCCAAAGCCCGCUACGAGCCUAUCUUGAACUAUACAGGGAAUUAACUGAGUCGAAUCUGUGCUUAGAAACUGGAAGACUUCUAGCUUUCGACUUGUACACUGCCAAAUCAAAACUAACCCGAGUUUGAUUUUCACGAACACAGUGUCCUAACUUUUCAAAACCUGCAUCCAAAAGAGAACCUCUCUUCAAUGAAACGGUCAUACAUUUUUCCCUCCUAUGACCAAGUUGCCUCUGCUCCAAACGAGUUGACUUCGACUCUGUAACAGACGAGGGAUGUCCGAUUUCACCGGUCAUUGUAGAACCUUCCAGAAUAUAAAGACUGCCAUUUCUUUUACCUUUGAACAAAAUGAGAGCUCCACGAGAUACUUUAAUGCUGCUCGACUCGAUGUUGAUUCUGCAUCAUUUCAAGUCUAAAAUACUCAAGGAGAUGAGAUUCUUUCGUAAAUUAGGUACAUACCUGACAUCUGAGAGUGUCCUAAUCGUCCCAUCGUGUGUCCUAAUUUUAACAGUACCAACACCAAUUACCUUACUAGAUGAAUUGUUUCCCAUGCGCACAACUCCACCUUCAACCGAACUGUAUGUGGAGAACCAUUCUCUAUUGGGACACAUGUGGAAAGAACAUCCCAAAUCUAGGAUUCACUCGAACGUGAGCUUGGAGUUAUCACUCGUUGACACUAACAAGAAAUCAUCACCACUUUCAUCGAUCAAAUUAGCACUAGCUACAUCUUCCUCGUUACUCUCAGCAGCUCCUUUAUUUCGCAGUUUAUAACAAUUUGCUUUGACAUGACCUAACUUUUUACAAUAGUGACACCUUUUGUCUCGUUUCUUUGAUGCCAUCAAAAUGGAAGAUUGCCUAUCUGCCUUGCUAUCUAAAUGAAACUCAUUUUCGAGUUUGUCUCUACUCAACAAAUGACCCUUCACAUCUUCGAACGAGAGUUUGUCUCUGCCAUAGGGUCUCCUUGAAAGAUUUGUAUGAAGGGGGUAAAGAGCAUAAUAAUAGCAUAGCUUGAUCUUCAUCAUCAAUAUGAACCUCAAAGUUCUUUAAAUCAUUUAAAAGAAUAAUGAAUUGACUGAUGUGAUCUCUAAGAAGCUCACAUUCGUUCCUGCGAAACGUAAAUAGACGUUGUUUCAACAGUAAACGGUUAGCCAGAGACUUAGUCGCAUAAAGAGUUUCUAACCUUUUCCAUAAGGUGGAUGAGGUCUUCUCCAUCAAUACCUCCUGCAAUACCGUAUUCGCGAGGCACAACUGGAUUGCAGACAAGGCAUUUUCAUCAAGCUCUUCCCAUUCUGUUUUAUUUAGAUUCUCAGGCUUUUUUUGGUAACAACCUUUUUCAAACCGGAUUGAACUAGAAUUGCCAUCAUCCAAACUUGCCAUAGAUUGAAAUUGGUCUCACCAUCGAACUUCUCAAUUUCAAACCUUGUUGUUGCCAUAUCUGAAUGGGCUGAUUUAUGAAAAUUGAACUAGCUCUGAUACCACUUGUUAGGGAUCGACCCGAUUAAGCAACAAGUAACAAAAAAGGAAAUAAAUUGAGAAAUUGAACACACAAAUUUAACGUGAAAAAAACCCUCCGAAGAGGAUAAAAAAACCACAGGAAAAGAUAAAUUUACUAUAAUGGCAAAAGAACGAAGAGUACAAAAGAUGGAGAUAAAACUAAACUCCAAAAACCCGAAAAUAAAGAACCCUCAAAACGUAAACACAAAAUUCUCUAAAUGUGUUAUGAGUUCUAAUCUCUAAUGUGUGUCAACUAAGGUUGUAAAAGAGCCUAUUUAUAGGCUAAAUUCAUAUGUCAAAUAAUAAUAAAAUAAUCUAAACUAAUCAGUGUUUGACUGAAAUAAAUAAACAAAGUUUAACUAAAAGAUUAUUUUUUAAAUUUGACUGAAAAUAGGAGUCAUACUUAACAAAUCUCCACCUUGACUCAUAUUUCUACAAUGCCAUCUUUGCCAAAGCCCGCCACGAGCCUAUCUUGAACUAUGCAGGGAAUUAACUGAGUCGAAUCUGUGCUUAGAAACUGGAAGACUUCUAGCUUUCGACUUGUACAUUGCCAAAUCAAAACUAACCCGAGUCUGAUUUUCACGAACACAGUGUCCUAACUUUUCAAAUCCUACAUUGAAAAGAGAACCUCUCUUCAAUGAAACCGUCAUACAUUUUUCCCUCCUAUGACCAAGUUGCCUCUGCUCCAAACGAGUUGACUUCGACUCUGUAACAGACGAGGGAUGUCCGAUUUCACCGAUCAUUGUAGAACCUUCCAGAAUAUAAAGACUGCCAGUUCUUUUACCUUUGAACAAAACGAGAGCUCCACGAGAUACUUUAAUGCUGCUCGACUCGAUGUUGAUUCUGCAUCAUUUCAAGUCUAAAAUACUCAAGGAGAUGAGAUUCUUUCAUAAAUUAGGUACAUACCUGACAUCUGAGAGUGUCCUAAUCGUCCCAUCGUAUGUCCUAAUUUUAACAGUACCAACACCAAUUACCUUACUAGAUGAAUCAUUUCCCAUGCGCACAACUCCACCUUCAACCGAACUGUAUGUGGAGAACCAUUCUCUAUUGGGACACAUGUGGAAAGAACAUCCCAAAUCUAGGAUCCACUCGAACGUGAGCUUGGAGUUAUCACUCGUUGACACUAACAAGAAAUCAUCACCACUUUUAUCGAUCAAAUUAGCACUAGCUACAUCUUCCUCAUUACUCUCAGCAGCUCUUUUAUUUCGCAGUUUAUAACAAUCUGCUUUGACGUGACCUAACUUUUUACAAUAGUGACACAUCUCGUUUCUUUGAUGCCAUCAAAAUGGAAGAUUGCCUAUUUGCCUUACUAUUUAAAUGAAACUCAUUUUCGAGUUUGUCUCUACUCAACAAAUGACCCUUCACAUCUUCGAACGAGAGUUUGUCUCUGCCAUAAGGUCUCCUUAAAAGACUUGUAUGAAGGGGGUAAAGAGCAUAAUAAUAGCAUAGCUUGAUCUUCAUCAUCAAUAUGAACCUCAAAGUUCUUUAAAUCAUUUAAAAGAAUAAUGAAUUGACUGAUGUGAUCUCUAAGAAGCUCACCUUCGUUCCUGCGAAACGUAAAUAGACGUUGUUUCAACACUAAACGGUUAGCUAGAGACUUAGUCGCAUAAAGAGUUUCUAACCUUUUCCAUAAGGUGGAUGAGGUCUUCUCCAUCAAUACCUCCUGCAAUACCGUAUUCGCGAGGCACAACUGGAUUACAGAUAAGGCCUUUUCAUCAAGCUCUUCCCAUUCUGUUUUAUUUAGAUUCUCAGGCUUUUUUUGGUAACAACCUUUUUCAAACCGGAUUGAACUAGAAUUGCCAUCAUCCAAACUUGCCAUAGAUUGAAAUUGGUCUCACCAUCGAACUUCUCAAUUUCAAACCUUGUUGUUGCCAUAUCUAAAUGGGCUGAUUUAUGAAAAUUGAACUAGCUCUGAUACCACUUGUUAGGGAUCGACCCGAUUAAGCAACAAGUAACAAAAAAGUGAAAUAAUUUGAGAAAUUGAACACACAAAUUUAACGUGGAAAAACCCCUCCAAAGAGGAUAAAAAACCACGGGCAAAGAUAAGUUUACUAUAAUGGCAAAAGAACGAAGAGUACAAAAGAUGGAGAUAAAACUAAACUCGAAAAACCCAAAAACAAAGAACCCUCAAAACGUAAACACAAAUGGGUGUCAACUAAGGUUGUAAAAGAGCCUAUUUAUAGGCUAAAUUCAUAUGUCAAAUAAUAAUAAAAUAAUCUAAACUAAUCAGUGUUUGACUGAAAUAAAUAAACAGAGUUUAACUAAAAGAUUAUGUUUUAAAUUUGACUGAAAAUAGGAGUCAUACUUAACAUAUUUCAUGCCUUUAAACCUAACUAAUUGUUUGUACUUAAGUAUAUUUUUUUCUUUUUAAGACAUUGUAGCGAACAUUUUUAAUAUUGUAUUAGGACAUAGACUAUGUUGGAAUUAGGUGCUUUUAAUCUCUUGUGGUGGAGUUUUUGUGUGUUGGUAUGGCAGGAACAUGUUUUAAAACGAGGAAAUAAAUGAGUGAAGUUUUGUUAGGGAAAAAGUGCAAACAGUUUGCCAACACAGAUGUCGUGGCAAUGCCGGGAAGACCAAGUUCAUAUUUUUUGUGCAGCAAUCCCGGUUCAAACUCAAACUUGUAUGAGAUAAAUCCCCCUAAAAGAGGAGAAGAUAAUCACAUUGCUGUUAGCUGACCCUAGCCUAAUCUAUCUAUUAAAGCCAAUGAAAAGGAUCUCACAAAGGGUAGAAAAAAGUGAGAGAGAUCCUUAGGGAUGAAUAAGGGUUUGGCUGCGCAAAAGAACAGAAGUCGAAGGGAAUCAUUCUUAGCCAUCACAGAACGUUGUGCUGCCAAAGUGUGGACUAGGCAAGUGAAAGAUGUUUCCAAAAGUUCUUCUGUUAUUUCCAUUAGUGUUCCUUCCAAAGAUUGAAUUGAAGUAGUUGAACACAAUGUCGGAUAAUAUUUUGGUUUGAAAUUUUAUUUCCCAGCUUAUGAGCUAAAUCUCAUAAGGUUAGGAUUACUUUCGAUGAAACCUUAAAUUUUUUUAUAGAUGAAGUAUAUAUCUAAUUUACAUUAUUGUUUCAUUUGAUUGUUCUAAUUUCUUAAUUAAAAUGCAAAUGAUCUCUAGACAUAGAAGACUGUUCGCAUACUUAUAAAUUGAUUGUAAUUAUAAAAGGGUUGGAUUAAAAUUAAAUGAAAUGAGCAGGUAUUUGAUAGACACUUGUAGUCGACUCUAGACAUAGAGUCACGAUCAUACAGAAGAAGCCCAUGCAAGAUAUCGAAAAAGCCUUUAGACACCAGGCAAGGCAACUUGAGGUUUUUCUCUCACGAGAGGCAGACCAUUUUAGAACUCUUCUGUGUUGUAAAGUAGAUACAAUUUUGCCAAGACAAUAUUGACAAUGAGGGUUGAUUCUGGGUAAUCCCGACCUUCCAAAUCCACUUCGUAUAUCCUUUAAUCUUUUUCAUAAUAUCUUUGCCACAUAAUUAUUAGUUAUUUAUUUGUUCAUUUACAUAAUAUUCCCAUAGUAAUUCUCAUAAUUGCCAUUAUGUUUCUACUCUCGGUUGGCCAUAGCAUUACUAAUUAUUCAUUAAUUCCACAUAUUGAUUACAUCAUUAAUCUACUCAUUGUCAUUGCAUAUUUAUCAUUGACUUUGUCAUAGCAUUAAUUGCAUUUUAUUAUAAUAACUUGACCAAUUUUGUGCCUCAAUCCGAUUUUCGUGGGAACAAUACUCACUCAUCACUUUAUUACUUGAUUCAACGUGUAUACUUGCACAAAUCGCAUAUCAUUUCACAUGCGACAGUGUCCAAUUUAACCUUUUGAGAUAUAAACUCAAACAAACUCAAUUAAUGGCUUUAAUCAACCCACCAAGAAAUAAUAAUUGGCAAAUUGAAGGAUGAAGAAUGAAUUCCCAUGACUCCUUAAAGAAAAUUGAGAAGAAAACUGCUUCUAAAAAUUACAAGAAAUAAUCUUGCACAAAGAAACUUACCCUCAGAGUUGGAAAUUUUAGUAAUGAGCAAAAACAAUUGUGUCUCUAAUGAACAUGAAGGGGCCUUUACAUAGGAUAGAUAAGUACAUCCAAAUAAAAUUUUGAAGUAUAUUAAAACUUUAAUUAAUGUAAGAAAAAAAGUAAUUUUCAACUAAAAUAGUCAUAAUUUCUAUAAUAAUCCCGUCUAGAAAUUCUGCUCACAUAGCCAUCACUAAAAUAGUCAUAAAUUGAGCUCUUGAACUCGAAAUUGAAUGAAUAAAAGUGUGUUUGAAAGUUAAGUAAUAGAUCUUAGAACUCCAUCAAGACAUAUCAAUCAAAAAAUGUCUGGAUCCCAUCCAAAAAGUCAUUGCAAGUUAACUAAUUUUCCAAACUUGAAAAUUGACAGCUUCGGGGAAUGGAAUUUAAUAAAGUUCACCCCAUCUACUCAAGUAUAAACUUGCAGUGGUAAAAAGUAAAAAUAAAUAAUCUAUAGAGAAACUAGUUGAAGAAUUUAUGACAAUUUAUUUAGAUCUUUUUUUCUUCUAGCCUUUGCAAACUUGAAGUUUCCCUUGGUGUGAGAGAGUUGUUCCUUACCCUCUAAGUUAUUUUUUUUCUUUUCCUUUUUUUUUCUUUCUCUUCGAUCUUGUCACCUAAGGGUGUUCAAAUGAUUGAUUCAGUUAAUACCCGAACAAUGCUAUCAUUAACUGAAAUUUUGAAACCUUAAUCGUUAAUGAAACCAAUUUUUUGUUGAAACCUAUUAACCGGCCGGAUUGAUUUCGGUUAAUUCAGGCGGCUAGCCGGAAUUUAUACAUUAUUUUUUUCAAACAAUUUUAAAACAAAGAACAAUCCAUGACAACUUUUUCCUUGUUUUUUAUUCAAAAAUUAUUAAAAGAAUUUUAAAAAAUAACAUAAUAACAACACUAAAUUAAAAACAUAAUAGCAUUCAUUACAUUACAAAGCAUAAUUUCUUUUUUUUUUUACUUUUUGUUGACUUUUUAGUUUAAUUUUAGUUUUUUUUUUCAAAUAUUUUUAGUUUUCAUAUUUUUGUUAAGCUUAUUAUAAGAAAACUUAUAAAUCCAUUAGUUUUUAUAUAUUAGGUUUGUAUAAUGUAUUGGACCUAUCUCUAACAUAUUGGGCCUAUAAUAUAUUUUUAUUGAUUUCGGUUAAUCAAUUAAUUUGGUUAAUUAGUCGAUUUCAAACUAAACUAAUCGAUAAACAAAAUUUUCUAAAACAUUUAACCAACUCCCAACCAAAUUAGAUUCGUUGAUCGACUGCUUAAUCAAAUUAAUCAUAUGGUAGAAUGGCAUGUUUUUGGAAUGGCUAUUUGGCAUUAUUGGUAUAGGUUUAAGUUAUGAUCUAAAGAUGUUGAAUUGAAUUAAGUUUGAUAUGUAUACUAUGAUGUCUUCAUUGGCAUAUUGGUUAGAUAUUAAAGGAUGGUUGAUUUGGUAUGUUUUGAAAAUGGUUCUUGGUAUGUUUGAUCUAAGUUGAUUAAAUGAACUUGUAAUGUUGAAUGGUAUAAUAUUUGUUGUUACAUUAGUUAGUCUUAUAGGUUGAUGGAAUUGGUAUGUUUUAAAUGUGUUUAAAAUGUGUUUUGAUUAUUUAAAUGUUUGUGGAAAUGGUGUGUCUUGGUGUACAAGAUUUGAAAUUGAAAUGGCUUGAUUUAGAAAGCAACUUAUGCUGCACACCGCCUAGGACAUGGGUUGUCACAUGGCUGUGUGUCAUUAUUGUUUUAGGUACAGGUUUCACACAAUCUAAGACUUGGCUCACGACAUGGCUACGUAUCAUAAGUCAAUAUGUAACACGGUUUGGUACAUGGCCUGUAACACGACCGUGUGUCCAAACUUCAAAUGUUUACACGUCCUGGGCUAUGUCACACGACUUGGCCACAUGGCCGUGUGACCCUUGUUUUAAAGUUUUCUGAAAUUUUCUAUUUUAUUUCAAAUUGAUCCUAGAAUAUUCUCAAACUAUUUUUAGGGCCUCGUAGGUUCAAAUUAAGGCCCACAAAUGUAUGCUUGCUAUAAUUAAGUUGUGCUAAUUAAUGUUAUUAAUUAAAUGGCAUGAAUAUUUUAUUGUAAGUUAAAUUUUUUAAUUUGUCCUAUAAUGCUCCGUAACCCAAAUCAAGUGACGGAGAUAGGUUUGGGUGUUACAAUUUUGGACUGUAAAUUUGUUUUGAGGCUUUGUUCUUUGGUUCUUGCAAUGUUUGUUGGAUUUUAGUGUUUUAACAUUAAACUGCAAAAUUGUAUGAUUUAACAAACUAAAAAUUAGGUUUUCAAAAUUAAAACUCUAGAAAUUUUCAUUACAAAGAUUAAGUAAUCACUUAAGUGUUUUCCCAUAAAUAAUUAAAUGGUUUUUAACAAAUGUUUUCCUUAGUUUUGGGAAUGAUAUGCCAACAUUAGUACUUUUAAAACACAUGGUUUUAAAUAAGGGUUUUCAAACUUUGGUUUUUUAACAUUUGUGAGAGGUUUUUGCCAAAUUUUAUGUUUUCAGAAUGUGUAACUAAGUUGAUUUUAAUUAGUUUUUCAACGAGUUUAUGUAAUUCCUCAAAAAUCCAGUCAUAGCAUCUAGGCCGGGUUUGGGGUGUUACACUAACAUUACUAAAGUUAAUCUUAAUCUAUUUAGUCUAGAUCUAAACAUUAAUAUUCUCUUCAAAGAAAAUCAAGAUUAUCAAAUUAUUACAACUUGGUAGGCAGACAAUCUUAUUAAAUAUGCAUAAAAGUUAAUAAAUAGUUAGCGAAGAUUGAAACAAUCAAAGAAAAAAUAAAUUAAUUAACUAAGAAAUAGGAUCCAUUAUUGUUCCAAGAAAAUAGAGUUUAGUUCAUAUUGAUUGAGAAAAUCAAAAGGGAGAUUCAAAAAACACUUGUGAUAAGGGGAACAAUGUCAAUAGAUCAUAUUCAAGUUGUUCGACUCAAGAAAGAAAUAUUUGGAUCUAGCCUGAAAAGAAGAAACCAAACAGAUUUAGGAAAAAAAGAAAAAAAAGAAAAAAACUUAAAUAAUAAAUUUAAGAAUAAAUAAUAAAUAUUAAAAAUAAUAAAGAAAUAAAGAAAUUAUAGAAUAAAUAGUGGAAGAUGGAAUGAAUAAACGAUGGAUAUGACAUAUAGAUGGAUAAGUGUCUGAUAAUUCUUGAAAAGAGUUAUAUUUCAUGCCUUUAGACCUAACUAAUUGCUUGUACUUAAGUACAUUUUGUUGCAUUUUAAGAUAUUUUAGUUAGUAUUUGUAAUAUUGCAUUAGGAUUUAGAUUGUGUUGGAAUUAGGUGUUUUUAAUCACUUGUGGUGGAGUUUUUGGUGUGCUGGUAUGGCAGGAACAUUAUUUAGAACGAGGAAAUAAAUGAGUGAAGUUUUGCCAAUGCAAAAGUGCAGAUAGUUUGCCAGCACAGAUGCCGUGGAAAUGCCGAGAAGACCAAGUCAACAUUUUUUUGUGCAACAGUCCCAGUUCAAAUUCAAACUUGUACCAAAUAAAUCUCCCUAAAAGAGGAGAAGAUAAUCACAACUUGUUAGCCAACCCUAGCCUAAUCUAUCUAUAAAAGCCAAUGAAGGGGAUCUCACAAAUGGCAGAAAAAAGUGGGAGAGAUCCUUAGGUGUGAAUAAUGAUUCAGCUGUGCAAAGGAAAGGAAGUCAAAGGCAGUCCCUUUUAGCCAUCACAGGACGUUGUGCUGCCGAUGUGUGGACUAGGCAAGUGAAAGUUGUAUCCCAAAGUUCUUUCGUUAUUUCCAUUAGUGUUCCUUCAAAAUAUUGAAGUAGUUGAACACAACGUUGGAUAAUAUUUUGGUUUGGAAUUUUAUAUCCCAGCUCAUGAGCUAAAUCUCGUAGGGUUGAGAUUACUUUUGAAGAAACCUUAAACUGCUUUUAUGAAUGCAAAUGAUCUCUGGACAUAGAAGACUGUUCGUAUACUUAUAAACUGAUUCUAAUUCUAAAACGGUUGGAUUGGUUGGAUUAAAAUUAAAUGAAAUGAGCAAGCAUUCGAUAGACACUUGUAGUAGACUCUAGACAUAGAGUCACGCUCAUACAAAAGGAACCCAUGCAAGAUAUCUAAAAAGCCUUUAGACACAGGCAAGGUAACUUGAGGUGUUGCUCUCACGAGAGGCAGGCCAUUUUAGUACUCUUCUGUGCUUUAAAGUAGAUAUGAUUUUGCCAAGGCAUUAUUGAAAAUAAGGGUCGAUUUUGGGUAAUCUCGACCUUCCAAAUCCACAUCGUAUAUCUUUUAUUCUUUCCCAUAGUAUAUUUGCCACAUCAUUAUUAGUUAUUUAUUUGCUCAUUUACAUAAUAUUCCUAUAGUAAUUCUCAUAAUUGUCAUUACAUUUCUACUCUCGAUUUGGCACAACAUUACCAGUUAUUUAUUAAUUCCACGCAUUGCUUACAUCAUUACUCUACUAAUUACCACUGUAUAUUUACCAUUGACUUUCCCAUAGUAUUAAUCGUAUUUUAUUAUAAUAACUUGACCAAUUUUGUGCCUCAAUUCGAUCCUCAUGGAACGAUACUCACUCAUCACUUUAUUUGUAACAUCCCAAACUUGGAUUAGAAGUUAUGACUGAAUCCGGCGAUAUCACAUGGAAAGGGAUUUGAAGACAAGAUUGUCGAGUUUAAAAACCAUUAUAGAAAGUUAGCUUUUAUUUAAUUCGGGAAAAAAACUAGUUGAUUUUCUUUAAAACUUGUCUCUUAGCAGAAGCUUUUGUAACCAAUUAAUUUACGAAAAAUCGUUUCUAUUUACAAAAAACUUUAGUAGGAAAAACUAUGUUUUGUGGAGUUGCAGUUUUUAAAAGAAACCCAUAAAAAAAGUAUAAAGUCCCAAAUUUAAAACCAACCAGUCCAUAGUCUAGAAGAUACAUCAAAAACUCCAAANNNNNNNNNNNNNNNNNNNNNNNNNNNNNNNNNNNNNNNNNNNNNNNNNNNNNNNNNNNNNNNNNNNNNNNNNNNNNNNNNNNNNNNNNNNNNNNNNNNNNNNNNNNNNNNNNNNNNNNNNNNNNNNNNNNNNNNNNNNNNNNNNNNNNNNNNNNNNNNNNNNNNNNNNNNNNNNNNNNNNNNNNNNNNNNNNNNNNNNNNNNNNNNNNNNNNNNNNNNNNNNNNNNNNNNNNNNNNNNNNNNNNNNNNNNNNNNNNNNNNNNNNNNNNNNNNNNNNNNNNNNNNNNNNNNNNNNNNNNNNNNNNNNNNNNNNNNNNNNNNNNNNNNNNNNNNNNNNNNNNNNNNNNNNNNNNNNNNNNNNNNNNNNNNNNNNNNNNNNNNNNNNNNNNNNNNNNNNNNNNNNNNNNNNNNNNNNNNNNNNNNNNNNNNNNNNNNNNNNNNNNNNNNNNNNNNNNNNNNNNNNNNNNNNNNNNNNNNNNNNNNNNNNNNNNNNNNNNNNNAGUUCUACACUUACGCCCAUAUAAUGCUUCAUACGGUGCCAUUCGUAUACUUGACUGAUAGCUAUUGUUAUAAGCAAAUUCAACCAAUGGUAGAUAUUUCUCCCAACUGCCUUUCAAUUCUAAAAUACAACACCGGAGCAUAUCUUCAAGAAUUUGAAUCACUCUUUCCGAUUGCCCGUCAGUUUGCGGAUGAAACGCAGUACUGAAAUUCAAUUUUGUACCCAAGGCUUCCUGCAACUUUAUCCAAAACCUCGAAGUAAAUCUCAGAUCUCUAUCCGAUAUAAUAGAUUUAGGCACCCCAUGUAAUCUCACUAUUUCAGCAACAUAUAAUUCUGCCAACCUGUCAAGUGAGUAAUCAAUGCGUAUCGGAAUAAAAUGAGCCGACUUUGUCAAUCUAUCAACAAUUACCCAAAUAGCAUCUUUCUUCUUUGGAGUUAAAGGCAAUCCUGUCACAAAAUCCAUCGUAAUACUAUCCCACUUCCACUCUGGAAUCGUUAUCGGUUGAAGUAAACCCGAUGGUACUUGAUGCUCAGCCUUCACUUGUUGACAGAUUAAACACUUUGAUACAAAUUCCGAGAUAUCCUUUUUCAUGCCUGGCCACCAAUACAACUUCUUCAAAUCAUUAUACAUUUUCACACUACCCGGAUGAACUGACAAGUCACCACUAUGUGCCUCACAUAAAAUGGUCUGAAUUAACUCAUCAUUUCUUGGUACACAUACUCUAUCCCGGAACAUCAAGCAAUCAUCUGAACCAAUUUGAAAAUCUGAGUCAACACCUGCUUCACACUGAGCUCUCUUGGCUUGCAAUUUACUGUCAUUCUUUUGAGAUUCCCGAAUUUACUGAAGAAAUAAUGGUCUAGCUCUCAAUUCAACCAACAUUGAGCCAUCAUCAGAUAAAGUUAACAUCGUACCCAUAGCUCUCAAAGCAAAUAAAGAUUUUCUGCUCAAGGCAUCAGCAACCACAUUAGCUUUCCCGGGGUGAUAAUCAAUCACUAGCUCAUAGUCUUUGAUUAGCUCGAGCCAUCUUCGUUGCCGCAAAUUCAAAUCUUUUUGGCUCAUCAAAUACUUCAAACUCUUAUGAUCAGUGAAGAUUCGGCACUUUUCACCAUACAAAUAAUGACGCCAAAUUUUUAAAGCAAAAACAAUGGCAGCCAAUUCUAAAUCAUGCGUCGGAUAAUUCUUCUCAUGCGGUUUCAAUUGUCUCGAAGCAUAAGCUAUUACUUUGCCCUCUUGCAUUAACACACACCCAAGACCAUUCAACGAUGCAUCACUGUAAAUUACAAACUCCUUCCCGGACUCAGGUUGCACCAACACUGGCGCCUCAGUCAAUAAUGCCUUCAACUUUUCAAAACUCUGUUGACAUUUAUUGGUCCAUUCAAACUUGACAUUCUUCUGCAGUAACUUAGUCAUAGGAGAAGCAAUCAUCGAAAAUCCCUUGACAAAGCGUCUGUAAUACCCAGCUAAGCCCAGAAAGCUUCUAACUUCUGUCACAUUCUUUGGUGGCUCCCAAUCAACAAUUGCUGAAAUUUUGCUUGGAUCAACCCGAAUACCUUCACUUGAAACUAUAUGUCCCAAGAAUCCAACCUCACGAAGCCAAAACUCACUUUUGCUGAAUUUAGCAUACAAUUUCUUUUCUCUCAGAAUCUGCAACACAGUUCUUAAAUGUUCUGCAUGCUCAGAUUCAUCCCGAGAAUAGAUUAAAAUAUCAUCUAUGAACACCACCACGAACUUAUCCAAGUACGGCCGAAAAAUUUGGUUCAUCAAGUCCAUAAAAAUAGCUGGAGCAUUUGUUAACCCAAAAGGCAUUACCAGAAAUUCAUAGUGUCCAUACCUUGUUCUAAAGGCGGUUUUCGGCACAUCAGACUCUUUAACUCUUAACUGAUAGUAACCAGACCUCAAAUCAAUCUUAGAAAACACUGUUGCCCCUUUUAAUUGAUCAAAUAAAUCAUCAAUUCUCGGCAAAGGAUACUUGUUCUUUAUAGUCACCUUGUUGAGCUGACGAUAGUCAAUACAAAGUCUCAUAGAGCCGUCCUUUUUUUUCACAAAUAACACAGGAGCACCCCAAGGAGAAAAACUCGGUCUCACAAAUCCUUUAUCUGUCAACUCUUGUAACUGAGCUUUUAAUUCCUUCAACUCAGUCGGAGCCAUUUGAUACAGUGCAAUAGAAAUCGGUGCAGUACCAGGUAACAGAUCAAUAGAAAACUCAACUUCUCUAAUCGGAGGUAACCCAGGCAAUUCCUCUGGAAAUACAUCUGGAAAUUCACAAACUACCGGCACUGAUUCAAGCUUCGACCCAGUAAUAUCCGUGUUUAGCACAUAAGCAAGAUAAACUUCACAUCCCUUUCUCAAGUAUUUCUGAGCAGACAUGUGCGAAAUCACCAUAGGCAACUUAUUCGGCUCCUUUGUUUCAACCCGGAGAAUUUCACCGUUUUCACAAUUUAAUUCAAGAAUUUUCUGUCUACAAUUUCCCUUGGCAUCAUGCAAUAUCAACCAAUCCAUCCCCAAAAUAACAUCAAACUCAUCAAAUGGUAACAACAUCAAAUUAGCCGGGAAACAGUGGCCUUGAAUCAUCAGGGGACAAUUCUUGCAAACCUUAUCGACUAAGACAUAUUUGCCUAAAGGAUUUGAUACUUUAACUACAAAUUCAGUUUUUUCAACAGGCAAUUUCUUACUAGACACCAAAUUCAUGCAUAUAUAUGAAUGAGUAGAGCCGGGAUCAAUCAAAGCAAUAACAUCAAUAUCAUGAAGAGAAAAUGUACCAGUAAUCACAUCGGGAGAUGAGGCAUCCUCUCGAGCGCGUAUAGCAUAAGUCCUAGCAGGCGCUCUAGUUUCUGAUCCUCCAGCUGUAUCUUUUAUCACACUCUUACCACUGGCUUUGCUUCCCACAUUUCUCGGUGGUCUGCCUCUACUGACAACAUCACCCGAUCCAGCUCUUUGUAAUCUUUCUUCUUCUAUUCUCUCAGGGCAGUCUUUUACAUAAUGCUCUUGGGAACCACAUCUGAAACAAGCUCGUUUAAAUCCCCAACACUCACCAGUAUGUCGCCUGCCACACUGUUGACAUUCAGGUCUGGUGUUUCCUACAUUACCCACACUUGCCACUGAGGUAGCUCGAGUUGUAGUUCCGGAAUAUGACCUCCCUCGGUCUCUGCGUGAAUACCCAACUGAACCGGUUGGUCGUGGAUCCAUCCCUUUAAACUUCUUCGGGUGAGAUUGAAAUGUUCUGCCCAUUGACCUCUUCCUUACAUCUCGAGCUUCCAUCUCUGCCCUUCUCUUUUCUCUACUCAGCUCUUCAGCUUUGCAAGCACGAUCAACUAAUACCACAAAUUCUUUUAACUCUAAAAUUCCAACAUGUAAUCUGAUGUCUUCAUUUAGCCCCUCUUCAAAUCUUUUACACAUAAUAGCCUCCGUAGGCACACAUUCCUGGGCAUAUUUACUAAGCCGGACAAACUCCCGUUCAUAUUCUGCUACUGACAUUCGGCCCUGUUUCAAUCCGAGAAACUCUUUGCGCUUCUGAUCAAUAAACCGUUGGCUUACAUAUUUCUUUCUGAAUUCUUCCUGAAAGAAGUCCCAAGUAACUCUUUCUUUUGGAACCACCGUUAUUAAUGUUUUCCACCAACGGUAUGCCGAAUCCUUCAAUAAAGACACAGCACAUUUCAAACAUUCCUCAGGAGUACAAGAUAAUUCAUCAAAUACCUGGAUAGUAUUUUCAAGCCAAAACUCGGCUUUUUCCGGAUCAUCAUCAACAUUGGCCCUGAAAUCUUCAACCCCAUGCUUUCGAAUUCUAUCAACGGGUGGUUUACUUGAUCUCACCAAUUCAGCACUUCGUGGAGCUACGGGGACCGGCGGAGGAAUAGGAGGGGGUGGAGGAGGUGGAACAUUCGGAUUUACACGGACAUAUUCUGUAUACCAAUCACUCAUCAUUCGGAGGAAGGCUUCUCGAGCCUCAUCCUGUCCAUGUGUCUCAUGUCUACUCUCUUCAUGCGCGGUCCCUUGUGUGGGAACCGGCGUGUUACUUUCAACAUCAUCUGCCAUACUUCGAUUAGGAUCCAUUUACUAUAUAAAACAAAAUUUUAAAUUGUCAGAAAUCAUCACACUAUCACAAUAUAUUGAUGGCAUGUAUAGACUGACUUUCACACAUAUUUUAUUGGUCCGAGAACUGACUAAACCGUAGCUCUGAUACCACUAAAAUGUAACACCCCUUACUCGUAUUCCGGCUCGGAACAGAGUAUGAGGUAUUACUAAGUUUUUUAAAAAAAAUUUCGACAGCAUUUCUUCUUAAUUUUGCUUAAACCUCCUGCAAAUUUAAAUCACAAUCCAAUAUAUAUAUAUCAACCAAACUCAUUUAUAAUAAUACUCACAAUUUAACUAUUAAUGAACACCACAUUUUAAAUCAAACCAUAACAUAUAUUUACAUGAUGAUUCCAUAUUUCAUAGGUCGUCUAUACAUGCCAUAAUUUUCCGGAACGAUAGUAGCAAAAUACCCCAAGUGUGAAGGAUAGUGUGGAUGAUUGUCUGACUUCGUUCCAAAUUUCCGAGUUGUCGGAAGUCACUAUAAUCAAGGGAAAAAUAAAAUCGAGUAAGCAUAUAGCUUAGUAAGUAAACACAUGAUAAAUAAGUAAUUACUCACAUAACUACACCAAAAUAUAAACUUAUUCAUGAAUAACUUCAUUGUUUAGGCAAUUUCCAGCAAACUGUUUUUCUGCGUCAUAUUCGCUAAUUUAUUUUUAUCCGGAGCUACAGGGCUCCAAAUUGAGUUUCGUAAAUUUUCCCUGAAACUAGACUCAUAUACCAUUUCACCAUAAAAAUUUCAGAAUUUUUUACCCAGCCAAUUAGUACAUUUUAUUCAUUAAAACUUCCCCUGUUUCACUGCCCAACGGUUCUGACCCUUCCUCAAAAAAAUUCACUUAACUCUCUGUACAAAAUUUUAAAAAUGGUUUCGCUUGUUUCUAUUAAAAAUAGAGUCAAUAAGGAAUCCAGGAAUAUAAAUUUCACACCAUAAUUAUUUUUGUACAAUUUUUGGUGAUUUUCCAAAGUUAGAACAGGGGAUCCCGAAAUCAAUCCAGCCCUGUUUCAGUAAAAUUCAGAUAUCUCCAAAAAUACAACUCUUUUGCUUAUUCUAUUUAUUUCAUAUGAAAAUAGACACAUUCAGCUUCAAUUUCAUAUAUUAUUCAGCUUCCCAUUCAUUUUCCACCAUUUAUGGUGAUUUUUCAAAGUUACCCAUCUGCUGUUGUUCAACACAGUUUAUAACUAAAUCGUUCCUUUUUUCGUUUUUGAUAUUUUCUCCCAUCUCAUACAUGGAUCGAUUUAGUAUCCAACUCAAUAUUUGCCCCAUAAAAAUUUCCACCAUAUGGCAAUAUUCACCUUCCACACUUUUUCGUUGAGCACUCGGAAUGUUAACCGUUAUUGGUGGAUCUCGCACUUAGCACCACCACUUAAUCGGGGAAUCAGCACUUAGCAACCCCUUGGGGGAAUCAGCACAUAGCAACCCCCUUUUUAUUUCAGAGAUACGGUGGAUAUCGCACUUAGCACCACCAAUGAACCGGGGAAUCAGCACUUAGCAACCCCUCGGGGGAAUCAGCACAUAGCAACCCCCUUUCACAUUUCAAAGAUACGGUGGAUAUCGCACAUAGCACCACCAAUGAAUCGGGGAAUCAGCACACAGCAACCCCUUUAUGUACAACAUACUUCGGCUUAUUCCGAGUGUUCAACCCAUAAAUCAUAUAUUGCAACCCUUUACCACAUUUCCCGAUUUAACAACAUUUUUAGGAUAUGGCCAAACAUUUAUUUUAAUUCCAAAUAAAUCUCAACAUAUAUCAAUUAAUGUCAAAAUAAUACAUCAAGUCACGUGUUUACUUACCUCGGUGCAAAAUAUCGUAAUUUUGCACUUCACUUCACUCCACUAUCUUUUCUUUUCCUCGUUUGAGAUAAUCUUCACGUCUUUCUUGAUCUAUAAUAGCAAAUUUAACUCAUUUAAUGUUCACAUUCAUUAAAAUAAUCCACCACCCAACUUUUUGAAAAAUUACAAUUUUGCCCCCAAACUUUUGCAUAAUUACACUUUUGUCCCCAAGCUCGGAAAUUAAACUUCAUCACUUAUUCUUAGGUUUUAUGACAUGCUGAACAUUUUUCCCUUCUAUGGCAACAUCAAAUUCUCACUCUAACAUACACUUAUGAACAAUAAUUAUUUUUACCGAUUAUGCCUAUUUACCCGUUUUCGCUUAAAAUCGCUUAGCAAAAGUUGUUUAACAUAAUUUAUAGCUUCAUAUUCCACCAUAAAACAGAAAAAUAAACACAUUUCACCUAUGGGUAUUUUUCCAAAUAUGAGCCCUAACACGAAUUAUUGCUAGAAUAAGCUAAAUCGAGUUACGAGGAUUCCAAAAAUGCGAAGAACAUUAAAAACAGGGCUAGGAUGCACUUACUAUGAGCUUGAGAAAGCAAAGAAAACUUAGCUAUGGCUUCCUUCAAAUUUCGGCAGCAACUAAUGAGGAAGAUGAUGAUUUUUGUCAUCUUUUUCCCAUUUUAUUUUAUUUUAUUACCAAAUGACUAAUAUGCCCCAUUUAAAAAAAUCUAUUUCUCUCAUUUCUUAUGUCUAUUUUUGUCCAUCAACUAACUAAUGGUCUAAUUACCACAUAAAGACCUCUAAUUUAAAAUUUCAUAUCAAUUAGAUACUUCUACAUAUAGAACUCAACUUUUACACUAUUUACAAUUUAGUCCUUUUGACUAAAUUGAGUGCCCAAACGUCGAAAUUUUCGAACGAAAUUUUUACGAAAAUUUUCCGUGAAAUUGUAGACCAUAAAAAUAUAAUAAUAAUCAUAUUUUCCCUCGUCGGAUUUGUGGUCCCGAAACCACUAUUCCGACUAGGCCCAAAAUCGGCCUGUUACAUAUAGGCUAUUAAAAUGGUGAAAUUAUAUUUUUACAAUAGUAAAAAUUACAAUUUAAUUUCACCCCUAAAAGGAUUUUUUGGCUUCGACCCUAAUAAAAUCUUUGGCAAAAGAUUAAAAUAAAAUUAUACCGUGAAUGGAAAAAGAAACUAAGAAAAUCCAAUCUAACAAAGAAAAUAACUUUGUUUAGCAACCUUUGUUUGAUUAAAAAUGUUGAAUUAAAAAUUCCAGAAUAGAUUAAAAAUUAUACCGUGAAUGGCAAAAGAUUACAAUUUUUUUGGUAAUAUUUUAAAAUUCCAGAAUAGAUUAAAAAUGUUGAAUUAAAGAUAAAAUUAAUAACCACAAGUGUACUCAUUACUCACCAUCUCUGUUAAAAAUGAUCGAUGUUGUUUAGCAACCUUUGUUUGAUUUUCUUCAGCUCAACCACAACAUCUUUCAUAUCUUUUCUUUCUUCCGGUAACUCAGCUGAACAAUUCAAAGCCAACUCCAUGAUAGAUGAAAUACAAUUUGCUUUAACAACAAUGUACUCAUCCUCUCUUCUUAAUAAAUCAACAUCUGCAAUUUCUAUCGCUCCUUUCGGCAAUGAACUUUCCAUCCAAUGCCUUAUACUCUCUUCUUCAACAAAAACAUUACCAGUUGGCUUUUUCUUUGUGAAAGUUUCUAUAAGGACGAUCCCAUAACUAUAGACGUCAGAUUUUAUAGAAACGAUUCCUGCUGAUCCAAAUUCUGCAUUUCAAGUAUAAUUACAACAUCAUUCAUCCUCAAUUAUUUCUAAAAUGCUUAUUCAAAUAUAUAUUCACAUCCACAUGAAACAAAAAUAUAAAAUGCAAAUUAGGAAAAUAAUCAUACAAAAAUAAAAAAUAAUUCACCUGGUGCCAUAUACCCGAUAGUUGCAAGAGUCAUGGUUUGCUUCAUUACUUCACCUUCUCCCAACAAUUUGGCAACGCCAAAAUCUCCAACAUGUGCAACCAUGUCUUCAUCUAGUAAAAUAUUGCUUGGUUUUAUGUCACAAUGAAUAUAGGUGUUGGAUGUCCAUUGUGGAGGUGUUCUAUGCCUACCGCAACAUUUAUCAUUAUGUCGACCCUUUGUAUGAUAUCAAGGAAACAAUUUUCAGAAUGUAACCAUUUCUCAAGGUUUCCAUUAGACAUGUAAUCAAGCACCAAGGCUUUGAAGUCAAGACUUGAGCAGCAAGUAAUGACCUUCACAAUAUUACGAUGAACUAUAUUACGCAUAGCAUCACAUUCAAUGUCAAAACUCCUAAAUGCUCCCUCUGUUUGCAAAUUGAAAACUUUUAUUGCAACUUCCAUUCCAUCUGAAAGCCUCCCUUUAUAUACAUAUCCAAAACUCCCUGAACCAAGCAUAUUGCUUUCCUCAAAUCCAUUAGUUGCUCGUGAAAGUUCAGCAUGUGAAAUUCUUCUCGGUGUCUUCAAAGACAACAAAUCAUCUUUAAUUGGUAGAGCUGUACUCCUUCUUUGGCAUCUUCUAUACAUAAUAGUUAAGACUAUUAAUACUACGACAAUACCAAUUGUUGGUAAACCAUACCUAAAAGCAUGCAAUAUAAUCAUUUGGGAGUUUUUGUGGAUGUCGUUUUUACAAGGUGGGACUAGCAGUCUAGGUGGACCACAAAGUGCAUAAUUCUUUAUGAAUGAUGUGCUAGAAAAGUUUGAAAAACAUCCUUCGCUGGGAAUUUCCCCUUCAAGUCUAUUGAAAGACACAUUAAAAUACUUUAGAUAUAAAAGCUUCUCCAAAGAUUUGGGAAUGACUCCAGAGAGAUUGUUAUUGCAUAAAUCCAAGAAUUCCAAACUAAUCAACCCAUCAAAUGAUUCAGGGAUAUGACCAUGUAGUAUAUUAUUUGAUAAAUCUAAUGAAACCAAAGUUAUAAGACCCCCAAAUGUGGAUAAGAUAUCCCCCGUGAGAAGAUUCCUUGAUAAAUUUAGUUUCAGUAGACUCCUCAAAUUUCCGACAUCAAUAGCAUGUGAAUUGUGAAGAUGGUUUGAUGAUAAAUCUAUUUUUAAGAUAUCUUGAAGAUUCCACAAAGUUGAGGGUAUUGCGGAACUCAGUUUGUUGGAAUCUAAGUAAAGAUAUCCCAAAGAAGUAAUAUUACCCAAACAAGAGGGUAUGGAUCCAUGUAGCUUAUUCAACCCUAAAUACAUCUCGUAUAGUCUCUCCAAAUCACAAAAACUUUCUGAGAUGGGCCCUCCUAAUUUAUUAGAGGAAAGAUCUAGACCUUGGAGAUUUCGCAGUCCUCCUAUUGAUGCUGGAAUGAAUCCACUUAAUUUAUUAUGGCGAAGUUGUAAAAGCAAUAGGUUGGUUAAGUUACCUAUUUCCAUAGGAAUAAUGCCUUGAAGCUCACAAUUAGAGGCAUAAAAGUAUUGAAGGGUUUUUGAAAGGUUCCCGAUAUAAGUAGGAAGAACACCACUCAAUGGAUUUCCUGAAACAUCUAUUGUGCUCAAAUUCCUACAAUUCGUCAAAGAAGAAAGAAAGCUCCACUCAUGAUCGGUAGAAGAUCCUGUGAUCAAAUUAUUGUUUUUGAUUCGGAACCAUUCAAGGUGUCUUAAGUUGCCAAGCGUUUUAGGGAUUGGGCCAGAGAAUAAGUUAUGCGCCAAGUCUAGUUCCUUAAGCAUGGAAGCAUUGGAGAUAGAGUUGGGAAUGUUUCCGCUAAGUUUAUUUCUCCACAAUAAAAGAAUCUCAGGCUUUGGAGCAUUGGUGAUGGGUGGUAAAUUACCUGUAAAAUAUCAUCUUUUAGUAUACAUAUUCAUUGAAUACCAAAUUCACAAAAUAUAUUAUACAUUAAAAUAAAAACUGUAAAACUUUAAAUCAAUUAAGAAUAAAAUUUUGGCAUGGAAAAAUGUGAUGAAAUCAAUUACAAAGUUGAGACAUACUAAGAAGUUUCAAGUAGUAAUUAGUCUUGUGAUUUGUAUAGACAAAACAUAUAGAUUUGGGAAUGUGGCAUCUAAUCAAUCUUAAAAAUGAGACUGGCACUGAAUAAUAAUUAGUUAUGAUUUGGGAAACAAAAAGGUUAAAGCCAUUGUUUUUAAUGUAAACUGAUAUGAUUUUUAUUUAUUGGGUUAAUUAUUUAUUGUUAUUAAAUUAUAGUGUAAAAUUUAACGAUUAUUAUUUGCUCAAAAUUUCUGUAUUUUUCGUAUAUUUGAAAUUUAAUCUUUAUAUUUUUUAUUUUUUGUGAUUUAGUCUCUCUACUUUUUGAAUUGAAAAUUUUAGGUUCAUUUACUAACACUAUUAAAAAGUUUUUGUGUCUAGUAUGGCAUUUUGAAAAAUAAAAUAAACUUGAUAUCUAUGUUUUUAAUUAUUCCAAAUAUUGCUUUACUAUUUCAAGAUAAAUUAUUUGUGUCUAGACUAAUAUCUUAAGAACUAUUGUUGCAUGUUUAAUUAUCUAAAAAAUUAUCGAUUGAGUCUUAGCUUGAUUGGCAUGUGCGUUGUUGCCAAUGUAGGAGAAUGUGGGUUCAAGUAUGUUGAAGUGUAUUAUCUUCUUAUUUAUGAAUUAGGGAGUUGGUAAAGUACUAAAAUUUGAUAUAUUUUAAAAUAUUAAAAUUUAUUAAAAUAUUUUUUAUAAAAAAUGAUUCUACCACAAUAUACAAUUUUAAUAUCAAAUUUUUAAUUUUUUUUAAAAAUGUUAGCGAAUAUAUACUUUAUUUCAAGUUAUGCAAUUUUUACUAGUUUUUAACUUUUUUUCAAAUUUUUAUCGUCUUUUAUAAUUUCUAAUAAUUUUUUAUAAUUUUUUUACAAUAUUUAACAAUUUCUAAAUUUUUUUUAAUAAUUUUAUUAUGUAUUACAAAUUUAAAAAUUAACAAAUUUUUAUAUUUUUAAAAAAAUUAUAUAUUUAUAAUGUAUUUAUUUUUUAUAAUUUUAUUUGAAAUUUUAAAGAUUUUUUUGGUUUGUUUUCUAGAUGAUGAUGCCAUCAUGAUGCUAACAUAUUAUGAUUAGAUAUCUCAAUCUAUUCUUUUAACGCCCAGUGAAUGAAACCAAGAACACCUAAUGUUAAAGUGGGUAAAAACACAUUAAGGACCAAAGUUAAAAAAAGAAAAAGAAAAAGAGCAAUAUGCUGUAGGGAAUAAACUGUGCAUUAAGCCAUUAAAAAUAUAUGUAUAAUAUAUAUAAAUGCAUGGAUUUUGAGAAACUUUUGAACUGAUAAUUAUAUAGUCUUUGUUGUUUACUAUAUUAUUGAAUUUGUUAUUUUAAAUUAAUUUUAUUACUUUUAAGAUUUAUAUAAGAAUUUUGGUUUUACUAAAAUAUUUGCUUAAAUAAGUUCACUUCAUAAGAAAAUUUAGCAUCCUUAUAAAUAACAAUUUUGAUUCUAUUAAAAAACUUAUUUUAAAAAAUUAUAUAAUCAAAAUUUAAAAUUUAUAUUGAAUUACUUUAUACUUAAAUUAUUAUUAGAAACUUUAUCAUACACAUACGUGUAUGAGAACCACGUAUUUAGAACAUAAAUUUGUGUUUUAAAAUAACUUAUGAUAAAUAAUGAAAUGUAUAAUUUGAAACUAUUUAAUAAUAACACAUAGCAUAUCUACCAUAUUAAAAUAAAAAUAGAUUAAAUUGUAAGUAAAACAUAAUUUAAACAUAUGAACACAUCAAAUUAAGAAUACUAAAUGAAUAAAGUUAUUUAUAAUGAUAUUGUUGUCAAUUCCUAAAUUGGUGUCGAGUUAAUCUGUGACAUCAUAAAUUUAAGUGAUAAAUUUAAGGAUUUAUGUAUUGAUGUGGAUUCAAAUAUCACCAUAAGUUUUUUAAAAAUAAAAAACUAAAAUACCUUAAAAUACUAUAACUUAUAUUAAAUACGAAAGAGUAUUUUUGUAAUUUUCCUAACCGAGUUGGUGCCCGGUUGACUCAUGACACCAACUCAAUUAAAAGAUUUAAUAAUAAUAUAGAUAUUCACGUUAAAAAAACAAAAAAAAAGUACUUUAGUUCCAAAUAAUUAUAUAACAAGUAAAUUUAUAAUUGAUGAAUAAAUUUAUAGAUAAUAUAUUUAUAUGAUCUAAUAUAUUAUAUUAAUAUUAAUUAUAUAUCAUCUACAAUCUUUGAAGAUCAAUUUAUUAAGUAUCAAGAAAAGAAAAAAAUGAAAUUGAGUUAACACUAAAUCAAUUUUUAGAUUUUGUACAGAUGAUUUAAUGAUGAUAAAAAAAUUAUUAGCACUAUUUUUGAAUUAACAAAAAAUUAGUGAUAUAUUUUAAUUAUAUUUAUUAUUUAUUAUUUUUAAUAAUAUUUUUUAAAAUUAUAUGAAGUAAAAUUAUACUGUAUACUAAAUAUGGUACAUAUACUUUAAUUGUAACUUGAAAAUUUAUUAUAUAAAUUAAUAUAUUUUAAUUAUAUUCAACCAUUUGAAUAACAAAAUAAAAAAAAACUAAUUAGAAUAAUUUUUAGAAAAAAGAAAAAACAUUAUUUAAAGGCUAGUUAAAAAUCACGUGCAACAGGUGAUAUGAGAAUCUAUGUAUAUAAAUGUGUAUAUAUAUAUCGUUGUUUCAUUUUUUUUUUAAAUAAAUAUAUUUUCCACAUUGGUUUCUUUUCUUGUACAGACAAAGGAUUUCUAAUGAUUUUAAAAAAAAAAAUUUACUUAUAUAAAAUAGAUCAGUUUAUUCAGUAAAAUAAAUCAAUUCAUAUAAAUGUUAUUGUUUAUUAUCAGAUUGAAAUGAUAAAAGUAUAUGACAUAAAUAGAAGAAACAAAUUCAACACAAUGUUUUCCGAGUUUGGAAAAAAUUAAAGUGAAAAACAUACCUUCUAAUUUGUUGCCAUAUAGAGCUAUUACUUCGACCAUAGUUGAAUUAAAAAUACUUGAUGGAAUCUGACCUGCAAACAUAGUUGAAAAUUGAAGUAAAAAACAUACCUUCUAAACUCUUCAACUAAAAAUACUUUAAGCAUAUUUUUUUUCCCAUCAAAUUAACUAUUUUGCCUUGAAUGAAAUAAAAUGCUCUUACUUUUGUUAUCUAUUACAAAUCAAAUUCUUCUAUGAAAAAAUAUUUUAAAUUAAAGAAACAAAGAAAAUUCAAUAUCUUCUAAGUAAAGCACUUCAAGCUUGGGAAGAUCAUUAGGCAAACUACCUGAUAUGCCAGUGUUGGAGAGAUCAAUGAUCUUCAGAGAAGAAAUGUUGAAGAUCGAAGUUGGAAUCUGACCUGUGAGGCCUUUAAUUUCUUUAAUACUAAGCAGCUCCAAACCAAGAAGAUUACCGAUUUCCUCAGGAAUUUGACCUGCACACAUAUUUAGUCGAAAAAUCAAGAUGUCAAACUGCCUAUAUUGUUAGCAUAAGUCAAAGAGGUUUUCGUUUCUGCUCUACAGUAAUUUGGAGAUGUUAGAUUUAAUAUAUUUCAGCAUAUGUUUUUCAUCAAAUGAAAUAAAAAAGUUUUUCCUUUUGUUAUCUAUUAAAAAUCAAACUCUUUUAUAAAAAAAUACUUUAAAUUUAAGAAAUCAAGGAAAUUGAUUACCUUCUAGAUUAUUAAACCCCAAAUAUAAUUUCUGGAGUUGUGUUAGAUUUCCAAUACUUCUUGGAAUGAUCCCCAUAAAUUGAUUAUAGGACAACGACAAACUUUUAAGGUUGCUGCAUUUGCCCAUGCCAAAUGGAAUGUUACCAGAUAAUUCAUUCCAACUCAGGUAAAGCUCUUCAAGCUUGGGAAGAUGUUGACACAUAUCAUUAGGCAAACUACCUGAUAGGCUAUUGCUGGUGAGACUAAUAGAUUUCAAAGAAGAAAUCUUGAAGAUGGAAGAUGGAACCUGGCCAGAUAAUUGAUUCAAUUCCAAGUUCAAGAUCUCUAGGUUAGACAUGUUAACAAGUGUUUCAGGGAUUGUGCCUGUAAAGUUAUUAUUUUUCAUUUUCAGCGUUCGAACUCUCUGUAAGUUCCCAAGCCAUGAUGGAAUUUCUCCAUUAAGACGGUUGUAGCUUAAUCGAAGGAUCCUCAAACGAUGCAAUUGGCCCAAUUCUUUAGGGAGAUAGCCAUAGAAAUGGUUGCUACUCAAGUCGAGUGAGAGUAGAAGUGAAAGAUUUCCAAGGUGUGGAGGGAUAGUACCCCUAAGAUUCAUGCUUGUAAGAUUCAAAGCUAUAACUCUUUUAUGGAGGAUGCCACAAGUAACACCAAUCCAAUUGCAAACAGAGGUUGAGGCCGUCCAAUUGUUUGCCAAGACAUUUUGAGGACCGGCAAUGUGAUCCUUAAACUCGAGAAGUGCAAACUGAUCGGAGUUGAGAUUCUUGACUGUCAUAGCCAAGCAAAGUACGGAACAUGGUAUGAAUAAAGCUAAGAGAAGAUGAAAGCCAGCGUUGUAGUUCAUGAUUGCAAGACGGAAUAAGGCAAGAAAAUAAAAAAAAGUAGGAAAAGGGAAGUUGAGCUGAUAAAAUAGUUUGGAUGAUGAAGAAAAGCCCAGAGAGCAUGCUUUAAUAUGUUUCAACCCUCGUACACUUGAUAAACUUGAUAAAUUUAAGACUACCCUAAAAAUUAAAAAGGAAAGCAAAGUUUUGAAGAAAUUUCAAAAUAAAUGUCAAGUCUUCUUCUUUAGAAAAUACGUACAAAGAAUCGAAUUUUCAAAAUUUCUCCUAAAUUUUCUUCACGUUACUCCACAUAAUCCAUUAAAAAUACUUAAAAAUAUAUUUUAAUAAUUACUAUAUAUUCUUUUAUUUAAUAAAUUGUUUAAAAAUGCUAUUAGUCCCUGUAAUUUAAAAGUUAAAAAAAAAAUCCAAUCCUCCUAUUUUUCUAAUUUGAAAAUUCUAGUCCAAUAAUUCUUAAUUCCAUUAAAAAAUUUCAGCUUAAUAGGUUUUUUAUUAUCAAUCAUAUGCAACAGUAUAUGAAUGCAGUCUACUCAGCAUAUAUCCAAGUUUACAGAUUUUAAUAGAAAAUACUUACAAUCCUAAUGGUAGGACUAAGUUUUUUAAACUAGAAAAGUGAGAAGACUUAAUUUUUAACUUUUUAAGCACAAGGAUUAAAUUUUAAAUGUUGUCAAAGUACAAGCACUAACAAAAUAUUUUGAUCUAAUAAAUGUAAAAAACUUUUUAAACAAAAUAAGGUUGAAAUAAUCUAUUUGUCCUUGUACUUUGAUAAAAUUUGAGAUUUAGUCCUUAUAUUUAAAAACUUAAAAAUUAAGUCUUAUUGUUUUUAUUUAAAAAUCUUAGUCCUAUCCUUAAUUUUAUUUUAUCAAAAUUGGUCAACUUUACAUAUUAAUUAGGUUUCCCUUAUAUGUCGCGGUAUCAAUCAAAACUUAAUUAAUAUCCAUCAAUAUCCAUCAAUACGUCAUACAUAAAAAAAGCAAGCAUAAAAUACAGUUAAAAGUCCUCCUUUUAUUAUUAAAUGUUUUAUUUUAGUUAUUUUAAUCAAAUAUAUCCAAAUUACAAUAGAGUUAACAUUUAUUGUGUAAAAAAUAUUUUAAAUUUUUUUUUCAAUUUUAGUUUAAUUCUAGAAGAAAUAUUUCAUUUAUAAAAUCAUAAAACUUUAAAAAUAUUAACUCUGUUAAAUAAAAAUUAUUUUUUUAAAUAGUAAAUGUUAACUUUAUUAACACAAAUGGGCCUCAGUAAUUGACAAGCUCUUCCACAAACUGUGGAAGAUUUGGGGAUAAAAGCUUCAAUAAUUAUGGAGUUAUAGUGUAAAUUUGCCACUAUAUUAUAAGUGUAUUGAAAUUUAUCACUAUAUUUUAUUUGAUGUUUAUCAUUACACUUUGAAAAUAUAAGUAAAUUUACCAUUUAACUCAGAUUUACCUUUGCAAGUAAACUUAAAAUUUUAUUUAAUUUUGUCACUAAAUUUGAUUUGUUCAAUAUAGAUUUUGGUGACUUAAAACUCACUAAAUUUGAUUUUUUCAAUAUACAUUUUGGUGACUUAAAACAAAAUUAAUAAAUAAUUAUUCUUUUGGAUAUCUUUUUAAUGUUUAAUAAUAAGUUAAUUUAUAAAAUAUACUGUCAUUGGACACAAGCCUCUAAGGCGGUGAACCACUAAUCAAAUUAAUUUGGAGAUAUCUUUUUUUCUAAAUAAAGUGAAUUUACGAGUUUUGUUUUCUUUUAAAAACAUUUUUAAUAUUUUUGUGGAUAUCAAAAAAUUUUUCAAUAAGAAAUUUUAAUUCACUCGAAAAGUUAGUGUUUUAUUUCAAGGGGUCAUAAUUAAUCAUUAGAUUUCCCAAUUUUAAAUUUUAAAUUUUUCGACAAUUGCGUAAUUAAUAAGUACCAAUUUUGAGUGUUGUAGGGCUAGUACAAUCUUCCUUACACAUAACCGACUCUUAAACCUACUCUUUUCUCUAGAAUUCAAUGCAAACAUCGAAUUUAUCUUUUGAAAAGAAUUUUAAAAUAAUAUAAAAGGUGUUUUUUUAUGACUGAUCACACUUAACAAAAAUUUAAAAAUUAUUAAAAAAAUUUCAUUUUGAAAUUUAAAGUGAUCUAAAAACAUAUUUUUAAGUGCUUUGGACCAUCUGUUGCUGAUUUCCUUAUUAUAUUAAAUGUUUGCAAUCACUCCUAAUAUAUUGUGCUUGAGUUGUGACAGAGCAAAUCGCCAACGUGCCAUAUUGAUCUAUUGAUGCUGAAACUGAAGUUUUUGUUAUAUUGAUAGAGCUUGUCCUUCAACGCAUACAACGUGUUUGUUAUUUUUCUCCCUUCAAAUUGUAUGAUCUUAUUUAUUUAAUGAAUUAAUGAAUUUCCCUUUUAAAAAGAUAUAUUUUUAAAAUUAAAUACUUUAUAAAAUAUUUAAAACUACUUAAAAAAUUGUAAGCCUUAAAACAAUCAACAAAAUAUAUUUUUCUCUAAAAAAAUCAAUAAAAAUAUGUUUAAAAUUUUAUAUGAAAUUAAAUUUUUUUUAACAAUAAUAUAUUUUAAAAUUAUAGUAACGCUAUAAAAUAUAUAUAUACAUAUAUAUAUAUAUUUACUAAUUAUAUACACCUUUCCAUACAUCCUUUUUCUACAUAGAAUUUCAAAAGUAAAUGUGAAUUAAUGUAGGCGUAAGAAGACUUACAGGUAAGUCACCCAACGAAAGUGUCCUAAACCGACUUAUGGAAGAAUCAAACAAUAAUUUUGUAUCGUAUAAUAUAUUUAAUUACAUUUAUUAGUUUAUCAAUCAAAACUUAAGUAGAAUCCAUCAAUAUUUCACACAUCAAAACCCAAACAUAAAAUUCACUUUUAAAUUAUUCGGGGAAUAUUUGUAUUAUAGGAAAUGGAUUAAAUUAGACUUUUAUUAUUAAAUGUAUUAUCUUAAUCUUUGUAUUAGGUAUGAAUGAUAUCUCUUAGAUUGAAGCUAGAGCUAUUCUUGAAUGAUUGAAAUUAAGAUUAAGAUGUGUUGAGAUGGAAAGUGGCAACACAAUGCUGAUUGAUGCUAUUUGUAAUGGGUUGGCUACAAUAAGUAGUGCUGCUGAAGUAAGACAAAUUUAUGAUUGGUGUUCCAAAAUUUUGGGAAGUCAAAUUUUGACAUUUUCAGCGGAAUGCCAAUAAAGUUGUUGAUUGCAUAGCUAUGGCAGAUGGAGGCAUAAUUGAGCAGCUGGUUAUCUUGAAAGAUCCUCUGCAUUAUGUGAGAUACUAGCUUGAAGAAGAUAUUAGACGGUCACUGGUGACUGAUGAUAAUUUUCAUUUGGACUGAUGAGCGCUUAAUUUUCUAAGCUUAUGGUCAACCAAAAAAAAUAAAUAAAUGCGUCUAAAUUGUAAUAGAGUUAACAUUUAGUGUUUAAAAAAAUCUUAAAAUUUUUUUUUCAAUUGCAGUUCAAUUCCAAAAAUAUCGAUGAUGAACCCGAACAUAAAAAUUACCAAAAAAAAAAACACAUCUAUUAUCAAACCAACAAUCCAUGUCUAAACUUAAAUUAACAAAAUUCGCCACCCAACCCAAUACACUAUUUUAUAUAUAUAUUAGAUUUAUUCUAGAUGCGCAUGUUUUAUUAUAUUUAAAAAUUAAAAUAUAUGGUUGACUGAGUUUUAGCUGAGUUGAUAUUGGUAUUAUUGUUAGUGUAAGAAAAUUUGAGUUUAAUCGUGUUCAAAUGUGUUUUAUCCUCCAAUUUAAAGGUUAGGAAAAUAUUAUUGAUAAUUAAAUUAUACCAACUUGAUGAUAUUAAAAAAAGGAUGUAUAAAAAAUAUAAGGGAGAAAAAAAAAAGGAGAAACAUAUUCAUAUUGAUGGGCUCUUUCAAUAUUAGACUUUUUUUCUCUCACAAGUAAAAGUAGUUAUGGAGAGGAUCAUGUAAAAUAAUAGCCUGAAUAAUUUUAAACGUCUCAUCAUUGCAAAAAUGAAAUAGUAGAAAAGAAAGAGUAGACAUUCUAUGAAAUUUAUAAUUCCAACCGUGAAUAAAAUAUAAAUUUUAUGAAUGUGGACAAGCAAUUUUAUUUAACUUUUUUUAAAGUCAUUUUGUUUGUUUCCUAAUCACCAUGAAAUUACUUGUCACAAUUCAUCUUUUUAAAUGAGAAACAUUUUCCACAAUUUGCCAUCACUUUAACAUACACUAACUUUUCUAUGAUUAGUCCUUUGUUUGCUUUGGGUGCAAUCUUCCAACUAGCCUCAUCCUUGGUUUUACUUUCCAACAUUUAGUGUAUUACGAGUUUUGUUUUCUUUAAAAAAUAUUUUUGUGGAUAUUAGGAGAUAAUGAAAUUAUUUUACUAUGAAAUUUUAAUAAAACUGGAAAAUAAGUCAUUUAUUUUAAGAGAUCACAAUUAAACAUUAGAUUUCCAAUUUUUUAAUUUUAAUUUUUUUUGACAAUUGCAUAAUAUUUUGAGCGUUGUAGGAAUGCCAUAACCUUCCCUACGCAUAAUCGACUCUUAAGUAUGAUGGAUCCUAGACCUUCUCCUCUAUUCUUGUACCACAAAUUGCUUCGAGUGUGGGUUCGGAAAAUCACAAAUUAAGCACAAAACCAAAAAUGAUUUUGUAACACCCCAAACCCAGCCUAGUCAUUAUGGAUUAAUGUAGACCUGAGAAGACUUAAUUACAUUUAUUAGUUUAUCAAUCAAAACUUAAUUAGAAUCCAUCAAUAUUUCACACAUAAAAAACCCAAACAUAAAAUUCACUUUUAAAUUAUUUGAAGAUAUAUUUGUAUUAUAGGAAAUGGAUUAAAUUAGUCUUUUUAUUAGUAAAUGUAUUAUUUUAAUCUUUUUAUUAGGUAUGAAUGAUAUCUCCUAGAUUGAAGGCAGAGCUAUUCUUAAAAGACUAAAGUUAGGAUUCAGAUGUGUUGAGAUGGAAAGUGACAACGCAAUGUUGAUUGAAACUAUUUGUAACGGGUUGACUACAAUAAGUAGUGCUACCGAAGUAAGACAGAUUCACGAUUGGUGUUCCAAAAAUUGGAAAGUCAAAUUUCGACAUAUUCAGCGGAAUGCCAAUAAAGUUGUUGAUUGCAUAGCUAAGGCAAAUGGAGGCAUAAUUGAGCAGCUGGUUAUCUUGGAAGAUCCUCCGCAUUAUGUGAGAUGCUAGCUUGAAGAAGAUAUUAGACAGUCACUGGUGGCUGAUGAUAAUUUUCAUUUGGACUGAUGAGCGCUUAAUUUUUUAAGCUUAUAUUCAACAAAAAAAAAAUUAAAUACGUCUCAAUUGUAAUAGAGUUAACAUUUAGUGUUUAAAAAAUAUCUUAAAAAUUAUUUUUUCCAAUUGCAAUUCAAUUCCACAAAUAUCAACGAUGAACCUGGACAUAAAAAUUACAAAAAAAAAAAAACACAUCUAUUAUCAAACCAGCAAUCCAUGUCUAAACUUAAAUUAACAAAAUUUGCCACGCAACCCGAUACACUAUUUUAUAUAUAUACUAGAUUUAUUCUAGAUGCACAUGUUUUAUUAUAUUUAAAAAUUAAAAUAUAUGGUUGACUAAGUUUUAGUUGAGUUAGUAUUGGUAUUAUUGUCAGUGUAGGAAAAUGUGAGUCUAAUUGUGCUCAAAUUUGUUUUAUACUCCAAUUCAAGGGUUAGGAAAAGGUUAUUGAUAAUUAAAUUAUACCAACUUUUAUGAUAUUAAAAAAAGGAUUUAUAAAUAAUAUAAGGAAAAGAAAAAAAGAGAGAAACAUAUUCAUAUUGAUGGGCUCUUUCAAUAUUAGACUUUUUUUCUAUCACAAGUAAAAAUAUCAAAGGUGAUAAUAAUUAAAUUAUAAAAUUUAAAUUGAGAAAAUAGGGGAUUGAAUUUAUAACUUUUAAAGUAUAAAGAAUGAAUUUAUAACUAACAACAUAUUUUAACCACACAAUAAAAGUAGUUAUGGAGAGGAUCAUGUAAAAUAAUGACCUGAAUAAUUUUAAACGUCUCAUCCUUGCAAAAAUGAAAUAAUAGAAAAGAAAUAAGUGUUGGGUGUAGUGGCAAUGUACAUUAUACUUCUAAGGGGAGAUCAGGGUUUUAUACAAGGGAAGAAUUUUAAACCUGCUUUUUUCUCUAGAACUCAACGCAAACCUCAAAUUUAUCUUUUUAUAAGAAUUUUAAUAUAUCUAUAUAAAAGGUGAUUUUUUUGCCGAUCACACUUAACAAAAUUUUAAAUUUUUUUUUUUGAAAUUUAAAGUGAUCUAAAAACAUAUUUUUAAGUGCUUUAGACCAUCCUGUGUUGAUUUCUUUAGUAAUUUGAUUUGUUCAAUAUAGAUUUUGGUGACUUAACACAAAAUUAAUAAAAAAUAUUUUUUCAGAUAUCUUUUUAAUGUUUAAUAAUAAGUUAAUUUAUAAAAUAUACUUUCAUAGGACACAGGCCUCCAAGGCGGUGAACCACUAAUGAAAUUAAUUUUGAGAUACUUAAAUUUGUUUUCAUCAAUUAAGAAAUUUGAAAAAUUGUUGAGACCUCAUGAUUAUCUUUUAUAAUUUCAGGCUUAUCACCAAAAAACUAAAAAACAAAAUCGUCGACAUUAAAUUUGUUGGCAUGCAAUCAAUUUUAAGAUGGUUUUUGGAGUUAUAUAUCACUUUAGCAUGGACUUACUUUUCUACAGUUAGUCUUCUCCAACAAGUUAAAUAUUUCAAUUUUAACAACAUUGACAGGUCUUUGGGGUAGGGUCGAGCAAAACUCAAUAGAAAUAGAUGAUAUAGAUUGAGUUAGCUCGGCCAAGUCGAGUCGACUUGUUCAAAUUAGUUAAAUUAGUAAAUUUUAGGGUGCAGUUAGAAUUUUUUUUUGUUUUGAGAUGCUAAGAUUAAAAAAUUUCAGUUGCUAAAACAAAAAAAUUGUAUUUAAAAAAAGGCAUAAAGAAAGGCUGAAUGACAAAUUGCCCAAAGCCCAUGCCCCUAGCUAUACGCCCCUGGUAAAAUCAAUUUUAAAAUUAGUUAUAAUAGUUGAAGCGAUUGAUUAUUGAGGAAUGAAAUACAUAGUUCAACAAAAUAAAUAAGUUGACAAAUUUUGACAAAAAAAAUCAAAAAUAAAAUAAUAGAAAAGAAAGAGUAGCCAUUUUAUGAAUUUAUAAUUCCAACCGUGAAUAAAAUAUAAAUUUUAUGAAUGUGGACAAGCCAUUUUAUUUAUAAUUUUCUGUGUUUUUCUUCUUUUCCUGACUUUUUUUUAAAGUCAUUUUCUUUGUUUCCUAAUCACCAUGAAAUUACUUGUCACAAUUCAUCUUUUUAAAUGAGAAACAUUUUCCACAAUUUGCCAUCACUUUAACAUACACUAACUUUUCUAUGAUUAGUCCUUGGUUUGCUUUGGGUGGAAUCUUCCAACAAUUAGUGUAUCACGAGUUUCGUUUUCUUUAAAAAAUAUUUUUGUGGAUAUUAGGAGAUAAUGAAAAUUAUUUUACUAUGAAAUUUUAAUAAAACUUUAAAAUAAGUAAUUUAUUUUAAGAGAUCACAAUUAAACAUUAGAUUUCCAAUUUUUUAAUUUUACAAUUUUUUGACAAUUACAUAAUUAAUAAGGUACCAAUGUUGAGCGUUGUAGGAAUGCUAUAACCUUCCCUAAACAUAAUCGACUCUUGAGCAUGAUGGAUCCUAGACCUUCUCCUCUAUUCUCGUACCACAAAUUGCUUUGAGUGUGGGUACGAACAAUCACAAAUUAAACACAAAACCAGAAAUGAUUUAUUACUUUUAAUAGCAAAGUAAUUCUCUCUCAAUAGAAACCAAUAGAAUUGUAAUUCCCAUAAAAUAAAAUUUAUUUUCUGAAAUAUAUUCUCACUACUUUCUAGCAGAGUAACAAUAUUUAAAACUUAUGUCUUGUGUUAAUAGCUUUACUAGCACUAUCUAUUUAUAGGGAGAGAGAUGAGAGUCCUGGUUGAAUUAGUAAAACACGAAUAAUAUUUAUUUCAUAGAAGACAAUUUCAUAGAAAACUUAUGUCUUGUGUUAAUAAUGUUGAAUUUGUAUGUACAAGUUUCUAAUACACUUGUUGGGACAUUCUUUGACUUUUAUCUAUUCUCUCAAAAAGUUAAAGUUCAAAGUUGCAUUAAACUCAAAUAAGAUAACCAUUAGCAAACCAGCUCACAAGCCUGCUCAAGCUAAUCCUACAAGUCAUUCCACUUCAUCAUCAAGCACCAAUGUUCUUGCUUAUCCUUAUGGAAUUAAACAAAAGAAAAAAGCUCUUUAAGAGUUAUUUCAAUAGACUUCUUUAAUGGUAAAUGACAAUCCACUCUAUUGAUGCUUCUUCGCCCAACUCAUGAUUUAAAAGAAGUUUAUACUCAUGGAUCAAGUGUAGCUCACCAGUUAUCAUUAAGGAGAAAAAAGAGUCAAUCAAGUGAAAAUUAUAUUCCAACAUCCCCCCUGAACCAAAUUUUAGAGUGAUGAAUGUCAUGACAACUGACACUACAUUCUUAGAAGAAUAAGUAGAUCUCUAGCAAAAACGAUGGAGAGUCUUACUACAAGCAUAAAAGGAAUGGAUGAUCAAAUUGAACAUCUUAGAGGAAGUAACCAAACCUUUUCCUACGAAACUCAACAUCCUCUUCACAAAGUUGUUGGAAUCAAAAUUGUUGAAGGACUUUAAAGUGUUUCUUUAGAUCAAGUUAAGGAGCUCAUUAAAGAAACCAUUAAAGAUCAAGUCAAAAGUGUUGCUCUACCUUCAUAUACAUACUUGAAGCCAUACAUUUGAAGGGCUUAUCAUUUGAAUAUGCCUGAACAUUAUCCACCUCCAAAAUUGCAAUAGUUUGAUGGUAAAGGAAAUCUAUGUAAACAUGUCGCUCACUUCGUGGAAACUUGUGAUUGCGUCGAUGUAACACCCCACUCGCGACCUAAUCGCUGGAUUCGAGAAGAGAGAUACCGAAAUCAUGUUGGAAAAAUCUAGUUUGAAAAUGGUUUUAUUUAUAGAGGAAAAUAAAAAUUUUGAAAACUGACUCGGUUUGUGAUAUUUAUGGCAAUAAAUGUUAAACUGAAAUCAUAAAUGUGCUUUUGAAUAAGCAAAUCCUUGAUGUUUUCUAGCUUUAAACCAAAUUAUCUUCUUCACUAUUCUCAUACCACAAAAUGCUUUGAAGUGUGGACUUGAACCAAUUGAAUCAAAACACAAAACUUGAAAAAGCUUUUUAUUCUUUUCGGGGUGAAACCUAAAAUUUUCUCUUAUUUAAUAGAAACCAGUAGAAAUGUUUAUUUUGGAAAAAUAUAUUUAAUAGUUAAGAAUAAAUUCUCCUUAUUUUUCAAUAGAGUAACAAUCUCUCAAAGUUGUAUAUAAAUCCCUACUGAUGCCAGAUAUUUUUAAGAAGAGAAGAUAGAACCCUUGUGGAAUUGUAGAAGCUUAUUUCAACUAGAAAAAUAACUUCCUACUUAGAGUAGGAGCAGGUUGGAUGGCAUCCCCUGUCGCCCCUUCGUUUUCCAUGAAGGGAUUUUGGAUCUCUCUCACAUUAGAUCCAACUAUGAGUGCUUUUCGAGCAUUUAGACUCAGUACUUUGUAAUUUGACCCAACUCAAUUCUAUUUUUUUAUUUCCCAAAAUAAACUUCAAUAUUUUAUAUUAAAUAAUUUUCUCAUCCAAAUUUUACCCUCAAUAGAAUUUUUGAGAAAAUAUAUUUAAUAUUUCACAAUUCAACUUGUUCAUUAUGAUCGAAUGAUUUAUUUUCAUUUUCUAGAUUUUAUAUAGCUGAAAAACAUAAACUCAUUCUCCUGAUCAUUUUUAAGUAUAUUCAUCUACAUUUGAAAAUGAAUCAUUUCUCAUUUUCGUUUCCAAAUGAUUUCAUUUCUCCAUUUCGAAGAAAUGUAUAAUCAUUCCUGAAUGUUUGUCAUUUCUUUAUUUCUAUUCAUUUCGAUUCAAACAUGCAAUUCAUUUAUGGUUUCAACGAGCUAGUGAAGGGACUAAUUGGACAUAUACAAUUAGGGCUCAAAUGAUUUAUAUUUGAAGUUUCAACUUUUCAUCUAUUAAUUAUAAACUCAUUUAGUCAUGAAGUCAUUCCACUAUAGUAUCAUGGCUGAGCUUGUGGUUCCCCAAACUUGGACGAGACAGUCUGACCCAAAAUUUGAAACUUACAUUAGCCACCAAAAUGAUUCUCUGUUAAAAUACUACAAAACAGACCAACCAACCAUGCAGGCCACACAUUUUCAACAUAAAUCAUAAUACAAUUAAUCCUAAUUGCAUGCCUUUCUAAACAUACCAUAAAAAAUGAAGAAAAAAAAUUCAUAUUUAGGUCACCUGUGAACCCACCCACUUAGAAACCUAGUAGCACGCAUCAACUUGGCGAGCACCAGCUGAAGACCUCCUCGCGACCCCCAGCUCAUUGCUAGCCCUACGAACCACUAGUUUGCUACUACCCUGUGAUCCCUAAAUAUUGGCAAACCUAGACACACAACUCCCCUUUUAUUUUAAUAGACUACUCAAGUCGUUGGCUCACUUGCGAACUCCUCUAUUUAGUGAACCUACCUAAUAAGGCAAACUCACUAUCCUGACGUACGCAUUAACUAUGGAGAACCUUCUAUUGCUUGGCGUACUCCCUCCUAAUGGCAAACACUAGGUUAUAUAGGGCUAGUCUAUACUAGCGGACUCCCUAUACUUUGGCGAACACUCUAUUAGGGAACUUAUGGUUUUUGGUGAACACACUUUUGUUUGGCGAAACCUACCUUUGGUGAACUCACCCCUAUUGUUGAACACUGUGUUAUGGUAAGGUCCUAUUCCCUUAUGACCCCUGUCUCACACUAUGCUAGGUUGGCUCGUAAGUAUUCUUUCAAUGCGUUAUUACUUCUAUAACAUGCAUUCUAUGUUAUCACUUUAUCUCAACCAAAAAAUUGGUUCAAGGGCGUACCUCAAAAUUCGGCGAACUCCUUGUUUUACAUAAGUAUGUUAGUUCAUCAAUUUACCUAGCAAAAUCAUGUAUUAUAAUCCAAACAAUCAAGCAUUCAAUCAAGCACUUAUAAAGUCUAAAAAUCCAAAAUUUAAAUAGUUCGUAAUAUCUGUUUACAACUUGUCAAAGUUUAUUUAAAAAUUCUAGGUCUACAUCUGAUUCCUUAGGAUAGUCCCACAUUGCCUUCAACUAUAGGGUUUGUAAAAACAAAUCACGUACUCGAAUGGAUUUGCCUUAUGUUGCAUCACUAGAUUGCCAUGCUUCACAACUAGUCACGUGAACUACUUAUCUGCAAGAUAUAUGCAAGGAGUGUGAGCUUAUUGAAGCUCAGAGAAUGCUUAAGCACACAACACAUAAAACACAUCAGUCAUGCUAAAAUUUAGACAUGUUGUAACAAUUCACAUAAAAUAUAAUAAUCAUGCUCGUCAUAGUAAAAUAAUGGCAAUUUGUGAAUAUGAAACAUAAUCAUAUUAUAUAUGCAUUGGAUAAGUAGAUCUUUAGAAUACUCCAAAUGACAUAGAGAGUCAUGCGCUAUCUUUGAUAAGUGUAGUAUGAAUGCUCACACUCUCCAAACACUCCAUACUAUCCUCAAAAUUGGAGCUAAGCUCGACAUUCCCUUAUCUCUCCAAUGCUAUCUUCAGGCCAUAAUGCCCCAUCAUAUAGUAAAAAUGGUGAGUACUCACAAUCCUAUGACAUGCCAAUGAUAUCUAACGGUUUCAAGUGUUCACAAUGCCAACAUAUGAUUUUUAUUUCAUUCACUUUACACAAUUUAAAAGGCCCACAAUAUAGUAGAUCUCACAUAUAAUAGUUCUUAAUAACACAACUCACAUUUUUGUAGGGCUCGCAUGAUACAUAAGUUCGUAAUAACAUAGAUUCGCAUAACACUUAUGGCUCACAUAUAUUUAGGGCUCGAAUGCAACAUUUGGGUUUCCAUAUAUUUAAACUAGCAUAAUACAGGGGCUCGCGUAACAUGUUUUGGCUUGCAUGUAAUAUAGGGCUUGAUCACAUAUAUAGGUUUGCAUGAUCUUAGGGUUCGCAUCACAUAUAUAAGUACGCAUGAUACAUGGGUUCACUCAACAUGUAUAUAUAAACUUGCACAUCAAAGUAUAGGCUCGCAUGCAUUAAGGUAAUAGAUUUUGCAAACAAUUUAGAGCUAGCACACAUCUUAGGCUUGCAUACAUACAUGUUAGCAAGGUCUGCAGGUCACAAAUCGGGGCUCGAAUAACUAUAGAGGCUUGCAUAGAAAUAUAACAGUGUUCGCAUAUCAUUUUAAUCAGCUUCACACAUUAAAUCAGAUAGUUUGUAUGCCUUACUUGGCUUUCAUUAGCAUGCGAACUCUUGUUUUUGACGUAGUGUGUAAGGACACUCACUAGUUGUUUGUUGAUACUGUCAAACCUAUACCACAUUUUGCUUGACUUUUUCCUUGCUUGUAGAUGCACCUUUAUAUUGAGAGGCUUUGCAUAAAACAAGAAAAUAUACAGAUUGCUACUUUCACAAACAUAUUAACCUUCUUAACUAACAUAGCAGCUCACCACUUCUAAAUUUACCGAACUCACCUCAUGUGACCUUAAACUUUUAGUUACUUUAUUUUAGUUCAAUUAAAUCCCCAAUUAUUACUUCCUAAUCUCAUAAGUAAGGUUUAAUUAUAGAUCUAGGCCAUUAAUUUUAGUCAAUUCUUAAAAUCAACAUUUUUCAAAAAAUCAUGCUCAUUUUCUAUCUCAAGAAGAAAAAUCACUUGAUUCAUGCAAUUCCUUUAAGGAUUUGUUAAAUCAAGUUUAUAAACCUCUUAAUUAUGCCAAAAUGAGUUAAAAAUUAUUUUAAAAUCAUGACUUAGCUCACUAUUAUGAGAUUCACCAUUUUUUUAUAUAAACCAAGCUUUAAAGCCAUAGAUCCAAUGAUUUCUCUUGAAACUUCAGGUGCAGUGCACUAACUAUGAAUAAUGUGGACUGAAUAUGUUUUUGGUACUCCAUGGAACUCCUCCUUCAACCACAAAAUCCCAACCCAAUUUAUAUGCAAUAUGUCACACAAUCUCAUACAUAAUCCUAUCUUAAUACUUUUCACAUUCAUUUGACAUGCUCAGCAUGUCCUCAAUAAUCACAUACUUUCAUACUUUUAGAAAAUGGAAACAGUGUUCCAAAGUUUCAAUUACCAUUGUGUUGGUAUCAAUCAAUAUCAUUCAAUUACACAUACUUUAUAGAUUUCCAUUGUGUUUAAAUAGCACCCUUUUCAAUACACAAUAUAAAAAAUAUCUCAUGCAUUUAAUCAUACAUAAGCUUUAUAUCUCAACACAUUAUAUCAUUCAGUCAAACAUUCUCAUAUCUUAUAAUUCAAAUAUGCAAUUACAAACUCAAUCAAACAUUCAUACUAUCAAACUAGCAAUUUUGCCAACAUGUUAAUCUUUUAAGGCUCAAAACAUAAUUGGUUCAGCCACUCACAAAAUCAAUAAUUUGGCUAUUAAGCCAAUCCAAUCAACAAGCUAAUUUAUCACAUAUAACAUGAUAUUUAACAUUUUCAAAAAAAAUUAUAAGUUUAGGACCCACGCAUUAUUUUUUGCUUCCUCGCAACAUACUAGCGAAUCUUCCAAUCUUCCUUAAUAAUUCCUUAAACGAACCUAAACCAAAAUGAAGCAUAAAUUCAAUCAAUUUACCAUUAAGCCAACCCCCAAACACCCACUUGUGAGUUCAAACUGAUCAUUGAAAUUAAAACUACUUUAUGAAUCCAAACUAGUUAGAUUCCUUAAACUGUAUCGAUGCAAAUCGUACGUACAAUCGUUCUUCACCUUUAUGGAUGAUUGGGGGUGUUUGGGUCAGCACCUAAUUCAAUAAUAUACUGGAAAAUCAGUAGUUAAUCAAUGAUUAACUUUCUUUAUUUAACCAAUUCAUAACCUUUACCCAACAACUAUGCCAAAAUAACAAACUAGUUUACAAUUAAUCGUACUUAUACUUCUCAAAUUAUAAGAUUCGAAUGGCUAAUUGAUCAAGAAUGUCUUUUGUAACAUCCCAAAAAUUAGGUUAGAAGAAAUGAGAUUUUGAAACCAAGAGUGGUCAUCCCUCGAUUAUGAGUUUAUAUCUUGGAAAAUUUGACAAGUAAAUUGAUCUGGCUUAAUGGUUAAUUGCUAUGGUUAUAUGUGUUAGGUUCUGGGUUCAAAUCUUGUUUUUGGAAAAUUUGUUACUUUUCUUAAACCCUUACCUUGAAUGUUUGGCUUUUAAGUUAAAUUUAGUCAAUUGAGGUCAAGAAUGAGCCUGUUGGUUUAAUGGUUAAGUUUCUGCAUAAUCCUUGGUCUUGUGUUCGAAUCUCAGCGAAAGCAACAGGGAAUGUUUUGUUUUUGAAUUUUUUAUAAGGUAGUUAGUUUCGAUUGGUUAUUUAAAGCCUUCUAGAAACCUCCGUUGCUUUUACUUUUAUUUUGUUCUUUCUUUUUCUACAAUGUUUUCUAUCAUUUUGUUUUCGAUCUUCAGUUUCCUCAUUUUGGUUUUUUAUUUUCAAGCAACCUUCUUUUUGUUAUGUUACGUUACACUAAUUGUGUAUAAGGUUUAACUUCUCCUUCUAGUUAAUUUGCUGGUUGGUAAGUUCAAUUUAAAGUUUUGGUGUCGAAAGUUCUUUAACAUAACUUCAAUUUUGGAAUGUUAGUUUCUAGUGGUUUGACUGCGAAUUAAUCGUUUGUUAGGGAAUUGCUUGUCGUUUAGGGACCUGAAUUUAUCCUUGUUACUCCUACAUCGAGUUCGUAUCAAGUGGGUAUCAAAAAUAUCUUCUUCUUCAAAUUUUAGUCGUCGAAGAAUAGGACUAUCAAUGCCACAUGGUCAUGCGCAAACUAUCUAGGUACAAUCUGUAUUCUAUUAAGUUUGUUGGUAUGCCUCUGCAUUACUCUAUUGAUAAAGAAUAUGUGACAUUUGAUUAUGUUAGAUUGGUUGUUACUGAUUCUAAUUUAUAACCCUCUGUUUUACUUUAUAGAUGUGGAAUACACAAUAUCUGAAAAUGUUAGACUAAUUGUUACUGAUUCUGAUUUAUUGUCGUGCAUGUGACUUCAUGGCAAAUAUGAUAUGAUCUGUUGAGGUUUGAUAGGUCUAUUUUCCAAAACAUGGACUCUCAUGUCUCCUAAUUCUGUUAUUGAAAGAUAUCAUAACUUACAUGCUCAUCACUCUGAUUCUGCAUAUGUAUGUCAUGACACGUUGCAUGGGAUUUGGGUUGAUGUGAAAGGUAAAAGUUACUGGCAGUUAAUGAUCCGCAUUAUCUGAGGUUUAUCCUCAAUUCUGUUUCGGCAGCUUAGUUGUACUAUAUUAACUUGACCACAUGUAACCGAUAUGGCAGUCUUAACUACAAAAUUCUAGUGGCACCAUCCACAGUUAUCUGUUGGUGUGAUUUGGCUAGACGAGUUCUGAGGGAACUCUAUUUUGGAUUGUAGUGGAGUUUUGGUAGGAUGUUUUCUGAUAAUUCUGCAUUCUGAUCUAUUUGAGAAAUACAACAUCUUCAUAACACAUUUUCUACUUUGCUCUAUUCUGUUCUAUUCUGUUCUGCUCUCUUCGGUUCUAUUCUAUUUGAUUUGUUAUGUUCUGCUUCAUUCUGUUGUGCUUGGUUCUAUUGUACUAUCGUUAUGGAAAUUUUCAUGAUAUUCUCGAUCUAUUCCAUACUAGCUAUAAAACUAUUAUUAAGUUCUUUGAGUUACUUUGAUUUAUAUAAUAAAAUCUAUUUAUUUGUAUCUAAGUUUGGUUAUACGCGACGCUUGGUAGUUCUCCCUUUGUCUUAUCUUAAUCUAUUUAGGUGGAUGUUUUACAUUGAUAUAACUAUGAUUUGAUCUUUUAGGUUGUAAUUUGUUUUUGGACUUGCAUUGCUUUUCUUUUGAUAAUCUCAUCAAUAUUUGUCAUUUUCUUACACAAAAAUAAAAAAACCACCUAAGUCGACUAAAAUGAAUUUCUGGUUUUCAAUGUUAAAAUUUUGAAAAGAAAUUAGUUUUCUACAUGUUGGUGUAGCUCGUCCAAAUUUGACUUAAACUUCUAGGUUGGGUUUGGGGUGUUGUAUCUUUCCAUAAUUAACAUGUGAUUAAUCUUUUAUUAGGAGGAUUCAAGAACUCAACUUAAUGAUGGAAAAAUAUAGGUAAGAACCAAGAAACAAAACAACCCCCUUUCUUGCACACAGGCGUACGCACCACCACCCAUGGUGGCCAAAAUUGGGGAAGAAUUUUAAAAUGGUUUGAAAUCUCAUUAAAAUCUAGAAAAAUACAAUUGAAUUCAUUUAAAAUCCCCCAAAUUCCAGAUCUAAAAAUUUUUCUUUUUAAUUGACAAAAUUAAUUAAGAAUUUGAAGAGAAAAGAGAUCUUCCCAAGCUAGUUAAAAGAAACGACAAUGACACUUUCUUGGCAAUGUUCAAGAUUGAUCUUGGGUUCAAGAUUUUAGAAUUGGGGAUGAUUUAGAUGAGAAAAAAUGGUAGGAAUAGAGUAAAGGAGAUGGUGUACAAUCUUGAUGCAAAAAGAAGAAGAAAGAGUUGGUAAAUGGGAGGUGUAGGCGACGACAACAAUAGGAGAAAGAAAGAAAAUUAAAGAGAAAAGUGGAGAGGAAGAUGGUGAACGGAUAGAGUAGGGAAAAUUUGAAUUAAAGGCUGAAAAAUACAAUAAAAAUUUCUAUUUAUACUUAGGGUUCAAGGGUAUGGAUCGCACAUACAUUUAAAAAAAUAAAGGAUUUUACGAAAUUUAAAAUUUCGUAAAGGAAAGGAUUCGAAAUUGGGACCUCAUUUAAUUUUCAUGUGUUCUCAUAUUUCUUUUAACCAUUAUGAUAUUUUCUCAUUCUUAAAAUCAUUUUACAAGAUUUAGUUUAAAAAUAAGGCAUGCCACAUUCUAGGGUUUAAGGCAAAAUUAGCAAAAUAAUAAAAAUAGUGAGAGAGAAGGGAUUUGAACUUGGGUUUCAUGGAAUGUUUGACUAACACUUAUCCAACAAACCAACACCUUAUUGAUUUCCUAAAAAUGCAUAGAUAAUCUCAAAAAUUAAGGCAUGACCACUCUUUCUCGAUUCACAAACCCGAUUAUGCUAAACCCUAAUUUUUGGAAUGUUACAAGGUAAGUUUGUAGUGUAACAAUAUAUAUGUGUGUGUUUUAGGGAUACGAUUGGCAUGCCAAUAGGGUUAGUAUGCAUGCUUGUACUGGAUCACACUUUGGUUCUUCUCUUUACACUUUGGUGCCUCUCUUUGCACUUCAGUGCCACUGUAUUUGCACUACAGUGCCUCUAUUAGCAUUUCGAUGUUUGGGGGAAACCCAAGUAUCGAAGUCAUUUUGCUGUAGUUCAACAUGCUGUGAAAUUUUAUGUUUAAAUGUUAAAUUACUCUUGAAUUUGAUUUAUAUACAAUGAUAUAUUUGUGUAUCUAUGUACAUAAGCAUUGAUUGCUUUGGUUUGAGCCAUUGUUUAUAUUGAAUCAUAUGAGAUGAAUGUUUUGAUUACUAUAGUUUGAGAAUAAAUAUUAAUUCCUUGGUGUAAUUAUAUGAUUCAUAUGUCUUUAAACAUGUUAUCUAAUUAUGUUUAUGGUGUGUUUAGAGAAUUAAAUUAUUAUAUGAGUAUUUUCCAGGUAUUCAAUGUUGUUUCAUUUGGUUUAAUGGGUAAAUAAAGCUUUAAAGGGUAUGUGAUUACACGAAAUGCACUACGAUAUUUGAGCAAUGAUAUGGAUCAUGAUGAAAUGUUUAAUUGAAAAGGAAAUAUGGUUUAGUAUAUAUAUAUGAGUGGUGAAUUAUGAAAGUGAAAUAUAGAUAUGUUAUAUACCAUGUUUUAUUCAAAUUAUAUAUGAUAUGUUACACCAACUAACCUUGUGAGGUGGUGGGUAUAGGAAAGGAAAGUUGGCUUAAAACAUAAUGAAAUUAUGCCUGCCUUUUUAACAUAAAAUAUUCAGUAAAUUAAGUUUCCUUUAUAUGAACUUACUCAACAUUAGUUGCUUGCAUAGUUAUUUUUCUUUAUUUUAUAGUUCAUCAGAAGCUCGACCGGUUGGAAUCAUGUCAAAGCACGAUCACACUAUCCAUUCAACAUUUUGAUAGCUUUUUUUAUUUUGGUAAAUGGUUAUAAAUGACAUGUAAUAGGGUUUAAAUGUCAUUCUAGUGAUUUGACUUGUUUUGAGUUGUGUCAAACUUCUUGUGAUUGAUGUUGUUAGUUGUUGGCAUGUAAAUAAUGGUGUAAAUAUGUGACAGCCCAAAAUUGACCCUAGUCGGGAAGUGGUUUCGGGACCGCUAAACCGAGUCACCGAAAGGUUUGAAUGUGAUGUUUAUUAUCUAGAAUAUGUAAUAAUGAAUGUGUGAAAAUUUCAAGCUUCGAUUUAGUCGAUUGCAUGCGAGUUUAGUCAAUAGGACUUAUAUGAGAAAAACUUUAAAAUGUGAUAGGUCAAUGCAUGAGGACCUAUUAGUGCAUGUGGAAGAAAAAGGGGACUUGCAUGUCAAAUUCCCCCUCCCUAAUAUGUAGUGGCCGGCCAUGCUAUGGGUGGAAACAUGUCACCAACAUGUUGUGUUAGUGAUGUAUGGUAAGGAAAAUAAAAUAUUAAGCAUGAUAAUUAAAAUAAAUUAAAGAAAGGAAUUAAACAAUGAAAAGGAAGGGUGAUGAAAAAAAUGGUCUCAUCCAUACCCCCCCCCCUUGUUGCCGUGAGUUGAGGAAAGAAAACAAAAAAAAAUGUGUGUUCAUUCUUGAACACCUUUGGCCGAAUAGAGGAAAGAAAGGAAGGGGAAGAGCUUGAGAAAAUCGGCUAUGGUGGUUUGCUAGACUAAGGUAUGUUUGAUGUUGUUCUUGAGAUGCAUGCAUGUUUUAGUAGUUGACUUGAGUUCUAAAAACCCAUGGUUCAAUUUUGUGGAUUGAUGAAGAUUUUGUGUUUUGCCAUUGAUGAGUGCUUGAGCUUUUUGAUAGUUGUUGAUGAAAAGUGAAAGAUAUGUUAAAGAUUAAUAUGUUUUGUGUUGAAGUUUUUGGUGAUUUUGAGUAGUUAGGGCUAUAUUACAAAAACAAAUUUUUGAAGGACUCAAAGGUGAAAUAAAUGAGAUGUAUGGACUUAUAUGGGCACUAGGAAGAUUCGGCCCUUAAGGAGUGUGACCAAACUUUGUGUAUUUUGUGUUUUGUGGAAUAAAGACUAAAUUGUGAAAGUGCGAAAUAUUAGGGGUAAAAAUGUAAUUUACCCAUUUAUGCGUUAUUAGACUAAAUUGAAUGAAAAUAUGUUAAAUUAAGGCUUGGCAAGCUAGCUAUUAAGGUGAAAUGCUAAUGUUAGUAUUUGAUUCGGUAAUAAUCUGUUUGGGGACAGCAGCAGUAAGGUGAUUUUGGAAAAUCGCCAUAAUUUGUAGGAGUUGAAUUAGAAGCUGAGUGAAUUAUGCCAUUAAAGCUUGAAGAGUCUAUUUUCUUACAAAAGAAACUAUGAAAACAAAAGAGUUACCGAUCUUGAGAUAUUUGAAGUAUUGUGGGGCUGAGUCAAAAUGACUACUAGAUUCCCUGUUCUGUUUUUAGAAAAUCAUUAUAAAUUGUACAAAAAUUAUUAUAAGAUAAAAUUUAUAUGCUUAGACUCCUUAAUGAGUCUAGUUUCAAAUGAGAUCAAAUACAACACAUUUUGAAUUCUGUAAAAUGAGAAAUUUGAUUCGUAGUGAAGAGUGGUCAGAAUAGUCAAACAGUGAAACAGGGGAAACUUUAAGAAAAAUCUGGUAUUGAUUGGCCAAGCCAAAAAUUCUGAAAAUUUUAUGGAUGGAAGAUAUAUGAGUCUAUAUUCAGGGAAAAUUAACAGCUAGUGAUUUGGAGUUUUGUAGCUCCAGUUAUAAACAAUUUAGCGACUACUGCUCAGGAAAACAGCUCGUAGUGAAUAUGUGAUUUUGUUGUAAACAUUAAUGAAAAUUUGCCAAUGAGUUAUUUAUUGACUAUUACAAAGCUUACUAUAAUCUAUGUGUGUGAAAGUCAAAUCAAUAUAUAUAUUAUUCUGAAAGUAAUACUUGAAUAGUCGAUUAAUGACUAUUUUAAGUUAUUGAUUUGGCUCAAGGAGUUAAAGGAGGUGAAUCGAGCAAAGGCAAAGAAAAGGUUAUCGAGUAGCCGAGUUGGAACCGUCUUACCCAACACGAGGUAAGUCAUUAAGCAUGUAGUUGGUAUUAUUUCAAUGGUCAUAAUGUUUAUGUAUUGAUGCUGAAUGGAAUGAAUAAAUAUACAUAUAUAUAUAUAUAUGUGCAUGUACGUAUGUGAUGAUGAGAUUGUUGAAUGAAAGAAAAGAGGUAAGAUGUACUGAGUUGUUGAUCUCGGCACUAAACGUGCGGGAUAACCAUUUAUGACCAUGAGAUUGGCGCUAAGUGCGCGGGAUUAAAUUGUACAGCACUAAGUGUGCGAUUUGACUAUGUUGCACUAAGUGUGCGAAAUGAAUAUGAUGCACUAAGUGUGCGAAUUGACCAUGCGGCACUAAGUGUGCGAGUUUGACUAUGUAGCACUAAGUGUGCGAUUUGAUUAUGUAGCACUAAGUGUGCGAGUUGAUUAUAUAGCACUGAGUGUGCGGACUCGAUAUACAUUCGUGAAUCAUUAUGGACACUAUGUGUGCGACACUAUUGAGUCGAUCGCGGACAGCGGAUCGGGUAAGUGUCUUGAGUACAUGGCUAAUAGGUGCUAUGCUUAUACUUGGUGUUGAGCUCGGUAAGUUUGAACCUAUGUGACAAAUAUACUUGAAGUCACGUACAUAAAAUUUAUCGUAGGAUUGGUGAAAGGCCGUUUAGUCGUUUGAUUGUAACGAAAAUAAAUUGAUUUAUGAAAAUGCUUCAAUGUCCUAUUGAUGAGUAUAUGGAAUGUGAAUGCAUGAAUUGAUAUGAAAUUGAAUUGAUAGGUUGGAGGAACUAUGGUAUGGUUCGGAAUGGAUGGAGUAAUUAGCCUCGUUCCAUUUUGUUUUCUCUUGUGAUAAUGUUAUUGAUGGAUGGUAGUGCAUAGCUUAUGACUUACUGAGUUAUAAACUCACUCGGUGUUUCCUUGUCACCCAUUAUAGGUUGCUUGGACUCAUCUAUUUUUUUGCGUGGUCGGGCCGUCAUCGAAGUCAUCACACCGGAUAGCAAGUUUUGGUACUUUCUUCUUAGUUGGCUUAGAAGAACAUUUUGGCAUGUAUAAGCUAUUACGUUGUGUUUGAACUUUGGCAUGUAAACUUUAAGCCAUGUGAAAAUGGCACGAAUGUUCGAUUGAGUUGGAUCAAGGGUAGGCAUGAAAUGGACCUAGUUACUUUCGUAACAGAUGCUGGCAGCAGCAGUGUCAUGAGAUUGAAAAAUCAUUAAAAAUAGUAGGAGUGGAAUUAAUUGAUGAAUAAAUUAUGUAAUCGAAGCUCGAUGAGUCUGUUUUCAUGAGGAAGUAACGAAAAGAUCAUAUGGGCAGUAUAUUAAGAGAUAAUCAGAUUUUUGUGGGACAGGGCCAGAACGGUUUCUGGAUUCCCUUCUCCGACUUUGGAAAUUCAUUACAAAUUAACCAGAGAUAAUUAGGGGUCGUACCAUAUAUGUACAGAUUCCUCUCUGAGUCUAGUUUUCAUAGAAAUAAACGGCAUCAGUAUUGGAGCCCCGUGCAGGGAGAUAUCCAAGUCGGAAUGGGAAAAGGUCAGUGUAGUCGACCCCUGCAACUGGGGAGACUUUGACUAAUAAACUGUACUAAUUGGCCCGACCAAAAAUUCUAGAAAAAAAUACAUAGAUGGGCACAUGAGUCUAGUUUCUGGGAAAAAUUACGAAACUGAUUUUCGAGUUAGGAAACUCAAGAUAUGAUUUUUAAAACGACUAGUACACGGAUUGGGCAGUGUCUGGAAAAUAAAUUUUGUAAGGGGUUAAAGCCAGUUAACACCUCGUGUUCGACUCCGGUGUCGGUUUCGGGUUCGGGGUGUUACAAAAUAUGUGUGGUUGGACCCUUAUGCAUGCUUUAUUGAUUAAAGAUAUCAUAUGGUAAAAUGGCAUGUUUUUGGAAUGGUUAUUUGGCAUGAUUAAAAUAGGUUUAAGUUUUGAUCUUGAGACGUUGAAUUGAAUUAAGUUUAAGAUGUAUAUUGUGAUACCUUCAUUGGCAUAUUUGUUAGAUAUUAAAGGAUGGUUGAUUUGGUAUGUUUUUGAAAUGGUUGUUGGUAUGUUUGAUCUAAGUUGAUUAAAUGAACUUGUAAUGUUCAACGGUAUAAUACUUGUUGGUACAUUAGUUAGUCUUAUAGGUUGAUGGAAUUGGUAUGUUUUAAAUGUGUUUAAAAUAUGUUUUGGUUAUUUCAAUGUUUGUGGAAAUGGUGUGUCUUGGUGUACAAGAUUUGUAAUUGAAAUGGCUCUAUUUAGAAGCAACUUCUGCUGCACACUACCUGGGACACGAGUUGUCACAUGGUUGUGCAUCAUUAAUGUUUUAGGUGCAGGUUUCACACAAUCUAAGACUCGGCUCACGACACGGUCUGGGCUAUGUCACACAGCUUGGCCGCAUGGCCAUGUGACCCUUGUUUUCAAGUUUUCAAAAUUUUCUAUUUUAUUUCAAAUUGAUCAUAGAAUAUUCUCAAACUAUUUUUAAGGCCCCGUAGGUUCGGAUUAUGGCCCGUAAGUGUAUGUUUGCUAUAAUUAAGUUGUGUUAUUGAAUGUUAUUAAUUAAAUCACAUGAAUAUUUUAUUGUAAGUUAAAUGUUUUAAUUUGUACCAUAAUGCUUUGUAACCCUAAUCUGGCGAUGAAGACUAGUUUGGGGUGUUAUAAUUUUGGACUGUAAAUUUGUUUUGGGGGCUUUGUUCUUUGGUUAUUGCGAUGUUGGUUAGAUUUUGGUGUUUUAACAUUAAACUGCAAAAUUGUAUGAUUUAACAAACUAAAAAUUAGUUUUUCAAAAUUAAAACUCUUGAAAUUUCAGUUGCAAAGAUUAAGUAAUCACUUCAGUGUUUUUCCAUAAAUAAUUAAAUUUUUUUUAACAAAUGUUUUCCUUAGUUUGGGAAAUGAUUUGCCAACAUAUGUACUUUUAAAACACAUGAUUUCAAAUUCAAAUUCUCAAUUUUAAAUAAGGGUUUUCAAACUUUAGUUUUUUUUAACAGUUGUGAGAGGUUUUUGCCAAAUUUUAUGUUUUCAGAACAUAUUAGUAAGUUGAUUUUUAAUUUGUUUUUUAAACGAGUCGAUGUAAUUCCUCAAAAAUCCAUUCAUAGCGUCUUAGUCUAGAUCUAAACAUUAAUAUUCUCUUCCAAGAAAAAUCAAGAUUAUCAAAUUGUUACAACUUGGUAGGUAGACAAUCAUAUUAAAUAAGCAUAAAACUUAAUAAAUAAUUAGCGAAGAUUGAAACAAUCAAAGAAAAAAUAAAUUAAUUAACUAAGAAAUAGGAUCCAUUAUUGUUUCAAGAAAACAGAGUUUAGUUCAUAUUGAGUUGAGAAAUCCAAAAGGGAGAUUCAAAACAAACUUGUGAAAAGGGGAACAAUGUCAAUAGAUCGUAUUCAAGUUGUUCAACUCGAGAAGGAAAGAUUCAGAUCUAACCUAAAAAGAAGAAACCAAACAGAUUUAGAAAAACAAGAAAAACAAAGAAAAUAACUAAAAUGAGAAAUUUAAGAGUAAUUAAUAAAUAUUAAAACUAAUAAAGAAAUAAAGAAAUUAUAGAAUAAAUAGUGGAAGAUGGAAUGAAUAAACGAUGGAUAUGACAUAUAGAUGGAUAAGUGUCUGAUAAUUCUUGAAAAGAGUUAUUUUUCAUGCCUUUAGACCUAACUUGUAAUGCCCCAAAAAUCCCUUAUAUAUUUAUUUUCGUAAGUUUGUAACAGAAAUAUCUGUUAGCUUUAGUGGUUAUAUGCUUUGGGAGUGUUUAGGAGGUCCCAAGUUGAAACCUUAGCUUGGGCAAUUUUUUUUUGUUUUAAAUGAAUAAAACUCUAUCUUUGAUUAGUAGGCUUAUAAAUAGAUGUUGGUAAAAAAUGUCAGAAUGGUUUUACUGGUUUAGUGGUUAAGUGGGGUGUAAAUAUGCAGGAGCUCUUAUGUUCGAAUCUUUGUGCGAUCAAGAGCAUUUAUUUUAUUACUUGUGUCGUGUAGGUAUUUUGGUCCAGCCAAAAUACUGAAGAGGUUGACUAAGGGUUGGUUUCGGUUGUUGAGAGGUUUAUGGUGGGUUAGUAGAGAGGAUUUUAAGGAGAAAUUUUAGAGAUAUGAAGAGAGAGUUAGUGCCGAAUUGAAUUUCUUUUGCUUUCUCAAAUUUCAGCUGGGGUUUGAUUUUUCUUUUCAAUUUGUUUCUAUUGACUGUUUUCCAUUCUAGAGGGUCAAAUAUUGCUGAGGGUUCCUACUAGUUUCUUUUUUUUCUUUUUCUCUCUUCUCUCUUUCGACUUUGUUCUUCCCAACUGCAAAAGUGCUCUUCCCUAAACUGUUACUACCGUCUACUUUCUCUUUUCCUCCCUUGCUUUUUUUAUUGUCGAAUUUUGGGUUCUUUAUGCAUUUAAUUCUAAUGUCAAUUUAUCACUUCUCUACCAAAAGAUUAUUAUUUUCUCUCAUUGAUUUUCGUUUGGUUCAUCCUUGCUACCAGAAGUGUGGUUGCCCUUCUUUCUUGGUUUCGUUUGUCAUCAUCUGCUACAUGUUCUUUAACACUCUUUUGGUAAGUGUUCGUUUCUUCACCGCUCAGUUACUUGAAGUUAGUUUUUAAAUGGUUGUGUAUUGUUUUGAAUAAGAAUCUGAUAAAUCGUGUGUUCCAACCCUAUUUAGAUCAGUUCAUGGUGGUGUUUAUUGAUGAUAUACUGGUGUAUUCGAGAACUAAGGAUGAGCACGAUGAACACCUCAGAGUGGUUCUACAGAUUCUACGAGAAAAAGAACUGUACGCCAAGUUUAGUAAAUGUGAGUUCUAGUUAAGUGAAGUAACGUUUCUGGGACAUGUGGUUUCUACUGAGGGGAUUAGAGUUGAUCAUCGAAAGAUUGAGGCUGUCUUGGAUUGGAAGCAGCCUAAGACUGUAUAUGAGAUCUACAGUUUUCUCAGAUUGGCAGGGUAUCGACAAUUUGUGUAAAGGGUUUUCUCUAAUUGCCGUACCCUUGACUAAGCUGCUACGUAAAGGCUUACCGUUUAACUGGACUGAUUCAUAAUAAGAGAGCUUUGAGAAGCUCAAGACUGUACUGACUGAGGCCCCUGUUCUAAUAUAGCCAGAGUCUGGAAAAGAGUUUACUAUUUACACUGAUGCAUCACAUGUCUGUUUAGGAUGUGUGUUGAUGUAAGAAGGUAAGGUGGUAGUGUACACGUCUCAUCAGCUUAAGAAUCAUGAGGUGAAUUAUCUUACGCAUGACUUGGAGUUGAAGUGAUUGAGUAUAAUAACAUUUAACAUAUUAGAGCCAAUUGGUUGUCCAUAAACAUAAAAAGGUGACCUUAAUGAGAUACGCCAUAGACUCAAAAGUGUAUCAUUUACACUGAUCACAAGAGCCUCAACUACCUCCUCACUCAUAAGGAGCUGAAUCUUAGGCAACAUAGAUGGAUUGAGAUGCUUAAGGACUACGACUGUACUAUUGAAUACCACCCUGGUGAGGCUAAUGUGGUGGCUGACGCACUAAGCCGUAAAACUAUGACUGAACUGAGGGUGAUGUUUUCUCGCCUUAUUUUAUUUGAUAAUGGUAGUCUGUUGGCCAAACUUCAGGUUAAACCGAUUUGGAUAGAGUAGAUUAAGUGUAUACAAGUAGAGAAUGAGUUGUUGGGUCUUCGUUUUUGACAGGUUGAGAGUGGGAAUACCAAGGAUUUUAGACUGAAUAGUGAAGGGGUGCUCUAUAUCUGUGGGAGAAUCUAUGUAAAGACCUUCGUGAGUUAUACUAGUGGCCAGGUCUUAAAUGAGAAUUUACUAAAUUUUUGGCUAAGUGUCUGACAUGCUAGCAGGUUAAGGCUGAACAGCAGUUACCUUCGGGAUUGUUGCAGCCAGUCAAGAUUUCAGUUUGGAAGUGGGAGCAUGUAACUAUGGAUUUCAUUAGUGGGUUACCCCUCACACCCACUAAAAAGGAUUCGAUGUAGGUCAUCGUGGAUUGAUUGACCAAAUCCGCCCACUUCAUACCAAUUUGUACUGAUUACUCUCUGUAGAAGCUGGCUAAAUUGUAUGUGUCUGAAAUAGUGAGAUUACAUGGGGUACCGAUUUUAAUAAUAUCUUAUAGGGAUCCUCAUUUCACAUCUCGGUUCUGGAAGAAGCUAUAUGAAGCUUUGGGUACAAGAUUGGAGUUUAGUACUGCGUUUUAUCCUCAGACUGACGGUCAGUCAGAGAGGGUGAUUCAGAUACUAGAGGAUAUGUUGAGAAGUUGUGUGAUUGACUUUCGAGGUAGUUAGGAGGAUUACUUACCGCUAGUAGAAUUUGCAUAUAACAACAACUAUCAGUCUAGCAUUCAAAUGACACCCUAUGAGGCAUUAUAUGGUCGUAGGUGUCGCACACCUUCAUGUUAGACUGAGUUAGGCGAGCAGCGUAUUUUGGGGCCUGAACCAGUUUCUGAUACAGAGGAUAAAGUUAGACUAAUUCAGGACCAACUGAAAGCGAUAUCUAAUAGGCAUAAGUCCUACACCGAUCUAAAGAGUCGAGGGAUUGAGUAUUCUGUGGGGGACUUCAUUUUUCUCAAGGUCUCACCAUGGAAGAAGGUAUUAAGGUUUGGUCGUAAGGGCAAGUUGAGCCCUAGUUUAUUGGGCCCUAUCGCAUACUAAAACGUGUGAGAUGAGUUGCCUACCAGUUGGAGUUACCUCUAGAGUUAGAUCGGAUUUAUGACGUGUUCCAUGUCUCUAUGUUGAGGUUACCGCUCUAAUCCUACGCAUAUUAUUCCUAUUAAGGAAAUCAAGGUUAGGCUAGAUCUAACCUUUGAGGAGGAGUCAAUUCAGAUAUUGGAGUGAGAUAUAAAGGUUCUAAGAAGAAAAUUCAUCCCACUAGUUAAGGUUAUUUGGCGUAACCAUAGCACUGAGGAGGCCAUAUGGGAGUCUAAGGAUGUAAUGCUUUAGCAGUAUCCUCACCUAUUCUGAUCAGGUAAAUUUUCAAGGCCAAAAUUUUCUUUUAGGGGGUAGAGUUGUAGCGCCCCAAAAAUCCCUUAUAUAUUUAUUUUCGUAUUUUUUAUACAAAUAUCUGUCAGCUUUAGAGGCUAUGUGCUCUGGUAGUGUUUGGGAGGUCCCAAGUUCAAGCCUUAGCUUGGGCAAUUUUUUAGUUUUAAAUGAAUAAAAUCAUAUCUUUGAUCAAUAGGCUUAUAAAUAGAUGUUGGUAAAAUAUGUCAGAAUGGGCAUGCUGGUCUAGUGGUUAAGUGGGGUGCAAAUAUGCUGCAGGUCUUGUGCUUGAAUCUCUAUGUAUAGAGCAUGUUGUUAAACUGUACUACAUGCAUAUAUGAUACCAUGAUAUGACAUGACAUGAUUGUGUGGUGCAUGGCAUGGGGAUAGGUUAUUAUUGAUCGAAGGAAGUGUACUGGAAGGCUUUGAGCCUAACUUACUGGCAGCUCAGCUGCAUAUUACUGUAUAGUGUCGCCAUUGGUACUACUUAGAGUGUAGGGAUGGGUGGGUUGAUUAUAUCCCCACAUGAAGUGUAGGGUUGGUCGGAGUUGGUGUGUAGAGGUUGGCUAGGUAGGACUUGUAUACUGCAUAAUCUGUUAAUGUACUGAUUGCUAAUAUUGUAAUGGGCCAAGGCCCAAAUGCAUGAUUACUUUUGUACUAAGAUGGGCUAAAGCCCAAACCAAUACUGUCACUGAUACUGGAAAGGGCUUAGGCCGGACUGAGUUUAUUCUGUUUUCUGUCUGAUUAUUUUGUGUACUGUCUAUUUGUUUGCACUAGGAAUAUCACACUGAGUUUUGAAAACUCACCCUUUCUGUUAAUCUGUGUAGGUAAUCCCCAGUCGUAGGUAGAUCGGUGUGGCGGAGGAUUCAGCGGUGGCCACACGACUCCUUUUUAUUGUUUCGUAUCUAAUGAUAUUUAUUUUUAAGUCUUUAUUUGGGGUUUUUAUCUGUAAUAAUUGCUGCUAUGGAUUUUUUAUUUAAAUUUGGAUUUAACACUACUUCAUGUUUACAUCUGCUAGAGGUAGAUAUAGCACGGAUUUUUGAAAAGAAAUGCAUGUGUUUUAGCAAAAUACCCCAAUGUCACAAACUGUUUUAAAAAGCUUCCGCAACGUAUAAUGAUUUGCAAACUAACAAUUGAAUAAAAAUCACUAUUUUGGGAUUAACAAAAGAUAACGACGACCUCUAAUCGAAAAAUGUUUUAAGCAAAGUUACCAUUUUUCAACAUGAGCUUCGGUUUUGAAAAAUACCACCAUGUGACAUCGCCAAAUUCGCCCGUAACAUCCAGGCUGGGUUUGGGGUGUUAGAUAACUAAUUGCUUGAACUUAAGUACAUUUUGUUGCAUUUUAAGACAUUUUAGUUAGCAUUUCUAAUAUUGCAUUAGGACUUAGAUUGUGUUGGACUUAUGUGUUUUUAAUAUGGUGGAGUUUUUUUGUGUGUUGGUAUGGCAAGAACAUAUUUUAGAACGAGGAAAUAAAUGAGUGAAGUUUUGUCAGGGAAAAAGUGCAGACAGUUUGCCAGCACGGAUGCCGUGACAAUGCCAGGAAGACCAAGUAAACAUUUUUUUGCGCAACAGUCUCAAUUGAAAUUAAAACUUGUACCAGAUAAAUCUUCAAAAAAGAGGAGAAGAUAAUCACAAGUUGUUACUUGACACUAGCCUAAUCUACCUAUAAAAGCCAAUAAAGGGGAUCUCACAAAUGGCAGAAAAAAGUGGGAGGGAUCCUUAGGUGUGAAUAAGGUUUUAGUUGCGCAAAGGAAAGGAAGUCGAAGGCAGUGCUUUUUAGCCAUCACAGGAUGUUGUGCUACCGAAGUGUAAACUAGGCAAGUGAAAGUUGUUUCCCAAAGUUCUUUCGUUAUUUCCAUCAGCGUUCCUUCAAAAUAUUGAAGUAGUUGAACACAAUGUCAGAUAAUAUUUUGCUUUUGAAUUUUAUUUCUCAGCCCAUGAGCUAAAUCUCGUAGGGUUGGGAUUACUUUUGAUGAAACCUUAAACUAUUUUUAUGGAUGCAGUAUAUAUCUAAUUUACUUUACUGUUUCAUUUGAUUGUUCUUAUUUCUUAAUUAAAAUGCAAAUGAUUUCUAAACAUAGAAGACUGUUCGCAUACUUAUAAACUCAUUCUAAUUCUGAAAGGGUUGGAUUGGUUGGAUUAAAAUUAAAUGAAAUGAGCAAGUAUUCGAUGGACACUUGUAGUAGACUCUAUACAUAGAGUGACGAUCAUACAGAAGGAACCCAUGCAAGGUAUCUAAAAAGUCUUUAGACAUAGGCAAGGUAACUUGAUGUUUUCCUCUCAUGAGAGGAGAGCCAUUUUAGUACUCUUCUGUGCUUUAUAGUAGAUACGAUUUUCCCAAGGCAUUAUUGACAAUAAGGGUCAAUAUUCGGUAAUCCUGACCUUCGAAAUCCACAUCGUAUAUCCUUUAUUCUUUUCCACAUCAUUAUUAGUUAUUUAUUUGUUCAUUUACAUAAUAUUCCCAUAGUAAUUCUCAUCAUUGUCAUUACAUUUCUACUCUUGGUUUGACACAACAUUACCACUUAUUUAUUAAUUCUAUGUAUUGCUUACAUCAUUACUCUACUAAUUGCCACUGUAUAUUCAUCAUUGACUCUCCCAUAGCAUUAAUCGUAUUUUAUUAUAAUAAUUUGACCAAUUGUGUGCCUCAAUCCGAUCUUUAUGGGAACGAUACACACUCAUCACUUUAUUACGUGAUUCAACUGUAUACUUGCACAAAUCGCAUAUCAUUUCACACACGAUAGUGUUCAAUUGAACCCUUUGAGAUAUAAACCUAGACAAACUCAAUUAAUGGCUUUAAUUAACCCACCAAGAAAUAAUGAUUGGCAAAUUGAACGAUGAAGAAUGAAUUCCCAUGACUCCUUAAAAAAUUGAGAAGAAAAAUACUUCUAAAAAUCACAAGAAACAAAUCUUGGACAAAGAAACUAACUUUCAGAGUUGGAAAUUUUAGUAAUAAACAAAAACAAUUGCAUCUCUAAUGAACAUGAAGGGCCUUUACAUAGGCUAGAUAAGUACAUCCAGAUAAAAUAUUCAAGUAUCUUGAAACUUUAAUUAAUAUAAGUAAUAAGUAAUUUUAAACUAAAAUAGUCAUAAUUUUCGUCAUAAUCCCGUCCAAAAAUUCUGCUCACAUAAUCAUCAUUAAAAUAGUCAUAAUUUAAGCUCUUGAACUCAAAAUUGAGUGAAUAAAAGUGUGUUUCGAAGUUAAGUGCUAGAUCUUAGAACUUUAUGAAGACAUAUCAAUCGAAAAUUGUCCGGAUCCCAUCCAAAGAGUCACAGCAAGUUAACUAAUUUUUCAAACUUGAAAAUUGGCAACUUCGGGGAAUGGAAUUUAAUACAGUUCACCCCAUCUAUUCAUGUAUCAACUCGCAUUGGUAAAAAGUAAAAAGAAAUAAUCUAUAGAGAAAAUAGUUGAAGAAUUUAUGAAAAUUUAUUCAAAUCUCUUUUUUUUCUAGUCUUUGCAAGCUUGAAUUUUCCCUUGGUGUGUGAGAGUUGUUCCUUACCCUCUAAGUGAUUUUUUUUCUUUUUCUUUCUCUUCGAUCUCGUCACCUAAGGGUGUUCAAACAAUUGAUUCAGUUAGUACCCGUGCAAAACUAUCAUUAACUGAAAUUUUGAAACCCUUAAUCAUUAAUCAAACCAUUUUCUUUUUUGAAACCUACUAACCAGCUUGAUUGAUUUGGGUUAAUUUGAGUGGUUAACCAAAAUUUAAACAUUGUUUGUUUUUGUUCAAACAAUUUUAAAACAAAGAACAAUCCAUGACAAUUUUUCCUUGUUUUUUAUUCAAAAAAAUUAAAAGAAUUAAAAAAAUAACAUAAUAACAACACUAAAUUAAAAACAUAAUAGCAUUCAUUACAUUACAAAGCAUAUAUAUAUAUUUACUUUUUCUUGACUUUUUAGUUUAAUUUUCGUUUUAUUUUCCUAAUAUUUUUAGUUUUCAUAUUUUUGUUAAGCUUAUUAUAAGAACACUUAUAAAUCCAUUAGUUCUUAUAUAUUGGGUUUGUAUAAUGUAUUCGACCUAUCUCUAAUAUAUUGGGCCUAUAAUAUAUUUUUAUUGAUUUCGGUUAAUCAAUUCAUUCGAUUAAUUAGUCGAUUUCAAACUAAAAUAAUUGGUAAACAAAAUCUUCAAAAACCUUUAACCAACUCCAACCAAAUUAGAUUCAUUGAUCAACUUCUUAAUCAAAUUAAUUAGGUUUGAUAAAUUAAUUCGUUAAAACUGAAAAAUGCACACCCCUAUCAUCACCGUUGUUUUUAGGGAUUUUAAUCAUGUUGCUCCACCUGAUGCAGAAGUUGAGGUGGAAUGAACUACUUGCUACCAAAAUUUUUGAAUUAUAGAGCAUGCUCUACCGCAGUGAAUCAAAUUCGGUGGAGUGGAAGACUUUUCUUUACUACUUUAUGCUCUAUGCUCCAAGUCUUCUAUUCUUCUUCUGAGACCUAAAAUGGGAAAAAAAAAGAAGAAACAAGUCUAAACUAACUUUGAAAAUUAGAAAUUCUCAACAAAAUUGAAAUAAAAUAUAAUUAAUCCAUAAAAACUAUAAAAAAUACAAUAAAAACGAACCUAAAUACUAAAAUUACCUCCUAAAAAGCUAUGGAAACUAUACUAAAAUAAUUCUAAAUAUGAUAGUUAUCAAAAAUGACAUGAGGAAGCCAAUCGAGUAGAUGCUUUCAACUAUUGCAAAUACCAUUAGUCGAUUAGCCAUCAUCUUGAGAACAUCAUAGAGUUGAAAGAAAAAAUCAUACAACUCCAUAAAGAAGAAAAAAUCAUUUUUGAAAAAGAAUUGGCAUUAUCAAACUUGACAUCAAUGCUUUGGUUUCUCAAUACAAUAUUAUGGACAAAUUCAUCAAAUUUGGCUCUUUCAAUCCUAUUACACUAGCUCUAAGUAGAAGUAAGAUGGUGAGUUUCGAAGGGAUUGAGGGCAAUCAUCUAUUUUUGGAAUAUCAGAAUGGUCAUGAUUGGACUCUAGCCACAUGUCAAAGAAGCCAAUGAAAAGCAUCUCUCCUAGGUAUAAGCUUAUAUUAUCACAUUGCUCCUAAGCAUGAGCAUAAAUCGUUCAUCCAGAAUGAUGAUGAUCCUAAGCAUAAGCUUAAACUAUUCAUCUAAUGCUCCUAAGAUGGAGCUUAAUCUAUUCAACCUAAACGAUCAUGCUUUAAGCACAAUCUUAAACUAUUCACAAAAAAUAAAUGAUGAUCCAAUGAAGCAUGAGCUUAAACUAUUCAUACAAAAUAAGCGAUGACCUUCUAAGCAUGAAUUUAAAUUGUUCAUACAUAAUAAAUGAUGAUAUUACUAAGAACAAGCUUAAACUGUAGUCUAAAAAAUAUUGAACUAUAUUAUAACUUGAUCUUUUAAAAAUGAAGGUACGUAGAUAGCUUGGUUUCAUUGCCAAGUUCAGUCUAAUUAAAUAUGUUUAUGGUGUGUUUAGAGAAUUAAAUGAUUAUAUGAUUAUUUUCCAGGUAUUCGAGGUUGUUUCAUUUGGUUUAAUGGGUAAAUAAAGCUUUAAGGGGUAUGUGAUUACAUGAAAUGAACUAUCAUAUUUGAGUAAUGAUAUGGAUGAUGAUGAAAUGUUUAAUUGAAAAGGAAAUAUGGUUUAGUAUAUAUGUAUGAGUGGUGAAUUAUGAAAGUGAAAUGUAGAUAUGUUUUAUACCAUGUUUUGAUUCGAAUUAUAUAUGAUAUUUAAACCAACUAACCUUGUGAGGUGGUGUGUAUAGGAAAGGAAAGUUGGCUUAAAACAUAAUGAAAUUAUGCUUGGUUUUUUAACUUAAAAUAUUCAAUAAGUUAAGUUUCCUUUAUAUGAACUUACUAAACAUUAGUUGCUUACAUAGUUAUUUUUCUUUAUUUUGUAGUUCAUCAGAAGCUCGACCGAUUGGAAUCAUGUUAGAGCAUGAUCACACUAUCCAUUCAACAUUUUAAUAGUUCUUCGUUAUUUUGGUAAAUAGUUGUAAAUGACAUGUAAUGGGGUUUAACGGUCAUUCCAGUAAUUUGACUUGUUUUGAGUUGUGUCAAGCUUAUUGUGAUUAAUGUUGUUAGUUGCUGGCAUGUAAAUAAUGGUGUAAAUAUGUGUGAUCGGACCCUUAUGCAUGCUUUAUUGAUUAAAGAUAUCAUAUGUUAAAAUGGCAUGUUUUUGGAAUGGUUAUUUGGCAUGAUUGGUAUUUAUGAUCUUGAGAUGUUGAAUUGAAUUAAGUUUGAUAUGUAUAUUGUGAUACCUUCAUUGACAUAUUGGUUAGAUAUUAAAGGAUGGUUGAUUUGGUAUGUUUUUGAAAUGGUUGUUGGUAUGUUUUCUCUAAGUUAAUUAAAUGAAUUUGUAAUGUUGAAUGGUAUAAUAUUUGUUGGUACAUUAGUUAGUCUUAUAGGUUGAUGGAAUUGGUAUGUUUUAAAUGUGUUUUGGUUAUUUCAAUGUUUGUGGAAAUGGUGUGUCUUGGUGUACAAGAUUUGAAAUUGAAACGGCUUGAUUUAGAAGCAACUUAUGCUACACACCGCCUGGGACAUGGAUUGUCACAUGGCUGUGUCAUUAUUAUUUUAGGUAUAGGUUUCACACAAUCUAAGACUCAGCUCACGACACAGCUGUGUAUCACAAGUCAGUAUGUAACACGGUUUUGUACAUGGCCUGCGACACGAUCGUGUGUCCAGACUUCGAAUGUCCACAUGGUCUAGGCUAUGUCACAUGGCUUGGCCACAUGGCCGUGUGACUUUUGUUUUCAAGUUUUCCAAAAUUUUCUAUUUUAUUUCAAAUUGAUCCUAGAAUAUUCUCAAACUAUUUUUAAGGCCCCGUAGGUUCGGAUUAAGGCCCGUAAGUGUAUGUUUGCUAUAAUUAAGUUGUGUUAUUGAAUGUUAUUAAUUCAAACACAUGAAUACUUUGUUGUAAGUUAAAUGUUUUAAUUUGUACUAUAAUGCUUCGUAACCCUAAUCUGGCGAUGGAAACAAGUUUGGCGUGUUACAAUUUUGUAUUGUAAAUUUGUUUUGGGGCUUUGUUCUUUGGUUCUUGUGAUGUUGGUUGGAUUUUGGUGUUUUAACAUUAAACUGCAAAAUUGUAGGAUUUAACAAACUAAAAUUAGGUUUUCAAAAUUAAAACUCUGGAAAUUUUUGUUGCAAAGUUUAAGUAAUCACUUAAGUGUUUUUCUAUAGAUAAUUAAAUGGUUUUUAACAAAUGUUUUCCUUACUUUUGGAAAUGAUCUGCCAACAUUAGUACUUCUAAAACACAUGAUUUCAAAUUCAAAUUCUCAGUUUUAAAUAAGGGUUUUCACACUUCGAUUUUUUUUAAACAUUUUUGAGAGGUUUUUGCCAAAUUUUAUGUUUUCAGAACGUGUAACCAAGUUGAUUUUUAAUUAGUUUUUCAAAGUAGUCGAUGUAAUUCCUCAAAAAUCCAGUCAUAGCGUCUAGGCCGGGUUUGGGAUAUUAUACUGACGUUACUAAAGUUAAUCUUCAUCUAUUUAGUCUUGAUCUAAACAUUAAUAUUCUCUUCAAAAAAAAUCAAGAUUAUCAAAUUGUUAAAACUUGGUAGGCAGACAAUCAUAUUAAAUAAGCAUAAAACUUAAUAAAUAAUUACCGAAGAUUGAAAUAAUCAAAGAAAAAAUAAAUUAAUUAACUAAGAAAUAGGAUCCAUUAUUGUUUCAAGAAAAUAGAGUUUAGUUCACAUUGAGUUGAGAAAACCAAAAGGGAGAUUCAAAACAAACUUGUGAUAAGGGGAAUAAUGUCAAUAGAUCAUAUUCAAGUUGUUCGGCUUGAGAAAGAAAGAUUCAGAUCUAACUUGAAAACAAGAAACCAAAAAGAUUUAGAAAAACAAGAAAAAACAAAGAAAAUAACUAAAAUGAUAAAUUUAAGAAUAAAUAAUCAAUAUUAAAAAUAAUAAAGAAAUAAAGAAAUUAUAGAAUAAAUAGUGGAAGAUGGAAUGAAUAAACGAUGGAUAUGACAUAUAGAUGGAUAAGUGUCUUAUAAUUCAUGAAAAGAGUUAUAUUUCAUGCCUUUAGACCUAACUAAUUGUUUGUACUUAAGUACAUUUUGUUGCAUUUUAAGACAUUUUAGUUAGCAUUUCUAAUAUUGCAUUAGGACUUAGAUUGUGUUGGAAUUAUGUGUUUUUAAUAUGGUGGAGUUCUUUUGUGUGUUGGUAUGGCAAGAACAUAUUUUAGAACGAGGAAAUAAAUGAGUGAAGUUUUUUCAAGGAAAAAGUGCAGACAGUUUGCCAGAACAGAUGCCGUGACAAUGCCAGGAAGACAAAGUUAACAUUUCUUUGCGCAACAGUCUCAGUUGAAAUUAAAACUUGUACCAGAUAAAUCUCCCUAAAAGAGGAGAAGAUAAUCACAAGUUGUUACUUGACACUAGCCUAAUCUAUCUAUAAAAGCCAAUAAAGGGGAUCUCGCAAAUGGCAGAAAAAAAUGGGAGGGAUCCUUAGGUGUGAAUAAGGUUUUAGCUGCGCAAAGGAAAGGAAGUCGAAGGAAGUGCUUUUUAGCCAUCACAGGAUGUUGUGCUACCGAAGUGUGGACUAGGCAAGUGAAAGUUGUUUCCCAAAGUUCUUUCGUUAUUUCCAUCAGCGUUCCUUCAAAAUAUUGAAGUAGUUGAACACAAUGUCGGAUAAUAUUUUGCUUUUGAAUUUUAUUUCUCAGCCCAUGAGCUAAAUCUCGUAGGGUUGGGAUUACUUUUGAUGAAACCUUAAACUAUUUUUGUGGAUGCAGUAUAUAUCUAAUUUACUUUACUGUUUCAUUUGGUUGUUCUUAUUUCUUAAUUAAAAUGCAAAUGAUUUCUAAACAUAGAAGACUGUUCGCAUACUUAUAAACUCAUUCUAAUUCUGAAAGGGUUGGAUUGGUUGGAUUAAAAUUAAAUGAAAUGAGCAAGUAUUCGAUGGACACUUGUAGUAGACUCUAUACAUAGAGUGACGAUCAUACAGAAGGAACCCAUGCAAGGUAUCUAAAAAGUCUUUAGACACAGGCAAGGUAACUUGAUGUUUUGCUCUCACGAGAGUCAGGCCAUUUUAGUACUCUUUUGUGCUUUAAAGUAGAUACGAUUUUGCCAAGGCAUUAUUGACAGUAAGGGUCGAUUUUGGGUAAUCAACUUUCCAAAUCCACAUCGUAUAUCCUUUAUACCUUACCAUAGUAUAUUUGCCACAUCAUUAUUAGUUAUUUAUUUGUUCAUUUACAUAAUAUUCCCAUAGUAAUUCUCAUAAUUAUCAUUAGAUUUCUACUCUCAGUUUGCCACAACAUUACCAAUUAUUUAUUACCUCCACGUAUUGCUUACACCAUUACUCUACUAAUUUCAACUAUAUAUUUAUCAUUGAGUUUGCCAUGGCAUUAAUCGUAUUUUAUUAUAAUAACUUGACCAAUUGUGUGCCUCAAUCUGAUCCCCAUGGGAACGAUACUCACUCAUCACUUUAUUACGUGAUUCAACUGUAUACUUGCACAAAUCGCAUAUCAUUUCACACACGACAGUGUUCAAUUGAAACCUUUAAGAUAUAAACUCGGACAAACUCAAUUAAUGGCUUUAAUCAACCCACCAAGAAAUAAUGAUUGGCAAAUUGAACGAUGAAGAAUGAAUUCCCAUGACUCCUUAAAAAAUUGAGAAGAAAAAUACUUCUAAAAAUCACAAGAAACAAAUCUUGCACAAAGAAACUAACUUUUAGAGUUGGAAAUUUUAGUAAUAAACAAAAACAAUUGCAUCUCUAAUGAACAUGAAGGGCCUUUACAUAGGCUAGAUAAGUACAUCCAGAUAAAAUAUUCAAGUAUCAAGUACAUCCAGAUAAAAUAUUCAAGUAUCUUGAAACUUUAAUUAGUAUAAGUAAGAAGUAAUUUUAAACUAAAAUAGUUAUAAUUUCCGUCAUAAUCCCAUCCAAAAAUUCUGCUCACAUAAUCAUCAUUAAAAUAGUCAUAAUUUGAGCUCUUGAACUCAAAAUUGAGUGAAUAAAAGUGUGUUUCGAAGUUAAGUGCUAGAUCUUAGAACUUUAUGAAGACAUAUCAAUCGAAAAAUGUCUGGAUCCCAUCCAAAAAGUCACCACAAGUUAACUAAUUUUUCAAACUUGAAAAUUGGCAGCUUUGGUGAAUGGAAUUUAAUAAAGUUCACCCCAUCUAUUCAUGUAUCAACUCGCAUUGGUAAAAAGUAAAAAGAAAUAAUCUAUAGAGAAAAUAGUUGAAGAAUUUAUGAAAAUUUAUUCAAAUCUCUUUUUUUUCUAGUCUUUGCAAGCUUGAAGUUUCCCUUGGUGUGUGAGAGUUGUUCCUUACCCUCUAAGUGAUUUUUUUUCUUCUUCUUUCUCUUCGAUCUCGUCACCUAAGGGUGUUCAAACAAUUGAUUCAGUUAAUACCCGUACAAAACUAUCAUUAACUGAAAUUUUGAAACCCUUAAUCAUUAAUCAAACCAAUUUUUUUGAAACCUACUAACUAGCUUCAUUGUUUUCGGUUAAUUUGAGCGGUUAACCAAAAUUUACACAUUGUUUGUUUUUUUUCAAACAAUUUUAAAACAAAGAACAAUCCACGACAAUUUUUCCUUGUUUUUUAUUCAAAAAAAUUAAAAGAAUUAAAAAAAACAUAAUAACAACACUAAAUUAAAAACAUAAUAGCAUUCAUUAUAUAUAUAUUUACUUUUUCUUGACUUUUUAGUUUAAUUUUAGUUUUUUUUUUCCAAAUAUUUUUAGUUUUCAUAUUUUUGUUAAGCUUAUUAUAAGAAAACUUAUAAAUCCAUUAGUUUUUAUAUAUUGGGUUUGUAUAAUGCAUUGGACCUAUCUCACAUAGUCAUCAUUAAAAUAGUCAUAAUUUGAUCUCUUGAACUCAAAAUCGAGUGAAUAAAAGUGAGUUUCUAAGUUAAGUGAUAGAUCUUAGAACUCUAUGAAGACAUAUCAAUUGAAAAAUGUCUGAACUCCAUCCAAAAAUUCACGCAAGUUAACUAAUUUUUCAAACUUGAAAAUUGGUAGCUUCGGUGAAUGGAAUUUAGUAAAGUUCACCCCAUAUAUUGAUGUAUCAACUUUCAUUGUAAAAAGUAAAAAGAAAUAAUCUAUAGUGGUUAGUGUUUUAAUGGGGGUUUUGUGUUUACUCUCGGUUAGGGGAAGGGCAAGAAGAGUUGGUACUCCUGCAGCAAUUUGAGCGUUAAGGGUGUCUGUUCGUCGGCGGUAAGGUUUCAAAUUCUUUGUUGGUUAUUGUAAGGCUCCGUUUGUGGAAUGGUUUUGGAUUGAGUUUCGUAAGUGUACUGAAUUUGGGCUUCUGGAUGCUAUUUCUUAGGUUCGAUGGUCUCGGGGGUGCUUGUGCAUCAAAACGAUAUCAGGUGUGUACCCGAAAUGCAGAAAAUCGAGCUUCGAUGAAAUCUAAAACACCUUACUAUCGACACCACAAGGGCAUGUGCCUGGCCGUGUGGUUGGCUGUGUGUAGGACACGGUCAUGUGUUUGACGAGGGUAGGGUCGUGAGGAAGACAUGGCCGUGUGACGAUGUGGGCCCGCAGGCUAGGCCAAGUUAGGCUUGUGGGUUUUGGGCCACAUGUGCAUGUGGGUUUUGGGCCAAGCCAUGUGAACCACAUGGACAGGGCUAAUCUGGGUGUGUUGACCACAUGGGCAUGUGGGCCCGAAAUUCUAAAAUUUUUCGUAGGGUCUCACAGGUCAUUUUGGUCGACUUUGUGCCUACCGUAGGGUCAGUAAGGGCUAACCAAACCCUAAAACUAUGUGAUCUGUUAGUUUGAUAUUUGUUCUAAAUAUGAUACUACUAUGCAUGUCUGAUUAGUCUGGUGUAUAUAUAUAUAUCUGAUAUAUAUGUAUGAGCAUGUGAGCAUGAUAACUCUGAUUAUAUAUAUCUGAUUGAGGUGGGAUUUCUAUAUGUGGAGGAAGUGUUCUAUAUGGCGGUCAUCGCCUAUGUUCUGGCAGCUUGGCUAUACAUUAUCUGACAUGUAUCGUAAUGGCACGAUAUGGUGUGUAGGGAUUGGUGGGUGUUUUUAACCCCACAUGAUGUGAUGGGAUGGUCAGAGUUGGUUUGUAGAGGAUGGAGUUAGGAUUCUGUAUUUCUAAUAUGCAUAUAUGUUCUAUUAUUUGAAUCUAUAAAGGACUUAGGUCUGAAUCUGAAUCUGAAAUUGUAUCUGAUCGUGUAUGAGUUUAUUGCACGUAUUGCAUGUAUUUUUCUGUUGGGUUACACACUGAGUUUACGAAAACUCACAUUUGUUUGUCGGUUUUGUUUAGGUAAUCCACAGACUUAGACGGGUCAGUGUUACGGAGGCUCAGUGGUGACCACUUGAUUGAGAACUAUUUUACUUAGUAAAUUAUGUUUUAUUUAUAAUUUCGAUUUCAUUUGAGAGUUUGUAAUUUUUGGGACUCUCCGGACUGCUGGUUUUUAUUUUGGUUUUGGAUGCGAUUUUAGACUCUUUUGUUGCGAUGCAUAAUGGAAAACACGGUUUUAUGAAAACAAAGGUUAUUCUGAAAAUACGAACUGGAUUUCUAAAAUAUAACGGUUCAAAAACUUCUGCUAAAAAUCAUGUUUUGGUAAAUAAAUGAAUUAAGUAACACUUUCAAAAAUGGUUAUAAAGAAAUAUGAACUAUGAAUCUUUAAUGAUUUGACAAAAAGACCUUAUUUUCAAAACCAUACAUUGUGACCACUCCAGAUUCAGCUAUAACGUCUAGACCGAUUUGGGGUGUUACAGUAAGGAUGAAAAUUUAAGGGGGAGUGAGCUAUGGCGCUUAGUAUGAGUUCAUUCACAAUAAAUUCAAUGCAAACGGUUGGUAGGACACAUUAAAUAAUAUCACAUAAAAUAAUCACAGUCAGAUAAUAGUUUAGAAUGUCGGUUUUACAAUUUAACCACCAAUAUUAUCACAGUAUUCACAGUUGUAAUUUCAGAAUAUCAAAUUUUCACACCAUUCACAAUAUUUAGAUAUAUAUAAAUAUAUCAUAACAGAAUUCCAGAUUUGUAUGCACAUGAUUUAGAAGAUGCCAUACAAUUUCGGGUUUUAACAGAAUAAAUCCUACCCCACGUUACAUACCAUAAUGGGAGUUCCCCUAAACUCCCUUCUCCAACACACUGGGUACCACUACUGGUUUACAAAUAAUAACUAUCAUUUGGCUGUGGACACACAGCAAUCCCCCACAAUUGGAUUCUAGAUUUGGUUGUGGGUUCACAGCAAAAAAAUCUACAAAUGAAGCAUGCUUUUGCCUGUAGAUUAUACAACAUAUACCCAUAGUUGGAAUCUGCCUUCGGCUGUGGACACACUGUAACACCUCAAACCUGACCUGGACGUUAUGGCCGAAUCUUGAGGAAUUACUUUAACUCGCUAGAAAACCCAAGAGUUUACUUUGAAAUCAUGUGGUUAAACUAGUGUUCACUUUGAUAAAUCGUUUUCCAGUUUUAGGGAAAAUUAUUAUUAAAACUACUACUUUAUUACAAUAAAAAAUUAAAGUGAUUGUAUCAUUUUGUAACGGAAUCUACUGAGCUAUAAGGUUUUGAAAAUCGUGGUUUAAUUUGCAACAAAUCAUUUUGCAAAUAGAAAUUUAAUACUACUUAAUUUGGAAAAGCAUGCUAAAACGAAAGCAAAGUCCAAACUAAUUUACGAUUUAAAUUCUUAAAAGUCCAAAUUAAACAUAAAGUCAAUUUAAACCAGUUUAUCGAAAGUGUAACACCCCAAACCCGGCCUAGACAUUAUGGCCAAAUCUGGAUGUGUUACAAAAAAAAAGUUUAUAAAACGACUUCCUUGUUAUUGGCAAAUCAUCGCAACCAUUAUUACAUAGUAUGUCUGAUUUGUUUGGAGAACUUUUUGAUAUACUUAUUUGAUUUAAGAUCGUUGCUUGCUUAUGCCUUUCUAUUAAACCGAAUGUUUUGCAGUGGAGUUUCUUUAAAAUGUCAUAUUUUGGCAAAUCAAAUUGUUUCUUGAAAAUCGUUAUUUCAGAAAAGUUGUCAUUUUCAGGAAAACUAUUUUAUCGGUUGUUACGCUUAGAAAACCAAAAUAAAAUCCAAAACCAAAAAUAGUCCCAAAAAGUCCAAAGAGUCCCGAAAUUACAAAACUCUCAAAACCAGAAAAGUUUGAACUAAUUUUAAAAGAAUGAAAAUUUAUAGAAAUAUGGUCAACAUUGAGCUUCCGUCACACCGACCCACAUAAAUGUAAGGGUUACUUGAACAGAACAAACAAAUAGAGAGUGAGUUUUGAAACUCAGUGCGUAACGCGAAUAUAAACAAAAAUUUAGAAUCAAUCUAAUGCAUAACAGAUACAAAUGUAAACCUUUUAUAGAAUAAGAAUUAUACAGAUACAAAUGUGCAAAAUCCUACCCUCGUCCUCUACACACCAAUUCUGACCAGCCCAUCACACCACGUGGGGUAUAAAACACCCACCUAGCCAUACACACGGUAUAGUGUUUAUACGACACUUUUCAGAAUAAUCGCAGUAGAGUUGCCAGUAUAUAGGUGAGAUAUUUCCUCACACAGAACACUUCCUCCUCAUAAUACAAAUCCCGCUCCAUAGCCAGAUACAGACAGAAUAUUAGGUAAAACAAAUUAACAGAUACCAGAGUUAACAUAUCAUGCAUGAGCGUAUAACAAAUAUUACACAUGCUUGUACAUAACAGAACAAACCAUACAUACCGUAUUCCAUAAUACUCAUAUAAAUGUUAUUUUUUAAAUUGUAACAAAUAUUAUUAUUAAGAUGUUUUUCUUUUUAUAUUUUUAUAAAAAUAUAUUAAAAAACAAUUAGAAUAAUUUUAAGAGAAAAAACACUCAUAAAUAGUAGAAUUUAAUCUAAAAAUAUCAAAGUUUUAAAGCCUCAACUUUAACAUUUCAACCAAAAUUCCAUUAGUAUAUAAAUAUUUCAUAAAUAUAGAUUUUAUAUAAAAAAUUUAUGUUAACUUUUUUUUAACCCGCAUCACAAGUAUACCAUAUUUAGAGAUAUUCAUAGCUAGGCAGCCCACUUUGGGUCAAGCUUGAGCUUAGGUUUUAUCUCAAGUUGGCCCAAUUUAACCUAUUUUACUAUUUAAAAAUAUAAAUAUAUGUUAUAUUGAUAUUUAUAUAUUUCUAUAAUUAAAUUUUAAAUAAAUUUAUUGUUAACUUCUAAACAUAAAACAAAGAGAACUUUCACCCAAGUUAUAAGUUUGUGGUUAGACAGCCGACUUUCGGGGCAGGAUUCAGCUUACGUUUUUAAUCUUGGGAUUUAACAAUAAUAAAAAAUUUAAAAAUAAUAUUCUAUUAAUAUUUAUAAAUUUUAUAAAUUUAAAUUUAAUUAUAUUUUUUAAACAGUAAAAUGAACCAUUUAUAUGGGCUAAUUAGAGUUAAGUUUGGUUUGAAUCAAGGCUUAACUUUGACCAAAUCCAACUAAAAACACCUCUAACAAUUAUCUAGUAUUGUUUUUAUGAAUUGAAUUUUAACUUCUAAUUUUCAAUUUUAUUACAAAAUUUCUUUGCGGACGAUAAGAAAAUAACAUAUUUGUAACUUCUUCACUCCGACGUAAAGGUUAAGUCUGAAUUUGGAUUACAUCGGCCAUAAAUAUGGCCUAGCAGGAUUAUCGGAGUUUUUAAAAAUAGACAUCUUUAAAACGUUUGUUUAAUUUAUAAAAAAGCUUAUUUAAUUUCCAAAUUAUUUAUUACUUGAAAUCUUAAUUACAUUUUAAAAGCAGGAAGUGGUAACUAUUUAUUUUUAAUAAAAAUCGGGGUUCAUGUAUAAUUCAUUAAUAACCGUAAUUCGAAAACAUUAAAACUUAAAUUAAAUGUCAUGCAAAACAAAACAAACUUAAAUCUAAAUCUCAUGCCACAGUGCAAAACAAUUUAUUGUAGUCUUAGAAAAUAAAAAAAAAUCAUAUAAUGAACCUAAAAUAAUUUUUUUUACUUUAAUAAUGUGUCAAGACCUUACAAAUGUCACGCCCACGUUCAAUCCUGGUGGGUUAUCUAUAAGGAUGAAAAUUUAAGGGGGGUGAGCUUUGACGCUUAGUGUGAGUUCAUUCACAAUAAAUUCAAUGCAAACGGUUGGUAAGACACAUUAAAUAAUAUUGCAUAAAAUAAUCACAGUCACAUAACAGUUCAGAAUGUCGAUAUUACAGUUUAACUACCAAUAUUAUCACAAUAUUCAUAGUUGUAAUUUCAGAAUAUCAAAUUUCCACAUCAUUCACAAUAUUAACAUAUAUAUAAAUAUAUCAUAAUAGAAUUCUAGAUUUGUAUGCACAUGAUUUAGAAGAUGCCAUACAAUUUUGGGUUUUAACAGAAUAAACCCUACCCCACGUUACAUAUCAUAAUGGGAGUUCGCCUAAAAUCCCUUCUCCAACACACUAGGUUGUGGAUAAACCAAUACUCAUCCGCAGAUAAUAACUAUCAUUUGGCUGUGGACACACAGCAAAUCCCCACAGUUGGAUUCUAGGUUUGGCUAUGGGUUCACAGCAAAAAGUCCUGCAAAUGAAGCCUAUUUUUGCAUGUAGAUUAUACAACCUAUACCUGCAGUUGGAAUCUGCCUUUGGCUAUGGAUGCACUAUAACGCCCCAAACCUGACCUGGACGUUAUGGCUGAAUCUUGAUGUAACGCCCUAAAAUUUCUAAUUCUAUUAUUGUAAAAAUAUGACACAAAAUAUUUGUCUGCUUUAGUGGUUAUGUGUUCUGGGAGUGUUUGGGAGGUCCCAAGUUCACGUCUUUGCUUGGGCAAAUUUUGGUAUUUUGAAUGAAUUAGGCUUUACUCUUGUUCAGUAGGAUUUUAUUUGAUUGUUGGGAAAAUUAUAUCAGAAUGGGCUUGCUGGUCUAGUGGUUAAAUUGUGUGUUAUUAUGGUGAAGGUCUUGUGUUCAAAUCCUUAUGUAGGCAAAGGUAUUAUUAUUAUUAUUUUUGCUCAGAUUUCGGGAUAUAGUUGUGUAAUAGGGGGAUUCUGAGUAGUGGAUGUGUAGUGGGAAUUAGGGGAGAAGAUUAAGGGGUUUCGGGAUUUUAUUUUAUUUUUUCCCAGAACGGAAUUUUGACUCUCUUUUCCAAAAAAAUUCUGUCGUCUAUUCUUCUCCCUCUCCUCUUGUCGAUAUUCUCUAAGUUUUUUCAUCUUUCUCUUCUUUUUCUUCUUCUUGAUUUUUCCCUAAUCCAUUUAUUUUUCCUUCAUUUUCGCACGCGAUUAGUGCUCGCUUAGUUUCGGUAAGCGUUUCUCUUUGUUUUUAUCAUGAAUCUCCUAGGGACUAAAGUGGUAAUUUUUUUCUCUGCGAUUUGGGCAUAAGGGAAGGCUCGGACUGGUGAAUUCAGUAUUCUCAUCUUAUCAAUAGUUAAAUGGGGGGUUAUCGUUGGUGGUAUGUUGGGUUUCUGUUCGUUCUUGGUUGUCAAUUCGCUUGUAAAUCCAUUAAAUUGAUGUUUAGUAUCUUGAUUAUAGGCUUUGGAGUGCUUGGGGACUGUUUUAGCAUCAAACAAAACCAGGUGUGUACCCGAAACGCAAAAAAAAAGGGAUUCGGUGAAAAGUUAAAAUUGCUUGCUAUUUGGACAGCAGCAGUAGACUAAUUUUGAAAAAUCACCAUAAAUUGUGGAAAUCGAAUUAGAGGAUGAAAAAAAUAUGAAAUUAAAUCUUAUUGAGUCUAGUUUCUCAUAGAAGAAACGGUGUAAGUAAUGGAAUUGUAAAUCGUGAGAUAUAAUAAACUUUGUGAGACAAGGUUAGAAUAAAUUCGGGUUCCCCUGUUCUGAUUUUGGAAAAUCAUCAAAAAUUGGAGAAAAGUAAUUAGGAAUUAAAAUUUACAUGUUUAAAUUAUUAAUGAGUCUUUUUUUUCAAUAGAAACAAAUGGGAACUUCAUCCAAAUUUUGUACUAAAAGAUAAUUAAUUUUUAGCAAAGAAGGGUCAAAGCUGUCAGACAGCAGAACAAGGGUAAGUUUGAAGAUUUUACUGUACUUAUUAGCUGAACCAAAAAUUCUAAAAAUUUUAUGGUAGAAAGGUAUUUGAGUCUAUUUUUAAAGACAUCAAGCGAAUUUUAAUUAGAAAUUCUGUAGCACAAGAUAUAAAUAAUUUAGUAACAGUGACUCAAGUAGAAAGCUUUGAAGGAACACAUAAGUAAAUUGUGAUAACAUAUAUGAAUAUUUAGCUAACACAGGUUACACUGAAAAUGGAUCACGUGGCCAAGGCCAAUUUGGGCCGAGUGGGCCACGUGGGCGUGUGAGCCCAUUUUUUUGAAAAAUUCUGUAAGGUUGCACGGGUCACCCAAGUCGACUAUGGACCUACUGUAGGGUCAGUAACCUUUACUUAGACGCCUAUAUGUGUGAUCUGUCUAGCUGAUUUCUAUAACGAGCAUGACUUAUAAUAUCUAAAUGUAUGUACUAUUAAUUGCAUAAUGGCAUGGCAUAUUUUGUAUGUUGCAUUGCAUCGGGGUGGGUUGAUGAUAUUUGGAGGAAGUGUCUAAAGGGAUAUUAAGCCAGUUAUCUGGCAGCUCAGCUGCAACCUUCUGAUUAUGUGUCGAUUUCAGUAUAGCAUGGUGUGUAAGGAUGGGUGGGUUAAUUUAAUCCCUACAUGGUGUGUAGGGUUGGACGGAGAUGGUGUAUAGAGGCUGGUGGGUAGGAUUCUAAUUUACUAUAUCUACAUUCUGAAUCUGAUAUGGGCCAAGGCCCUAAUGUAUUUCUGAGACUGUAUCUGAACGGGCUAAGGCCCAAACUGAUUGUGUGAUGGGCCUAGGACGCAGACUGUAUCUAACUGAAUUCUGUUGAUUAUUUGUAUGCAUGUUUUCUAUGGGGAUUACACACUGAGUUUGAGAAAACUCACCCUUUCUCUGUUUAAUCUAUACAGGUAAUCCCCAAACUUGAUGGGUAGGUGCAGCGGAGGAUUCGACGGUGGCCACACGUAAAUUUCAGACUGUUUUCUGUUAAUGCCUAGAAUUUAUUAAUUAUUUGGGGUUUUUGAUGUAUCUUCUGGACUAUGGACUAGUAGGCUUUAAAUUUUAGACUUUAUACUAUUUUUUAUGUUUUUUUUAAAACUGCAACUCCACAAAACACGGUUUUUUUCUAAAAAAUAAGGAUUUUCGUAAAUAGAAAUGAUUUUCCCUAAAUUAAUUGGUUACAAAAGUUUUCUCUAAGAGACAAGUUUUAAAGCAAAUCAACUAGUUUUUUUUCAUAAUUAAAUAAAAGUUAACUUACUAUAACGAUUUUUCUUAAACUCGACAAUCUUGUCUUCAAAUCCCUUUUCAUGUGACAUCACCAGAUUCGGCCAUAACGUCUAGGCCGGGUUUGGGGUGUUACACCUGAUGAGUUACUUUAAAUCGCUUGAAAACCUAGAAAUUUACUUUGAAAUCAUAUGGUUAAACUAGUGUUCACUUUGAUAAAUCGUGAAAGUAUGUGAUUAUUGAGGACAUGCUGAGCAUGUCAAAUGAAUGUGAAAAGUAUUGUGAUAUGACUAUGUAUGAGAUUGUGUAACAUAUUGCAUAUGCAUUGGGUUGGGAUUUUUUGGUUGACGGAGUAGUUCUGUGGAGUACCGUCGGCAUAUUAAGCCCGCAUUAUUCGUAGUUAGUGCACUGCACCUGGAGUACUGAGGGGAUUGGUAAUUUUAUCGCAUAUUAUAUGUUAUUGGUGAUUGUAUAGCACUAUUUGAUAUCCGACAGAUUUUUUGCAUUAUUGAUUAUUCGGUGGUUUUACCACAUUGAGCUAUGCUCAGAAUGUUUUAGAGUUUGGUAGACGGGUUCUAGGGAACACGUGGUGUGUAGCGGAUGGUAUGGGUAGGAACCUUUUUGCAUUGCAUCAUGUGCACGACAUAUUCGAAUGUUAUUGGUUUAUGCUACGUAUUGUAUUUUUUUGUAUUGAAUGGUAUCAAAAUUAAUGAUUGUCACUCGAAUGAAUUAUGAACUAUGCUCAUACACUGUUUGACAUCAAUUUAAUAAUGGCUAUGUAACGAUAUGAAAUUCCUAUAAUGGUUUUAUUUUCUUCUAUUAAAGCUAAUAUGUUUCACUGUAUUUGAUAUUUAUGUUUGUUUAAAUAAUUGUUCGACUCACACUGAGCUUUUCAUAAGCUCACCCCUAAUAGUGUUAAACUUUUCACGUAAACCUCGAAAUUAAGACCAGACUUGGCAUUCGAAGAAUCACCUUGGACCUUGAAUUAUUUUUCUAAUAAGUAUUAAUCAAUCUCUAAUGGUUUUGGUUUGUAAUUUUUAAUUAUAUCUAGUCUGUGGCUUGAUAACUUUUCUUUUGGGAUUUUUGCAUGCAUGGAUUACUCAAGCAUAAUAACCGGAUAAUGCAUGAUAUCAGGCUUAAGUAAAAUUUGAUAUUGUUCCCUAGAUUCUGCUACAUUGCAAAGGAUUUGUUUUUGAAAAACAAAUUGAUAAGGUAACUAAGUUUUUAAAAUGACUUGAAAAAUGGUUUUUCCCCUAGAUUAGUUUAACAUCAAAUUUUUUUUAAAGGAGAGCAACAAGCAAAUGGUUUUUCUAAAACAACACUAUCAACAAUAAAAUGAAUUCUAAGUAUACACAACCUAAUGAAUGAAUGCUUUUAAGCUAACUUAAAGUACAAUUAUGGUUUUCUCUAAAAUGAGUUUAUUUAAGGUUUUCAUAAGUAAUGUAAGUUAGCUUAGCCAUUUCGGUGGCUAAUGUAGCCUUCUCAUUCUAGCCAUAACGUCUAGGCCAGGUUUGGGAGGUUACAGUAUUGAUAGGAACUGUGGUAUAAAUUUUAUUUUGGACAUUCUUAAAGUGUUAUUUGGACUAAACUUUAGAAACUAUGGAUUUUAUACUGAGCCUAAAUUUACGAAGUUCAUGCGUGGUUUUUACGAAAAUGAAACUAAUAUGAAUUUUUAAAACCAUGAUUUUUUUUAAAGCUCCAAUUUGAAAUUGUACAAGAAAUGUCAAUUUGAAUUAUUUUUGAAUGUUUUUUUAUGCCAAUAAAAUAUUGUUUCAAAACAUAGCUAAGUAUUAUUUAAUUUCGUAAAGACGAAGCAAACUCCAAACAAUCUAAAACUUUAAGGACUAGUUUGUAAUUUUUGUUUUUCCUCAAUUGUCUCUGGUUUGAUUCAAUUCUUGAUCUAUACAAUUAUUCCAUUCAAUUCAUCAAUAUUAAACAUUUAUACAUUAUGUCAUGUCAUGAAUGAACCUAGAUAAAUUCAUUUUUUGAUACCCUUAAAGUUUUACAUUUAUUUCAAUUUAGUCUCUAAAAUCGAAAUAGUCAUAACUUUAAAUUCUGAACUUCAGUUUGAAAAUCGACCUCAAUUUCAUUUUAGACUGUCUGUUAAAAAUUAGUGCAUCUUACUGGAUUUUUUAAUUUACUUGUUUUCUUUAUCAAAUAAGUUGGUUCCUAUUAUAUAGGGAUAUGAUCAGAUUAUGUUUUGUUAGUUGAGGUUUUAGUGGGCUAUUAGUUGCAGGUUUUUUAACUUUAACGUUACAUGUAGUUAAGCUAUUUAUAUGUCAUUUUAUCUAAUGUAAUUUUGUGUGUUUUUUUUAGUAAUCAAAAACGUUCUUUAAUACUUUAAGCUUUUCUUGUUAUUAUUUCUUUCAUUACCUCGGUCAUUCUUUUUUGUUUUAUGGUGUCAGUGCCAGGUUAUUCAUUGGUUAAUUGUGUGAAAGGGUGUUUUGCUAGUUGCUGCAAUGGAGGUUUCAAAUGGAGGAAAUAAUCAGAUUGGUAUGGAGAAGCUUGUAGGCACUAACUACAAGUAUUGGAGGAUGUGUAUGGAGGCAUUUCUUCAAGGCUAGGACUUGUGGGGAUUGGUUGUUGACCUGAUGCAACAAUCCCUCCCAAUAUUCUCGAGAAUGCCAAGUCACGAAGGAGGUGGAAGGUCAAAUGCGGUAAAGCUUCAUUGAUCAUGUUCAUGAUGUUAACUCUCCAAAAGAAGUUUGGGAAACGCUUGAAAGGUUGUUUACCAAGAAGAAUACUGCAAGGUUGCAAUUGUUGGAGAACGAAUUGGCCGGGUUAAAACAAUGAGGUAUGUCAGUUUUAGAAUAUUUUUUACGAGUUAAAAAUAUUUGUGCUGAAAUUUCAGAGAUAGAUACGGAUGAGAAAGUUAGUGAAGCUCGUUUGCGUCGUUAUCUUAUCCGCAGUUUGAAGAAGGAGUAUGGGCCUUUUGUCACUUCUAUUCAAGGGUGGUCGACACAGCCUUCGGUGGAGGAGUUAGAGAAUUUUCUCUCUAAUUAAGAAGCUUUGGCAAAGAAGAUGGUGAAAAGUUUCGAAUCUGAUGCCAGUCUCUUCUCAAAAGGGAAGCCAAACAAGAAGAAUGAGUCUGGAAAUAAAGGCAGAUCUGAAGACUCUAGUUCGAAAAAAGAUGGCAACUCACAAAGCAAAAAGUCUUUCAAAUGCUUCAGAUGCAGAAAGACUGGACAUAUCAAGAGAAAUUGCCGUGUGUAGAUUUCCAAGGCCAAUAUCGUGUCCACGGAAGAAACCGAUGAUCGACUCAAAUGGGAGCAUUGCUUUACUGUUGAAGCUAUUGAACAAAAGUCAUCAAAAGCUUUUGUCAAUUAUGCUGAUAACAAGAAGGAGGAGUGGAUCAUUGAUUCUGGUUGUUCUCACCAUGUAACCGGAAAUGAUACUUUGUUCUUAGAGAUGCAUGAACACCAUGGAGAUCGAGUUAUUGUGACUGCAGAUAACUCCACUCAUCCGGUAGCAAAAGAGGGCAUUGUGGUGAUCGAUGUUGUCGACGAUACGAGAACCGAAAGUGUCAAAUUGACUGAUGUGUAUCAUGUUCUAGAUGAAGCUUAUGUGAAGAAAACAAGCCAAACCGAUAACGCUGCUAUUUGGCAUGCUCGAUUGGGUCAUGUGGGGUACCAAAUGCUGCAACAAAUUUAUUCGAAAAGGUUGUUAGAUGGGAUGCCGAUCUUGAAGAGUGUACGUGAAGAUGUGAUUUGUCAAAGCUGUCAAUAUGGUAAAUCUCAUCGUCUUCCUUUCAAAAGCUCAUCAAAUCGGAGAUCUUCUUUGCUCGAAUUGGUUCAUACAGACUUGACGGGACCAACGAGAACACUGAGUUGUAGCAGCCACUGUUAUGUUAUGGUUUUGGUGGAUGAUUACUCAAGGUUCUCUUGGGUGAAAUUUUUGAAAGAGAAGAGUGAAGCAUUAUCCAAGUUUGUGGAGUUCAAAGCUGCUGUUAAAAAAGAGUUUGGAAAGAAGAUUAAGUGUCUUCGAAGUGACAAUGGCGGAGAAUACAUGUCCAAUAAUUUUUUUCAGUAUUGUGUUGACAACGGCAUCUGUCGUCAAAUGACUUGUCCAGAUACUCCAUAGCAGAACAGAGUUGCAGAAAGAAAGCUUGGUUAUCUUGCUUCGAUUUGCCUUUCAUGGCUGCAUGACAAGAAUCUUCCUCGAGAGCUUUGGGCGGAAGCUGUUCUUUGUGCAUGUCAUGUGACAAAUAGGCUGCCUCCUUGGCCAGGUACACAGAAAUCUCCUUUUGAGAUUUUAUAUGGUGAAAAGCCAAAUGUGAAUUAUUUUCGAGUCUUCGAUUCUAUUUGUUAUGUACAUGUUCCGAAAUCGAAAAGAACUAAACUUGAUCCGAAAGCAAAAAAGUGUGUAUUUGUUGGCUAUGAUUCUUAUAGGAAGGGAUGGAGGUGUAUGGAUCCGGAUACAAAGAAGUUUACUACUUCGAGAGAUGUCGUGUUCGAUGAAGUAUCAUCUUUCUACUCCACUCAAAGAUUUGCUGCAGAAAAUAUUAUUCUUGAAGAUGAUGAUGAAAACUUGGAUGAGCUAUUUCCAAGAGUUAAUUUGCAACCAUUCAUUGAUGAUGAGUUGGAAAAUGAAUCUCCAACACCAACUCCAAGUCAAAAUGUUCAAUGACAUGAAGGUGGUUAGCAACAGAGUGAGGAGGUCUACUAGAGAAACGAGACAACCUGAGUAUCUCAGAGACUAUGAGGUGCAGCUUAAUCAUUGUAGUAUCACUUCUUGUUUCUUUGUUUGAGCGUUUGAUGAAGAACCAGUAAGUUAUGAGAAGCCAAAAGCCAUUCAAAAUGGGAGGCAGCCAUGAAAGAAGAAAUUGAAGCUUUAGACAAAAAUGAGACGUGGGAGUUGGUUCUUAAACCAGAAAAUUGUAAGCCGAUCACUUGUAAAUGGGUUUUUUGCGUGAAGAAAAAAUUAGAUGGCACCAUUGAUAGAUUUAAAGCUCGUCUGGUGGCUCGUGGUUUUUCUCAAAAUUAUGGAUUGGACUACGAGGAGACGUUUAGCCUAGUAGCAAAGAUGGUGACGGUGAGAUCGAUUAUUUUGCUUGCUGCGUUUAAAGGUUGGAGACUAUGGCAACUUGAUGUAAAGAAUGCUUUCUUUACGGAGAUUUAGAUCGUGAAGUAUUUAUGGAGCAACCUAUUGGCUUUGUCUCUAAGGAAUUUCAAAAUCGUGUUUGCCGUUUGAAGAAAGCGUUAUAUGGCCUUAAGCAAGCGCCACGAGCAUGGUAUGGUAAAGCUGCUCAAUAUCUCAUUUUUUGUGGCUUUAGAGUUUCUGAAUCAGAUUCUAGUUUAUUUAUAAAAUUGGAAUCAGGUGCACAUCUCUUGGUAUUAUUAUAUGUUGAUGAUAUGAUAAUAACUGGAGAUAAUGAAUCAGAAAUUUGUAAUUUGAGGAAUGACUUGUCUGUUCGUCUUGAGAUGAAAAUUUUGGGGGAGAUUGGAUGUUUUCUUGGUCUAGAAGUGGAAAAAUCAGAUCAAAGUUGUUAUAGCCCGAUUUUGGGUCUAGUCAGAACAGUGGUUUUGGGACCACAAAUUCAACAAAAAGAAAAUGGGUAAAAAAUAUUAUUAAUUUAGUAAGUAUAAGUUAAAUGUGAAGUUAGGAAAAUUUUUUAAAUACUGAAUAGUGCACUAGAAAUAAAUAUUAAAAUAAUUAGAAUCGAAAUGAGGUAUCAAGACCUCGGGGAUUUUAAACCGAGCCAUAAAUAUUUUUAUAAAUAUUUAUGGAGUGUUAAAAAGUUAGUAUUAAAGUUUCGUUAGGAAAUUUUAAAGUUCCGAUAAUUAAUUGAACAAAAAGGACUAAAUUGUAACAAAUGCAAAAUUUUGGGAAAUGAUUAAGUAGCUUAAAUGAUAAAAGGAAGAGGGCUUAAAAGGCAAAUAGACCCAAGGUUUAUUUGGGCUGGACGGCAAAGGCAUGAAAUCAGCAAGAAAGUAAGGAGAAUUAAGGGCAAAAUUGGAAUAUUGCAAAAUUUGCUUAAUAAAGUUAGGACCCAAGUGGAAUUAUCUAGAUUUCUCUUCAUUUUUCUGAAUUCUCAUCAGCAAAAACACCAUGGAAGGGCUUCUUCAAGCUGGUUCUUCAUAUUUUUACUACAAGUAAGUUCAAUUCUUGACUAUUUCUUGAAAUUUUUGUAUUUUUAUGACUUUUACAAUUAGGCUCACUUGUUAAAUUCAUUAGUUUUUGAUUUUAUGAAAGAAGUUGAAAGUUGAUAUGAAUAUGUGCUGGAAUUAUAUGAUGAUUUAGCAUGGAAUUAGAGCUUUAAAUUGUUCAUAUGCUGAUUUUAUUGAAAGAAUUGAAUAGAAAGUGAAUGUUUGGGACCUAAUAGUAAAAGAGUUUGAAGAUAGAAUUAUAUGUGGAAAUUCUGAAUUUCAAUAGUUGUGUAACAACUUAUAAUGUCUAGGUAAAGUAUUAAUUCAGAAAAUUGGAUUAAUUGAGGGGUUAAUUGAGAAAGGACCGAAUUGUAUAAACUGUAAAAUUUGGGGCAAAAUGGAAAUCAACAUUUUGCACUAAAGCAGUUUUGGACAGCAGCAGUAGUGUAACUUUGAAAAAUCACAAAAAAUUGUAGAGAUUGAAUUAGAGGAUGAAUAAAAUAUGAAAUUAAAUCUUAUUGAGUCUAGUUUCUUAUAAAAGAAACGGUGUGAGCAAUGAAAUUGUAAAUCAUGAGAUAUAAUAGAUUUUGUGAGACAAGGUCAGAAUGAAUUCGGGUUCCCCUGUUCUGACUUUGGAAAAUCAUUAAAAAUUUUACAAAAAUUAUUAUGAGUUAUAAUUUAUAUGGUUAGAAUCCUUAAUGAGUCUAUUUUUAUAAGAAACAAACAAAAACAGCAUCCGAAUUCUGUACAAUGAGAUAAUUAAUUUUUAGUGAAGAGUGGUCGGAACUGUCAGACAGCAAAACAGGGAAAAAUUUAAAGAAUAAACUGUACUAUUUGGCUAAACAAAAAAUUCUGAAAAUUUUAUGGAAAUAAUAUAUGUGAGUCUAGUUCCAGGUAAAAUUAACGGAUCUUAAUUUGGAGCUUUUUAGCUCCGGAUAAAAAUAAUUUAGUGACUCUAACUCAGACAGACAGCCUAAAUUUUUCAUACAAGAAAAUAGUGAAAGUAUGAAUAAUGUUGUUUAAAUGUGUUAUACACAUUAAGGAUGAGGAAUGGAGAGGAGGUGGAGGAAAAUUGGGAAAUAUAUGAAUGGUUUAUCAUGUUGUUAGUUCCAAAAAGAGUUAUGUUUCAAUACACUAGCUUGCAACUAUGGUUGAAUGAUAUGUUUAUAUCUUGUGUGAUGUGCAUAGGAAACAAGUGUGGAAAGAUAAUGAAAUAGUAAGUUCAUAUGGCUGAAAUUUAAUGGUUAAAUGUUAAUUCCAUGAAUUAUAUGAUGUAUGAUGAGAUAUUUUUAUUGUUGAAAUAAGAAUAAAAUAAAAGUGCGAAAGCUGAAUAAAUGAUCAAAUUGAGCGGAACGCCGGAUUUGAGUACUUCUGAUCAAGUGACAAAGUGAUAAGUGAUAGCUUUAGCUACACUUAUUUGAUCAAGAACAAGUGAUAAGCGGUGACAAAGUGAUAAGUGGUAGCAUUAGCUACACUUAUCUGAUCAAGUGAGAAAGUGAUAAGUGGUAGCAUUAGCUACACUUAUCUAAUCAAGUGAGAAAGUGAUAAGUGGUAGCCUUAGCUACACUUAUCUGAUCAAGUGACAAAGUGAUAAGUGGUAGCCUAGCUACACUUAUCUGAUCAGGGACAGGUGAUAAGUGAUCAUACGUAAGACCAUAGUUAUACUAUGGCAAAGUGAAAGUGAAGUACUCAAUUUUCCGUGACCGUUCCCUAAUUUGAUUAAGGAUGGUAAGUGACAAAUGAGCCCAAAAGAAUUAAAGUAAAUGGAUAAGUGGUAGUAUAUUUAUAUCAGGACGAUGUUGUUAUUCAAGCUAAAGUGAUAUUUUCAUUGCAAAAUUGAGAAUUUCAUAAAUGUGUUAUUGAAUGGUAUAAUCAAUAAACAUUGAGUUAAAUGGUAAAUACGUAAUAGUGUUGAACUUGAUGUCAUUGAAUUGUAUGUGAAUUAAAUGGAAAUUGCUAGUGAUAUGAUGUAAAUUGUGAGCAUGAGAAAUUGCGACUUGAAUGAAAUGGAAAUGAAGCAUUGAAUUGCAUGAGUAUGUAUCGGGUCUCAUAGGCCCUAAUUAUUAUGAUUAUAAUAUUUCGAGGAUAUAUUGUGAAAAGUUAUAGAAGCAUGUUAAUUAUUUUGAAAGUUUAAAUUUAUAUGAAAUUUUAUAACUCGGUUAAAUAUGCUUACAAGUGCAUAUGUUUUGGUGAUACCUCGUACCCUAUUUCGGCGUUGGAUACGGGUAAGGGGUGUUACAAGGUUACUUUGUUUCUCAAAAAGGCUAUGCAAGGAAUCUCUUGGAGCUUUUCGGUAUGGGGGAGUCGAAAGAAAAAGCUACUCCGAUGGAGCCGAAUUUGAAGUUGAAGAAAGAUGAUGGGAGGCCGUUGGAAGAUGCAAGGAAGUUUCGACAACUUGUUGGAAGCUUAAUCUAUUUGACCAUUACAAGGCCUGAAAUUUCAUACUCUGUUAGUGUUGUUUCUCAAUUUAUGCAAAAUCCAACAAUUAUUCAUAUGGAUGGAGCAAAGAGGAUUUUGCGUUAUGUUAAAGGAACUAUUGGUUAUGGUCUUCUAUACAAGAGAUGUGAUAGCUUUAUGUUGAGUGGAUUUACUGAUGCUGAUUGGGCUGGAGAUACAAACGAUCGUCACUCGACUUCGGGAUAUUGUUUCAGUAUCAAUUCAGCAAUGGUUUCUUGGUGUAGCAAAAAGCAAGGUGUUGUUGCUUUGUUGAGUAUCGAAGCCGAGUAUCUGGCAGCAACUAUGGCUGCACAAGAGUGCAUUUGGUUGAAGAGGUUGAUUGGAGACAUAUGCAAAGUUAAUUAUGCUGUAAAAAUCAAGUGUGAUAAUGAAAGUGCUAUUAAGCUUGCAUCGAACCCGGUUUUUCAUGCUCGAACGAAGCACAUCGAGGUUCGACAUCAUUUUGUUCGAGGAAAGGUUCUAAGUGAAGAGAUUGAGCUUGUAAACAUUCGCACCAACGAUCAAGUGGCUGAUAUUUUCACUAAGGCUUUGGUGAAGCCUAAGUUUCAUCAAUUUAGAGAUGCUCUUGGAGUUCUUGAUCGUAAGCAUGCACUAAGGGGGAGUGUUAAAAAUUAGUGCAUCUUACUAGAUUUUUUAAUUUACUUGUUUUCUUUAUCAAAUAAGUUGGUUCCUAUUUUAUAGGGAUAUGAUCAGAUUAUGUUUUGUUAGUUGAGAUUUUAGUGGGCUAUUAGUUGCAGGUUUUUUAGCUUUAACGUUACAUGUAGUUAAGCUAUUUAUAUGUCAUUUUAUCUAAUGUAAUUCUGUGUGUUUUUUUUUUAGUAAUCAAAAACAUUCUUCAAUACUUUGAGCUUUUCUUGUUAUUAUUUCUUUCAUUACCUCGGUCAUUCUUUUUUGUUUUACUCUCUACUAUCCAUUAUUAUCAAAAUUUCACAUCAAUUUCACAAUUUAUUUACUUUAGUUAUUAUGUACAAAAUUAACAACCAAACAUCACAAUUUAGUCAUUUUUCAUAAUUUAAGCUUAAAAUCUAUAAAUUUAACACCAAUUUCUUCAAGAAAUCAACCAUGAAAUCUAUAAAAAAAAUUUAACAGUUUUGCAAAUUGAUACAUAGGUUAUUUAAAUCAAACUCUCAUGACCUCAGAAACACAAAAAAAAUUAUACGAAAAUGAUUUAGAAAUGCAUACCAAUUGAGGACCGAAAGCUUGAAGCUCAAAAAUGGCUUUUCCCCUUGAGGUUUUAUGUUGAUUAGAUGAAGAAGAAGAAGAAAUAAAGAUGACAACUUGCACUAAGUCACCUUUAUAUACUUAGAUUAAAUCUUAAUUAAUCAAAUUUAAUUAAUUAAAUCUUAAUUAAUUAACCUUAAUCACAAUUAAUAAAAAUUGGUGGAUGUUAACAUCAUCCUACACUAUUUGAUAUAACCAAAUGAUCUAUUUACCAUUUUGAACCUUUAGCUAAUUAGAAAUCUAUAGCGAUAAGACUUUCAAAAUUUAGUCUCUGUAUCUUAAUUAAGCAAUUAAUAGACAAAGUUGAAGGUUUAAAUUUUAAUGUUCUAUUAUACCAACUCUGUAAAUAUUCAUAUUUAAUAUUUACAGACCUGAAUUACGAAAAUGAGAUUUUGAAAUUGUAUUUUCCAGUACCACUGAAAAUCGGACAAUUACGUAACCUAUUUGCACCAAUGGGCCAAACAUGGCAAAUACUUGACAUGUAUGUCUUAAUAUCCUCAUCUAUUCUCUUCAAUAUAAUAACAUCCAAUAAUUGUUCCAUCCACUGUAACUAUCACGAAGAUUAGAUUGACCAAUACAGCCUACAAUUUGAAGAAGCGCGAUAUUUUCAUUCUAGAGAAAGAUAUAAUUGAAACAAAAUUGAAAUAAAGAUUUCAAUACAGAAUCAACAGACAUUCCAGCUAAUACUUAUCAAUUAUUUGCAGCUUUAUUGCUCCAACUAAGAUGGUUUUUAGUCGAAUAUGGUAAAUGAAAUCAAUGAACACCAGCUACUUGAUGAACGAGUGAAUCAAAGUCCUGAUAUGUGCCGGCUUAUUGGUGAAAAAAUACAUGGGCUAGUUUUGCAGCAAUUCAUGAUCUUACAUUUUAUAACCUUUGCUUACAAUUAUUCACUGACUAAUCAUUCAAUGAAUGUAGGCCUCAAAUUUAGCCACUAAACUUUAUUCUUUAUUUUUAGAUACAUAUUAUUUGAUCACUUCAUACAGCCUAUUACUCAUAAUAACUUCCAAUUUCCCUUCUUUAGGUUAGUUGCAAAUGUACAGCUUUUUCUAGAAGAAGAAAAUUGUCAAGAGCCACCUGUUCAAGAGAGGCGCAAACAAAAUGUAAAAAUACCUGACCUACUUACGGUACAGCCAAGUAAUCAUGUCUUUCUAUGCUAGAUCAUUAAAUCAAUGACUACAAAUUUCAUGCCAUGGUCGUGUAUCAUUUAUGCCAUUGAUGCUGCUAUUUUCUAUUCUAAUGCAUAAUAGGGAUUUAGUGUUUUUACCGUUAAAAUUGUGUCCUUUAAUUUUGGCUCUUUUCAGUUGUUGAUCAUGUCCACCUAUGCUUUAUUUUACUACUAUUGCUUUCUGUAAUGAUAGAUGAUUGAAUCGGUAGAAUUUUAUUAAUCCUCAACAUGUUUUAUCUUGACAUAUGGAUCCUAAGCAUUCCUUGGAUUGUGCCCUUUUUGUUCAUUUAUUUUUUCUUGGAACCUUAUUACAUGUUGUACCACUCCAGCUUUUUGGAGACAAUGAAGACGACUAACUGCUGAAUUCUUUCUUCUGCAGAGGAACCAAUGGCACGAGACUCAAAAAAUCCUACUCUUUUUUAUACCUUCCUCACCUCUUUGUGACAUUAUAGCUGAAAAAUGAUGUAUGCUAAUACAUGAAAUGUUUCCUCUUGCCUUUCUUUUUGUAGUACUAAAACUACAAAUAGUGUUUGCAAAACUCUUUAGAGAAAAACAAAUGUCUGUAAAUCUCUUUACCCGUAAUCUUAUCUUUUCCUCAUUGUAAUAGUUGGAAAACUUUUUAUUUGAAAACGAUGUCAACUACUGGGAUAAGUUAUUGUAAGCAUCUUAAGUGUUUCAUAUUAAAAACAAACACUGUUAUUGUUUAUUUUGUAGUCUAAAUUAUGAUAAUUUCUGCACAAAAUUCACAUAAAUGGUUACCCUCCCGAAGCAGAGCGAGGGUGAUGCAUACUAGUUAUUAAGAAAACAGGACCUUGUAGGGCUUAACUGUUGAAUCAAGAAAGAAAUUUCUUUUAAUGCCUUCAAUUGUAACAUCCCGAUUUUGGGCCUAGUCGAAACAAUGGUUUCGGGACCACAAAUCCGAUGAGGAAAAUUUUAUUUUUACUAUAUUAUUAUGGCCUAUAAUUUCACGGAAAGAUUUCUUGAAAAUUUCGUUCAAAAAUUUUGACGUUAGGGCACUCAAUUUAGCCAAAAGGACUAAAUUGUAAAAAGUGCAAAAGUUGAGUUUUAUUGGUUAAAGGUACUUAAUUGCUAUGGAAUUAUAACUUAGGGGUCCUUAUAUGGUAAUUAGACCAUUAGUUAGUGAUGGACAAAAAUGAACAUAAGUGAAAUAGGAUUUUUUUUAUGUAAGGGUAUUUUAGUCAUUUAGUAAAUAAAUAGAAUUAAAAGGGAAAAAUAUGUAAAAAAAAUUGUGUUCAUCAUCUUUGCUAGGUGCCAAAAUUUGAAGGAAGCCAUAGCUAGGGUUUCUUCACUUUCUCAAGCUCAUAAUCGAGAAGAACGAAAUUUGGAGGUAGAUCGGGGAAAGAAAAAAAUUGAGGACUAAAGUGUUAGAUUUGAUCACAUUUUUGUACCGAGGUAAGUUUACAGUAAAUAAAUGCAAUAUUUCAAUAAUUAUUAUUAAUGCUGUAUUUUUUAGCAAUUAUGUAUUUAUUUCAUGAAUAUAUUUAAUGUUGACUCAAGUAUGAGAUGACAGAGAAUUAGUGACACAAGCCUCAUUGAAACACUAGGAAUGUAUUGGAUACAAAUGCCAUGACAUUUGGGUAAAGAGGUCCCAUGUAAGACCAUGUCUGGGACAUGGCAUUGGCACCGAGAUGAGAGGUCCCCCGUAAGACCAUGUCUGGGACAUGGCAUGGGCACCGAUAUGAGAACUCCCAUGUAAGACCAUAUUUGGGAUAUGGCAUUGGCAGUACAGGAAACAUCCCAUGUGAGACCAUGUCUGGGACAUGGCAUGGGCACCGAUAUGAGAACUCCCAUGUAAGACCAUAUCUAGGAUAUGGCAUUGGCAGUAUGGGAAACAUCCCAUGUGAGACCAUGUCUGGGACAUGGCUUUGGCAUGUUAUUAUCAGAUAUGAGACCCAAGUAUCCUUAUUAUUCCAAUGUGACUCAACGGGCUAGAAAACAGAUUAUGUUCUACGAAAGUUCAAGUAAAAGUAUAAUUAGCAACUUCAGGUGAGUUAUAAGAGUUAAGAACAUAUUAUGUUAUUAGUGAGAACCAAUAUUUUAGCAAGAGAAGAGUAAGUUGUAAUCUUAAGCUAUCUAAGUAGAUAAGUAAGUAAACAAGUAAAUGAGAGUCAGUAAAGAGAAAACUUAAGAACAUGAUACUUGUAUAUCAUUAUUUAUGUUAAAUGAUGUCAUUUAUUUAUUUGUAAACUUACUAAGCUUUAUGCUUACUUCUUUUAUUUCUUUUUCUUUCAUAUAGUAUUAUCAAGCAUAGUCGGGAUCUUGAAGACGUCGGAGAGUGUUCACACUAUCAACCACCACAACUCGGUAUUUUAAGACGAUAAAUAUUUUGGGCUAUGGCAUGUAUAGGGACUUGGUCAUUUCAAUUGUAUAUUCUUAAAAUAUGACCAAAAGAUGAUAUGUAAAUGCUUGAUGAUGAAUAGUUAUUAAAAUGGCUAAGUAUGAAGGUGUUUGUGGUUAUAAAUGUCUAGGUUAUAAAUUAUGCAUAGAAAUCAUGAAAGAGUAAAAAUUUGUAGUGAAUCAGUUUUGAGACAGCAGUAGUGACGUGAAUUUGAAAAAUCACCAAGGAUAGUAGAAAAUGAAUUAGAGAGUGGAUGAGAUAUAGAAUUAAAUCUUAUUGAGUCUAUUUUUAUAGAAAAAUAACAGUGUAGACAAAGAAAUGAUAUAUUCCGAGAUAUUUGCAUUUUAGUUAGACAAGGUCAAAGUUGUUUUCGGAAUCCCCUGUUCUGAAUUUGGAAAAUCAUUAAAAAUUGUAAAAAAAUAUUUAUGAGUUUUAAUUUAUAUGUAGAGAUUCCUUAUUGAGUCUAUUUUCUUUAGAAAGAAUUUAGAACACUAUAUGAAGUAUGUACAAUGAGAUAAUUUAAUUUUAGUGACAAGAGGUUAGGACAGUUGAUUAGUGAAACAGGGGAGACUUUAACUAAUAAACUGUACUAAUUGGCUAAACCAAAAAUUCUGAAAAGUUUACAGUAAAAAUUUAUAUGAGUCUAGUUUCAGGGAAAAUUUAUGGAUCUCAAUUUCAAGUUUCAUAGCUCGAGUUAUAAUUAAUUUAGUAACUAUUGUGCAAGUGAAUAGACUUACUAUGAACAGUGAAUUAACUUUUAAAACUAAAUUUUUAUGCCCCGAACUUUUAAGUUAGUCAAGUAACGCCUCAUGCUCGACUCCGGAAAUGGACUCGGUUAAGGGGUGUUACAUCAAUUUUUUUUAAAGCUGAUUUUUUUUUUUACGAAUUAAAGUUUUGAUUGUAUGUUAAUUGCUUGAGGGAAGGUCGGAUACUUUAUUAUCCCUAUUUUUAUUUGUUAUAUAUUUUAGCCAUAAUGAUUUUUUUGGCUCUACAACUUUACCAAAAAAAUCAUAUUAUCUUUCAUUUAAUUUUCAUCUCUUUUAACCCUUUAACUUGUAUUUUUUUAUCAAAUCACCCCAAAAUGGAUCGAAAACUUAACAUUUGUAAACUUUGAUGAUGUGGCAUACACAUUAAUUGUCACAUGGAUGACAAGUCAACAUUUUUUAAAAAAAACUUAAAAAUAUUAAAGAAAAUAUUUUUGAUAUUUUUAAUGAUUUUUUUAAUUAAAAAAGUUUUUAUAUAUUUUUAAUUUUUAAAAAUUAAUUAAACACAAACAUAGAAAUUCGCAUCUAUGUGUCACAGGCCACAAAUUAAAGCCUGCGACCAUUUCGCAUAGAACACCCCAUAGAGGUCAAUUUAUUAAACGUGGUUCAUUUGACCCGCAUGAACUGGCUCGAAUCGUGGAACCCGUAGAGAAACCCAUCUACUUUAAGCCUUGGUGGUCUAGUGAAAUACUCCAAUAAAACUAGAGUUACUAGGGUAAAUAAUGUAAAUCUUAAAUGGAUAAGAUUGUAUAGAGUUUAAAUUCCUUAUAACUCUCAAUUGUAGAUAAGCGGUAACAUUAAUCAUCGAUGUAACUCAAUCUGUAUCGUUGCUUCUAGGAAGCUCAACUAUAACUAGAGGUCUCCCUCUUCAUUUGUAAUCAUUCCAUUCAUAGUUGUGAAUAUAUUUGAGAGCAUUUACUCAAACACCUUGUGUGCAUUGCUUUUCUUUGGCUAUUCUGCUCUUUCGAGCUUCUGUCUUUGAGUGUCACAUCCCAAAAUUGGGCCUAGAAGAAAUAGGGGGAAAAUUGAGUUUUAAUUUUUUUUUAACAUAGGGUAAGGGAAGUAGAAUGCCUUAAAAUUAAUUUUUUGCUAUAAAUCUAAUAAGAAUGAGUUUGUUGGUUUAGUGCUAAGGUCAUAGCCUACCUAUAGGUUCCAAGUUUGAACCCCUUGGUGAGCAUUCAACCAAAAUAUUUUUAUUUUCUUGUUUUUACCGCACCAAAAGUGACGAAUUUUAAAAUAACCCAGCCCAAAAACUAUAUUUUUUUAAAAUUUAGUCCUUAAUUUAAAAUUUUUCCCAAACCUACAUAAAUUUUUAAAACCUAUUCCAAUUAGGAAAGAUAAGUAUUAUAAAUAAACAAUUUCAAAACAAACCCUAGAAUUUCAUCUAGCAAUUUUUCGAGAAAACAUCCAUAAACACUUUAUUUUCCAAAUCAAACUUUCAAGCGAAAGGAAUCGAAAUCUUCAAAAUCAUCCCUCAAGUAGAUCUUCAAUCUCUUCUCCAACACUAAGGUUUUAAGUCUUCAAAAUAGGUGUGGGAACUAAACCUAAAUCUUUGUGUAUAAUUGAAUCUAAUAGCAUGUAGAGAACCAGUAUUGGCGAACCCUAGGAAAACCCCCCUGUAUGUGCGAUCAUGUAGGUGCGAGCCUGUAGAUGCGAAACCCCUUACACAUGAAAACCCCAUGCAUGCGAACCCUUACGUGAAACCCCCCCUUUCAUGCGAACCCUGUAUGAAUACCAUGCAAACCCUAGGUUGUUAUGUGGAUACUCAUACUGUGAACACAUGUGCACAAACAUAUAGGAAUAUUCAUGUGAACCCUACUAUUAGAUGCGAACCCCCUUAUACGUGAAAACCCCCUUGCAUGCGAACCCUAGUUAGUAUACAUACGAGUCUCAUAUUUACAUGCGAACCACUACUAGUGCGAGUCAAUUAUAUGAUACCACAUGCGAACCCUACUAUUACAUGCAAACCUUUAUACAUGUUAUAUUCUAACUUUUUUUGUUAAAAUAGGUGAGACUUGUCUAGUAUUACAGACGACCCUACAUAUACCUAAUUUGCGAACUCAUAUGUUAAAAGUAUGCAAAACUAUCUAUGUUUGUUAUGUGAACUCACAUGUUAGCAGUAUGUGAACCUAUAUAUAUCAGUUAUGCCAACUCACAUGUUAGCAGUAUAUGAACCCAUAUGUCUGUUAUGCAAACUCACACGUUGGCAAUAUGUGAACCCUAUAUACACCUUUAUGCAAACUCACACAUUAACAGUAUGCGAACCCUAUAUACGCCUUUGUUGAUGUUAGUUCCCAUGCAUCUUGUGGUGCAGCAAUCGUGGCCAUGCAGGUCACAUGGAGAAAAGAAGCAGCACAUGAAGGCAGUAACUGGAGCUUGUGGAUGCUGUCCAAAUUCAACUUAUUUUGUUGGUUUGAUUUUAUAGUUUGUAACUUAGUUCUUUUGGAACUUUCUUGGUAAAACUUUCGAUGUAUUUUUUAUGUUGAUUGACUGAAAAUUCAGCAAAGCAACUUAUGCAAGCUAGUUUAGCAAUUUUCAAUGUAUUAAGUGGUGUUAGGUAAGUGUUUAGGUAGUAUUUUGACUUGUAAGCUUAACUCAUGUUUGAUAUAUGUAAUGGCAACUUGCCAAUGCCUUGUUAAUGAAAAAAUUCAGCUUGUUUUCAAUUUCUGUUCUUAAAAACAAAAAGGUUUCUACUUUGUUUCUUCUCCAAGUCACGAGGCUUGCUGACAAAGCAAAGCUAAAUCAGCUUGCUCACUGCCUUUGACUCCAACAGCCUUUAUACAAACUCACACGUUAGCAGUAUGCGAUCCUUAUAUACGCCUUCAUGCAAACUCAUACGAUUAGCAGCAUGUGAUCCCUAUAUUUAUGCGAACCCUUCUAAUAACAAAUAUGCGAACCUUAACUUGCGAACCCUAGGCAGGAACCCUACACUCGCAAAGCCUUCUUCUGAACCUGUACAUAUGCUAGAUAACCAAGCCUAUUAGUUUACGUUAAAUCACUGUACAUAUGAGAUUGUUUGUUUACUUGCACAAAUUAUAUGUGUAUUUACUAUUCGAUACAAGAGUACCUAUCGACCUUUUGAUGAGAAUUCAGAGAUUAAUGAUGAUAAUUCCAACAAUCGGUGGAAGAACAAGUUAAAUCGAGAAUUGGUGUAAUUUAAGGUAAUAAAGAUUAAAUUUUCAGUAAUAAAUAUAAAAUUGUUAUGGAAAGAAAUGAUGGGUAAAAAAAUGAGAGUUUUAAACAGAAGAGAGGAAAACUUCAAUUUAGGGUUGAAGAGGAACUAAAAAUCCAUGUGAAAUUAGGAAAAAAAUAUUAAAUACCUAGGAUUAAAAAAUUUGAGGGGGCUGAAUGGUAAAAUACCCUUUUUGCUUAAAAAUGAAAAGAAAUGGAAAUGGGGAUUGAGUUUGGCAUGACUUGAACCUUGGAAGCAAAGGAAAAAAUUGCAAAGGCCAUACCAUUUGGGUUGCUACCUACAUUUGGCAUAUUUUUACACUAUUUAAUAUAUAUCCUAGCUUAGUUUUGAUCAUAGGUUGUUGAAAAAAAAACAAGGGGUAAGAGUGUGGCUUCAACCUUAGUUCUCUAGUUAGUAUACUAAGCUCUUAACCAUUAAGAUUAAGGCUCAUCUCUUAGUCAAUUAAUUCAUCUAACUCUAUAUAUUUUGGUGUGUUACAUCUUGAAUUAAAAAAACCCAUAAAAUGCAUGUAGACUUGUAUUGCUUGGUACUUGGUAGUAUAUAUGUAGACUUGUAUGUUGAUUAAGCCACCUUAAUUAAGACCAAUGUGUUAGACUUGUCUAUGCAUUGAACAAUUUAGAAGAAAAUGAAGAAAAAGACUCUAAAAGCACUUGAAAACAGAUAAAACUCAUAUGUCAUUGACUAGUUAAAUGUGGUCACCCAUAAUAGACCCUGUAUUUGACUUUUUGUUGAGGGAGAUUGACUCCUUUGGGAGAAGUCUCCUGAGUGUUGUUUGUCAAGCAGUCAGGGUUGUCCUAAACAACUAAAGGUAUUGUCCCCAUGUCGAGAUUUUAUCCCUAGCCUCUGCAAAAUAAUCAUGGAGAAUAUGUGCGAGAGAAUUCAAACACCAACCAAUGCAUGUGUAGCCUUUACCUUGCCACCAUCUUUGGGAACCCAUAAGGAUAAAAUCCCAACGAGAGAAUAGUAUCAUCUAUUGAGGGGUCUGUCAACCCAAUAAAUGAAAUUUAAAUGCAUACUUUUUUUUUAAUGAAAGUAAAUAUCAUAUUUAAUUAGAGAAAAGCAAUGAAAAAUCCAACAAUAAAAUCCUUAGCAAAAGAUUAAAACACAAUUGUACCAUAAAUUAAAUAAGAAACUAAAAAAAUUCAAAUCUAACGAAGACAAUAACUUGAUUCCUCAAAGCCACCAUAAACAGUAAUUCAUACGAAGGCCUGUUGCUCAUUUUAUAGGUUUCCAUUUUGAUUUUGCAAAAGAAGUUUGAAUUCCGAAGCGAGCCUAGUACAUGAGAGAAAAUUGUCGAAACCGUCUUUUUGAAAACAAAAAUUUAGUUGUCGACUUUAAAAAUAAAACUGGAGUCGCCACCGAUCCUUUAUUAGGGUGUGAUCGGCUCACCUUAAAAAUUAUUUUGGUCUACGAGCUUUAAGAAAACGAGUCCGGGAGUAAGUUACGCAUGAGGAAGGGUUAGCACCCUCGUAACGCCCAAAAUCGGUACCAAAUCGAUUAUUUAAUGUCUUAGUGUCGUGGACUAAAAAGAAGUUAAAAAAACCAAAUGAUGAAAUCAGAAAAGGAUAAUCAAUUGUUCAAGACAUGUAAAGAAAUCGAGUCCCAAUACGUUAGGGUACAAUUUCUCAAAAUUCCCGAACUUUGAAUAUCGCUUUUAUUUUAUGCGAAAACAUUCAUUGUGAGAAAGUAACAUGCCACACCCAAUACGUUAGGACACGACAAGUUAAGUUCCAAAAAAUGAUUUUUAUACUCAUGCAUUUUGAAUAAAAAAUAUUCUCGAUUAUUUAAAAUUAACAAAGAAAAUCGGAACCCAAUACGUUAGGGCUCAAUUUUCUCAGAAUUCCAAAUACCGAAUUGUGCCUUUUAUUCGAAAAUUCUUAUUUCGAGAAGUCAAAAUAUCAUGACCAGUAAGUUAGGACUUGACAUUUUUUGAUUCCCGAGAACAAGCUUCUAUUUGAAAUUUGCAUGAAUUUAUUUCAAAAUAAAUACCUGGUUUUCUAAAUUCACCAAGAAAUAAUCGCAAUCCAGUAAGUUAGGAUACUGUUUUUCUCGAGAAUCAUGAAUGCCAAAUAUUUUGGAAUUUUAUAAAAUAUGAUGAUUUUAAUGCUUUGACAGAACCAAAAUAUAUUUUCUUUAAAAAGUGUAGAAAAAUACUAAUGUAUCACAUAAAAUCAAUAUUUUAAUUUUAAAUUAUAUGCAUAUAUGUAUUUUCAAAAUAUAAGUAUGAUACAUAAAUAAAUUUUGAAAAUAUAAGUAUGAUACAUAAAUAAAUUUUGAAAACAUGUAUAUGCACAUAUUAAAACAAGUAUAUAUAAGUAUACACAUAUAAAAUAAAAUAAUGAAUGAGAUAUGUAUAUCAAAAUAAAAAUUAUCAAAAUUUCUACAAAAAAAAAUCAUGUAUGUAUAUACGUAAUGAAAAUUGUAAAAAUAAAAAUAAAAAAUAUGCAGAUGUGUAUAUAUUUACAAAAAAAAAUUUAAGUAUACAUGCUUUAGUAAAACAGAAAUAAUAAUAGUAUAUGAAGAAAUUAGGAAAAUGUGUAUAUAGAUGUACAUAUAUAAAAAAAAUGCAAAAAUAUAUUUACAAUAAUUUUGAAGGGCGUACGUGUAUAUCAAUAUCUAUUUAUGCAUAUAUAUUAUAAAAUAUGAAAGAAUAUAUAACUAUAAUAGAAAUAUAAAUGUAUAUACGUAUAUAUGUAUAUAAAAGCUAAAAAAGAAAUAAUAACAAUAUAUAUAUAUAUAAAUAUGUAUAUGUAUUAGAGAAAUAUUUAAUAUAUAUAUCUAUUAGCAUACAUAUGCGUAUGUAUGUAAGUAUAAUUAUAAUACUAUAUAAUAUAAUAAUAAUAAUAAUAGUAAUAAUAAUAAUAAUAAUAAUAACAAAAACUACAAAAAAAACCUUAAAAAGCACCAUUAAGGAUUAAACUGAGAGCUAAACGAAGUUAAAAGGCCAAAUUUAAAAAUAGAAAACACCAGGAAGGACAAAGUGAUACGCGCGCCAUGAGAGGAGGACUUAAAAAACAAUUUUCCCAAGUCGCUGAAGCACUGUGCAGUGACAUGGAUUAAAUCGUCACGCGAGCAAAAUAUUUGGGCCGAAUUUAAAAAGGAAAAAAAACUUGAUUGAAACACGUAGCAAAAGGGGAAGGGCUAAAAUAUAUAACAAAAAAACACAAAAAGUCAAUCUGGUAAAUCGAUGUUGGGUACUCUAAUUUUAGGAUUCAGAAGGCUUAAGAGUGUUUUCGCAUCAAAAUCGUACUAGGUGUGUCCCCAAAACACAAAAAGUCAGGUUUCGAUAAAAGCCGAAAAUGCAUCCAGUCGAUGCCACACGGACGUGUGCCUGGUCGUGUGGCUAGCCGUGUGUGAGACACGACCUUGUGGUGGUGUGAGUGUAGCGGUAUGGGCCACACGGGCUAGGCCAGUCUGGGCAUAUAGGCCCACAAUUUUAAAAUUUUCCUUAAGGCCACAUGGUUCGUUUCGAAUGAUUGUGGACCUACCAUAGGGUCGGUAAUGGCUAAUCAAACACUAAAUUAUGUGAUAUGAUAUUUUGAUAGUCUGCAUUGUGUAGGAUAUCGAUAUGUACAUCUGUUCUAUUUAAGUAUAUAUAUGCUAUCUGUAUAUGAGCAUGUUAUGCAUAAUAUUACUGUAUCUAUUAUUUCUAUAUUCUGUAUCUGUGAUUGUGGUGGGUUUUGUAUAUGUAGAGGAAGUGAUCUGUAUGGUGACACUUCCCUUAUAUUCUGGCAGUUGAUUGUAUAUUAUCUGUAAUGUGUUGUAUUGACACUAUAUGGUGUGUAGGGAUGGGUAGGUGUUUUAAACCUCAUAUGGUGUGAUGGGAUGGCCGAAGAUGUUGUGUAGAGGAUGGGGGUAAGAUUCUACAUAUCUGUACUACUUAUCUCAUUCUGUUAUCUAGAUUUGGAAUGGAUAUAAGUCCGAAUCUGGAUCUGACUGUAUAUAAGACUUCUGUUUGUAUUGCAUGUCUAUUUUUGUUGGGUUACACACUGAGUUUAUGAAAGCUCACAUAUGUUUGUCUGUUCUAUUCAGGUCUAUAGACUUAGGCGAAUCAGUGUGACGGAGCCUCACAGUGACCACGAGAUCGUAAACUGUUUAAGAUUAUGGUUUUUAUUUAAUUUAAGGAUUAUUUCUAGAAGUUUGUAAUAAUUGGACUUUCUAGACUAUUUGACUUUUAUUUCAAUUUUGGAGGCAUUUUAACUUUUAUGGCCACGUUUGACCAAAAUCACGGUUUUACUAAAAUAAAGGAUUUUCUAAAUACAUGAAUUAGAUUUCCAAGAUUCAAUGCUUUUUGAAAACUUCGACCUUAGAUUAUGUAUUGGAAAAUUAAUUAAUUAAAUAACGCUUCUAGUAACAAAUAGUACACUUGGGGUAUUUAUCAAAUGACUAAAUAAAGCUUUAUCAAAAUAUCACUGUUUUCAAAACCAUUCCAUGUAACACUCUUGGAUUCAGCCACAAUGUCUAGGCCGAGAUUAGGGUGUUACAUUUAAUGCUAUCAGAGCCAGGUUGCAAAACUCAAGCUAUGAAUUUUGGGUUUCAAAAAUUAUAUUUUGAAAAAGAACAGGUUUUCAAAUAAUUUGGAUCAUUCUGAGUAAGUAUGUGGUACACUGAGUCUAUGGUAUUGAUCCUGUAAGUACUUUUGAAAUUAGAUAGAACUUUCUGAAAACAUUGUAGUUAGUACUUUCUAAAACUAUACUGAAUUAGUUAAAAAUAGAAACCUCUGAAAUAUGUUCAAACUUCUGCUAAUUUGAGCAUAAAAUAUCUGUUAAUAAAGAUUGGAACUGAUGCAUAAAAUUUUGUAAUGUAGAUAAAUUUGAAAAUAUACGAUGAGCAAUUGUGGAACUCACGGUCAUGGUAUUCGUGGGCGCGUAGGGUCGUAGGGGGCUGGAGCUGAGUCUUUUUCUCUGGGCAGUAUGCCAAACUUAGAUAUGAGUGAGACACCGGUUUCACCUGCCAUUGAGACAAGGUCUCAAAGUCGCUUGGCUAGGGACGACGCACUGUCUCAAGCCAUGUUGAGGGUUUUGGAGAGGGUCACUAGACCUCAUUCUGGAUCUGUGGGUCGAUAACUGAACGACUCCGAUCCAAUAGAGCUGAGCUGUUUAGGUGUGUCAUUGGAGUCACCCCUACUGUGGCCGAGUAUUGGUUGGAGGCCACUGAGAGGAUUAUGAACGACAUUGACUGUACUCCUAAGUAGAAACUUAAGGGUGCAGUCACUUUACUUUGUGAUGAGGCAUAUCAAUGGUGGUUGUCGAUUGAGGAGGGUACUCAACGGGACUGUCUGAACUGGGAUUAUUUUAAGACUACCUUCUAGGGGAAGUAUGUGGGUGCGAGCUAUGUUGAUGCUUGUAGGCGUGAGUUCAUGAAUCUCACGUAAUGUGAUAAAUCUGUGGCUGAGUACGAGGUUGAGUUUCUGAGGUUGAGCCGCUACGCUUGAGGCAUAGUGGCGACUGAAUAUGAGAAAUGCAUAUGUUUUAAGGAUGGCUUGAGGUAUAAUCUGAGGGUAUUGAUUGCUCCACAGAGGGAGCGAGAGUUUUCAGUUCUUGUGGAUAUGGUGAAGAUCGCCAAGGAGAUUAAAUGCAUAGAGCGCUAAAAUAGGGAUCAUGAGUGAGGCAAGAAUAAGAGGGAUUCAGAGCCCUCUAGUUCUGUUUAGAGGCCUAAGAAACAGGUCAGACCUGAUUGGCUUGUUAGAGUAGGGGUUCCUAUUGCUUCUACUAGGAUUUAGCCAUGUGGUGAUUGUUUUAGGCGCCAUUCAGGUGAGUGUUGGAGGAGGUUAGAGGCUUGCCUGAGGUGUUGGUAUUUGGAGCACCACAUUAGAGAAUGUCCACUCCAUACGGAUUAGAUGCAAGCUUCAGGACUGAGUUUUAUAUAACCUCAGAGGGCAGUUCAACAGCCACCUAGGGGCCGUGGUCCGACUAGGGGUGGUAAUGGUAUGGGCCGAGGACAAAGAGCACUGGGAAAAGGUGUUAGUCAAACUGAGGCAAGGCAGCCUGCACUGGUUUAUGUUGCUUGAUGCCAAGAGGAUAGAGACGCUCUUGAUGUGAUCACAGGUACGUUCUUUAUUUUUGGUGUUCCAUAUACUACUCUGAUAGACAUAGGUUCUACUCAUUCCUAUGUAGGUAGUACUAUUUCCAAAAAUUUAUUGAUUUCUGGUGAGGGUACUUCUAGUGAAAUUAUUGUACUGAGUCCGUUGGGGCAGUCUGUUCGAGUAAGUAGACUUUAUAGGAAUGUACAUUUGGAAGUACAAGGGAUUGUGUUUUUGGCAGAUCUGGUAAGGGUAGUUCUAGUGAAAUUAUUAUACUGAGUCCUUUGGGGCAUUCUGUUCGAGUAAGUAGACUUUAUAGGAAUGUACCUUUGGAAGUACAAGGGAUUGUGUUUUCAGCGUUUUAUUCACAUAAAAGCAGCAAAAUUUAGCGGCGUUGUCUACAGCGGCAUUUUUUACGGUGCUUGUGAAAGCGCCGCUAUAGGCCUAAAAACACCGCUAAAAGCUUGUUUUGCUGCAGUGAAUUAAUAUUAUUAUAAGUGUAUUUUCACCUUUUCAUACUUUUAUAUAAUCUUUAAGUAAAACGAUUGAAAAUUAUUAUUUGAGAAUCAAACACAAGAGUAACAAUAUUCAUAUAGAAAACGCUUACCACUCCACUAAUAAUCAUUUGUUGAUGUAUUUUUGGUAAAAAGACCCCUCCAAUCCCUCUUAAUUUCACAAUUGCUCAAAUUAGUCCCUCUCAUAAAAAUUGGAGCAAUUUAAUCCCUAUCAAUUUUGAAAGUGAGUAACUAAGGACAAUUAAUUAUGGUGUUAAAUUCUUCCAUCAAUUGUACAUAAUUUUGAUUGGUAUAAGAAUAAAUUUAGCCUUCAAUGUUUAUAUAUUUUGUCAUUUUGGCCAUAAUUUAAAAAAAAUUCAAGAAAUUGAACCUCAACAUUUACAUAUUUACACAAACGUUGCGGGAAAAUUUUGUUAAAUUAAGACCAAAUUGCAAGUGUAAGUUUUGAGGGCUAAAUUUAUUAUUAUACCAACCAAAAUCAUGUACAUUUUAUGGGAAAUUAACAUCCUAAUUAAUUAUUCUUAGUUACUCACUUUCAAAAUUAAUAGGGACUAAAUUACUCUGAUUUUUUUAGGGUGACCAAUUUCCUCAAUUUGGAAUUUGAGAGAGACUAUUGAGAUCUUUUACAUAUUUUUUUAUAAAUAUAUAUAUUUAAUAUAAAAUAUAUUUGUUCACACACAUCGUGAGUAUGAUAAAAUAUUUUUAUUGUUAAUUAGUUGGUGUCAAAAAUUAACUCGACGCCAACUCAAUAUUAAUGAUAACAAUAUGAUAAAUAAUUGAUUUAUUUAAUAUUCUUAAUUUAACAUAUUGAUAUAAAUUUUAAGACAUGCUUGUCUUGAAGAAUUGUGAUUAUACUUUUCGAGUAUUGACUCAGUUUUCCACAAUUGUGGGUCUCUAUUUAAGACAAACAAUUUCAACAUUUCUUCAUAUUGUUUAAUCCAAAUGCAUUAAGGAUUUUCUUAUAUCAUUGUUUCAAAAAUGAUAAAAAAAAACAACGUCGACAUUGAAUUUGCUGUUUCACAUUCAAUUUUUGGAGAAGUAGAAUCUUCUAACUUAUUUUCCAUCAACUUCACUUCAAUUUUCAAUCACAAUCAAUUGCAUUCAAGAGCACCACAUAUUUUUUGGAUGAAACAAACCUAUCAAUUUUAAGAUAAACGGGUCUUUAGGGUUAUUAAUUGAGGGCCUUUUCCACAAUUGUCAUCGUUAAGCAUUUUUCAAUCUUGUCUACUGUGAAUAUCGUUUUUAAGCAUUUUUCAUUGAAAUAACGAUUAAUAGACAAAUAAUAUUCAAGUAAAACAAUUUUUGUAUAUUGGUUUGAAAGGUUUUCUAAAUAGUACAAGGACCUGAAACAGAACCACUGGACAAAGCUAACCAAAUCUAAGAGUUGGAAAUAUUUGGGAAUGAAUAGUUUAAAUUGUGAUUAUUUCUUCGGGUUCCUGUCAAAGAUAUCAGCUGAGCAAGAAGGCAGGGUAAUGUGCCAAUGAUAGAACCUUGAUGAACAACGAGCAAAUGUCAACCUAAGCAUUAAAAGGGGAUCAUUCUCAAAAAAUGACAUUCUACAUGUAACGCCCCAAAAUUUUAAUUUUGGGUAUUGUGAAUGUAUGACACAAAUAUCUGUCUGCUUUAGUGGUUAUGUGUUUUGGGUGUGUUUGGGAGGUCUCAAGUUCAAGUCAAUACUUGGGCAAAUUUUGGUAAUUUUAUGAAUAAGCCCUAUCUCUGGUUAUAGGCUUUUAAGUAAAAGUUGGCAAAUAAUUAAUAGAAUGGGUCUGUUGGUCUAGUGGUUAAGUGGAGUGUUGGUGUGAAGAAGGUCAUGGGUUCAAAUCUUUGGGACGGCAAGGUAAGUCGUUUUACUCUCCAUCUUUCUGACGUUUUCUCUCCCCCAUGUCUGCCGAAUUUUUUUUCUUUCUUCUUUACUUGUUACUCGGUUAUCUUUUCUUUUCUUUCCUCUACUACUGUCGAAAUUCCCUUGUUUCCCCUAAACCAUUCUUUCCUCUUGAUUUCGUAGCUUUAAGCAGCACUUGUUCAAAUUUAGUAAGUUGUUGGGUAUCAUUUUAAGAUAUUAUUUUGUAUUCAAUAGUCUAAUUUUGGGGUGUUGACAGUAGCAUUUCACGAGGAUUAAGGCUCUCCUCGUGAUUUUUGCAACGUACCGAUUUUAAGUUUUGCGGUAAGUGUUCAUCAUUUUAUGGGUAAGUAUUUUGGUUUCGGGAUUUUAAUUACUCACAAGGUAAGACUGAUUAUGGUGUUAUUUGCUCAAUUAUACGCUUAGGAGUGCUCGGGGACUAUUUUAGCAUCAAACAAAACCAAGUGUGCACCCGAAUCGCAAAAAUAAGGGAUUCGGCGAAAAGCCGAAAUUGCUUGCUGUUUGGACAGCAGCAGUAGGCUAACUUUGAAAAAUCAGCAUAAAUUGUGGAAAUCGAAUUAGAGGAUGAAAAAAAUAUGAGAUUAAAGCUUAUUGAGCCUAGUUUCUCAUAGAAGAAACGGUGUAAGUAAUGAAAUUGUAAAUCGUGAGUUAUAAUAGACUUAGUGAGACAAGGUCAGAAUGAAUUUGGGUUCCCCUGUUUUGACUUUGGAAAAUUAUCAAAAAUUGGAGAAAAAUAAUUAGGGGUUAAAUUUUACAUGCUUAAACUAUUAAUGAGUCUAUUUUCAAUAGAAACAAAUGAAAAUGUCAUCCAAAUUUUGUACUAAGAGAUAACUCAUUUUUAGCAAAGAAGAGUCAAAGUUGUCAGACAACAGAAAAGGGAUAAGUUUAAAUAUUUUACUGUACUUAUUAGCUGAACCAAAAAUUUUGGAAAUUUAUGGUAGAAAGUUAAUUGAGUCUAGUUUCAAAGACAUCAAACGGAUCUUAAUUCGGAAUUCUGUAGCUCAAGAUAUAAAUUUAUGUUUAUCUUAUUAUCUUUCUUAUUUUAGAAUUGAUUACAUGAAAGUUAAUUGCUAAUAUUAUUAGUUAAUUAUUAGUUUUCUUCAAAUCAAAUUAAACCCCGAAAGGUAUCUCUUUUUUUAUAUUAGUUUUAGUUAUCCAUUAAAUUUGUUUCUUUGUAGUAAAAUUAAAUUAUAGAAAUAACAUUAAAAUUUUAAAUAAAAAUAAUUCACAAUAAUUUAUUAUUUAAAAAACGCCCUGAAAUUUAAAAUUAUUGCUAUAAAUAUAUCAUUAAAUUAUACAGAAUUUAAUUUUUCUUUCAAAUACUAAAGUUAAUAAGGAAAGAGAAUAUAGUACAUAUCAAUAAAACUAUUAAAAAAGAAAUAUUGUUUAAAAUCAAUAGCGUCUAAAAAUUGUCAGAAUGAAAUAUUUGAUUUUAUAAGAUUUCAUUACUCUAAAAAAAUAAAAUAUGACAAUGCUUAAAAAUUUUAUUAAAAAAAGUUUUAAAUUUUAUAUAAAAUUUUAAAAAAUAAAAAAUAGUACUAAAAAUUUUUAUAAGCAAAUUUAAAUAUUAAUUAGUAAAUUUUUUUGUAAUAUUUAUAUGUAUUUUCAUUUUUAUAAAUACUAUUAAAACUUUUUAAAAAAAAAUUGAAUGCUAUUUAAAAACAUUAUUAAAAAAUAAAAUAUUAUAUGAAAGUUAAAAUGACCUAAAAACAUAUUUUAAAAAUUUAAAUACUUUAUACAAUAUUUAAAACUGCUUAAAAUUUCUAAACCCUAAAAAAUAAAUAAAAUAUAAUUUUUUUCUAAGAAAUCAAUAAAAAUAUAUUUAUAAUUGAACUGUCAACAAAAUUGUGGGAAAUAUUUAAAUUUUAUGAAAUUUUAAACUUAAACUGUCAAUAAUAGAAAAUUGCCUGAGUGACUUGGGAUAAGAGGUUCAACAUUUCUGGAUCGCAUUGCAUUUAAGGCGGGUCUUUAGGGUUAUGCUUUAGUUUUUUAGAACAUUUUCCACAAUUUGCCAUCAUUACUUGUGAGUGAUUUGUGGGGUAAGAGGUUGAACACUUCUGGAUCACAUUGCAUUUAAGACUGGUAUCAUUCAUAAAUUAUAUAUCUACAACAAGAAUGGUAGCCUCUUAUAUUAUAUUCAUGUAUCUAUUUUGCAUCUUUCAUUAUAAUAUGAUUUAGUAAUUUUAAUAUUUUUAUAGAAUAAUAUGCUUUAAUUUUUUUUGUAUCAUUCAUAAAAAUUAUAAUAAACUUACAAAAUGAUUUAAUGAUAUUUAAUUAUUAACGGAAAAAAUUUAUAUCAUAUAUAUUCUGUAUAUAUUAAGAUUUUGAAUGAUUAAUUAUAUAUCUACAUAUUAUAAUAAAUUCAUCUUUCAAAAUUUUCCUAAACUAUAUUCAUAAUAUUAUAAAUAUAUUAUAUCAUAAAUAUUCUUUCAAAUGUUUUUUAAUGUUUAAUAAUAAGUUAAUUUAUAAAAUAUUCUUUCAAUAAAUUAACGUGAUGAGAUCGUUAGGUGCUUGGAUUUGGUGACGGGGACGAGGAGAAAAGGGAUGGAAGUGAAGAGAAAUGUUGGGAAAUUGAAAGGGUUAGCAAGGGAGGCCUCCGUGAAAGGUGGUUCUAUAGAUGUGAACCUUCAAGCUUUUGUGGAUGAUGUUGCUCAAGGUUGUUGCAAGUAAAUUUAAAAAUAUUUUUUUAAUUAUUUUUUGUUAAAAAAUAUUUUUUUCUAUGUAGCAUGCCACAUUAGCAUACUACCAUGUGGUAACUUCUAGUGAUUUUCGUAUGUAACAUUAGACAAAUUAAUCGUUAAAUCGUUCAACUGACAGAUUUCGUUAAAGGAAGAGGUCAAUUGAUUUUUUUGGAAUCAUUGAGUACUCAAUUGGUGCACUAUUUUCAUAAAGACUAAAUUAAUUUUUUUAAUUUGUUAUCGCUGAGGGCUACAGUAAUAAAAAAUUUUGAGGUAAAAUUAGAAUAACGUCCCAAAAAUCUUAUAUUUAAUUUGUAAAAUUUUACCAUUAAUAAGUAUUUGUUUUAGUGGUUAAGUAUUUGAGUCGUGUUUAUAAUAUCUUGGAUUCAAGUCCCUACGUGAAUGGAUUGUUUUUUUUGUUUUUAAUUUUUGCAUGGGUCGGGUAGGUGGUUGAGUUUGAGUCCAUUUCGAACUUUGGAAAAAGGUGGUUAGUUAUCUGAGAUGGGUUAGUGUUAGUAGAUUUGGAUUUGGUUUAUUUUAAAAUUUAUUAAUUAAUUUGUUAAAAAAUUAAAUUAGUUUUUUCCUAAUUUUUGGCUCACCAUUCUUUCUCUUGUUCUUCUUUAUUCUUUCUUUUUCUGCUACCUUUCAAAUCACGUCGAUUUGUUCCUAUUUUGCUUUUGAGUUUUUCUUUUCUUUCCUUUACGCUCCUCUACGAUCGUGUCUUAAUUCCUUCAUUAUUUUCUCGUUGUUGGCGUUGCUCGUUCGAGAGUGGGUUAGUUUCCGUUUUGAUGUGUUUUUACGAGGUUAGUAAAAGAAAUGCGUUAAUUUUUGGAUUAUGGAGUUGAUCGUUUUUAAUCAAUUCUCCAGUAAGUUGACUCCUUUGCUGUUGUUAUGUGCUAGGUUAAGAGAUUAAUUCUGAUUUGGGCCUGCGUGGUUGUGUAGAUUUUCCAUGUGAAUUCGUUUGGUAUUUUUAGGAUAAAUCAUUCUUUAAGUCGUAUUGCUACCAUCGCUAAUGUGAUGUUUUAAUUUAUGCAUUUAGGAUUUGGUAGUUUUAUGGGUGUUUUCGUAUAAAAAUCAAACCAAGUGUGUAACGAAAAACCCGACAACAACGAGCGACGAAAGUCAAAAAAUUGCACUGUCGACACCACACGGCCGUGUGUCGGGCCGUGUGACAAGCCGUGUUUCAGACCGUGUGCGACACACUGUUUGGGCUAGUUAAGCCGUGUGGAACACACAGGUGUGUGUGAGGACGUGUGCCACGCCAUGUGAGCCACACGGGCUGGCCAUUUAGGCCGUUUGAGACCAAAAUACUAAGGGCACGUUUGGUUUGCUGUAUUGGAUUAGAGGUGUAUUGGAUUAGAGGUGUAAUGGAAUAGAUGUGUAAUAGCAAAUCAACUGUUUGGUUGAAUGUAAUGGAAUAGAGGCGUAAUAGUAAAACUGUGUUUGGUUGAAUGUAAUAGAGGUGUAAUAGCAUAAUGGAGAAAACUAAAAUGACCAGAAUACCCUUAGCAUAAAUUUGUUUUGGUAAAUGAUUAUUGUUAUUGUUAUUUAAAUUUUAAUAAGAUUAUUUAUUAUCAAAAAUAAAUAAUUUAAUCAUAUUUAAACAUAAUUAUUAUUUAAUAUAUUUUAAUUAAAAUAUAUAAUUUAAUAAAAUUCUUAAUAAUUAGCAGAAAUUUGUUUUGGUAAAUUAUUUUAUUUAAAUUUUAAUAAGAUUAUUAAUAUCAAUAAUAAAUAAUUUACUCAUAUUUAAACAUAAUUAUUAUUAAAUAUAUUUUAAUUAAAAUAUAUAAUUUAAUAAAAUUCUUAAUAAUUAAUAUUCUUAUAUGAAUUUACUCAAAUCAUAAUAUAUGAUACUGUAAAAUAUAAAUUAAAAUAAUAAUUAUUAAAUAUAUUUUAAUUAAAAUAUAUAAUUUAAUAAAAUUCUAAUAAUCAAUAUUCUUAUAUGAAUUUACUAAAAUCAUAAUAUAUGAUACUAUAAAAUAUAAUUUGAAAUAAUUAAUAUUAAAUAUAUUUUUAUUAAAAUAUAUGAUUUAAUAAAAUUUAAAAUAAUUAUCUAGAUUCAAAUUUAAGAAUUAUUUACAUGAACAAAAAUAUAAUAUUUGUUUCUAAGUUAAUUAUUUUAAUAAAAUAAUUAAAUAUUUAUAUAACGGUGUUCUCAUCUUUUGGUAUUUUUAUAUGCAAUUUUAAAGAUUGAAUCCAAACUUAAAAGAAUAUUUAUUUGUAAGCAUUUCACCGGUUUACUUCAACUCAAUUAUUGAUUAAUUUUUAAUAAACAUAAAUUCAAUCACUAAUUCUCUUGGCUCCUCUGUUUCAAUAUAUGAAACAUGACUCAAUCACUAAUCCUCAUAACUCAAAGGUGAGCCAGAUGGUCCAUCAGGGGGUGCAGAAGCAGCAUGAGUCAAAGCAACUAUGGCAUUUUUCCAGAAAGAGGAGCCAAGAGAAUUAGUGAUUGAUCUUAACAAUGGCAGAUCAUUAAGAUCCCGGGUCUGGCUGUCCAACCGAUCAACAUAGACUACAACAUCGGGGGGACACUUCUUUAUGUAUUGCUUUAUAGAAGCUAGGACUUUGUGAUUGGCACCUUGCUCCAUGGCAGAAGAUUUCAAACCUGGGGUAUCAAUGAUUCUCAGUUUAACACCAUCUACCAUUCCAGUAAUCUCUUUCACUACUGUAGUGGCAGGUUCAAAUGCAUGAAUUGAGGUCUUUGACUCACCAAAGAUUGAAUUUAUUGUGGCACUCUUGCCCACCCCAAUCUUCCCAAGCACAAGCAUGUUUAUGGAGAAGCUUAAAUCAUCUUUACCCUCUGUUUCAAGUUCCAAAGCUUUCCUCUUCGCAGAAUCAACACUAAACAGUUCACUGGUUUGUCUCCUUGCAACAUGUGCCAGUCUAUAAAGAACCUGUGCUGCUAAAGAAUCUUCAGUAGAAAGUCCGAGCCUUUGAAGAAUCCUCAAAAAUUUGACUCUUAUAAGCUGUAACUUUUCCAAUUUUAUUUUAUCUUCUUCUGUCAAGUUGUUGUCAGAAUCUCCCCUACUUGUUACAGCAGGACUAAAUAUGUUAGGCCUGUUUGAUCGAGGUGCGGAUGUUGCAUUUUGCAGUGAGGAUCCUAAGCCUGCAGGACGUUCAACAGUGAAAAGCCUAGAUCCAUCUUGAGAGGUUAUAGUAAUGUUGCCGCCAUCAGAGCCAGCACCAGUUGCUGCUUUCAAGAGGGCUGCCAAAGCAGCAGAAUCAAAUAACUCCUUCCCCUCUCCUUCUUCAUCCGUAUCCCCUUCUUCAUCUGAAUCAACAGCAUUUGUCUGUAUAUGAUUAUGAGAAGUAUCAGCACCCGAGUGAGAACCAAUGGCAGAUCCUCGUUCUAGCUCCUCCAAGAAUUGCUUAGCAGCUUCAGCAUUCUUAAAGAACAUACUUUCAGCCUCUCCAUCAGUCUCUGAGCCUUCAUUCUAAUGCUGCUUCUCUUCCAUUUCACCUUCAAAACUAACUUUUCCAGCCACUGUAGUUUGCUCUACUGACUCAGGCCAAUGAGAUUCUUCUCCUGGCAGGGUUACUGACCUUUUGCUUUGAGAAUCACUAUCUAAAUUCUCUGUUUCAUGAGCUGCCAUUAUUUCUGUAGGUUGAGCAGAACUAUCCUUUGCCUGAAUUCCAUCUCCACCCCCUCCAUCUACUUUCUCAGCAAAUGCUUGUUCCAAAAUAUCUAUGAUCUCCUCAUCUUUGAGAUCAUUUAGCUCAGUCCCAGAAUUGUCUUUACCAAGCAUAACCCCACUGGCAAUAUCAGCUUUAUUCUCAGCAUCAACAGCCAACUCGUCUCCGCCGGAAAACUUCGAACCAUCAGCAUGAUUCAAGCCGUUAUCCAAGCUCGCAUUAUCGUCAACUGGAACCACCUCUGUCUCCUUCAUCACCAAUGUCUCAAUGCCUAAAGCAGCUCCAGUCAAAGGUUUCGCAUCGACAGCCAACUCCUCUUCGCCAGAAAAUUUCGAACCAUCGACUUCAACUACCUGAUGAUCUACUGUUUCUACAAUCAUAGGAUUGAAACCCUUAGCUCCACCAUCUAACACCAAAUUAUUCUCAAAAAUCCCAAUUCUACCUUCCUCUCCACUUUCCAUUGAUAAAACAGAUUGGUCGACUUCUCCAAUGGAACCCAUUUCCACCUUAUCGUCCUUUUCACCAUUACCAACACUAUCAACAUCAACCUUCCCCAUCGAACCCUCACCUCUAUAUUCCUCUAAACCAUUAUCGCCAUCCCCAAACGAGUCCUCAUUCAAAAUCACAUUCGAACCAUCAGAACCAACAAAAGGGGCAUCACUAACAUCCCUCACGGUCGGAAUUACUUCAUCAGGGUCAGCCAUAAAUGGCCUCUCGGGUACUGUUUCAAACUUCCCCUCACCAUUCUCGUUACUAUCAUUAGUUUUACCAUUCCCAUUAUCUUCCAAAGUACGUUCACUUACUGAACUAGUUACAAACUCAGAAUCAUCAUUCGAAGUUAAAGAAGAAGAAGAGGAAGAAGAACCUGGAGAGGUAGAGAGCGACUGAGAAGUGAUUUCCGGGGCAGAAAGCAAGGCGUCCAUGGUUGAAAGAGAGGAAAGGGAGAUAGAGAGAAUUGGGUUUUAGGAUAUGGAAUGAAUUUUGAGUGGCACACAGAGGGAGCAAAUCGGCAGAAAGGGUAAAACAGGGAGGGGAAACCGAAGGGGCAACUAAUCUGCAGAAAAGAGGGGGAUUAGAAAUCGGUGGUUUUCACCGAUUAGGAAGGUAAAGGAUUACACCCGUAUUAGAAAUACAUCAAACCAAACGAUGGAAUACAGUCGCAUUAGGUGGGGCCCACCGAUUAGGGGUGUAUUGGCUAUGCCAAUACACCCAACCAAACAUGGUGUAAAUUUUUCCCUAGGGUUAUACACAUCGUUAUGAUCGAUCGUAGGCCUUUCGUGGGGUCGAUAUAUAAUCAAAUAGACUGUAAAGUAUGAAAUCCGGUCAACUAAUAGUAUAAAUUCUGAUAUCUGUUCAUAUAUUUGAGAUGUUAUUUGUUCAAUAAACCUUGUAAUAGGCUAUGAGAAACUUGAGAAAUAUUAUGUAUGCUUUGUAUCUGUUAUGUCAUACAUGUAUAAUGUAUUAUGUCUGAUUUUGUUCUAUUCUUUUCUGUAUUUGCAUCUGGGGUGGGUUAUAUUAUGUGGAGGAAGCGUUUCUUUGAAUGGCGAUAAUUCGCCUAUUACACUGGCAGCUCAGCUACAAAUAUUCUGAAAAGUGUCAUAUCAACACUAAGUGGUGUGCAGGGCUGGAUGAGUGUUUCAUACCCCAUAUAGUGUGUUGGAAAGGUCGGAGAUAGUGUUAGCGGAUGGGGGUAGGAAUAUAUGUCUGUAUCUGUACUGCUCUAAUAUGAAUAUGUUCUGCUAAAUCUAUCUUAUACAAAAUAAAUAUUUAAAGUUAUUCGUUAUACAUUGAGUUUUGUAAACUCACUUUCUAUUUGUUUGAUAAUUUUAGGUAUUCCUCAGACUUUGGCAAAUCGGUGUGAAAGAACUUGGUUAAAUUGAUUUAGUUUCAUUAUCUAUUAUAAUUAAAUUUUGGGUUAUUGUGUUUCAUUAUUUUUGGACUGUUGGGAAUUUUUGGAUUGUUUUGGUUUUUGAGAUUUUAUUUUCAAUUUUUGCAUGAUACUAUUAAAAAUGUUUUAUUGGAAAUGUUUGUUUUCCUGCAAAACAACUAAUUUCAGACAAAUAAACUUAGUUUUCCAAACAUAAUGAUAUGAGAAUUUUCGCUUUUAAGUAUUCAUUUUAGAAAAUGUAAGCAAACAUCGUUUCAACUAUAAAGUUAAGUUAGAUGUAUUUUUCUCUUAAAUCGAGGUUUAAGUAAUAAAAGUUUACGACAUUUUUCCAAAUUUUACAAAAAAUUGGAUUUACAAUUGUUUUAUGUAACAUCUCCAGAUUUGGUCAUAACAUCUAGUCGGAUUUCGGGUGUUACAUUUAGUGAUAUCAGGUCAGGUUGCAAAACUCAGGCUGUGAACUUUUUGGUUCAAAAUUUUGUGAAAACUAUUUUUCGAGUAAAGUUUGUCGAAACCACUUUUUCGAAACAAAAAAUAGCGUCGACUUAAAAAAUGAAAAUUGGAGUCGCCACCAGUCUUUUUUAUUUAGGUGUGAUCGGAUCACCUCCUAAUUUAAUCAUUUAAAUAAAAGUUAAAAUUUACUAAAACGAUUAAUGGGUUUAAAAAACCUUUUUCUUUACAAACAUUAACAAUAAUAAACGAACAUCGAAGAAAUAGAAAAGAAAAAAGAAAUCGAAAAGAAAAAAAAUUAGAUUUCAAAUCACCUCUCAAAAAUUUAAUUGCUUUCUGAUUUCUUUGGUAUCUUUUUUUACUGAUUUCUUAUUGUUCGCGUAAAAAACUUACAAAGGUCUUUUCUUCCGUUUUAUAGGCAAAAUAUGAAAUAAAUAAAAAAAUACAAUAUAUGUUUUUUCUGUGUUGCUUUUCGUCCUAUUUGUAGGUACGAAGACCAGCUAGCGCUGUACAGAGGCGGUGCAGCACGUGCUUGGCUGAGGUGACUAGAGGCGUGCGGUGGCUGGGUCUGCUGUGUAGUUUAGGGUUUCUGUUGAUUUUUGGUUAUUGGGCUGGGGUUUAAUUUGGGCUUGGGAUUGUGUUUGAUUUUUAAUCUGUAAAUGGACUUUUUAAUAUUGGACUUUUAUUUUUUAUUUGGAUUAUUAUUAUUUUUUGUGUAUGCGGGUCCGGGCUCUACAAAGUUCAUUUCUGGAUUAAUCUGAAAAUUAAUUAUGUGAAGUACCGAGUCUCUGACGUUGAUCCUGUAAGUACUUCUGACUUAGAAAAAUUUUAGUUUAGAAAACUCUAAAAUGAUUAGAACUGUAGUUGGAUAGUUAGAGACAGAAACAUUUCUAUAAAUUCUUUUGAUAACUUUUUGAGUAUAAAAUAUCUACUAAUAAAUACUAAAAUUGAUACAUAAAAUUCAUAAUAUAGGUAAUAUAUACGAUGAGUACUCGUGGAACACAUGGACGUGGUAACCGUAGGCGUGGCAGGCGCCGAAGAGGGGCUCGAGCUGAGUCAUCCUCGAUAGGUACCUGAUAGGCUAUCGCUGGAGAGAGCAAUAGUCUUGAGAGAAGAAAUUUGAAGAUCGAAGUCGGAAUCUGACCUUUAAGGCCUUUAAUUGCUUGAAUAAUAAGCAUUUCCAAACUAAAAGGAUUACAAUUUCUUCAAGAAUUUGACCUGCAGACAUAGUUGAAACAUGAAGGUGUUAAAUUACCUAUUUUGUUAGUGUAAAUCAAAGAGGCUUUUUAUUUUUAUUUUUCGUUGUGAAAUAAUAUGGAUAUGUUAGAUUCUAAUCAUAUUUAAGUAUAUAUUAGUUCUUGAAGAGUUCUUAUUUUUGGUAUUUAUAUUGCAAAUAAUUUUUUUAAAUUAAGAAAAAAGGGGGGAGGGGCAAAUGUGUUUAAACUAAAGACAUCAAGGAGAGUUGUGUCAAAUUCCCAAUGCUUUUUGGAAUGAUCCCACUAAAUUGAUUAACAGACAAUUCCAAAAUUUGAAAAUUGCAGCAUUUGUCUAUACUUGAUGGAAUAGAACUUGAUAAUUCAUUUCUACUGAUCAAGUAAAGCUCUUUAAGCUUGGGAAGAUGGACACACAAAUCAUCAGGCAAGCCACCAGAAAGACUAUUAUCACGUAAAUGAAUCCUUUUCAAAGAAGAAAUGUUAAACAUGGUGCAACCUGGCCAGGUAAUUGAUAAAAUUUUGAUUUAAUCCCUUAAAAAAUAUAAAAAUAUAGACUAUUAAAAUGGUAAAAUUACAUUUUUACUAUUGUAAAAAUUACAAUUUAAUUUCACUCCUAAAAAGAUUUUCUGGCUUCGACCCUAAUAAAUUCUUUGGCAAAAGAUUAAAAUAAAAUUAUACCGUAAAUGAAAAAAGGAAACUAUAAGAAAAUCCAAUCUAACAAAGAAAAUAACUUGAUGUCCAAAAGCUACCAUAAACCGUAAUUCAUGGGAAGGCUUGUUGCUCAUUUUAUUGGUUUCCAUUUUGAUUUUGCAAAAGAAGCUUGAAUUUUGAAGAGAGCCUACUACGUGAGAGCAAAAGAAAAAAAAAUUGUUUAUUAAUUUUUAGGAAUACCGAAAUAUUAUAUAUAUGAUUAAAAAUGUUGAAUUAAAGAUAAAAUUAAGUGUGAAUUAAUAACCACAAGUGUACUUAUUACUCACCAUCUCUGUUAAAAAUGUUGGAUGUUGUUUAGCAACCUUUGUUUGAUUUUCUUCAGCUCAACCACAACAUCUUUCAUAUCUUUUCUUUCUUCUGGCAACUCAGCUGAACAAUUCAAAGCCAACUCCAUGAUAGAUGUAAUACAAUUUGCUUUAACGACAAUGUACUCAUCCUCUCUUCUUAAUAAAUCAACAUCUGCAAUUUCUAUCGCUCCUUUAGGCAAUGAACUUUCCAUCCAAUGCCUUAUACUCUCUUCUUCAACAAAAACAUUAUCAGUAGGCUUUUUCUUCGUGAAAGUUUCUAUAAGGACGACCCCAUAACUAUAGACGUCAGAUUUUAUAGAAACAAUUCCUGCUGAUCCAAAUUCUGCAUUCAAGUAUAAUUAGAACGUCAUUCAUCCUCAAUUAUUUCUAAAAUGCUUAUUCAAAUAUAUAUUCACAUCCACAUGAAACAAAAAUAUAAAAUGCAUAUUAGGAAAAUAAUCAUACAAAAAUAAAAAAGAAUUCACCUGGUGCCAUAUACCCGAUAGUUGCAAGAGUCAUGGUUUGCUUCAUUACUUCACCUUCCCCCAACAAUUUGGCAACGCCAAAAUCUCCAACAUGUGCAACCAUGUCUUCAUCUAGUAAAAUAUUGCUUGGUUUUAUGUCACAGUGAAUUAUAGGUGUUGGAUGUCCAUUGUGGAGGUGUUCUAUAGCUACCGCAACAUCUAUCAUUAUAUCGACCCUUUGUAUGAUAUCAAGGAAACAAUUUUCAGAAUGUAACCAUUUCUCAAGGUUUCCAUUAGACAUGUAAUCAAGCACCAAGGCUUUGAAGUCAACACUUGAGCAGCAAGUAAUGACCUUCACAAUAUUACGAUGAACUAUAUUACGCAUAGCAUCACAUUCAAUGUCAAAACUCCUAAAUGCUCCCUCUGUUUGCAAAUUGAAAACUUUUAUUGCAACUUCCAUUCCAUCUGAAAGCCUCCCUUUAUAUACAUAUCCAAAACUCCCUGAACCAAGCAUAUUGCUUUCCUCAAAUCCAUUAGUUGCUCGUGAAAGUUCAGCAUGUGAAAUUCUUCUCGGUGUCUUCAAAGACAACAAAUCAUCUUUAACUGGUAGAGUUGUACUCCUUUGGCAUCUUCUAUACAUAAUAGUUAAGACUAUUAGUACUAGGACAAUACCAAUUGUUGGUAAACCAUACCUAAAAGCAUGCAAUAUAAUCAUUUGGGAGUUUUUGUGGAUGUCAUUUUUGCAAGGUGGGACUAGCAAUCUAGGUGGACCACAAAGUGCACAAUUCUUCAUGAAUGAUGUGCUAGAAAAGUUUGAAAAACAUCCUUUGCUGGGAAUUUCCCCUUCAAGUCUAUUGAAAGACACAUUAAAAUACUUUAGAUAUAAAAGUUGUUCCAAAGAUUUGGGAAUGACUCCAGAGAAAUUGUUAUUGCAUAAAUCCAAGAAUUCCAAACUAAUCAACCCAUCAAAUGAUUCAGGGAUACGACCAUGUAGUAUAUUAUUUGAUAAAUCUAAUGAAACCAAAGUUUGAAGACCCCCAAAUGUGGAUAAGAUAUCGCCCAUGAGAAGAUUCCUUGAUAAAUUUAGUCUCAGUAGACUCCUAAAAUUUCCAACAUCAAUAGCAUGUGAAUUGUGAAGACGGUUUGAUGAUAAAUCUAUUUCUAAGAUAUCUUUAAGACUCCACAAAGUUGAGGGUAUUGUAGAACUCAAUUUGUUGGAAUCUAACCAAAGAUAUCUCAAAGCAGAAAUAUUACCUAAACAAGAGGGUAUGGAUCCAUGCAGCUUAUUCAACCCUAAAUGCAUCUCGUAUAGUCUCUCCAAACCACAGAGGCUUUCUGGGAUAGGCCCUCCUAAUUUAUUAGAGGAAAGAUCUAGACCUUGCAGAUUCCGCAGUCCUCCUAUUGAUGCUGGAAUGAAUCCACUUAAUUUAUUAUGGCCAAGUUCUAAAACCAAUAAGUUGGUUAAGUUACCUAUUUCCAUAGGAAUAAUGCCUUGAAGCUCACAAUUAUAGGCAAGAAAGAAUUGAAGGGAUUUUGAAAGGUUCCCGAUAUAAGUAGGAAGAACACCACUCAAUGGAUUUCCCGAAACUCCUAUGGCUUUCAAAUUCCUACAAUUCGUCAAAGAAGAAAGAAAGCUCCACUCAUGAUCAGUAGCAGAUCCUGUGAUCAAAUUAUUGUCAAAGAUUUUGAGCACUUCAAGGUGUUUUAAGCUGCCUAGCGUUUUAGGGAUUGGGCCAGAGAAUAAGUUAUGUGACAAGGAUAGAAUCUUUAGCAUGGAAGCAUUGGAGAUAGAGUUGGGAAUGUUUCCGCUAAGUUUAUUUCCCCACAAUAAAAGAAUCUCAAGCUUUGGAGCAUUGGUGAUGGGUGGUAAAUUACCUGUAAAAUAGCAUCUUUUAGUAUACAUAUUCACAAAAUAUAUAAUACAUUAAAAUAAAAACUGUAAAACUUUAAAUCAAUUAAGAAUAAAAUUUUGGCAUGGAAAAAUGUGAUGAAAUCAAUUAGAAAGUUGAGACAUAAUAAGAAGUUUUGAGUACUAAUUAGUCUUUGUGAUUUGUAUAGACAAAACAUAUAAUACACUAAUAAUUUUUUAAAAUAUUGUAAAACUUGAAAUAAAAUAAAAAUAAAAGUUUGGCAUGAGAAUGUGGCAUCUAAUCAAUCUUAAAAAUGAGACUCACACUGAAUAAUAAUUAGUUAUGAUUUGGGAAACAAAAAUGUUAAAGCCAUUGUUUUUAAUGUAAACUGGUAUGAUUCUUAUCUAUUGGGUUAAUUAUUUAUUUUUAUUAAAUUAUAGUGUAAAAUUUAAAUAUUAUUAUUUGCUCAAAAUUUUUGUAUUUUUCGUAUAUUUGAAAUUCAAUCUUUAUAUUUUUUAUUUUCUGUGAUUUAGUCUCUCUACUUUUUUUAUUAAAAAUUUUAGGUUCAUUUAUUAACACUGUUAAAAAGUUUUUGUAUUAGUAUGACAUUUUGAAAAAUAAAAUAAACUUGAUAUCUAUGUUUUUAAUUAUUCCAAAUAUUGUUUUACUAUUUCAAGAUAAAUUAUUUGUGUCUAGACCAAUAUCUUAAGAACUAUUGUUGCAUGUUUAAUUAUUCUAAAAAAUUAUUGAUUGAGUCUUAGCUUGAUUGGCAUGUGCAUUGUUGCCAAUAUAAGAGAAUGUGGGAUCAAAUAUGCUGAAGUUCAUUAUCCUCCUGUUAUGAAUUGGGGAGUUGGUAAAGUAUUAAAUUUUGAUAUAUUUUAAAAUAUUAAAAAUUUAUUAAAAUAUUUUUUAUAAAAAUCGGUUGUACCACAAUAUACAAUUUUAAUAUCAAAUUUUUAAUAUUUUUAAAAUAUUAGCGAAUAUAUACUUUAUUUCAAGUUACACAAUUUUUACUAGUUUUUAACUUUUUUUAAAAUUUUUAUCGUCUUUUAUAAUUUCUAAUAAUUUUUUACAAUAUUUAACAAUUUCUAACCAUUUUUAAUAAUUUUAUUACUUAUUAAAAAUUAACAAAUUAACUAUUUUUUAUUUUUUUAAAACAAUUAUAUAUUUAUAAUGUAGUUAUUUUUUUAUAAUUUUAUUUGAAAUUUUAAAGUUUUUUUGGUUUGUUUUCUAGAUGAUGAUGCCAUCAUGAUGUCAUCAUAUGCCACAUGGCAAUUUAUGAUUAGUUGAAUAUCUCAAUUUAUUUUUUUAAUGUCCAAUGGACUAAACCAAGAACACUUGAUUAUGUUAGAGACUACACUAGGAAUGUUUGAUAACAUUAGGUACUAAAGUAGGAAAAAAAAAAAAAGGAGCAAUACGAUGUAGGGAGUAAACUGUGCAUUAAGCCAUUAAAAAUAUAUCUAUAAUAUAUAUAAAUGCAUGGAUUUUGAGAAACUUUUGAAAUGAUAAUUAUAUAGUCUUUGUUUUUUUACUAUAUUAUUGAAUUUGUUAUUUUAAAUAUUUUUUUAUUACUUUUAAGAUUUAUCAUAUGUAUGGAUAAGAAUUUUGGUUUUACUAAAAUAUUUGGUUAAAUAAAUUCACUUCAUAAGAAGAUUUAGCAUCCUUGUAAAUAACAAUUUUGAUUCUAUUAAAAAAUUAUUUUAAAAUAUAUAUAAUAAAAUUUUAAAAUUUAUAUUGAAUUACUUUAUACUUAAAUUAUUAUUAGAAACUUUAUCAUACACAUACGUGUAUGAGAACUAUGUAUUUAGAACAUAAAUUUGUGUUUUAAAAUAACUUAUGAUAAAUAAUGAAAUGUAUAAUUUGAAACUAUUUAAUAAAAACACAUGGCUUAUCUACAAUAUUAAAAUAAAAAUAGCUUAAAUUGUAAGCAAAACAUAAUUUAAACAUAUGAAUACAUUAAAUUAAGAAUACUAAAUGAAUACAGUUAUUUAUGAUGGUGUUGUCUUCAAUUCCUAAGUUGGUGUCAAGUUAAUUUGUGACAUCAUAAAUUUAAGGUUUUAUGUAUUGAUGUGGAUUCAAAUAUCACCAUUUUUUUUAAAAUAAAAUUUAAAAUAAAUACAUUUUCCACAUUGGUUUCUUUUCUUCUACAGACAAAGGAUUUCUAAUGAUUUUUUUUUUAAAAAAAAUUACUUAUAUAAAAUAGAUUAGUUUAUGCAAUAAAAAUAAUUUCUUUUUUAAAGUUUAAUAGAAAUUAAAAAACAAAAAAAAAAUCAAUUCAUAUAAAGCUUAUUGUUUAUUAUCAGAUUAAAAUGAUAAAAGUAUACGAUAAACCCAUACUUGACGGAAUGUUACCAGAUAAUUCAUUUUUAUUCUAGUAAAGCCCUUCAAGCUUGAGAAUAUGUUGACACAUAUCAUUAGGCAAACUACCUGAUAGGUUAUUGUUGGAGAGAUCAAUGGCCUUCAGAGAAGAAAUGUUGAAGAUCGAAGUUGGAAUCUGACCUGUAAGGCCUUUAAUUUCUCUAAUAUUAAGCAGUUCCAAACCAAGAAGAUUACCGAUUUCCUCAGGAAUUUGAUCUGCACACAUAGUCGAAAAAUCAAGAUGUGAAACUACCUAUUUUGUUAGCAUAAGUCAAAGAGGUUUUCUUUUCUGUUCUACAUAAUUUGCAGAUGUUAGAUUUUAAUAUUUUUAAGCAUAUUUGUUUUCAUCAAAUUAACUAUUUUGAACUAUUUUGCCUUGAAUGAAAUAAAAUGCUCAUAUUUUUGUUAUCUAUUACUAAUCAAACUCUUUUAUAAAAAAAAAUACUUUAAACUAAAGAAACCAAGAAAAUUCAAUACCUUCUAAGUUAUUCAACUCCAAAUAUAAUUCUUUGAGUCGUGUCAGAUUUCCAAUACUUCUUGGAAUGAUCCCCCUCAAUUUAUUAUCGGAAAAUGCCAAUAUUUUAAGGUUGCUGCAUUUGCCCAUACUUGAUGGAAUGUUACCAGAUAAUUCAUUUUUAUUCAAGUAAAGCCCUUCAAGCUUGGGAAGAUGUUGACACAUAUCAUUAGGCAAACUACCUGAUAGGCUAUUGCUGGAGAGAGCAAUAGUCUUGAGAGAAUAAAUGUUGAAGAUCGAAGUUGGAAUUUGACCUGUAAAGCCUUUAAUUGCUUGAAUACUAAGCAUUUCCAAAUUAAAAAGAUUACCGAUUUCUUCAGGAAUUUGACCUGCUGACAUAGUCGAAACAUCAAGGUGUUAAAUUACCUAUUUUGUUAGUGUAAAUCAAAGAGGAUUUUUAUUUUUCUCGUUAUGAAAUAAUAUGGAUAUGUUAGAUUCUAAUCAUAUUUAAGUAUAUAUUAGUUCUUGAAAGAAAGAGUUCUUAGUAUUUAUAUUGCAAAUAUUUUUUUUAAAAUUUAAAAAAAGGGGGGGGGGCAAAUGUGUUUAAACUAAAGAGAUCAAGGAAAAGGCAUACCAUCUAGGUUAUUUAACCCCAAGUAUACUUGUUUAAGUUGUGUCAAAUUCCCAAUGCUUUUUGGAAUGAUCCCACUAAAUUGAUUAAUAGACAAUUCCAAAAUUUGAAGGUUGCAGCAUUUGUCUAUACUUGAUGGAAUAGAACUUGAUAAUUCAUUUCUACUCAAGUAAAGCUCUUUAAGCUUGGGAAGAUGGACACACAGAUCAUCGGGUAAGCCACCAGAAAGACUAUUAUCACGAAAAUGAAUCCUUUUCAAAGAAGAAAUGUUAAAGAUGGAAGAUGGAACCAGGCCAGAUAAUUGAUUGAAUCCCAAGUUCAAGAUCUCUAGAUUGGAUAAGUUGACAAGUGUUUGAGGGAUUGUGCCUGUGAAGUUAUUAUUUCUCAUUUCCAACCUUUGAACUCUGUGCAAGUUCCCAAGCCAUGAUGGAAUUUCCCCAUUAAGACGGUUGUAGCUUAAUCGAAUGAUCCUCAAACGAUGCAAUUGGCCCAAUUCUUUAGGCAGAUGGCCAUAGAAAUUGUUGUUGCUCAGGUCGAGAGAAAAUAGAAAUGAAAGAUUUCCAAGGUGUGGAGGGAUAGUACCCCUAAGAUUCAUGUUUGUAAGAUUCAAAGCUACAACUCUUUCAUGGAUGAUGUCACAAGAAACACCAGCCCACUUACAAACAGAGGUAGAGUUCGUCCAAUUGUUUGCCAACACAUUUUGAGGAUCGACAAUGCGAUCUUUAAACUCAAAGAGUGCAAACUGAUAGGAGUUGAGAUUCCGGACUGUCAUAGCCAAGGAAACAAUGGAACAUUGUAUGAAUAAAAGUGAAAGAAGAUGAAAGCAAGUGUUGUAGUUCAUGAUGGCAAGACGAAAUAAGCCAGGAAAAGGGAAGUUGAAUUGAUGAAGAAAUACCCAGCCAACAUGCUUAAAUAGGCUUCAACCCUUGCACACUUCUCAUACAUAAAGUUCACUGCCAUUACAACAAGAAAACUCGUAUCUCCAUUCAUACCUAUCCAUACUUUAUUUGACUAACUUUUCCCUAACAGGUGUUCAGUAAGGAGACAAAUCACUUUGGAGCUAUUCACCGACUUCUCCAACCUUGGUUUCAAACUCCUAGCCCAUCAAUUCACUUUAAUUGAAACGAUAUACACGAGUCUUUCGGCUUAUAUUUUUAACUUACUACUUCUCUUUUUAAUUUAUUUUUUGUUACUUCUCAUAAUAUUUUUUGAGAAAUCCAAUAUUCCAGUCUGAAAUUUCUUCAUUGCCACGUCUAUCUCCUCGGUAAGUUCGUGGCUAGGCGGCCCACUUUGGGGGCAGGAUUGUAAUUUUAGUUCUAUCCGACUCAUUUUACUAUUUAGAAAUAUAAAAGUAAUAUUAUAUUAAUUUUUAUAUUUUUAUAAAUUUAAAUUUAAAUUUAAUUUUUAAACAAUAAAACGAGUCAUUUUUAUUUGCCUAGGCUAAAUUGAAUCAGGAGUGAAAAAUUUUUUAAUCAUAAUUUACUAUUAUUUUAAUUAAUUAAAUUUUAAUUUACUAUAACUAGUAGUUGCAAAAAAAAUGACAUUCCUUUAGAAAAAUGAGAACUUAUGAAGCAUUCAAUAAGAGUUGUUGGAAUACAUGGUAACGAAACCAUAAUUCGAUAUAAAACUAUAUAAAUAAUGUAAGAUUUGUGAUACCUAAAUUGUUAUGUUUUCUAUAAAUAUAUGGAGAUUUUUUAUUAGGAAAUAAUUUUAUAUAUCAACAUUUGUUAUUUUCUUUUGAUAGAAAUUUAAUUAUGUUAUCUGUAGAAAAAAAUAUUUAUAGAAAUAUCAUUAGUAGAAAAUCAUAAAUUUGUGUGUGGCAAAAAAUUUUCACCACCAAGAAAGGGACAAAUUAAACAACUUGAAAGUCAUUGGUUGUUUAAAAUAUUAGAUAAUAAUUUUAGUGAAGAAUCAUUAAAAUUAUGACAAAAUAACCCUAGAUAUUGUAGUAUUAAAUUAGAAAAUCUCAAUAAUAUUAUUAGAGUAAAACCUAUGAUGUAUCUAAACAAGAUAUAGAAGAAUUUGAUAUACAAAUUAAGGGUAGAAAUCAUACGGAAAUAAUAAAAAACAAGAAAAAGCUAGUAUGGUCAUUAAUUAUAAAAGAUUAAAUCAAAAUAUUAUUUUUUGUAGUUACUUGAAUUAAUCAGGAUAAACAAAAAAAAAUAUUUUAGUAAAUUUGACUGUAAAUCAGGAUUCUAGUAAAUCAUGCUAACAGAAAAAUCUAAACCUUUAACAGCUUUUAGUGCACCCAAUGGACAUUAUUAAUGGAAAGUGAUGUCAUUUGAAUUAUGCGAUGCACCACAAAUCUUCCAAAGACAAAUGGAUUUUAUAUUUAAUAAAUAUAAAAAAUUAUGGGUAGUUUAUAUAGAUGAUAUUUUGAUAUUUUCAGAUACACUAGAAUUACAUAAGAAAUAUUUAAAUAUUAUUUCUUAAGAAUUCAUAAAAUAUAGAAUCAUAUUAAACCCUAAAAGUAUGGAGUUAGAAAAAAGAGAGGGAAUUUUUAUAAUAGUGGAAAUAAAAAAUUGUCCUCAAAAGAUUGAAGAAAAAAAGAAGUUACAACAAUUUGUAAUAUAUUCCUCCCAAAUUUUCAGUUGCAAAUUUAUUACAGAAUUUCUUUGCCGACAAUAAGAAAAGAGCAUAUUCACAUUUUCGUCGCAAUUUCAACUAACAACCAAUCUGUUUCCCACUUUCCUUUUUCGGCCAAUUUCAAACGUAACUGUUUUUCGAAUUUUCCUCUUUAUUUCAUUAAUAAAAUGAUCAAUCUAUUUGUUUUUUAAAUAUAUAAUUUUAUUAAUAUUUUUUAAUUAUAAUAUAAGAGUUGUUGUUUAUUUAUAGUUUUAUUACAUUAUUUAAUCUCUUUUUUAUAUCAAGUUUUUAAAAUUAUAAUAUAAGAUUUAUUUUAUCAAAUUGUGGCUUAUCAAAUGUUCAUCUAUUUUAAUAAUAACUUGAGUUCGAAUCAUUAUCAUACCAGAAAGAGUUCCCUUUAUUCUUUAUCGUAAAUUUUAUAAGAAAUUAUAUUUUAUUAUAAUACUAUAUGUGUUAGAAUAAUAUUUUAUUGUGGAUGCCCAUAAUUCUCAAAGUUGUAACCUUGAAUGUAGUAACCUCAAUGAAAUUAUGAGGCUUUUAUAUUGUAAUCAAGCCUCUAUCUAUUCUUUGUAUUCUUUGUAGAAAAUAUGAAGUUGAUUUUACUUUAUUAAAAAAUUUAAAAUAAAUUAUCUUGUUUUUUUUUAAAUGAGUUAACCAAAUUAGCAUAUUUAUUUUGAUCUAAAAUUAUCCAAAAUAAUAUAAAAUAUUAUAUUAAUAAAAUUAAAACUAUGAAAUAAUUUUUUUUAAAGAUUAUUAUUUACUUUUAUCAAACAAUACAAUUAUAUUCAGUACUUAUAUUUACUAGUUUACCAAACAGUUUUCCAAUAUGAAUUCAACACUUAUCAAAUUCAGUAUUAAAAAUUCAGUGCUUAAUUUUUUAGCACUUAACUUUUCAAUUCAUCAAGCACGUCUAAUUCAAUUUAUACAAUUCCCUAUUUGUAUCUCUAUGAAUUUAUAAAAUCCUUCUCGCAUUUAGUUGUUGGGAUCUUUAUAUGAAGAUAGAUGCUUUUAUUUUUUAUUGGUUCAUUUUUAAUUGUAUUGAUUUAUUUAAUUUUAAUUUUGAUUAAUAUAUAUGAUUAUUGUGGAAUGGGAGUAAAAGUAUUUACUUCUCAUAAACUUUGAAAUAUUCACCCUGUCUACAUAUUAAUUAUUGUAAAAUUUGAAUUGAAAUUAUGCCAUAAAAGGUGGAGGUUAGAAAACCUCUUAUUGAGACCUUAUAAUAUUUUGUAAUUUUUUGUGUUAUGGUAUAUAAAAAAAUAUCUAACCAUAGUGAUUGAUUAGUAAUAUAAAUUUGUUAUUUGUUAUGUUUAAUAUAUAUUUUAUUUAUACUUAUUCAUUUUAUUUUUAUAUGAGUAAAUGAAGUGUUUGAAGAUUCGAAAUUUUUAUCAUCCAUGUUGAAAAUAAGUGCAAAAGUGUAUAUUAUUUAAAAUAAAUUACGCAUUCAUUAAUGUUAUGUGAUAAAAUCAUUACAUUUUCUGAAGAACUAAUAUUGCAUCAAACUGUAAAAAGCUCUUGAAGAGCUAAUAUUUAUCUCCCUGUGAUGCAAAAUCUUGUAAAACAUGAUAUUAUUUUUCAAAUCAAGAAGAUUUAUGUUGAAGGAAAUAUUUAUGUGUUUUACAUUAAAACCAUGGAUAGAAAUGACAUGAGACACUCAUGUAUUUGCAUUAUAAAUAUUCCUUGAAGGAAUACACUUCACUUGUAUGAUUGACAUAUGAGAUAAUAGCAAGAAGUUUAUAGUGUUGGUAUGGCCGGCUAGACCAUCUCAAGUCAAUAAUGAUGCAAAAUAAUUUGAAGAGAAUUUAUAUGAUUUUAUUGAAGAAUGAGAAGUUAUUUUCAUUUUGAUAAUUGUCAUCAACAAUAGUUCUUUGGAAAAAAAAAUAUUGAACUAACAUCAACUAAAGUUAGAGGUUGGUUCAUGGUUGCAUUUUUUGAUGAUAUCCAAAUAAUAUAUGAGCUCAUGUAUCACAUGUAUGCAACCCAAAGUUUACAGUAUUAUUUCUUGAAAUAAUUUGAUUCUACACAAUCUCUAUAGCAUGCAAUUUGUGCUAACAACACUGGUGCAUUAUAUCCUAAGCUUGAUUUUCGUAGUUUUAGCUGAGAUAAUAUUAAGUUGUCUAUGCCUAUAUAUAUUAUACUUAAUGGUUAGCAAAAUUAUGCCUCCAUUUAAUUGCUUAACCAUUAAUAUAAGAAUAGCUUUAAAAUAAGCAUGUAAUUUUAUUUGCAUCGAGCCAACAUGUAAGAAAUAUUUGUCCCAUGAGAAUUAGCUUUUAUUUAUAAGCCAAUAGGUUUCAUUUAUGACUAUUUGGAUGUAAAAUAUCUAUUUUAUAUUCCACCAUAAUGCACUAAGAUGGACCAUCAAGUAUGAAGUUGAGAAAAAUUAGAAUUUUUAUUUGAUGGUAAAAGUUGAAAAGAGAUAUAUAUUUAUAAUUUUGAAAAAAAUAGUCAUGUUGCAAAUUUUCUCAGUAUUAGAGGGAGACAAGUUGGACAAAUACGUAUAAUUAUGUCAUCACUUUUUGUGAUCCCUCACUAAUCUUAUGUGCACAAAGUUUGAAGGAAAAAAAUAAUUUGCUAGACAUGUUUAGUGAUGACAUUUAGAGAUUGUAUAUAUUGGAUGAUACAUAUACCAGCUAAAAUGUUCCAAAUAAUUAUGCGUCCUAGAAGGACAAAGUGAUAAAAAUAAUUUUUGGGCACGCUAGAAGGAUGAAAAACUAGUUGGUUCUAUAAAUAAAAAAAUUCUUGACAGAAAAGAGUAAGAAAUGAAUAUGGCCACACGUUAAAGGAGACGAGUACUCAUGAAGAGACCCAAGGUAUAACUUUUAAUAAAACCCCAAAAGAGGUUCAAUACAUGAAAUUAUGAAUAUAAUAAGUGUAAUAACCAAAUUUUUCCCGGGCCCAAUGCCAAACAAAUAAAACCCAAACCAAAUAAAUAAAAUAAGAGUCCAAAUUAUAGUCCGUUAGGGCCCAAUUCAGACCAGCCCACUAUUCAAUCAGACCAGCCGAACAACAAAAAAAAACCUAGUAGCCCACAGCCCAACUAAGCCUAAAAAAUUUUCAGCAAAAGAAAAAACCCUAGCUGCCAUGCUAGCCGCUGCUCCUGCCCUAGCCUCUGCCCACUAUCGUACGCCACCUCUGCCAUCACCAUUAGCCUCUGACACCUGCAAAACAGCAAACAACAUGCAACAACAGAGAAGAAGACGACAAGCAAAAAACAAAUCACUAAAGGACAAAAAUAAUGAUAACAAAUAGCCUUAGUUUGGCUAUAAAAGCAAAAAAAAUGAAAACUUUGUACUUCUUUGGCAAGAUUAAUACAAAAAAGAAAAGAUUUGAACUUUUUAGGGUGAUAUUUCAUUUUUUUUUACGCUUUAGAUCUAUUUUUUUAUUUCAUCUUCAUCUACGAAAAUAAUAGAAAAAAGACUUUGAUUUCAAGGUGAUAUUUUGUUGUUUUUUUAGAUCUAGUGUUUUUUUAUUUAUUUUUAUCUACAAAAAUAAAAAAAGGAAAAGAGAAACGUACCUAAUUCACCCCGUGGCUCCGUCGACGGAAGUCCCAUCGCCAUCGUCGGAAUCGGGCUUAAAAGGGGAAGGUUUUUAUUUUUCUUUACUUUUUUUUGGAUUUUUCGUCUCAAGAAAUGGACUAAGGGAGGGGAAAUGGCCAAAAUGGUCUUUUUCCGAUGAACUCUGGCAACCACAUGUGGCAGUUAACAGUGCCGGUGCUCGGUGGCUGCGGUGGAGCCAUGGUGGUGUCCCAUGGCCGGAUCUAGAGAGGAAGCCUUUAAGAGGGAGAGAGUUUCUAACAUUUUUUUUAUUUUCUAAGGCAGAAAUGAAUUUUUGAAAAAAAAAAGUUGGGUUUUAUAAGUGCGUGAAAUGGCGCCAUUUUGCGCAAGUGCACAUCGACGUCGAAACGACAUCGUUUACCCCUUUACCCGCUUGCCCGAGUCUGGCUCGAUGAAGGUCCGCAUAUUUUCAUGCCUGAUGGGUUAUUUCCCUGCCCGAUCCUUCCGAUUUUGGGCUUCUUCUCAAUCUGGUCCUGAUCCUACUUUUUCCCGCCUUUUAAAUUGUACCAUUUAAUUUCAUUUCAUUUUCAACUCGGUCCCUCGGCUGACCAAAGGAAAUGAUGCGCAUAAAGUUAAGGGAUAUUUUCCCUUUCAAUCCCCAAUAUUUUUAGAGCGAUGCAUUUUAAUCCCUAACCUUUCAUUCCAAUCUUUUACACAUAUUAUUUCAUUUUAUUCGUUUAUUUAUUGACUUAUCAUUUUUACCCUCUUUUUAUACUUAAAAAUAUAUAUUAUUUACACUAUUACUUGCAUUUUUUUACUAUUAAAUUAUUAUUUUUAAUGUAUUAUAUUCCCAUUAUUUUACCAUUUUAUUUAUUUUGAUACUUUCAUGUCACAUUUAUUUAUUUUAAUAUUGCCAUUAUUUAUUUUAUUUUAUUCUUAUGUUUUUUAGUAUUUUAUUAUUUCUUUUAUUGUUCACGGUUUUUUUUUCAUGUUAUACAUUUUUAUCUUUCUAAUCAUGCAUUUUUCCUUUUUUUAUUUUGUUUUAGGUUACGUUAUUUAUUAUUAUUAUUAUGAUAAUAUUAUUAUAAUUAUAUUACCAUUAUUAUAGAAUUCCUUUAUUUGUAUAUUCCAUUAUAACUAUUAUUAUUAUUAGUAGUCUUUAACUCACUUCUAUUUUUAUUAUUAUUUUUUAGAAUAGUAGUCAACAUGCUUAUCCUUAUUGUUAUUUGGUGUUGUUCUUAUGAUUUUAUCAUCAUUAUUGUUGUAUUUCAUUUUUUGUUCACUCUUUAAAUAUUUUGUUCAUAUAGUUAUUUUACACUAUUGCAAUAUUGUUGCAUUACGCAUUAUGUUUCUUAUAUAAUAAUUAUUUCGCUUUCACGCGAUGUUCGAAUCAAUUAAACAUGAAUCUUCUCAAUUAUUACAUUAAUUGUUACUUAAGUUCAAAAAGAAAAUUUUCAAAAUAAGGCAAUAUUUUGCGUUUUGGAAAUUCGAGAAAUCAUACCCUAACUUACGAGGUUUCGAUUUUCUCGUUAAACUUAAAUAGCAAAAUAUUCUUUUAAAUUUCAAAAUGCAUGCAAUUUCAAUAAAAAUCAAAGGCAAGCUUAUUCUCUAAGGUUCCAAAUAUCGCGUCCUAACUUACGGGAUGUGACAUUUCGUUACCUCGAGACGAGUAGGUCUUCAACUCUCUUUUCGAUUUAUUCGAGCGUUUUUAAUAACAUUAAUAAAAAGGGAUCGUAUUUUAAAUUUCUAUUCAAGUUUUCAACCUUGGACAUUAAGACAUUACUUAAUCAACUAGGUACCACCUUUGGGUGUAUUGAGGGUGUGUUUUCUAGAUUUUGUAGACCAAAUAUUAUCGUUUUUAGUAAAUUUAAAUUUUUAUUAAAAUGAUUAAAUUACAAGUGUUGACACCAUUUUUUUGAUGAAAAACGGGGUCGACUUGGGUUUUAAAAAAAAUGAAAAACGGGAGUCGCCACCAAUCCUUUUUGAUAAGGUGUGAUUGGGUCACCUUGAAAAAUGGUUGUUUUUAAUAAAUGAUUUGAUUUUAUUAAAACAACGGUUUUGGUCCAUGAAAUUUAGAAAACGGGUUCGGGAGUCGAUUACGUACGAGGAAGGAUUAGCACCCUCGUAACGCCCAAAAAUUGGUACCUAGUUGGUUAGCUAAUGUCUUGAUGUCGAAAAUUGAGAACUUGGAAAAAAUUAAAAAUACGAUCCUUGUAUUAAAAUGAAAAUUUUAGGAAAAGGGGGGCAUACUUCACGCUAAUCGAGAAAGAGAAUCAUAUCCAGUAAGUUAGGACACAAUGUCUCGAAUUCCCGAUACGCGAAUGAAUGCCAAAAUUUUACUUAUUUAAAAGACAUUUUAGCCGUCUCGAAUUUAAAAAUGAAAUCACGACCAGUAAGUUAGGACGUGAUUUUUUAAAACUUGAGUUUGAAAAGAUUCGUGCAUCUAGAUUUAUCGUGAAAAUCAAUACCCAGUAAGUUAGGGUACGAUUUUCUUGAAUUUAAACACGAAAUGCCAUUUUUUAAAACAAAUUUUGUUAUAUCGAGUGAAAUAAAAACACAAAGUCGUAGUAAAAAAAUGUGUAAGCAAAUUACAUUGUUAUGCAUGGCAAAAUCAUAAUGAAUACAAAAGUAUAAAAAUGAUACGAGCAAUAACAACAAUAUAAAAUAAAUAAAAGUCAAACCUACAAUAAUAUUAAAUAACAAUGUAUAUAAACAAAUAAAAUUAAAACAUUCAUUCAAAAUAAUAAUGAAAAUGAAAUAAAUAAAUAGUAAAUACAAAAUAAAACAAUAGUAAUGAAUAAAAAUAAUAUAAUAUAUAUAUGUAUGUUAGAAUUAUAAAGUAUAAAAAUAUACGUAUGUGUAUAUAAGAAUAUGUAAGCAUGUAUAUACAUAGAUUAUAAAAUAUAGAUAUUUAUAUAAAAAUGAGUAUUUGUAUUAAAUAAGUUGAAAAAAAAUAUAUAUAUACCUACAUAUAUAUAAAAAAUUAUAUAAUAAUAACAAUAUAAUAAAACACAUAUAUCUAAAAUUUACAUAAGUAAAUAUAAAUAAAAACAUACUAAUAACAAUAAUAUUAAUAGUAAAAUGAUAAUACAUAAAAAUGAUGAAGAAAAUAAUAAAAAUGCUUAAAAGGGGACUAAAUCGAAGUAAGAACCAAAAAAAAGGGGCAAAAUCGAAAUAAAGACAAGAGGGACUAAAUUGUAACGCGCGCUGAAAGAGGGGGACCAACAGGGUAACUAAACCAAAGCCUCAAAACGCUGCUCUGUAAAGGACUGAAAUGAGACAAAAAUAAAAUUUUGUGGCCAAAUUGCAAAUAUGCGAAAAACUUCCAUGAAAUCGCUACAAAAUCAAAGGGACUAAUUGCGCAAAUAGACCCUUAAACAAAAACGCGCGGAUCCUUGGGUGCGGGUCGGGUCGACGUGCGGAUCCCCUCACCAAAACGGCGUCGUUUUGUGUUUAAUAUAAAUAUAAAAAAAGGGCUAAAAAAACAGUUUCAUCAUUUUUGUUGAAAAACUGAGAGAAACCUCUCUCUUUUUUCCCUUUCUCAGGCUCAGAUUCCGGAGAUGGCCCGGCCUAGGCUUCUGGCGAAUCUCCGCCGUAGAGCCACCGUGUGUGGCGGCCGGAGGUCCAAAAUCGGACCUUUUCGGUCCCUUUUUGAAACUAAGAAUCCCUAGGGUACGGAUCUGGGACCAAACCCCCGAAAAAAAGAAUCGGAGACCUAAAGAACGAGGGGAAACCGCUCGUCUUCUCUCCUCCGGCGCGGCGCAGGUAAGGUUUCUUUUUCCUUUAUUUAUAUUACGUAAAAAACAUACAAAAAGAAAAAAAAGAAAAUAGAGUUUAAAAAAAAUCUAAAACAGAAAUGAGAGAAAAUCACCUCUCAAGUUUUCUUGUUUUUUAUUUCUUUUUGCUAAUAUCUGUUUCUUCUUUUUACAAAAGUUGAUGGAAGAAGAAAAAAUUACAUUUUGUUGGCUUUUUAUAGCCGACUUCUACUACUGCCUGUGUUAUUUGCUCUCUGUUUCUUUGUUUUGUUUCUUCUUUGCAGGUGACGGUGCAAGUGGUGGUGGUGACGUGACCGUGGCAGUGGCGGUGUGAUGUUGGCGGCGGCGGCAGGCCAAAGGUCAAUAGGUGUGGAGCCUAGGGUUUUAGUUUUUGAAACCCUAGGCAGAUUUUUUUAGGGGAAUUGGGCCUUAGCUAUUGGGUCGUUCGGGUUUGGGCGUUGGGUUAGGCUAGUUGGGCUUUGAGGUUGGGUUGUUUUGUAAUGUGCUUUGGUGUUUGGGUUGGUAGGUGGUGGGUAAGGUUUAUUGUUUUGGGUUCUUGGGCCUGGUUCUGUUUGGUUAGGGUAAUGGGCCAUUUGGGUCUGGGCAUAAAAUUGGGCUAUACAACAAGGUGACCCGAUUACACCUCAUCAAAAAGGAUUGGUGGCGACUCCCAUUUUCAUUUUCAUUUCUUUUUAAAUCAAAGUCAACCCGUUUUUAAAAAAAUGGUUUCGACAAUAAGAUAUAUUGAUUAGUUAUGUCAUAACUAAAGAUGAUGGAGUUGACAAAAGGAAAUUGUAGUUAACAACGAAUAAUCUACGUAGAACAUUUCAAUAUUAUGGAAAAAUGAGUAUUUACCAACCUUCUUUUAGUCAAAUUAUGCAAGCCUAAAAUUUUUAGCUUAAUUUGAGUUUGUUGACUAUGUCUAAUUCAAGUUUUAUUAUUAAGGACUAAAUUGUAACUUAAAAAAAUUAGAAUACCAAUUUAAAGAGACAAAAAUUCAAAACCCCAAAACCCACAUGGGCAUGUGGGUAAGUGACACAGGCGUGUGGAGACUGGAGCUAUCACACACGGGCGAGUGGGACAGAAAAAUAUGAAAUAAAUUAAUCCACUUAAAUUUCAAACAACCAUGCUAUACUACCAAACCAAAUAAUGCUAGAAGCUUUGAAUAGGGGUGAAUCGAAAAAAAAAUAAAAGAAUUAGAAUUAAAUUAUAAAAUUUUCAGAAGUUAUCAUGUAUUAAUUUAUUAUUUUUUAAAGGGUCUUAAUAGAAUUUUUUUUCCAUUUUGGUUUGGCCAAUACCCCUGUCUACCUCUUUCAAUUUGCUUCAACCCUAAACCUAAUAUUCGAUUUGUUGUGGAAGUUUGACGCAUAAAAAUUUCUUUUUUAGAGGUUUAAAUUAUAAAUUUUUGAAAGUUUAAAAUAAAUUUUCAUUUUUAUUAACAAAAUAUAAAAGAAAAAAAACAUGUGUAGACAAACCAAGAAACCUUUGGGAUCAUACGGGUGAUUUUGAUGAUGUUAAUGGUUAUUUUGAUGGAGAGGGUGAAAAAGAAACAAAUGAUUCAUAUAUAUAAUAUAAUUAUGAAAUUCAAGCCAUAUAUUGUAUGUUUCAUCCAUAAAAAUUUCAUGGGAGGUCCGAAGGUAAUUAAAUGACUUGUAGGCUUGCUGAAUUUCUUUGAAAGGCCCAAUGGCAAUUUAACAUUCACAAAAUAAUCUCUAAAUACUGUAAAGACAAAAUCAAAUCCACAGCAGCAUUAGAGUUGAUUAAGCUAAGCAUUGGCAAAUAUUACUUUGAUUUUGCAUGCAAUAUUAGCAAAACCCCCUCUUACAUUAGAUAAACAACAUACUCCAUGAAACAUUGAUAGCCCAAAUACAAAUUUCAUCGACAAAAAAGUCUCUUUGUUUUGUAGAACAUGAUAGUAAAAAUGUGGAGUUUCGUUCUUCUUAUUGGCCUCCUUUAGUUUUCCUUGAUCAACAACCACUAGCCAAAAACACAAUUAGAUUAGAUUAUGAAUGAUACUGACAUUAUUAAAUAUAAAACACUCUAAAUAACUCUAAAUAAAUGGAAAGCAGCAAAUUACCUGACGAGGCAAGCUAGCUCAAUUAAGACCAUUGUGUUAUACUUGUCUCUGAAUUGAAAAAUUUAGAAGGAAAUAAAGAGAAAGACUUAGAAAAUAUUUGAAAACAGAUAAAACUUAUAUGUCAUUUAAAAUAAAAAUUUUGUAUUUAAGCCGUUUAAAAUUUUUAAGAUUUUUGAAAUUUUAAAAUGAUAAAGGUAAAAUUGUACUUUGGCACACCAAAAAUGAUAAAACUUUGAUUUAAUCCUUUAGAAAUUAUAAAAAUAUAGGCUAUUAAAAUGGUGAAAUUACCUUUUUACUAUAGUAAAAAUUACAAUUUAAUUUCACUUUAAGAUUUUCUGACUUCGCCCCUAAUAAAAUCUUUGGCAAAAGAUUAAAAUAAAAUUAUACCGUAAAUGGAAAAAGAAACAAAGAAAAUCCAAUCUAACAAAGAAAAUAACUUAUGUCCAAAAGCUACCAUAAACCGUAAUUCAUGGGAAGAGAGCAAAAGUAAAAACAAAUAGUUUAUAUGAUUAAAAUUCCAGAAUAGGUUAAAAAUGUUGAAUUAAAGAUAAAAUUAAGCGUGAAUUAAUAACCACAAGUGUACUCUUUACUCACCAUCUCUGUUAAAAAUGUUGGAUGUUGUUUAGCAACCUUUGUUUGAUUUUCUUCAGCUCAACCACAACAUCUUUCAUUUCUUUUCUUUCUUCUGGUAACUCAGCUGAACAAUUCAAAGCCAACUCCAUGAUAGAUGAAAUACAAUUUGCUUUAACAACAAAGUACUCAUCCUCUCUUCUUAGUAAAUCAACAUCUGCAAUUUCUAUCGCUCCUUUAGGCAAUGAACUUUCCAUCCAAUGCCUUAUAGUCUCUUCUUCAACAAAAACAUUAUCAGUUGGCUUUCUCUUUGUGAAAGUUUCUAUAAGGACGAUCCCAUAACUAUAAACGUCAGAUUUUAUAGAAACAAGUCCUGCAGAUCCAAAUUCUGCAUUUCAAGUAUAAUUAGAACAUCAUCAGUCCUCAAUUAUUUGAUAAAUCUAUGUAUAUCCACAUACACGAGAAACAAAAAUAUAAAACGCAAAUUAGGAAAAUAAUCGUACAAAGAUAAAAAAAGAAUUCACCUGGUGCCAUAUACCCGAUUGUUGCAAGAGUCAUGGUUUGCUUCAUUACUUCACCUUCUCCCAACAAUUUGGCAACGCCAAAAUCUCCAACAUGUGCAACCAUGUCUUCAUCUAGUAAAAUAUUGCUUGGUUUUAUGUCACAAUGAAUUAUAGGGGUUGGAUGUCCAUUGUGGAGGUGUUCUAUAGCCACCGCAACAUCUAUCAUUAUGUCGACCCUUUGUAUGAUAUCAAGGAAACAAUUUUUAGAAUGUAACCAUUUCUCAAGGUUUCCAUUAGACAUGUAAUCAAGCACCAAGGCUUUGAAGUCAACACUUGAGCAGCAAGUAAUGACCUUCACAAUAUUACGAUGAACUAUAUGAAGCAUAGCAUCACAUUCAAUGUCAAAACUCCUAAAUGCUCCCUCUGUUUGCAAAUUGAAAACUUUUAUUGCAACUUCCAUUCCAUCUGAAAGCCUCCCUUUAUAUACAUAUCCAAAACUCCCUGAACCAAGCAUAUUGCUUUCCUCAAGUCCAUUAGUUGCUCGUGAAAGUUCAGCAUGUGAAAUUCUUCUCGGUGUCUUCAAAGACAACAAAUCAUCUUUAAUUGGUAGAGCUGUACUCCUUCUUUGGCAUCUUCUAUACAUAAUAGUUAAGACUAUUAGUACUACGACAAUACCAAUUGUUGGUAAACCAUACCUAAAAGCAUGCAAUAUAAUCGUUUGGGAGUUUUUGUGGAUGUCGUUUUUACAAGGUGGGACUAGCAAUCUAGGUGGACCACAAAGUGCAUAAUUCUUCAUGAAUGAUGUGCUAGAAAAGUUUGAAAAACAUCCUUCGCUGGGAAUUUCCCCUUCAAGUCUAUUGAAAGACACAUUAAAAUACUUUAGAUAUAAAAGCUUUUCCAAAGAUUUGGGAAUGACUCCAGAGAGAUUGUUAUUGCAUAAAUCCAAGAAUUCCAAACUAAUCAACCCAUCAAAUGAUUCAGGGAUAUGACCAUGUAGUAUAUUAUUUGAUAAAUCUAAUGAAACCAAAGUUAUAAGACCCCCAAAUGUGGAUAAGAUAUCGCCCGUGAGAAGAUUCCUUGAUAAAUUUAGUUUCAGUAGACUCCUCAAAUUUCCAACAUCAAUAGCAUGUGAAUUGUGAAGAUGGUUUGAUGAUAAGUCUAUUUCUAAGAUAUCUUUAAGAUUCCACAAAGUUGAGGGUAUUGUAGAACUCAAUUUGUUGGAAUCUAAGUAAAGAUAUCCCAAAGAAGUAAUAUUACCCAAACAAGAGGGUAUGGAUCCAUGCAGCUUAUUCAACCCUAAAUACAUCUUGUAUAGUCUCUCCAAAUCACAAAGGCUUUAUGAGAUGGGCCCUCCUAAUUUAUUAGAGGAAAGAUAUAGACCUUGGAGAUUUCUCAUUCCUCCUAUUGAUGCUGGAAUCAAUCCACUUAAUUUAUUAUAGUCAAGUUGUAAAAGCAAUAGGUUGGUUAAGUUACCUAUUUCCAUAGGAAUAAUGCCUUGAAGCUCACACUCAUCGGCAUAAAAGUAUUGAAGGGAUUUUGAAAGGUUCCCAAUAUAAGUAGGAAGAACGCCACUCAAUGGAUUUCCUGAAACACCUAUUUUUCUCAAAUUCCUACAAUUCGUCAAAGAAGAAAGAAAGCUCCACUCAUGAUCAGUAGCAGAUCCUGUGAUCAAAUUAUUGUCAAAGAUUUUGAGCACUUCAAGGUGUUUUAAGCUGCCAAGCAUUUUAGGGAUUGGGCCAGAGAAUAAGUUUCGUGACAACUCUAGUUUCUUAAGCAUGGAAGCAUUGGAGAUAGAGUUGGGAAUGUUUCCGCUAAGUUUAUUUCUCCACAAUAAAAGAAUCUCAAGCUUUGGAGCAUUGGUGAUUGGUGGUAAAUCACCUGUGAAAUAGCAUCUUUUAGUAUACACAUUCAUUGAAUACCAAAUUCACAAAAUAUAUAAUACAUUAAAAUAAAAACUGUAAAACUUUAAAUCAAUUAAGAAUAAAAUUUUGGCAUGGAAAAAUGUGAUGAAAUCAAUUAGAAAGUUGAGACAUAAUAAGAAGUUUUGAGUAGUAAUUACUCAUGAUUUCUAUAGACAAAACAUAUAAUACACUGAUAAUUUUUUAAAAAAUAUUGUAAAACCUGAAAUAAAAUAAAAAAUAAAAGUUUGGCAUGAGAAUGUGGCAUCUAAUCAUUCUUAAAAAUAAGACUAACAUUGAAUAAUAAUUAGUUAUGAUUUGAGAAACAAAAAUGUUAAAGAUGUAAACUGGUAUGAUUUUUAUCUAUUGGGUUAAUUAUUUAUUUUUAUUAAAUUAUAUAUAGUGUAAAAUUUAAAGAUUAUUAUUUGCUCAAAAUUUUUGUAUUUUUCGUAUAUUUGAAAUUUAAUCUUUAUAUUUUUUAUUUUCUGUGAUUUAGUCUCUCUACUUUUUGAAUUGAAAAUUUUAAGUUUAUUUAUUAACACUGUUAAAAAGUUUUUGUGUUAGUAUGGCAUUUUGAAAAAUAAAAUAAAAUUGAUAUCUAUGUUUUUAAUUAUUCCAAAUAUUGUUUUACUAUUUCAAGAUAAACUUUUUGUGUCUAUACCAAUAUCUUAAGAACUAUUGUUGCAUGUUUAAUUAUUCUAAAGAUUUGUUGAUUGAGUCUUGGUUGAAGUGCAUUAUUCUCCUAUUUAUGAAUUGGGGAGUUGAUAAAGUACUUUAUUUUAAUAUAUUUUAAAAUAUUAAAAAUUUAUUAAAAUAUUUUUUAUAAAACUUGAUUGUACCACAAUAUACAAUUUUAAUAUCAAAUUUUUAAUUGUUUUUUAAAAAUAUUAGCGAAUAUAUACUUUAUUUCAAGUUACACAAUUUUUACUAGCUUUUAACUUUUUUUAAAAUUUUUAUCGUCUUUUAUAAUUUCUAAUAAUUUUUUAUAAUUUUUUACAAUAUUUACAAUUUCUAACAAUUUUUAAUAAUUUUAUUAUUUAUUUCAAAUUUAAAAAUUAACAAAUUUUUAUUUUUUUAAAACAAUUAUAUAUUUAUAAUGUAGUUAUUUUUUUAUAAUUUUUUUUUGAAAUUUAAAGAUUUUUUUGGUUUUUUUUUUCUAGAUGAUGAUGCCAUCAUGAUGCCAUCAUAUGCCACAUGCCUUCUAAUUUGUUGUCAUAUAGACAUAUUUCUUCGAGCGUAGUUGAAUUAAAAAUACUUGAUGGAAUCUGACCUGCACACAUAGUCGAAAAUUGAAGUGAAAAGCAUACCUUCUAAGCUGUUAAACUAAAAAUACUUUAAGCAUAUUUUAUUUUCCAUCAAAUUAACUAUUUUGCCUUGAAUGAAAUAAAAUGUUCUUAUUUUUGUUAUCUAUUACAAAUCAAACUCUUUUAUGAAAAAACUAUUUUAAAUUAAAGAAACAAAGAAAAUUCAAUAUCUUCUAAGUUAUUCCACUCCAAAUAUAAUCUUCAGUGAAGAAAUCUUGAAGAUGGAAGAUGGAACCUUACCAGAUAAUUGAUUGAAUCCCAAGCUCAAGGACUCUAGAUUAGACAUGUUAACAAGUGUUUCAGGGAUUGUGCCUAUAAAGUUAUUAUUUUUCAUUUUCAGCCUUCGAACUCCCUGUAAGUUCCCAAGCCAUGAUGGAAUUUCCCCAUUAAGACUGUUGUAUUUUAAUCGAAGGAUCCUCAAACGAUGCAAUUGGCCCAAUUCUUUAGGGAGAUGGCCAUAGAAAUGGUUUCUACUCAAGUCGAGAGAGAGUAGAAAUGAAAGAUUUCCAAGGUGUGGAGGGAUACUACCCCUAAGAUUCAUGCUUUUAAGUUUCAAAGCUAUAACUCUUUUAUGGAGGAUGCCACAAGAAACACCAAUCCAAUUGCAAACAGAGGUUGAGGCCGUCCAAUUGUUUGCCAAGACAUUUUGAGGACCGGCAAUGCGAUCCUUAAACUCGAGAAGUGCAAACUGAUCGGAGUUGAGAUUCCUGACUGUCAUACCCCAGCAAAGUCCGGAACAUGGUACGAAUAAAGCUAAAAGAAGAUGAAAGCAAGUGUUGUAGUUCAUGAUAGCAAGACGGAAUAAGCCAAGAAAAUAAAAAAAAGUAGGACAAGGGAAGUUGAGUUGAUAAAAUAGUUUGGAUGAUGAAGAAAAGCCCAGAGAGCAUGCUUUAAUAUGUUUUGAAGAAAUUUCAAAAUAAAUUUCAAAAUAAAUUUCAAAAUAAAAAUUUAAAAAGGAAAGCAAAGUUUUGAAGAAAUUUCAAAAUAAAUUUCAAGUCUUCUUCUUUAAAAAAUACGUACAAAGAGCGAAUUUUCAAAAUUUCUCCUAAAUUUUCUUCACAUUACUCCACAUAAUCCAUUAAAAAAACUUAAAAAAUAUAUUUUAUUAAUUACUAUACAUUCUUUUACUUUCAGAAUAAUAAAUUGUUUAAAAUUUGCUAUUAGUCCCUGUAAUUUAAAAGUUAAAAAAAAAAUUCAAUCCUCCUACUUUUCUAAUUUAAAAAUUCUAGUUCAAUCAAUUUUAAUUUUAAAAUCUUUGUAUAAAAGGUGUUUUUUUUUUGUGACCGAUCACACUUAACCAAUAUUUAAAAAUUAUUAAAAAAUAUUUUUUUUUGAAAUUUAAAGUGAUCUAAAAACAUAUUUUUAAGUACUUUGGACAGUCUAUUGUUGAUUUCCUUAUUAUAUUAAGUGUUUGCAAUCACUCCUAAUAUAUUGUGCUUGAGUUGUGACAAAGUCGAUCAUCAAAUUGCCAUAAUGAUCUAUUGAUGCUGAAAUUAAAGUUUUUGUUAUAUUGAUAGAGCUUGUCCUUCAACGCGUACAACGUGUUUGUUAUUUUUCUCCCUUCAAAUUGUAUGAUCUUAUUCAUUAAAUGAAUUAAUGAAUUUCCCUUUUAAAAAGAUAUAUUUUUAAAAAUUAAAUACUUUAUAAAAUAUUUAAAAAUUUGUAAGCCUUAAAACAAUCAACAAAAUAUUUUUGAAAUUUUAUAAAUAUAUUUUAAAAUUAUAGUAACGCUACAAAAUAUAUAUAUUUACUAAUUAUAUGCACCUUUUUUAUUUUUUUUCCUAACAUAUCAUUAUUUUCAACACUAUCGUAAUCCUGUUUUGAUAAUUCCCUUUCCAUACAUCCUUUUUCUACAUAGAAUUUCAAAAGAAAAUGUGAAUUAAUGUAAACGUGAGAAGACUUAAUUACAUUUAUUAGUUUAUCAAUCAAAACUUAAUUAGAAUCCAUCAAUAUUUCACACAUCAAAAACCCAAACAUAAAAUUCACUUUUAAAUUAUUUGAAGAUACAUUUGUAUUAUAGGAAAUGGAUUAAAUUAGUCUUUUAUUAUUAAAUGUAUUAUUUUAAUCUUUGUAUUAGGUAUGAAUUGUAUCUCCUAGAUUGAAGCCAAAGCUAUUCUUGAAAGACUGAAAUUAAGAUUCAGAUGUGUUGAGAUGGAAAGUGGCAACACAAUGUUGAUUGAAACUAUUUAUAACGGGUUGGCUACAAUAAGUAGUGCUGCCGAAGUAAGACAGAUUCACGAUUGGUGUUCCAAAAAUUGGGAAGUCAAAUUUCGACAUAUUCAACGAAAUGCCAAUAAAGUUGUUGAUUGCAUAGCUAAGGCAAAUGGAGGCGUAAUUGAGCAGCUGGUUAUCUUGGAAGAUCCUCUGCAUUAUGUGAGAUGCUAGCUUGAAGAAGAUAUUAGACAGUCACUAGUGACUGAUGAUAAUUUUCAUUUGGACUGAUGAGCGCUUAAUUUUCUAAGCUUAUGUUCAACAAAAAAAAAUUUAAAUACGUCUAAAUUGUAAUAGAGUUAACAUUUAGUGUUUAAAAAAUAUCUUAAAAAUUAUUUUUUUCCAAUUGCAGUUCAAUUCCACAAAUAUCGACGAUGAACCCGGACAUAAAAAUUACAGAAAAAAAAACACAUCUAUUAUCAAACCAGCAAUCCAUGUCUAAACUUAAAUUAACAAAAUUUGCCACACAACGCCCGGUACACUAUUAUAUAUCUAUACUAGAUUUAUUCUAGAUGCACAUGUUUUAUUAUAUUUAAAAAUUAAAAUGUAUGGUUGACUAAGUUUUAGUUGAGUUAGUAUUGAUAUUAUUGUCAGUGUAGGAAAAUGUGAGUUUAAUCACGCUCAAAUGUGUUUUAUCCUCCAAUUCAAGGGUUAGGAAAAGGUUAUUGAUAAUUAAAUUAUACCAACUUUUAUAAUAUUAAAAAAAAGGAUUUAUAAAUAAUAUAAGGAAAAGAAAAAAAGAGAAACAUAUUCAUAUUGAUGGGCUCUUUCAAUAUUAGACUUUUUUUUCUAUCACAAGUAAAAAUAUCAAAGGUGAUAAUAAUUAAAUUAUAAAAUUUAAAUUGAGAAAAUAGGGGAUAAAAUUUAUAAGUUUUAAAGUAUAAAGAAUGAAUUUAUAACUAACAACAUAUUUUAACCACAUAAUAAAAGUAGUUAUGGAGAGGAUCAUAUAAAAUGCAAAAAUGAAAUAAUAGAAAAGAAAUAAGUGUUGGGUAUAGUGGCAAUGUAUAUUAUACUUCUAAGGGGAGAUCAAGAUUUUAGACAAGGGAAGAAUUUUAAACCUGCUUUUUUCUCUAGAACUCAACGCAAACCUCAAAUUUAUCUUUUUAAAAGAAUUUAAAAAUAUCUAUAUAAAAGGUGAUUUUUUACCGAUCACACUUAACAAAAUUAAAAAAAAAUUGAAAUUUAAAGUGAUCUAAAAACAUAUUUUAAAGUGCUUUUGACCAUCUUGUGCUGAUUUCUUUAGUAAUUUGAUUUGUUCAAUAUAGAUUUUGGUGACUUAAAACAAAAUUAAUAAAAAAAUAUUUUAUCAGAUAUCUUUUUAAUGUUUAAUAAUAAGUUAAUUUAUAAAAUAUACUUUCAUUGGACACAGGGCCUCCAAGGCGGUGAACCACUAAUCAAAUUAAUUUUGAGAUACUUAAAUUUGUUUUCAUCAAUUAAGAAAUUAAAAAAAUUUGUUGAGACCUCAUGAUUAUGUUUUAUAAUUUCAGGCUUAUCAACUAUUUUGAAAAACAACAAAACGUCUUACACCAAAAACUAAAAAAAUAAAAACGUCGACAUUAAAUUUGUUGCCAUGCAAUCAAUUUUAAGAUGGUUUUUGGAGUUAUAUAUCACCUUAGCAUUGACUUACUUUUCUACACUUAGUCUUCUCCAACAAGUUAAAUAUUUCAAUUUUAACAACAUUGACAGGUCUUUGGGGUAGGGUCGAGCAAAACUCAAUAUAGGCUGAGUUGGCUCGGCCAAGUCGAGUCGACUUGUUCAAAUUAUUUAAAUUCGUAAUUUUUAAGGUGCAGUUAGAAUUUUUUGUUUUGAGAUGCUAAGAUUAAAAUAUUUCAGUUGCUAAAACAAAAUAUUUGUAUUUAAAAAGGCAUAAAUUAAAUAAUUAAGUUUUUCGAGUUUCCAUUUAAUCAAAGGUUAAAAGGACUAAAUUGAAGCUUUUUAUUUUUAAGAAAGGCUGAAUGACAAAUUGCCCAAAGCCAUGCCCCUAGCUAUACAACUAACUUCUCUAUGAUUAGUCCUUCGUUUGCUUUGGGUGAAAUCUUCCAACUAGCCUCAUCCUUGGUUUUACUUUCCAACAAUUAGUGUAUCACGAGUUUUGUUUUCUUUAAAAAAUAUUUGUGGAUAUUAGGAGAUAAUGAAAAUUAUUUUACUAUGAAAUUUUAAUAAAACUGGAAAAUAAGUAAUUUAUUUUAAGAGGUCGCAAUUAAACGUUAGAUUUCCAAUUUUUAAAUUUUAAUUUUUUUUUGACAAUUGCAUAAUAUUUUGAGUGUUGUAGGAAUGCCAUAAUAUAACCUUCCCUAAACAUAAUCGACUCUUGAGCAUGAUGGAUCCUAGAACUUCUCCUCUAUUCUCGUACCGCAAAUUGCUUCAAGUGUGGGUUCGAACAAUCACAAAUUAAACACAAAACCAGAAAUGAUUUAUUACUUUCAAUAGCAAGGUAAUUCUCUCUCAAUAGAAACCAAUAGAAGUGUAAUUCUUAGAAAAUAAAAUUUAUUUUUUGAAAAUAUAUUCUCACUACUUUCUAGCAGAAUAACAAUAUGUGAAACUUAUGUCUUGUGUUAAUAGCUCUACCAGUACUCUCUAUUUAUAGGGAGAGAUACGAGAAUCCUGGUUGAAUUAGUAAAACACGAAUAAUAUUUAUUUCAUAGAAAACAAUAUUCCACCCUAAGUAGAUCAAGUUUGUAUGACGCAUGGAUCAAAGCUCAAUCUAGGAGGAAAAAAAUAAAGGAAUUUUCUUUGUAAAGAAAAUUUGAGAUUGUACUAUUUUCAAAGUUAUAAAUAAAAUUAUACGCCAAAUUUUUAAGUCAAUUUCAACUCCAAUUUUGUAUGCACAAAUUUCUAGUACACUUGGUGGGACAUUCUUUGACUUUUAUCUAUUCUCUCAAAAAGUUAAAGUUCAAAGUUACAUUAAACUCAAAGAAGAUAAUCAUUAGUAAACCACCUCACAAGCCUGCUCAAACUAAUCCUACAACUCAUUCCACUUCAUCAUCAAACACCAAUGUUCUUGCUUAUCCUUAUGGAAUUAAACAGUCUCAUUUUCUGCAUUUUGGGUACACACCUGGUUUUAUUUGAUGCUAAAACAGUCCCCGAGCACUCCAAAGCCUAUAAUUGAACAAAUAAUACUAAUUUAAUCUUACAUAACAUGAUCCCAAAUUGAACUUGUAUCGAGGUUUUAACCCAUAAGUGACUAAACCUUACCUUCAACCGAGUGAACAGUAAUUCCCACACAAACUAAGACUCCGAUUGAAGAUUACGAGCCAUUGAAUCCUCCCCUAAUUGGCAUAAACAAAACACUUCAAAAGAAAGUCAACAAAUGGAGACAAAUCACUUAUCUAAAACUUACCGAACGAUCACAGACAAACGUGAAGCGACACGAGGCAGAGUGGGAAAAGAAAAAUCAAGAGGAUGAAGGGUGAAAGAGAGCAGAAAUUCGGUAGCAAUGAAGAGAAAAACGGCAAGAAAGUGGAGGGAUUUUGGGGAAAGUAAAAAAAAAGAUGAAUAGAAUAUUUGAUAACUACCCCAAUCCCUUAUUUCUCUCUAUCAAACUCCCCACUAAAUCCACUACUCAAAUUUUUAGUCCAUCUCAAACUCUCCUGGACGCACGAGCAAAAAAUAAUGCCCAUGCCAAAAUUUAAACAAAAGACCUCCUUCACACCAACACUCCACUUAUCCACCAGACCAAUAGGCUCAUUCUUUUAAUUAUUUUCCAACUUUUACUUAAAAGCCUACUGACCAAAGAUAGGGCUUAUUCAUAAAAAUACCAAAUUUUGCCCAAGACCUGGCUUGAACUUGGGACCUCCCAAACACACCCAGAACACAUAACCACUAAAGCAGACAUAAAUUUUGUGUCACACAUUCACAAUACCCAAAAUUAAAAUUUUAGGGCGUUACAAAAACACAUUAAAUAAUAUCGCAUAAAAUAAUCACAGUUAGAUAACAGUUCAGAAUGUCGAUUUUACAAUUUAACCACCAAUAGUAUCACAGUAUUCACAGUUGUAAUUUCAGAAUAUCAAAUUUCCACAUGAUUCACAAUAUUCACACAUAUAUAAAUAUAUCAUAAUAGAAUUCCAGAUUUGUAUGCACAUGAUUUAGAAGAUGCCAUACAAUUUUGGUUUUUAACAGAAUAAAUCCUACCCCACGUUACAUACCAUAAUGGGAGUUCCCCUAAACUCCCUUCUCCAACACACUAGGUUAUGGAUAAACCACUAUUGGUUCACAAAUAAUAACUGUCAUUUGGCUGUGGACACACAGCAAGUCCCCACAAUUGGAUUCUAGAUUUGGUUGUGGAUUCACAGCAAAAAAAUCCUACAAAUGAAGCCUGCUUUUGCCUGUAGAUUAUACAACAUAUACCCGCAGUUGGAAUCUGUCUUUGGCUGUGGAUGCAGUGUAACACCGCAAACUCGACCUGGACAUUAUGGCUGAAUCUUGAUGAUUUACUUUAACUCGCUAGAAAACCCACGAAUUUACUUUAAAAUCAUGUGGUUAAACUAGUGUUCACUUUGAUAAAUUGUUUUCCAGUUUUAGAGAAAUUUCUUGUUAAAACUGUUACUUUAUUACAAUAAAACAUUAAAGUAAUUGUAUCAUUUUGUAGUGGAAUCUACUAAGCUAUAAGGUUUUGAAAAUCGUGAUUUAGUUUGCAACAAAUCAUUUUGCAAAUAGAAAUUUAAUACUACUUAAUUUGGAAAAUCACGCUAAAACGAAAGCAAAGUCCAAAAUAAUUUACGGUUUGAAAUUCUAAAAAGCCCAAAUUAGACAUAAAGUCUAUUUAAACCAAUUUAUUGAAAGUGUAACACCCUAAACCCGGCCUAUAUGUUAUGGCCAAAUCUAGAUGUGUUACGAAAAAAAGUUUAUAAAAUGACUUCCUUGUUAUUGGCAAACCAUCGUAACCAUUAUUACUUAGUAUAUCUGAUUUGUUUGGAAAACUUAUUGAUAUACUUAUUUGAUUUAAAAUCGUUGCUCGCUUAUGCCUUUUUAUUAAACCAAAUAUUUUGCAGCGGAGUUUCUUUACAACAUCAUAUUUUGGAAAAUCAAAUUGUUUCUUGAAAAUCGUUAUUUUAGAAAAGUUUUCAUUUUCAGAAAAAUUAUUUUAUCAGUUGUUAUGCUGAGAAAACAAAAUAAAAUCCAAAACCAAAAAUAAUCGCAAAAAGUCUAGAGAGUCCCAAAAUGACAAUACUCUUAAAACUAGACAAGCUUAAACUAAUUUUAAAAGAAUGAAAUUUUACAGAAAUGUGGACACCACUGAGCUUCCGUCGCACCGACCCACCUAAAUCUGAGGGUUACUUGAACAGAACAAACAAACAGAGAGUGAGUUUUGAAACUUAGUGUCUAACGCAUAUAUAAACAAAAAUUCAGAAUCAAUCUCAUGCAGAACAGAUACAAGUGUAAACCUUUUAUAAAAUUAGAAUUGUACAGAUACAAAUAUGCAACAUCCUACCCUCAUCCUCUACACACCAACUCCGACCAUCCUAUCACACCACGUGGGGUAUAAAAUACCCAUCCAGCCCUACACACCGUAUAGUGUUUAUAUGACACUUUUUGGAAUAAUCGCAGCAGAGUUGCCAGUAUAUAUGCGAGAUAUCACCUCACAUAGAACACUUCCUCCUCAUAAUACAAAUCCCGCCUCAUAGCUAGAUACAGACAAAAUAUGAUGUAAAAUAAAUUAACAGAUACUAGAGUUAACAUAUCACGCGUGAGCGUAUAAUAGAUAUUACACAUGCUUAUGCAUAACAAAAUAGAUCAUACAUAUUGUAUUCCAUAAUACUCAUAUAAAUGUUAUUUACGUCAAUCUCAAUCUAACAGAGUAGCAGAUUUCAUGCUUUAACGCUUAUACCACACAUAUAGACCCUAUAGAAGGCCCACAGUCGAUCGAGACAACAUGUAUGUCGCUAGGGAAAAAAUUUGUAAUUUGGGCCCAUAUACAUGUAUGAGCCCACACACCCAAAAUGGCCUUGCCCAUGUGGCUCACCAACCUAGCACUCAGCCCAUACGGUCCAAAAUGGCCUAGGUCGUGUGUCACACACAGCCGCAUGUUGCACACAGCCUACCACAUAGCCAGUCACAAAACUGUUUGGAGUUGAAAAGCCCAAUUUUUGGCUUUCGUCAAUCAUCAUUUUCUUACGUUUUCAUUACACACCUGGUUUGAUUCUGACGCAAAAGCAACCCUAUGUCCACCGAAACCUAAAAAUAGCAUUCCAACGCCCAAUUUCAGUGAACAUUUACAAAACUCAAACAAAAACUAUCCAAAAACAUAGCCUCACAAUAGCAUCCAACGCACUCGCACACUUAUCGUCAACAAAUAGGAAACACCCAACACUCAAUUCGUUGGCGGAGCACCAAUUAUGAUAAUGCAAAAAUUUUAUGGAUUCUCAACACUAUCGAUCCGAAUGUAAGAUUGAUGCUUUCCAAUUAUGAUAAUGCGAAAAUUUUGUGGGAUGGUUUACAUGAAUUUUUUUUGUUGUCAACGAUCAACGUAUUCAAUAAUUAAAAUAAAAUAUUAGUCGUUUUUAGAAAACCAAGACUAUGAGUGUUGUAGUUUAUUUCAGUAAAUUAAAGGUUUUGUGGGAUGAACUAGAUAAUCAUGAACCAUUGAUUUGUUGCAAGUGUGGACAAUGUUUAUGUAACUUAGGGAAGGCGCAUGAACAAUGUCGUGAGCAUGAUUGACUUCAUCAAUUACUUCUUGCUCUCUAUUGUAAUUGUUAUGCUCAAACUAGGUUUACACUGUUUUACCAAGAUCCUUUGCCUUCCUUAAAUCAGGCAUUCCAACAAAUUACUUAGGAGGAACAUGUACGUGGAAUUACACUGAUUAAGGAAGAGAAGUCUGAUAUUUUAGGCUUUGCUAUGCGUACAGAGGGUCAUAACAAAGGCCGAGCUAAUUGUAUUGAUAAGUCAACCUUGUUGUGCACUCAUUGCCAUCGCAAAAGGCAUGAGAUGGCUACCCAUUUUGAAUUACAUAGCCACUUGGAUUGGCGGCUUAAGAAGUAUGGGAAGCCAGAGAAGAAAAGUGAUGAUCGUGGUGGUAAGACAAGUGCCACAUCUUCCACGUAAGUGUUUUAUUUCAAAGGAUCACAAUUAAACAUUAGAUUUCUCAUUUUUAAUUUUUUUAUUUUUUUAACAGCUACGUAAUUAACGAGUACCAAUUUUGGGUGUUGUAGGGGUUCUAUAACUUUCCCUAUAUGUAAUCGACUCUUGCACCCACUUUUUUUUCUCUAGAAUUCAAUGCAAACCUUAGAUUUAUCUUUUUAAAAGAAUUUUAAAAUCUCUUUAUAAAAGACGAUUUUUUUAGGUGACCAAUCACACUUAAGAAAAACAAAUCGGUGGCAACUCCUUUCUAAUAAAUGUAAAAAACUUUUUAAACAAAAUAAGGUUGAAAUAAUCUAGUUGUCGUUAUACUUUGAUAAAAUUUUAGAUUUAGUCCUUAUACUUAAAAGGUUAAAAAUUAAGUCUUGUUUUUAUUUAAAAAUCUUAGUCCUAUCGUUAAUAUUGUUUUUUUUUGUCAAAAUUUGUCAAGUUGACAUAUUAAUUAGGUUUCUCUUAUAUAUCGUGGUAUAUGACUAACACAAAAUAAACAAGUUGACAAAAUCUACAAAAAAUAUCAAAGAUGAUAAUAGUUUAAUUAAAAUUUUUAAAUUAAAAAAGUAAGGGAUUAAAUUUAUAACUUUUAAAGUACAAUGAAUGAAAUUAUUGAAAUACAAGAACUAACAACAUAUUUUAAAAUAUUACUAGUAAAUUAUAUAUCUACAACAAGAAUUGUAACCUCUUAUAUUAUAUUCUUGUAUCUAUUUUUGCAUCUUUCAUUAUAAUAUGAUUUAUUAAUUUUAAUAUUUUUAUAGAAUAAUAUGCUUUAAAUAGUUUUUUGUAUAAUUUAUAAAAAUUAUAAUAAACUUACAAAAUAAUUUAAUGAUAUUUAAUUAUUAACCAAAAAAAAUGAUAUCAUAUAUAUUAUGUAUAUAUUAAGAUUCCGAAUCAUUAAUUAUAUAUCUACGCAUUAUAAUAAAUUCAUCUUUCAAAAUUUUCCUUAUAAUUAAAGCAUAAAUUAUAUUUAUAAUAUUAUAAAUAUAUUUUAUCAUAAAUAUUCUUUCAAAUAUUUUUUAAUGUUUAAUAAUAAGUUAAUUUAUAAAAUAUUUUUUCAAUAAAUUAAUGUGAUGAGAUCGUUAGGUGCUUGGAUUUGGUGAAGGGGGAUGAAGAGAAAAGGGAUGGAAGUGAAUAAAAAUGUUGAGAAAUCGAAAGGGUUAGCGAGGGAAGCCGCCAUGAAAGGUGGUUCAAUGGAUAUGAACCAUCAAGCUUUUGUGGAUGAUGUUACUCAAGGUUGUUGCAAGUAAAUUAAAAAAUAUUUUUUUAAAUUAUUUUUUUGUUAAAAAACAUUUUUUAUUUUUUAUGUGGCAUGCCACAUUAUCAUAGUAUCAUGUGACAACUUCUGGUGAUUUCUGUCUGUAACAUUAGUCAAAUCAACAGUUAAAUCGUUCAACUCACAGUUUUUGUUAAAUGAAGAGGUCAAUUGGUUUUUUUGGAAUCAUUGAGUACUCAAUUGGUGCACUUUUAUCAUAAAGGCUAAAUUAAUUUUUUUAAUUUGUUAUUGUUGAGGGCUAUAACAAUAAAAAAAUUAAUGUAAAAUGAAAAAAAUGUUAGAGCUAAAUUUGUCAUUAUAACUAAAAUGUAAAACCAAAAUUUUUUGAAAAAUGAAAAAAAUGGAAAAUCACAAAUUCUAUCACUUAUGUUUGCUUAAAAUUAUAGUUUUGGUCACCAAUCUUUUGAAGUAAAUAUAUGGUCACCAAUAACUCACCUUAAAGUUAUACCCCUACGCAAGAAAGGAUUAAAUGACAUUGGAAUACCAUAAAACUUGUAUCUUUUUUUAUUCAUCUAAUACCAUUUUAACAUUUUCAUUUUAAAAAAUUGACAUAUCAUUUUGAAUUUGAUCUUUUUCAUGGUAUCUCAAAUUCAUUUAAUCUUUCCCUCUCUAAAAAAGCUAAUGUAACACAUUAAUGACAUCAUUUCAAACAAAGUUUUAGGUCAAAUUAUUCAUCUAGUCCUUGUAAUUGUUUUUAUAGGUGAAUUUCAUUAUUAUUCUUUUAUUUUCUUAGGCUUAAAUACACAUUUACCCCUAAUUUUAUCCCAUUCUCCUUAAUUGGUAUUUAUGGUUUAGAAAAUUUUAUAAAUAUAUUAUUUUUUAAGAAAUUAUAAGAAGAUUACAAAAAUUCCAAAAUAAUAUAAAAAAGCCAAGGAAAACCUAGAAAUUCAAAAAAAAAAAAAAAACGUCGACAUUGAAUUUGCUGUUUCACAUUCAAUUUUUGGAGAAGUAGAAUUUUCUAACUUAUUUUCCAUCAACUUGACUUCAAUUUUCAAUCACAAUCAAUUGCAUUCAAGAGCACCACAUCUGUUUGGAUGAAACAAACCUCUCAAUUUUAAGAUAAACGGGUCUUUAGGGUUAUAAAUUGAGGGCCUUUUCCACAAUUGCGGGUGAUUCGUUGAUAAUAACCUCAACAUUUCUGUAUCACAUUUCAAUUUUUAAUUUUUAGAGAGAUGAUUGGGUUACAAGACUGGUUUGAAGUGAAGAUAUUUCAAAAGAAGAUCGAAUACUCUACCAAUAGUCAUAAUUUAAAAUUCAGGUUAUGUUUCAUUUCAGCUAAGUUAAAUGUUAAGAUUGAGGUUAAACCUUUUAGAGGUUGCUCACAAAAGGAUCAAACCUUUAUAAAAUUGCCUAAAUGAAGGUUAAACCUUUUAAAAUAGACAAAUAAGGGCCUAACCUUUUAAAAGGUGUUCAAAUAAGGGUUUCUCAAACGUUGUAUAUCAGGUUAUGUGUUUUACUCUAAACACAUCGACAUUUACCUAUUUUUUCUAUAAAUUUGGUUGAAGUGCAUGAAAAAUCCUUAUUUGAGCACUUUUGUAAAGGUUAAUCUCUUAUUUGACCAUUUUGAAAGGUUUGAUCCUUAUAUAAGUAACCUCUAAAAGAUUGAGCACUAAUUUGACAAGUUUGAGAAAUAUCUAAAUUUGUUUUCAUGAAUCAAGAAAUUAAAAAAGAAAUGUUGAGAAAUAUUUUAGAGAUUCUUAGCUUUGACAAGUUCCCUCCACCAUCUCCCUGCCUCCAGUCCCACCUCUUCUCUUAUGCUCCUUCCAGCUUCUUGCCUUUUGUGUGUUGAAAAUUCAAAGGAACAAAAUAUCAACCUACAUCAUAAGGCACGAUCGCCAGAACUUUACUUUCUAGCCUGUCGAUCCGAUCCAAUCCAAUGAAAGAAGAACAAGGAGUCUUAAGAUCUGUCAACUUUAUUUCAUUUUCAUUUUCUUUGUCAUUUUCUAUGUUUCAUGUCGAAUACAAUGAAAGAAGAACAUAGAAAAAUGUGGCCUAUUUAUUUCCCAAUCAUCAUGAAAUUACUUGCCAUUGACUUAGAAUUUUCUCACCAAUUUUCAAGCAAUCUGACAUGAUUUCUCAAUCACAAUUAAUUGAAUUCAAGAUCUUUUUAGAUGACACAAACAUUUCAAUUUUAACACAAACCAAUAUUUCGGUUAUACUUCAGUGCUUGACAAGCACUUUCACAUUUGUGGGAUAAGAACUCUUAACAUUUUAGGAUCACAUUUAAUUCAAUUGCAUUUAAGACCUCAUGGUUUUAUUCUAUAAUUUCAGUCUUAUCAGCCUUUUCGGAAACAAUAAAACGUCGACAUUAAAUUUGUUGUUGAUGCAUUCAAUUUUUUGAGGGGUCUUUGGAGUUAUAUGUGACUUUAGCAUUGACUGACUUUUUUAUAAUUUAUCUUUUAUAAUAAGGUAAAUAUAUUAAUUUUAAUAACAUCGACAUGUUUUUUAGUAGGGUCGAGCAAAACCCAAUUAAAAUCGAUGAUAUUGGCUUAGUUGACUCGGUCAAGUCCAUUAGAUUGAUAAAAUCAUUUUUAAAAUCAGUUAUAAUGGAUAAAGGUAAUUAAUUAUCGAGUAAUGAAAUACAUAAUCAAAUCAAUUGAUUUUGUUAGAAACUAAAAGAAAAAGGGCUAAGCUGAAAAUUGAUUGCCCUUUAUUAAAAUUAACGAAUCUGUCUUUUACGUAUUAGAUAAUAUGAACAUCGCAUAUAUAAUAAGAAAAAUUACGUAUGAUUAUUUAUUAUCAUAAAAGGUUAGUUUAAAUUUAAAGUAAUCUAAUAUGUUUAUUGAACUUCAACUAUUAAAUAAAGUAUAAGCUAAAUAAGUAUAAAUAUUCUAGAAACCAUUUCUAACUGAUGAUAGGCUAAUUCGAUUAAUUUAUAAAAACUAGAUAGUAGGGUUAUAGUCCUCAAACUACACCUAAUUUAAUAACAUUUAUAUUUUUUUUAGCCUUAAACAUUUAUAGUUUUUGUUAAUUUGGUCCUUACUCUUUAAAAUUACAUAAAAAUUGCAAAAAAAUUAAAAAUUAAUUUUUAUCAUGAUUUUAAUAACAUUUAUAUUUUUUUUGUGGUUUGGUAACUUAUCAACUUGACUCUUACUUGUAACCAACUUUUCUAACCUUUUUCGUACCCUUAACCUAAGUCCCGUUACAAUUUCUAAAGACCUCUUGAUUGGUGUAUCAUCUCGAUUUGUUUUUAUAGUGGUGGAGAUUUGUUUUUUGUAGUGGCAUGAUUGCCAGAACUUUACUUUCUAUCCUGUCGAUCCGAUCCAAUGAAAGAAUAACAAAGAGUCUUAAGAUCUGUCAACUUUAUUUCAUUUUCAUUUUCUUUGUCAUUUUCUAUGUUUCUUGUCACAUACAAUGAAAGAAGAACAUAGAAAAAUGUUGCCUAUUUAUUUCCCAAUCAUCAUUCUAACAGGCCGAAUUAGCCCAGGCCCAAACAUUAAUAAAAUGUCCAGAUUACAAAAUAACCAACCAAAAAUUAAAAGCCCAAAAUAAUAAAAUAAAACCCAUUACAUUAACCCAAAACUCCAGCCCAAUUACAUUGAAGCCCAAAAAAAUAGUUUUUAGAAACCCCUAGGGUUUCUGGAACAAUCCGCGCCGCUCCUCCAUCCGCUUCUCCACGCACGCUGCACCUUUCCACGUGCGCCUCCAGCUGGCAGUGUACCUCCAAUGCAACAAACAAAGCAACAAGCAGCAAAAGAAAUGGAAAAACAACAAAAAAAAAAAGAAAGGAGCAACAAUGUAUAACAGAUUGAUAACAAAUAAUAGAAAAAAUAGCAGUAAAUAGGAAAAAAAAUUAAAAAAUAAUGAGGGUAAUUUCAUUUUUUUCUCUGUUUUGGCUAUAAAGAGAGCCGGUCAAAAUCUCUAAAGGGGGAUUUAGAAAUCAAUCAGAAAACAAGUAUUUUGUACCAACAAUUAGAGAAAAAAAAUACAAAAAUAGGGAUUGAAGGUUUUUUUUUCUUUCGUUUCGAUUUAUUUUAAAAUAGCAUAGAAAAUAAAAAGAAGGCUUACCUUGCGACGCCUUCAGAUCCUCUCGAAAAGGGGCUAAAAGGCCCUAUGUGGCACAGAUUUGACCACUGUUCACGGUGGAACCGCAGCGGAGGCGCAGAGGAUUGGCAUCAAUUUAGGCAGGGUUUGAAACCCUAGCAGAGAAAAAAUUAGGGUUGAUAGAUUUUUUUUAAAAAAAUGGCAAAAUGUUGUUUUAAAAAAUUUUGUUUUAAAAAAAAUUGUUGCUUUUAUAAAGGGUGUAAAACGGCGUCGUUUAGGGCAUGUUUCGAUGGCCCCAAAACGGCGCCUUAUAAGGCAACCCCCGACGACCCGACCUGCUCCAUGGGGGAUCCGCGUGGUUUUUGUUAAAUGGGUUAUGUCUAACCCUGGCCCUUCUACUUUUUAUACUUGUUUUAAUUUGAUCCUCUUUUUAUUUAUUUUUAUUUCUUUAAAUUAAGCCUGAUAAUUUUUUUCCAUUACAUUUUAAUCCUUAAUGAAACGGCGCGUUUUAGAGGAGAAGGGAAAAUUACCCUUCUAGUCCCUUCUUGUUAUUCGAGUGUUCAGAAGGGUCCUUUUUUGUUUAUUUUUUAUUUGCCCCAAAAUUUUGUUUUAAAGCUUAAUUUAGUCCUAUUUUGUUAUUUUAGCUAUUUUAUUAUUAGAUUAAUUAAUUUAAUAUUAUUAUUACUGCUAUUAUUUUACCCCUAUUAUUUAUAUAUUUAUUAUUAUAACUAUAUCAUUAAAUCAAUUAGUUUUUACAUUAUUAUUUCCAUUCUGUUUUUUAUUUACUUACUUAAAUACUUUAAAUGCAUUUAUUUUAUUUCUUAUUUUUUUAUGAAAUUUCAAAACUUUAGACUAUUUUUUUGUUACUAUAACCCUAAUUUCAUUCAUUUUAUAAUAGUUUUUUUUUAAAAUAUUUCUUAGAUUAAUUCCCUCGAUGUUAUUUUGUAUAUUUAUUUAUCUUUUUAAAUUUUCGAUAUUGUCUUAUUGUAUUAUUGUUGUUACUAUCAUUAUUCAUUAUUAUUGUUGAUUUUAUUCUUCUUUGAUUAAUGUUUAUGUUAGAGUAAUAGGUGUUAUGUGAUCAUUGUUAUUAUAUGUUAUAAUUUGUUGACACUCGUAUUGUAGUCAUUCGUCAGCUUAAUAUUUUGAGUAACAUUUUAAAUAUUACAUUAAUUUUGACCCAAAUGCAUAAUUUUUUAAUAAGUAAUAUUUCGUAUUGUGGAAUUUGAGAGAUCAUUCCCUAACUUACGGGGUCUCGAUUUUUUUGAUAAAUCUGAAUAUAAGAACUAUUUUAAAAAAAUACGUUUUAAAAUUAUCUCGGGAAUUUAAAAAGAAGCGUGUUCUAACUUACGGAAUAUGAUCUUUUUUUAAAAAUCGAGAUAAUCAAAUAUCUUUCAAAUAAAUAAACUUUUCGUGUUUAUUCUCGUUUUAGGAUUUAAGAUAUUGUGUCCUAACUCACGGGACACAAUUCUUUUUCUCGAUUAACGUGAAAUACGCCCUUUUUAAUUUUAUCUUUUUAAGUGAUUUUAACAAAAGGAUUGUAUUUUAAAUCUCUUCAAAAUUUUCAAUUUUUCGACAUUGAGACAUUAACUAAUCAAUUAGGUACCAAUUUUGGGCGUUACAAGGGUGUUAACCCUUCCUUGUACAUAACCGACUCCCGAACCUAUUUUUCUGAAUAUUAUAGGCCAAAAUUGUUUUAAUAAAUUAAACCCUUAAGAGGUGACUCGAUCACAGCUCAUAAAAAUUAUCGGUGGCGACCCUUGUUUUAAAAAAGGUGGUUUCAACAGCUUGGCGACUCCGCUGGGGACAAAAAUAAGAGUCAAGCCGCGAGUUGAUUAUUUCUUAUCUUUUUGUCAGAAAUUGUGAAUUCGAUUUAAAUUUAUGAUCUUUUCAUUGCAUUUUAUGGUCUGCAUCAUUUUUAUAUGCUUGCUUUACUACUUCGAGUCUUUUAAUCUUCGCAUAUUGUAUUGCAUAACCGUUCGGUUAUACCCUUUUAAGCGGGAGUGAGAAAUUAUUCUUUCGUGAGGUUUUCACCUUCGUAUAGGAUAGUGGAUUACUUUCAGGAUACAUCCAUACCUAUGUCUUCGUGAGAUUCUCAUCUCCGUAUAGUCAUAGGGAAAUGUAUUCCCCUGAACUGAACUCAGUCCGUAUGAGCCUAUAAUGGGUGAGGAUUGAGGAAUCUGCUGGUUCAGGUACCCUUUCUUUAGAACUAAACCGCAUGUAGUGAGCCCUAAGAGCAUACCCUAGGUAGAACCACUCCAAACCCCUAGUGGUCACCCAAAUAGGUGCUCUAUUUAUUUUUGCUUGCUUGUUUUUGCCUUGUACUAACCUAUUUGUUAUGGUUAUGAGUGCAUUGCAUUUUUAUCAUAAAAAAGAUGUGUUGAUUCACGUUCAGUUGCUAAAUAGAGAGCUUGUCAUGGAAAACGAAUUUCUUGAUAAAGUGGAAGACAAUGCGGUUGUCCGGAUAUGGUCCAAGAAAAUGUGAAGAAAGAAGGGUGAUAGUCUAAUGGAGGACUACACGACCUUGCUUUGUUGCCUGAUGAUUCAAGUUGACAAAGAUUAUUCGAGAGUCUUCAAUGUCCCGACCUUUUUAAAGAAGCUAACGAGCGUCACGAGGAUGAGCGAGUAAUGAGUUGCGGCCCGGAUCAAGCAAAAAAAAGAUAGAGGAGACACCCUUUUUGAAGAGUUCACGAGAUUUAUCUUAACAUCUAGACGAAGAAAAAGAUCAAUCUCUUUGCCUAGAGUAUGAGGGCAAAGCCGUAUAUAUCCGCUUUAUGUAAAUAAAUUUGUUUUCUAGUAAAGUUUUUCUAAUAGGAUUGAAUCAGAAUCAACGUCUCUUUUUGCAUUCAUUCCAUUCAUCUGCAUUGCAUUUCAUUGCAUCUAGAAUUUCACAAAAGGACCCUAAUUAAUCGAAAUUGUUAUAGCUACCUUGAAAAACUAACGAAAAUUUACCAAUUAAAUAUUCCUAUGGUACCCAUUGCAAAACUAAAGUAAUGGAUCAAAUAUUAGAAAGAUUAGAACAAAUGCUGAAGGAUAAACAUAACUGCUUUGGCUUAGGGUACAAGCCAGAUACAAGACAAAGAAGAAA